GUGGGACGUUGAGGCAUGGAAUUUGUUGAAAAAAUCACUGCCGAAUGAUGCCAAUGGAAGCAGAAUUCUCUUCACCAGCAGAUGCCAGGAUUUAUCUUUGCAUUUCGAACCUAAUAGCGAGCCUCACCAUCUCCGUCAUCUUACUGACGAAGAGAGUUGGACAUUGCUGCAGAGAAAGCUAUUUGGCACGGAAGAUUGUCCUGCAGCACUAAGUGAAGUUGGAUCUCAAAUAGCAAAACUUUGUCGGGGCUUACCCCUUGCAGUUGUCCUUGUUGCUGGAAUUCUUGCUACUACUGCAAAAGAUAGGUGGGAAGAAGUUGCAAAAAGUCUAAGUUCUAUUGUCCUUGGGGAUGAAUACUGCAUGAAGACACUUGAGCUGAGUUAUAGUCAUUUACCAGAUUAUUUGAAGCCAUGCCUUCUGUACUUUGCUGCAUUUAAAGAAGAUGAGGUUAUUAAUGUGCGAAGGUUGUUACGGCUUUGGAUCUCUGAAAGAUUCGUGCAACAGGCUGAAGGAAAGAGAGUAGAGGAAGCAGCUCAUGACUACUUUGUGGCUCUAGUUAAUAGAAGUUUAGUUAAGGGUGUCGGACAAAGAACUGUGGGUGGUGCCAAAGCCUGUCUACUUCAUGAUUUGGUACACGAGUUUUGUGUGAAAAAAGCCAAAGAAGAAAGUUUUCUAUAUGAUGUUCAUACUUGGAACCCUCUUGGGCUUACUGGACCAAGCAACCCCCACCGAGUUUGUGUCCGCAAUACCAGAGAAUUGAAGAUUUGGGAGUUAACGCUUAUAUUUCCCAAUUUACGCUCUUUGAUCUUGUUUAGACAAGAUUAUUUUAAACAUGAAGAGGAGGAUUUGGGUAUUUUGUUACCUAAACUUCUCAGAGUGUUGGAUUUUCGGAGUUUGCACUUUCGUUACAAUUCUUUCCCAAUCGAAGUAGUAUUGCUUGUUCACUUGAGGUACCUGGCGCUCAAAGGAGUAACAUACAUCCCAUCUGCGAUAGCCAACCUCUUAAGGUUAGAAACUCUUAUCGUAGAUUAUCCGAGUUUGGGUAUUGAGCUGCCAAGUACUAUUUGGAACAUUAAGACAUUGAGUCAUCUACUUGUUAUAAAUUAUCAUGGAGUAUGGCGAAGGGGUUUUAUUUUUCCAGUUGAAAAUCUUGAAGUAUCCCCAGAUUUAGAUCGUUUGGACACUUUAAACCUUGCAGUUGAUCCCUCUCCUCAAAGCUUGCAAAAGAUACUGAGAAAGUUACCAAGCAUUCGCAGGUUAAAAUGUAUGGAACACCGGGGCGGAUCAAGAGAAGCUACCAGAAAUUGCAACGAGAUUCUUGAGUUUGACAGUUUGAGUCAACUGGAAUCACUUUAUUUGUAUGGUUUUCACGGAUGUGGAUUCAAAUUCCCAUUGAAUUUGAAAAAGUUGACUCUCUCAUAUAAUGCUCAGCCAUGGAGUGAAAUUUCAACAAUUGGAAAGUUGCCCAAUCUUGAAGUGCUUAAAUUACUUGAUCACAGCUUUCCCUAACCUCCGAGUCUUAAAAUUGUCAAGGUUGAAAUUUCGCAACUGGACUGCAUUUUCUGAUAAUUUUUCCCGCCUUGUGAAAUUGGUCUUGCACCGAUGUAAGGAGCUGGAAAAGGUCCCUUCCUGUUUAGGGGAGUGUGAGACUCUUGAAAUGAUUGUGGUGGAAAAUUGUCCUGAGUCUGUUGUAGAUUCUGUAAAGCAAAUUCAACAAGAGCAGAUGGACAUGGGAAAUGAGGUUCUAAAGAUCGAAAUUCAUUCCAUUCCUUAGAAGAAGAGUCUAAAGAAGCAGAGUCAAUUCCCUCAGAAGCAGAGGAGGUUUCUUCAGAAAGAGAGUCUGUAUCCUCUCAUCACGCAGUUGGCAAUUGUGAGAGUGAAUGUACAGUGGGAUUCCACUCAUCAGGUCAGAUAAAACUAUAUUUGCAUAUGUUGAAUCAGUUCAAUUAUAUAAUGAUUCAUGCUUCUCUUAACAGUUUACGACGGCAAACCAUUCAUGUCUCUUUUUCAUUUGUUUAUAUGUUGAAUCAGUCCAAUGAUGUGUUAAUUCAUGUGUAUUUUGAAGCAAUUUCUGCUGCAUAACUUUCUGAUAAAUUUCUGAUUGAUGCACAAUCUGUUUCUAAAAUCUGCUUCUUGUCAUUUUCUCGUUCAGUGUUGAGUAAUUUUUAUGUCCCAAUUUCCGAAAUCUUCUUCCUUGUUGCUACAUAACCAGAUACACUUAUCUGUUCCCAAUUUGUGCAUGUAAAUAAGAGUAAUACAGAAAAGUGUGACUUACUUCUAGUUUUCCUCAAUAAAAACCAUAAUUCAAUUGACUGAUAUGUUGAAACCUACAAUCACAGUUUUGCAACAAAUAUUAAGUGGAGACCAAAACCCAAAAAAAAAAAACAACAAACUAUGGUUGUGUUACUUUUCAACAGAGGAAGGGCAUAGGACUUAAUAUGUGUUUUUCUUCACUACAACAUGCUGAAAUACAAACAUUUUCAUUCUUUAAUAGGCAAUAUUUUCGGAAAUAAAAAAGGAAGCAAUUUUUUCUUAAACUUUUUUUGUGUGUGGUUUCAUGUUUUAUUUUGCUAUUUUAAGUGGUUAAUUGCUCAAACUUAUCAAAAUGACAAUCAAAGAAACCAGAUGACCUAUUUUGUCGGGUAAUCUGUAUACCUCUUCAUUCAACUGAUGUACUGCAAUUUUUCCUUCUUCCAGAGCAGGUUUCCUCAGAAGGUGAAGACUGAAACAUUUAUGUCUCUCCUUGAUUUGGUGUGGUCAUUCCUUCCACUCAUCAGGUUAGAUAUAAUUGUAUGUGUAUGUUAAUUCAGUUCAAUGACAUAUAAUUACUGAUCAUGUCCCUUCUUCAUCUGUACCAAAUUAUUUGGUUUGAACUUUGAUGCAGCUGCAUUACUUUGUCAUUGCAGGGGCAAGCACAGUCAUGCAUUCUAUCAAGCCAACAUUAUCCAUCAUAAUCUGUUUGUAAAAUGUUCUCCAUGUUCUUUUCUGGUUUGAUGUUUAAUAGUGUUUAUGAUCCAUCACAAUCUUGUUUGUAAAAUAUUCUCCAAGUUCUUUUCUGAUUUGAUGUUUAAUAGUGUUCUUGAUCCCAAUUCUUCAAACAUUCUCAUUGCUAUAUAGUAGCCACUCGCAUUUCUUUGCAUUCUUCAACUUAGCAAAAGUCUAAAGGGUGUAACUUUACUUAAACUUUUUCUAUGCUAUUUCAUCUUUUAUUUUCUGAUCACUGUGAUUAAUUGUUCAAUGUUCAACCUGGUAAAAUUGACAAAUUAAAGAAGCUGAAUGACAUUUUUGCUGAACAAUCUAUGUACUUCUUCAUUUAACUUGACAUCUAAUUGUGAUAUUCUAUACCAUGUAACUUAUUUAAUACAAGAAUAUUUAAAAAAUAGAGAAAACCAUUACAUUGACGAUCAUUUAAGACCAAUAUUAACGUUGAUGAGAAACCAUUACAUGAAAAAAAAAAAUAUAUUUUUUUUGGUUGCUAUGACUUAUGAGGCUAAAAAGUACAGAAUGCUGACUUUAACUUUCUUCUAUCCAAAUGAUUGUAAUCCAAAAUUCCAAAUAUCAUUUCCUCCGCUUUAUUUUUCAACUUUCUUUCUUUCUUUGGGCCUUUGUUUCAUUUUUGUUUUUCGGAAUUUGGGCUGUAGCUUACUGGGUAUAUAUAUUAUUUCUUCUGGUUUAUUUUUUUUCCUUAUUUUUCUUUUUUCCCCUUUCUUGGGUUCCCUAAAAGAAACCUACAUAACUAACAACCAUUGUAUUAAAAAACUAAAUUUAUUAAUUUACAUACACAUGUAUAGAUGCAGUUUACAAACUCACGGAGUCCUCAUGGAUGGACCGCUACUGAAGCAUCACAAAACAUAAUUAGUUCUUUUAAUACCCAUUUAAUUACUCUAUCAAAUCUCGUCCCAAUGAUCAAGAAAGGGUUCUUAGAUUCUUUUUCAUACCAAGUUCAAGGUUUGAAUUAUGUACCUGACAAUUGGAGUUAAAAAGCAGUUCGAAUUAUGUACUUGACAGUAGAGAGUAAAAUGCAUAUGAGAAGGGAUGGGAGGAUUACAAAAAAAAAAUGGAAGAGUCUCCUCUUGUCUAUAUACAAUAGUGUCCCUCUAUGUGGCUUGUAUAAUUGACUAGACAGCAAAGGCAAGACUUCUAAUGAUCAAAUCACUCUACGUUAACCUAGGUUUAUUCCACUUGCACCUUUAAAGUUCUUUCUAUUUUCACUUUGCUUAAUAUUAGUUACAAAACUUUACAUCUUAUCUUUCAAAACAAAUUCUAAAUCUUACAAAGGGCUUAAAAUUGAAUGAAAAACCUUAUAUUCACCUUUUUUUUUUUGUCAAAUAUUCACCUAGUUAAUACUGCUCUAAGUUGAACUAGGGCAUGAGAGCACAAUCUACUAUUGUUAAUGCCAUGCAUCCAAGGGGUGCUGAGCGGGGCUGUGUUUUGAAAGUUUUAAUUCACAGUGUGUAAAUAUGGGUGUGAAACAGAGUUAGCCCCCUAAUUGAUUGAAUUGAUGGUUCAGAUGUUUGAACUGAUAAAGUCAAUACCAAUCACUCAUUUUGUUCAUCACUGGUCCACCUUUCAAAAUAUUUUUAACUGCUAAAGUUGUUCAAAAAGUUGAAUACUUUGAAAAAAAAAAAAAUCCUAUCUGAAGUUUCUAGUAAUAUCAUUUACCACCCCUAUUGUUCUAAAAGUAUCACUUACCUUCCCUACAAGUGAUGUGGCAAAAAUUCACUAUCGCAGCAUGCAAAGUGAAAGUAUUACCCUCACAACUUAAGAUUAUUUGUUCUAAAAGAUUUUGAAGGAAAAAUAAAUAAAUUGAUAAAUUAGAAUAUCUAUCUUAACAAUUUUUGGCACUUAAACCUUCAUACUUUUUUAGUCCUUCUAUGCCACCCAUAUAUUACAUUGUCCUCAAUAUUCUAAUAAUAAUUUAGACAAAAAAUGUAAAAAAAAAAACUUAGAUCAAUAAAGAUAAUUCCCAUUUAGGAGUUAAUUUUGCACUUAAACCCCCUUCCAACACUCCAAUUUUUUUUUAAAGUCCUUCUAUACCAACUUUAUAUUAGAAUACCCUCCCUACUCUAACAAUUAUUCGAAAAAAUUUUAGUAGACUAAGUACCAAAAUUUUAUACAACUAAAAAUUUGAUAUUCUAAAAAUUAUAUUUCACUUAAACACCCCUUUGAUCCACUUUGAAUACUCUAAUGACAAUCGUAUAUUAAAUAGCCCUUGCUAUUCUAACAACUUUUGAGGCAAAAAAGUUUAGAAGGGAAAAAAAACCAAAAUCCAUCAAAGAACGGUCAUCUUAACAAUUAUUUUUUACUUAAACUAUCCCUUCCCCCAACUUUUAGUUCUCCUGUGCCAACUUUAUAUUAACUGAACUCUCCUAUUCUAACAAUUGUUUGUGCAAAAAGAAUCAAAUGCACUUGAGCAUCUUCUGAAUUAAAUGCAAAUCCAGGAAUUCGAUCACCUAAAAUACAAACUAUAUAAUAAAGACUUUAAGGUAAUAUUACACACCCUAAUAGAAUGACAUGUAUCAUUAUUAGUAGUGCAUUUAAUCCAGAAGCUGCUCAAGAGCACUCUUCUUGCCUCCCAUUUCCCAUGGUACCUUCACUCCAGUGGAUCUAAUCCCCUAGCUUGCAUUUAAUUUAAAAAGUGCUCAACUAUACUUUUUUUGGCCACACCUUACUUCACAUAGUGUUGGAUUAGGAUUAGAGUAGAUUAGCAAAUAUUGUAUCAACAAAAUAAAAAAAAAAGGAAAAAAGACAAGGUAGUAUACGACUAGCAGUAGAGUGCACUUUUUUAAUAACUCCUUUUCCAUAAUAUAGGUACAGAUUAACCAAUAUCAUAUUUGGUAAAAAACAAAAAAAAAAAGACAAAGACAACCCUGAGAUACAUCUAUCCCACAGUGUAAGAGUAAGCAUAGGAGUAAAUUAGCAAACAUAGUACUGAUUGAAAAAAAAAAAAAAAACACAUUCAUUUAACCAUCACCCCAUGUCAUGUCAAACGUUUAUGACUAUCCAUUUUUUGUUUUUUUCUAGAAUUUUAAAUUCUUAGAACCUGAUGUUCCUAAAAUGGUCUUUGAUUGCUGUAAAGGGUUUACUACACUUGCCCACCUUAAAAUUCCUUUUAGUUUCAUUUUGCUCAUUAAAUAUUUAGCUGGAAAACUUUACAGGAUUUUCUUUUUAAAGUUGGCUUACAAAAGGAAAAGAAAAGAAGGGAAGGUUAGAAAGUUGAAUUAAAAACCUUAUGAUUUUUAUUAAUGUCUUCCAAUUGGAUCGAAGGCUUGAGAUUCCAAUCUAUUAAUGUUCACAUUGUAAGGCUUUUUCUAUAUAAAAAUGGACAGUGGAUCCACCCCUGCAUUACAAUACUAUCGAAGAAGAAAUUUAUUAAACCCUUUUCUCAAGAGUUAUCUAACUUAUAAAAAAAAUAUUGGACACAUAAACCUAAGGUCUCUAAUUUCUAGAGCCUUAAACUUAUCCAUUAAACUAAGGUUUCUAGGCAAAACUUGGCAAUACUUGAAUACUUCUAAACUAGAAAUAGAAAACAUCAACUAUUAGGAAGUUAGGUUUAAUUAUAUCAACAUUGCCUCUUUAAAUUAAACUUUUCACGAAUAUAGCUCUAUACUAUUGCCAACCAAAAAAAAAAAUCUUCUAAGAUAUUUUUUCAUUAUGAAUCAAUUCUUGCCAAUCACUUCACUUUCAAUUUAUUAGCCUCACUAGCUGAUUGCUGAUAUCAAGAUUCUCAAUUUUGCAAGUCCGUCACGAAAAAAAAAAAGUUGACAAGAAUUUUUUUCAACUCUUUCACAUUACCAAAUUAAAUAUCAACAACUAUAGUAGAAUCUUUUUCUCUAAUCACUGUCUAACACAAAUAACACGAUACGAUGCUUCUUCUCACAUGUCUAUCCAAUUAGGAUCAAUUUUUUCCUAAUUGUCAAGUAACUCGAGUACCCCCAAGAUCAAUUUAGUGGCCCAAUUUUUUCUAAUGUUCGAGUACUCUGACUCAUAAAAAAAUUCACAUUUCAAAAUCUAUGAACAUAAACCUAGUAAUCUUAAGUUUACAAACAUCCCAAGAUCAAAAGGCAGGGUUCUAAUACCACUUUAGUGUAUAAAAGAUGCGUACAAGAGGAUAUUGGCACAUGUAAAAAUAUGUAGAAGAAAAGGAGUUUAAUAGCCAUAAAUACACAAAGCACAUCUGAUUCACAUAUUGAGAUUGGCACAAAUUCUAGGCAGAAUUGCUUUCACAACAACCGCAACUCUCUUUAAUUUUUUUUCUCGCCCUUUUCAACUCAGUAUACUGCUAAAAUACCCCAUAUAGAGUUAACAUAACUGAGUAAUUAAGAAACUACUGCAACAAGAAACUACCACAUAAUUACUCCGUACCCUAAACAACUAAAUUACUGAAACUUGGCUAUACUUGAAUACGUCUAACCUAGAAAUAGGAAACAUCAACUAUUAGGAAGUUUGGUUUAAUUAUGCCAAUAAAAAGGCAUAUUCUUCUGACCAUCACACUAUGUCAAAACGUGCAUGGGUUUCGUUGAUUUUAGCAAUGAUAACUGUUCCACAUAAAGCAACGGCAACAUGCAUGGAUUUAGGAUAAUUUCAUAAGCUAAUUUUGUAUAUAAUGAUAGUGCAUAUAGUAACAACAAUGAAUGAAUGCCACCUAAACUUGAUAUAAUGGUAGUGUAUAAUUUGAAUUUUGUUUCUUGAUAUAAUGGUAGCUUGCAAUAUUAUGGAAUAAUUUCAGAAAUCCCACUAAGGUUAUUGACAAUUUCACUUAUCUCUCCUCAACUUUAGGAAAUCUCACAUACUCUAGCAGACAAUUGGGACCUGUUGAUGUCGAAAGGCGCAGCAAAAUACUUAUAUCUUUAGUCUUUGGUGAUAUUAACUAAACGAUUUCUCACCUUCAAAGGUAAUUUGCAAAAAAUCAAGUCAAGUCUUAUUUCCACAACCUUGUAAUACGAUGCAAAAAGAAAAUAUUAAACAAACAAAAAUUAUUCUCACCCUUGAUUCCACUGCACCUUUCACAAGGAAAAAAAAGCUGUUCUCUAAUUUUUUAUGGUUACUUUCUCUUAUAAGCUUUAAUUGACGCUCAUCAAGCCUUAUAUAUUUUAGUAUAAACUUCCAAGCUUUUAAUAAGAAACUUGUAACAUCACCAAUUUCUCAUAAUCAAUAGCACAUAAAUUUCAAAAAAGCUCUCAUAAUCACCAUUUUAUUCUUGCUUUUCUGGAUAAGAUUGACAUUAAUUCAAUAAUCGAGUUCUAGGAAUCCCUCAUACUUAUUACUCAUUUUUUUGUUUAACCUUCAACUUAUCAAUCACAAAGAAUGACGAAAAUAUUUAAAAGAAAAAUUAAACAAAAAAAGACCAAGUCUAAUAAACAAGUCAUACUUGUUGCAAUUCUAGUGACUAGUUUCUUUCUCCAAUUUUAAACAUAAGAAGGACAUUGGGAGGAUGAAGGAAGUGUACUGGCCUAUGUUAUUUCAACAAGUGGUUUACUGGGCGUGGUCUGCACGAAAUGAAGUUAUGCACUAGGGUGUGCUAAGAAAGGUCAGAGUUCGGAUUGAGACUCUUUUACAGCAAUCAUUGAUAGUACAGGUGUGACGGCCCCACCUCCCCCUAAGGCGAACCAGAGGGUUCGGCGGGUCGCCUGCCCAACUCUCGCCGGGACUCAGUCGUUCACUACAAUCCUCAAAUGAAUUACAAUAUAAAUCUCAAAUGUACAUCACAUGGUCCACAAACAUACAUCUAAGUCUCCAAUAAUUACAUGUCAUAAGCGAAGCGGAAACGAUUCUCAACUAUACAUAAAAUGAUUCCAAAUCCAAAUUAUACAAGAUAUAUGCCAUCCAGUCACGUGAACAAGUACUACAAGUCCUUCCUUCGCCACGAGCCCUGUGGAGGGGAAUAAAAUAUUUUUGGGGUGAGCUAGAAGCUGAGCGAGUAACCAUUAAAAUCAGUAAUCAAAGCGGUUUCACAAUAGUUCAUUUCAAUGAUGUCAUAAAUCAAUGAUGUCAAGAAUCAAAUGAUAAGUCCAGAAACAAUUACAACAUUUACAAUACAUUAAAAUGGAGUAUCAAUAAUUCAAGGAACAUUUACAAUGGAAAGCGAUAGUAAUAUUCAUUAAAAGGAUACGGGCUCACAUGGAGCUAUUCGUUUGUUCGUUCGUUCCCCUGACAUUUUCCCUUAUUCCUCCAAUCGUUUGAAAAUACAUUUUUUUUGUAAGUAGAAUCCCUCGUUCAUCCUUUUGUUCGUUCAUCCCCUUUUCCGGACGUUGACCGGACUCCACCCAUCCGACCAUUGGCCGGACUCCACCCAUCCGGACGUAGCCGGACUACAAGGUAAUACUCGAAUAUACCAAAUUCACCCAGGGUCACCAUAUCGCCCGACCGAGUCCGCUUCUGGCUCGAGUCGAUCGGCAACAAAGGGCAGUGGCCAAUUCAGCCAAACGGCUUACAUUCAUGCGCAACUAGCAUUUCAAUAAUUAAAUCCUUGAAAAUUGCACAGUUAUUUAAGUCGAGUGCGAUAAAGUACACACUCGCCUAGAAAGCUCGUUUUGGAAAUCAUUCAAAGCACUUAACACGUUAUCAAUUAAUAAUACAAGUCAUGAAGUCAAGAAAAUAUAGCAAAUAAGGAACACUCACAUGCAAGCACGCACGAUAUGCAAUAAAACAGUUCAAAAGUAAUUUUGGAAACAGUUUAAAGGUAAAUAAUGCAAGAAAACGGUACAAAAGUAACUUUGGAAACAGCUCAAAAGUAAAUAAUGCAGGAAACGGUUCAUAAAUAACUUCAGAAAUAGUUUGAGGUCACUCACCUCCAUGGCUCAGAAAUCAUCCAUCAUAUAACAUUGCCUUGCUCAAAUCCAAGUCUUAGAUCACAAACUCAAUGCAAACAAGUCCCUUCAAAGUUCGGACAGCACUUCCCCUGAAUUUGCUAACUUUUCCAGCCAUCAUGGCUUCAUUAUUUCCUCAGCCAGUCCCAAAAGUACACACACAACAACAAGUUCAUCCAAUAGCCAUUCAGUAAGCUCCAAGUAGUACUAGUACAAGUCAAGCUAGGUAAAAGUUCGGAAAUGAAAGUUAAGCUCAAAACCGGAAAAAUAGCUUUUGACAUUCUUUUGCGGUAAUGGCACCAAAGGCACUACGAUUAUCGGAUGAGGGUGCAAGACCCACCAUCUCGAAACUAAAAGACAGGGCUACAACAUCAUAGAAGGUCACUCAACCCAGUUUUGAGUGCAAACAGGUCAAAAAUGCAAGAUACUACAUCAAAAACGUAAAACCGAUUCACCAAAACGCAUUCUAGCAGAAACAUCAUAACUCAGGCUCUACAAGUCCAAAUCCAGAAAUUCCAAAACCAGCUGAAAGCUAAGAAACAGGGUUACAAUUCAUCAGAAGACCUCAACAACCAAUUCGGAAGCAUUCCUGACCAUAACAACCAAUUACAGAAGCAAUUCCCAAAUUCGGGUAAAACCAGAAUAGAAAUAGUAAUUUCGACUUAUCUCAUUCUACACUACUCCGAUUGACCUGAAAUUUUGUAGGCACCUAUAAAAUAUCAUUCCCUACAAUUUUAAUGUUUUAAGUCAAGGCCAAUUCGGCCUCUAUCUAGGACCUAAAAUUUCGGACAGAAUGCUCCCUCAAGAACCCUAGUUUUCUGAAAUUUCUUCCAAACCAGAAAUUGGUUGCAAUUAAUCACUUUUCCCACCUCCUAGAGUCCUUAAACAUUAUUUCCAAUCAUCAUAGAUGACCACAUACUCAUAUUCAUAUGAAAAUAGAAAAAUCCCCAAUAAUUAUAAAACUUCACCAAUUCAACCAAAAUCAAGAUAUCUUUCACCCAAUCACACAUUUAAUCAACACAACUCAUUACUUUGACAUUAUCAAGACCAAAGGAAGCAUUCACUAGUUACUCACCUUGAAACCAAAGAAAAGAGACCACUUAGCACCAUAAGUUUCCAAACAACUUCAGCAAUCACCUCAAGACCACUUAGCAAAGAGAUUUUAUGGAAUUGAUUUGGAGUUUUAUUGGUUGGAUUUGAAGAUUGAGCAAGAAAUAGAAGGAAGAAAUUGAUAGCUUUUCUUUCUUUUCCUUUGAGAGAGAGAGCCGGCUAUGAAGCUUUAGAAAUAAGGAUGAUUUUUGGCAAUUUUUUGAUUUAUUUGGUAAAGUAGGGAAUAGUGUAGUCAAAGUCCAAGACUUAAUCUUAUGGUGACACUUGUCACCUUUUGGUUCAAAACUUAUCUUUUGUCUCUCCAAUACAAAUAUCUUAACACUUUGUAAAAUAAUAUCACUUAAUACAAAAUUCCAACAAGUUGUCAAAAAUAUAAUGCAUUUACGGCACUUGCGGGUCCCACGUUCAAAAUACGCUCUUAAUUUCUCAAAAACUAACCGAUACUAGAAAAAUCAUUUUAAAACUAUCUUUGCUCAUAAACUUUAUCUGGGGAAUUUUUCUAAUCAAGAAAAUGUAGAAAAGGCGGGCGAUUAAAAAAAAUAAACCCUAGAAAAUUAGAAAAUUUCCGGGUUCUCAAACACAUUUUUGUUUUUCGGGGCGUCACAACAGGAGUUACAUGCUAGCCGCAAAUUGGUGGGUGGACGACAAAUGAAGUUCAUCAAUUGGAGAAAACCGCCACUGGGAUGGGUUAAACUCAAUGUAGAUGGCGCAGCCACGAGAAACCCAGGUGAAUCAAGUGCCGGAGGUCUUAUAAGGAAUGAUCAAGGAUGUUGGCUCAAGUGGUUUAGUGCAAAUUUGGGGUGCUCAAGUAAUGUAGCAGCCGAGCUCUGGGCGAUUCUGUUGGGACUGAGACUAGCUUGGGAGCAAGGGUAUAGGAGGGUGGUUAUUGAGUCAGACGCGCAGGUGGCAUUGAUAUUGAUUAACAAUGCAUCUGAAGAGAGUCCAUAUUGGAACAUGGUAGCGGGAAUCCGAGAGUUGUUAGGCUAUGAUUGGGAAUGCUGUUUGGAACAUUCGUGGCGAGAAGGAAACUGUUGUGCAGAUUACUUAGCAAAGCUAGGAAAGAGUCUAGCUCCGGGGAUGACUGUUUUCUAGGAUCCUCCACAAGCAUUACGAACACUUCUGGACCGUGAUGUUUGUGGAGUGACAAUAUCUCGUCUAAUUAAUAUGUAACGGGCUUACAUCCUCCUUUGUACCGAAAAAAAAAGCUGAGAUUUCUAGGCAAAACUUGGCUAUACUUGAAUACUUCUAAACUAGAAAUAGAAAACAUCAACUAUUAGGAAGUUCGGUUUAAUUAUGUCAACAUUGCCUCCUUUAAACCAAACUUUUCACGAAUAUAGCUCUAUACUAUUGCCAACCCAAAAAAAAACUUGUAAUAAGAAACUUAGUAUUAGCUUCCAAGCUUUUAAUAAGAAACUUGUAACAUCACCGUUUUCUCAUAAUCAAUAGCACAUAAAUUUCAAAAAAGUCUUCAACUUUGCUGGCAUUUUAUUCUUGCUUUUCUGGAUAAGAUUGACAUUAAUUCAAUAAUUGAAUUCUAGGAAUCCCUCAUACUUAUUACUAAUUUUUUUUAACCUUCAACUUAUCAAUUACAAAGAAUGACGAAAAUCUUUAAAAGAAAAAUUAAACAAAAAAACACCAAGUCUAAUAAACAAGUCAUACUUAUUGCAAUUCUAAUGACUAGUUUCCUUCUCCAAUUUUAAACAUAAGAAUUAGUUCUUCCGAAUAUAUAGCAAUUGAUUAAAUCAAGUUUGUCAAUUCCUAUACUUAAUUUGGUCUUUUCAUCAAUUAGCAAAUGAUUGCGUUACUCUAGUUUUUAUAAUUCUAGGAGAGAACUCUUUGAUAAUACACUCUAGUUAUGGUAACUAUGGUAUUAGAAAAAAACCAAUGUACUAGUAAUAUCAUUUUUGCAAAAAUGAAAUUUGUAUUUAAAACUUGAAACAUCUUAAAUUUAUAUAACUAAAUAAAUGUUAAAAAAAAUACAGGGUGUCACAUCUAGUCUUUUGCUUUUGGUCUCCAACUUUUAAUCCAAUUAAAAAUUUCUUAUUUAUUGGCUUGGAUUGAGGGAUUUGAAGAAAAAUUUGAAAUCUUCUCAAACACUUCUAAAUAUUUUGGAUUACUUAGGUUGUAUAUGAUUUUGGAAUUCACUACUCAUUGAAUGCAUUCAAGCACUAAAAUAAAUGGUGGAUUUUAAAACAAAAGGCCUCCGAAGUAAUUCAAAUGACCUAGAAGAAUUUGAGAGGAUAUCAAAUUUUCAUCAAAUCUCUCAAAUCCAUCAUAAAACAAAUUGUUGCAACACAAAAGGGCAUUAUGGUACAAAAUUCUAUUCUCUCUCUUGAAAUUGUUUAUCCUUUAUUGAUUUGGGUUGACAUGGCGUACAAAAAUGCCAGAUAAUGGAUGCAUGUGAAACUUUCAAAAGUUUAGGGGAGGUAAGCGAACUUCUUAUUGUCCCACUCCGGUUAGGGGAACCUAGCUACCACAAAGAGCAGUCAAUAAUUAAUCCUAGGUACUGGAGCAGGGACUCUAGUAGUGCAAUGGGUUACUUGAUUCACCCUGUUCCCGAAGAGUUUGUUUAAUCCGAUAUACCAGAAUUAAUUAAUUGACAAAAAUUACUAAAUAGUAGACAGUGGCAAGUAGGGUCGUCUCCUCAGGGACUGGAGAUAUUUGUCUCUUUUUAAAGUCCAAUUGAUAAGGGGAGAUUUUACCGGAAUGAAACUAAAAAUAAUCAGACAAUUUAAUUAAAAAUGAAUAAAUCACUAGCACAAAUAUAGCAGGAAUUUAAUCAGGAAUAAAUAAAUUCUAGCCAAAGAUACAACUACUCAAGCACAGUCCAUUUAUCUGAUCAUUGAUGCAGCAGAGGUUCACUUAAUUUAUUAAUAGGCUAGUUAUAGUCCGACGACCAAUUUUUCCUUAAAUUAUUGAUAACCAAGGUACGACCGUUGAUUACCCCUAAUCAGCAAAUACUCCUAGGUACGACCAUAGGAAUUAAUUUUCCAAUUGCAUUAAUAACUAGAAAAACCUAGCCCUAAUCAAUAACACGCUACGAGGGUUAUUUAAAUUAGAUCGCACGUUCCCCUAAUGUGUAAACACACCAGUUGCCACUAAUAUUAAUCAAUCAAACAAUUACGGAUUUAAUUGACUAAAUUGGCACGAGAUUAAUAUAUCACAUUGAACAUCGGGCCCUGGACAUCCAAUUAAUAAAAUAAUCCCAUGAAAAUAAAAUCAGACAACAUGCAAAUAUUAAUAGAUAAAGGAACACGUGAAAACUAAUUAGAUCUCACAGAUUUUCGGGACUGCGCCGUCGAGUUGACCCUUGACUAGAUGGAAGACUUAGCCACGCCGCAUAAUUAAAUCACCACACGAGUUAAUAAAUUGCGAAGGCAUUGUUUUGUACUAAAAAGUAAGGAAUGAAGGAUGUUUUCCCCGUUGGGGAAUAUUGUCAAACACCUGGCGUGUGUCAGAGGCCAGUCCCAGGAAAAAGGAAGAAAAAAACUAAAAACUGAACUAAAGCAAGGAAACUAAAAGCUGGCCGUCCGUCUUCUGUACGUUAGCUCCCUAUUUAAAGCCAAAGGAAAGAUAUCCAGUGGUCCCCACCAAUUGGCCACAAGCUGCCCCAUUUCUUCUUAGUUUCCUUAGGCUUUGUAUGUUGCUUUUUCUUUAAGAACCAAAGGACCAAAGCCCUUUUCCUUUCCUCCGUGGUCCCCACCGAAGUCAAAGGCCCAAGCCUUCAAGUUCUCUCUGCCAAAGUCUCCGGUUGUAAUCCUCUUGGUCAACAAGAAUAAAGGGAUGGGAGUCCAGUUCUUUUCAGCACUGUGGCCCUGGCCUGUGACUCGCUUGAAGACUCAAUUUUCUCCAGGAAAUCCCUCAUGUUUGGUAGUUUUCCGUUCUAUCCCUGAAAUAAAGGCCACAAACCAAAUAUAAGUAGAUAUCUGCAAUUAACACAAUAUUUAUCAGGGAUGAAAGGGGAAAUUAAUAAUAAAAUUACUAACAAAUUAUACCCUAAAAUUCUGUGCUAUGCCGGCGACAUUGGCGUCAACGUUGACCUUCCGAGCCUGCAUAGUCUGAACCUGCUCCCGGAGUUGCUGCCAUUCAGUAGUCCCAUGCGGUGGAGGUGGCGCAGAAGAAGAUGGCCCAACUGUGUCCUCGGCUGAUCCAGGAAAGGAGGAGGGCCCUGCCCGGGACGAAUGAUGCGCACCCGGAGCUCUAGGUGGUCCAGGAGGAAUGAACUGGUAGGAACCAUCAGGCAGGCGCUCGAUGACUCCCAUCCUCUCCAAGCAGUCUACGUCCAAGAGCUCCAUCUCGCAUGCCAAAUGUAAGUCGUGGUCCUCCAGGUCAAGAACCCCCAACUGGAUCGCCAAGUGAGUGAUAUAGGACCCAAGGAUAAGGGGCUUGUUCUUUUUGGCCAAGACGGUCUUGAACUGUGCGGCCAACCAACACCCCAAGUUAACCUUGAUAUUGUUCUUCAUACACCAGAGGAAGAAGAACUCAGGACGAGAGAGUAUGCCAGAGCUGUCCUUGCGCCCCGAGUAGCUAUAGGCUAAGAACCGCUGAACAUAGCGGGCACUAGGGUCCUUAAGAAAGGAGCUCCUAGACCGGGAAGGAUCGUAGCGCUGCUGAUCGACGGACAUGUCCUCCCAUACAUCAUGGUAGUGGGAGAGGAACGGCUCUAUGUAGUCACAGGCACUCUCUGCAUACGCCCUAAACCCAGCAUACUCUCUAGUGAUAAACCCAAAUGCCCGAUUGAAUUGGGUAAUGGAGAAAUUGAACUCUCGACCCAUGAGCCGGAAAUGAAUGACCUGUGGUGUGUCAACGGUGUAUCUCGUAGGUAACUCGAACUCAAAGGUGGAGUAAAACUCCCGAGUCAGCUCGACAAAGGCGGGGCAUAAGAUAUCGAGAUAUGAGCGCCACCCGAUGGCUGUAAACAUCUGCUCGACCUCCUCUCGUAUGCCUAGACUCAUGACGGUUAAUUUUUCCCAAGUCUUGCUUGGUGUAAUACGCCGCUCGCAGACCUUAGCAUAUCUCUGCUGAUCGGCGGGUCUAGUGAAGGUUAGGUGCCCCCCAAAGUGAGUAGGGGUAUCUACCUGAGCACCCCGACCCCUACCCAAACGGGUUCGCACAUUAGAAGAAGAGGGGAGGUUGGUAGGUGAGUUGACAGGAAUAGAUGCUUGUGGAGGGGGUUGAGACUGAGAGGCCCUAGACCUAGAGGAUGAUUUCGGCCUCACCAUGAUUUGGAGUAAUCAGCUUAACCAACAAAAGUCCCAACAAAUAUGACAACUCGCCAAUGCCAACAAGAAAUAAAGGAAUGCCAACAAACCAAAGGCCCAGCAAUUGCAACCCAGCAAUAUCAGUUCAGAAACUACGCCAAGCAACACAAUCACAAGUCCUCGGCAGUUGAAUAAUUAUCCAACCAACCAGAGUGAACAAGUUCCUGAUAAAACACUGCAAUAAUAGCACCUACAGACGCAACAAAUGGCUCCAGGUGGCCAGGUAACGCACACUUGCAAGACCAGCAAAUGCAACGACGACAACUGAGAACUUUGGCAAGAAUAAAACAGCCAACCAACUAGCAGUAACAAAUUUAAUUAGAAAUAUGUUCACCAGUAAGAACUGCAUGUGGAAAUGCCCCCUUGUUCGCUCCCCUUUUUUUUUCAAUGUCCAAUCUCUCAGGUCCCAAUUAAUCAGCCAAUAGAGAGAACGAAUCUAUAGCAGCAAGAAGAAAAUGACGCCCAACAGGUAUACCACACAAGUGAAGAAGUGAACUCCAACAGCCGACAAAACCAAAUUUUUAAAACCCCAAACAAUUGAACUCAAAGCCAAUAAAAAACACAAUCAAUAAUUCCAAGAAUAUGGCCGACCCGUGAUCAAAAUCAAGACAAAUAGCACACCCAGCACCACUGGCUUAUCCCCAACUGGAGAAACAACCCCCACGGCCAACAAUUUCCACAGUUGACGAACCCAGAUAGUACCAAUUUAUUUGGAGAAAUUUGGGAGCAGGAUUCAAAUACCUCCACUGGUGCUGCGGAGUGGCGUCGGCUCGGCCUGGUGAAGCUCGCGGAAAGGCCGUUUGAAGUGGAGGUGCAGCGGCGGCGUGAGCAGGAGAGGCGGCCGUGGACUGGAGAUAUGGGUUGCGGCUGGCGUGCGUCCGUGGCUUUGGCAGGCAGCGGCGGCGCGAGCAGGAGAGGCGGCCGUGGACUGCCGCGAGCUUCGGGCAGCAGCGGCGGACGGCGCGCCUGUGGCUUCUGGCCGCUGCGGAGGUAGCGGCGUGGUAAGGCUGCCGCGCCUCUCUGAUGAGGCUCCAGCCGCGGAACAGAUCUGGUGGCUUUGCGCAGGGCAGCGGCGGCGGGUGGCGCGGUUUGAGCGCAGGCGACGGCGGGCGCAGCGCACGACGGCUGAGCAGCGUCUGCGGCAGGCCGGGCGCGCGCGCAAGAGGAGUGGAUGAGGGCGGCGCGUGGUGGAGUUGGAGAUGGCGGUGAGCACGGGCGGCGAGCAGAGCAAAACAGCGGGGAAGAAAGAAAGAAAGAAAAGAGAAAGAAGAAGAAAGAAAGAAAAGAAAAAGAAAGAAAAGAAAGAAAUUUUUUUUUCUUUUUCUUUGUAUUCAAAACCUUGUUUCUUCUUUUCUCCGAAUUUAUAUUUCGACAUUCUGAAAUUUUUUCUUUUUUUUUCUUUUUUUUUCAAUAAUCCGUUCUUCUUCUUUGAAUGAAAGGCAUAAUAAUAAUAAUAAUAAUAAAAGAAUUUUUUCAAAUCCUUACCUUUCCCGUGAACGUGACGCGGGCACGUCAAGAGGUCAAGAGAGCUCCCAGAAGUUUCAGAAUUUCCUGAUCGUGAGCGUCCUGCACAUCACCACGCGGGCACGUCAUGAGGGCAGGAGAGCUCCCAGAAGUUUCAGAAUUUCCUGAUCGUGAGCGUCCUGCACAUCACCACGCGGGCACGUCAUGACUGAAGGUCGCCUACAAACCAGCAAAAACGAAAACGAACACCUAAAAUCAGUCAAAUUUAAGGAAAACAGAUUCAAACAAUGACAGGAAACCAAUAAACAAUUAAAAUGAAUAAUUGGAUUGCCUCCCAAUGAGCGCCUUUCUUUAAUGUCUUCGGCUAGACAUCGUCCAAAAAUUUGCUUAAACUAAGCAAGUAGGGUCCUCCAAGUGCAUCACCUCCACCCGUUCAGUUGGAACCCCUUCAUAAUACGGCUUGAGACGAUGACCAUUCACUACAAAUUUCUUCUCAGCUUUCAAACUUUGGAUCUCGACUGCACCAUAAUGGAAGACAUUAGUCACAACAAAAGGGCCAAUCCAACGAGAACGUAAUUUACUUGGAAAUAACUGCAAUUUGGAGUGGUAUAGCAGAACUUUUUGCCCACACUCGAAUGUCUUCCUUGAGAUCUGUUGGUCAUGAAAAAUUUUAUUUUUCUCCUUAUAAAUUACCGCAUUCUCAUAAGCUUCAUUGCGUAUCUCCUCCAACUCCUGUAAUUGUAACUUCCUUUGGAUUCCGCCCUCCUCAAUAUCCAUAUUGCAUUGCUUAACCGCCCAAAAUGCUUUAUGCUCGAACUCUACUGGAAGAUGACACGGCUUACCAAAUACCAACCUAUAGGGAGACAUCCCUAUAGGUGUCUUGUAUGCCGUCCGAUAGGCCCAGAGUGCAUCUUCCAACCGUUGACUCCAAUCUUUUCUAUCGGGGCGCACCAUUUUCUCCAAGAUGGACUUUAUCUCCCGAUUCGACACCUCCGCUUGACCAUUGGUCUGAGGGUGGUAUGACGUUGAGACCCUGUGGAGUACACCAUACUUGCGGAACAACGCAGCUAUGGUUUUGUUGCAAAAGUGCGUUCCCCUAUCACUGACAAUAGCUCUAGGCAUUCCAAAUCGCACAAAAAUAUUAGACCUGAUAAAAUCUGUAACUACUUUCGAGUCAUUAGUUCGAGUGGCCUUAGCCUCCACCCAUUUAGACACAUAAUCAACUGCCAGCAAAAUAUAUAAAAAACCAAAUGAAGUAGGAAAAGGCCCCAUAAAAUCUAUACCUCAGACAUCAAAAAUUUCAACAAAAAUCAACGGGACUUGGGGCAUUUGAUCUCUACGGGCUAUAUUACCUACCCUUUGACAGCGAUCACAUGACUUGCAAAACACAUAGGCAUCCUUAAACAAUGAAGGCCAAUAAAAUCCACUUUCUAAAACCUUAUGAGCCGUUCUCUUGGGUCCAAAAUGGCCUCCACAGGCAAAAGUAUGACAAAAAGCUAAAAUUGAUUGAAAUUCCACUUCACUUACACAUCUCCGCAUCACUUGAUCUGCACACCUCUUCCACAGGUACGGGUCAUCCCAGAUAAAAUACUUGGCAUCGCUCUUCAAUUUAUCCCUCUUCGAUUUCGGCCAACCUGCAGGAAAAUUACCAGUUACCAAAUAAUUGACCAAAUCAGCAUACCAAGGCAACUGAGAAUUUAAGGAAAAUAAAUGCUCUUCAGGGAAUGCAUCCUUCAAUGGCUCGCUAUCCUCUUCAACUAGUAUGCGACUCAAAUGGUCCGCUACUAGAUUUUCUGAGCUUUUUUUGUCCCUUAUCUCCAAGUCAAAUUCCUGUAGGAGCAGUAUCCACCGUAUGAGCCUCGGUUUUGCAUCUUUCUUGGUCAUCAGGUACCUCAAUGCUGCAUGAUCAGAAAAUACGAUCACUUUAGCACCUAACAAGUACGACCUAAAUUUUUCCAAAGCAAAAAUAACUGCAAGAAACUCAUUCUCAGUGGUGGAAUAAUUCAACUGGGCUCCAUUCAAGGCCCGAGAUGCGUAAUAGAUGACAUGAGCCGCCUUUCCUACUCUUUGCCCCAGUACAGCCCCAACAGCAUGAUCACUGGCAUCGCACAUGAUCUCAAAUGGCAAGUUCCAAUCGGGGGGUUGGAUGAUUGGGGGUGAAGUCAACAAUUCCUUCAGCUUGUUAAAGGCUCUCUCACACUUAUCAUCAAACUCGAAGGCUAUAUCUUUUUGUAGGAGUUGGAACAACGGGGCUCCAAUUUUUGAGAAAUUCCUGAUGAACCUUCGAUAAAAACCUGCAUGUCCAAGAAAAGAGCGCACCUCCCGCACACUCGCGGGGUAAGGUAAUGCAGAAAUAAUGUCUAUUUUAGCCUUGUCAACUUCUAUGCCCUUAGACGAUACAAUAUGACCCAGGACUAUCCCGUACUCAACCAUAAAAUGACAUUUUUCCCAAUUAAGCACAAGAUUAGUCUCUAUACACCUUAUCAGGAUUAAUUUCAGGUUAUCUAGACACGUAUCAAAACUAUCACCAUACACACUGAAAUCAUCCAUGAAAACUUCUAUUAUUUUCUCAACAUACUCAGAAAAGAUGCUCACCAUACAUCUUUGGAAAGUCGCAGGUGCAUUGCACAACCCAAAUGGCAUUCGUCUGUAGGCAAAGGUCCCGAACGGGCACGUGAAGGUUGUCUUCUCUUGAUCCUCCGGGGCAAUUGCUAUCUGAAAGUAUCCUGAAAAUCCAUCCAAAAAAUAAUAAUAAGCCCUACAAGCUAAACGUUCAACCAUUUGGUCAAUGAAAGGGAGAGGGAAAUGGUCCUUUUUGGUGACGGCGUUUAGCCUACGGUAGUCUAUACAUUGCCUCCAUCCAGUGGGCUUACGCACUGGCACAAGUUCACCCGUUUGGUUGGCCUCUACCGUCACUCCUACCUUCUUUGGGACUACCUGGACCGGACUCACCCAAGGGCUAUCAGAUAUUGCAAAGAUGAUCCCUACAUCUAACAAUUUUAAAAUCUCUUUCUUUACAACUUCCAUCAUGAGGGGAUUGAGCCUCCUUUGAGCCUGCCGUACAGGUUUGGCAUCCUCUUCUAGUCUAAUCCGAUGCAUACAGACGGCCGGGCUGAUUCCCUUAAUGUCUGCAAUUGUCCAACCUAUCGCCUCUUUAUGCUCUCUAAGGACCCGGAUCAAUUUCUCCUCCUGGAUUUUUGACAGUGCCGAUGAGAUAAUCACCGGGAGUGUCUCAUUAUCACCUAGAUAUGCAUAUUUCAGGUGCUCUGGUAGAGGUUUCAACUCCAGUACAGGUGCCUGCACCACAGAUGGCAAUACCCUCUGGUGAGGCUCGGGAGUAAAAAUAGGUAAGACUUCAUACCUUUUCGUGGUGGUCUGCAACGAGUGUAAUGCCCCUAUUGUGCAUUUUAAAUGCUCACUCCACUCCACCUGAGGAGUUGUCUCCAACUCGAGGUGCUUGGUUAAAGCCACCUCCAGCUCAUCCCUGCCAUCAGUUUCAAACACUUCCUGCACUACAGGAUCAAUAGCACUCACAGAGAAAAUUGAGCUAAAGUUGGAGUUUGAGGGAUAUUUCAUAGUAUCAAAGAUAUUGAAAUGCACAAUUUCCCCAUCAAACUCCAUGGACAGAAUACCCUUACUAACAUCAAUUUUCGUCUGUGCUGUGCUCAUAAAAGGUCUACCCAAUAACAGAGGUGAGGGAUCAGGGGAGUGAUCAUCAUCCAUAUCAAGUACAUAAAAAUCAGCUGGAAACACCAAAUCAUUAACUUUUACCAACACAUCUUCAACCAACCCAUCAGGAUAUACAUUAGUUCGGUCAGCUAAUUGAAUGAUUAUUCCAGUUUCUUUUAAUGGACCUAAUUUUAGAGAAGCAUAGAUAGAUUUAGGCAUGACAUUUAUUGAUGCUCCCAGAUCCAACAUGGCCCUUCUGAUCACAGUAUUACCUAUCUUACAGGGAAUAGUAAACAUACCUGGGUCCCCGCACUUUGGUGGGAGCUUCCUCUGCAGGACCGCAGACACAUUUUCCCCAACUAUGACCCGUUCAUCUCCCCUCAAUCGCCUUCGGUUGACACACAAGUCCCUUAGGAACUUGGCAUAUUUUGGUACUUGUUUGAUGGCGUCUAAGAGGGGGAUAUUUAUCUCAACCUUGCGAAAAACCUCCAAAAUCUCCUUCUCCUUCUCCUUAUCCUGUUUCUUUGAUUUUUCCAACCUGCUAGGAAAAGGAGGCGGGUUAGUUUUAACUGUAAUUAUUGGGUCAGGAAGUACCUUUUGAUCUGCACCAUUGCUGUCCUCCCUUUCGAGCUCAUUUUCGAUCUUCUCUUCAUCCUUAUCCUUGGGAAUCACAGGUUCAGGCCCCUGAAUUUCUUUCCCACUCCUUAGGGUCAUUGCGCUCACGUUCUUCGGAUUCAACUCCGGUUGAGAUGGCAGCUUCCCUUGGUUCUGGGACUCCAAACGGUUGAUUCUGGUGGGCAUUUGACCUAUCUGAUUCUUUAUGUCCUGCAUUUAGGAGUCCGUCUUUUGCUGAUUUUGCAUAAUAGCUGCCUCCGUCCUUUGCUGAUUUUGCGCCAUGGUUGUCAUCAUUUGUUUCAGCAUCUCCUCCGUAGAUGAACCAGAUUGAGGGGGCGGAGGUGGUCGGGGUUGGUAUUGCUGCUGGUACCCUGGUGGCUUAUUUGGCACAAAGUUAGACUGCCUGUUCGGCGUGAAGUUGGGUUGCCUAUUCCCACCAUAACUGAGGUUGGGAUGAUCUCUCCACCCGGGGUUGUAGGUGCUUGAGUCAGGGUCGUACUGCUUCCUUGGCGCGGGCGCGUGGUCAGCCAUGUUCACCUGUUCUGCAGUUUCUUCCUGAAUCAUUGGGCACAUGUCUGCAGAGUGACCUAUACCAGUGCAAAUCCCGCAUACCCUGGCUUGUGAUGCAUUUCUCACAGCCUGUUGCCUAACAAACGCAGUCAACUCAUUUAACUGCUGCUGUAUAAAGGGUGUCUCUACCUCAUUCACCCUACGUAUUGGGACAUCCUCUCUUGUACUGAAUUGCUGUGAAUUCUCUGCCAUCCCUUCUAUUAACUCCCGUGCUUCCUGAGGGGUUUUGUUCACCAGUGCCCCUCCACUUGCAGCAUCAAUGAUGCUCCUGUCUCUAAAAUGAGCCCCUCAUAAAAAUAUUGUAUGAUCAACUGCUCACUUAUUUGGUGUUGGGGCCACCUGCGCAACAAGUUCUUAUAUCGUUCCCAAUACUCGUAAAGUGAUUCCCCUGGAUGCUGUUUGAUCCCACAAAUUUCCUACCUUAGACUUGCAGCCCUGGACGCAGGAAAAUAUUUAUCCAGAAAUUUUUUCUUCAAUUGGCCCCACGUGGUGAUGCUACCUGGUGACAGGUAGUACAGCCAGUCCUUCGCAGAAUCUUUCAAGGAGAAGGGGAAUGCCCUCAUUUUUAUCUGCUCUUCUGUGAUUCCCGGGGGUUUCAUACUAUUGCACACGACAUCAAACUCCUACAGAUGCUUAUACGGCUCUUCACCUGGUAAACCAUGAAAAGAAGGUAAAAGCUGAAUCAGACCAGAUUUUAGUUCAAAUGGAAUGUUGUCAUUUAAAGCGGGGAAAGUAAUGCACAAAGGCUGUUGAGUUAAAUCAGGAGCAGCCAACUCCCUUAUUGUUUGUGCAUUAGCCAUGGUGAACUCCUCCUGGUCAGAGUCACUCGAAGUGUUACCAAACGAAUCUGUUGGUUCAACUUCUGACUCGGGUUUUUGAGAUAUAGCACUACAGUGCUCUUCUCUGAGCUGUCUGGUUUCCUUUCUCGUUCUACGCGCGGUCUUCUCUACCUCAGGGUCAAAAACCAAAUCACCUGUGCGAGAAGAUCGAGGCAUACACUAGAAGAAAACCAGAAAAUUAGGACAAAAAUUGAAUCUAAAAAGAAACAAAUAAUAACGCCAGUCCCCGGCAACGGCGCCAAAAAUUGACAGGUCGUCAACCUGUGCAAUAAUAAUAAUAAAUAUAGAACCUAGCUACCACUAAGCAGUCAAUAAUUAAUCCCUAGGUGGGAGCAGGGACUGUGGGUUACUUUUUUCCCGAAGAGUUUGCUUAAUCCGAUAUACCAGAAUUAAAAAUAGUAGAAGUCUCCUCAGGGGGGAGAUAUUUUGUCUCUUUUGUUUGAUAAGGGGGGAUUUUACCGGAAUGAAACUAAAAAAAUCAGACAAUUUAAUUAAAAAUGAAUAAAUCACUAGCACAAAUAUAGCAGAAAUUUAAUUAGGAAUAAAUAAAUUCUAGCCAAGGAUACAACUACUCAAGCACAGUCCAUUUAUCUGAUCAUUGAUGCAGCAGAGGUUCACUUAAUUUAUUAAUAGGCUAGUUAUAGUCCGACGACCAAUUUUUCCUUAAAUUAUUGAUAACCAAGGUACGACCGUUCAUUACCCCUAAUCAGCAAAUACUCCUAGGUACGACCAUAGGAAUUAAUUUUCCAAUUGCAUUAAUAACUAGAAAAAUCUAGCCCUAAUCAAUAACACGCUACGAGGGUUAUUUAAAUUAGAUCGUACGUUCCCCUAACGUUUAAACACACCAGUUGCCACUAAUAUUAAUCAAUCAAACAAUUACGGAUUUAAUUGACUAAAUUGGCACGAGAUUAAUAUAUCACACUGAACAUCGGGCCCUGAACAUCCAAUUAAUAAAAUAAUCCCAUGAAAAUUAAAUCAGACAACAUGCAAAUAUUAAUAGAUAAAGGAACACGUGAAAACUAAUUAGAUCUCACAGAUUUUCGGGACUGCGCCGUCGAGUUGACCCUUGACUAGAUGGAAGACUUAGCCACGCCGCAUAAUUAAAUCACCACACGAGUUAAUAAAUUGCGAAGGCAUUGUUUUGUACUAAAAAGUAAGGAAUGAAGGAUGUUUUCCCCGUUGGGGAAUAUUGUCAAACACCUGGCGUGUGUCAGAGGCCAGUCCCAGGAAAAAGGAAGAAAAAAACUAAAAAUUGAACUAAAGCAAGGAAACUAAAAGCUGGCCGUCCGUCUUCUGUACGUUAGCUCCCUAUUUAAAGCCAAAGGAAAGAUAUCCAGUGGUCCCCACCAAUUGGCCGCAAGCUGCCCCAUUUCUUCUUAGUUUCCUUAGGCUUUGUACGUUGCUUUUUCUUUAAGAACCAAAGGACCAAAGCCCUUUUCCUUUCCUCGUGGUCCCCACCGAAGUCAAAGGCCCAAGCCUUCAAGUUCUCUCUGCCAAAGUCUCCGGUUGUAAUCCUCUUGGUCAACAAGAAUAAAGGGAUGGGAGUCCAGUUCUUUUCAGCACUGUGGCCCUGGCCUGUGACUCGCUUGAAGACUCAAUUUUCUCCAGGAAAUCCCUCAUGUUUGGUAGUUUUCCGUUCUAUCCCUGAAAUAAAGGCCACAAACAAAAUAUAAGUAGAUAUCUGCAAUUAACACAAUAUUUAUCAGGGAUGAAAGGGGAAAUUAAUAAUAAAAUAACUAACAAAUUAUACCCUAUCAAUUCCCCCCACACCUGAAUCAUGCUUGCCCUCAAGCAUGGGGAAAGUAUACAGACACCAAAAUUUGAUAAUGGUCAUUGCUCUAUCUACCAAAUUGCCAAGAUACCAAGAAAAAUAAUAAUCAAGCAUCAAUGGUCAAGAUCCAAGAAACAUCACUCCGGUUAGCUUCUAAACCACAAACUCCUCCAAUUUCAGGUUAACUAAUCUAAGAAAAAGGAAUGACGCAUAACAUUUAUCAGCAAAUGGUCCAACUAUUAACCAAAAUCUCAACAUUAAAUCCAUAAUUCGGCAAGCUGACUUUUAUUACACACUAACACAACCUUCACUUUUUUUUCACACAUUUUUUUUCUACUUUUCUCUCUUUCUUUUUUUUUCUUUUUUUUUUUUGAAUCUUCUUUCUUCAAUAGUAACAAAAGACUUAGUCGCUGGCCAUUUGAGCCUUUUGACGCGAACUCCAACAUUGGCCAGAUGAAGGAGCCCGGUUACUCAGCUUCUAUCGUCACGUGACCACGUACUCAUAGCAAUUACUACUUUUUGACGCGAGAAUCGACACUUUUAGGUGCAGAUCCCCGGUUACUCAGUAGUAACUAAUAGCGGAGUACAUUCAAGUUUAUUUAUAGUUAAAAAUCACAAAAACUCAAUAUAACACAAUAACCAAAAAGAAAACUAGUAUCAGCUAGCCUCAUUUUCAAACAUGGAGAACUAAAGUUAAUAACCGGACCAAUUCACAUGAAAAUGCCAAUAAUCAUUGCCUAUGCCUAGAAAUGUUAACCAAAAAUUAUAAGAGUAAAACAAUCAUCGAUAUUCACCAAAGAGAUAUUUUUGGAUUCAACCACAUUAACUUGAUAUCCUUUUAUUAUUAAAAUUGGCAAUAGUAGAAAUAGAGGCAAUUAUCCAACAUCAAACCUUGGCAUGCACUUACGAGCUAAUCACUAAAAAGAAGAAAAAAAAAUGAACGAAAACACCAAAAACCAUAACUGCUCCCCCCACACCUAAAUCCUACAUUGUCCUCAAUGGAGGUAAUAAAGUAAUGAAAGCGAAGAGAACAAUGAAAUUUCCCUGUUGAACAGCUAAGGGAUAGGAGGGAACAAUGGAGGGGAGCCGAGUUCUGAGACAUCCUUGCCACUUGACGGGUGAUGUUCGUCAUUCGCUCUUCUACGUUGUGAACCUGUGCUUGUAAGUGGCGCCACUCACCAUUGUCGCCAAUUAUCACCCCAAACAACAAAAGACAGAAUAUCCAACAAAGAUAGCAACCAACAAAUGCAAAUCCAUAGUCACUGGUGUUCCCCAACUCAAUAGUCAAAUGCAAAAGCAAACAUGGGCGCCCAAGCCCAAAUAUGGUCAACAAAGCAACAGUUUCACUCCAAAACCAACAAUCAGAAACUAUUAUCAACAACUGGAAACUAGCAAAGAUACGUCAAUAAGCACAGGGACUACCCAAUUCAGUCAGGCGGCUGGUGGAUGGCGGCUAGUCAGCAGCUGCCGCAGGCUGGAGAUGGCGAUGGAGCUGCUGGAGUGGAGGCGAGCUGGCGGUGCGCUGGUCUCGGUCGAAGAAGAAAAGAAAAGAAGAAGAAGAAGGAAGCGGGGAAGAAGAGGAAGAAAAGGGAAAGAAAGGAAAGAAAGAAAAGAAAAAGAAAGAAAGAAAAAACAAAGAAAGAAAGAAAGAAAAAGAAAAAGAAGAAAAAGAAAAGAGAAAAGGGGAAUUGUUUUUUUUUUUUUUUUGUAAAAACUUACGCUAAUGUAAAUCGUCCCAAUUGGAAAUUGCUGAAUUUUUUUUUUGUAAUAAUAAAAUUUUUAAAAUUUUUUUUUAGAGGGACUCCUGUCUUAGGCGUGGGCACGCUCAACUGCUAUAGAGUCCGCAGAUCCUGAACGAGAAUUUCUUUCCCUCAGGCGUGACCACCUGGUGUGGGCACGUCUAAUUGCUAUAGAGUCCGCAGAUCCUGAACGAGAAUUUCUUUCCCUCAGGCGUGACCACCUGGCGAGGGCACGUCUAACUGUCAGCUUCCUACCACAAAAGCAACAAAUCACUAAAUGCAACUAACACUUAACAAAAAUUCCAAAAAGCAUAAGAAAACUAAAAUAAAGAGCCUUGGGUUGCCUCCCAAGCAGCGCCUUUCUUUAAUGUUUUUGGCUAGACAUUGCCAUAUUUAUUCAUGGAGGAUAAAAUCGUGUAACUCGCUUCAGUGCUUCAUCUUCUAUGUAAUCCUGAUAGCCCUCGUAAAUAGAGUAAUUCUUGAGCACACGAGUUACGGUCUUCCAUGGGCUAGUAGAUGGCACCAAACAAACAAGUGAUGAUCUUAAAUCUUCACUCACUCCUCCAUCAAGAGCACUUAUUGGUUCGAGAUAUUUUGCCAUCAUAACUCUUAAUUUAUUCCUGGCAUGAAAUUCAAAAUCGUCUGGUAUAAUAAAAUCAAUCUCACUAACAGGAAUUAAAGAAUAAGAGUCAGGAAAAUAUUGAUCAAGGAAUGGAGAAGAUGUCACCGCAUUUGGAGAUUGUUCACUGGAUUCAUUCACUUGAACCAUUUGAUGUUGGGGUCUCAAUUCUUGCUCUUCAACUUUCUUUUCAACUACAUCUUUAGAUUCUUCUUCUUGAAACUCUUGCAGUACCAUGUUAUUUGUCAGAAUAAUUGCACUCUCAUCUUCCUCAUGGUCAAUAAUAGUCGGUGAAGGCAAUUCUUCAUAAACUGGAGAAAUCAAUUUGCUCAUUUUAGAUGCCCAUUCACGCCUUCCUUCUUUCAUCUCUUCACUCAUCUUUUGUGUCUCCUGCUGAAGUUGAUGUACCUCCUGUUGAAUUUGAUAUGUGUUAAUAGCUAUUAAUUCAACUAUUUCUUCAAGAGACAUACCUGACAUGGAUGACGGUUCUUGAGACUCAUAUUGCUGAAAAUUCAUUGGCUGCUGAAAAUUCAUUGGCCCUGUCGUAUAAUUAUAACUGGAGUUAUCCCACCAUCCUUGAUCAUACCCGUUUGGAUUAGGGUUAUGCCACGUUUGAGACCAUGGUGAAAAAUCUCCAUAAUUAUCGAGUAGGACACUCAGAUUAUCUCGAUAUUCGGGGCACAUACCGGUCGAAUGAUCCCUGGCAUAACAAAUUUUACAAGUUGCAGCAGCCAUUCUUUCUCUAAUAGAGUUUAGUGCCUCUAAAUAUGCAAAUUUAGCAAAACAACUAGUCUCAUCGCCUUCCCCGGAAACAAAAUCCAUUAUAUCACCAAAAUACGGAGUGUUAGAAGCCAUAAGUUAUAUAAAAAAAGAAAAUAAGAGAAAAAUAAAUUAAAAAUGAAAACAAGGUGAACUCAAAAAGAAACAAAUUAAUCUGACACCAGUCCCCGGCAACGGCGCCAAAAGUUGACAGGUGCCGAGCCUGUGCAAUAAUAAAUACCUACUCGAGAAAAAUACAGAUUUUGUAUAUAGCGGUGAGCAGGGUCGAAUCCACAGGGACUGGGGAUAAUUCGUUUCUUCUAGAGUCCAAGGUAUGGGGGGUUUUGGAUUAAAUGCUAACUAAAUAAAUUAACUGCAGAAAAUAAUUGAUUAAGAGAAAUAAUUAAGGGAAAACUCUAGCCAAGGGUACACUUCAGAAAUGGUUCAGGCACUGAACAUUGAUUCACAGAUAAUUCCACAUUUAUUAAUAGACCAGUUAUAGUUGUCAUGCACGCGAUAAACAGCCAACCUUUCCUUAAUUUCUCGAUAGUUAAGGUACGACCGUUAACUAUUUCUCUAACCCAAAAACAACCUUAGGUACGACCGUAGGAUUUAAUUUCUAGAUUGCAUUAAUAAUUAGAAAGACCCAAUCUUAACUAACAAACACGCUACGAGGGUUUGUUUAAAUUAGAUCGUAUGCUCCCCUGACAUAAACCCAAUUACGCCAGUUGCUACUGAGAUAAAGAUAACGAACAAUUACGGAUUCAAUUAUCCCUAUUUAGCAAAAUAGCCUAUGUGAAUAAUUAAAUAUUGCGUAUCUAUUCAAUCACUCACACGAGCUAUAGCAAUUAAAAGUAGGAAACAUAUAAAUACCAAUAAAUUAAGGAAGCAAUUAAAAUAAAUUAGAUCUCACAGUAAUUGUUGAACCAAAUCUUCAGUUGUCCCCUUGACUUGAAUUAAGAGGUUAGUUCUCCAUUAAUGGAGAACAAACAUGCGAAAGAGCUAAGAAAAGAAAACUAAAACUAUGCUAAAAGUCUAAACUAAAACUAUUGAUUGAUAAACCUCUCGUACGUUUCUCCAUUUUUAAAGCCAAAAGGAAGUCUAAUGCUAUCUCUAGUGGUCCCCACACCAAAUUCAAAGUCUUGUACGUUUCUUUUCCUAGAGUCCAAAUGACUCAUGCUUCUUAUCCGUGGUCCCCGCAUAUGUGGACAAAACCUCCAAAGUACUUGUUGUUCCAAGUCUCUCUACGUUGCUUUCUUUGAAAAGCCCAAAUGACUAAAUGCCUUGCACUAGCUUGUGGUCCCCACCAAUUCAAGGACCUAAAGGUUGAAGCCCUUAGAAGUCUGCAUUUUUCCAUACAAAUCCCUCUUUUUUGGUAAUUUUCUGCUUCACUCCUGAAAUUGAUUCCAAAUACCAAAUAUGAGUAAAUAUCAGCAAUUAACACAAUAUUUGUCAGGAAUAGAAGGGGAAAACAAUAAUAAAUUUACUAACAAAUUAUACCCUAUCAAUGUGAGACUUUCAAAAGUUUAGGGGAGGUAAGCGAACUUCUUAUUGUCCCCAGUGUUAUUGAAGUUAUUCAAAUUUGGAAGCAGGCAGGACUUUAAGAUUCAAAUAAUGAAGUGUCCAAAGUAAAAAGUCUACAUUUAAAGUGUCAUAUUACAAAAUGAGACAUGAUGGUGCAACAUUAAUUUCGUACUAAUGCUGAAUUUCUAAUGCAUAUCAAAUGUAAUUCCAAUUUCCAAACCUUUCUUUCUUGAUGGAACUGCUAGCCAUUUUUUAUAUCUUUGUUUUUUUUGAGGUAAUAGUUAACAGCCAAAAAGGGCACAAAAAUAUCAAAAAGGGCCUUGGGAGGAGGGGGAACAUAAAACGUGAAAUCCUUGGAAAACCACAGGUUUAGCAUCUUUACGGUAUAUCGCUUUGCAAUCACAGCUUUCCUCCUCUUAAAGCACUUUGAUCUUCACCCUGUUCUCAAGGUUUUCAAAUCCGGAUCAGAUCGAUCGGUUCAAUCGAUCGAAUCGCGAAUCGAUCAUGUGUUCGAUCCGGUUCAUAGCUUGUGUUGAUUUGAUUAAAAAAUCGGUCAAAUUCUAAAAAAAUCGUUCAAAUCGUUAAAUUUGGAUCGAACCGUGAACGGCAUUUUUUUUUCCGGAAAAAUUUGACUGAAUUUUGAGUCUUUGACCGAAAAGGACUAAACGCCUAAACCGAACGUCAUCUAAUUUCUAAACCUAAUCAGCUAAUCUUCAGUCUACUCUUCACAGUUCAGUGAGUUCACUCCACUACUCCAGUAUUUGGCUCUUCGCCUCCUCGCCGUCUUCAGUCUUCCUGCUUGGCUGCUGCCGCUGCUUUUGCCGACUGCUCGGCUUCCUGCUUUUGCCGACUCCUUGGCUUCUCAGUCAACUACUCCAGUCUUUGGCGUCUUCGGUCUUCCUGCUUGGCUGCUCUUGCGGACUUGCCGAUUUGCCGUCGGUGCUCAGCACGAAGUUUUAUCUUAACAAGUAAACUUGAUCCCUUCGGCCCUCUGUUUAUAUGUAUCAUCAAUUUCUUUUUCGGCCCUCUGUAUAUCUGUCUCAUCAAUUUCUUUUUUUUUUUAAUUUUGUUAGUAUAUUUCUGAUCUUGCUGUACUUAUUUUUUUGGGUUUUUUGAAAUUUUUAAAUACUACCCAAAAAAUAAGUUGCCAGAUUAUCUUGACGGGAAAAUGUUGGAAUUUAUGGAGGAAAAUAGCGGUGGAAUUUUUAUUAGUUGGGUAGUUUUGUUCUCUGUUUCAGUUUACUAGAAUAAUCUCGAGACUAGCUAUUCAGUUUUGUUCUUUGUUCUCUGUUUCAGUACACAGGUUAUGUCAUUGGAUGAUUGCACGCAUGAUUACUUAUUUGUUGACCAUGAUCAGGGUUUAUCUUGCAUGAUCAUGAGGAUGUGACAAAUUUUAUUCAAAUAAGAAGUCGAUCUUGAUGGGGGCCUAGUAAGGUUGCUGAUUUACUGAUCUUGUUGAGCUAAGUUAAUCAUCUAAAGCAAAUGAUUAGGUACAGAACAUUCUAAAAAAUAAGACUUGAUACCACCAAAGAUUAAUCUAGCCAUAAAUUACUUAGGCACUAUAGCGUGGAUAUGAUUAAUGUGCAUGAACCACAUUUAAUUGGCUGCCAUCUACUGCUGAUAAUAUGCUAAGACCUGGGAAUUUCCUUCGUAUACAUAUGUCUGUACGAGAGAAAUCAGUGGGAUAUCUUACAUAUUGUGAUGUAAUGGUGGAAUCUUAAACUCCAAACUUUGUAUAAUUUCCCUGAAAUUACCGCUCAACUUUCCCCCCACCUCCUUCCUCUAUCUCCACGACUAUCAAGGUGCUGGAAAGCAACGUUUUGAGAUUCUUGAUUCAUGCAAGUUAUCUUUGUUCUUUUUCUGACUCUUAUAUUUUUUUUCCCUCGUUUAUCUGAUCUUUAAUAUUGCCUCAUGGCAGAUGUUUUAGUAGCACAAUCUAAGGGGACUUUUAAAAAAAUGGUGGAUUAUGUAAUAUACGCAAUGAAUUAAGGGGACUCUUAUCAACGAAUUAAGGAUGUGAAUUUGAGCUGAGUAACCUUUUAUAUAGUCUCGUUCAUUUUUUUUUUGAUAUGCAGAUGGUUAGUUGAUUUUGUAGUAUGUUUUACAAUUUUUAGUUUCCCUCUAGUGAUCAUGGACUGGUUUUUGCACUAUGAAUUGGUUUACGGUAUUAGUAUGAAUUUUAUACUUUUAUCACUUGCCAGUGAUUCAUAUAAUGGUCUUGGAUGGUGGUAACGACUUGUCAAGGUGGCUUUUUUUAAAGCUUUGUUGUCCUAGAAUGACGAAGAAGAUUAUAGAAGCCUCAGAAAUUGAACUUGUUUGGACCUUUUGAGUGUUUUUUAGACUUAUAUUUUUUUUGUUAAUUCUAAUAUUUAGACAAUUGGACAUGUAAGUUGGAUAACUACAAUAUUGCUGUUAUGUUAAUUAUGAUAUAACAUUUAUAUUUUAUUCUGUGCACAGGUAUGUAUGUAUGUAUGAGUGUGUGUGUGUAUAUAUAUAUAUAUAGUUAUUUAUUUAUUUAUUUAUUGAACCACAGUUGAACCGGUCCGAUCGGUUGAACCUCGACCCUUUCACUUCACCGGUUCAAUUAACGGUCCGAGUUUUAAAACAUUUGCCUGUUCUCAGGGAUUUCCGAUACUAAUUCCAUUGAUGGCUUAAAAAAUCAUUCUAUAGAAUAUACAUCAAUAACGCUGUUAAAUAAGUGUUUGUAAUUAUCAUGCGUUAAAGUAAUACUUGUCAUAUAUCAUCUCAAUUCUGAAAUCUUCUCCAAUACUUGUCAUAUAUAAAACACUUGUUAUGCAGUAAAUACCAUGUAGAGACAGACUUAGGAAAAGAAUUUAAAAGCAUCAUACCGGUCCAAGUAAGUUGCACAAACGUCAAAUGUCAAACACAACAGUUUUAUAUGUUGCAUGAAGGUUGUUAUAUUGAGUCCCUGUUUCAUUUGAAAGAGACACCUUGAAAUAGCUGCCGAAAGAAACAAUCUGAAAACCUGUCAAAAUAUUUUUAUGUUCAUCUUUCUUGUUUCGCAGUAAGUACAAACAGGGGCGGACAGAAGGGGGGGGCCAGGGGGGGCAACCGCCCCCCCUCCAAUUGUUAAAAAAAAAUUUCUAAGUAAAAAUUUUUUUAUUAUUAUGUUUUACCCCUCAAAAAUUGAUCAAAAAAUUCACUUUGUCCCCCCAAGGGCCCAAACAAUAAUGUUUGAAAGUUAUUUGGACUUGGUCCAAAUAAUAGAGAAUUGCCAUUUUUCUUAACGGACUUCAUACAAGUGCAAAGAAAAGAUAGCCAGUUAACCUGGCAAUUGACUCUGCUACAGUUCUUCUUCCUAGAAAGUAGAAACAUCAAAAUCUUCUCACCUUGUUCCGCAGAGAUUUAUUAAAUCUGCUCAAACGAUACAUCAUUAAUUACUGGAAUUGAUCCUUGUGAGCUCACAAAGUCAUGGCUUCUCAUAAUCUCAUCGAGUAGAGACCAUUAAAGGCUUGAAGAACUUUCUCCUGUGAAGACCUUCCCCCGCACAUGGCUAAGGAUUGUACCAUUGCAUUUUGCAUGGUCUAGGUAAUUUUUCUUUUAGCAUUUGCUGAACGUGUCUUUUUUUUUUUUUCAGGAAGUAAAGGGGUUGUUUCAUAUUAUUGUAUCAUCAGAGCAGGCUAAUAAAUUAGACAUUGGUUGCUUAAAUUGACCUGUAAGUUGCAAUGCCAGAUAAACUAACACUGAUCAUCAAUACCAUUUCAGACUAUUGUAGCUAUUACCAUUUACCAGGUUAGUUUGACAUUGCAUUUAUUUAGUGAAAUGUGGGUGUAAAAAGUUCGCCCGCCAGUUAUUUGAUGAAUUGCUCGAGGGGGACUUCUAUAGUUUUUCGUACUUGACCUUUUGAAUUUGGGUGAUAAGCAUUUAUUUUAGUUGAUUCUGAGACUGGUUUCCUUUUCCAAUUUUCAUACUAAUUUUCAUACUCAAUUAGAGCUUUUCCAGAUUCAGUUUUCCUGUAAUUCUCAGGUUCAAAAUUUGUCAUCACUUCAGGAGUUGUGCCAAGUGUUAGCAAAGACAAGAAAGUGAAUGUGCUAUACUCUUGUUGAUAGAUUGAUUCGUCUUAUUUUGACUCUUCCUGUUUCAACAGCUACAACAGAGCAUGCAUUUUCUGCUAUGAAAAUCAUCAAGACUUGUUUGCGUUCUAGGAUGGAGGAAGACUUUCUUGCCAACUCUAUGAUAAUGUAUAUUGAGAAAGAAAUUGCUAGAACUUUUGAUAUAAAUUCAAUCAUUGAUGACUUUGAUAAAAUUAAAAGUCGUCGUGCACAAUUUCAUAUGUCCCACACAAUCAAAUGGAUUUGUAAAUAUGAUGAUAUUUUUGUAUAUGUGAAGUGUAUAAGUAAUUUUCAUUUUCUAUAAGGUUGUUUCUAAUCUUGUGAUAUAUAUGUUCACAUUAUUUUUUUUGUAAAUAUAUUUACUUUCAUUGCUAUGGACUGCCCCCCCCCCCAAAGUUAAUUCCUAGCUCUGCCACUGAGUACAAACUUUUCAUUCUUCAACUUAGCAAUAUUUUUGGAAGUCCAACAAAAGUAAUUUUCCCUAAACAUUUUUCUUUGCUGUUUACUCUUUUCUUCUCCAGCUUUAGUGAAUAACUGUCCCAAGCUAAUGAAAAUUACAAAUGAAAGAAACUGCAUGUAUAGUUUUGUUAAGCAAUCCAACUUUCCGUCCUCUAGAGAGAUUAAUUACAAACAAAUUAAAAAUCUCAGGAAAAAGACACAAAAUUCUUGAUUGAGUGCUUAUUCUCUGUCCACGGACACUUGCAGCUGCUAGACAAACUAGGGGACGAAAGAGUGGUAGAUGCUCCAAGUUAACUAAAAAGAAACCCAUGAGGGCCAAAAGCAGGGUCUGUUUCUUAAUCUAAUUACUAUGAGCUUGGUGAUUCACCACACUCUUUUACAAAUUGAAAUUAAAAUCAUGAAAAGCUUAAUAAAUAUCACAUUGAAUAUAUAUAUGUUUUUCAUUCUGAAUAAUUCCUAUUAAUGUUCAAACAUCAACUGAUAUUUUCUGAUGAAAUAUUUUUAACUAACACGAAUUCUUAUGAAAACUAAAACAUUUAUUUAAUAAAAGUAAUUUAUCUAAUUUCAAUUAUUACAACUAAAUUUAUGUCAUUAUCUUUUACACACUACAAUGCUCUUCAAUAGAAACUUCAGAGCAACUUGUGAGUUAGAAACUUAUUUCAUCAUAUAACUGAGGACAUGAAUGUCUUUUAGACCUUUCAUACAUAUAAAUGCCAACUCAUAUGUUUGACCAUUUUGUUUGUGGGGGGUAAUUUGUGAGUUUUCAAAUUAUAGAUAUAAUCUGCUACUCACUUCUUAUUAUAGGGGCAACUUGUAAUUAAGCCAAAUAUUGCACUUAAAUGUUGUUAGAAUGGAUAGCCCUCAGAGCGAUAAUCUUCUUGCCAGAGCAAUUAAAUUUGUAUUUACUCUCAAAUAUUUAAUUUUUGUUAAAUACAAAAUCUACCAGUUUCUCUUCCGUAAAAAUAUUAAUUAAUGUAACACUUUUUCAAUUUUAGUACAAAUAUUUAUGUAUUUAACAUAAAUUAAAUGAUUCAAAAUAAAAUGCCCAUAAAGAGCCAAUACUUUACUCAUAUAAUGGAUGAAAGCCAUAAAGAAUUAAUACUUUAUGGGUCAUUUCUUUUUUUAGAAAUGUUUAAUUUAUAUUAAAUAGAUAACCUAGCGAUUUCUUUUUUGUAAAAAUAUUACUGUAACACUUUUUGAAUUUUACUUACAAACAUUGAUAUAUUUAUCAUAAAUUAAAUGUUUGAGAGUAAAAUGCCCAUAAAGAACCGAUACUUUAAAUAGGUAAUGCGUAUUUGCCCAUAAACUACACCCCUUAAAGUUUAUUAAUUGUUAAUUGAUUUGUAGUACUGUGUCAUUCAUUUGCUAAUACUACUUGACAUGUAGCACAAAGAGCAAAUCUAGUACAAGCUUCUCAUUUCACUCCCUAAAACAAUAUUUUAAUCGUUUGAACUGAAUUUGCAAAGAAUUAGUAAGGUUAGGGGAGGUCAGUGCAAUUUUUCAAAUCACAGGGGAGGUCAGUGCAAGUGUCAGAAUCCUCAAGAGAGGUUUCUGCAAUUUUCCCUACAUUAAAAUGAUUGAAUUGAUGGUUCAGAUGUUUGAACUGAUAAAGUCAAAACCAAUCAGUCAUUUUGUUCAUCACUAGUCUGCGUUUCAAAAUAUUUUUAACUGUUAAAGUUGUUCAAAAUGUGGAAUACAUUAAAAAAAAAAAUCCUCCCUGAAUUUCUGGUAAUAUCAUUUAGCGUCCCUAUAGUUCUAAAAGUAUCACUUACCUUCCCCCCGCAAGUGAAAUGCAACAAAAAUUCACGAAUACAAUAAUCUUGUUUCAUCUUCUCCACAAAACCGUCAAUGGACUUUUUCUCAAUUCCCUGUAGCAUUAAAUUAACUCCAGCAAGGACUAAAAAUAGCCUCCAUCUUGAGUUGUCAUCUGGAAAAUUGAUGAAAGAGUUUUUGGCAACUUCAACAUACAAUAAUAAAGCGAAAAUAAAUAUAACAUACAAGAAUCUUGUUGUUUGGCCAAUUGACGUAUGCCACAAGUGAAAGAGCGGCAAGUUGACCGUAAAGAAGAGAGUACAAAAUUAUAAGUUUUAAAGUACUAAAUACUAAAAAUACAAAAAAAAAGUUUAGAUAUAGCAAAAGGCCCAACAACCUAAAAGAGGUCCAAAUAAGCUUCUCUAGCUCUUUCGGUUGGGAGUUCUCAAAAAUCUGUCUCUUAAAUUGGGGCCUCCCGAAUCUCUCUUGAUAUACUAACGGUCCAAGCUUGCUAUUAGUCUCUUUUCACAAGAAAGUCCAACAAAGAGUUUGGCACGACCUUUUCUAACCUUUUCUAUCUUAUCAGGUCUUCCAUUUGCAACGAGUUCUCUUUAUUACACCCCAUGACCAAAUGGGUGAGAAUCCUAUGUUUGACAAAUUUUUAUCAGAAGUGGUCAUGAAGUUAGCAACACCAGGAUGAUCUAUACUUUUCUUUGUUCCUUUGAUAAAGUAACAUCCAUUGUCUUGGUGGUAAGCGUAGAUAUCCUACAUUUAUAUCAACAGGAAAAAUAUAAAACUAAAAAAAAAAAGAAUUUAACCAAACCGAUUGACUAAUAAUUUUUUAUAUAUACAUAUAAAUUGUUUGCUCUAUAUUUUCUUAGCUUUCUUGUGUUUAUUAAUACUAUUCUCAGUUAGAUGCUAGAUGCUUAUAUAACCAUUAAGCAUACUCAGAGAUGUGGCAAAAGAAAAACUUCUAUCACGGUUGAAACUCCUUUAGAUUUUCACUUAGAAUGAGCCAAAUUAAAUGAACAUCCCAACACAGCAAAUUUGGCAAUUGAAAUACAUAUUUACUUCAAUUUACUCAUAAAACAAGUGACCAAAUUGGUACACGCAUGGCCACCAACAAAGCAGCUGUCUUUUCUUUAUUUUUUUUCUUUGCAGAAUCGAAUUUUCUGUCUCCUUCUUUCCUAUCUCUUUUUCUUUUCUUAGUAUUAAUAAGUGUGAAAAAAUUUGAGAAAAUCCUUUUAUUUUAUAUUUUUGAUCUCUUAAAGUGAAUAAUCAUUCUAACUUUUUUAUUUUUAAUUAUAUUUGCAAAAGGAUAAAUAUAUUUAAAUUUUUUUGACCAUAUAAGUUAGAUUAAUGAUGAAGUAAAAUGCCUAAAAAAUAAUGUUAGAAAUUAAAUCAAUUAUAUCACUAUAAUUUACAGGUAUAAAGUAAUAAUAACAAUGUAGUAAUACUAUCUAAUAAAAAGGUAUUUUUGUCCAAAAUUUCUUAACAUGUUGAGUUAAAUUACUUAUGGGGGUGAAGUGACUAAAAGAUAACGUUAAGGGGUAAACUGAUAGUGAUGAUAUAGUUUAAGGGGGUAAAGUGAUAAUAACCUUAUAUAUAUAUAUAUAUAUAUAUAUGAUUGAAACUCAUGAAAAUUGUCAAUCUUCUUUUUUUUUUUUUGGGCCUUGACGAAGUCCAAUCUAGACUUUCUGUAACACUUCAUCGUUGGGGUUGUCCAUUGCAUGGUUAGUAAAUGCACAUAUUAUAUCCAUAAAAUAUACGUUCCUACGUAUCAUUCAAAAAAAAUCAUAUUUCAUGUAUUUUAAAAAUAUUCUAAAAAAUACUCGUACUUUUCAAUUAAUCGCAUAAUAGUAUGUAAUAAACUUUUAACACUUUAUACUUCACAAAUUAUAGUUCAAUUUUUUAAAAAACUUGAGUAAGGAUAAUGACAUACUUUUUGAGUUAUAUGCAAAAUAAGAGCGAUGUAUAUGAUAACAACUAUAGAUUUAUACAUAUUAAAUAACAAAGUGAUAAAAUUUUAAUAGAUUUAACGUCUCAUACAUGAAAAUAAGUCUAAAAUUGGAAUAAGCAUAGCAUAGCCUGCAAAAAAUAUAGUAAUUUUAUCCAUACUUUUAGUUCCAUAACUUUCAAAGACGUUCAUAGUAUUCAAGUACAAAUUUAUGUGCGUAACACGUAUUUUCAUGCAGAACUUUUAAUCGUAUUUUUAAAAAAUUUCAUAUAAUAUGCAUACAUAUAAUGUCUUAUAUUAUACCGAUAACGUAUUUUACAAACUAUGGCCCAACGUAGACUUUGGGGCUGAAGUCGUCGUUCUUUGAACCAAAGUCAUUCCGGUUAUUUUGGUUUUUUUUUUAAACUAAAGUCGUUCCAGUUAUUUUGGUUUUUAUUUUGGUUAUUUAGUUCUUCUACCUACAUAGUAAAAGCGCGAAUGGAAUUGUUAAGAAUGGUGGUUGUUGUGCUGAUGUGGCUGUGUUUUAUUGGUUGAAGGGUGGUCGUCAUUCACGUGGGAGUCGCGUGCUUUCGGUGGGAGAAUAAGUGUGUGAUUUUUUGUUGUUGUUGUCCGAGAAUGAGGACCUUUGGUUUUGAUUGAAUUUGUUUCCAACAAGCACCGUUUCUCUGGUCAGCAAAUGACCAGCUGAGUAAGCUAAUGACGGUUGGUGAUGGUUUGAUUGAUGACAAAUGUUGGGUGGCUCUAGGGGUGCAGAGAAUUCGAGUAGCUUGAAUCGAGAUCGCGAGUAGCUUGGUUAGCUACUCGAAUCGAGCUCGAGCAAAUUCGAGCUCGAGUUGAUUUCAAGCUACUUGCUACAGUAAAACGAGUCGAGUUCGAGUAAUUCAUGGCAAGAAAUUUUAGCUCGUUGAGUAGCUCGAGCUUGGUGGCCUAUUUGUAUAUUUUAUAUAUCAAUUUACUCUUUUAGGUUUGUUAGUUAGAAUAUUUACGGGCUUAACCAGUUAUGUUGUAAUAAUAAUGAAGGGUGAAUAAGUAAUUUUGGCUUGUAAACUAAAAACGAUGAAAUGCAUUGCAAACUCUGUCCUUCAUUCGCCUUCUUCGUUCCUCUUCAGUCUUCAGUUCACUCUUCAGAGUUCAGCCUUCACUCUCAAAUCCCAAUCUCAGUCUUUGGCUCAUCUUCUCAAAUCUCAACUGUCACAACCCAUAAGGCAGUCGAGACAGCAGAAGUUUUAAAAACUUCCGCAGUUGAAGAAGGCUUGAAGCUACUCUUUCUUCUUCCUUCUCCGUAGCAGUAGGUCGCACCGUAGCAGUAGCAGCGUGAGCAGCCCACCAAUUUCAACAGCUGCAUUUGACAAAUUGAGGUACUUAUUGUGCAUUUGUGUAGUAAAUAUGUGCAUUAUGUGGUUAAAUUUUAUAACUCUAAUAUUAAUUUUUAAUCUCCAAACCCUAACCAAAAAAAUUGGGGGCUGCAGCCUGUGAUUCAAUAUAUUCCAUUUGCGUAUCCCAUUCCCUCUCCAUUGCUAUACUGGACCUUUGAGGAAAUAAAGGACAGCUCGAUUCCUUCAACAAGUGAUUCGGUAGUUGGUGCGACAGCUUCAAGAAUUGGUAAGUUUCUUGACAUUGGCUCUAAACAUCGAAAGGAGGAAAAAAAAAUUGUAUUGGAACGAAUUUCUGGGGUUAUAACAUGUUCUUGAAUCUUGAUUAAGAAUUCCAUCACUAUUAACGUGGGCCAAUUCGAUUAGUAUUUGACAGUCCCUUUUUUAUUUUUAUUUGUGUAUGUGCAAACUCAAUCAUGUUUAUACUUGAACUGCGCCAUUUUCUCAUUUUAAACUCAUUUUUUGGUUUCAUUGAACGUAAGCAUCGUAUCCAGUUUCUGUAUUUUCCCUUUUCUUUUGCUGCUGCUGUUGCCAUAAUUCACUGAGUUCCUUGAAUCUCAUUUGAUUGAGAAGUACCUAAUUAGCAGUUAGUUCAUGUGAAAAACUUAAGAUAUAAUUUGCAGUACCACAAUUCUAUGAAGGCUUCUGCUCUCCUUGCCCAUUCCUCUAUGGGCUAAGAUAUAAUUCACUGAAUUUUCUAUGAACUUUAGCCCUGAUAUGAAUGUUUUUUGGGAGCUGUUUUCAACUUUUGGGUACUUGUGUCAUUUUCAAUUUCUUGUAAUGUCUGUUUGGUUUGAAUUUAAUGUUCCGUGUGAAAUAUUUGAAGUGGAACUCAUUUUAUCAUUAAAAUGUUUGUUUUUCUAUUAAAGGCAUGUCUAUUAGUCCUCCCGAGGUUUCUUCAAUACCACAUGUGUCUGGGGCUGAUUCAUCCACACCAGUCAUGAUUGACAGCCCAGUAUUUCAUCAUCGUGAUAGCUGUGAUCCCACACAGGAGGAUGGUGACACACAACAAGAGGGAACUGAAGACACCAAUAGGCAGCAAGGAGACGCAACUGAAGAUGAUGGUAAAUUCCGAGUACCUAAAAGGAAUAAAACAUCUGAGGCAUGGGAAGAUUUCGACGAUUUGGAAGAAAAUGGCAUAUAUUAUGCCAUUUAUAAACAUUGUGGCAAGAAACUAAAUCGGGGAAAAACUAAACAAACCAGCAGCAUGUGGAGGCAUCGAGAAAACUGUUCUGUUAGAAAAACCAAGCUUAGAAAGGCUGAGCAACAAACAAAGAUAAACUUUCAGCUGGCAGAUGAGCGUUUUUCAACUGUACCACCAUUGCACACGGGCAAAUUCGAUAUGGAAGCAAUGAGAGAGGCUGCUGCACAUUGGAUCUUGAUGCACGAGCAUCCUUUCACAAUUUUGGAGGAAGAGGGUUUCAACAUAAUGAUGAAACGCGGCUGAUCGGAGUGGCAGAAGAUCUCACGCAUGACAAUAAAAAAGGAUUGUACACAGGUGUACGAGAUAGAGAAAAAGAAGUUGAAGAACUUGCUGAGGCAUGUACAGAAAGUCAGCUUGACCACCGAUAUGUGGAAAUCAAAGAAUAAAAAAUUUGAAUACAUGGUGGUGACGGGGCAUUGGAUUGAUGGAAAUUGGAAGCUUCAGAAGAGGGUGUUAAAUUUUGUUCAUAUUCGACCACCACGUCGAGGAGUUGAGAUUUCAGAUGCAGUUUUCAAGUGUGCAAAGGAAUGGGGAAUUGAGGGAAAAAUUCACACUAUUUCCGUAGACAAUGCCUCAAACAAUGAUGUGGCCGUGAGAUUAUUGAAAGAUGAUUUUGGCAGAUGCAAGAAGCUAUUAGGUGGGGGAAAGCUAUUUCAUGUUCGUUGUUGUGCCCAUGUCUUGAACCUUAUGGUUCAAGAUGGCUUGAAGGAGAUAGUGGAUAUUUGUGAAAAUAUCCGAGAUAGUGUGGAUUUUGUGAACAAGUCUGACGGUAGGGCAUUACUAUUUACAGAAAUUGCUCAACACCUGCAAAUUCCUGGAAAAAAAUUGCUCAAUGAUUGUAGGACGAGAUGGAAUUCAACAUAUGAAAUGUUGAGUUGUGCUAUAAAAUAUAAGGAGGUUUUUCCUCGUUUUCAAGUUCGAGAGCCCUUUUAUGAGUCUUGUCCAUCUUCAGAGGAUUGGGAGAAGGUUGAGAAAGUUUGCAGGAUUUUAGAGAAAUUCUACACAGCCACACACAUAAUUUCGGGGAGUGAGUAUCCAACUGGCAACCUAUUCCUCCCUGAGGUUCUAAAGGUGAAGAAACUCUUGGAUGCACGAGUGGAUGAUGAAGAUGACUUUGUUCGGAGUAUGAUCACAAGAAUGACGCUCAAGUUUGACAAAUACUGGAAAGAGUGCAAUUUAUUGAUGUCCAUUGCAACUAUCUUGGAUCCAAGACAAAAUGCGAGCAAUAGAAUUCGCCUUCCCUAAGAUGUAUUCCACAUAUGAAGCUCAAGAAAAUAUCACCUAUGUUCGAAAAGCCAUCUUUGAGCUUUAUGACGAGUAUGUUGCUAUGGGUACAAGUGGAAGUGCAGGAACGGAUAGUUCAUUAAAUGCUACAUCUGAAAUAGUGUGUGCACCUCGAGCAAGUGCUGACUAUUGGGAUGAUUUGGAUGAGUGUUGUGGUGAACUUGAAUCUGAUGAACCCCACAAGAGCGAGUUGGUGGAUUACCUAGACAAGCCUCGCCAGCCUACUGGACAAAAUCCAAAGGAUUUCAACUGUUUAGAUUGGUGAAAAAUCAACCGGUCAGCAUACCCGAUACUCUCGCAGCUAGCAACUGAUGUAUUGGCCAUUCCUAUCACUACCGUCGCAUUUGAGGCCACAUUUAGUGCUGGAACUAGGGUGAUUGAUUCUUAUCGUGCUUCACUUGCUCUAGAGACAGUCCAAACAUUAAUGUGUGCGGGCGAUUGGUGUAGAAAUUUACACGGGGUCAAAAAGAAAUUAAAAGUAAGUUAUACCUAUAUAAAUUUGUUAUUGCAGAGAUAAAUUAGUAUUUAUUAGUUUGUUUGUUGAUUUUAAAGUAUUAUGUUUAUUUGCAUUUCUACCACCUAAAUGUAGCCACAGAAAGCUCUCAAAGAAUUUGAGCUGCCCAAUGUUUGAAGUUGCACAAGGAGCAAAUAAUUUGCUGGAAAUCAGGUCCAUCUUUUAUGUGAAUUUUGAGUUUCUUGUUCUUAAUUUGCUUUAAGUUGUGUUCAAAUUUUAGAUUUAAAUUGCAUAUAAAUUGGUUGAUUUGUCAUUUGUGUAUGGCUAGGUGUUGUAGACUGUACACCAAAGUUUGAAGAUGCAUAAGGAGCAAACAAGCUAUUGGAUUUACCAGACGUUAAUGGCUGUACUUUUGUUUUUCCAGACGUUAAUGGUUACAUUCUUGUUUUCCCUAAAUUUUUCCUUUCAAUUGGCUUCACUCUUGUUUCUAUUUUUGUAAAAUUCUGUUGAGAAGACCUAAAAACUAGCUAGUUAUUGGUUGGAAUCUGUUGAGAAGGCCUAAACACUAGUUAUCGCUGUAUCGCAUGCCUUUGUUUCUGGUUAUUGAUCAUGGCCAUGAGGUGCUUGUCCUUCAAAGUUCAAAGAAGCAAUGGUAUGUUAAGAUGAAAUUGAAGUUUAGGCGUUUGAUUGAUUUCUUCAUCCACGGAAUGGUUUUCUUGCUUUCUGAUUCUUUGUCAGAUAUUAUGAUGUGGUAUUUCUCGUUGGAAAUUUGAUACAACUGAGGCAGGAUUUUAAGCUCCUGUCUUCGUGUUGGAGGGAUUUUCAUUGAUAAUUGAUUGUUCUUUCUUGAUUCUGUCUAUCGGUUUUGACUGAAUUUAGUUUUAAACUUUUAUUCUAAUGUGCAACUAGGUGGGUUGAAAUUCUCUUUUUCUAGAGAAGAUAUUACCUGUAUAAUUUUCAUGGAAUUUUGUUUAUUUAUGAGGGUGGUAUGCUUUCAGUUCAGACUCUAUCAUUCAUGUUUAUUGCACAAACCUUUGGGAGUUGCUUAUCUUUUGGUUUUUAUUGAAUGAAUAUACAUCUUCAGGUAUAUGAUUUUGUCCAUUCAGUGGCUUUCAGUUUUUAUUUUUGGAAAUCUGCAUAGAAGUACAUGUUUUCCAAUGCAUUCAAGAAUUUGCUUAUGUGACUGAGAGUCCUAUGUAAAGGUUUUAAUUGGUUCUUGGCUGAGGGACGGAAAUGUGUUGCCUUUCCCAAAUAUUGUUCAAUAAGACAUAGUUAUCCCAAUGGCCAUUUCUGUGAUGCUUGACUGCAUGAAUUGCUUUUAUGUUGGCAUCUUAAUAUAAGUGGGCAAAUGCACCCAAAUUCAAGGUCCAAGACUUUAAUUGGCUACUAAGUUUUCUUUCUUUGCAUUGCAAUUAAUCUUGUUCAAUUGAUAUUAAUGUACUUUAAUUCGAUUGAGUGCAUGCUCUUGCAUGGACACAGGCAUGUCUGAGGUUCUUAAUCACACGUUUAGGACGUUUUGACUGAUUGCUAUGGCUGCUAGCUUUAGUUUUUGUUCUGAUUCUGAUAAGAGUUUGUUCUUGUUUUGCUUGUUGUUGUUGUUGCUUUGAUCAGAAACAACAACAAGCAUUUGUUGUUGCUGUUGUUGUUGCUUUAAUCAGAAACAAUAGCCAGCUACUGUUGCUGCUGCAAUACUUGUAAUGGUUUCUGAGCUCUUGAGUCUUGACUUAGAGGAAGCUGAUGUUGUUGUUGUUGCUGUUCUUGUUCUGAUUCUGCCCGAGAGUUUGUUCUUGUUCUGCUUGCUGUUGUUGUUGCUUUGAUCAGAAACAAUAGCAAGCAUUUGUUGUUGCUGUUGUUGUUGCUUUGAUCACAAAUUGCAUGCCUUUCAAUAAUUGCAUGCUGUUGCUACUGAUGAUAAUUGCAUGCCUUUCGAAGGACUGCUGGUGGGAUUCAGGAGGCCUAUUUUUGGACUUGCAUUGAGUUGUUUCUUUCAUGAAAGGGGGCGAACAAACAGGCUGACAAAUUACAGGAUCAUUGAGCUCGAGUACUCGAGCACAGUACUGUGCUCAAGCUCAAUCGGAUGCAUGUCAAGUUUGAGUACUCGACUUGAGCUCGAUAUGCAUUUGUGACGGCCCCACCUCUCCCUAGGUCACACCCCAGGGUUCGGCAGGUCGCCUGCCCAACUCUCGCUGGGACUCAGUCGUUCACUACAGUUCUCAAUUAAAAAUCGGAAUAAAUCACAGGAAUAAAUAGGGCAACGAUCCAAAACUUAAAGCGAAACUUAUAUACAUUUCUAUCUCAAAAGAAAGUACAAACAUCAAAUGUACAAAGGUUCUCACUUUACCAUACAACCAGCCCGUGCCAAGCACUAGGGCGAAAACCCUUACAAAAACAAAGAGCUAGACCAAACUAGUCUAUACCAAGCUCUCAUCCUGCUCGUCGUCCCCUGUUAAGGAAAACAAAACUAAAGGGGUGAGUUAAAAGCUCAGUAAGGUCCUGAACACAUAAUCAAACAAUCAAUUCAAUACAUUAAACAUGAAGUAUCAAUAAUUCAAGAAACAUUUACAAUGGAAAGCGAUAGUAACACAUUCAUUAAAAGGAUACGGGCUCACAUAGAGCUAUUCGUUCGUUCGUUCGUUCUCCUGAUAUUUUCCCUUAUUCCUCCAAUCGUUUGAAAAUGUAUUUUUGUAAAUAAAAUCCCUCGUUCGUUCUUUCGUUCGUUCAUUCACCCCCUUCCUGGACAAUAGUCAGGCUCCACCAACCUACAAGGUAAUACUCGAGUAUACCAAACGUUCACACCCAGGAUCACCAUAUCGCCCGACCGAGUCCGCUUCUGGCUCGAGUCGAUCGAUAACGAAGGGCAGGGCCCAGUUCAGCCAAAAGGCUUACAUCAUGCGCAACUAACGUUUCCAUCAUUAAAUCAUUGAAAAGUUCAUACGUAUUUAGGUCGAGUGCGAUAAAGCACACACUCGCCCAGAAAACUCGUUUUGAAAAUCAUUGAAAGCACUUAACACGUUAUCAAACAAUAACACAAGUCAUGGAGUCAAGAAUAAUAUAGCAAACAAGGAACACUCACCUAUGUACGCAAAAUAACGUCCAAAAUUUCCUUCCGGAUACACCCUCAAUCACCAAGGUAUCCUAAUAUAAUCAAAUGAACAUAUUAUGCUUCAACCAUCAAAGAUUUAAGUGAGUCAAGUACAAGUCGAAUACGUACUAGUACAAAGUAUAAAUAUGAUUUUGGUAGUGAAAAGAGUACAUUGAAACCAAAGGACAUGAGUAAAAUAUUUGUAAACUUAGACUCACUUGUAAAACUUUAAAAUCGCUAGUUGAGUCAAAGUGGCAAAGAAAACAUAAACAACCUAGAUGGUUCGCGUGGUAUUCGCUCUCAAGUCUUACUCAAGUCGCAAGUAUAUCAACCUAGUUCUCGAGCGUAAAUUUGGGCAGCAUGCCCUUUGUAUUUACCUAUUUUCUAGCCAUUUAUGGCUUCAUUCUUCUCCUCAAUAAAUCCCAAAGUCAUACACAAAAUAAUUUCUGUGGCGGCCCCACCUCCCCCUAAGGCGAACCAGAGGGUUCGGCGAGUCGCCUACCCAAUUCUCGCCGGGACUCACUCACUCAAUCAUCUAACAUCAUCAAAUAUAAUUCGUAAAUAAACUUUACUUCUCGCAUAAGCCAAGUACUUAAACAAACCGUUCCAUUCAACUUUCUGUGUCCAAAAGUACAAUUUCAAGCAUCAAAGAAAAUGUCGAACUUAAAAUACUUAAAUUCAACUUAAUUUACAAUUUAAAAUUCCUAAUUCAGGGUACAGAAGCACCACAGGAUUCACAUUUUUCCCAAAGACACAAAGUCAUCCAAAAGAUACUAAAGUUUUCCCAAAGUACAAAUACAAAAGUGGGCAUUCAAAAUAUAACAUUUCUUUUCUAGUUCUCCAAGACUUCAUGCAAUUCAGAACCUGUCAAGGAAAACAAAUUGGAAGGGAUGAGCCAAUAGCUCAGUGGUGCCUCGAAACAUGCAAUUCACAUAGAGCAAUUUAACAAGUACAAAUGGACAAGUAAACAAUUAACAAUUUAGGAAAACGAAAUAACAUGACAAGAAAAGGAUACGGGGCUCUCAGGAGCCAAAGUCCUCGCGUCUGAUCAGGUAAUUUAUAGUAGUUGAUACUCCGUCAACUUUCACUACCUAAUCUCCAUGUAGACAUUUUCCCUAAUCUACACGUCUCCUAGCAACGACUUCCCCCUUAUUUUCGGGCCCAACUCCAACACGAAUUUUGCAAGCACUUUUACAAAGACGGCAGAGAGGUACCUCCCACUCUAAUAGAGCGUGGUACGUGCAUCCGUUUGGUUUAUUUAGUCGACGAGACCACGCUCCAAUCGACAUUGCAACACUUGUACUUGUGGCAUUUCACGCAAUCACAUAGCAUAUAAUAUUUCAUGAUAUCUCUAGCAAGUACUUUUAACAAGUAGUUCAACUAGCAGUUAAACACGAUUCAUGCAAGAGACACUCACCUCAAGUGAAGUGUCUAGAAUUCCAAACUUUGAUCGAGAUUGUGCUCUUCACCAACUCCUAAAAUCAUACAAAUAAUUCACAUAAAUUUCCACUUUUGAGUUGGCGAAUUUAACUCGAGUCAACUAGCAUUUAAUUUCACUCAAAAAAAAAAUUCCAAACUAGCAUUAAUCGUUCUCUCAAAGUGAAAUUCACAAAUUUCGAGUGAAAUUAAAUUUUGAGGUUUCUUUAAAACCAAAAACUUGAUAAAUUCGUCAAAUAUUCCAAUAACCAAGUUCUAGAGUCAUAUAAGCAAUUAACACCACUUUGGUAUCACAAGUUGAGAAAAAUCACAUUUAACCAUUUAGAGGAAUUUUCCCUUCUAAUUUUUCCCAAAAAUAUCUUGGGAAAUUCCUUUAAGAGGAAAUCAUCUAAACCAAGUAAAACUAGUCGUUGGAAUUUCUAUAAAAUAGAAACUCCUUAAGUUUGCCAAAUUCCAUUGACCAACUUGGUUCAAGGAUUUUCAUGAAGGCAAAAACUUGAGUUUUCAAGAAAAUUUCCAAAUUUGGCAUAUUUCUCGAAAUAGGGCAUUUGGUCUAAUAAAAUUCAAGGUUAUUGACUCAAAGUGGAUCUAGUAACAAAGGUUAAUGCUAGAAAACAUUUUUGGAACAAAUUUAGUCCACAUUUAACCAAAACGAAAUCCAAACGUCAAAAUCAUUUCCAAUUUCAAACAAAAUUUCUGUUUUGGGUAGCCUCGUGAAGAAUAAAAUUUUGGUCCACUUUUUGGAAGUAAACUCUACUAGAUUUUUGUCCCAAAUAGAGCUAUACACACCCCUUAACUAAACACAAGUCAAAUUGGGUUCAUGUUAACGUGAAAAUCAUUCAACAUGUCUCAUGCAAAGCAGGAAAAAUUUUCAAGUGCAUUCGGUACAAGCAGUCCAUUUUCUCUUCAAUUUGUCCAAAAAUUUUCACCUACUCAAAGGCUACAUUUUUACCCAAACAAUACUUCACAUAUAGGUUAACAUGUUUACAGCUCAAAUGGUUCAAAAACGUGUCAAAACCAAACCCCAUAUUCGCCCAAAAAUCUGGGAAUUUCCAGAAUUUUUCGGACAGCUCAAGGGCAUUUUUCUCUUUGAUUUUUCAAUGAAAUAUCCCAUUGUACCAAAGCUGCAUUUUCACCAAAACUGCUCUACACAUAUAGGUGAACAUAUACACGAUUUAAAUAGCUCAAUAACUUCACAAAAUCCAGCUCAAAAUUUCGGGUAAAAAUGGAAGAAAAACAGGCCUGCUGGUUCGGUUUAGCAGAGCAGAAUUUUCUCCUCUUUUUGCUCAACCAUCUUCAACUUAUAACUCAUAAUUUAAGUCCAUAACAAUCACAACUAAUUAGUCUAACCUCCCAACAAGCAAUCCAGUUCAUUACCUAAGCAAAAAUUGCAAAACAACAACCGGUAACAAAGUUGGAAAAUUGCUCCCUCAUCCGGCCAGCACCCCAUUUUCAUUCUUAAAAUUUUCCCAACAUUUAACCACCACAAAACACAUAUAUAAUCACAUAAAAUACCUCUAGCUUCAUCAAUCAUUAGCUUAGAGGAUCACCAACCCAACAAGUUUCACCAACGCAAGCUAACAUUUCAAGAACCAAAAGCUGCAAAAAUCUGAAAUUUUUGGCUAAGGUGCUAAGCUGGAGUUUGUUACCUUCAAGUGGGUUGUUUAGUAGCUAAAGGUAUUGUUUAGUUCCUCAAGUUGCUCCUAGAACCACAGAGGGUCAGCUGGCUCCCUUGCUCUCUGUUUCUCUCUCGGUCUGACCACCCACAGCAGCAACACAGUAGCAAACGUUAAGGUGAAGAGAAGCUUGGGUCUGGGGUUUUUGAGUCAGCUUGGAAGGUUCUGUGGUUGGAGGAAAGAAAAAUGGCAACUGGUUUCUCCUUCUCCCCUGGUCCGACGCAACGCCGGCAGUAGCAGCAGCGAUCUUCCUCCUCCUUGCUCGGUCGAGACAGCAGCCAAGAAUGGAGGUGGAAGCUGGAAAUGGAAGCUUGAAGAUUGGGGUGUGAAUGGCUGAGGAUGGAAGGCUGUUAGAAGCUUGGAAUGGCAGCGGCUUCUGCUUCUUCUUGCACCAGAGGAUCGAGAGCUUGGAGGGAAAGAGAAGGGUUGAUAGCUGGUGACAAGAUGGGAAGAAAAUUGGGGUAAUCUAGUGAGUAGGCUAGUUGACUUUUUGGGCAUGCCAUUAAUGGUGGGAAAAUUUUGAAUUGAAUCGCGUUUACGCGCGAGAAUUUUAUCUAUUGGUAGGAAUUCCCCAUUUAACAUUUCCUCAACUUAGUUGUACAUUUUUAUAAUCUCUACAUACCCUACAUUUCAACUUAGGGUUACAUUGCGCGUCAGUGCACAAAAAUUCACCCUAAAGCUUAGUCGAACGCGAACCGUCAGAUAAAUUUAUAAAAAUUCAUGUAAAUUAAAAUAGGAUAUUUAUACAAGUGAAAACAUCAUUAAUAAUAAAAAUACACAUUAUUAAAUAUAAAUACAUAUUAUUUAAUAAUUUCAACAUUUAAAUAAUAUUUUGAUUUUAAUUUUCAGAAAUUAAUGCAUCCUCACAAUUUCAUCAUAAUAGCCGUGCAAUAGGCUCCAUCAGAACGUAUAAGUACUAAAGUAAGCUAGGGAAAGUCCAGAAAUGAAAGUUAAGCCCUAAAACCCAAAGAUACGUUUGACAUCAUUUAGCGUAUUGGACACAACUAGUGCUACGAUUAUCGCAUUGGGGUGUAAUCUAUACCGUUGCGAAGCUAAGAUAGAGGGCUACAACUUUGAUGAAGGGUACUCAGUCCAGUUUACAAUGUUUCUAGGUCAAAUGUACUAAAACAACCCCAGAUUUUCCAAUUCGAAGUUUACUGUGGCAGUCCUGAUUCAUUCAGCCAUAUCUCAGCAUAUACAACUCCAAUUCAAGUGAUUCCAAAGCCAUUUGAAAGCUAAGAUACAAGGCUAUAAGUCUUUAGAAGACAUCGAAAACCAAAUCAGUAGUAUUCCUAGUCAAAACAACCAAUUAUAGAAGCUGAUUAGCAUGUUCGGAUAGAAAAAGGGCAGUAGGGGUAUUUCAGUCUUUUCACAGGCCACAUUGCUCCAAUUGAGCUGAAAUUUUUCAGGCUACUAUAAAACAUCAUUCUCUACAAUGUUCAUGUUUUAACCCAAGACUAAUUCAGCGUCUUACUAGGGGAAACAAUACCGGGCAGAAGGGGGAAAAAUGGAAACCCUAAUCUGGAAAUUUUUGCUUCAAACCAGAAAUUUUCCACUAAUCCUUACAAUUAUCAUACCAAAGCUUCAUUCUAACCCAUACUAGACCAUCAUACAUGGCCAAACAAUAUUAAUCAUAUUAAAACAGAAAAAUCAUGAAUAAAUAUAAAACUUCACCAAGUUCAACCAAAAAUCAUGAAGCAACACCUAAAAUCAUCACUUCAUCUCACAUAAGCCACUAAUUAAGCAUUAUUGAGAAGAAAGAGAGGUCCCUUAGCUACUCACCUUAACAAACCAAGAAAAGAAGCAACUUGGCACCUUAAUCUUCCAAACCACUUGACAACCAACCUUAAUACCACUAAACUAAGAGGUUUUAGGGAAUAAUUUGAAGUUUUAUCGGUUAAAUUGUGAGAUUGAGCAAGAUUGAGUAGAAGAAAUUUGAUAGCUUUCUUUCGUUUGCUCUCCAAGAAAUUCGGCCAAGAGAGGGCAAGAAUGAAGAAGAUUUGGGUCAAUUUUGAUUUUGGUAAAGUUAAAUAAGAGUUGGUCAAGUCCAACUUCCAAUGGAUUCGCGACACGUGGCACCUUAGAUGUCUCAAGCUUAUUUUCUUUCUCCCAAUGGUUAAUAUAUCUAGUUAACCUCUAAUAAUCUCUUAGCACCUUGUAAAAUAAUAGUCCUUAACACAAACUUCAACUAGGGGUCAAAAUGUUAUCACACUAACCGCACUAGCGGGUCCCACAUCCAAGACACACUACUAAUGUCACAUAAACUAACUUACACUAGAAAAAUUAUUUUAAAACUAUACUUACUUAUAAAAUCUCUGGAAAAAUUAAUAUAAUAGGUAUAAUGAAGAAAAUGCAUGUGAAAGAAUAAAAUAAAAUAAUAUAAAAUAUGAAAAAUUUACGGGUCCUCACACUCUCUCCCCCUUAAGAAAUUUCGUCCUCGAAAUUUUACCUUCAGUUGCCUCAGACGAGUCCGGAAAUUGUCGGUUGUCUAAAGCAUAAACCUUUGCCGGUACACUGGUUCGUUUCCCUCUUUCAUUCGCUUGUGAUUUAGCUCCAUCCAGUUGCAGAGUAUUGCUUUCACGUGACUGUCUCCUCGGACAGUUGCUAACUUGAUGAUCGCCACUUCCGCAGAUUAAACAUUUCCGCCCUUUUCUCCAACAAUCGCUUUCGGCAUGAUUUGCCUUUCCAUAGUAUCCACAGACCACGUGAGAAGCCAUCUUUUGGCUUUCUUGAAAACUUUUUCCAGGUCUGAUUUGGCUUCCUUUUGUAGAUCGUUCAUCUACCGCCCCUAAUGUCCAUGGUGGGCGGAGUAACGGGUUCACUUUCUGCACUUUAGGAGCUGCUAUCGUUUCACUUAAUUCCUCCACUACACUACCCGAUGCACUCCUUUUCCGGUUCUGGGAGGCUUUUACCUGUGCCUUUGCAGUCUCGAUUCUUUGAGCUUUCUCAAAGGCCUCCGUAAACGAAUUGACUUAUACCGCCGCUAAUGCUUCUUGGAUUUCCAAAUUUAAUCCCUGUAUGAACCGUCUUACUCUUCGCCGCUCUGUGGCCACCAAUUCAGAAGUAAACGUGGAUAGUUUCGUAAAUUUCGUUUCAUAUUCGGCCACACUUAGCGUUCCCUGGCGUAGCCCAAUAAACUCCUCCUCUCUCCUCUCUUGAACUAAAGGAGGGAGGUAUUUCUCGUUAAAUUUUCUUAUGAAAUUCGCUCAUAUCCGUACGGUCUGUUCUCUUUUCCAUUUUGCUUUAAUAACGUUCCACCACGCUCAGGCUGGUCCUUCAAAUUGGAACACCGCAAAGUUUCCUUGUCUUUGCUCGGUGUAGUUCAAGACUGUGAAAAUAUUAACCAUGGCGUCUAACCAUUGUUCGGCUAUAUUCGGAUCAGAUCCUCCAAGGAAUUUUGGAGGAGUAAACUUCUGAAACCUCUCAAGAGCCUUAUCUUCUCCGAUUUCAGGGUUCUGGGGUUGAGUCAUGGCCAUUUGGCCUUGUUGAUCCACCAGUCUUGCCAAGAUGUCUGUCAUUUGUUGCAUUACCGUCGCCAUUUGGUCUCCAGUCACAACUCUCGGUCCCUGCUCUUAUUCAGCUCUUAUUUCCCUCUCUUCUCUUGGCUCCUGGUCUCGUUUAUUCCCACGGCCACGUCCACGUCCACGAAUACGUCUCCCGUCCAUAUAUAUGUUUUCCCUCUCUCUUUUCUUUUCUUUUCUCCCAAAAAGGUAAUUUAGUGAAUAAACACAAUAAGGUGACUAAAGUAACUAAAAUUGAGGGCACCAAAUACCCAAAUAAACAUAUACCCACAUAACACACCACAUAAACAUAUCAAGGAAACAAAUAAUCUAAUACACAAAUACGUCUCAAGUCAGGCAGAUAUUCAUAUACACAAAUACACAACUGACGGCAUGUAGUCACAAUAUACGGGUGAAUCAAAAGAAAAGGGAUAUAUCGUCCCACACCCAACUAGAAUAACCCCGUCCGGUCUCUCACGUCACUUUCUAUCCGACUCGAUGGCCAUUGACCUCUUGUACUCAUUCUAACCGGACAAAGCCUGUUCAUGUUUCCAAAAUGAAAUUUUCAAGUACUUAAAGCCGCCUCAACUUUAGAGUACUCGGGCACGAAAAUUCGAAAUAAGAUAAUUCACAUCUCGAGCGGGCCAGUCCCAAGAGUAAACUAUCUACAAUCGAAAUUCCUAUCCGACGUACCUAUCUAUGAUCCUUAGAUACCACAGAAAAGAUUUAAGGCCUAUAACAUUUGCAAUUCAUAACUUACGCUCGAACGAGCACUUAAUCCUUCAUACCUAUUCACCACUCAAUCCAGGCUCACUCCGCGCCGAGACCACGUGAAGAGACCACGCGAAGCAACUAUAGGUUAUAUCUCUCAAUUGCUUAACUUUCAAAUCAAAUCGAAUCCCAUAGUCCGGUAUCCUAAAAUUUAUCUUAGGAUACACUACAAAGAUCUGAAACCUUAGCUCUGAUACCACCUGUGACGGCCCCACCUCCCCCUAGGUCGCACCCCAGUGUUCGGCGGGUCGCCUGCCCAACUUUCGCCGGGACUCAGUCGUUCACUACAGUCCUCAAUUAAAAAUUGGAAUAAAUCACAGGUACAAUGAAGAAAAACGAUCCAAAACUUAAAGUGAAACUUAUAUACAUUUCUAUCUCAAAAGGAAGUACAAACAUCAAAUGUACAAAGAUUCUCAAUUCACCAUACAACUAGCCCGUGCCAAGCACUAGGGCGAGAACCCUUAUAAAAACAAAGAGUUAGACCAAGCUAGUCUAUACCAAGCUCUCAUCCUGCACGCCGUCCCCUGUUAAGGAAAACAAAACUAAAGGGGUGAGCUAAAAGCUCAGUGAGGUCCCGAACACGUAAUCAAACAAUCAAUUCAAUACAUUAAACAUGAAGUAUCAAUAAUUCAAGAAACAUUUACGAUGGAAAGCGAUAGUAACACAUUCAUUAAAAGGAUACGGGCUCACAUGGAUCUAUUCGUUCAUUCGUUCGUUCUCCUGACAUUUCCCCUUAUUCCUCCAAUCGUUUGAAAAUGCAUUUUUGUAAGUAAAAUCCCUCGUUCGUUCUUUCGUUCGUCCAUUCACCCCCUUCUUGGACGUUGGUCAGGCUCCACCAACUUACAAGAUAAUAUUCGAGUAUACCAAACGUUCACACCCAAUGUCACCAUAUCGCCCGACAGAGUCCUCUUCUGGUUCGAGUCGAUCGGUAACGAAGGGCAGGGCCCAGUUCAGCCAAAAGGCUUACAUCAUGCGCACCUAAUGUUUCCAUCAUUAAGUCAUUGAAAAGUUCAUACGUAUUUAGGUCGAGUGCAAUAAAGUACACACUCGCCCAGAAAACUCAUUUUGAAAAUCAUUGAAAGCACUUAACACGUUAUCAAACAAUAACACAAGUCAUGGAGUCAAGAAUAAUAUAGCAAACAAGGAACACUCACCUAUGUACGCAAAAUAACGUCCAAAGUUUCCUUCCGGAUACACCCUCAAUUACCAAGGUAUCCUAAUAUAAUCAAAUGAACACAUUAUGCUUCAACCAUCAAAGAUGUAAGUGAAUCAAGUACAAGUCGAUUACGUACUAGUACAAAGUAUAAAUAUGAUUUUGGUAGUGAAAAGAGUACAUUGAAACCAAAUGACAUAAGUAAAAUAUUUGUAAACUUAGACUCACUUGUAAAACUUUAAAAUCGCUAUUUGAGUCGAAGUGGCAAAGAAAACAUAAACAACCUAGAUGGUUCGCGUGGUAUUCGCUCUCAAGCCUUACUCAAGUCGCAAGUAUAUCGACCUAGUUCUCGAGCGUAAAUUUGGGCAGCAUGCCCUUUGUAUUUACCUAUUUUUCAGCCAUUUAUGGCUUCAUUCUUCUCCUCAAUCAAUCCCAAAAUCAUACACAAAAUAAUCUCAUCAUAAUAGCCGUUCAAUAGGCUCCAUCAAAACGUAUAAGUACUAAAGUAAGCAAGGGAAAGUCCGGAAAUGAAAAUUAAGCCCUAAAACCCAAAGACAGAUUUGACAUCAUUUAGCGUAUUGGACACAACCAGUACUACGAUUAUCGGAUUGGGGUGUAAUCUAUACCAUUGCGAAGCUAAGAUAGAGGGCUACAACUUUGACGAAGGGUACUCAGUCCAGUUUACAAUGUUUCUAGGUCAAAUGUACUAAAACAACCCCAAAUUUUCCAAUUCGAAGUUUACUGUGGCAGUCCUGAUUCAUUCAGCCAUAUCUCAGCAUAUACAACUCCAAUUCAAGUGAUUCUAAAGCCAUUUGAAAGCUAAGAUACAAGUCUAUAUGUCUUCAGAAGAUAUUGACAACUAAGUCAGUAGUAUUCCUAGUCAAAACAACCAAUUACAGAAGCUGAUUAGCAUGUUCAGAUAGAAACAGGGCAGCAGGGGUAUUUCAGUCUUUUCACAGGACACAUUGCUCUGAUUGAACUGAAAUUUUGCAGGCUAUUAUAAAAUAUCAUUCUCUACAGCUUUCAUGUUUUAAUCCAAGGCUAAUUCUGUCUCUAACUAGGGGAAACAGUACCGGACAGAAGGGGGAAAAAUGGAAACCCUAAUCUGGAAAUUUUUGCUUCAAACCAGAAAUUUUCCACUAAUCCUUACAAUUAUCAUACCAAAGCUUCAUUCUAACCCAUACUAGACCAUCAUACAUGGCAAACAAUAUUAAUCAUAUUAAAACAGAAAAAUCAUGAAUAAAUAUAAAACUUCACCAAGUUCAACGAAAAAUCAUGAAACAACACCUAAAAUCAUCACUUCAUCUCACAUAAGUCACUAAUUAAACAUUAUUGAGAAGAAAGAGAGGUGCCUUAGCUACUCACCUUAACAAACCAAGAAAAGAAGCAACUUGGCACUUUAAUCUUCCAAACCACUUGACAACAAACCUUAAUACCACUAAACUGAGAGGUUUUAGGGAAUAAUUUGAAGUUUUAUCGGUUAAGUUGUGAGAUUGAGCAAGAUUGAGUAGAAGAAAUUUGAUAGCUUUCUUUCUUUUGCUCUCCAAGAAAUUCGGCCAAGAGAGGGCAAGAAUGAAGAAGAUUUGGGUCAAUUUUGAUUUUGGUAAAGUUAAAUAAGAGUUGGUCAAGUCCAACUUCCAAUGGAUUCGCGACACGUGGCACCUUAGAUGUCUCAAGCUUAUCUUCUUUCUCCCAAUGGUUAAUAUAUCUAGUUAACCUCUAAUAAUCUCUUAGCACAUUCUAAAAUAAUAUCCCUUAACACAAACUUCAACUAGGGGUCAAAAUUUUAUCGCACUAACCGCACUAGCGGGUCCCACGUCCAAGAUACACUACUAAUGUCACAUAAACUAACUUACACUAGAAAAAUUAUUUUAAAACUAUACUUACUUAUAAAAUCUCUGGAAAAAUUAAUAUAAUAGGUAUAAUGAAGAAAAUGCAUGUGAAAGAAUAAAAUAAAAUAAUAUAAAAUACGAAAAAUUUACGGGUCCUCACACUCUCUCCCCCUUAAGAAAUUUCGUCCUCGAUAUUUUACCUUCAGUUGCCUCAGACGAGUCCGGAACUUGUCGGUUGUCUAAAGCAUAAACCUUUGCCAGUACACUGGUUCGUUUCCCUCUUUCAUUCGCUUGUGAUUUAGCUCCAUCCAGUUGCAGAGUAUUGCUUUCACGUGACUGUCUCCUCGGACAGUUGCUAACUUGAUGAUCGCCACUUCCACAGAUUAAACAUUUCCGCCCUUUUUUCCAACAAUCGCUUUCGGCAUGAUUUGCCUUUCCACAGUAUCCACAGACCACGUGAGAAGCCAUCUUUUGGCUUUCUUGAAAACUUUUCCCAGGUCUGAUUUGGCUUCCUUUUGUAGAUCGUUCAUCUACCGCCCCUAAUGUCCAUGGUGGGCGGAGUAACGGGUUCACUUUCUGCACUUUAGGAACUGCUAUCGUUUCACUUAAUUCCUCCACUACACUACCCGAUGCAUUCCUUUUCCGGUUCUGGGAGGCUUUUAUUUGUGCCUUUGCAGUCUCGAUUCUUUGAGCUUUCUCAAGGGUCAACGUAAACGUAUUCACUUGUACCGCCGUUAAUGCUUCUUGGAUUUUCAAAUUUAAUCCCUGUAUGAACCGUCUUACUCUUCGCCGCUCUGUGGCCACCAAUUCAGAAGCAAAUUUGGAUAGUUUCAUAAAUUUCAUUUUUUAUUCGGCCACACUUAGCGUUCCCUGGCGUAGCCCAAUAAACUCCUCCUCUCUCCUCUCUUGGACUAAAGGAGAGAGGUAUUUUUCGUUAAAUUCCCUGAUGAAAUUCGCCCAUGUCCAUACGAUCUGUUCUCUUUCCCAUUUUGCUUUAAUAACGUUCCACCACGCUCGGGCUGGUCCUUCAAAUUGGAACACCGCAAAGUUUACUUGUCUUUGCUCGGUGUAGUUCAAGACUGUGAAAAUAUUAACCAUGGCCUCUAACCAUUGUUCGAUUAUAUCCGGAUCAGAUCCUCCAAGGAAUUUCGGAGGAGUAAACUUCUGAAACCUCUCAAGAGCCUUAUCUUCUCCGAUUUCAGGGUUCUGGGGUUGAUUUACGGCCAUUUUGCCUUGUUGAUCCACUAGUCUUGACAAGAUAUCCGUCAUUUGUUGCAUUACCGUCGCCAUUUGGUCUCCAGUCACAACUCUCGGUCCCUGCUCUUGUUCAGCUCUUAUUUCCCUCUCUUCUCUUGGCUCCUGGCCUCGUUUAUUCCCACGGCCACGGCUACGUCUCCCAUCCAUAUAUAUGUUUUCCCUCUCUCUUUUCUUUUCUUUUCCCCCAUAAAGGUAAUUUAGUGAAUAAAUACAAUAAGGUGACUAAAGUAAUUAAAAUUGAGGGCACCAAAUACCCAAAUAAACAUAUACCCACAUAACACACCACAUAAACAUAUCAAGGAAACAAAUAAUCUAAUACACAAAUACGUCUCAAGUCAGGCAGAUAUUCAUAUACACAAAUACACAACUGACGGCAUGUAGUGACAAUAUACGGGUGAAUCAAAAGAAAAGGGAUAUAUCGUCCCACACCCAGCUAGAAUAACCCCGUCCGGUCUCUCACGUCACUUUCUAUCCGACUCGAUAUCCAUUGACUUUUUGUACUCAUUCUAGCCAGACAAAGCCUGUUCAUGUUUCCAAAAUGAAAUUUCCAAGUACUUAACGCCGCCUCAACUUUAGAGUACUCGGGUACGAGAAUCCAAAAUAAGAUAAUUCAUAUCUCGAGCUGGCCAGUCCCAAGAGAAAACUAUCUACAAUCGAAAUUCCUACCCGACGUACCUAUCUAUGAUCCUCAGAUACCACGGAAAAGAUUUAAGGCCUAUAACAUUUGCAAUUCAUAACUUACGCUCGAACGAGCACUUAAUCCUUCAUACCUAUUCACCACUCAAUCCAGACUCACUCCGCACAGAGACUACGGGAAAAGACCACACGAAUCAACUAUAGGUUAUAUCUCUCAAUUGCUUAACUUUCAAAUCAAAUCGAAUCCCACAGUCCAGUAUCCUAAACUUUAGCCUAGAAUACACUACAAAGAUCUGAAACCUAAGCUCUGAUACCACUUGUGACGGCCCCACCUCCCCCUAGGUCGCACCUCAGGGUUCGGCGGGUCGCCUGCCCAACUCUCGCCGGGACUCAGUCGUUCACUACAGUCCUUAAUUAAAAUUCGAAAUAAAUCACAGGAAUAAAUAGGGCAACGAUCCAAAACUUAAAGCGAAACUUAUAUACAUUUUUAUCUCAAAAGGAAGUAGAAACAUCAAAUGUACAAAGGUCAUCAAUUCACCAUACAACUAGCCCGUGCCAAGCACUAGGGCGAGAACCCUUACAAAAACAAAGAGCUAGACCAAACUAGCCUAUACCAAGUUCUCAUCCUGCUCGCCGUCCCCUGUUAAGGAUAACAAAACUAAAGGGGUGAGUUAAAAGCUCAGUGAGGUCCCGAACAUGUAAUCAAACAAUCAAUUCAAUACAUUAAACAUGAAGUAUCAAUAAUUCAAGAAACAUUUACAAUGGAAAGCGAUAGUAACACAUUCAUUAAAAGGAUACGGGCUCACAUGGAUCUAUUCGUUCAUUCGUUCGUUCUCCUGACAUUUCCCCUUAUUCCUCCAAUCGUUUGAAAAUGCAUUUUUGUAAGUAAAAUCCCUCGUUCGUUCUUUCGUUCGUCCAUUCACCCCCUUCUUGGACGUUGGUCAGGCUCCACCAACCUACAAGGUAAUACUCGAGUAUACCAAACGUUCACACCCAGGGUCACUAUAUCGCCCGACCAAGUUCGCUUCUGAUUCGAGUCGAUCGGUAACGAAGGGCAGGGCCCAAUUCAGUCAAGAGGUUAACAUCAUGCGCAACUAACGUUUCCAUCAUUAAAUCAUUGAAAAGUUCAUACGUAUUUAGGUCGAGUGCGAUAAAGUACACACUCGCCCAGAAAACUCGUUUUGAAAAUCAUUGAAAGCACUUAACACGUUAUCAAACAAUAACACAAGUCAUGGAGUCAAGAAUAAUAUAGCAAACAAGGAACACUCACCUAUGUACGCAAAAUAACGUCCAAAGUUUCCUUCCGGAUAAACCCUCAAUUACCAAGGUAUCCUAAUAUAAUCAAAUGAACACAUUAUGCUUCAACCAUCAAAGAUGUAAGUGAGUCAAGUACAAGUCGAAUACGUACUAGUACAAAGUAUAAAUAUGGUUUUGGUAGUGAAAAUAGUACAUUGAAACCAGAGGACAUAAGUAAAAUAUUUGUAAAUUUAGACUCACUUGUAAAACUUUAAAAUCGCUAUUUGAGUCGAAGUGGCAAAGAAAACAUAAACAACCUAGAUGGUUCGCGUGGUAUUCGCUCUCAAGCCUUACUCAAGUCGCAAGUAUAUUGACCUAGUUCUCGAGCGUAAAUUUGGGCAGCAUGCCCUUUGUAUUUACCUAUUUUUCAGCCAUUUAUGGCUUCAUUCUUCUCCUCAAUCAAUCCCAAAGUCAUACACAAAAUAAUCUCAUCAUAAUAGCCGUUCAAUAGACUCCAUCAAAACGUAUAAGUACUAAAGUAAGCUAGGGAAAGUCCGAAAAUGAAAGUUAAGCCCUAAAACCCAAAGACAGAUUUGGCAUCAUUUAGUGUAUUGGACACAACCAGUACUACGAUUAUCGGAUUGGGGUGUAAUCUAUACCGUUGCGAAGCUAAGAUAGAGGGCUACAACUUUGAAGAAGGGUACUCAGUCUAGUUUACAAUGUUUCUAGGUCAAAUGUACUAAAACAACCCCAGAUUUUCCAAUUCGAAGUUUACUGUGGCAGUCCUGAUUCAUUCAGCCAUAUCUCAGCAUAUACAACUCCAAUUCAAGUGAUUCUAAAGCCAUUUGAAAGCUAAGAUACAAGUCUAUAUGUCUUCAGAAGAUAUCGACAACUAAAUCAGUUGUAUUCCUAGUCAAAACAACCAAUUACAGAAGCUGAUUAGCAUGUUCAGAUAGAAACAGGGCAGCAGGGGUAUUUCAGUCUUUUCACAGGACACAUUGCUCUGAUUGAACUGAAAUUUUGCAGGCUAUUAUAAAAUAUCAUUCUCUACAGCUUUCAUGUUUUAAUCCAAGGCUAAUUCUAUCUCUAACUAGGGGAAACAGUACCGGGCAGAAGGGGGAAAAAUGGAAACCCUAAUCUGGAAAUUUUUGCUUCAAACCAGAAAUUUUCCACUAAUCCUUACAAUUAUCAUACCAAAGCUUCAUUCUAACCCAUACUAGACCAUCAUACAUGGCCAAACAAUAUUAAUCAUAUUAAAACAGAAAAAUCAUGAAUAAAUAUAAAACUUCACCAAGUUCAACCAAAAAUCAUGAAACAACACCUAAAAUCAUCACUUCAUCUCACAUAAGUCACUAAUUAAACAUUAUUGAGAAGAAAGAGAGGUUCCUUAGCUACUCACCUUAACAACCCAAGAAAAGAAGCAACUUGGCACUUUAAUCUUCCAAACCACUUGACAACAAACCUUAAUACCACUAAACUGAGAGGUUUUAGGGAAUAAUUUGAAGUUUUAUCGGUUAAGUUGUGAGAUUGAGCAAGAUUGAGUAGAAGAAAUUUGAUAGCUUUCUUUCUUUUAAAACUAUACUUACUUAUAAAAUCUCUGGAAAAAUUAAUAUAAUAGGUAUAAUGAAGAAAAUGCAUGUGAAAGAAUAAAAUAAAAUAAUAUAAAAUACGAAAAAUUUACGGGUUCUCAUAGCAUUCGAGCUCGAUCGAGUCGAGUACGAUCUUACUCGUGCUUGUCUCGAGUCAAUCCCAAUCUUCAUUGCUCGAGCUUGAUCGAGCUCCUGAUAGAUGUUGUCGUGUUCGAACUCGAGUAGGCUACUACUCAAGCUCGACUCGGCUCGAUUUCACCCCUAGGUGGCUCAAUAUGGGUUGGCCUUAUUUUACGAUAUUGCCCUUCUUUAACAAAUAUGUGCUAAGCGGUGGUGUGCCAAAACAUUGGCCAUUUUGCUGAUGUGUCACUCUUCUAUUGGAUGAAUGGUAGUCUGGUCAUGAGCAUUGCACGUGCUUUUGCUUAAAAAACAUGGCUGUUAUCUUUGUGUUCAGUAGCCCUUAGGUCCUUCCUCAAUCUGUAGCUUUCUUUGUACGUGUGGGUCCAGAUCUUUUUCUUCUCAGAAGGUGAUGGGAUUUGAUAAGAAGGUGAUGGGAUUUGGUGAGGGGCUAAAGGCGAAAGGUGCUCGUAAUCUUCUCCUUUCUUGGUUUCUCCUCUCAUUUUUCUCUUUUUCCUCGAUCUCUAUUUUCCCUCUUUCCUCUCUUGAGUGAUAAUAUGGUUAAUUUCUUCUGUUUUUCAGCCUGUUUUUCCUGUUCUUUUUUUUCCUUGCUAAAAGCAACAAAUCAUUUUCUCCUCUCCUCUGCGUCUCUAUUUGUUAUGCUAUCAGAUUUUUUGCUAUUAAGAAAACUUCAUUUUUUUUGGCUUUGUAAUCACUGAAUCUCCAUUAUAGUUAAUUUUCUGAUAUGAUUUAUUUUUUUAUUCUUUAAGGAUUCACCUUGCAUGUUUCAUCAAUAAAUAUUUUCAUCAUUUUAAUCUGGACUCGGAGUGAUGGCUACUUCUUUUUGGUCCAUUUUUUUCCUUUUGUUAGGUGGGAAAGGAUGAUGGAGAUUGAAGAUGAACUGAUGAUGAUUUUGAUGGAGGUUUCGACAUUCUUCCAUGGUUCCAGAUGUUUUACUGGAAACAUUAACCUUUACCCACCAUGUAUGUGUGUGUUUUAUUUUUUUUAUGGUUUCCUUUUUCUUUUCUAAAACUCACUUUCUUCUUGGUGUGAUUGCAGGUGUAAAGAGUUGGCAUUUUUGCCAAUUGGCAUAUUUUUCAAAGGUAAGGCUUUAAUAUUUUGCCAAUUAAUUAUGCAAGGAAAUUUGUGUUAGGUUGACCAGAGUAGUUGUCGGAUCCGUAGAUUAAAAAAAUUGUAGGGACUUUAUGUUAUGGUAGUUGGAAUUCUAUUUCUCUUUCAUAGUUUUUUGUACUAGAAUUUAUUCUUGACUUUUUGGUGAAAGAAUUGCUUUUGAUGGUUUACUCUGAAGAAGGUAGGAGUAAUUGAAAUUGAUAUUGUAAAUCUGAGGAGUGGAUGAAGCCAUAGAGUUGGCACUGCAACCAGAGAAACUUAUAACAUGCUAUUGUGGCUUCCACUUGAAAUCUAGAAGUGGAAGAACUAAAAUUGGACUGCAAAUAACAAAAUUCAAGGUUGGACGGCCACACCUUGUGUAAGUAUGGAACAUAAAAUUGGAGGUACAUAAGUGACACCAAAUUUUGAUGGUUUACACAAUGACUUGGUUAUUACUUUACUUGAUAAUUAGGAUAUUUUGUUACAGUAUGUUGCGAUCCAACAAGUUGUGCUGACAUAUUUCUUGCUCAAUUAGACUUCAUCCUCUAUUUAAGGUUUUCUUACCUUAAAUCAUUAAAGAUAGGGCAUAUUUUGUUCAUAAAUAACUCUGGUAUACUUUACUUUUGUUGUUGUUGCAAGAGGAACCAUGGAAAUGACUGAGAGUUUCUCUUUGGCAGCCUGAUAUCUCUGAUUUUUUAUAGGUCUUUUUUUAGGAAUUUCAGUAUUUUUUAGAUCCUUUUUUCAUACUAAUAUGCGGAGAAUACCUCUAUUCAGUAAAAAUUUUCUUUUUAAAGUAUUUGUCAUGUAAUUAAGUAUAUGGUCUAGCUUCCUUUUUGUUUGUCAUGUUUGAGUUUGUGGCCUAAAGAAACAGAUAAAACAGAAAGUAAAAUGGUGCUUGCAUGGUAAUUUAUUGCAUAGAUUAUAUAGAAGUGGUAAUUGAAAAAAGUAAAUUUUUGGUGUUUUGGUUGAAUAGACAUUUAUGAUUGUUUCUUGUAGAGUUCUUAUCUAUGGGAUAAUGCACAAAUUCUUUGCAUGUUAAGGCUUGUCAUUGUGCUUAGUAAUUUAGCCAAUUUCUUUUCCGUUUAGAUCUUCAUAUCCCUAUCUUCUUCAUGUGAUCAAGGUAAAAUAGUCACCUACAAAAAGAUUGUAGAAAAUCUGUAAAUUUGAUUUUUCAUCUAAUUUAAACACUUUUUUUUCCGCUUUGAACACUCUUCAAAACUGAUCUGAUUUUUCCUCCUCCUGUUGGUAUCUUCAUGCAAGUGUAUGGUCAACUCAACUUGUAAAAAGGCAAUUUGUAUUGUAAAACUUGAAAUUGCCAUUUAUUAAGAUUCAUUCCUUGAUCCUUGUAUAAUUGUUGGGUUGGGGUUUAUAUAAUAAGUGGCUCAAAUCAUUAAUUUGAUAUAAUCGGAGGUUGGAUAGCCACUUUUGGUGCAGCAAUGGCUCAAGUGCAAUUAAUAUCUUUGAAGUAUCGCUAAGUUCCUUGCUAUUAUUUGCUUUUCUUCCCAAGCUAAUGAUCAAAUUCAUUGCAUCCUUUCUGACACCUGUUUUGCUUUUAGGUGACUGUAGAAAUUACUGCUAAUUAGGAAUGGUGGGUUUUAUUUAGCAUGCCAUUGUAUUGCAAAGCAGACUAUAACUUUGGUAUAUGUUAGAGCUUUUUGAUGCUUUUGUUUUUUGUAUUUUAUAACUCUUUUGUCACCUCUCAAAUAGCGAGUAUGGUUUGAAACCUUUUGUUUUUUCGAACUUAGUAAUGGGUCCUCAGAACUUUGACAAAUUGACGUGCUUACAUGUAUAAUUUUAUUGUUGCAGCAUUUCAGGCUAUGAUCAAUGGAAGAUUUGUGAGACCUACGCACAUUGUAACAGCUAUGAUCCUAUGGAUGAAAGACAUUUAUGUUUUUCGUUGGUUGCUCAUUACCCGCUAUGAUUUGUGUAAGGAUCCUUGCAUCGUAAUUGAUUUAUGCAAUAGCCCAUUGAACUACAAUAAGAAGGUUUAUUCACUAAAUAAGGUUGAAUACUCGGUGGCUGAUCAGUAAAUUACAUAGUUAAUGACCAUGAUUUUUAUUUACCUCUUUGGGAAAGAAGGAAUGAUGUAGCUAAUAGUACCUAGGGAUAAAAACCCAGAGAAGACUUUAAAUUCCUUUUUUUCUUAUUCUUUGUAAAUGCUUCUUUUUCCCCCUGUCUGCAUUAUACUUCUACAUUUGUUGAUGGGAUUAUAAGAGUCCGUGUUGUAGUUAUAAGAUGGUUGGUUUCUAUCCUAUUUGGGCUAACAAGCAUGAUUACAAUUUGGCAAAUGGUGUGCUUCUAGAAAUUGACAAACAUGGAUGCUAUUCAAGUUAUUAGCUCUGGCUUUGCAGUAUGGUGUAAACUAGACACAGUUCUUCAACUGGAUAUACUAACGAAAAGCACUGUAGACUUUUAUUCUCCUUUCUUUUUCUUCUUAGUGUCUUUUUGUUCCUGCAUAUACAUGAUUUAAGCCGAUUGUAAAUUGUUAAAUGGUGGUUAAGUUUUUGAAUUCUUGUUGUAUUUAAGAUCUGAUCUUUUGUCUAAGAUACUCUACAAUCUCCUUCAAAAUUUAGCUUUGAAGAGAGAGUUUUUGGGAAAAAAUUGUAGAGUGGAUUCUAAGAAAUUACUUUUCCUUUUUGGUUAUUUCUUUUCCUUUUACUUGACCUUUAAUUUUUUUUAUACUUCUUUUAUAUGUUUAUCCCUACUUUUAUUGAUUUAUUUGUUCUAUUUUGAUAAUCUAGAAAUAUAUUUUUGUCAGACUUUCUUAAGACAAUCUAUCAAAGAAAGAGGGGAUUACCUUCAAAAAGUCUGUUUAGAAAACUUUGUAAGUGGAGUUGGCUUUGUUUAUAUUUUGUAUUCUUUUCUUUGAGUAUUAGAUUAAUGCUUUUCGUGGGUGUUUUAUUAAUUGUUAUUAAUGUUGGUAUUUUGGUUGUGGAUUAUCUCAAAAAAAGAAUUUGAUAUUGUCACUAGGCUUCUGCACUAGAGGAAAUGUUGGAUACGCCACUGUACCAGAGCAUUGCUCAAUGAAUAAUGGUGUGCUGCCUAUGAUGUUAACAAGAUUGUCAUACUGACACUUUGUUCUGGAAAAGAUAUGUACACAAGGCUAUUAAUUUCUAACAUACUCAAAGAUUUGAGUGAUCGAGAAUGCAAAUAUUAGAGUCUUAGAAGCUGAUUUAGUUCCGAUCUGGACAUUUAAUUUUUUUUCUUCUUUUUAUGUGUUUAGCAAAUCGGAUUGUGUACUUAUGAAUGUAAUUUAUAUUCUAUAAUAUGUUUCUUAAUUCAUGACAUGUGAUAAGCAUUUAGGAAGAUCAUCUUAAUUGUUGUACUAACUACUAUUACCCCUUACUUCCAAGUUCUCGAACUAGAAAAUACACAAUAUCUUACUCAAACAUUGUACAAUUUAUUUUCGCGUACAACUGACAUCGUUACUAAACAAUGCUGGGCACAAAGAAAUCUCAGGCAUUAACUCCACACCGCGCCUCCUAGUUGAACUAAAGUCGUCUUUCUAUGAAGUCGUCGUUCCCUAGUACUUUUUGUUGGGUAUGAAGUCGUCGCUCUUUUGCUUUUUUUUUUAUGAAAUAUUUUAUUAAUAAGGAAUCAUGAGUACACCAGGUGCCCUAUCAUACAUAGCCCACCAUCCGUCUACGGAUCGAGGGAAUUCCCAACUGAUCCAACCUAAUCGCCCCCCGAAUCCAUUGAGGUAAAUCUAGCAUCGACUGAAACAGUUGUGUGCCAUUUAGAUCUGCCCCUAAAUUCGUCAACCGAUCCGUAGGAACAUUCGCCUCUCUGUAGCAGUGAGCUACUAUCUGAAAGUGCUGCUUGAACUGAAGCAAGCCAUCCAAUUCCCCCUGCAUCUCCCAAGGGAAAUCACUCUUCCCUCUAACCAUCCGAAUCAGUGAAAGUGAGUCUGAUUCCAAGUGUAUCGCCAGGAAUCCCCGGGCAAUACAAUGCUUAAUCCCCACUAGUAGAGCACGCAAUUCAGCCCGAAGGUUGGUUAGAUAACCAAAACACUCUGAGAAACCGAAAACAAAGUCCCCAUGGUAGUCCCUCACCAAUCCAACCCCUCCACUCAAACCCGGAUUCCCCCGAGAACAUCCAUCCGCAUUCAACUUCUACCCACCCUGCGGCAUUACCCAAUGCACCGUCCGGAUAAUCCAUCUUUCUUGCCGACAAGUCAUCUCCCGCACUAAUCCUUCCCACGAAGCAUCCGCACACCUCAGCAUUGGGAAGCGUGCCUGACAGAUCUCUACUAGCACCUGGACGACUCGGUUCACCAUAUUCCGACCUCGAAUCCGCUGUCCUUCAAACAUCCCCUGAUUCCUCGCCUUCCAUAACUCCCAGCAAAUUACCGACGGUAUUAUGCGAAACACGAACCGCAAAAACUCAUUGCUCCCUCUCCUUAGCCACCAUAGUCCAGCCAUGUGUCGGAGUGUAUGCACCCCUGCCAUUUCUCCCGAGUGGAUCUCAAAGUACCGCCAAAGUGUCCGCGCCCCUUCUCCAGAACAAAACACAUGUUCCAGACUCUCCUCCUGUGGCUCCUGACAACACCAGCAUCGGGACGGUCCACAGAGGCCGAACCUCGCCAGCUUAUCCAUGGUAGGAACCCUGCCCUGCAUUAGCCUCAGCAUGAAGAAAGAAAUUUUAACCGGGAGACCUUGCUGCCAGACCGAGGCAUAGAUCCAAGAACGAUUAUCAACAUGGCGGACGAGGGAAUAGGCUGAGGAUGUGGAAAAAACACCAGCCGUUGUGGGUCUCCAAAUCAUACGAUCCGGUCCCCGGAAGGAAGGCGGGCCACCUGCAGAACCUGGCCCACUAGCCCAGCAUCUAAGUACUGACGAAGCAUAUUGACAUUCCAUGCCCCCCCGUCCACAAAAUUCGCAACCGAAUGAGCGAAGAAAACCUCAAACUUACCACAAAGCGCUCCAGUCCCCAGCCAAUUGUCAUGCCAAAAGUCUAUUGAACCCUGGCGUACUACCCAGCCGAUGUUAUCCUCCGCGACCUGCUGAACUGACACCAUCCGUUUCCAUGUAGAAGAACACAGCGGGCCAUCAUCCGCUAGACACAGGUGCAGACCCACGCAAUACUUCCUAGUCAUGAACUCCGCCCAGAGCGAUUGCUGCUGCCUGAAGAGUUUAACCGAUAGCGAAUCAUGCACACCCUUCAGGGUUCGCAACCCAACCCCUCCCUCCUCCCAAGGGCGACAAAUGUCUUUCCACCCAAUCCAAUGGAGCUUUGAACCACCAUCGGAUGGCCCCCACAAGAAAUCAGCGAACAAUCUCUCCACGGCUCCCAUCACCCCUUGAGGAGGGGACGCAGCCACAAGUAAAUGUAUCGGCAUUGAUGCUAAAACACUUUGAACCAACACAAUACGGCCUCCUACAGAUAAUAGCUGGUUCUUCCACGAUAGAAUACGAGCUGCCACCGCAUUGUACAUAUCCGCAAAAUAGAUCUUUUUCCUCCUGCCCACAUAUAACGGGCAACCAAGAUACCGUAUCGGAAAUGCUCGUCUCUGGAAACCCAGAAUCUGACCUGCCGCUGCUGCCUGCCUUGGCGGAAAACCCGAGUGGGUCAAAAAAUAGCUUUUCUGGUAGUUGAUCCGCUGCCCCGAAGCCCUGCUAUACUCAUCUAACACCUGCUUAAGCCGAGCUAGCGAGGCUCUCCCUCCACUGGAGAAGAUGAUCACGUCGUCGGCAUAUGCCAAGUGCGUGAUAGCCGGGCACCUGGGGGGGAACUUUGAACGGAAUGAAUUGUUCUUGAGUAACCAGCGCAUUUAGGGCACGCGAUAAUACUUCAGCACCAAUAACAAAGAGAGCCGGAGAAAUGGGAUCCCUCUGCCGAAGACCCCUAGUCGACUUAAAAAACCCGUACGGAGCCCCAUUUACAAGAAUGGAGAACCAUACAUUAGAGAUUAACCGCCACAUCAUGUCUAUCCAAGUUUCGGAGAAACCAAAGCGACGGAGCACCUGCAACAGGAAAGGCCACGAAACCCUAUCAUAGGCCUUCAUCAUGUCUAACUUGAUAACUACGUUCCCACCUCGAUUCGGUUUCCUGAUACCAGUCAAUAGCUCCUGGGCUAGCAAAAAGUUAUCCGCAAUCUGUCUGCCCUUCACAAACCCGCUCUGCUGCGGGGAAAUGAGUCGUGGUAGGACCUGCACCAAUCGCUCUGCUAAUAACUUCGAAAUGAUCUUCUUGGCAAAGUUACAUAGGCUGAUGGGCCGAAACUGCGUAAAAUCCUGAGGGCUAUCCACCUUCGGUAGCAAAACAACCGAGGUAGCCGUGAUACUCCUUGGCAUGUCCGCCCCACAGAAAAAACUCACCACUGCCCGAUACACAUCCUCCGUAAUCACUUCCCAGGCGACCAUGAAAAACUUCCCUGUGAAAUCAUCCGGGCCCGCCGCACUCUCCGCAUCCAUGCUAAACACUAUACCCUUCACUUCCUCCAAAGUAGGUAUCCCAGAGAGUAUUUCGUUGUCUUGGGCAGUGACUAACCCCGGAAUGAGGUCCUUGAUCUGGUGGGGCGACUGACUACCGUCUGCUGAGAAUAAACCCUGGAAAAAAUUCACAGCCACCUCUCCUAUUUGUGCCUCCUCCUCAACCCACUCCCCAUCUAUCCCUCUCACCCGAUGGAUCACAGCCCGCUGUCUUCUCUCAGUGACCACCGAGUGGAAAAACUUGGUAUUCUUGUCUCCCUCCCGAAGCCACUUCACCCGUGCCUUCUGCCGCCAAAAACCUUCCUCUACAUUCAGAGCGUACCUCAACCGUGUCUGUGCAUGAUGUAACUCACUCCUUAGCAAACCCGUCGGAUCCAGGUCAUACCUCCUCUCCGCCUCCAUUACCUCCCGCUCGGCGCCCCGUACCGCUACAAAGAUGUCCCCGAAAGUUUGCCUCGACCACUGCCUCAGAGCCUGUUUAGCUCCCCAUAACUUCAGUGCCAAUAUCUGCAUGGGAGGCCCACUAACCGGCAGCGUCCAGCAAUCUCUAAUUACCUCCAAGAAACCCUUGUGCAUGGUCCAGAAAUUCUGGAAUCGAAAAGGCCUAGGUUUGUCAUCCAGUCGCGUAACCACCGACAAUAGCAAUGGCGAGUGAUCCGACGGAUCACAUCCCAAAUGUUGGACAGUGACCUGGUGCCGCAGAUGCAGAGCUGCCCCAUUCACCAACAACCUAUCCAGCCGUUUCCAAAUUCGUGCUGUGUCCGGGCGAUUGUUACACCAAGUAAAUCGCGAGCCCGAGAAACUAACAUCGCUUACCCCCGCCUCUGCCAUGAACUGCAAGAAAUCCAAGCCCUCUCGAGUUCUGAAAGGUAAACCGCCCCUUUUCUCCCUCUCACUAAUAAUCACAUUGAAAUCCCCCACCAGAAACUAUGGUGCCGAGGCCGGCUUAUCUCUUAAUAGGUCAGCCCAUAGAACUUGCCUUUCCUGCUCUGUGCACUUGGCAUGAAUACCAGAGAAAGUCACAGGAGAAGGAAACAACUGGGACUGAAUCUGAACCGUUAAAUGCUGGGGGGACUCCCCUAUGCAAGCACAAUUAAACACAAAGCGAUAAAACAACCAAACAGUCCCCCAUUGAUUAGCCAUGCCCCAAUCCAUCCCCAAUUUCAUUCUUAUGGUCGUGAUGUUUUGGAUACUUGUCUUAGGUUCAACAACAACAACCAGCUGUAUGGAAUGCAUCUUAAUAAUCUUUGUCAAACGUUUUAAAUUAGGAGGACGAGCCAUCCCAUGAAUAUUCCAAAAUAAAAAUUUAAUCAUGGGAUAAAGCAGAGAAAGCAUUUUUGGAAACAUUUACCCUAGGGCGCAAGGUUCUGUCAGAGGGAAUUCCAGCCCGGAGGCCGCGAGUACGUACCUUCGAAGGACUACCGUGUCUUGCACCCACCUGAGUUCUGUCAUGAGUAAGCCCCACUGGGUCCAAAUUCAAUGCCUCCAUCUGCGACACCUCCUCCUGCGCUCGUAAUCUGGGACUACCACUCCUGGGAGACAGGUUUCCUACCCUCCGCUGGACCUCCAGGAGCUCUACCUCCGCCCGCGAGGGCCAUUCCUACCACGGCUCAGAGGGCACCACUCCAUCCCGUUCGUGUUGCUCAUCAACCAACCCGCCACUACCCAAGGCAUCGCAUCCCUUCUCGCAUGGAACUUCCGCCAUGACCCCUGCGCCUUGCUUCCCUGUCACCUCAGCUUGCAGCGUAGCAGCCCGACAGUACACUUGAGUGUUGGACUGCCCUCCCAAAUCUGUGAUCGUGCAACCUGUCACCUGCUCCUGCUUUUGCUGUGCCAAAGCUGCCCCUUGCGGCUGGAGUAACCCAGCGUCCUCCACCACGCGGUCCAUUCGGCGGCCCUUCUCCUCCGAGUGACCCUCCUGUCUCACCAAUGGGCCCUCAGGCUGCGCGACCAGUGGAGGCACUUGCUCAACCACCCCCAUAGUUUCUUCUCCCCCAGCACUCCCAGCUGCCACAGACGGAACCAACACCCCUUGCCCAGCCUCUAUCGUGCCCGCACAAUCACCACUUGUAUCUUCUCCUCCCACAUCUGUAGCCAACACCUUCACCCGCUGCUGAAACGUCUGCUUCACCUUAAGCCUAGGUGGGUCUACUUUCAAACCAGGGUUCUUAACUCUACACUCCACCUCCCCAUGGCCCUGAUGAAAGCAAUGCCCGCAAUAUCUGGGGAGAUGUUCAGCUACCAACGGCUGCCAGAAGCCAACUCUAUCACCGAACACUAUCCACACCCGAGUGGGGAGUUCUCUCAGAAGAUCAACUUCCACGCAUACCCGUGCAGCAUUAGGCCUUGUUCCCUGCGCCGUCGCAGCAUCCACGCAUAGAGGCUGUCCCAAGCAAGACACUAUGGGGAACAAGCACUCCUUUUGGAACAGAUGCACCGGCAAUUUCGGCAACGAAAACCAGACUGGAACGAUCGACGUCUCUCGAUCCACAUGGAAAUCGAUGGACCAUUUAAACACUCUCAUGGGCAAUGCCCUGAUAUACCAGAUUCCCCUUCCCCAAACUCUGUAGUAAUCUGCUUCAUCCGAUAAACGAAUUAAAACAUGUCUCCUCUCCAGCAACCCAAUAGAAAAUUGAGCCGUCAAAUCCAUCGCCUGGAAGAAUCUGCGCAACUCCUCUAGCAGUGGUCGCCCUCUGGAAAAUUUUCCCACUAGAGCAUAUUGGAAGGGAAGGGCAACGCGCUCUAUGUCCACCAUGUCAAAAGACACUGCCGGUUCCCCGCGGUGAGUAGCCACCACCGGGUUCACCUUCGGACCUCCUGAAUUGGAAGAAAUAGACGAGAAAGAUUUGGCAUUGAAGCCCACCGCUUUGGACGCCACAACCUCAGCAAACGACCGCCCUACACCAGUCGGAGCCGUGGUCAGGCGGCCCCCUCCCCCGAAGAGGAGGAGAUGGCGGCCAUGGCGGCCAAGUCUGACAAAAACCCUAAUAUACUAAAAAUAGAAACCUCGCCUCAUGCACGGAACAUGGUAGCUUACCGAAUGUGAUAUUUAUGUUAUUCUAACUCCAGAAAAAGCAAAUGAUCGUUCUUUUGCUUUUGUUUGGUAAGAAGUCGUUGUUCUUUUGUGCGUGUCAAUGCCUUUUCCUUUAAGAAAUGAAACGCUUAAUAACAAAAACGCGUGCACUUGCACGUGCUGUUUAUGUUUGCUUUUUUUUAAAAAAAAUAUAAUUGAAGCUCAUGAAAAUUGUCUAAUAGCUAUGGAAUGGGGAUUGUAUGUUAAAUUUUCUUAACUGAUAUGUCUAUUUGUAUCUCUUGUAUCUAGUAUAGGUUUUCUUAUGUACUUGAGAGCUUUUUUUGUUCCGUUUGGAUUGGGGAUUUUUUGAAAAAACAAAAUUUUCAACUACAAUGUUACAUUAAUAUACAAAUAAAAAUAACUUCAAAAAUACCAAAAAUAAUUUCAAAAAUACCAAAAAACAAAAAAAAUCUCAAAAAUAUAAAAAAACAACUUCAAAAACACAUAAAAAACAACAUUAAAAAACACAAAAAAUACAAUGAAAACCUAAAAAAUAACCUUAUCUACAGUAAAAGUUUUUAAACUAUAUUGCUAUAGUAAAAUAUUUCACAAAUACCGCCCAAAAACAGCUAAUCCAAACGGAGUGCAUAAACAAGAAAAAAAAAACUUAUAAUAGCAAAUUUAAUAUUUGUAAAUUGAGGAUUAUCAUAUUUUCCUUUCUUAAUCUGUUUAGCAACCAUUUGUCUCCAAAUCUUUUUCUUUAUAAUUCUUGAGAUUUUUUCAUGAAUAUUUUGUUUCUUCUAGCUGUUGAUUUCUUAUUCUGAUGGUUGGCUAUUAUUUUAUUUGUUCUGCCAGAGUGAUUUUCUCAAAAUGCCCAAGUUAGCCUUCGCUAAUCAAUCCCUUUUAACAUUUCAACUAACUUUUUGUUCUGCCAGAGUCAAACUUGCAAGGCUGUUUCGGCUAACCAUAGUCGGACAAUCGAGUGGUCACGUAGAAAUUCAGAAUGCUAAAUUUAAUGAACACGAAUACAAGUAGAACUUUUUAGAUGUAAAGUUUGAAACAAAAGCUACAAAAAGGAUUUCUUUUUUUGAAUUAGACCAAGUUAUGAUUUUUAUAGAUAAAUUUCUGCGCUGCUAUGGAUUCUGUGAUCACCGACACUACCAUCAAAUAAACCGCAAACAAGGUAACUUUCAUAUUCUUCCUGCAGUUUAAUAAGUGAAUAAGGAAGAAAAGAAUUUGUCAAAAAAACAAAGAAUUAAUUUUUACCAUUUUUAUUUAGAUAUUCAAUAACCUCAAGAAAUCUGUGAAUACAUGAAUACCAAAGGUGAGAUAUAUCAUAUAAGAGGAACUUGCGACAUGGAGGAUGGAGGAAAAGUAAAACGAUGGAGGUGACAGAGUACUAAUAAGUAAAUUCACCGUCAAUAUUUUUCAAUACUAAAUAACAUGCAUUCUUUUUGGGUUAAUAUUUAUUUUUAGGGAAAUUCUAUAGUACCUUUUAGAUCCUAUAUUGAUGAAAUUAAAUUUAUUAUUGAAUGAGAGUUAGGAAUUGUUAGAUUAUUUCAAUAAUUUGAAUCAUCUGAUGAUGUGGCAAAAAUGUAAUUGGAUUAAAAUCAUGAUACAAUGUUCAAUAUUUUUAGCAUUUUCAAGGAUCCGCCGUCAAUAGCUUUUUUUUUUCAAUCCUAUAGUAGUACGAAUUCUUACUUAGGUUUCAAGGAAACAUGGUAAGUUUUCUUUGGUUUCUCCUUUUUUUUAUCUUUGUUCCUCUAAAUUCCCUCUAUUGUCUACAUCUUACUAACCUUAUAAAUAAUCGUAUGCACUUUAUCUCAGAGAAAAUAUUCUUUGCAAUUACACUCUGUGUUGGUAAUUUUCACAAGAGAAAUCCAACAAGGCACUUAUAUGUUAUCAAAGAAUAUUCUCGAGCAGAAAAAAAAUUUUUUAUUCCAACUUACAACUUACAUGUGUGAUGCACAGUUUGUUGAGACUUCUAAAAUAGCAUGGAAAAUAAUAGAAUAUCCAAGAACAUUAGAGCACGGAAAAUUAGAAAUUAUUUUCUCAAGAAAAUAAUUGCAAACAUAUGUUUCAAAAAGAAGCUAAAACAUACUUUCUUUUCGACGAAAACAUUCCAUUUGGUUUUUCCACAGUUUUGUACAUGUUUAAGGGUCUUAAUUGGUCAGGGACUUUAGUGGAAUAAUUGAUGUUUGUGAAGGCAUUUUUGUACACGGAAUUCGUAAGCAAAAGUCAAUUAUCUAUAGAGAUUUUCGAGUGACAUGUAGUUUGUCGAAUUAUAGCAAUGGUGACGUACCUGACCACUCCAAUUAAACAACUAUGGAUUUCUUUAAAUAAUUGUAUUAAAUAGGAUUUGAUUAAACUAUUAAUUCUUUGAAUCUAAGAUUAGAUUGAAACCAUAGUUAUUAAACCCGAUCCGAAAAGGAACUCGGCGAGCAUGAUGGGUCAACGGGUCACUGAUUCAACUAAUGGAUCAUUAAAUAUAUUUAAAUAUUGUGUUUCAUAAUUUUUGAUAAAGAGUAUAUGAUAUAAAGUAUAAUAAACAAUGUCAUAGCAAAUGCUCAUUUAAUUUAAUUCGCUACAAAAUAAUUAAUUCAUAUAAGAAUCAACAAAACAUAAAUUUAAUUAGUAAUCCAUGAAACUUCAAGUAUAAAAUUUUAUCUAUAUUUAGUGUAAUUAGCAAGGUUAUUUUAUGAAUUUUUAAGUGCAAAAAAUUUUUAAAAAUAAUAUUUGUCUUUAAAAUAAAUUAUGUAAUAUGUUAUUUUUGAAAUCCAAUUUAUAACUUAUAGAAUUUGGGGGGUCAUAAGUUUUUAUUAAAAGAUUCCAAAUAAAUUUGUUUUAGAGAAAUAAAAAAAAUAAAGAUAAAAUUUACAAAAUAUUCAUAUAGCAUAAGAAGGCCAAUUAACUAGCAUAUGACAAAGUGGUCUAGUGGUAAGCAUAUCGUAGAUACAUGCUUAAAGUCUCGCAUUCGAAUCUUAGCAAGAGUUUGGUUAAAUAUUUCCCAUAAAAUCGGGUGGGUUCUUAGUUUAAUCCGAUUGAACCGUUGAGUCCUGUUACUCUUGAUUUUGAUGAUCACAAAAGCACUUUGAAAUGUUUAUCUAAUUUUCUUCAAAUAUAAAAAUUUUGCUUUUUAGAGAAUCAGGUACAAAGGAAUCAAGGAAAGAAAAUCAACCAAAAGAAGAAGUAAAAACAGGGUACUCAUACCGAACGUCCAAAAGGAAUCUGUCGGACGUCCGAAAGGAUGAAGAACAUCAAGAAAGAAACUCCAUCGGACGCUCGUGAGGAAGCAUCGGAAUCGGACGCAUGUUUCGGACGCACAUCGAUCGCAUCGGACGUCCGAAAAAUUUAGCAAAACCUUGAUAACUCUCUGACGACGUUCGGACGCAGAAGCAGACGGGCGAUGAUAUCCCAUCGGACGUCCGAACGAUAACCUGGCUGAUUUUCGGACGAUGGGAUCAGACGAUGAUUAUGCUGUCGGACGUCCGACAGUCCCAACGGCUAGUUGACUCUUCAUCUACCUUCUAUCCGUUGGAUGUAUUGAUGAAACCCAUUUUUGGUCCCCUUUAAAUACAAAUGAUUCUGAACCUGAGAGGGACUUUUGCACACUUUGUUUACAAGAUUUCAAGAGAUAUUUUAGUUAGAAAAUAGUCUCCUAAGCAAGAUUUGUUCUCCAAGUGGUGUUAAUUUCUUGUUAGUUCUUCUCUUGUGUUUGAAAUUGUCAAUAGUGUAGCUUUGUUGAGGGUUAUCUGAGUGAUAGUAAAACUUCCUAACUUGACUAAGUGAGACUUGGGGCAAGGAGGAAGUGAUCCCUCCAUUGUACAUUGAGUUGAUUUUGUUCAUCAAAGAGAAGGUGCUCAUCAUUGUGAUUGGUCUUCAAGUUUGAGGAAAACUUGGUAGACAAUCGGUUUGAUACUCUAUCUUAGUCUUUUUGUUUAAUAAAAUUCCCAUUGCUUAUAUACUCUCUUAUUUCUGAUCAACAUUGUUAUUUUCUUUAAAUUUACUUGGUUGAUCAUUACUUGAAAAGAAGGUAAAUUUUUAUUAAAGAAAAAGUGCAUAAACUCAAUUAAGUUUUUAAUCAACCUAAUUCACCCCCCUCUUAGGUUGUCUUUGGGCCUUACAAUUGGUAUCAGAACUUGGUCUCCUUGAGGCUAAGCUCAAUCGGUUUGGAGUAAAGAUGACAACCAAUCAUGCCAUGUUUGUUGAGGAGCAAUCUGUCACUAGGCCUCCCAUGUUUAAUGGUUCCAAUUAUGUUAGUUGGAAAGAAAGAAUGAUUAUUUUUUUGUAAUCCAUUGAUAUUGAGCUAUGGUUUAUUGUGAAUGAAGGACCGCAUGAUGCUAACAUUCUUGAUGCAGAUGCAGGUUUGUUUCGGCCAAAAACAAGAGUUGAAUUGAAUGCUUAAGAUAGAACAAAUCUCACAUUGAAUGCCAAAGUCAUGAAUGUUCUUUAUAGUGCCUUAGACUCAAAUGAAUCAAUUAGAGUAAAAGGAUGUAAAUCUACCAAGAAAAUGUGGGAUACGCUAAGAGAAAUUCAUGAGCAUAAUGACAACGUGAGAGAACAGAAAAAGUCUAUCUUGGUCACAAAGUAUGAAUCAUUUAGAAUAGAACCUCUUGAGGACAUUGACAAAAUGUAUUGCAGGUUCAAUGACUUGAUCAAAGAUCUCGAGGUGUUGGGCAAAGAGUACACCUUGGGUGGGAAAAACAGGAAAAUUCUCAAUACGUUGGGCAAAGAAUGGGAAAGUAAAGUGACUGCAAUAGAGGAGGCUAAGGAUUUGAAUUCUGUACCUAUUGAAUUCCUCAUUAAUUCUCUAACAUCCUAUGAGUUGAAAUUGAAAACUAAAGUGCAGGAGAAAGAGGACGCGAGGGCAAAGAGAAACAUAGCUCUAAAGAUAGUUCAAGGUGAAGAUGAUCCAACUCUGUUGGAUGAUGAAGACUCGGAUGGUGAUGACAACGAUCUUUCUCUCAUCACAAAAAGUUUCAAGAGAAUCUUGAAUAAAAGAAAGUUUAGAAAGGGAGGACCUAGCAAUCAAUUCCAGAAUCUGCCUUCAAAUGCAAGGAACAAAGGAAAAUAAAAAUUCAACAAGAAACUACUGGACAAAUGCUACGAAUGUGGACAGCCUGAACACUACACAAAUGAAUGCUCCCUGAAGAAAAAGAAAGAUGGAAAAGCUGAUCGAAAACCAAGGUUCAACAACUUCCAGAUUACAUGGAAUGAAUGUAACUCUGAAGGCGAAGUUGAAGAAGAGGAAGAAUCAGCUCAAAUGGCCUUUAUGGCUAUUGGUGAUAAUGAGGUAAGUUCCAUGCACUCUCAAUCUGAAAGUGAUGAUAAUCUUGAAUCCUUUGUUGAAAAACUGUAUAAUGCCUUGAAGGAAUCUUAUGAUAAAAACAAGCAGCUAAAACAGAAAAUUAUUUUUCUCAUUCAAGAAAAUGCAAGUCUUUUUCAGCAAAAUAAAUAACUAAAGGCUGACAAUGAGUGCCUUAUGAGAGCCGGAUUUGAUGUUCAAAAUGAACUUGACAGAAAGACUAGUCUUUGUAAAAUGCUAAAGGAAAGGCAUGGUGAUUUGAAGAAAAGAAUGGACAAUUUGGAUGAGACCUUAAAGGCUAGAAAACAAGAUUAUCUCAAUAAGAACAUGUCAACCACCUUUCUUACUGCUCAUGAAAGAACAUUGGCACACAACAAAUAUGCAUAUGGUUUCACAACAUAUAGAAGGAGUGGAGUGAGAUAUAUCAAACCAUUACUUGUUAAAAACUCUUUCACUAUAUGUAGUUUUUGUUGUCAAAAAGGACAUUUGAAAGGAGAUUGUUAUGUGAAAAGAAAUCUGAACAAAGGAAUGAGAUGCAUGUGGUUAGUUAGACACAAUGCUAACUAUUGUGGACCCAAAAGUUAAAGGGUACCAAACACUCUCUCUUUUCAGGAAAAAAGCUCAAACAAGUCCAAAUGGUUCAUUGACAGUGGCUGUUCAAGGCAUAUGACCGGUAAUCCCUCUUUGUUCAUAAAGCUAAAAUCAAAAUCAAGUGGAAAGGUGACAUUUGGUGAUGACGUGAAAGCUAAGACAAUUGGAAUAGGUGAUGUUGGUAAGGAUGGUGAAACUUUUGUUCAUAAUGUGCUCUUAGUUGAUAACUUAGGUUAUAAUUUGCUUAGUGUUAAUCAAUUAUGUGAUAAAAACUUGAAUGUGCUGUUCAAAAAGCAUGAAUGCAUUGUGUUUGAUUCUAAAUAUAAUGUUGUGUUCAAAGGUAAGAGGUUUAACGAUAUUUAUAUUGUUGUUUUUGAUAAACUUGAUUCAUCUAACUUCCAAUGUGUUAAAGCUUCAAAUGAAAUUCCUUGGUUGUGGCAUAGGAGACUUUGUCAUUUUAACAUAGAAUUACUAAAGGAAAUUUCGAAAAAGGAGUUGGUUAGAGGCUUGCCAAAAAUCAGUUUUGAAAAGGACAAAAUUUGUGAUGCAUGUCAAUUUGGGAAGCAAACAAAAGUUUCUUUUAAACCAAAGAAGUGUGUAUCAACUUCUAAACUUUUGGAACUCUUGCAUCUUGAUUUAUUUGGUCCUACUCAAAUUACUAGCUUGGGAGGUAAGAGAUAUUGUUUUGUGAUUGUUGAUGAUUAUUCUAGAUAUACUUGGGUAAUAUUUCUUGCUCAUAAAGAUGAUGCCUUCAAGAAUUUUACUUCAUUGUUUGCUAAAGUGCAAAAUCUGCUUGGUUUAAAAAUUAUUAGGAUUAGAAGUGAUAAUGGGACGGAAUUCAAGUUUUGUGAUUUUCCAGAAUUUUGUGAUUAUAAUGGCAUAAUACAUGAGUUUUCUAUUGCAAGGACUCCACAGCAAAAUGGUGUUGUAGAAAGGAAAAACAGGACACUCCAAGAGACUGCUAGAACUAUGUUGAGUGAAUGUAGUUUGCCAAAAUAUCUUUGGGCUGAAGCGGUAAACACCGCAUGUUAUGUGAUGAAUAGAAUCCUUUUGAAACCUAUUUUGAAUAAAACAUCUUAUGAACUAAUUUUUGAUAAGAAAUGUUGGAUAUUUCAAAGUUUUUUGUUGUAAAUGUUUUAUUUUGAAUUUAAAGGAUCAUCUUGGUAAGUUUAAGAAAAAAUCUGAUGAAGGAAUAUUUUUGGGGUAUUGUGAGAACAAAAGAGGAUAUAGAGUCUUUAAUAGAAGAACUCUUGUGAUUGAAGAAGCUAUACACAUAACAUUUGAUGAAACCAAUGAUGAUAAUUCCAAAAAUUCGUGUGAGGAUGAUGAUGUAGGUGUUCGUGAAAGAAUGAAAAAGCUUACAAUUGGAAAUGAAGGAAACUCAACAUUGGAAGCAAAGGAAAUGGAGGAUGAAGCUUAUGAAGAUCAAGAAAAGGAAGAUGAAGACAAGAAUGAUGAUUCAUUCAAAGACCUUCCCAUAGCUUGGAAAUUUAGCCAAAAUCAUCCAAAAGAGCUUAUAAUUGGUGAUCCAUCCGACAAGGUAAAGACUCGUUCCUCAUCUAGGAAAUUGAUAGACAAUUUUGCUUUAGUUUCUCUCUUUGAACCUAAAAAUAUCAAUGAUACUUUAAAGGAUGAAAACUGGAUUUUGGCAAUGCAAGAGGAACUUAAUCAAUUUGAGAGAAAUAUGGUUUGGACAUUAGUUGAUAGACCUCAAAAUCAACCUAUCAUUGGCACAAAGUGGAUAUUUAGAAAUAAAUUGGAUGAUAAAGGUGUAGUUGUAAGAAAUAAGCUAGAUUAGUUGCUAAAGGAUAUACACAAGAAGAAGGAAUUGAUUUUGAUGAAACAUUUGCUCCUGUAGCUAGAUUAGAAUCAAUUAGAAUGUUUCUUGCUUUUGCUUGCUUCAAAGGUUUCAAAUUGUUUCAAAUGGAUGUUAAAAGUGUUUUCUUAAAUGGUUUUAUUGAUCAAGAAGUACAUGUGGAUCAACCCCCCGAUUUUGAAAAUGCAAAAUUUUCAAAUCAUGUUUUUAAACUCUCAAAAGCUUUAUAUGAAUUAAAACAAGCUCCAAGAGCUUGGUAUGAAAGAUUGAGUGGUUUCUUGAUUGAAAAUGGUUUCAAAAAAGGUGUUGUGGACACCACUCUUUUUACUAAACAAGUGUUAAAUGAUCUUCUUAUUGUGCAAAUAUAUGUUGAUGAUAUUAUUUUUGGUGCUACUAAUGAGUAUCUAUGCAAGGAUUUUUCCACCAUUAUGCAAAGUGAAUUUGAAAUGAGCAUGAUGGGAGAGUUAAAUUUCUUCCUUGGACUUCAAAUACAUCAAGGCCUAGAGGGAAUUUUUAUAAAUCAAGCAAAAUAUACCAAAGAGUUGCUAAAAAAAAUUUGGCAUGGAGGACUCAAAGCAAGUUGGAACUCCAAUGUGCACUUCUACAAAAUUUGACAAAGAUGAAGAAGGUAAACAUGUGGAUGAAAAGCACUAUAGAGGUAUGAUUGGAAGCCUACUCUAUUUAACCGCAAGUAGACCCAAUAUUAUGUUUGCUGUUUGCUUGUGUGCUAGAUUUCAAUUUUGUCCAAAAGAAUCACAUUUGAACGCAGUUAAAAGGAUUUUUAGGUAUUUGAAAGGUUCAUUAGACUAUGGUCUUUGGUAUGCUAGAUCUUGUGAAUUUUCUCUAUAUGGUUAUUUGGAUGCUGAUUUUGGUGGUUGUCGUGUGGACAGAAAAAGUACUAGUGGAACUUGUCACUUUCUUGGUAAUUGCUUAGUUUCUUGGUUCAGCAAAAAAUAAAAUGCAAUCUCUUUAUCUGCAACCGAAGCGGAAUAUAUUACCGCUAGUGCAUGAUGUGCUCAACUUUUAUGGAUGAAGCAUAGUUUGAAUGAUUUUGGAUUGUUACAUGACUGCAUGCCUAUAUUCUGUGAUAAUACUAGUGCUAUCAAUUUGACCAAAAAUCCAAUUCAGCAUUCUAGGACAAAACAUAUUGAUAUAAAACACCAUUUUAUUCGCGAUCUUGUUCAAAAAGGUGAAGUUUGUGUGAAUUAUGUUUGCUCUAAAGAUCAAAUUGCUGAUAUUUUUACAAAAGCUUUGCCAUUGGAUUAAUUCAUUCAUCUAAGAUCAAAAUUAGGGAUAAUCGAAAAAUCAUCUUAAAAAUUUUCUGUUCAAAGCUCUCGGACGUCCUAAAGCAGAUGAACGGACGUCCGAUGAUGUUCUUCAGAUAUUUUCCAGAAAACAUCUGUUCGGACGAAACCGUCGGACGUAUGACUACGUUCGGCCGUCCGACAGUGCAACGGUACACUUUUUAAAGUGACUUUCAUCCUCAUUUGCUUCAGAACUCUUCUCUUCUCUUCUCACUCGGACGGAAACCUCUUUUCUUCUCACACUCAAUUCGUGCUUUUCUGAAACACUCAUUCCAAAAUUGACUAAACCAAAAACUUCUCCUGAUCAUUGCGAGUUCGAUUUUCGGAUCUUUUCACCAAAUCUCAUCACAUUUCGAAAGUUUCCAAAUUUCCCUCAAAACCUUACUUUCACAUAACUGCUCUACUCAAUCAUUUUCAAGGCUUCUUUAACCCAAAAUUCUUGUGUGAUUCACUCCCAUACCACUGUGUGUAUCAUUCGCAUCAUACAUUUCACACUUUUCAUACAAUGGUGAAUCUAAGAGAAGGAAAAGUCCCUGUCGGACGCAAGCACACACUCAGGGAUGAAAAUGUGGAUUCUCUUAGGGUCAUAAGAUCAUCCAAACGCUUCAAAAGGGGAGCAGUAAAGACUCAAACUUCCCGGCCUUCCGCUCAGCCUGAAUCCAGACAAGGAACUCCAUCUCAACAGCCUUCCCAAUCAACCACCGUCUCCCCAUUCUUUGAUGCUGCUGCUAAUGAAAAACAUUCCUAGAUAAUCCAGAAAGGUUUCAUUCCUCAACGAACCAUAAAUCUUUCUGAAUUUCGCAAGAUUGGUUUAGAGUCAAUUCUUAAUCUCUUUGAAUUCCAGAAAUGGUCACAUAUCAUUUCCAUGCCUAAUGUUUAUUACCCUGAAAUGCUGUAUCAAUUCUUUGCCAAUCUUAGGAAAGGCACCGACCACACUGAAAUUAUGUCCAGAGUGAAUGGGGUAGACAUAUUGUUUGAUCCUGAUAUUGUGAAUGCUGUUUUAAAUACUGCUAUUGAACGUGGAUGCAAAAGUAAAAUUACAAAUUUCUUUUCUUAUGAAGAGCAUCCCACUGCUGAUAAUCAUUUUGAUGGUGCUAAGAUGUUGUUUUAUUUUAAAAGAAAGUUUUCUGCGCCUUCUGAUGCUAAACUAAAUGACCUUACUCCUGUGAAUCUUAUUGCUUUCACAAUCAUUUCAAACUUGCUUGUGCCUACCGAUGGUCAUAGGACUGAUGCCAAUAAGAUGGAGCUGUAUCUGUUUUACUGUUUUCGAGAAAAAAUUCGCGCUGACUUUGACUUUAUCAUGUGUAAGUUUUUACUUCGCUAUGCUACUGAUUCUCGUAGAAAACUGUCCUAUGACAAAUUUCUUCAGAAAAUUUUUGAGUUUUACAAAGUACCAAUUCUUGGUGUUUGUCCCAAAGAAACAUCUUCUUCUGCCUUUACUAAGGCUUACUUUGAGCGCAAAAAUCUUGUUUUUGUGGAUAAUAUGUGGGCUUAUAAGGGGGACACAUCUAAUGAACCUAGAUCUAAGGCUGUACAUGAUCCACUUCACACUCCAUCCUCUGUUGCACUGACCUCUAUUCAUCCUAGGAAGACUGCCACUAAGACAUCUUCUUCUUCAAAUUCUGAGGUGGUUAAACUCCUUCGAGACCUUAAGCAACAUGUUCUGCUUCUUGAACAUGGUCUCAUGCUCACCAUGUCAUCCAAGCAACAAGCUGACUUCCUAGAUAAAAAGAGUUUUCUUUUUCCCCUACCUGUGGUUGAGGAAAUCCCUCCUGGCAAGGAGCCACGCUCUAAUGAUCCAAGUUCUUCAGCCUCUGUUCGCUCUAUGAGUCCUGCUGCUAUCGACCUCACCUCUAUUUCCGUGGCACCACAUGAUCCUUCCACAUCUGAUAAAGGCAAGAAACCAGUUGGUGAAAAUGCUGAAGAUGAUGAAGACACUGAGGAGGAGGAUCUCUCUCAGUAUCAGCUUACUCGAAGGACGCCUGGAUCCUCUUAACUUAUUAUUUAGGAUCAUUAGUCCUAUUAGGAUCAUUUGCAUUUGACUGUUUUUAUUUGCUGAAUGUUGAUAGUUGCCUUGAACUCUUUUUAUCUAUUGAAUUCUAGUGCUUGGUGUCAUUUGGUGUUUUGUAAUGUCCAAAACUGGACAUAUGUUUAUAUUGUUUGUGAAUGGUUGAAUCUUUACAUUUUGCUUGGUUGAAUGGUUGGAAAUAAGAAUGUAAUGCUCGUAAGAUCAUUUUGCUCUGAAUAGUUGGAUAUAUGGUCGAAUCUUUGUUACUAGUUCUCCAAAUGUAUCUUUACAUUUUGAAUUUUGUGAUGACAAAAAAGGGGAGAGAUGGUGUAGAUAUGAAUACGCUUAAUAUGGAUAAUAAGUAGCUAAGUGGAGGGGAGUUCUACGAUUGAGGGGGAGCUAUUUUUUGUUGUUCUACAAUUGAGUGAGAAAGGGGGAGCCUAUUUGAAGUCAUUAAAUUUCAUUUCAAACUUUUGUUUUGUCAUCAUCAAAAAGGGGGAAAAUGUUAUUCUUGAUUUUGAUGAUCACAAAAGCACUUUGAAAUGUUUAUCUAAUUCUCUCCAAAUAUAAAAGUUUUGCUUUUUAGAGAAUCAAGUACAAAGGAAUCAAGGAAAGAAAAUCAACCAAAAGAAAAAGCAAAAACAGGGUACUCAUACCGGACGUCCAAAAGGAAUCUGUCGGACGUCCGAAAGGAUGAAGAACAUCAAGAAGGAAACUCCGUCGGACGCUCGUGAGGAAGCAUCGGACGUCCGGAAGGAUCGGACGCAUGUUUCGGACGCACAUCGAUCGCAUCGGACGUCCGAAAAAUUUCGCAAAAUCUUGAUAACUCUCUGACGACGUUCGGACGCAGAAGCAGACGGACGAUGAUAUCCCAUCGGACGUCCGAACGACAACCUGACUGAUUUUCGGACGAUGGGAUCGGACGAUGAUUAUGCUGUCGGACGUCCGACAGUCCCAACGGCUAAUUGACUCUUCAUCAACCUUCUAUCUGUUGGAUGCAUUGAUGAAACCCAUUUUUGGUCCCCUUUAAAUACAAAUGAUUCUGAACCUGAGAGGGACUUUUGCACACUUUGUUUACAAGAUCUCAAGAGAUAUUUUAGUUAGAAAAUAGUCUCCUAAGCAAGAUUUGUUCUCCAAGUGGUGUGAAUUUCUUGUUAGCUCUUCUCUUGUGUUUGAAAUUGUCAAUAGUGUAGCUUUGUUGAGGGUUAUCUGAGUGAUAGUAAAACUUCCUAACUUGACUAAGUGAGGCUUGGGGCAAGGAGGAAGUGAUCCCUCCAUUAUACAUUGAAUUGAUUUUGUUCAUCAAAGAGAAGGUGCUCAUCAUUGUGAUUGGUCUUCAAGUUUGAGGAAAGCUUGGUAGACAAUCGGUUUGAUACUCUAUCUUAGUCUUUUUGUUUAAUAAAAUUCUCAUUGCUUAUAUACUCUCUUAUUUCUGAUCAACAUUGUUAUCUUCUUUAAAUUUACUUGGUUGAUCACUACUAGAAAAGAAGAUAAAUUUUUAUUAAAGAAAAAGUGCAUAAACUCAAUUAAGUUUUUAAUCAAUCUAAUUCACCCCCCCUCUUAGAUUGUCUUUGGGCCUUACAAGUCCAUUAACCAAUCAACAGGUUUUGUGUUUAAAAGGUGUAAUUAGAGACCUAAUCUGACCAAUGGUAGGUUCACUGGUUGAUCAAUUCAACCCACUAAAUCGGGCCGGAUUUAAUAAAUAUGAUUGAAACAUAGUUGAUAGACUUUCUUUGUGUUGUCCAAUUAUACAGACACCAUUAAUCGGUAAUAACUUAUUUUUAACAGAUUUUUGAAACAUAUAGCGGAUAGUUUUUUUUAUAAAGAAAAUAAUAAUAAUAUCUCUAAAUUUAGUAUAAUCAAAUUUUGGAUGUUAGAAUUGGGUGUGUUUAUUUAUUAAAACAAGCAUCAAUAAAAUCUGUACAGACUUAACUUAAUUAUCAUGAAAUAUGUCAUAGGACAAAAUAUGUUUUUAAUUUUGUUUUAUUUGUUUGUAUUGUGUAUUUGUUUACCUUGUGGGAACUUUGAGUUUGUUUCCUUUACUUUAAGAAUAAGUUAUACAUUUAUUAAAAAAAAGGGUUAUUAUCACUUUACCCCUUUCAACUAUAUUACCAUUAUCAGUUUACCUCCUAACGUUAUCUUUUAGUCAUUUCACCCUCAUAAGUAAUUCAACUCAAUAUGUUAAGAAAUUUUGGACAAAAAUACCCUUUUAUUCUAUAGCAUUACUAUAUUGUUAUUAUUACUUUAUUCUUUUAAAUUAUAGUGAUAUAAUCACUUUAAUUUCUAAUAUUAUUUUCUAGGCAUUUUACUUCAUUGUUAGUCUAAUUAGAAUGGUAAAAUUUUUUUAAAUAUAUUGACCCUUUCAUAUAUAUAAUUAAAAAUAAAAAAGUUGGAAUGAUUAUUCUUCUUUUUUUCACUUUAAGAGAUCCAAAAAUAUAAAAUUAAAAGGGUUUUCUUAUUAAUACUAGGAAAAGAAAAAGAUAUAGGAAAGAAGGAGAUAAAAAAUUAGAUUUUGUAAAGAAAAUAAGAAAGAAAAAUAUAACAUUAUUGUAUUAAUUUAAGGUUGUUGGGAUAGAAUUGAAAUUUGAUGGUAAACAAUAAAGUAAAAUAAUUUUAAAAUAAUAAAAUUAUUUAAUUUUUUCUUAUUUGUAUUUAAAAUAAAAGAAUUGAGCUCUCUCUUUCUCUAUCUCUCUCUCCCCCUCUCCCUCCCCUCCCAAUCUUUCUAUUUGUUUUAAGGGUUAAUCACAUUUAAUCCCUUUAAGAUAUACCCUAUUUCUCAGUUUACCCUCUAAUUUUUAAUUUUGCUCACUUAACCCCUAUAGGACAAAAUUGCCCUUGCAUUAGUUUUACUUUUUAUUACCUUGUUUUCCUUUCUUUUAUUUCUUUUUCUCUUUUUUCUUUAUUUAAUUCUUCCUUUUUCCCACAAAAAUCUUCACCUUAAUGAUUGAAAUUUAAAAAAAGAGGAAUUGCAGAGAUUUAUCUUCUCCUUAAAUGAUUAAAAAAAUAUUUAAAUCACUUUCCUAAAAUACAUUCUUUUUAGCCUUUCAAUUCUUUUAAUUUUGGUUUUUCCUCUUUCCUUUCUAGUUUCCUAAAACUAAUUUUGAUUUUUUGUAUGAUGCCACAUGUCAACAGUUUACGACGACAAACCAUUCAUGUCUCUUUUUCAUUUGUUUACAUGUUGAAUCAGUCCAAUGAUAUGUUAAUUCAUGUGUAUUUUGAAGCAAUUUCUGGAGGCUUCUAAAUUCUUUAUCUGUUAAUACCUGAUGCUGCUACAUAACAUUCUGAUAAAUUUCUGAUUGCAGUAGGAAACACAUUCUUUAUCUUCUUCUUGUCAUUUUCUGGUUCAGUGUUGAGUAAUUUUCAUCCUUUAUAAUCCCAAUUUGCGAAAUCUUCUUCCAUGUUGCUACAUAUUGAUAUGAUACUCAGAACCAGCAGAGCAAUAGCAUAACUUGAUACGAUACUCAAAACCAGAUACACUUUUCUGUUCCCAAUUUGUGUAUGUAAAUAAGAGUAAUACAGAAAAGUGUAACUCAAUUGAUUGAUAUGUUUAAACAUACAAUCACAGUUUUGCAACAAAUAUUAAGUGGAGACAAAAACCCAAAAAAAAAAAACUAUGGUUGUGUUAUUUUUCAACAGAGGAAGGGCAUAGGACUUAAUAUGUGUUUUUCUUCACUACAAUAUGCUGAAAUACAAACAUUUUCGUUCUUUAAUAGGCAAUAUUUUCAGAAAUAAAAAAGGAAGCAAUUUUUUCUUAAAACUUUUUUUUGUGUGUGGUUUCAUGUUUUAUUUUGCUAUUUUAAGUGGUUAAUUGCUCAAACUGAUCAAAAUGACAAAUCAAAGAAACCAGAUGACCUAUUUUGUUGGGUAAUCUGUAUACCUCUUCAUUCAACUGAUGUAGUACUGCAAUUAUUCCUUCUUCCAGAGUAGAUUUCCUCGGAAGGAGAGUCCGUUUCUUCUCAUCAUCACAUUAGACAAACGGUGAAGACUGAAGCAUUUAUGUCUCUCCUUGAUUUGGUGCGAUCAUUCCACUCAUCAGGUUAGAUAUAAUUGUAUGUGCAUGUUAAUUCAGUUCAAUGAUAUAUAAUUGCUCCUGUAUGUGUAUUCCUUCUUCAUCUGUACCAAAUUAUUUGGUUUGAACUUUGAUGCAGUUGUAUUACUUUGUCAUUGCAGGGGCAAGCACAGUCAUGCAUUCUAUCAAGCCAACAUUAUCCAUCAUAAUCUGUUUGUAAAAUGUUCUCCAUGUUCCUUUCUGGUUUGAUGUUUAAUAAUGUACACUUUAUGAUCCAUCAUAAUCUGUUUGUAAAAUGUUCUCCAAGUUCUUUCCUGAUUUUGAUGUUUAAUACAGUGUUCAUGAUCCCAAUUUUUCAAAUAUUCUUCAAUCCCGCUACAGAUUGAUAUGAUCCUUAAAACUAGCUUUUGUAGAAUGUUCUCCAUGUUCUUUUCUGAUUUGAUGUUUAACAGUGUUUAUGAUUUUUUGAGUGGAUAAUGAAACAAAACUGCGGCUUUGGAACUACGAAACGAAAAGAUGAGGCAUUCAGGCACUUGUUCUUUGCAUGCUCUUUUUUUGUUUUUUUUUUUUUUGAGAUAGAAGUAGACCUGUCAAUUGACUUGGGCUAACCCAAGUUCAACCCGAUCAACCUCAAAUGUAGUAGGUUGUGCCUUAUGCAAUGCGGGCUGAGUUGAUGUGGACUAAACUAUUUUGCCUGAUUUAAAUGUGAACUGAAUUUUAGUUGUACUGAAUUUAUUCCACUUAAUUCUCAGUCCGAAUAAUAUGUAUUCUAGAGCUCAUAGUGGGAAUUAAGAAGAUUUAUUUCUCUAAAUCUAGACAAAUAUUAAUUUUCUGAUAAAUUGUUCUUUUUCAAUUUCUAGUUGAUAGAUUUAUGGAUGUUAUAGUAAACUAUAUUAUUUUUUGUUAUAAAAUUUAAACUUUUAGAACAUCUAUGGAUUAGUUGGCUGUUUGGUUCAAUUAGAUUUUGUGAACGUUACAAGUACAUGACAUGAAUUUGCACCUAUCCGAAUUAGGCCAAGUGCCCUACUUUUAUUUUGAGUCGAGCAUGAGUUACAAAAAUGUGAUUCUAGUUGAGUAGAAUUUGGAUUCAGAAAAAUGAUAUUUUAUGUCAACUGAGUUUAAGCAUGUUAACACCCAACUCACAUAGUCCAAUUGAUAGGAUAAGAAGGCAAAUAAUUGAAAUAGAUUCAGCCAACGAAGGAAUACUUUGUGACUAAUGAAUGGAAAUUGCGUGAAAGUUUGUUUUUUUUUUUUUUUUUUUACAAUAACUCUUUUUUUUUUUAUGUUUUAUUCGUAUUGGACUCCCACCAAAAGGCGAGUGAAAUUACAAUAGCUAGCCUAAUCUCGGAGCCUAACCAAAGCAUAAAUGAGGAGUACUACUCCCUUACAUUGGAGAUCCUAAGUGAUGGUACUUGCGUGAAAGUUUGUUGUUGUUUGAUUAAGCAACGUUGUACAUUAAAAUAUUUAGCUCUAAGUUCCGUCAUUAUGUCUUUAAUGUCAUGCAUUCUAUCAAAUUCUUUAGUUUUCAAUAUAGUUGGGUACACAUGAAAAAAAAAUUAAAGAGGGAUAUUUAAUAACUAUUGUACUAACAUUUAUGCAUAUCCACCAAAUUUUAGAUCCAUCUUAAAGAACACAAAUCCCAAUGUGGUAAUAGUUAAGAUUCCAAGAACGUAGGUGAGAAAAAAUUGAGCAAUAAAUAUCCUAUAGCUUCAAUUGUAUUUAUAAUAUCUAUACAAGAUCAAUUUCUUUAAAAUGACAGAAAUUCUAUUAGUAACAGUGAAAGAUUUUGGCUUUUGAUGAUCAGCUAUUGGGAACCAUAUGUCAUUUAAAUCUUGAGAAUAACUUUUUCUAAUGUUUUGAUAGAAUAUACUCUAUUAAUUAAGUAAUGGAAGCAAAUAUGAGUUAGAUUACUCUAUUAGUGUAAAAGAGUAUGGAUAUAAGCAUCAAAUAGUGAUUAUUUCGGUGAAACUUAGGAAAUAUUGCUUUUUAUUUUAUUAUUGGAUGUAUCGCUAAUUACUGAACUUUUGAUUGAUAUAACUUCCAAAGCUACUCUUUUUAAUGAUGUUUUCACUGUUUUGUUGGAAGUAUUAAAUUUUUUGGAUGAUUUUCUUUAUCUGGGGAGGUUUUUGCUGUCUUUUUCAAAUUCCUAUAUAAUUUCUUGUUCAAGUGAUACCAAUAAGACAGUUCAAAUUUCUGGAUUGUGAAUCACGUACUUUGCACGAAUAUUCUGGAUGACAAUGUUUCAUGCACAUUUUAAGAGUAAUUAAACAUGGUUUCAAGAAAGAUUAAAGUCCAAAAUGCAUAGCACUUCUGGUCUUCAACACUAAUGAUCUAGCUCAUUCAGUCCGACACAACAUCUCAAGAUCUUGGAAUCAAGAAUGUGUUCUUUUGAUUCUGUAGUUUUCUGAAUAGAAACGUAAACAAAUCAAGAAAUAUCUUCAAAGUUGUUGUACCCACGAAAUCAACCGCGGUAAAUCUUCUCAUAUUGGGCAGCAAUAAGAGAAAAAGAUCAUGAAUGAUUGUCGUUUUAGUGGUGAUAUGGAAGAUAUGAAUAAACGUAGUUUGUGAUUUUUCAAAAUUGGCAAUGGAUAGUGGACGAGGAAAUUCUUAUGGAAACCAAAUGGGUAGGUUUGGAGCAGAGAGAGUCAUUAUUUCUGAUAACCAACCUAGAAGUUUAAGGGAAUUAUCAGAGUCAGAAAUUCGAGAUAUGCUGAUGGGAAAGGCUAGGAUUAAAAUCCACAAGAAGUUACCGGGAUAGAAUAUGGCUGCUGUACAGAAGUCUUCAGGUAAAGAGGCAAGGGAGAAGCCAACUUCAUCACUGCUCCGACAGAAUCAGUUGGAAGUCAAUUUCUUCUAUUAUAACUUUCUCAGACACAACUGUCACCAUUAGUACCCUGAGCUAGAUCAUGCACUAGGGAGCUUGCCUUCUGCUUCAACCAAUGGUCGAAACACAGAAGCUACUGAUAUUGUCACGCCUCUAACCCGCACGUGCCAGUCACGUGACAUCCGCCGUACCCUCAAGUCUCGCUCAAGAAUACAAGACAACAUCAUAUUAUACUAAACUUUAAAAGUACUAAAUAAUAUAACUAGAUAAAGUGCGGUACAAAUCUCAUAUGAAGGAUAGUCUACGAAUAUCCAAUAAGUUCGUACAUUUAUUUUCUGAUUGAAACAGCGGAAAUAAAAGUAAAUAAAACUAACAACUAGAAGUAGCUAGCCUGCUAACUUCUGUUCACUUAAAAACUAAUAAAAGUCAUCCUCAGGGUCCUCUACGUAAAUCAAUUCAUACUCUUUAGAAUCUGCAAAGAUGGUAAAAAAUGGAAUGAGCGACAAAUUGCUCAGUAGGUAAUAUUUACCUCUUUGUUAGACCAUACACUCGUAACUUUAUAGAUACAUAUAUAGAUAUAAAUUAAAUCAUUUGCACAUAAAUCAUUUGCACAUCGUUUACAUCCAUAAUCUUGAAAGUAACGUUGUUUAUAAAACAAUCAGUAGUAACGGAUGACGAGCAAUUUAAAAGCAUUUUAUUGACAACUAUACAUGAAAAAUGACAAAGUCAUAUAUCAUUUCAUAUCCAUUCAUAAGUCUCUUCAUAUCAGUUCAUAAAUUAUUUCAUAUCAAUUCAUAAGUCUCUUCAUAUCAGUUCAUAAAUCAAUUCAUAUCAGCUCAUAACAAGUACAUGUAAUGAUCUGCUACUGAAUAUUCAGCCUAGAGAUUAAACCCCUUCUAGGUGGGCGACCAAUAGAUUUCAUGACUACCAAUUGGUCUCAUUACAUACAUGGGACAAUCGUUCGGAUUUUAUAUCAAACUACCAUGAUUUUGUCAAUCGGUCGGACUCUAUACCAAGUUACCAUGACCAUUAGACAGGACUAUAGCCCCUACCAUCUAUUCCAUGACCGUUUUGAGUUUUAGUUGUCACAAAAUCAUUUCAUAUGUCACAUACAUAGUUCAUUGAUUUCAUAAAAGAUACAGCUCGUUUGGCAUAUAAUAAUAUAUCAAAAUAUUUCAAAUAAGUCACAUGGUCCAUUUUCGUAUAGUGAAAAUAUAACGUUUAUAUAUAUCCAAGUAAAGCAUUUAAUCAAAUACAUUUCGAGUCAACACAACAAAAUAUGAUUGACACAAAAAUUGCAUUUUGCACCUUUGAAAUCUCAGAAGGGUAAGUACCACCUACCUUUGUCUGGCUGUUCGAGUGAGGCUACCUUAGGUCUUUUACACUUGUGUCGUACCUAUCAAAUACAUAAGUUUCCUAAUUAGUUGAUAUUUUCUAUAGAUGCAUAAAUAUACAAACUCUGAGCGAGUCGAAAAUUCAUGUCUAAACCAUUAUAAGACCCUAACAGCAUUUUCCUUGAUUGGACGAUUUCUAUUUUUGGAAAGUUUCCUAAAUUGAAAAGUUUCUAUUUUUUAGAAAGUUUCUUAAUUUGGAAUAUUCUCCUUUUUGUAAAGUUUCUGAAUUUAAAAGAAAAUAAUUAUUCAUAUAUUUAUUAUCUUGCCUAUUAUAUUACCAUACAUAUUUAUAAUUUAUAAUUUAUAAUUAUUCAUUAUUAUUAUUAUCGUCCUCGUCGUCGCUACUUUAUUUUAUUACCAUUUUAUAUAUUUGUUAAUUAGUUACUAUUAUCUUUCGCUUUAUUUCCACUUUGUGCAUGUGUAGGUGUUAUUAUUAUUUAUGUAUAUAUGUAUAUAUAUAUAUAUAUAUAUUGACUUAUUAUUAUAAUUAUUGUCUUAGUUUAUUCUACUUGUGUUUAUAUUUUUAUUUUCAUUUAUAUCUUUAAUUUACUUCAUCUAUAUCUAUAUUGUCAUUAUUAUUACUAUUAUUGUUAUUAUUAUUAUUACCAUUAGUGUUAUCGUUAGUAUUAUUAUUAUUAUUAUUAUUAUUAUUAUUACGAUUUUAUGCGUUCCGUUUAACAACUAGGACUUAUCUUACAUUGUAUAAAUUACUCUAAUAAAGCUAGAUUAAGACGUUUUAAAUUUCUAUUUAAGUAUCUUAGACUUAAUCAAUAAAGUAUAAACUUAAAUGACUAAAUCUUUAAACUCCAAAAAUUAUUAUUUAGAUUGGGUUUUGAAAUUUAAUUCCUAUGUUAGUCCAUAAAAUGUGGACUAAUUAUACCUAAAAUUUAACUAUUGGAGAUUCACUAAACUCAUACUAUAUUUUUGUUCCCAAAUAUAUAUACUUGUCUUUUUUUUUCAAAUUCUAUUAUUAUUUUUAUUAUUCUACUUGUGCUGGAGACCUCCUUUUUUUUUUGUUUCCCUUUGGUUGGCCGACCACUUGGUUGCUAGCGACCUUUGCUUUGCCCUUUUUUUUUUUUCCGCUUAAGCUUCAGCAAUUCACAACUACAACACCCUCUUUCUUCUUCUUCUUUUUUUUUUAAAUAACUUUCCAACAAUUUGGUAAACCCUAUUCAUCCCAUAAUUAAAAUUCAAUACCCUAAUCCUACUAAUCCAAACCUAAAUCUUCCUAAAUUUCUCAUACAGGCAUAUACAUAUAUAUAUAUAUAUAACAUAAUACAUAUAUGUAAAAUCUUUAAAAUGAUUAACGCGACUAAUAGAACUUAAAAGAGGAGUUUUCACACGAAUUUAGGACUUACGAGUUUAGGUGCCUAACUGCCUGAUUGAUCAACAGUGACGCCUUCUUCUCCCCCUCUACUUUCUGACGGCUCUUACUCUAAAGGGAGGCAGACAAUGAAAGGUAGGAAUAAUGUUAUUUUUUGCUUUAUUGUUUUGAUAAGUGUGCUAAACCCUAGUAACCACCCACCAUUUGGUGGUUUAGACAAGAGUUCUAACUGUUGUGAACUUUUACCCUAUCUUAUCUCAUUCCUAUCCCCCAAUUAACCCUUUAACCUAUCUUAUAAUUAUUUUUUUACUUUGACUCAUGGUAAAUUGCCAUUUAAUUAAUUGGACAAGGAUAAAAAAAUGAUCCCAAAAUCGUGGGUUUUACAGAUAUGUUCAUGACGAUGGAUGUGGCUGAUCCGGAUUUGACAAAGAUAGUGUGGAAGAAUCAUUUGCUGAAAACCCGGUUUGGGCUGCAUAUGACAAUGAGGUGGUGUGCCUUGCUUUUAUGCUAUUAUUCAUGAAGCCUUGCCCAGAAAGCCCUUUAAAGUUAGGAUUAGCUGGUUGAACUCCAAAAGCAACAGCGAAUUGAACUUGGUCCAUUAAAUUGGUGUGAGUUGUGGUUUUGCUAAACUUGCAAAACUAAUUGCCAUAAUGGUUGGUUCUGAUUUUACAAAAUUGAGAAUUUUGAUACCAAUUGUGAUAUAGGGAAGUUCUUUUUUUAAAAAAAAAAUUGAAGAUAAAGUCGAUGAUAAUAAUUGAAUUAUCCAAUUAAGUAUGGAAUUUUGUGGUUAAAUUCUAAUUCAGUUUGGAGUCUGGAACAGAUGAAUUUGAAACUAAAAAGUGAGAUAUCGAGCUUUCAGUUAUCCAAGGAAGCCGACUUGAAAUUUACCAAUCAUUGUUUGAUCAAUUGUCUACGGCUGUGAAAUAUUCAGGAAUAGUGAGAGCCAAAAAGAAACUGUGAUUGUUUGAGUUGGUGUUCGGUUUUGCCGAAUUUGGAAGGAAUGCAUGAGCGCUCACCCUACCAACUGCAUAGGUUGUUUUCUUAAAACUCAAUACUCCUCUCUUAGAUUUUCCGUUUUUUAUUUGAACCAAUUCAAAUCCACUUUUCUUUCUUUAUUUUUAUCCCAUAGAAGAAGGGUUCUUCUGGAAUUUAAUUGCAAAGAAGGGAUUUUAACACUGCUACCCAUUAUUCCAAUUCUUUAAGCAUCCGAGAAAACCCCUCAAGAAAAAAAUAUUUUUGGAGUGGUUGAUGAAACAAAGUUGCAGCUUUGAGGUCUACGGGUAGUAUCUACCUUGUAUAUAAGAAGGAAAGGAGGUUUAGUUCUUUGCCUCCCUUGUUGCCAUUUGAUUUUUCAAUAAUUUGACAAGUGGCAUAAGUCUAAUAUUUUUCUUGCACAUGAUUUUCUUGCCUCUUGCAUAUCCCUUUUUUCUUUUUUGCUUUUUUUUCAUGCCAAACUGAGCAAGUUUGGCUCCUUUAUUCUCCUUUUGAGCCCAACGAAUUUUUUUAACCUUAAUUAUUUGACUAAGUGAGUCUAUUGUUUAAUUCAUCACCGUUAGAUUAGUUUUAAUAAAAUAACACUACAUUACAACUCUUGGAUCAAUUUUCAUUCGUUCUUAUUGUCUACCUAUUAUAUAAGAGACAUGGGAAUUUAAUGUAGCACUUUCAUUUAUAGGGAUGGCAACGGGGCGGGGUUGGGGCGGGGGACCCCUCCCCCAUCCCCCGUCCCGCUGCCUACAAACUCCCCCCACCCCCGCCCCGUCUCCGCCCCGCCCCACUUCCCCCGCUGGGACACCCGCGGGGCUAAUAAAAAUUUGUUAUAUAAUUUUAUUAUGGUUAAAUUUUAGCAAAUAAUCAAGUACUAAAAUAUCAACACAUCAUCAAAUUAUUAUUCAUUGUAAUUUUACAAUUGCAACUUAUAAAAAUAAUCAAACAAAAAUUAUUUGAAUAUAAUCUAACAUGAUGAAAUAAAUAUAACUAAAGUAGUCAAGUUUUCACUUUUGACACAAAUAUAAUCACUAAUUCAUUAUUGUGCUUGUGCUUUUUUAAGAAAAAAAUGUUAUUGUAUUAAGUAUAAUUAGGAAUUUAUUAUAAAUGUAUUAGUAAAUUUAGUAUAACCAAUUAAUAAUUUGUAUUAGUACACAUAUAUAAUUAUUAGUAUAAUUAAUAAUAUCAAUUAUAUUAUAUAUACUAAUAGACAUUAUAUAAUACAUAUAAUUAAUAAUAUCAUUAUCAUAAGUUUGUAACUAAUUAAAUUAUAUAUUAUAUAUAUAAUUAUAUACAUAUAUAUUUUAUAUAUUUAUUUUUUUAAAGCGGGUGGCAGGGCAUGGGAUGGGGCGGGGGUACACUCCCCUGCCCCCCGCCCCGUUUCUAAGCGGGGGAAAAAAAUUCCCCCCUCCCCCUCCCCAUUAGCCCCCCGCGGGGCGGGUGCUGGCGGUCUCCCGCCCCCAUUGCCAUCCCUAUUCAUUUAUUGACAUGUGAUGUAACUCUCCUUUGAGGAAUUUAUGAUUUUUCUCCCAUUUUUUUAUUUCCCCUACUUCUAUCUUGAUGGAGCAAGACAAAAGAUGUACCAUACAGGAUAAGACAAAAGAUUUCAAUUGCAAGUCAUGUUGCAUAACUACAAGAACUUCUACUGUUUUUAUAUAUUGUCUAAUUUAUGACUAUAAGAUCAACUUUUAUAGAUUAAUGAAAAAUUUUUAAUCCUUGGAUAUUGAUUAAUUAUGUUUGAUUAGUAGCUAACCAACUAUUACAUUUAAACAACUCUUUUAUGUAAUCGAUUAAAGUCUCUUUUUCUAUUUCUUUAUAAAUAGUUUCUCAAUGUUGCAUAGAAAAAAUCAGAUUUCUUCCUUCCCAAUUGUAUUGAACUAUGCACUUGUUCAUUAAUCUCAAGAUUAGUGAUGGAUUUAAUAGAUGCUAUGUUUAUUGUCUCCUUGAUUUAGAAGAGUUAACUUUAUAGAUGGAAUUUCUUCUGAUGCUCAAAUUUUCUCGUGUUUUUGUCUAUUAUGUACCAACAAGUUUUACUGUUAUAUGUUCAAUCAAGUUAUUAGGGGGCCUAAGCUGUGCCUUGCACGGCCGAGGUACCUCUAGUAGUAAUAGACUUUUCGGUACUUCUUGUUGGGCUUUACUUGGUUAAGAAGGGAAACUAUACGGUGGAUUCAGCCGAGGAAUGAAAACCUUUUGCAAAAACCGGUUGUUGAAUGAUUGAGCAACAUUAAACCUUUAAAUAUGAACUCCGGAUGUAGCCAUUAUGUCGUUAAUUUCAUGACAAUCUAUGUUGAAUUUUUGUACAAAAGUUCUUUCGUGUGGCAAUAUCCUAAAUAAGAAUAAGGGUAAGUAACCUUUUACCCAUUGUGUUAGGUUCUUAAUCAUAUCAUUCUUCUCCCUCGUUCCGCCUCUCCCCCACUCUUAUGGUUUUAAAAUUUAUACAUAACCUCCUCAUAAUUUAGGUUAAACUGUCACCAUUAAUUUUCUAUUAAAAUUCGCUGUCAAUAUUAAAAAAGUCAAAAUCAAACCAAUAAAUUAAUAAAUUCACCAUUUCUUAAUUUUUUCCAAGUACAAAAGAGAAGAAAGAAAAUUAAAGAAAAAGACAUAUAAGAAUUAGAAAAUACAAAAUCUUUAAUAAUUGCAAAUAUUUUAAACCAAAUCUUUAAUGAUUGCAAAUCUUUGAUGGUAUUUUCUAUUUCUUAUUUAUAUAUAUUUACUUCCCUUUAUUUUUUUGUAUUUGGAAAAAUUAAGAUUUAGUAUGCCAAUGUACAAUUAUUUCUAAAUCAUAUCUUCUUUUCCCAAAGGGAAAAAAGAAAAGACAAAAAAGGGGAAAAAAAGAAAAAAGUUAGUGAAAAGCUAUAUUUGUCAAUCCAUUAGUUUUGGAUUUGACUUUUUGAUAUUAAUUGUUAGUUUUAACCAAAAAACUAACAGUUAUGUUUUAACAAAAACUACAGAGGUUUUAUGUGGUAAAACAACAAACUACAUAAGGGGUAAAGGAUAAUUUACCCUUAAAAUAAUUAUUUUCAAUUGGUUCAAUAAUUUACUAUACGAAACAGUGGUAGAGCCACAUUCUGUUGAAGGGGAUGUGCAAUUGCACCCACCCAAUUUUUUAGAAACUAUAAAAUAGCCCAUAAUUUUUUUUUUACAAAAAAUUAUAGUAUUGCCCCAUUUUUGCUGUUCUGAAUUUUGGUAGCAUUCCCUUUAACCUCAUAAUUGUCCCCCAAAAUUGUUCAAAUCUUCAAUAAUUGUCUUCUCCAUUUCCACAAUGGUAAAUCUUGAACUAUAAUAUAUUACAUGAUACUAUUUUUUCCCUUUUUAUUAAAUGUAUUUUUUGUAAGCAAAUGCUAUCUCUUUAAUAUUUAGCUUUUCUUACAUGUAUAUUUCGUACAAAUUACAAGCCAACCAAAUAUUCAUUUUACAGUUCGAUUGUGUGUAAAUUAUUUGCCAAUUGUACAUCUUAAUUAUAAUACAUAUCUUGUAUUCUUAUGCAUGAUUUUAUACCAUUGGAUGAGUUGAAAAAUAAUGAAUCCCAAGUUGCAUGUUUGCUAUAAUAAAUAUUUAGUCAUUUCAAAAAUCUACAAACCAACACGUUAUAAGUCUAAAUUAAUAUUAUUACACCCCUUGAAUAAAAUGUUUUGGCUACGCCACUGCUACAAAGCCAUGUAGCCAAACACAAGUUAUAUUAUCUCUAUUAGUAUAUAGAAAUAUGUAAAUAAAUACUAUUUUGGUGAAACUUGGAAAUCAUUAGAAUUGUGAAUAACACAAAUUAGAAAAUAAACGCAUCCAAUCUUUCAAGUAUUACGAUUAAAAUAGUUCAAGGAUACAUUUGAAAAAAGGUAAGGCUAUUAGAAGAGAUUGUGAGGUUGUUUUGUGAUUCUAUUUGAUAAGUUUAGGUACAGGAAAACUAGAGACUUGACUGUGUUGGAUGCAUAUAGUGUUUGUUACAAAGCUAGUAAAAUUUUCAGGCCCUUGUCGAUAGUAAAUUGGGCGUCGUCAUUGUAAAUCACUCUUUCGCACGAUUCGUACCUAUGGUUUUUCACAAGUUCCAGGUUUUGGAGACUUGUAGAUUUCGUUUUUUUACCUUGUUUUUUAUGGAAAACUUGUUGAACUUUUAUUAAUAAGUGCGUCAACAAUCUUUUGUUAGGACUGGUCCCAUUUUCAAGAAAUUAAUCAACUAGAAUAAUAGGACUCUUGACAAUUCAAUAAAAACAAUAACAAACAAAUAAAUCAAACAAAGAAACACCAAAAUUUAUAUAAUUUAAUCAAAUGACUUGCAUUCACGGGCGAAAGGGUGACAAAUUUAUUAUAACAGAAAGGAUACAAAACCCUAGAAAAGAGUUUGUACACCUAAAAGCACCCAAUAUCAAAAGCACAAGAAGAGAAUUCAAAAUCACAUAUAAGGUUUAACAGUCUAAAGGCCCAAAUAACUCACUAACUGGCUCUGUUAAUUCGGCGUUUAACUUAAAAACCUCUCUUAAAUUAGGCAUCACAGCUGCCACCAUUUGUACCCUUGAGCCAGAUCAUGCACUGGGGAGCUUGCCUAGUUGUCUUCUGCUUCAACCAAUGGUUCAAACAUAGAAGCAACUGAUAUUAUGAAAAUGGAUGUGCCUGAUCCGGAGUUUGACAGAGACACAGAGGAAGAAUCAUUUGCUGGCUUUCAUGACAAUGAGGAUGGCAUGCCUGGCUUUCAUGCUAUUAUUCAUGAAGCCUUGUCCAGAAAUCCCUUCAAAGUUUGGAUUAGCUGGUUGAACUCCAAAAGCAACAGCGACUUUGGUCCAUUAAAUUGGGUGGGUUGGGCUCUUGCUAAAAAAGUUUCUUUUAGGCCUCUUGGUGAUGAAAUGGUUGUUUGCUUCCAGAGGAAACUUUCAAUAUUGUCUUUCAUAAAAUCACAGUGAAUCACGUACAAUGCACGAGUCUUCGUGAUCACAAUUUUAAUGCAAUUAUUUAUUUUAAUGGAAAAAUGAAUUCCUUAAUUUAACGGAGACGGUCUUUGCAAAUUGCAAAAUUUAUACAAGUUUUAAUGCAAAUUCUACCGUUUCUUUUGGAUGUCAUACUGAUACUGAUGAUUAUAAUUCAAUAAACUCCUAUCACAUCAUUCAAUAAUUUAAACUACUAAAACUAUCUAAGGACUGAUAUCUGUCUUUAUACAUUCAAUGGUAAAUUGAUACGUGAUAUCCAAAAGUUACAAUAGAGCUCUCCGAAGAAAGUAAGGUUAUUAGAAACAUGAUGACAAAUCUCCUCUUGCUUAUGGGAGUUGGCAUUUUCAGUUCUCAUAAUCACAGUACUGCUAAAGUUUGAUGUUUCUAGAUUUUUGCAUCAUAGCAUAUUAUCUUAUAUGCAUUCUGUUCAUUGGGAUAAUUUUAAAAGUCCUUUGGGUUUCUGAUUGACGGAAUGUAUAGCAGGGAGCAUUACCUGCAGGUUGCUUCUAUCUCAAAAAAAAAAAAAACUCCUGACAAUUAAAAGUGUCAGCAUUGAAUUCGAUAUUCUAAUGUUGUACUAUACCUAUCCUGACACUUUCAAUUAUCAAGAAAAGGGAUUUUUGUUGGCAGAUGGGAUGUUAUAACAGCAUAGUUUUCCUGACAUGUUGAAUAGUAUGAGUCUAUCCCCACAUUGGAAGGGACAAUACUCGCCCUAGGUGUGAGGAUAGAUAAAGUGUCAGGUUAGAUAAUCUAUACUGACACUUUUAAAUGCCGUUAAAGGCCAUUUUUGUUGUAGUGAAAGGAUCACGAGGUUUGUUUUGUGAUUCCAUUUGAUAAGUUUAGGUACAGGACAACUAGAGACUUAACUAUGUAGAAUGCACAUGAUUAUUUUGUCACAAAACUAGUAAAAUUUUCAGGCCCUUUUCGGUAGAAUAUUGGUCUUAGUAACUGUAAAUCACGUCUUUCGCACGAUUCGUACCAAUGGAUUUUCACAAGUUCCAGGAUUUGGAGACAUUUCGAUGUCAUUUUUCUUUUUUUUUUUCAAGGAAAUCUUGUUGAACUUGUUUUAACAUGUAUGUGAACAAUCUUUUACUCUCCAAGGCAACACCAGAGUCCAGAAUCUACCACCUUCUGCAUGAAAUCUAACUUAAUAAAACCAAACAAAAAACAGAACUGCUGACUGCUAACUAUUCUUUUAGUCUAUCACAGAACACCAACUAAAGAAAGAGAUGUGGAUCAAAACAUAAACCAAAACAAAGUUCCUAUUCUCAAAAAAGAAUAAAUUUUUGGUGUUUUCUUAUAAUGCGUGUUCCAGUAAUUCUUAAUCUCGUUGUCUGUCCUCUUUGGCAGGGAUGGACACGGAUGGAAAUAGGGUGCAACCAAGGGCAGUUAGGCCACCAAAAACUUUCCGAAUAGUUAUUUAAAGGAUGAGGCUUGCUACCAAAAAUUGGUUAAUUUUAUUUUACACCUCUCCAUAAAAGUAGUAUGAUAUAGCAAAAUAAGGAAAUUAUACAAAGGGAAACAAAAGAUAAACCAAAGCAAAUUUAACUUCUACUACAACUUGUAUACACUGUCAGUAUAUAUAAGAGUUACUUAUAAAAUUUUGUCAAAUUCUAAUUUAGUUUGGAGUUUUGACCGGAUGAAUUUGUAGAUAAAAAGUGAGAUAGAGAGUUUUUAGUUAUCCAAGGAAACCGAUUUGAAAUUCAUAAAGGGAUAAUUCAGAGACCUCCUCUGAUAAAAAGUCAAAAUCAAACUAAUAAAUUGACAAAUUCACUAUUUCAUUACUUAAUUUUUCUGGAAAAGAGAAGAAGUGAAAAUUGAAAAAAAAAAGAUAAAUGAGAAAUACAAAAUGUAAAGUCUUUAAUAACUACAAAUAUCAUUAGAGGAUUAUAAACCAAAUCUUUAAUGGUAUCCUCUAUUUCUUGUUUAUCUAUUUUUAUUUUCCUUUCCUUUUUUUUGUACUUGGUAAAGAUUAAGAUUUAGCAGGCCAAAAUACAAUUUUUUUAAAAUCAUCUAAUCUCUUCCCAAGGGAAACAAGAAAAAGAGAAAGAAAAGAAAAAAGGUAAAAGAUAGUGAAAGGAUAAUUUGUUAAUUUAUUAGUUUGCUUUGACUUUUAAUAUUGAUCAUUAGUUUCAACGAUCAUGUAACUUUAACCUAAACCAUAAGAAGAUUACGUAUAGGAUUUUAAACUAUAGGGGUGUUACGUGGAAAUUCUUAUAGAAACCAAAUGGGUAGGUUUGGAGCAGAGAAAGUCUGAAAUUUAAGGGAAUUAUCAGGCUAGAAGUUUAAGGGAAUUAUCACAGUCAGAAAUUCGAGAUAUGCUGAUGGGAAAGGCUAGGAUUGAAAUGCACAAGAAGUUGCAGGAAUGGAAUAUGGCUGCUGUACAGAAGUCUUUAGGUAAAGAAGCAAGGGAAAAGCCAACUUCAAUAAUGCUCUGACAGAAUCUGUUGGAAGUCAAUUUCUUGAUGACAACUUUCUUAGACAAAACUGCCACCAUUAGUACCCCUGAGCCAGGUGCACUAGGGAGCUUGCCUUCUGCUUCAACCAAUGGCUCAAACACAGAAGUUGCUGAUCCGGAGUGGCUGAUCCGGAGUUUGACAAACACAGAGUGGAAGAAUCAUUUACUGAAAACCGGGUUUGGGAUGCAUAUGACAACGAGAAUGGUAUGCCUCGCUUUUAUGCUAUCAUUCAUGAAGUCUUGUCUAAGAAGCCCUUUAAAGAUAGGAUUAGCUGGUUGAACUCCAAAAGCAACAGCGAAUUUGGUCCAUUAAAUUGGGUGGGUUGUAGCUUUGCUAAAAAAAAUUUUCUUUUAGUCCUCUAGGUGAUGAAAUGGGUGUUUGCUUCGGGAAGAAACUUUCAAUGAUCUUCUCUUCAUAAACUAGCAGUGAAUCACGCACUACGCACGACUCUUCAUGAUCACAAGUUCUAUGCAAUUGGUUUUUUAAGAAAACUGAAUUUCCUUAAUCCAAUUCAAUGGAGUCAUAUCUCUGCAAAUUGCAGAAUUUAUACAAGUUUUAAUGCAAAUUAUACAACUAUUAGUAUUACUAAUUUGUACAUUUACUAUAUUAUUGUAAUUAUCUUUUACUUAUAAUUUCAUUUUGUAUUAUUUAUAUACACUAUUAGAAAGUUCAAAAUACACUGUGUUGCAUAAAAACUAAUAUAUGCUUGUCAUAAUAAAAAAAAAGUAUAUAUUGCUAGUAAUUUGACUAUUUGAAAAAAUAUUAGCAAACUAGAACUUUAAAUAACUUAAUAUUUAAAGCUAUAUCCCAAAAAAUAAAAUAACUAUUGUUUUAUUUACUUUUUUAUGUAAAAUUGAUUAACCACUAUGUUAUUAUGGUUUUUCAACUCAUUACUGUUGUUAUUAAAAAGUAAUUCCGUCUAAAUUCUAGACUUAUUAAUUUAAAUAAUAUGUGACAUAGUUUAUGUAUAUAGAUAACAUAUAUUUUGUUGUAGCAUAGAUUUUAUGAUAGUAUUACUUUCAGUAAAAAAGAUAGAAACAAAUGAAGAUGAUGUUUAAGAAAAUUAAAAUUAAUACAUGGAUAAUAAUAGUAAAGAGAAGAAAGUAGUUGAUCACAUGAGAAAAUGGAGAAAAGUUUAAAAAAUAUAUAAAGAAAAUGGACAGGUAGAAAAAAGGAAAAAGAAAAAGAAAAAGAAAAUAAAAUAAUAAUUAGUACAGAAGAGGCACUUGUGUCCUAAAGCAUAAAAUUGGAGGGCAAAGUGCCAAUUUAUUGAGUUGAGAGGGGUAAGGUGCAAUUGAGAAUAAAGUUCAGGGAAUUUAAUGCUUUUAACCCUAAAAUAAAACAUGGCUUCAACUUUCAACUUCCAACAAAAUUCUGAAUUUAAUUGCCAAAAUGAAACUUCUUGAAUUUAUUGCAAAGUUUUUGUAUCGCUGAUCGUGUCAAAAUCAAUCAAAUACAAACAUUGCCAAGUUUUUGUAAUCUUGCGUCUCAUCCAUAGAAGGAUGAUACAAACAUUACAACGAACUCCAAUUCUGCCUGCUUCGACACCUUGUUUCUUGGAGCAUCAAGCCGUGAUAGAGGGACAAAGUUUUGUUAGCCUUUGCGACAUUGUUCAUUUCCUCAUCAAGUAUCCACUAAUAGAGAAGCAACACAUUGACCUGAGCCUAUCCGACUUUAAUCUUUUAAUUUUGUUAAAUUUGAUUCCGUGCAAAUUACUUGUAAUAUAUAUAUAUAUAUUCUUAAGAAUCAUAACUCUAUUGCAUAUAUCAAGUCUACAAUAUCAUACAAAAUUGACGUUUGUUUAUUUUAUGCUUGCCAUUAUACAUCACGUUACUGAACAAAAUAAAUUGCAUUAUUCCUAAUUGAAUUCUUUCUGCAAUUACUUUUUUAAAAAAAUCUUUGAAGUUUUUUUCACACCCUCAAUGCUACUUGUUAAUUGUCCUUUAGAAGAAGGCCUUUUUCAGAAUUUUAAUUGCAAAGUAUAGUUUUCACCAUUGCUGCCCAUCAUUCCAACUCUUCAAGGAUCUAGAGCAAAAAACUUUACACUCGUUGAUUCAGAAUUUCACCUCCGGAAGACCAAGUACAAAAUGCACCUUCUCUGGGGUGUUUUUUAUCUUAACCACAGGUAAAAUUCUAGAGUAAAUUCCUCUAGGAAAAAGCCUUUUGGAGUGGAUUAUGAAACAAAAAUAUCGCUUUGUCUUCGCAUACCUUUUUUUUUUUUUUUUCUUUUUUGAGAUAAGAAGGGGAACUAAUUGCUAUGGAUUCAGCCAACGAGGACUAUUUGUGAUUAAUCAAUGAAAAAUGUGUGAAAGUAUGUUGUUCUUUGAUUAAACAACAUUGUACAUUAAAACUUUAGCUUUAAAUUUAGUCAUUAAGUCUUUAAUGUAAUGCAUUCCACCAAAGUUCUUUCUUUUUCAAUAUAGUUGCAUAAACAUGAAAUAAAUUUCGAUUUCACCGAAUUCAUGAAUAUAGUAAAUUGAAAAAAUUGAGAAACAAAUUUACUAUAACUUCAAAUUUACUUUAGUCUUCAAUUGUAUUUAUAAUAACUAUACAAGAUUAAUUUCUAUAAAAUGAUAGAAAUUCUACAUUAGCAUCAAUGAAAGAUUUUGGUUUUUUGUUUCUUAGCUAUCGGGAACCAUAUCUCAUUUGAAACUUGAGAAUAGUUUUUUCUAAUGAUUUGAUAGAUCAUACUUUAUUAAUUCAGUAAUGGAGGCAAAUACGAGCUAGAUCAUUCCCAUUAGCAUAAAGAAUAUAAACAUAAGCCUACAAAUAGUGACUAUUUUGGUGAAACUUAGGAAAUAUUGCUAUUUUUUUGAUUGGAUGUAUCACAAAUUUGUGAGGCCCCAGUCCGUUCUACGUUGAUAUAUUCAUUAGCUGGGCGGUAACGUUUGGUUUUAGGAGUAUUUCGAAAACCCUAUGUAGGGAUUAAGAUUUAAAGCCCUACUAUCCAAUUAUUCCAUAAUAAGUGCAAGUGAGCCUAGAAAGUAGGGUUUCACUCUUCGGUUUCAGCAUUGGAGCAAAAUUAGGGUUUUUGUGAUUUUCGCCGGAUGAAAUUUUGGUACGGAAAAAGGAUCAAAUUUGGUGAUUAAAAGUGACUUUUAAGUGAGAAAUAAUAUGUAAUUAGGAGCAAUAAGAUAAGAUUAGUGAAUAGGAAGUAAAAACCCUAGUACGUGUGUUUUAAGAAAAAAUGGCGCGAACCGGCGGGUCCCGCGCAUUACCGAUUGAACGCACCAAUUGACCACCAUUUACUUGCCAUGCAAGUUUACCACUAAUAGAGCAAAAUAUCUUCCCUCCCUCUUAGCUUCUUAUUGGCCGAAAAUUAGUGGUUCAAAAUGCAACAAGAGAGAGAAAAUUGUGUGGUUGUGAUUCAACCAAGUGUUAACCAAACUUGUGGCUAGAAUUAAUUCUUAUUUUUUUCCAACCUUCUUAUAAGACAAAUGAAGCUUAAUCUUCCUCAUUCUUUUCUCUCUCUUGGCCGAAAUUCUCUCCAAAGGAAGAAAGAAAAAUCUCUCUCAAUUCCUUGUCCUAAUCUUGCUCAAUCUCAUAAACUAACAGGUUAAUCUUGAAUUCCUUCCAUAAAACCUCUUCAUUUGGUAUUAGUAAGUUGAUUGGUGAAGUGUUUGUGGAAGCUAAGGUGACAAGCAACUCCCUCUCUCUUGUUUUACUAGGUGAGUAAUGAAUGAACUCUCUCCUUCACCUAAUGAAGCUUAAUUCAUGCUUAGUGGUGUUAAGAGAUGAAAAAUUAUGGUUUAUAUCUUGAUUUGUGGAUGAUUUAGUGAAGUUUUAUAUUUAUUGGGAUUUUUCCUGUUUUAAUAUAAGCAUGAUUGUGUGGCUAUAUAUGAUGGUUGGAAAUGGUAUGUAAUGAUGCUAGAUGGUGGAAAAAGUGGAAGAUUGCAAGUGAUUUCUGUUUUGAAUGAAAUCUGGAAAAUUGGGGUUUCUUGGUUCUUCAUUCUGUCCGAAUAUUUUGGUCCUAGAUAGAGGCCGAAUUGGCCUUGGCUUAAAACAUGAAAGUUGUAGUAAAUGACAUUUUAUAGGUGCCUGUAAAAUUUCAGGUCAAUCGGAGUAGCGUAGAGUGAGAAAAGUUGAAAAUACCCUUGCUGUUCUGGUUUUGUCCGAACGUAAGAACUGCACUUGUAAUUGGUGAUUUUGGAUAGGAUUACUUCAGAAUUGGUUGUUCUAGUCUUCUGAUGAAAUGUAGCCCUGUUUCUAAGCUUUCGUAUGCCUUUGAAAUUUCUGAAUUUGGAAUUAAGUAGGCUGAGUUAUGCUGUUUGCACCAGGUUGCGGUUUGUUCACCUGUUUUACGAUUCUGGUUUAGUAUCUUACAGUUUUGACCUAGUUACACUCGAAACUGGGUUAAGUGGCCUUCUUCAACGUUGUAGCCUUUUAAGUGCUGAAUCUACCUGUAAAAUUUUAGGUCAAACAGAUUAAUGUAUUCCGAGUUAUAGACAAAACCCUCAGACCUGUUUUAGACGUCCGUUUGUGUACGUUUUGCAUUUCAGUUUCUGCCGUGCAUUUUUCCGUUCUGAUUCCAUACGAUCUGGGUGUCGACUCCUUCAUAAGAAAUUUAGAUCUUGGUCUCAUCUUCGAAACGGUAUAAAGUACGUCGAAAACCGAGUUCCGUAGCUCCUGUUAUGAUCAAAACAAUAACGCUCGUCAGAACUGCCUUGUAUUUGGACAGUUCUGACGGGUACGUUGACACUCGAUUUUCGUUCUGUUCUGAGUGGAUUCAGGUCUUGGCCAAAACAUCAAAGUUUUAGCCUUAUGUCUCAGCUUUCUAACGCCUUUGGAAUUUCUUGAUUUCGAUUUCUGAACCGUGAGUUACGGCCUUGCAAACAGGGCAUGUUUGGUAACUUGCCGUGAAACAGCUGGCACUAUCUCGUGCCUUUUUGACCUAUACCUAUUGAGAUCUGGGUUGAGAUGUCUUCAUGAGAAUUGUAUCCCUUCCUCUUAGCUUCGAAACAGUAUCUCGCUCACCUUGAUCCGACACUCCUAGCCUAACUUUCGACCAAAACGGUUUAAGAUGGCCGAUUUGGCCGUCCCGUUUGCCGUUCCGCGCGCGCGCGUGUGCCCCUUUUUGCCGUUUUCGCACUUGCGCGUGCCAAUUUUGCCGUUUUGCUUGUUUUACGUGUGUGAGUAGCUGUUUGUGAUAUAUUGUGACACAAUCUUCGAUUUCAGAUGGUGGUGAACUAGGCGGAGCCGGUGGGGCCCACUACUAGCCAACCAACGAAGUGAUUUCCGCUUUUGUACUACUUUUGUAUUUGGAGUAAGUACUCAGGCCGCUUUUGUAUGUUAGUUGCUUAUGUGUUUCGAUAUGUAUGAAGAGGGUACUUAGACGAGGGUGUACUUUAUCGCACUCGCUCUAAACCCUAAUUUGCGCACAUAUUUGUACAUGGCUUAUGUAUAUGAGCAAUUUUGGAACUAAAACCUUGAGCUGGUGGCUCGGGGUGACUUUUGAAUAAUUUUGUGAAUUUUGUGAGUUUGAGGUUGAACUCAAUACCUAGAUGGACUAUUCGAGCCGGUUAGGGCUUGGUCGAAGUCAGUCCAACUUGGUUUGAGGUCACCAAGUUUGUGAACCCGGUUCGCUGAGUAUGUGAACCAAUUUUGUGACCCGAGCUUGUGACUCAAGCUCAAGUUUGUGAUUUCGUUCGCCUGGGCAAGUUUGUGAGGUGACUGGCCAGUGAGGGUGAUAAGGUGUUCGGUGGGUGUACAAGUGGAGUUCUACGGACCUUAUGUAUGGUCGACGGAGUGUCGACAGGAGGUCACGCAUGGCAACGACUUGGCUUUGGAGCCACCUGUAUCCUUAUUAUGUGAUGUUACUUUUCUGCUUUUGCUUUACUCUUAUUGAGUAACUGUGGUUACGUGACAUUUACGCUUUUGCCCCUGUUUACUUACUAAGCAUAUAGCUUACCCCGUUCCUUUUGUUUUCCUUAGCAGGGGCCGACGCGGGGACUUAUGGGCACUUACACUAGUAUUGGUUUGUCAUAGUUGGACAAUUAGGAUGUUUGUUUUUAUUGUGGUGGUUUGUAUAAGGACCCUCCUUAGGGUCUACCUUUUAGUUUUGGUUGUAAUUAUAAGGGUGUAAUAGUUUGAGCAGGUACUUUUGGAGAAUGUAAUUAUAACCUUUUUGGGAUUUGUAUAUAGUAUGUAAGGUACUCUUUUGGAUUUUCUGGUUUUUAUCGCUUUAAGGUUUGAGUCCUGGCGCGAGCUAGGCAGGCGGCCCGCCGAUACCCUUGGGUUCGCCCUUGGGAGAAGUGGGGUCGUUACAAAAUUACUGAAUUUUUUUUAUUGAUAUGACAGUGAAAGUUAUUUCGGUUUAAUGAUUGUUUUCACUAUUUUCUUGGAACUAUUAAAUUUGUUGGAUGAUUUUCUUUUCUAGGGAGGAUUUGCAGACCUUGUAAUUUCUUGGUUAUUAAAUUCCUAUAUAAUUUCUUUUUCAAUUGAUACCAAUAAGACACUUCAAAAUUACUAAAAAGGUGAGGUUAUUAGAAGAGAUCUUGUGGUUAUUUAGGCAAAGCACUACCUCAUACCCUACCACUAUAACAAGAUUAAAUAAAAAAAAAAAAGAAAGAAGAAACAGUAACCAUAUCUUGUAAAUCACGUAUUUUGCACGAUUCAACUGAUUAAGGCAAUUCCUUGCCUAUGUAUAUGUGUUCUACAGUAAUAGCAGUGAACUAGGAUGUAUGUUGCUAAUAUUCUGAAAAACGAAAGGCAAUUGCUGCCUCCCGUGAGCUCUCCAGACGGUUUUAAGGGAUGAUAGUAACAAUAAGUAUAUUGUAACAUGUGGGACCUGUUUGAUGGGCUGAAUAUAAACAUAAGGUAGGAAUAAAAUUGUGCGACUGGAAUGGCGCUAUAUAUGUUGUCUCAUGUUACUGUGUGAAUAUUGAACGGUACUAAGAGAAAAAGAUCAUGAACAAUUGCUGUUUUAAUGGCGAUAUGGAAGAUAUGAAUAAAAGUAGUUGUGAUUUUAGAAAAUUGAGAAUGAACAGUGGACGCGAAAGUUCUUAUAAAAGCCAAAUGGGUAGGUUUGGAGCAGAGCAAGUCAUUAUGUUUGAUAACCAGCCUAAAAAGUUUAAGGGAAUCAUCACAGUCAGAAAUUUGAGAUAUGUUAAUGGGAAAGGCAAGGAUAGAAAUCCACAAGAAGUUACAGGAAUGGAAUAUGGUUUCUAUGCAGAAGUCUUCAGGUAAAAAAGCAGGGAAGAAGCCAACUUCAAUAAUGCUCCGGAAGAAUCUGCUGGAAGUGGCAUGAAGAAGGCUAGGAAACACUUUGAUUAAUGGUGCCAAUACUUUCACUACACCCCAAAAAGUCAUCAGUUUCUUCUAUAAUAACUUUCUCAAACACCUACCACCAUUAGUGCCCCCGAGCCAGAUCAUGCACUGGAGAGCUUGCCUUCUGCUUCAACAGAUGGUUCAAAGUUCAAACACGGAAGCUAUGAUAUUAUUAUGACAAUGGAUGUGCCUGAUCCGGAGCUUGACAGAGACAAAGAGGUGCUCAUGACAAUGAGGAUGGCAUGCCUGGCUUUCGUGCUAUUAUUCAUGAAGUCUUGUCCAGAAAGCCCUUUAGAGUUAGGAUUUCUAGUUGAACUCCAAAAGCAACAGCAAACUUGGCCCAUUAAAUUAGGUGGGUUGUGAUUUUUAUAAAACUUGCUAUACCAAUUUGUCACAAUGGUGGGUUCUGAUUUUACAAAAUUGAGAAUUUUGAUACCAAUUGAAAUAUAGGGAAGUUUAAAAAAAAAUUGAAGAUAAAGUCGAUGAUAAUAAUUGAAUUGUAUAAUUGCGUAUGAAAUUUGUAAGGAGGCUAAAAAAUUAAAGAUAAAGUCAGCAGCAGAAAUUGAACAAAUAUUUGGAAGAUGCUAGAGAAAUUUUAAUAGGUGAAUCACGCAUGACACAUGACUCUUCAUGAUCACAAGUUCUAUGCAACUUUUUUGUUUUCAGAAAACUGAAUUUCCUUAACUCAAUUCAAUGGGGACAUAUCUCCGCAUAUUGCAGAAUUUAUACAAGUUUUAAUGCAAAUUAUACAACUAUUCAAAACAUGGAUGGCUUCGACUUAAUAUCUUUGAAUUGGUUCAAUAAUUUACGCUACGAAGCGAUGUAGCCAAAUACUCGUUAGAUUAUUUCUAUUAGUGCAUACAAACAUGUAAAUAAAUACUAAUUUGUUGAAACUUGGGAAUCAUUAGAAUUGUGAAUAACACGCAUUAAAAAAUAAAUACAUCCAUUCUUUCAAGUAAUACGAAUAAAAUAGUUCAAAGACGCAUUAAAAAAUUGUUGACAAAAAAAUUAAACCAAGCUGAUUUGUUAUUUGGUAACUAGAUUAGAAUUUGUUUUAAAAUUGAUUUAGAAAAUAUAGUUGAGUUGUGUUUAGAUAUUAGUAUUUGAAUAGAUUUAUGGUUUUAUGCGUCUAUUUAAAGACUUGAGUUCAAUUUUUGUUAUCGAGAGAGUUGUGAUAUUUGAGUGAUAGGAUGGAAUUUUAUCAUUUAUUUUAUUAUUAAUUUCCUCUAUUACCUGAUUUGAUGUAGAUUAAUUGCUAGAUUCUACUCACUUUUAGUAUUUGACAUAUAUUUCAGGGAGUAGAACGAAAAUACCAUAACAAGUGCUAAUUUGAUAGUUAUUAAAAAAGAGUUCAAGUAGCAGGCAUUCAGGGCCAUUUUUGGAAUAUCAAAACGUGACCUUUUUGGUAAUUUUACGGAAGACAGCAUAAAAGAAGAAAAGGGAACGAAGGGCUGGAGGGGAGGUCCUCUCCGCAAGGGGGCGCAGCACAGAGCCGCCGCAAGGAGGAGGCAGACUUAGAUAGGAAUUAGAGAGGACUACUUUAAGUUGCUUUUGUUGACUUUUCUUUGGUUGGCUUUUGGCUUAACCUCAAUUCUCAUAUGUCAGAGGCCAUAAGAAAACAAAGAAAUCAUUCUCUGUAGCAAUUUUUCGUUUUGACUUUAGCCUUUCAUCCUCUGUGGCUCUCUUGCCGCAUAUGCCUGGAACAAUUAGGACAAUGGCUGCUGCUUUCUUUACACUUUUGCAUGGAUUUUUCGCACCAAAUAUGAAUUAAUCUCCUCACUCUAAUCAAGGAACAACGGAGGCUUUAGAUCGCCUAAAAUUGUGAGAUCGAUUUAAUUUCAUCUUUUUCUUUUAUUUAUUGGUAUUCGCAUAUUCCUUGAUUGUAGUGCUUAUGAUUAUUUAAUUAAUUGAUUGUCUUGGAUCCGGAUAAUUAGUUAAUUUAAUAAUCUAUUGUCAAUUAGGGCAUUAAAUUCGUAAUUGUUUAAUUGCCUUGAAAUAGUGAGAACUGGCAUGAUUGGGUUUGUGUCAGGGGGAUAUGCGGGCUAAUUUGAAAUAACCCUGGUAGUGCGUUAUUUGAUUAGAAUAGAGCUUCUCUAAUACGUAAGGCAAUUGGGAAAUUAAAUCUUAUGGGCGUACCUAGGAUUAUUUCUCAAUUAGGGCAGUGAUUAACGGGCGUACCUUAAUCACCGAUACAGUAAGGAGUGGUUGACUGCCAUCGCUUGUUUGGCAGUUAUAACCUCUUUAUUAGUAAAUAAUUGGAAUUGGCUUUGCGUCGAUGAUCAAUUAGGUGAACCAUUGCUGAAGUUAUUCCUUGACUAGAUCCUUAAUUAUCACUCAUUUGAUUUUAGUAAAUUAUUAUUUAAUUUCUAGUUGGCUAUUUUAUUUUUAUUAUUUUACUUUUAGUUGAAUUGUUUAAAUUGUCACUCCUGAUAUAAAAACACCCCCUUGUCACUAUAAAUUUGAAAAGAAACAAUUACUCCCAGUCCCUGUGGAUUCGACCAUACUCACCGCUAUCUACAGAAAUUACUUUUAGUUUGAGCAGAUUUUAUUAUUGCAUAGGCCUCGACAACCUGUCAUUGAGUUACAAAAUUAUUUCCUCUCCAGCAUAAUACUUUGCCUUCCUCCAUCGAAAGAGUGAUUAGACAAUUAAGAGCACAAAACUUUGGGUUUACCAGGCAAAAAGUAUUAUACAACUCGUCAAAGUUGUUCUUAAAAGGAGUUCAAGAGAGGAUUAUUUUUCUUUUUGUCUUGACUCCUGUCAAAACCUUCCACACAAGACUCUGUUGAUCGCGAGGUGUGUGCCCUUCGUCAAGAACCACAAGACCAGGCAGUUGAAGAAAGAUUUCCCUAAGGUCGUAUUUGAAUUGCAAUUUUUUGAAGUUUUUUGUAAAAAAUAUACCUUAACGAUUUGAUAUAUGUGAGAUAUAAAAGUGAUUAAAAAAUGUGUUCAGAAAAAAUAUAAAGAUUUUUUGAUAAAAAAUUCCUUUCCACACAAGGUCGUGCUAUUAAGUCUUUUAUCACUUCCUUUUUCCUUCCGUCCACUAGCAAUCUGCUCAAAUAACUUGUAGCUGAUUCCAAGAGCACUUUUAUCCUUUGUCCAAGAGUACAGCUUUGUCAUUCGACUUCCAACUCUCCGAGGAAAUUCUGCAUCAGUUUUGAGUUCGUUUCCUGACAAGUCCUUGCUAUGAAAGUUAUGAAAAUGAAUUCUAUAUCCCCAUUUUCGGAACUCAUUUUUCCAAAUAAGCAGCAUGCUUGUAGGAGCUAUAAUCAAGAGCCGGCACAUUGGAUAUAUUUUUAACAAUGACAAAAUGAGAACAAUUGUCAGGCAAGUCUUCCCUGUGCCAGGGGCAUGUGAUAUUAUGGCUCCUCUUCCAUCAUCAGACAGUUCAGUUUUCAGCUUCUUAAUACAAUACAAAUUUCUCCUACUAUGUUUUCCCACAAGAAGACAAAUCCAUUCAGUUGAUGACUAUACAUUGACGUUCUAAUAUCAUCGAGAAUAAGAUCCAAUAUAGAACCUUCAGCAUCAAUGGAGGUGUAGUAGUUUCCAGAGGCUAACUCACCAAAAUGAAGCUCAUGAAUACCUCUGCAAAGGUUACUAGAAGAGAUCAUGAGGUUGGUUUAGCAUCCCAUUUGAUAAGUUUGGUAUAGGACAACCAGAGACUUAACUAUGCAGGAUGCACAUAUUGCUUUGUUACAAAGCCAGUAAAAUUUUCAGGCCCUUUUCGACAGCAAAUUGGGCAUAGUGAUUGUAAAUCACGUCUUUUGCACUCACAGACACCAAUCAAGACAGUUUCAUUAAUUUAACAAAUUUAGUUCCUUGAUUAUACUUAAUUGUUCAAAAACCCAAAAUAUUUUUCUCCUCCACUAGAUUCUACCGAUCAACCCCUUUUUGUUGCCUGACUGCCGAUAUCUUAUUUCUCCUUUUCCCUGAUGUAAUCCAUCUGGUCGCCCGACGUUGGCAGUGAAAACCAAUCUUUAGUUAUUAUUACAAGAAAAAUAUUCAUAUCCAAUAAGUAAUCGAAUCAACUUACAAGAAAGCCAACCCAACUCCAUUGACAAUAAAUUAUAAUAGAUGACCAAUGAGCUUUAGCAACCAUUUUACUCAUGUUCAUGAUUUAGCUUUAUAAAAAUCUAAAUCUCAAGCCAUCCACCACCAGCAAAGCAUAAUCCAUCAUCCCUUUAAUCAUCAUUGCAGUUGCAUAAACUUCUAUAUACAGUACAUGUCUAAAUAAUUGAAUAAUUUUUUCAGAAGACAGAAAAAAUAAAAAAUGGGGAGAUACAAGUUAACCAUUCAAGAGUGUAGCUCUGGUUAUGAGGGACAUAAUCACCUAGUUUUGAGUUCGUUUCCUGACAAGUCCUUGCUAUGAAAGUUAUGAAAAUGAAUUCUAUAUCCCCAUUUUCGGAACUCAUUUUUCCAAAUAAGCAGCAUGCUUGUAGGAGCUAUAAUCAAGAGCCGGCACAUUGGAUAUAUUUUUAACAAUGACAAAAUGAGAACAAUUGUCAGGCAAGUCUUCCCUGUGCCAGGGGCAUGUGAUAUUAUGGCUCCUCUUCCAUCAUCAGACAGUUCAGUUUUCAGCUUCUUAAUACAAUACAAAUUUCUCCUACUAUGUUUUCCCACAAGAAGACAAAUCCAUUCAGUUGAUGACUAUACAUUGACGUUCUAAUAUCAUCGAGAAUAAGAUCCAAUAUAGAACCUUCAGCAUCAAUGGAGGUGUAGUAGUUUCCAGAGGCUAACUCACCAAAAUGAAGCUCAUGAAUACCUCUGCAAAGGUUACUAGAAGAGAUCAUGAGGUUGGUUUAGCAUCCCAUUUGAUAAGUUUGGUAUAGGACAACCAGAGACUUAACUAUGCAGGAUGCACAUAUUGCUUUGUUACAAAGCCAGUAAAAUUUUCAGGCCCUUUUCGACAGCAAAUUGGGCAUAGUGAUUGUAAAUCACGUCUUUUGCACUCACAGACACCAAUCAAGACAGUUUCAUUAAUUUAACAAAUUUAGUUCCUUGAUUAUACUUAAUUGUUCAAAAACCCAAAAUAUUUUUCUCCUCCACUAGAUUCUACCGAUCAACCCCUUUUUGUUGCCUGACUGCCGAUAUCUUAUUUCUCCUUUUCCCUGAUGUAAUCCAUCUGGUCGCCCGACGUUGGCAGUGAAAACCAAUCUUUAGUUAUUAUUACAAGAAAAAUAUUCAUAUCCAAUAAGUAAUCGAAUCAACUUACAAGAAAGCCAACCCAACUCCAUUGACAAUAAAUUAUAAUAGAUGACCAAUGAGCUUUAGCAACCAUUUUACUCAUGUUCAUGAUUUAGCUUUAUAAAAAUCUAAAUCUCAAGCCAUCCACCACCAGCAAAGCAUAAUCCAUCAUCCCUUUAAUCAUCAUUGCAGUUGCAUAAACUUCUAUAUACAGUACAUGUCUAAAUAAUUGAAUAAUUUUUUCAGAAGACAGAAAAAAUAAAAAAUGGGGAGAUACAAGUUAACCAUUCAAGAGUGUAGCUCUGGUUAUGAGGGACAUAAUCACCUAGAGAAGAUAAUUGAUUUGGGCUUUGAGGGCAAAUUAAGGAUUGCUAGAAGAGGAGGAAAGGAAGGUGAUGACCAAAUGGUUGAGAUAGAGAUGUGGAUAAAGAGGAUUAAGGAGAAUGGAAUUGGAGCAAAGCAUAGAUGGAUAAGGCAAAGAAUUAUAGAGUUGGGAAGAUGCAAAAUGUAAAAGAGAAGGAAAAAGAAAAGAGAAUGUGAAAUAAGAUGAUUGUGUUGUUCCCGAACAAGCAAGUAGUCUAUGCACCCAAAUUGAAAUGAGUGGCUAGAAAUUGUCCGUCGCUUUGAGAGAAGUUACCCCAUUUUCCGGAGACUUUUGGGAUUUCGUUUUUCAUCUUGUACAAUGUCUACUUGAAAGCAGCAGAGAAAGAGAUUCCACAUAGGAUUGAUAGGGUGAGUGUUCACCAAGAUGGGAAUAUAAUUGUGCAACUGGAUUGGUCCUGCUGUAGUCUUAUGUUACUUUAUUAAUAUUGGACAGUAAUUAGAGGGAAAAAAAUCAUUAAUGAUUGCUGUUUUAAUGGUGAUAUGGAAGAUAUGAAUAAAAAUAGUUGUGAUUUUACAAAAUUCAGAAUGGGUAGUUGAUGCGGAAAUUCUUAUGGAUAGGUUUGGAGCGGAGAAAGUCAUUAUUUCUGAUAACUAGCCUAAAAGUUUAAGGGAAUUAUCACAGUCAGAAAUUCGAGAUGUGUUGAUGGGAAAGGCAAGAAUGGAAAUCCACAAGAAGUUUAAGGAAUGGAAUAUGGCUGCUGUACAGAAGUCUUCAGUUAAAGAAGCAGGGGAAGCCAAUGAAAGUAGCCAACUUCAUUAAUGCUACGAAAGAAUCUGUUGGAAGUGGCAUGAAGGAGGCUAGAAACAUGAAAACACAAAGAUGAAGGGUGCCAAUACUGCAGAUACACCCCAAAAAGUAGUCAAUUUCUUCUAUUAUAACUUUCUCAGACACAACUGCCACCAUUAGUACCCUGAGCUAGAUCAUGCACUAGGGAGCUUGCCUUCUGCUUCAACAAAUGGCUCAAACACAGAAGCUACUGAUAUAUUCAUGACGAUGGAUGUGGCUGAUCCGGAUUUGACAAAGACGGGGUGGAAGAAUCAUUUGCUGAAAACCAGGUUUGGGCUGCAUAUGACAAUGAGGUGGUAUGCCUCGCUUUUAUGCUAUUAUUCAUGAAGCCUUGUCCAGAAAGCCCUUUAAAGUUAGGAUUAGCUGGUUGAACUCCAAAAGCAACAGCGAAUUGAACUUGGUCCAUUAAAUUUGUGUGAGUUGUGGUUUUGCUAAACUUGCGAAAGCAAUUGCCAUAAUGGUUGGUUGUGAUUUUACAAAAUUGAGAAUUUUGAUACCAAUUGUGAUAUAGGGAAGUUUUUUUAAAAAAAAAAAAAAUUGAAGAUAAAGUUGAUGAUAAUAAUUGAAUUAUCCAAUUAAGUAUGGAAUUUUUGAGGCUAAAAAGAUAAAGAUAAAGUCAGCCGUAGAAAUUGAACAAAUAUUCGGUAGAUUGUAUAGAAAUUUUAAUACAGUUGACUGUUAGCGAAUCACGCACUACGCACGGCUCUUCAUGAUCACAAGUACUGUGCAAAUAUAUUUUUUUAAAACUGAAUGUCCUUAAUUCAAUGGAUACAUAUGUCUGCAAAUUGCAGAAUUUAUACAGGUUUUAAUGCAAAUUAUACAACGAUUCAAAACAUGGAUGGAUGGCUUCGACUUAAUUUCAAAUAACUACAUAACAAAACUUUGUCAAAUUCUAAUUCAGUUUGGAGUCUAGACCAGAUGAAUUUCCAACUAAAAAGUGAGAUAGAGAGAUUUUAGUUAUCCAAGGAAACCGACUUGAAACUCACAAGUCAUAGUUGGAUCAAUUGCCAACGAGUGUGAAAUGUUCAGAAAUAGUGAGAGUUAAAAAGAAACUGAUUGUUUGAGCUGGUGUUCAGUUUUGCUGAAUUUGGAAGGAAUGCAAGAGCUAUCACCCUAUCAACUACGUAGGUAGUUUUUUUUCUCAAGCUCAAUACUCCUCUAUUUGAUUUUCACCUCUCAAUUAUACAUCAAUUCUCACUUUGAUUUUUAAAUUAUGAAUUGGGACACUUUAGUUCUUAAACUUUAGAAAAUGUCUCACUUAAGGAUAAUUGUUAAUGAAUCCCCAAAAUUAACAGAAUACUAGUCAAGUGAGCAACAAAAAAAAUUAAACAAUAACCAAAAAAAUCCCAAAUUAGAGAGAAAAAAAGGGAGUUUAGGAAACAAUUUGAGAAUCAUAGUAUAGUUUAGCAACUAAACUGACUCAAUUUAAAGCUUAGGGACCAAAUUGGGAAUCAAUGUAUAGUUUAGGGACUAAGAUAUCCCAAUUUAGAGUUUAGGAAUCAAAAUGUAAAUCGAAAUGUAGUGGAAGGGUGUAAAAUAGAAUUAACCCACCAAAAAAAAUACUACUUUGCUCCCCUCCCCCCAACCCUACAUACUUAUCUAAAGUUAUUUAUUGUCUCUACAUAUUUAUCUUGUGACGCCUCGAAAAUUAGGGUUUUCAUUUUAUGGAUCUUUUGUUGGACGAGUGGAGUAAAACAGUUUUUCAAUUCGGAUAAGAAACGAAAAAUUUUUGGAAAAAGGAAAGGGCCAAAUCCGGCCGGAAAUCCGGCCAGAAACUGGCCGGAUAGCUGGCCGGAUUGCCUUGACGUUUUGAAAAAAAAAUGGUUUAGCUACUGCCUUGUAUCCGGCCAGGAAUCCGGCCGGAAAUCCGGCCAGAUUCUGGCCGAAUUGUGACGUGUCACAGCCGGUCAGAAGCUUUGACCGGCUGUUUCCUUCAUAAAUAUCUUGUUUUUGGCUGCUUUUGUCUUCAUUUUGUUUCUGCUCAACCGAGGCCUUGAGAGAGAGGAAGAAAACUUCAUUCUUUUAGCUUCAAAUUUCUACUUCCAUCUUGAGUUUUAACCGUUUGUUUUGCAAAUUACUCCGAUUAAUCUCUCAUCUAAGUUGAUUGCAAGCCUUUGGUGGAGUUGUUUUGGUUGGAGAGGCUUUAAGGGGCUAUCUUCUUGAACUCAUGAGGUGAGUUGCAAAGAAAGUUGCUAUUUUUGGUUUAAUAAUGGUAUAGUAGUGAUUUGUGGUGGUGAUAUAUGUUAUAUUGUGAAUGAUUUCAUGGGUUUAAGGAAUUUGUGGUGAAUUUCUGAUUUAUUGGGUAUUUUUCUGAUUUUAUAUGAAAGUUAUGAUUAAUGUGGGAUUGAUGGAUUGAAAUGAUGUUAAAUGGAGGCCUUGUACGUUAUUUGCGGUUGUUUGCAGACAAUUUACGUUUGUAGUGUGAUUGCCGGUUUCUAGGGUUUUGAUUUGGGAAUUUUCAAUGGUUGGCCUAUAAGCUUUUGAUUGGCUUUGAUUGAAGGAAAUUAUGGUUGAAUUGAAUGUAUGAUAUUGAUUAUGAACCAUAUGGGUGACUAUGGUUAAUUGUUAUGAGCAUUGGUAUUUCAAUGGUAGGUUGGAAAUGUGCAAAAUCUAGGGGUUAUGCCGUCCAAUUUUUGAGAGUGUGUUUGUUUUGAAUUUGAAUUGAUCUUGAUUCAUUUUAUGGAAAUUCUUAUGAUUUGGACUUUGGGAGGAUUAAGAGUCCAUAAUGGUGACAUUUCUAAGCUUGUUUAAGUUCAUUCAUCCUUGUUUUGGCAUGUACAUGACUAGUAUAGGCUAGUCUUAUGUUAAGUGAGGAUUUCUAGCCCUAAUUGUGGUUAGUGAUGGUUAUUUGCAAAGAUUGGCUUGGAAGUGUAAUUUCAGCUUUUGUUGUAUUAUUUCUGCCCUGUUUUCGUACUGUACAUUUGACCAUGUUAAAGACUGAUUCGGCUCUUGCUCAAAACAUGAAACUUGUAGAUAUAUGAGUUGACUACUUGCCUGCAAAAUUUCAAAUUUAUUGGAGCACUGUGGCUUGUGAAUUGACCGAAAUACCCAUGACUGCCCCGUAACCCCUGUUUUAUGACAGAUUUCGCUCUUUCUCUUAGAUUUCGAUAUUUGACCCUGAAAUUGUACAUUUUGGCGUUGGAGGUCUUCAUAAGAAAUGUUUACAAAUGUUUUAGCUUCGUAACGCCAUAAGAUUUGUUUCGAUCGGAUAGGUGUAGCUUUACUUGUGAUUAAAAUGCCAAAAGGCAAUAGAAGCUUGUGUUAAUGUUAGAAUUUUCCUUUGCUUGACUUAAUAUUCGGUUUUAGGAUUUCCACUUGAUCAAGAUGAUGAGGUUUGCCGGAUAAGCUUCGCGAGCCGUGUUUGGUGAGUGUAUCACUAAAUGGUUCAUUGUACUUGUUAUAUGACUUGGAUAGGUCGAGGGUGUACUUUACCGCUCUUGACCACUUGCUUGCACUAUUGUUACUGUUGGACUGUGAAAUUUCAUGAAUAUGUGAUUUUGAGAUUUGUUAGGGCAAUGCCCUAUUUUUACUGUGAAAUUGAGCUCAUGCCCUUAGACCGUUAUUCGAGUCGAGCCGGCAAGGGUUUGGGCGAUUCGUUAACGAGCCUUUGGGUUCUUGAUAGGCGAGUGGAGUGCUAACUCCUCGACCUUGUGGUAUACUCGAGUAUUACCUUUUGAAACUUUGAGGCGGCGGGCCCGAAUAGGGGGUGAACGGUGGAAGGAGAUGGUGAGAAGAGGUGUCUACGGUUCUUGGUUAUCUUCAAUGGUUGACGGAGUGUCAACGAAUACGAUCAAGUAUGGACAUUGGAAACGGCCCUUGAGGGCCGAAUGUAUCCUUUUAUAAAUGAAUGUUUGAAUAAAGGCACUUAUGCGUAUAUGUUAUUUGGCCGUAUCAUGUAUUUGUGCAUUUGGUACCUCACGAGCGCAAGCUCACCUCCGUUGUUUUGUUUUCCUUACAGGGACACUGUUGGACUCAAGUUUUGAAAUGAGUUGAGCUAAUUAUGUAGCUAGUUUUGAGUGGCUCCUUGAAAACUUGAAAUUUUGAUCCAAUGAAUUCAAGUACUUUUGAAGGGUACAAUUGAACCUUUCUCAUGUAUAUAUGGCAUGUAUAUAUAUGUCCUUAUCAAGUCUUGGAUAAACUGCAUUACGUGUUUGAUGUGUUUAUGCGAGUACCGGAUUCGAACAAAGGAAGAGCUGUAUUACGUUAUUUGUGUACCUGGAUGGCUUGUAAUUUGUAUAGCUUAGAUUUGGAAUCGUUUGUGUAAUUGUUGGGCUAGGGGAAUUGGAAUGGAUGGGAUUACACCUUGUACGGUUUGAAUUUGGAUCGCCUCUUGUGUAAUAGCUUGUGGAUAUGGUUUGUAAUGAAUGAUUGGACUUGAAUGGACGUACGUGUACAUUCCGCAGCGUUUGUGAUCUGUAAAUCUUGGCGAAUUUGAUGUAAAAUACGAGAUUUAUAUGGUAAUUUACUUGAGGACCGUAGUGAUUGACUGAGUCCUGGCGAGAGCUGGGCAGGCGGCCCGUUGACCCCUCUGGUUCGCCUUAGGGGAAAAUGGGGUCGUUACAUAUCUAGUUUAUUUAUCUAAAGUUAUUUCUUUUAAAGUUUCUUGCAGUAAACAAAUUUCUAGUUUAGUUUCUUUCUUGGGUCUGUCUAAUGAAUACCCACUAGGCAUUUUUUAGACAAUAUUUAAUGGGCACUUGUUAAGGUGGUGAUAUUUUCAAAAUUUUAAAAAUAUAAAUAUAAGAUAGGAUAAUAGUUGUUAAUGUACAUUCACCUCGUAAUUUAAGUUAAAUUUGUUGUCAUUUAGGUGUUUUAACAAAUCUCCAUUGGCACAUGUUCAAGAACCUUUCUUUUAUAUGCUUCCUAAAACAAACCACCAACUAGUCAAUCUCUUAUAGUCACUUUCUUUUUUGACAAAUUUUAUGAACCAAACCAACUUCUAAUCUCCAUAAAAUUAGUAUAACAUAGCAAAAUAAGGAAAUUAUAACAAGGAAACAACAGAUAAACCAAAGGAAAUCUAACUUCUACUACAAUUUGUUUGUAUUAAAUUGACUUCAAUUAACACUCAUAUAUUAGGCAAAAACAACUACCAAAGCCAUGACUUCUUCCAAAAUCUGUACUUUUAACAAUUAACCCUCCCCAAAUAACAUUCUUGUGUCUUCAAGCAUCCAUUUUCCCGCAAACUCCAUUAUUCCAAGGAAAGUUUUUUGGUUUUUUUUGUUCCACCGAACUCCAUUGUAGCAAGGCAAGUUUAUUACUCCUAUUUUCUUUUAAAAUUUUUCUGUCAUGAAAUCAUCAAGAGUCGAUAGGCAAUCAGAUAUGUGAUGAUUUUCGUGCAGAGUCAUUGAUGACAUACUUCGAGAAAGAACUAAUUUUAUUCAAUUAUAGGUGCAUUUAAUCAAAUGAAUGAGUGUCGAUCACAAUUUCGCAUGCCUAGCAUUAAUAAGGAAUAGAAUGUUAUUUUGUAUUUUACUCGCUUUGACUAUUUUAAACAUUUGAUUACUUCUUAUGGCUUUAUUAAUCUUCUUUAUGAAUUUAUUAUGCUUUGUUUGUUGUUACAAUUUUUCACCAUUAUAUGUUUGAUGUUCGCCCCCGUUAAGCCAGAAUUCCGUCUAUGUUGGCAGCUGAGUUGCUACAGCUGACCAUCCGUAUCAUUAUCAAAAAUAAAAGGGAAAAAAGUAAUUGUCAUAACUUUUUCGUACAGAUUUUGCACGAGAUGUUUGAUUUAUCCUACACUGCAAACACUUUAUUCAUAGAUGUACCCCCUGAAUUCAUGCGAUGUAGUUAUGAAAGCAAUGUAAGAUGAUAAACCAAUUAUUAUUAUCAAGGGAAUGCAUUGGGAUCCUACCAUAUACCUCAAGGAAUAAUUUGCCAAUUCAGAUGCCAACAAAAGAUGAAGAGUCAUAGCCUUUGAAGGAAGAUGGCAGUCAGGGACAGGGAGAAAAAAUGAUUCAUAUCCUGAGAAUGUGAAGUCGGGACAAGGAAACAUCAGCUGAUCAGUUGAUUACAGUUGCAUGGAUUCUUGAAUCUCUUGAUAUCCUUGGAACUAAUCCUGGGAAGGAAGUUGAGACCAUUAAGGAUCCAGCAGCUGAUAAAAUUCCUUCUGUUAGAAAAGAAUAAUCUGGUCCGUGACCAAUUAUCAUUCCAAUUGUCCUAAGGAUGGUUGAGUUUGAUCAUAUGACCUUACUGGAGGUGUGAAUAUAUAUAUGCAAUCUUCUACGGAGAAAUGCCAAAUCCAGGAGAAAACUAAGCUCGUAAGCCACUGGAAAACAGUUCGGGACUAUCUAUGUUCAUUCAAGUCGUUGGGGUUUUGACAGUUUUCAACGUAUCAGCAACAAGAAGUUGGCAAGCUAUCGGACUUUCAUGUUCAAAUGCUUCUCAGACUGAGGCCAUGAACAAGCACAAGGAUUGAGAUUUAACUGCCGAGAGAUCAAUGGUUUCACCUUUCAAAUAAUAAUUGAAGUUCUUCUCUCUUACUUGUUAACAAUGGGAAGUGACCUAUUUCUAACUUGCCUUGAAAAUUUUGGUGUUAAUGAAGAUUUGUAAUAGAAUUGAAACAUUCAAAUUCGAUAAUUUGACCAUUAAUACUAGCCAAUAUUUGUGAGAACUCGAAAAUUUUCUUAUUUUCGUCAUAUAUUACUGGUUUAUUUAAAUAGUUAUUCACUUAUUUUCUCCGAAUUAUUUAAUUCGACUACAUAAAAUCCAUUUAUAUGGAAAAACACCUCUCUUAUGUUUUUAAAGCGUUUUGUUAGAAAAUUUACUUUUCGAAAACUCGUUUAGUUCGGAACAACGAGUAUACGUUUUUCGAGACUAUAUUUGAAUCGAGAGUAUAUUAAUUUUGGAGAAGUAAGAAUGAUCAAUAGUAGAUUUAGAAAAGUUAACUUGAGAUUUGAGGAGUUAAAACUCGACUCAUGUGAGGACUCGUAAAAUUUAUUAUCUUAGAUUCCAUUUCGAGUUUAUUCAAAUAUUUAAUUGCCCAUCUACUCCGAAUAUUAUUUUCUAGUCUAUUUAGACCUAAUUACAUGAGUUUAUAGCUUCGUUAUAAUUUUAAAAUGACUCGUUUCAAAAUUUAAUUUUUGGAAACUCGCGAAGUGAAAAUAGCGAAUACGCGAUUGGAGUUAAUAAUCAAUUCGAGGAUACACUAAGUUUGGAAAAUUAGAGACUUGCAGGAUGGUCUUAAAAUAGGUAAUUUUAUGUUUAAGUACUUAAGUGAUAGUUAUUAGUACUAUCGUUAUAAGAAAUUCUUGGAAGUUUCGCUUUAUCGCGCUUAAUUUGGAGAUACGCGUUUUUACACGCGCGAUUUAAUUAAGAGACUUUAGACCCUCAUUUUGGGAUAAUUAAGAGUGGACAAUAUUUAUAUGAAUAUGAGUGCAUUAAAGGUUUAGUGCACUAGUGAAAUAAACUCGAAAGGGAUCGAGUACGAAGUGCGCGUAUACACGCACUAUCCUUAGUUGACUUUUGGAGCAUUUUAGGCCACACAUUAUUGAGCUCCUUAUGGGUGCAUCACACUAGAUCAAAACCCUUCAAUUCUUCAACUAAAGUGGCGUGCAACAUCUUUUCUUUUCCCUCCAUUUCAGCCGUGCAUCUCAAAGAGCAAGAACCAAACUUGCUUCAUCAAUUUUCUUUCAUCAUUUCUUCACCAAAUCUUCUCCAAAUCACACCAAAAUUUAACUACACUUAACUAAUCACUUGGAGAGCACUUUGAGCUAGGAAAGGAGGCUGCUCUCACGGUUUUUCUUUGGCUCAAGAAGACCGAAAAUUUCUGCCUUGAACAUCUAGUGAAGUAAGUGACGAUCCGGCUUUAAAAUCUUGAUUUAUGGAAGUUCUAUUGCCCAUAUAAGCUCAUGCAUGUAAGUGGGUAGCUUUAUUUAUGUUGGAUUUUGGUGUGUGGGCUCUAUGAACUCCCACUUUGGUUGAUGAACUGAUUUGGUGGUUGAUGAUGAUAAUUAUGUUAGUUUAGUGCUUAAAUUAGUGGUAUAAUGUUGGGUUAUUGUUAGAAACUCCAAGAUGGUGCAAUGACCAAAAGUGAUCAUUUUACCCCUGCCUUGUUCAAGCACUUUAAUGUCAAAUUUUGAGGUUCUAAUGGUUUGUUUAUGUUGUUUACAUGUUAUAUUGGUUGUGUUAAAAGUUUCAUUGAAAAAUAACAUGAUUUGAUCACCCAAAUGUCGGAAAUUCGAAAGCUUGAAAAUCUGGAAUUUGAAUCCCGUCACUGCCCCAGGCAGUCUUCUUGUUUCGGACAUAACUUGUUGCUCCGAUGUCGGAAUCGAGUGCCGUUUGUGGCAUUGGAAACUAGACAUUCCUAGCUUUCGGUUGGUAUAAAAUGCAUGUCCUGGUUCCACUUGAGCUAGCCAAACCAUUCAUUUGAAAUCCACUGUCCUGUUUCAUUGCUUCCUGGAAGGAAGCUCAUGAGCUGCAAUUUAAUGCUCACGAACGAGCUGGUUAUGGACAGAUUUUGACAAUGGUUUCUUCUGAGAAAAUGUAGCCUUAUGAGUCUAUUUUCCAACGCCACCAACCAAGCUCAAUUCCGAGUUGAAUUGAGUGAUUUAUGAUCAAAACUCGAAUCUGGUCUGGUGAAGGAAUACCUUACAUUUGGACAGAUUUGAACUAGCAAUGAUUUGGGACUUGUUAUCCGAAAUUUCUUGGUGUAAAUCACCUAUCAAAUGUACCUUGGAUAUAUUUUAGACAUUACCUACUGGAAUGAAUCAUGUUUGAGUCGUUUCUUGGCCAAAUGUUUGGAAAAUGGCAAACCGGAAGCUCAAAGGCAGCUUAGCCUUAGAACUUCUUGCGAUUUCAACGGUUUUGUUAACCGACUUCCCUUUCAUAUUUUCUAUGAAAUUUGGCAAGGGAGUGGCCCUUUUAUGGUAGUAUAUUCAUACCAAAUUUGGUGCCGUUCUGAGUCUAUUUUGCUAUCAAACUAAAGUCCCAAAGUUUGGAACUCAAAUCUGGAAACUAGCUUAACAGUUUCGUUUUUUCCUCCAACUUUGAGUGACCGUAUCUCGGUGUUCAAAACUCCGAUUCUUGAUCCACUUGUUCUGUCCUAAACUUUACUUGUAACUCUAAUUGUGUUAUAAAUUUCAGAGAUUGGUUUGCAACGUAUGAAUUUUACCGAAUUUCCAAAGUUAGCGAAAAACCAACCCCAGCACAAUUCUGAGCACCCUGAAACAGUAAGUUUAAGCCCAUUUUUGAAUACCUUCCACUUAAAUUCAUGGAAAAGUAUCUUCUAAGAACUUUUAGUACUUUCAAAGAGGUUUCCAAUGGUGUCAAGUUUUCCAAUUUUGGACUUGUAAAGAAUGAGAUGCGAUUUUUCAAAGUAUAGGUGACAAAUCUGAAAUUUCCGAACUUAAAGGAAAUUGAGGGUUGCGAACUCUCUAUUUUCCUUCGAUAUUGUUAAGCCGUUUUACACUUGAUUUCAAAGAUGAAAAUCAGAUUUCGCUUGUGUUUUAAAACCCCAUUUUUGAGCCUUGAUUUACUAGUAAUUAAGGCUCAUUUUCAUGAAAUUUUCUUAGAUUAUACAAGUGUGCAAUCUUCCUCGAUAAUUAGGGGUUUUAAGCGAUAGUGUGUAAUAGACAAUUACCAUUUGCUCAGGUGCUCAAGGAAACCUUCAAGGGGAUCUUGAGAGGGAACACCUAAAGGCUCGUUUACGCACUUACUCCCUUAUUUCGAUUGGUGAGUGUCAAGUGCAUGAACUUGAUGUUAAGUGGUUAUCUGUUUCUUAUCCAUUAUGAAAAUUUGAAAUUUUGAGACGAGGGUGUACUUUACCGCACUCGUGCUCUUUCAAAUGAAAUUAUAUUCGAAUUUUGCUAUGUGAAUUCAUAUCCGACUUGUACAUGGUAAUGUGGAUAUGAUUCGUAUUUGUUUUGAUUUGUAUAUGUGAUCCGUAUUUGUGAUUCCUAUUUGGAAUCGUCGAUUUGAGAGUUGCUCGUCGACUUAUAUUCGUAUUCGUAUUCGUAUUCGUAUUCGGGGGACGCCCAAACUCGUUGGUUAACUUUGCGAAUCGAGCCAGCAUGGGCUUGGUCGAUAAGCUUAGCCAACCAUGAGAUAUUCGUAGAGCAUAAUCUAUUGGAGAGAUCUUGCUCGGCAUUACUCGUGCAGUAUUGCCAUGAUAUACUCGAGUAUUACCAAAAACUUUGAUGAGCGGGCCCGGUAAGGGGGUGUAAUGGUGACGGGAUUCGAAGCAAAGUGGUGUAUCUACGGAUUUGAUACUUAUGUGGUUGACGGAGUGUCAACGUGAGAUGUGAUCAAGACUUCAACUCGACUACGUGGAAUUUAGCUCCUGAGAGCUACAGUAUCCUUGAAUUGUUUCUGUUUAGUUUUUUCCUAUUCGAAAUGUGAAUUAUUCGAACUUUAUAACUUUACUUACCAUGUAAUUUGUGACUAUUUGGAUUAUGUGUUUGCAUGUGUGUUUCUUGGCCUCACUGAGUAUUGGCUCAUCCCAUUAGUUUGUUUUCCUUAACAGGUUGGAUUGGAAGAUUUUGGAAAAGCCGACUAGAUUAUACUUUUGAUUGAAAUUUGAACUGUAAAUGUGUAGUCGACUUUUAAUGGUUGUAUUUUGGGACUUGAUAUAUCUUUUGUGAACAUGAAGUAAGAUUUGAAUAUUUAGUUAAGGAAGCGACUUUUCUUUAUUUUGACUUGUAGUAUUUGGUAUGUAUUGUUAAGUUCGAUUUGAAUUGUCUUGAGUCCUGGCGAGAGCUGGGCAGGCGUCCCGCGGAUACCCUUGGGUUCGCCCUUGGGAGAAGUGGGGGCGUCACAAUAUUACAUGUAUUUGCUUUUUUUUUUGGGCCCUAAUAUUAUAGUACAUGUAUUUCAGAUAAAAGAAUUAAAAUCUCACCAAGCCUACUAAGAAAAAACAUAAAACUUCUUCGCUUGUAAACUUCUGCUUGGAUUAAUUCAUCCUUCUUACAUUCUCGUAUACCCAUAUGACUAUUGCAUGUACUAAAUGGUCUAUAAAUGAAGCGUUAGAUCAAGCCUACACAAGUUUCUAUGGUAGAGUUUUGAUAAAAAAAAAUACUUAUUUGGUGGAAUCUUUCAUAAAUAUAUUCCUAAAAAAAUGCCAGAUAGGAUUUUUUACCUAUGGUUUUAUCCCACCAAUAUGAUUGGAAAAAAUAUAUAGGCAGUAGCCUACGAAGGUAAUUGCCAAUUACCCACUGAGCAAGAUUUAAUAUUACUGUAUAUACUGCCUAUGUAUACCAAUGUGCAAAUCAAGUGCAAUUAACAUUCAAAAUUUAAUAUCUGAGCAUUUAUUGGGUGAAAGUGAAAAAAAUGAAAAGAUUAGUACUAAAGGUUAGAAACAAAGUUGCGGUCUGAGUUUAUUGCCAAAAUAACACUCUUGUUAAAAAAUAUUCCCAAUAUGAUUGACUUUCAAAAUUUAUUCCCAUAAUGAUGUUAUUGUUGCCAUCUAGUUAUCCUGAUUACCAUGCACGAUAACAAGAAAAGAAAGUUCAAAUCUAAUUUAAAGUAUCCAACAUGAACUAAAAAUUAAAAAAAAAUUUUAUUACAGAGGCACAAGAAGAUUGCAUAACUUUUAUAAUUUCUUUAUAAUUAUUUAAAAUAAAUUCUACCAUUAUUGACCUUGCUAUUAUUGGGCUCUAAUUUUUAAAAAAUGUGUCAAACCUAUUGCAUAUAUAUUUUUCAAAAAAUAAAUUUUAAAAAUACAAAAGUUGCAACAAAAAUUGUAAGCAAUUAAAAAACUUCAAGACUAUCAUAUUUAUUUAUGUUAUCAUUCCUACUCCUUAAAAAGAUACGAGAAUAAUUUUCAUUUGCCUUGAGAUUAUCAACUCGAGAAGCAUAUUUUUUAGAUACUGUUAAUAUAAAUAUUAAUUUCUUAGAAUUACGAGUGUGUUUGGAUUAAAGAUUAUUUCACUUUAUUUACACCUUAUUUACACACACUGACUUGCUUAUAUCAUCAACACAUUUUCUAAUCACCUUUUUAUCUCACAUACAUCAUAUCAAAAAAAGUGUUACAGUAAAAAUAUUUCAAAUAUACGUUUGACAAGGGAAAGAUAAUGAAACAAAACAAUGCGGGAAGAUUUAGAAAGAAAAUUGGAGAAGAUAUUAGAUGGAAAAGAGAAAUGGAACGUGCUUUUAUCUCCAUCCUGACACAUAUGCUGCCUAAGUGGCAAAAAAAGGAUUAUAAAGGUAAUAAAUUAUAAAAAUAGAUUACUUUGGGUAUAUGUUUUGAAAGAAGAGUUAUUUUGACAAUAAACUCACAGGUGCUUGUCUAAAUUAAAAUAUAUAACAAUUUUUGAAAGUAAAAUGGGGACUGCAUAGUUCCUACUUUGACCCUGGACCCAGUCCAGCGGUUCCGUUCUUCGGAAUUUUGCAGGCCCACUUCCUGCGUUAAAAAUUCCUCGCCGGAGAAUUUUGGGGCCAUUGGCUAAUUUAUCUGUUUUUGGUAACAUGGGGCAGACUAGGUCAGGAGGGCCCAAGUAGUUAACGGGUAAAUAUUGGUUUUUAUUCAACGUAGAACUUAUUUCUUGUUGACUUUUUCCAAGAUACGUUAUGCCUCGUAUUGGUGUUCAUUUCAGAUACUUUGGUCUGAAUAUGUUCUCGCAAUUGAUCAUAUUUGUAGCAAUUAAAUUAUUUAAAUGUUGGACAGCAUAAUCUCAAGCCUAAGUAAAAUUUAACUCUUAAGUCCUUGAGAAUUUACAAUAGCUUGCCUCUUGAGAAUUUAAACUUUGCUAUUUGUAAUCAAAUUUUCAUAUGUUAAGUAAAAAUUAAAAAAAAAAGGCCAUAAAAAGUGGAAAAAGUUUUGAACAUUUUAUCUCUAGUAGCUUUUGGAUGCUCCAAUUUUUGAGUCAUUGCAUAUAAUAGAAAUAUAUGUACCUUCAACCGCAUGGACUUGAUUAUUUCACCAAGGUUUUAACCUUUCCGAUGAGCUCACAAUUUGCACUGCAACAUCUGUCGCAAUUAUUCCAGUUUCUUUCUUGAUUUAAUAAGGGAUAAUUUCAGAAACCUCUCUAGAAAUUUCUGACAAUUUCACCUAAUUUCCCUUUCAUUUGAAAAGUUACAUUUACCUCCAUUCUCAAGGACAAAAAAAAAGCUAUAAUAACUUUCUUAAAAGAAUGACACUCAUCCUAAGCAAAAUUUGAAGCCAAAGUUAUUAUUGCCGUUAUUUAAAAGGAAAAAAAAAAGGUAACAAUAAAGUCAAAUGGCUAUCAAACAUUUAAAAAAUUGCUACUAAGUCUAACACGGUGGGUUUUGCCCUAUCAUUACCAUUACAAGGGAGGUUAGUGAAAUUAUCCCUUGAUUUUAACAUUAUUGUUGAUAUUUGAUUAAAAAAACGUUCUUGUUUAUACUUCUUUUUAUUCAGGGCAAUCUCUCCUUUUUCUGAUAUUUAAUACACCGAUAAAAUUCAGCUGUCUUUGGAAGUGCGUACGUGCGUAGAAUUCAUCUCGUUCCACUGUCAAUCUACUACUUUUAACCAUCGGGACAUAUUUUCUUGGUCACAAAUUAAUCCUACUCUUUUUGUACUAGUACCUUUUCUUUUUUACUAAUGCCACGUCAAGCGCACGAGCUAUAAAAUGGAUAUGUGCAAAUGGGUAAUUCUUUGGUUUUAAUUUCGGUAAAAAGACAUUUUAUCCGUUUUUCCCAUCAUUGAAUGAUGGAAGAAGCUAUAUGUGAUGAUGUGAGAAAAUUCCCAAUUAAAAAAAAAAUAUGAGUACACUAUGUGAUCGCUUUAUUUGCCUUUUCCCUCAUUCAAUAAAAAAACUAUGAAUAAAUUUAUACCUUGGCUUUUAAGACAAGUCACCUGUUAAUUUUCUCAAAAGCCCACAAAUGUUUUUUUUUUAAAAAAAAAAGUAAAAACCACAGACUAUAUAUGCAUUGACAUAAGCUUAUACGGAAAUUUAGAAAAAAAAAAUAAAAUUUAAGCUUAUAGGGUGUACAGACUGCAACUUCCGAAUUUGCUCGAUUUAUUUGAACCAAAAAAAAAAAGAUGCUAUUUAUAUGUGCAAACAUUUUAUUUAAUUAUUUAUCUAUUUUAUGCGUACGAGUAUACAUUACAUGACCAUGCAAUUGGCUUUGCGUAUCCCUGGAUCAUAUUUUGAUUUACGACUGAACAUGUGAUAUUUAGACAACCAUCACUAAUGCUCAAUAAUUAAUCUCAAGUGUCUAACUUCAAAAUAUUGAUGAAUAAGUAAAAAACCAGAGGACAACUACUAAUUUAAAGAUUGAAAAUUUCGAAAUUCAGCGACUAAGUCGUGACACAAAAAUUAGCGUGCAAAGUAUCAAAAAAGGAAAAAAUAGUAUACCAUAGUGCAAAUUGGUAGUAAGUUGAAUUGAUUCAAAGUAUCCCCUAAUCCAUAUUUUAUACAUCAUCUUCGGGGACUAAUCUGCCAACCAAAUAAGGAUAGUUAAAAUUAUUAAAGGAAAACUUUAAGUGCUUAUUUUUAAGUGUUUGAACUAGCCGAUGCUUUCAAACCCGACGGGAGACCAAGUCAAUCUCUUUAGUUGUUUUGACUUGCUUCUUUACCAAAACUUGAUCCGACCAAAAAGCUUAGAAUGCUCCUUUGAAGUAAUUUUUCUUUUCUGCACUAGUCUACAUGUAAAGACAGAUCUCCUUGGCAAAUGUCCUAACCUAUCAUAUUUUUAAGCUUUUAAGUGCGAAAAAUGUUCCAAGUAUAUUAGUUGCGCACGAAGUUUGAGGAAGUAUUACUUCAACUACUGUUCCGUCAUAUGCUUAGAGGCCCUGGAUAUGGUAUAAUGAUAAUCCGACCAAAACAUCUCUACUCCUGUCCCUCUCACGUGUGAUUCGAUUUUAACUGAGCGUUGUUCUUAAGCUUUCUGUGUCAAAUCAUAUUUGGAUAUGCGGUUUGUACUUUAAUUAUGCUGAAAGGUAGUUAUUGGCUUGGUUUUAUGGAGUAAUUUUUUUAAUUGCUUAAGAGUUGAAGUGAAUGUUAUGCCGCUUUCUUAGGGGCAUUUGCAUUUACGGUCACUAAUUAAGUUUUGCUUUACUGGUGAAAGAUGAGGGCUUUUUUGGAUGGUCACAUCAGGAAAUUAAUCUUAAGGUUACCUUUUGGGCUGAAUGUUAUUACUCAAGAUUGGGAUUUAUUUUUGUCCUACAGAUUAGGACAUUGUGUGGUGUUGAACAUGAUGAUUUGAAGAGGCUGUUUUUUGUGUCAAAAUCGAUAAGAGAAGCGGUAAGCUUUUAUACAUCUCUAUGAAUUAAAUUAAUUUAAAAUUUGAGUGCUUUCUUCAACAUGUCUUGAGCAUUGGUUGAUUUUGAUUUGGAUUUCUUAAACAAAAAUGCAGACUUUGAUUGCAAAGCGAUGGCAUUUUGCAGAUAGCACCCCCAAGAAGACACUCGGAUUUCCAAAUGCUAUUGAUUUUGAAAAUGUGGAUGAGUUAAUGAUUGAACAAGCUCCAAGGCAAGUGAGAAUUCCGAGGGCUCGAUUGAGCAGCAAGAAGUUGGCUGACAUUUCCGUGACCUUAUAUACUUCUGCUGGCGAACAGAAUUGGCUGCGAAGAGAGCUAUUUGUGGCAAUGGAUGCAGAAAUAUGAGUUGAAUGAUUUAUGAAGAUCCAGAACGGUCUUCUUCUUGUUGUACAAUUUGGUAACUUCUUGGUUAAGCGAAAUAGAUAGAAGACAGAAAGAAAAUCUGACGUGCGUAUCAUAUUUUUUGAUAGUUUGUACAUGACAAAACAAAUCCAUGCAGGCCCAUUUUCGUCAAUUCUUUCAUUGAAGAUAGGAUUGGCUUGUUUAUACUUUGUUUGUACAUGUAGAAGAAAUGGUUUAGGGAUUUCAUUUAAGGAGCUGUAGUGGCCCUUUUUGUUCUCAUAAGCGUGUAUAUACGAGCCUCCAAGCUCUUUGGUGGUACUUAUUCGAAUGGGUUGGAUGAAUACAUCUCUGCCAAGCUGAUUUUGCAAUUUGAUUGUUGUUCUGUUUUCCCUACACACAAUGCUGUUCUUCUUCCUCAAAAGUGAUUGCUACGGUGCAGUAGAACUAUGUAAGAGAUUAUUCUUGGCCAAUUCGAGACGUCAGCUGAGAUUCUUGUUUCAUUUAGGAUAUGUACUAGAUUUUUUUCGCCCUUUUAUGUUCUGCAUUAAUGCAUCUGUGUCUGAACUCUGUUGAUUCUAUUUGGUCGAUACCUUUUCAGCAAUCAGGUGAUGGGGCUACCUGUUGAUUUCUUGUUGAAAUUAUCAGUAUUAAAUCCUUUUGUUUUCGCGGGCGGUUAUCACCAAGAUUGUCAGGCAGCGAUUAGUACACUAUGAAAAGGAAAAUGGAGGAGCUACCAUUAUGUUUAUUUCCAUUCCCUACUUGUUUUGGCGAGCGGCGUCUUCAGAGAACAUGGACUUUGCGCUUUCUGCAUUAAUAAUAAGAUAAGAUGUUAAUUUCCUAUUCUGGUACCUAGGAUUUCAUUGAGGAUCUGGCUGUAUCGGAGGUAAUGGUUUGAGGGAAGCUAGCUGGAAUCCUUGAAACCUUAAUUACAGGAUGAAAAUUUGCGCCAAAAUGAUCUGUUUAGUGGAUGUUGUUGCAGCUAUGAAGGAAAUCAAGUAAUUGGUGAAUGGAUAAGUAGUUCAAAGUUUGGGAGAAAGGAAGUUGACUUAUUCAGUCGGAUAGAUAAUUCAAAUAUGGUUUUAAAAUUCAACAAUAUACUUAUUCUCCAUAAAAGAUAUCUGUUAGUACAUGGGUGUCAGGGAUUGUUAACAAAGAUAGAAGAAUGAUAUUUGGAUAUAUUUUUCUUCUCUUUUGCUUGUGAAUAAAAACGAAAACAAGAAGGUUAAAUUUUUUUCUCGCCAUUUUUAAUCUCCUAAUAUGGGGAGUUCCAAUCAUCAAUGGUUGUAUGUCCUGUUAUUGCAGAGUAAAGCACCAACACAGCGUCUAGUUGGAUUUGCAAUUCUCCACCAGGCGUAUUCUUCCCAGCAGCCUAGUUCUAACCCGUUCAGUUUUGUGCUUGUGAAUGUAAGCAUGCAUAUGUCUUCUCCUCAUUGCAUUUGUUGUUCUCAGGAUUUUGUUUGUGCUCUAUUAAUGGUCAAUUUUAAAUAAUCAUGCACUGUGUAAGAUUGUUCAUCUAUGCAGUAUGCACAUCAAGUGCAUUUUUGACUUGUUUAUUCAGUGAUAGUAGAAAGCUGACAGUAUUUUCAGUUAACUUUUAUACGGAGUGCUAAGAAUUAUUGGACUGUCUGCUGUAUGAAAUACUGAGUGUAGUGAAUUUAGAUAACCACAUGAACCUGGUGUGGAGGCCUAUUCAUUACUGUGGGAAAGACUUCUUUUCAGAGCCUAUUUUUGCUUCUAGAAUAAGAAAUCGUUGACAAAUUAAUAGUAACAAAUCCUUUUUUUUACUAUUACGUAUAUCACUGUGGGCUGACACCAAGAAAGCUGCCAGUAUGUUAUUUUAUAGGCAUAUCGAUGUGUUCUAUGUGUUAAUUUCCUGAAUGUGAGUGUUCUUUUGUUUGGUUAUCAGGAACUUGGGGAGAAUAAUCCUGUCAUAGCAGUUGAAGUUCUCAUUAAGCCUGCAAAUUCACCUGAAAUUGAAGAGUAUGUUCAUCUUUUUACGUUAUACUAUAAGAAACUUAAUCUUAUUAGUGUUCCGACAACAAAUUUUUUUUAUGAAAUGCAGGUAUUUUACUGUUCUUGUCAGUAUGGAUAUGAGCCUUCAUUCAAUGGAAGUGGUUAACAGGCUUACUACAGCUGUCGAACUACCAACUGAAUUUAUUCACUUGUAUAUAACGAACUGUAUAUCUUCGUGUGAGAACACCAAGGUUCUUAGUCCUCUCUACUCUUUGAUGUACUUCCCCAUUUUUCAGUAAAGCCUCAUCUGCAAUACCUGCAAUGGUGGACAAUUCGAGACCUAGGAUGUCCAGUCAUCAAUCUGUUGUGCAGAAUGAAAGUUCAGCAUAUAUUUUGUUUAUGUGAGGAAAGUCGCAGGCAUAUAAGCAUUUUCAGUAAACCGCGAUAAUGAACACUCAAAGAAAGAGGGGACUAAGCUGUGCAUGUCAUGGAUGAUUCAUGUACAAGUUGAUUCACGAAUGCUAAUGAAAAUCAUGAAUGGUUGGUUCACACAAGCUGUUUAGGAGAAUCGAUGAAAUUAUCUGCCAAAUUAAGAGGCAGAUUACAGAACAUAGAUUCACCUUCAGCUGUGUCUGUAGAGAAUGCAAUCUACUUGCAGAGUUUUUGGCCAAUUUAGGCCGUGACUCACAAUGCAAUUAGGCUAAAGAUUAACUUUAUUCCAAAAUUUCAAAUUUGCUGAAUCUUAGAUUGGAUAGAUUGCAUAUCGGCUAUGUUAUUCUUUCUUCUUGAUGUACUCAAAUGUCUAUAAUAAAAUGAAAGAUCUAUUUCUGAACCCCCAACCUACUCUUGGUGGUUUGUUAAAAAAGAGAGAGAACCUGCAGUCAUGAAUACGUUGGACUUGUUUCCUUUUAAAUAAAAAAAAUGUAUGAUUUGGGAAGUUAAAAUGUUUGCAGAAGGUUUCUGAAGGGUAAUGUGUUUCAAGUCUUGCUUCUAUCUCGUAUUAUGUAUACCUCUCAAGCUUACGUAUAAAAAGAAAUGAGCGAGGAGAAAUAUGGAAUGUGUAAUGCCUUUUGCCUUUUCAAUAUAGAGCUAGUGAGCCUCUAGCAAUGAUCUAUAUAUUCCUAGAAAUGCAUGCUUGAGGGAUUGGGUUGAGAUUGGCUUCUGAUUGUCUUAGCUUUGAUAUUUGAACUGCUAGGCAUACUUGUGAAAAAUUUGAUAACAUAACUGAUGUUUCUUCUUGGUUUUGGUUUUCUUCUUUUUGUUGGCAUUUCUUGUCCAUCUUUUUAGCACAUCUGUGUCUUUGAGUGUGUGUGUUCUUUGCCUUCAAGGAUUGGCUAGUGACUUGGUGUGUUCAGUUGGGGGGUGCAUUGGUUGCUGCUAUUUGUUUUGAUUUAAGUUCUCUUGGGUUUUGAUUCAAAUUUUAUGCACCUUGAUCUGUUUUAAAUAUAAAGUGCAUAUGGCAGCUUCCAUCUCUCAAACCUUGAUUUAUUCUCAUUGAUCUAAUUUUACUAAAUGCUGUCGAACCUUUGCAAUGCAGUUCAGGAUCUAUUUAUUGAAGUCCAAGCCUUUUGUAUAGAGUUUUCAAGGAUGAGAGAAGCAGCUACGUUGUUUAGGCUCCUUAAAAGCUUAGAAUAAGAUAGUCUAGUUUAAUUUUACUUAGUUCUCUCUGUGUAAGAUGAUCCUGCCCUGUUGCUAUGACGUUCUAUUUUGAGGAUAGCAUCAUGGCUUGUAAUGUGAGGGGUAAAAGAUAAAGCACUGCUGCGUAUACUGAGGAUUUUGCAUCCAUCUGGCGCUAUCCCAGAUAAUGGGCAUAUCUUUUUAUUUCAAAAUGCAAAAAUGGCAGCAAGAAAGGAAUCAACAUGCAAUUUGAAACACCUUGGAAGGUUUCAUUUUUGAAACACCUUUACUUCAUUAAGCGACAGACGGGGAGAUAAAAAGUGUCAUUACAAUGCUCUAUUUGACUUGGUGGCGGAUUCAAGGAAAGGGCACUGGGAUCCUUAAAUUCCUAUAGUACCCAUAAAAUUUUGAUAUAAUUUCAAGUGUGUCCUUGAAGUUUUCUUAUGAAGGAUGUGAAAGAAUUACGUGGUUCUUUAAAUUAGUUAAUGAACUAAAAUUCUGAAAGGAUAUGUGGAACACAAAGUUUCAUUUAAAGUAAACUAGAAAAAGCCUUUUCGUCUCAACUUAGUGGUGAAUAUUUUUUGGCUUAAAAUACUAGAAAAAAAUUAGGUAAAAAAUUUUAGUGUUAUUUUUAUCCCAAUUGAGAAUUUUUUCUGGAUCCGCCACUGAUUUGACUUGCAUGUAUUCAAUGACCAGAGCUUGAAAUGAGCUUCAGCAUGUAGCAAGAAACAUGCUGAUGCUACUUAGCUGUCAUAUUUUAAUAGCUGUUACAACUUGAUUUUUUUGGUUCUCUCAUUUGUCACCAGAUGUUAGCUGUCUAGGAAAUUUUUCCAUACAUCAUUUUUAUGCUACUGCUGAGGUUCACUUUUGAUUUUAUUUUAUACACAUCAACAAAUGGACAUAGUGAAGAACAAGACAAUGAGCAGCAACUCUGAGGCUCAAACCUCUAAGACACCAAAGCUAUUUGAGUUACUUUGGCUAGUUGUAGGAUCUAUUUAACAGGAUCUCACAAAUUUUUACUUGCAUAAAACUGUGUGCCUUUCAAGCAUAAUUGGAAUUGUGUAGUUAGCCUCUUUCUUUCUUCAAUCAUUUUUAUCUCCUUCAAUCAUUGUAUUUUACUCACAAAUUUGUCUUCUUUUUCUUAUGCUAAUCACAUACUUGUGACAUAGCAUUAACAAGUGAAAUAUCCGAAUCAAAGUAUACCAUUAAGAUGUGAUUUCUCCUCCACUCACAAAAAUAGGAGGGAGAAUACGUGAAAGAUACAAAGGGCUAAUAUUUUUAAGAGUCAGAUGAGCAGGACAUAUGGUUCAGGGCAAUCUCUCUUCACCUUCUUAAAGAUCCAAAAUUUGCCUUUGGAUGACUAAAGCAGCUGAAUUCCACUGAAAUCAAAUUAAGCAAACAUUGCGUUUAUUUUCAGGGAUUGUUCAGCUGUUUUAGAUCGUUUUUUGGGUAAUAAACUAUCCAACAAGAUCCAAAAUUAUCUUACCCUUGUAAUUUUUGGAUGAGUUAAUAAUACGAACCGUUAUUCAUGAGAAGAAACUGAGUGGAGAAAAUCUUUGCCAUAAAUUGUUCAUCAUGGCAAAAUAUAUAAUCACUUGAAAAAUUUAGAUGCACAGCCAACAUUUAUGCCAAAUACAUUGUCACUAAAUGAGAGUUGAUGAGGCUUUGAUUGACCCCACGCUAAUGGAUUACACGAAACUUUAUAUAAAAACAAACUAAUUUGAGAUAGCAUAUGAUUAGAAGCAAAAGUUCACAACCAUCAGCAAGAAAAAUCACAUAGUUUUUAAACAUAUUGACUAGCAAAUAAAAAUGCUAACGACAAUAGAUAAGCAAAAAACUUUAUUUGGAUAGUCACUAGUUAUGCAAUCUAGGCAUUGAUAGCAACUAGUUAAUAUUAUUAUAUCAAUUGAAUUAUGUUUCAUGGACCGGAAUACCGAUUAUUUAGGAUUUUUGAUUCACAAGUGGCCCUAAUGGUGGUGGCGGCGGUGGAUUCUUUGGCGGACUGAUGGAGGGACAGGCACCCCUCUUGAAAGCCUAGGAAAUACGCUAUCCUGGGGUAAAGCAUGUGGCCCAUGUGGCUCUAUCAGUGGAGGUAGUGGAGGAUACUUUGUAGGACCUGAUGGAGGGAUCGGCUCCCUUUUAAAAGCUUGGGGAACCAAUGUUUUGAAAACCGGAUCGGCCUGUCAAUUCGACUAAUCAGACUGCAAAUCGGCCAAGUCUUUGAUCCAAUUCAUUAUUAGUAUUGACUUUUUGUAAAAAUCGCAAAAAAUCAACCAUAUCGUUCAACUCAAAUUGAACUGUGAACCGUGAUUUUUUUAUUUUUUCCAUCUUUUUUUUAAAAUUGAACCUAAUGUUUUAACAUAAUAAAACUUAUUAGUAGAAUCUUUUGUUCCUGAAGAGGUGAUUUUUGGCGGGUAAUUAGUCCAACCGAAAUCAGCUCUCUUGUUAAUGUGGUGAGGUGAGCUCGAUUAUCUCACCUCGGGUGGAAUGAGGUGAGGUUGCACGGUCGAAGUGGAAGGCGGGGCUUUUCCCCUGCGAUCACUCCGACGAUCAAGUUAGUAUGAGAACGAGAAUAAUUAGAGUAUGAAUGAGUGAACAGUAUGCUUACUUGUGGGAGGUAUGCGAGGGGUAUUUAUAGGUCAGGAGGGAAUGCUAGGACGGAGUGCUCAUGCUGGUGGGACCCGCAUCCUGGCAUUACGGCUCUGUUUCCUGUCAGGAGGUCUGACUCUGACACUGUAGCCGCCUGAAUAUGAUGACGGAGAGUAUGGUGCAGGUGCCAUUAAGUGCCUCCAGUGCUUCUCAGAUAAAGCACUGGUCUGGUUCCGGGUGAUGUCAGGUGGCUUGACAUCAUCAGCGUGCAGCUGGGGUGGAGGUGCCGAGGUCACCUACACGGUAGACUAGGGAUCCGGCCGAGCUCAGGGGUUAUGCUCAAGACACGGACGAGCUCUGAUGAGAGACGAGGUGGGUUCACCUCGGACAUGCAGGGUGGUCGAGGUGAGCAUCCUCAAUAAGCCCCCCAAGCCUCGGGAGCUCCGAGCCAGGGAGGUACCGAGGCUUCCUGGUGCCGAAGUCGUAAAGAGUCGGGGUCCCGAAACUGCUCCGGAAGAUGCGGGGACGUGACACGUGGGCGAGUCAGUUGACAGGACGUGGCCGCUGGUAGCCGUCGCGUCGUGAAGUAGUGGGACGUUUCGUGCAGAGGGUGUCAGUCGAAAGGACGGGGCAUUAAUGAGGAGAGAGGGAGGCACGGCGUUUUGAAUUCGAACGUGGCCGUCUUUUCGCAUUCUUGCCGCCUCUUCGGAUUCCCCCCAAACCCUUAUAAAUAGGGGGUCCUUUUCACCGUAUGGCCCAUCACUUUCUUUCUUUGCCUGCGACUUGCAAAAUUUACGAGUGUUGCCGAGAUCAAUCCUGCCAGCCGAGAUCCCAGCCGAAGUCAUCAUCUUUGUUCGAUACCGUAGUCAACAGUAAGUAUCUUUCUUUCCAUCUCGUCUUACACACAUGGCCAAAAUAGCUAGGACCCAUAAAGAAAUCGUGACACCGAGCUACCAGACAGAGGUGAGGCCGGAUCCUGAAGAAGUGACGACGUCCAGCUCUGAGGGGUCGACGCCAAGUUCUGAGGAAGGAUCAACCGAGGUGAGAGCCGGCGAGACAGCCUCGGAGUUGGAGUCGUCCGAGAUGAGCGGGGGUGGUUCCGAGGUGGUCUAUAACGAGGAGUUCGGCGUCGAGAUACCACACGACGAGGACGUACUGGAGCCCGUCGCUCCUAGGGACGCAGCCAACAUCGACUUCGGCAAGAUGCCGAAGUUUAGAAGUCACAUAGGAAGAGAUAGGGCCGAGAAGGUGAUAAACAAGUAUCCCUUCCGGCCGGGGUACGAAAUUACACCGCCCGGGGUGGAUGACUCAGCCGAGAAACCCCCCUUUGGCACGGUGGCCAUCUAUGUCCAACAGUUGGAGGCCGGGCUGAGGAUGCCCACGUCGAGGUUCUUCAGGGACUUGCUUCAUCACUUCUGCGUGAGGAUUACCCAGCUCACCCCGAACGCGGUCCGCAUCAUCGUAGGGUUCGAGAUGCUGUGCCGACAUCAGGAGGUGACUCCCUCUGUCGACCUCUUCCGCCGAUGCUAUACCCUCAAGGCGCACGGGACGGAUAAGGGAUGGUUUUAUGUUUGCAAUCGGAACAAUGCCAUCCCGAAAUUGGUGAUUGGUGCUCCCAACUCGAUCAAGAAUUGGAAGCGCGACUUCUUCUUUGUAUCCGGAUUGGACUUCCCUAGGGGUUUUUGGUGGAGGCCAAUUAAGGCGAAGGCCGACCCUUCUGCGGGGGAUGCCGAGGAGGAGGCCUUCCAAAAGCUGAUGGGGUCAGGACUUCGGAUAUACAGUUGGGACUACCCCGAAACCGUGCCGGUUGACGGGGGAAUUAGCCGAGCUUUACUCAGUCCUGACAAGACUCCCUUCACUUCCACUAAACUUAAGAUACCUUGUAAUUUUCUUUCAUAGCUUUGAUUCCACUUCGGCUAAGGCAUAUGAUAAUAUUUGUUUCUUGUGCAGUGACUAAACUGUCCGACAUUGUCGUAUCGGGCUCGUCCGAAGUGGCCAAGAGGUCGAAGAGGAAGAGCUCUGACGAGACAUCGGCACCUCCGCCGAAGAAGAAGUCACAAGGACAGGCUGCCAAGACUUCGGUGGCCAAGAGCACUCCCACCCCGGGAGGCCAAAGCAGCUCGGCUGGCGCGGCUACUGGGUCCACCGCGUCUGUGCCAGAGGGAGUGCCCCUUAGAGUCGUCACGGUACUCCCGCCUCCUCAUGGCCGAGGCAAGCAGCUGAAACCCCCGGUCAAUCAGGUCUCGGCGUUUCCAUAGCUCCCCGGUGUUUUCCGGGAAGGAGAAGACGCACCCUGGCGAGCAUUGGUGUCCGGAAUGGAAACUUACUAUUAACGAUAGGUGCAGUCAUCCUCGGGUUGCACAAGAGCUGGUGAUGCACUCUACCUUGCCGAGGGAGUUGGAAUUUAUGAAGAAAUUGACUCCGGCCGAGAUGGUUCAAAACCUUAUGGUGACCACAGCCUCCAACUCAGCCUUUGUGGCCGAGAUGACACACCGGUACUGUGCUCUACUCGAGGAGCAGGACUCCGGCAAGUUACAAAAUCAGAUCUCCAAGUUGGAGAAAAAAUUGGCAGUGUCCGAGUCUGAGAAGGCCGAGCUUCAAAGACAGCUUAAAGAGGCCGAGACGAAAGAUGAGGAGGCCGUGGCUACAAUCAACAGCCUCAGAUCGGCCCUCGAGGAAGAGCAGAAGAGGGGGGACGAGGUGAAGAAGUCUCACGAACAAGAUCUCGAGAGUGCUGGGGCCUCGGCCGUGGACGCAUUUCGGAACUCCGAGGGCUUCACCCGGGAUCUCGGCCAACUGCUUGCGCCGAGCUUCAUGUUCGGCUUCACGUCAGCCGUGGAGGAGGCCGCAGCUCACCUCUCCUCUGAAGCCUUGGAGUCUCUGAAAGACAAUGCCAACUACAAUGAGGACUCCAAGGAGUUAUGCGAUCGGAUGGCCGAGGGCCUCCAAUCCGGAAGGAACUUGUCCGAAGUCCGGGACGAGUUCAACAAGUGGCUGUCCGAGCUCGACGAAGUGUUCGAGGAGGGCCAAGGAGAAGAAGCUGGAGGAGAAGAAGCCGGGGGAAACAUCGGUGAAGAGCAGGGAGGAGGAGAGCUUCACCCCGGCGGGGAGGAGACAGGAGAGAAGGCUACCCAGGAGGGAGCCGAGACGGGGGAGGGAGCCGAGACGAGAGUCUAGGCUCAUAGAUAUUUAAUUAGGAUUCCGAGGUGGGAGAUGCUUAGAGGCACUUCCGAUCUCGGUCUUGUAUUCUGUUCUGUAUUGUCCUUUCAUUAAAUGAAACGUCUAUUUUUCUCAUCUCGGCACUUUAAUUUCUUGUCUUGACUUCGUCCCUUGCUUGUCCCCCUUAUUUUUGAAUAGCGUAAUAUCGAUGUUGAAAAAUAACAUAACACCCGAAGUCAUUACUUGAUUAAAAAUUCAAGUAUAAUACAUUUUGAGAUUCUCGGCGUGCCAAGACCUCGGCACUAGGGAGCCAUCUCGGUAGCUCAGUUUACAAUAUCCCUUAAGGUCAGAUUCCACAACUCGGUAAGGGCCUUCCCAUUUCGGGCACAAUUUCCCUUGCGGUUCAGCUCGGCUGGUCGAGUUUUUUCUGAGAACCAAGUCUUCAGGCUGGAAUCUACGGUGUCUGACACGGGCAUUGUAAUAGUGUGCCAGUGUGUUCUUGUAGGAAGCUAUCCGGGUUGAGGCGAGGUCCCUUCGUUCCUCGACGAGGUCGAGAUCCAGCUGUCUCUGUUCGUCAUUCACCUCGGCAGCAUAGGCUGCCAGCCGAGAGCUGGGGGUAAGGAUCUCGGCCGAGAUGACAGCCUCGGCGCCGUAGGUCAAGGAGAAGGGGGUCUCUUGCGUUGCUGACCUCGACGUGGUCCGGUACGACCACAGGACACUGGGGAGUUUCUCGACCCAAAAUGACCCAACUCGGUGUAGUCGAGUCUUGAGACCAUGCAGGAGAGUUCGGUUGAAAUUUUCUGCUUGACCGUUGGCCUGGGGGUGGCCCACCGAAGUGAAAUGUUGUUUGAUGCCAAGGUUUGUGCACCAAGUUUUAAAGGGGUUCUCGGCAAAUUGCCUUCCAUUAUCCGAGAUGAUGACCUGAGGUAUGCCGAAGCGGUAGACGAUGCAUUUCCAAAAGAAUUUUUGAAUUGCCAGUCGGGUGAUGGUCCUCAGAGGCUCGGCCUCAACACACUUGGUGAAAUAAUCCACAGCGGUUAUCAGGAAAGUAUAACCCCCGACGGCUCUGGGGAAAGGACCUAUGAUGUCUGUCCCCCAUUGCUCAAAUGGCCAAGGUGAAGUGAUGGGAACCAUGAAGUUUGCGGGCUGGUGAUGCUCGGGUACGUGGACUUGGCAGGAAGGGCAGCCGAGAACGAGAUCAUGGGCGUCUUGCCGAACAGAGGGCCAGAAAUAUCCAAGAAGCAAAGCCUUCUUGGCUAGCAUUUUGUGGCCGACGUGAGCUCCACACAGGCUUUCGUGGAUCUCGUGGAAGACGUGGCGUCCUGCCUCGGGGGUGACACACCUCAGCCACGGGCCGAGGUAGGAGCGCUUAUAUAGUUCUUCAUCGCGGAGAACAUACCGAGCAGCCUUGCGUUGUAUCUUCCUCGCCUGGGCUCGGUAUUCGGGAAGGGCUCCCUGACCCAAGAAAAGGAUGAACGGGGUCAUCCAGGUAUCUUCAGAGUGCACGGGGCAGGCCACCUCUUCCACGUAUCCCGGUUCACUCAGGACUUCCACUAAAACUGUUUUGUUGAGAUCAGAGAAUGAUGUGGAAGCCAGCCGGGAUAAGGCGUCGGCUCGCUUAUUCUGGGACCGGGAUAUUCUUUGGAUUUCGAAAGACUCGAAGUACGCGAUGAGUUGGUGAACUUUGGAGAGGUACCGUUGCAUGGUCUCAUCCUUGGCCUCGUAUUCACCAAGAACUUGCCGUACAACGAAUUGGGAGUCACUGCGGACGUGGAUUUGCUGGGCGCCGAGCCUGCGAGCCAGUUGGAGUCCAGCAAUUAAGGUCUCGUACUCGGCUUCAUUAUUGGUGGCUGGGAAGCCAAAGCGGAGGGCGUACGAGCACAUUUCUCCUUGGGGGCCCUCCAGGAGCAACCCAGCUCCGCUGCCCUCUCCAUUAGAGGAUCCAUCUACAUACAAUGUCCACAGGGAUGGGGUGGACACCUCGGCAAAGGCGGAGGUGGAUUCUGGACCUUCCGUGAAGGUGAGUUCGGCAAGGAAAUCGGCUAAGGCUUGUACUUUUAUGGCGGUGCGGGGCUCAUAUGACAAGUCAUACUCUCCCAAUUCGAUGGCCCACUUGGUAAGGCGCCCGGAUGCCUCGGGUCGCACCAGUAUCUGCCGUAUAGGUUGGUCUGUUCUGACGGAGAUGGGGUGAGCCAGGAAGUAGGGUUUCAGCCGCCGAGCUGCGUGGACUAGUCCCAAUACGAGCUUUUCCACCUGGAUGUACCGAGUCUCCGGCCCACGGAGGGCUCGGCUGAUAUAGUAGACCGGCACUUGGGUGCCCUCAUCUCGGAUGAACACAGCACUGACAGCCUCAUCGGCUGCGGAUAGAUAUAGGUACAGCUUCUCCUCGGGCCGAGGUGAAGCGAGAGUGGGUAGUGGUGCAGGUACUGUUUCAGCUGGUCGAAGGCAGCCUGACACUCCUCAGUCCAGGCGAAUUGGUCAGCCUUCUUCAACACCUUAAAGAAGGGCAGAGCUUUCUUAGCAGAUUGGGACAGGAAGCGGUUCAGCGCGGCCAGGCGUCCAUUUAGUCUUUGGACUUCUCGGAGGUUCCGAGGUGGGGACAUGUCCUGAAUGGUCUUGACCUUGUCGGGGUUGGCCUCGAUUCUCCGGCGGGAAACCAGAUAUCCCAAGAAUUUUCCGGAGGUGACGCCGAAGACGCACUUCUUGGGAUUCAAUUUCAUCCUCGAGUCCCGCAGGACGCCGAAGACCUCUCUCACAUCGGACAAAAAAGCCGAAGUAGUUAGGCUCUUGACGAGAAUGUCGUCCGAGUAGGCCUCCACAUUGCGGCCGAUCUGGUUUUUGAAGAGGCGGUUGAUCAGCCUCUGGUAGGUCGCCCCGGCGUUCUUUAGCCCAAAUGGCAUGGUAGUGUAGCAAUAAACACCUUGGUCGGUGUAGAACGCCGUCUUCUCUUGGUCCUCUUCACUCAUUCCUAUUUGAUGAUACCCUUUGAAGGCAUCCAGUAAACAAAGGAUCUCGUAACCCAUCGCCGAGUCGACGAGGGUGUCUAUUCUUGGGAGAGGAUAGCAGUCUUUGGGGCAGGCCUUGUUGAGAUCGGUGAAAUCCACACACAUUCUCCAACCACCGAUGUCCUUUUUGACCAUGACUGGGUUGGACAGUCAGGUGGGAUAUUGAACCUCGUGGAUCAUCUUGGCCGACAAGAGCUUGUCGACCUCAUCCGAUAUAGCACGUUCGGGGCCGAAGUGCCUUCGUUUCUGCCUUACAGGGCGGGCCUGCGGAUUAACGUUGAGCUGGUGAAUCAUGAGCUCAGGUGGCACUCCGACCACUUCAUCAGCGGAUCAUGCGAAGACGUCUCGGUGGUCCUUGAUCAGGGAGAUCAUUUCUUCUUUCAGGGGUGAGAGGAGUCCGGCCCCUACUUGCACCACUUGGUCAGGUUUCGCUUCAUCCAAGACCACUCGUUCCAUCUCAUCCCCGGGCUCAAGCCUGUUGGGCUCUCCUGCCUUCCGAGGGUCGAUGCAGUUUAUGGAGAGGACCGCUUAUCACUAUCUACAGAAAUUAUAUUUUAUUUAAGCAGGUUUUUAUUAUUGCACAGGUUCGGCACCUGUCAAUUUUUGGCGCCGUUGCCGGGGAACUGGUGUCAGUUUAAUUUGUUUCUUUUUGAGUUCACCUUGUUUUCAUUUUUAAUUUAUUUCUCUUAUUUUUUUAUUAUAUAGUUUAUGGCUUCUAACACUCCGUAUUUUGGUGAUUUACUGGAUUUUGUUUCCGAGGAAGGCAAUGAGACUGAUUUUUUUUCUAAGUUUCCAUAUUUAGAGGCACUAAACUCUAUUAGAGAAAGAAUGGCUGCUGCAACCUGUGAAAUUUGUUAUGCCAGGGAUCAUUCGACCGGUAUGUGCCCCGAAUAUCAAGAUAAUCUGAAUGUCCCACUCAAUAAUUAUGGAGAUUUUUCACCAUGGUCUCAAACGUGGUAUAACCCUAAUCCAAACGGGUAUGAUCAAGGAUGGUGGGAUAACUCCAGUUAUAAUUAUACAACAGGGCCAAUGAAUUUUCAGCAGUAUGAGUCUCAAGAACCGUCAUCCAUGUCAGAUAUGUCUCUUGAAGAAAUAGUUGAAUUAAUAGCUACUAACACAUAUCAAAUUCAACAGGAGGUACAUCAACUUCAACAGGAGACACAAAGGAUGAGCAAAGAGAUGAAAGAAGCAAGGCUUGAAUGUGCAUUUAAAACGAGCAAAUUGAUUUCUCCAGUUUAUGAAGAAUUGCCCUCACCAACUAUUAUAGACCAUGAGGAAGAUGAGAGUGCAAUUAUUCUGACAAAUGACAUGGUACUGCAAGAGUCUCAAGAAGAAGAAUCUAAAGAUGUAGUUGAAAAGAAAGUUGAGGAGCAAGAAUUGAGACCCCAACAUCAAAUGGUUCAAGUGAAUGAAUCCAGUGAACAAUCUCCAAAUGCGGUGACAUCUCCUCCAUUCCUUGAUCAAUAUUUUCCUGACUCUUAUUCUUUAAUUCCUGUUAGUGAGAUUGAUUUUAUUAUACCAGACAAUUUUGAAUUUCAUGCCAGGAAUAAAUUAAGAGUCAUGAUGGCAAAAUAUCUCGAACCAAUAAGUGCUCUUGAUGGAGGAGUGAGUGAAGAUUUAAGAUCAUCACUUGUUUGUUUGGUGCCAUUUACUAGUCCAUGGAAGCCCGUAGCUCGUGUGCCCAAGAAUCACUCUAUUUACGAGGGCUAUCAGGAUUACAUAGAAGAUGAAGUACUGAAACGAGCCACAAGAUUUUAUCCUCCAUGAAUACACAUGAAAAUGUCUAGUCAAAGACAUUAAAGAAAGGCGCUACUUGGGAGGCAACCCAAGACUAUUUGUUUCAGUUUUCAUGCAUUUUUGAAGUUUUAGUUAAGUGUUAGUGUCAAUUAAUAGUUUGAUGUUUGGUGGCAGGAAAUUAGCAGUUAGACGUGCCCACGCCAGGUGGUCACGCCUGAGGGGAAGAACUUUUCGUUCAAGAUCUGCGGACUCUAUAGCAGUUAGACGUGCCCACGCCAGGUGGUCACGCCUGAGGGGAAGGACUUUUCGUUCAGGAUCUGCGGACUCUAUAGCAGUUGAGUGUGCCCACGCCUAAGACUGGAUUUCUCGUAAAAAAAAAAAUUUGAAAUGAAAAAGACACGGAACCCUACUCUUUUCUUCUUCUUCUUUCUUUUCUUUUUCUUUCUUUCUUCUUUCUUCUUCCUUUUCUUUCUUUUUCUCCUUCUUCUUCUUCCUUUUUCUUGCUGUCUGCCGCCGCCCCACACCAGAGCCAAGGACUGCCGCCGCCCAUCGCGCCGCUGCCCGCCGCGACCACGCCCCCAGCAACCAGCCGCCCUCCUCCGUUUUAAGGGAAGUGUCUUUGCCCCAAUAUCUCUAUUUUGCUCUUUCUUUGCUUACAUUGAGGGCAAUGCAAGAUUUAGGUGUGGGGGGAGUAGUAUAUUGGCAUUUUAUUGAAAAAGUGCAAGUGUAGGCAUUUUUGUUGGAAUUUUUGUUUGACUUUGUCGAAUUUUGUCCAAUUUUUGCCUAUCUUUGUGCUUAUUUGUGAUUAUUCCUGAUAAACGAUGGUUAGAUGUCUCAAAAUUUUCUAUUGCUAAGAUUUUUCACUUUAAGGUGUCGAGUAUGACAUUGUUGAGUUUAAGGGUAUCUCUUUGGUGAAUAUUUGAGAUUUUGUGACUUUUGCACUUUUUGGUUAACUUUUCUAAGUAUUGUAAAUAUUUGUCUUGCUUUUUUUUUGUGCAAAUUGGUUCAACUAUUAAUCUUAGUUCUCCAUGUUUAAGAAAUGAAGCGGGUUUGUGUGGUAUUUAAUUUUAUUUUUAGUGCUUAUUUAUGAAUAGUAUUCAGCUAUACUCCGCUAGUAUCGUUGUCUAGUAACCGGGAGUUCUCACCACAAAUGUCGACUUUCGCGUCAAAAAGCGACGAUAGCUAUGAGUAUGUGGUUUUUAAGCGAUGAUGGCUGAGUAACCGGGCUCCUUCAUAUGGUCAAUGUCGGAGUUCGCGUCAAAACGCUUGAAUGGCUAAAAACUAAACGUUCCCCCUAAAAAAAAAUAAAAAAAAUAUCAUCAUUCAUGUGUGGGGAUAUUCUAGAAAAAAAAUAUGUGCUAAUAGUGAAAAAUAUGGAAGUGUUUGAAUGAAUUGUUAACCCGCUGAUCCCUGAAUUUUAAUGUUGAGAUUUUGCUUAAUAGUUGAACCAUUUGCUUAUGGAUGCUGGUUGAAUAUUUUAUAUUCUUAGAUUAGUUAGUCAUAAAUUGAAAGAAUCAUUGAUCUUGAAAGCUAGUUGGAGAGAUAUUUCUUGAAAAUUGCCACUAAUACUUAACAUGUGUUUUAAUUGUCUUUUGGCAAUAGAAGAUUCGAAUAAUACCAUUGUUUGAAUUUGAUUAUUUGAUUUGUUGUUCUCAUGCUUGAGGACAAGCAUGGUUUACGUGUGGGGGAAAUUGAUAGGUCAUUAUUUGUCGCUAAAUCUAUAAUUAUUCUUCCCUUGAUUUCAGCCAAAUAUUGCGUUAAUUGAUGGAUUCUACUUAUAUUUGGUUAAUGAUGCUAAAUUGUAUGAAAAAGAGCAAAACGUGACAAAAAUGGGCAAUCUUCUAAUUAAUUUGAUGGUGGCACGUUCGGGAUCGAUUUCCAAAUUCGAUUCAAACUCUGGGCAGCUUUAGAGGAAGAUUUGGAAGACUUGAAUUCUAAUUACUAGUCUUAUUGUUGAAUUAGGAAACUUGAAAUACUUUCUUUUGUGGUUUAUUUUGCUAUUUAGGAAACUAGUUCUUUUUGGGUAGUAUUUUUCCAUUAGGAAACUAAGGAGAAAAAGAAAGUCAGGUUCCGUGUGAUUAGGAGGAAGCCACCAACGCAUUUGGGGACUUCUUAUUAUGUUUGCGGGGUCGGCCGCAAAGUACAAUUUGGCAGAGCCUUUUGGCCUUUUGGCCAAUCUUUUGUUCUCUGCAGUUUUUCUCUUAUCAAACUCGAAGGCGGCUAUUAUUUUUAUUCUUGGAUGGCUGGUUCUCCAUUAAUGGAGAACUAGCUUCUCAAUUCUAGUCAAGGGGACAACUGAAGAUUUGGUUCAACAAUUACUGUGAGAUCUAAUUUAUUUUAAUUGCUUCCUUCAUUUAUUGGUAUUCAUAUGUUUCCUGCUUUUAACCGUUAUAGCUCGUGUGGAUGAUUGAUUAGUGCGCAAUAAUUAAUUAUUCAUAUAGGCUAUUUUGCUAAAUAGGGGUAAUUGAAUCCGUAAUUGUUCGUUAUCCCUAUCUCAGUAGCAACUGGCGUAAUUGGGUUUAUGUCAGGGGAACAUACGAUCUAAUUUAAACAAACCCUCGUAGCGUGUUUGUUAUUUGGGAUUGGGCCUUUCUAAUUCUUAAUGCAAGCUAGAAAUUAAAUCCUACGGUCGUACCUAGGGUUGUUUUUGGGUUAAAGAAAUAGUUAACGGUCGUACCUUAACUAUCGAGAAAUUAAGGAAGGGUUGGUUGUUUAGUGCGUGCGAGACAACUAUAACCAAUCUAUUAAAUAAAUGUUGGAAUUAUCUCUGAAUCGAUGAUCAGUACAUGAACCAUUUCUGAAGUGUACCCUUGGCUAGAGUUUCUCCAAUAAUUAUUUCUUUUAUUUAUUUUCUGCAUUUAAUUUAUUUAGUUAGCAUUUAAUCCAAAAAUCCCCCCAUACUUUGAACUCUAGAAGAAACUAAUUAUCCCCAAUCCCUGUGGAUUCGACCCUACUUAUCACUAUCUACAGAAAUUAUAUUUUAUUUAAGCAGGUUUUUAUUAUUGCACAGGUUCGGCACCUGUCAAUUUUUGGCGCCGUUGCCGGGGAACUGGUGUCAGUUUAAUUUGUUUCUUUUUGAGUUCACCUUGUUUUCAUUUUUAAUUUAUUUCUCUUAUUUUUUUAUUAUAUAGUUUAUGGCUUCUAACACUCCGUAUUUUGGUGAUUUACUGGAUUUUGUUUCCGAGGAAGGCAAUGAGACUGAUUUUUUUUCUAAGUUUCCAUAUUUAGAGGCACUAAACUCUAUUAGAGAAAGAAUGGCUGCUGCAACCUGUGAAAUUUGUUAUGCCAGGGAUCAUUCGACCGGUAUGUGCCCCGAAUAUCAAGAUAAUCUGAGUGUCUCACUCAAUAAUUAUGGAGAUUUUUCACCAUGGUCUCAAACGUGGUAUAACCCUAAUCCAAACGGGUAUGAUCAAGGAUGGUGGGAUAACUCCAGUUAUAAUUAUACAACAGGGCCAAUGAAUUUUCAGCAGUAUGAGUCUCAAGAACCGUCAUCCAUGUCAGAUAUGUCUCUUGAAGAAAUAGUUGAAUUAAUAGCUACUAACACAUAUCAAAUUCAACAGGAGGUACAUCAACUUCAACAGGAGACACAAAGGAUGAGCAAAGAGAUGAAAGAAGCAAGGCUUGAAUGUGCAUUUAAAACGAGCAAAUUGAUUUCUCCAGUUUAUGAAGAAUUGCCCUCACCAACUAUUAUAGACCAUGAGGAAGAUGAGAGUGCAAUUAUUCUGACAAAUGACAUGGUACUGCAAGAGUCUCAAGAAGAAGAAUCUAAAGAUGUAGUUGAAAAGAAAGUUGAGGAGCAAGAAUUGAGACCCCAACAUCAAAUGGUUCAAGUGAAUGAAUCCAGUGAACAAUCUCCAAAUGCGGUGACAUCUCCUCCAUUCCUUGAUCAAUAUUUUCCUGACUCUUAUUCUUUAAUUCCUGUUAGUGAGAUUGAUUUUAUUAUACCAGACAAUUUUGAAUUUCAUGCCAGGAAUAAAUUAAGAGUCAUGAUGGCAAAAUAUCUCGAACCAAUAAGUGCUCUUGAUGGAGGAGUGAGUGAAGAUUUAAGAUCAUCACUUGUUUGUUUGGUGCCAUUUACUAGUCCAUGGAAGCCCGUAGCUCGUGUGCCCAAGAAUCACUCUAUUUACGAGGGCUAUCAGGAUUACAUAGAAGAUGAAGUACUGAAACGAGCCACAAGAUUUUAUCCUCCAUGAAUACACAUGAAAAUGUCUAGUCAAAGACAUUAAAGAAAGGCGCUACUUGGGAGGCAACCCAAGACUAUUUGUUUCAGUUUUCAUGCAUUUUUGAAGUUUUAGUUAAGUGUUAGUGUCAAUUAAUAGUUUGAUGUUUGGUGGCAGGAAAUUAGCAGUUAGACGUGCCCACGCCAGGUGGUCACGCCUGAGGGGAAGAACUUUUCGUUCAAGAUCUGCGGACUCUAUAGCAGUUAGACGUGCCCACGCCAGGUGGUCACGCCUGAGGGGAAGGACUUUUCGUUCAGGAUCUGCGGACUCUAUAGCAGUUGAGUGUGCCCACGCCUAAGACUGGAUUUCUCGUAAAAAAAAAAAUUUGAAAUGAAAAAGACACGGAACCCUACUCUUUUCUUCUUCUUCUUUCUUUUCUUUUUCUUUCUUUCUUCUUUCUUCUUCCUUUUCUUUCUUUUUCUCCUUCUUCUUCUUCCUUUUUCUUGCUGUCUGCCGCCGCCCCACACCAGAGCCAAGGACUGCCGCCGCCCAUCGCGCCGCUGCCCGCCGCGACCACGCCCCCAGCAACCAGCCGCCCUCCUCCGUUUUAAGGGAAGUGUCUUUGCCCCAAUAUCUCUAUUUUGCUCUUUCUUUGCUUACAUUGAGGGCAAUGCAAGAUUUAGGUGUGGGGGGAGUAGUAUAUUGGCAUUUUAUUGAAAAAGUGCAAGUGUAGGCAUUUUUGUUGGAAUUUUUGUUUGACUUUGUCGAAUUUUGUCCAAUUUUUGCCUAUCUUUGUGCUUAUUUGUGAUUAUUCCUGAUAAACGAUGGUUAGAUGUCUCAAAAUUUUCUAUUGCUAAGAUUUUUCACUUUAAGGUGUCGAGUAUGACAUUGUUGAGUUUAAGGGUAUCUCUUUGGUGAAUAUUUGAGAUUUUGUGACUUUUGCACUUUUUGGUUAACUUUUCUAAGUAUUGUAAAUAUUUGUCUUGCUUUUUUUUUGUGCAAAUUGGUUCAACUAUUAAUCUUAGUUCUCCAUGUUUAAGAAAUGAAGCGGGUUUGUGUGGUAUUUAAUUUUAUUUUUAGUGCUUAUUUAUGAAUAGUAUUCAGCUAUACUCCGCUAGUAUCGUUGUCUAGUAACCGGGAGUUCUCACCACAAAUGUCGACUUUCGCGUCAAAAAGCGACGAUAGCUAUGAGUAUGUGGUUUUUAAGCGAUGAUGGCUGAGUAACCGGGCUCCUUCAUAUGGUCAAUGUCGGAGUUCGCGUCAAAACGCUUGAAUGGCUAAAAACUAAACGUUCCCCCUAAAAAAAAAUAAAAAAAAUAUCAUCAUUCAUGUGUGGGGAUAUUCUAGAAAAAAAAUAUGUGCUAAUAGUGAAAAAUAUGGAAGUGUUUGAAUGAAUUGUUAACCCGCUGAUCCCUGAAUUUUAAUGUUGAGAUUUUGCUUAAUAGUUGAACCAUUUGCUUAUGGAUGCUGGUUGAAUAUUUUAUAUUUUUCGAUUAGUUAGUCAUAAAUUGAAAGAAUCAUUGAUCUUGAAAGCUAGUUUGAGAGAUAUUUCUUGAAAAUUGCCACUAAUACUUAACAUGUGUUUUAAUUGUCUUUUGGCAAUAGAAGAUUCGAAUAAUACCAUUGUUUGAAUUUGAUUAUUUGAUUUGUUGUUCUCAUGCUUGAGGACAAGCAUGGUUUAGGUGUGGGGGAAAUUGAUAGAUCAUUAUUUGUCGCUAAAUCUAUAAUUAUUCUUCCCUUGAUUUUAGCCAAAUAUUGCGUUAAUUGAUGGAUUCUACUUAUAUUUGGUUAAUGAUGCUAAAUUGUAGGAAAAAGAGCAAAACGUGACAAAAAUGGGCAAUCUUCUAAUUAAUUUGAUGGUGGCACGUUCGGGAUCGAUUUCCAAAUUCGAUUCAAACUCUGGCAGCUUUAGAGGAAGAUUUGGAAGACUUGAAUUCUAAUUACUAGUCUUAUUGUUGAAUUAGGAAACUUGAAAUACUUUCUUUUGUGGUUUAUUUUGCUAUUUAGGAAACUAGUUCUUUUUGGGUAGUAUUUUUCCAUUAGGAAACUAAGGAGAAAAAGAAAGUCAGGUUCCGUGUGAUUAGGAGGAAGCCACCAACGCAUUUGGGGACUUCUUAUUAUGUUUGCGGGGUCGGCCGCAAAGUACAAUUUGGCAGAGCCUUUUGGCCUUUUGGCCAAUCUUUUGUUCUCUGCAGUUUUUCUCUUAUCAAACUCGAAGGCGGCUAUUAUUUUUAUUCUUGGAUGGCUGGUUCUCCAUUAAUGGAGAACUAGCUUCUCAAUUCUAGUCAAGGGGACAACUGAAGAUUUGGUUCAACAAUUACUGUGAGAUCUAAUUUAUUUUAAUUGCUUCCUUCAUUUAUUGGUAUUCAUAUGUUUCCUGCUUUUAACCGUUAUAGCUCGUGUGGAUGAUUGAUUAGUGCGCAAUAAUUAAUUAUUCAUAUAGGCUAUUUUGCUAAAUAGGGGUAAUUGAAUCCGUAAUUGUUCGUUAUCCCUAUCUCAGUAGCAACUGGCAUAAUUGGGUUUAUGUCAGGGGAACAUACGAUCUAAUUUAAAAAACCCUCGUAGCGUGUUUGUUAGUUGGGAUUGGGUCUUUCUAAUUCUUAAUGCAAGUUAGAAAUUAAAUCCUACGGUCGUACCUAGGGUUGUUUUUGGGUUAGAAAAAUAGUUAACGGUCGUACCUUAACUAUCGAGAAAUUAAGGAAGGGUUGGUUGUUUAGCGCGUGCGAGACAACUAUAACCAAUCUAUUAAAUAAAUGUUGGAAUUAUCUCUGAAUCGAUGAUCAGUACAUGAACCAUUUCUGAAGUGUACCCUUGGCUAGAGUUUCUCUAAUAAUUAUUUCUUUUAUUUAUUUUCUGCAUUUAAUUUAUUUAGUUAGCAUUUAAUCCAAAAAUCCCCCCAUACUUUGAACUCUAGAAGAAACUAAUUAUCCCCACUCCCUGUGGAUUCGACCCUGCUUAUCACUAUCUACAGAAAUUAUAUUUUAUUUAAGCAGGUUUUUAUUAUUGCACAGGUUCGGCACCUGUCAAUAAGUAUUGAUCCAAAUCCUGUGCUGCAGGCUCCAAAUAAGCAGGAGCUAAUAUGUUCAGCAAACUUGAGAAGCGAAAAGAAAAAACUAUUGAAGAUAAAAAGCUGACAUUGAAGACUAAUAGUAUUUGGAUUUAUUUCGAAUCCAAAUGUGUUGUAUGAUGGUACCAAUAGGAGCAAUUUGAUUGAUUGGAUUGGAAUUAAUUUGAAAGGCAAAUCUCUUGCUAAAACAAGGAAGAGUUUUUGUUGGCAGCUGCUAUUUAGUGCAUUUGGAAAGAAAGGAAUGCAACACAAUUUAGGAAUGAAGGUAGGGAUACAAAAGUUAUUCAACAAGAGAUCCUUGAGGUAAUUAGAUGUAGAUUGUCCUCUUUCAAGAAAGUCAAGAAGACGGAUACUAAUAGAUGAUUUGUUUUCACUUGCAAGAGUAGUUAGGGAUUCCAUAAUUUUAGACACAUUUUUAUUGUUAUUUUGCUACUUUUAUUACAUGUUAGUAGAGUAAAUUUAAGUGCUUUAUUUGUGAUCAACUAAACAAUAGAGGAGUUCGAAAACUAUUAGUAAUUGACAAUCUUUUCUGUAGGAUUGACACCUAAUAUCCUAUACUCAAUAAAUCAUCUGACAUUCAAGUCGGGGGUUAGAGUAAACUUGUCAACCGAUUAUUAUCGAUUUAUUUGAGUUUGAAUUAUCAAAAAGUUGAAGACACGUGGCAGUUGUAUAAAGAAGGGACAGAGGGGAUAGAGACUAAUUUAGGGAUAGAAGAUUCGAAGCCAAAAGUAGGAUACUUUAGUUUAUAUAUUAAAAUAACACUUGAGUGAGAUAUACCCUAAAAUACAUUAUAUUUUCAUCCUAAAAUAAAAAAGUUCUCAAAAAUAUCAUUGAGAUUUUGUAAGAUCUUGGCAAGCUAACUUCGUUACUGUGUCAGAAAGACUUAGUUACUUACUUAGCAAUUAGUUGGAGUUAAUUGAAUGCUGACUCCGCAAGACAAGUUAGCUACUUUGUUGUAAGUUAGUUACAAUUAGUUACUGUUAAUUGUUGACAGCCAGGUAGAGUAGUAAGUUACAAUUGGUUUGAAACGGGGGUUGGACGAAUAAAUGAUGCAUCAAUACUGGGGUUACUGAGUGAGGAAGUGGGUCUAAAUUGCUGUUACAAUUUCUCAAGUUCUUCUUGCGCAAUUUUCUCUCAGUUCACUAUCUUUUCCUCUGGUGUCUGAAUUGUAUUGUCCAUUUCAAUUUACAAAGUCAAGAGCUAAAGUAGUUUCUGUAAGGCCUGGUCCAAGGAAAUUGAUGAAAACGUUUUUUGACAAUUCCGAAAGACAAUAAUAAAGCAAAAAUAAAUAUAGAAGAGAGACAUAAGAAUUACGUGGCUCGGCCAACAAACCUACAUUCGCAGGCAAAAGAGUAGCAAAUUCACAAUAAAAAAGAGAGUACAAAAGAAAGAGUACAAAACUCUAGAAAAGAAAUCCUAGGUCUAAAAGCACUAAAUUCUAGAAACACAAGAGAAUCUAAAUAUAACAAAAGACUCAACAACCUAAGAGGUCCAAAUAGUCCACUGACUAGCUCUCUUUGUUUGGUACCUUUCAAAAACUUCUCUCUUGAAUUGGGGCUUAGGGUCCUUGACUGGUGCUUUGAUGCAUUUGACCUCAUUUAAACCCAUCAUAUUUAUAACCACUAAAAGGAGAGAUAUCUUUGUAAAAUUUUCGAUAUGUUUUACAAAAACAAACACAACAAAUCUCUACCUUAUAUAUCCAACAUCGACAAGUAGCAACCGUGCUUCACCUUCUGCACGAAAGUUUCAACGGAUCCUAAUAGACCAAGAUCAUAAAAGCCACAACGAAUUCUAAUGGGUCAAAGCCACAAAAGCCCCAACAAAUUCCAAUCAGCCAAAAUCACAAAAGUCUCAGCAGAUCUCAACAAGUUGAAAUCACGAAUAUAGUAAUCUUGUUUCAUAUUUUCCACAAAACCCUCAAUGGACUUUUUCUAAAUUCCCUGUAGCACUAAAUUAACUCCAGCAUGAACUAAAAAUAGCCCCCAUCUUGAGUUGUCAUCCGGAAAAUGGAUGGAAGUGUUUUUGGCAAUUUCAAAAUACAAUAAUAAAGCAAAAAUAAAUAUAACAGACAAGAAUUAUGUUGUUUGGACAAUUGAACUAUGUCACAAGUGAAAGAGCAGCAAAUUCACUAUAAAGAAGAGAGCACAAAAUCAUAAGUUUUAGAGUACCAAAUACUAAAACACAAAAAAGCUUAAAUAAAACAAAAGGCUCAACAACCUAAAAGGUCCAAAUAAGCUACUAACUAGCUGUUUUGGGUGGCACUUCUCAAAAAUCUCUCUUAAAUUGGGGCCUAGGGCCUCCUGAAUCUCUGUUGAUAUACUAAGGCCCAGCUGUUCGAUAAUUUAAUUUAGUACUUAAAUUUAAUGGAUUCAAAUUUUAACAUAUUUAGAUGCGUUUGAUAGCUAAAAAUUGAACAUCUGAAUUAAUUAAGUAGCACUGAAUUUUCUAGACAAAACUUGUUCCAAAAAAUAAGCGGUAAGUUAUUCACUUUUCACUGAUUGUGAUAUACACUCAAAUAUAUUAAAUUUAAUAUUUAAUAAUUUAAUAGAUUCAAACUUCAGAUUUCAAAUUUCAGACUUCAAUUUUAUCAAACGCAACCUAACUAAUUGUCCAAGCUUGCUAUUAGUAUCUUUUCACAAGAAAGUCCAACAAAGAGUUUGGUUAGUGGAGACUUGCUAGCAAUAAUAUCUUUUCUUUUGCAUUUUUAGAUCAUCUUAAGCUGGACGUUCAGUCCCAGUAGAGUUUGGAUUUGGUUUGGUCAAUUAGCUGUAUUUUCUUGUUGAGGGCAGAAGACUAGAAGAGUUGUCCAAAUUAGCUAGAGGAUUUGGUUUAUUUUGUUGUGUUGCCUCGCUAAGCCGAGAAAAAACACAAUUGGAGAAAGAAAACAAAUCACAAAAAGUUUUCCAAUAUGACACAAAUAAACAUCUAAACUACCUUUUCUUGCCUUUUCUAUCUUAUCAUGUCUUCCAUUUGCAACAAGUUCACUUUAUUACAACCCAUGAAUCCUCCUGUUUCCUGAUUUCAACCCAUUUCUUUUGUUUUGGUACUCUGGUAGAAUGCAAACUUAGGUGGCGUUUGGUAAAAGGGUUUCGGAAUGGGGAAUUGGAAUAAACUCCAUGAAUUAUGUUUGGUUCACUACUAUCGGAAUUGAAAUUUUGGAAUGAUGUCUAAAAAUUUAGCAUUCCACCAUUUCUUAGUAAGUUGGUGGGUUCUGUCCAAAACCCAAGUGUGAUUCCCAAAUCUUAUAAUUGCAUAAUAUUCAGUAUAAUUAAUAUUUAUAUUUAUAUUUAUAUUUAUAUUAUAAUAUAUACAUAUAUAAUAUGUUAUAAUUAUAAUAUUAGUAUAUUAUAUAAAUAUAUAUUUUAACUAUUUAGUUAAACAUAAUUAUAUUUAAAUAAUAUAUAUUAUAAAUUUAUUAAUAUUAUAUAAUAAUAUAUUUAUAAUAUAUAUGUAUAUUUAUAAAUGUAUAUUAUAUGUGCAUAUAAUUAUAAUAUAUACAUGUACAUAAUAUUAAUAAAUUAUAUAAUUAUAUUUAUAUUUAUUAUUUUAAAUAUAAUAAUAUAUAAUAAUAACUAUAUUUAAUAUGUAAUAUACAUUAUAUUUAUAUAAAAUAUUAGUACAAUUAAUAUUUAUAUAUUAUAUAUUUAUAUUAUAAAUUUUGUAUAAUUAUAAUUAAUUAUACAUAUAAUAUUUAAUUUAAUUAGUUACAAACUUAUAAUAAUGAUAUUAUUAUAUUAUAUAAUUAUAUAUUAUAAUUAUUUAGUUAAAUAUAAUUAUAUUUAUAUAAUAUAUAUUAUAAACUUAUUAAUAUUAUAUAAUAAUAUAUUUAUGAUAUAUAUGUAUAUUUAUAAAUGAAUAUUAUAUGUGCAUAUAAUUAUAAUAUAUACAUGUAUAUAAAUAUAUAAUAUUAAUAAAUUAUAUAAUUAUAAUAAUUAUUAUUAUUUCAAAUAUAAUAAUAUAUAAUAAUAACUAUAUUUAAUAUGUAAUAUAUAUUAUAUUUAUAUAAAAUAUUAGUAUAAUUAAUAUUAGUAUAUAUUAUAUAAUUAUAAUUAUAUAUUUAUAUUAUAACAUUUGUAUAUUUAUAUUUAAUUAUAUAUAUAAUAUUUAAUUUAAUUAGUUACAAACUUACAAUAAUAAUAUUAUUAGUUAUAUGUAUUAUAUAAUAUAUAUUAAUCUAUGUAAUAUAAUUGAUAUUAUUAAUUAUACAUUUUCACUAAUAGAAAUUAUUACUUAGUUAUACUAAAUUUCUUAUAUCCCAUUUACAAAGAGCCAACGAACCAAACAUCAACUAUAGUAAUGAUAUACAUUAUUGGCACUGAACCAAACAAAUGUAUUAUAAUGAUUGAUUCCAUUCCAAAUCCAGAAUAAACGAUUCCGAAUCCGAAUUUGAUUCCAACAUGUGAAUCAAACGCCACCUUAAAUGUAUGCAGCAAGAUGUAUUAUUGCUUUUUGAUAUAUAUUAUAGGAAAAAGGGGAAAAGAAAGUGGAACGAAGAGAUGAAGAAAUAGGAUAGAGGACUCAAAUUUAUGACCAAAUGGGUGAGAAUCCAAAGUUUGACAAAUUUUUAUCAGAUGUGGUCAUAAAGUUAACAACACCAGGAUGAUCUAUACCUUUCUUUGUUCCUUUGAUAAAGUAACAUCCAUUGUCUUGGUUGCUGGAAACUGUGUUCUAACUUAUUUAGCCUUUUUGUUUUUUUUUUGCCCAAAGCACUACUGCACUUUAUCUUUUGUGGAAAGAGAACAAGAUAGCCUAUAAACAAGAUGACAACUUGAAUUUUCUUGUUCUUUUCCUCUAUUCCAAAAGGAGUAUUCAAAUAUGCCAAUAUAGCUGAGCGUGAACUAGUUGAUUUGGUGGUUACUGCUCAUGGGAAUAUUAUAUCUAACCCGAAAAAAAAUAAGGUAAAAGGAAAAAAAACCUGUGUAACAAGUAGGCAUAACCUUGUUGAUUCUCAGCUAGAACAAUCCUAUUAUUUCUAAGAUUGGAUAAUCUCUCUGUUUGCCUACAAAUUUUUAAGUAUUUUAAAAACAAUACAGUUUUUACAAAAAAGGAGCAAAUGGACGGUUAAAACUUCUAUCACGGUUGAAACUCCUUUAGAUUUUCACUUAGAAUGAGCCAAAUUAAAUGAACAUCCUAACACAGCAAAUUUGGUAAUUGAAAUACAUAUUUUCUUUUUUUUUAAAAUUUUAACUUCACAAAUAAAUGAAAGAGAUAAUAGGAAAGAAAAGGUCACAUUGAGUGCCUAAAUCUCUGAAAAAUGUAAGGACGUAUUUAGUAUUGGAUUUCCUUUAACAAAAAAUAAAUAAAAGAAUGAAAACUUUUGUUACAAAUAGCUAUAUAGAUAAAAAUACCAAUGUUUUGCUCGAAAUCAAUUGCUUUUCUAUAAAGAAAUUUAUGUCAACAACAUUCUAUUACUAAAUAUAACCUCAAGGUUAAUUUUUUCGCUAUCUGUUGUUUAGUUCUACAAAGUUUAAGCAAUUAGAAAAUUGAGCUCUUCCUAAAGGCAUGAGUUUAAUUUCUUUAUUAUGCCUUCACAGUAUGGGGCUCCAGGAAUCACAUUACUUGGUGUAAUUGGGUUCCAAGGUAGGCAAUUGAUUUUGAGUUCUCACGUUGAUCUAGCAUGGCAAGAAAUUUUCUUCCAAAUGUAGCUUCAGUAAACUUCUAAAAUCCAUCCACAAGAACUCAUUUUUGAUAAAUGACAAUUAUGCAAAAUUCGAAUUUGAAAUUCAAUUUUUGCACAUGUAUCAUAGAUCUAACAAUGAUAGGUUAUACACUGUCAGUAUAUAUAAGAUUUACUUUUUUGUAUAAUAUUUAAUUUUAAUCCCUUUCCCCAAGUAUUUCCUUCAUUCAUAAUUUUAUUCAUUACAAGUUUUUAGAUAUUCUCCUUUAGUUUCCAAAAGUUUCUCCAGGAGAGUUUUCUUAUCGCAACAAUUAAUCAUGUUGAACAAGAAAUUGAUACGCUAAUCUUCUUUAGUUUCUAAAAAUAUUGUCAAAGAAAUUUGUUAAACUUCUUUCCGAACAAUUUCUUUUUACACUAUUGCUCAAGAAAAUUCAGGAAAUCUGCUUACAUGCUCUAAAAUUAAUUGAUUGCCAAAAGAAAUUUCUAAAACUUCUUUACAAACAAUUUCUUUCCAACUAUUGCUCAAGAAAGUUAACAAAAUCUGAGUUCAAUAUAUUUUAUAUUUCUAAAGUAAAAACCCAUUCUUGCUGUUACAUUGAAUUACAUAAAUAGCCACAAUUAUCAUAAAUAAUGCAAAGCUAAAAAAACAACAUUGCAUACCGCUAAUUUAAACUCUUGCUCAUAAUAUAUUAUAGAUAAGCUGCACCUCUAUAAGCAUUUAAUUAGAGCUACACGCUAGCCACAAUAUUGUAGCAGGAAUACUUGAAAACUUGAAAGCCAUAAGCCAGCUAUUGUUUAAGAACGAUAUUAAAAUUAAUGCAGAAACCAUUACAUGAAUGUUGUAAUCUAAUUGCUGAUGUGACUGCAAAUUUGAGCUCGAAAUGGGAGGAAUCUUACUUCAAUUUGCUCAUAAAACAAGGGACCAAAUUGGGACACGCAUGGCCACCAAUAAAGCACCAGAUUCGGGAAUCUUUGUUUGGCGCUACACUGAAGUUGCUGGGAAAGUAUGGUCGAACUUAUUCAACUUUUUAUUACUUCUGCAGUUCUGAGAAAGUUUUGGAUCCUGAACUGAUUUUAUUGAGCAGCUGCUAAACCAGAUAAAAAUCUAAUAUCAGAGUGAAAAGAAGAUAUUAUAAUGGAGAUCCCCUCAGCAGUAACGCCAACUGCUUUGAUUUUGCUUUAUAUGAUUAUCUGCACUCGCAUCACAUCUCCUCCAGCACUAGCACUAGUUGCUUUGAUCUUGCUUUGGAUUUUCUAACCAAGCUUGAAAAUGGGCUCCUAUUUGGCUGCGACUUCAAGGACCUGAAGAAGCGGGUAAGAUUAAUGAAAACCUGUUUUCUGUAUGUCAAAAAGUGUAGGAGGAGGAGGAACCACGAAGCGCUUUUGGAGCAUGAUCGCGAGGACAGGUGUAAUACUAUGUCUGAAAGUUUGAGACGUAGAAUUAUUUGCUUCAGAAUUCAAGAUGUGGCUAUCAGGAUGAUUCAAGAACUUCAGCCUGUUUAUUUUAAUUUUUAUUCAAUCUGGUUAUCACUUAGAUUUUGACAUCAUUCGAAGUGCGGUUACCAGAUCCGGGGAAAAGAUCAAACCGUUUCUUGAGACAGAUCUCAAGAAAUCAUGCACCGCCAUCUUCAUCGACUAUUACCCACCAGGAGAUCCACGACUAGUUAUGGAUCUUAUUAUGUGCGUUUUAGGGAAUAUCAUUUGGGUUUGCCGUGCUUGGGAGCUAAGGGAGACAAUUAAAUAUAGGCUAAAACUCUUAAGGAAUCUCAUUGGCUUUGUUACAAUGCAAGGUCUUGAAUGUUCGCAACUGACAGAUCUCUUGACUUACACUGUAGUUGCAGCUGGACGCCUGAUUUCUAUAUGUAUGUUUGACUAUGAUGAACAAGUGGCCAAUCGAAUGGAAUCUGAAAUUUAUCAGCUGAUGCACGAGAAGAUCAAUCUUCUUGAUCUCCAAGUCCGAGAAACUUUUGUCCAUGUCCUGACAGCUUCAAAGAAACAACCGAGACCAUCAUAUGCUUUAGCCCUUCAGAAGAAUGAGGAUCGUGUGGUAGGCCAGUUUGUUGGUUCUCUCCGUGAUUAUCUUAUGGAUCUACUAGGAUCUUAUGCCAGUUUUCAGGUUCCAGUCAAGGAUCAAAUACUAAGACUCCAUGAGGAAAUAAGAUGCCUGGGUAUCCUUCUUAAACAGGAGGAGAAACUAGGAGAUGAAAUGAAGGAUCUUAUUGGAGCUGUGGUCUCUGAUGCAGCAAUUUUGACCUUCUCCCUUUCUGUCAAUGAAAUCAAAGAAGGCUUGCCUAAGGAAAUAGAUCUUGCGGUGUUGCAUUUGCACAAAGUUCUCAAAUAUAUGGUGGCAGAGGUUGCACACAAUUAUCCACUAAAAUCACCAUAUUCAUCAUUUAAUUAUCCUAGACCCAAUGAGUUGGGCUGUAUGGAUUCUUUCCUAGAAAAUCUCAAGGAACUAGCAAGGUGUGAUGAGGCUGAUGAUUCAAUUGGUUUUCAACAUCAUAGAAUCCAAGUGAUCCAAAACGAUCUCGUAUUCUUAAGAUCUUUCCUGGAAAAUAUCAAGGAGCAGCGCUAUCAGAAUGGAAAACUUCAAGCUUUCUGGAGUCAUGUUAUGGAGGCUGCAUACAAGGCAGAGUUACUGAUUGACUUGGCCCUUGUUGGUGAUAAAUGUGAAGAUUCUUUGGAUGCUGUUUCUAGAGAUAUCAAUCUUUUGAAGAUUGAGGCCCCUGAGAUCCAUAAUGCUCAAACCCAAAGAGUUAACAAGACUUCCCUUCACAUACCGUCACAACUUGCUGCCGCCAUGCACGACGAAGAUCUGGUAGGUCUUGACGACGAGGUGGAAACUAUAACUCAUCGGCUUACGAGAGGAUCAAAGCAAUUGGAUGUUGUUCCCAUUGUGGGUAUGCCAGGCCUUGGCAAGACCACAUUAGCCAAUAAAGUUUAUAAUGCUCCUUCAGUUAGGUCAUAUUUCCAUGUUCGUCGUUGGUGUCGUGUUUCUCAAACAUAUAACAUACGCAGUUUGUUAGUUGAGCUUUUGUGUAGUAGUUCUUCUGAGAGUUCUGAUGAAUAUCAUAAAAUGGAUGAAAAUGAUUUGGUCAUGAAACUAAGGCAGGUUUUGCUGAGAAGUAGGUAUCUCCUUUUUUUGGAUGACUUGUGGGACGUUGAGGCAUGGAAUUUGUUGGAAAAAUCACUACCGAAUGAUGCCAAUGGAAGCAGGAUUCUCUUCACCAGUAGAUACCAGAAUUUAUCUUUGCAUUUCAAACCUAAUAGCGAGCCUCACCAUCUCCGCCAUCUUACUGACGAAGAGAGUUGGACAUUGCUGCAGAGAAAGCUAUUUGGCACGAAAGAUUGUCCUCCAGCACUAAGUGAAGUUGGAUCUCAAAUAGCAAAACUUUGUCAGGGUUUACCCCUCGCAGUUGUCCUUGUUGCUGGAAUUCUUGCUACUACUGCACAAGAUAGUUGGGAAGAAGUUGUAAAAAGUCUAAGUUCUAUUGUCCUUGAGGAUGAAUACUGCAUGAAGUCACUUGAGCUGAGUUAUAGUCAUCUACCAGAUUAUUUGAAGCCAUGUCUUCUGUACUUUGCUACAUUUCAAGAAGACAAGGUUAUUAAUGUGCGAAGGUUGUUACGGCUUUGGAUCUCUGAAAGAUUCGUGCAACAGGCUGAAGGAAAGAGAGUAGAGGAAGCAGCUUAUGACUACUUUAUGGCUCUAGUUAAUAGAAGUUUAGUUAAGGGUGUCGGACAAAGAACUGUGGGUGGUGCCAAAGCCUGUCUACUUCAUGAUUUGGUACACGAGUUUUGUGUGAAAAAAGCCAUAGAAGAAAGUUUUCUAUAUGAUGUUCAUACUUGGAACCCUCUUGGGAUUACUGGACCAAGCAACCCCCACCGAGUUUGUGUCCGCAAUACCAGAGAAUUGAAGAUUUGGGAGUUAACGAUUAUUUUUCCCAAUUUACGCUCUUUGAUCUUGUUUGGACAUGGUCAUAUUGAACAUGAAGAGGAGGAUUUGGAUAUUUUGUUACCUAAACUUCUCAGAGUGUUGGAUUUUCGGAGUUUGCCCUUUCGUUACAAUUCUUUCCCAAUCGAAGUAGUAUUGCUUGUUCACUUGAGAUACCUGGCGCUCAAAGGAGUAGCAUACAUCCCAUCUGCGAUAGCCAACCUCUCAAGGUUAGAAACUCUUAUCGUAGAUGAUCCGGUUUUUGGUAUUGAGCUGCCAAGUACUAUUUGGAACAUUAAGACAUUGAGUCAUCUGCGUGCUUUAAAUUAUCAUGGAGUAUGGCCAAUGGGUUUUAUUUUUCCAGUUGAAAAUCUGGAAGUAUCCCCAGAUUUAGAUUGUUUAGACACUUUAGACCUUGCAAUUGAUCCCUCCUCUCAAAGCUUGCAAAAGAUACUGAGAAAGUUACCAAGCAUUCGCAGGUUAAAAUGUAUGGAACAACCGGGCGGAACAAGAGAAGCUACCAGAAAUUGCAACGAGAUUCUUGAGUUUGACAGUUUGAGUCAACUGGAAUCACUUCAUUUGUUUGGUUUUCACGGAUGUGGAUUUAAAUUCCCGUUGAAUUUGAAAAAGUUGGCUCUCACAUAUAAUUGUCAGCCAUGGAGUGAAAUUUCAACAAUUGGAAAGCUGCUCAAUCUUGAAGUGCUUAAAUUACUUGAUCGCUGCUUUGUUGGGGAAGAAUGGAUAAUGAAAGAAGGGGAGUUCCCUAACCUCCGAGUCUUAAAAUUGUCAAGGUUGAAAUUUCGCAACUGGACUGCAUUUUCUGAUAAUUUUUCCCGCCUUGAGAAAUUGGUCUUGCACCGAUGUAAGGAGCUGGAAAAGGUCCCUUCCUGUUUAGGGGAGUGUGAGACUCUUGAAAUGAUUGUGGUGAAAAAUUGUCCUGAGUCUGUUGGAGAUUCUGUAAAGCAAAUUGAACAAGAACAGAUGGAUAUGGGCAAUGUGGCUCUAAAGAUCGAAAUUGAUAAUUAUGAUGAUACAAUCUUUUCCCCAGAAGCAGAGUCAACUCCCUCAGAAGCAGAGGAGAUUUCUUUAGAAAGAGAGUCUAUAUCCUCUCAUCACGCAGUUGACAAUUGUGAGAGUGAAUGUACAGUGGGAUUCCACUCAUCAGGUCAGAUAAAACUAUAUUUGCAUAUGUUGAAUCAGUUCAAUUAUAUAAUGCUUCAUGCUUCUCUUAACAGUUUACGACGGCAAACCAUUCAUGUCUCUUUUCAUUUGUUUAUAUGUUGAAUCAGUCCAAUGAUGUGUUAAUUCAUGUGUAUUUUGAAGCAAUUUCUGCUGCAUAACUUUCUGAUAAAUUUCUGAUUGCAGUAGGAAACACAUUGAUGCACAAUCUGUUUCUAAAAUCUUCUUCUUGUCAUUUUCUGGUUCAGUGUUGAGUAAUUUUUAUGUCCCAAUUUCCGAAAUCUUCUUCCUUGUUGCUACAUGAUACGAACUCGACCCAACAAGAACCUGUCUUGAAGAACCGAAUCGAUCAGGCAGCGGAAGGAUCUAUCUUGACCAGGUUAUGGAUACAAAGAUGGAAAGACCUUACGACCCCUCUAAUCCCCGUGACUACGAACUUGUUGAUAUUAUCUCAACCCGUAACCAAACGAAUUAGUGAACCUCAGGCAAGUGUAGAAGGCGCCACAAUUCAACAUGGUCUUGAAUUGAUAAGCCGAAACUUGAACAAAGGAGAUACAACUCACUUUGUAUCAAGGAACGCUCCCAAAGGAACAAGAAAGAGAAAACUCUCAAUUUUUUAUUCAUCUCAUAAUUGUGUUUUUCAAUAGUUAAAUAAAGUUGGCUAUUUAUAGCCUUGCAAGACUCAAAACCCUAAUCUAAAUUGGAAACAAUACAAGUUUCCUUAUUUGACUUGACUUCUAAACUUGACAUAACUUCCUAAACAAAUUUGGAAGCAAUUAACUGCUUUCCUAAAACUCUAAUUCAACUAGAAUAGGAAACUAACUAAUUCAAAUUGGCUUAACUAUGGUCAACAUGACUUUAGCCUUUAUUCCCUAAUUCAAACAACUUACUUAACUCUCAAUUUGGAAAUCAAUCAAGAUAUCAAUCAAGAUACCAAUCAAGAUUUGGAAGCCAAUUAAAAUUUGGAAAAUUUGGAUCUUCAAUGAUUCUCGAGCCCGAUUGCACCAUCAACCAUCAUUAGAAUGUGCAGACUUGUAAAAUGAAAGGAAUCCAUGCAAAUCUUCAUGUUCUCAUCAUUCCCCUCCUCUUGAAAGACGAUUUGUCCUCAAAUCGAGGGCUUGUUUACAAAGGAGUAACUCGGAGAAUGUUAUAUGUAAUCCAAGAACUUCAAGAAAUUAUCAAGCCAACUACAAGAAGCAAGAACAACAAGAAACAACCACAAGGUAUGGGGAAAAAAGAGGAAAAAAAAUAAUAAUUUUCGGAUGAAUAGUACUGCUACAGUACGAUAAACAGUACUGCUACAGUGCGACGAUGAACAGUACUGCUACAGUGUGAACAGUUCCGAUGAACAGUACCGCUGUGAACAGUAUUUUUUUUUUUUUUUUUUUUUUUUUUUUUUUGCUUUUGACGACUCGAUGCAAGGUUAGGACUUCACUUGGAAGAAAUUUAAUGGGAGUUAAACCCUUGAAAAAUCUGUUUUCAAGAACGUAAUCACACCAAGAAAUUCCAACCUCGUUCAAUCAAGGGGGUAGGUUAGACUCAAGUGAUAAAAUAAUAAAAAAAAAACAAGAAAAAAAUUUUUUUUCUUUUAAAAUUGAAAGGCGGCUAGGGUUUCGAUAGAAAAAAAAAAUAGACAAAUAAGAAAAGAAAAAGGAUAUUAACCUGAAUCAAGAGCCGAAGCUCUGAUACCAGAUGAUACGAACUCGACCCAACAAGAACCUGUCUUGAAGAACGAAUCGAUCAGGCAGCGGAAGGAUCUAUCUUGACCAGGUUAUGGAUACAAAGAUGGAAAGACCUUACGACCCCUCUAAUCCCCGUGACUACGAACUUGUUGAUAUUAUCUCAACCCGUAACCAAACGAAUUAGUGAACCUCAGGCAAGUGUAGAAGGCGCCACAAUUCAACAUGGUCUUGAAUUGAUAAGCCGAAACUUGAACAAAGGAGAUACAACUCACUUUGUAUCAAGGAACGCUCCCAAAGGAACAAGAAAGAGAAAACUCUCAAUUUUUAUUCAUCUCAUAAUUGUGUUUUUCAAUAGUUAAAUAAAGUUGGCUAUUUAUAGCCUUGCAAGACUCAAAACCCUAAUCUAAAUUGGAAACAAUACAAGUUUCCUUAUUUGACUUGACUUCUAAACUUGACAUAACUUCCUAAACAAAUUUGGAAGCAAUUAACUGCUUUCCUAAAACUCUAAUUCAACUAGAAUAGGAAACUAACUAAUUCAAAUUGGCUUAACUAUGGUCAACAUGACUUUAGCCUUUAUUCCCUAAUUCAAACAACUUACUUAACUCUCAAUUUGGAAAUCAAUCAAGAUAUCAAUCAAGAUACCAAUCAAGAUUUGGAAGCCAAUUAAAAUUUGGAAAAUUUGGAUCUUCAAUGAUUCUCGAGCCCGAUUGCACCAUCAACCAUCAUUAGAAUGUGCAGACUUGUAAAAUGAAAGGAAUCCAUGCAAAUCUUCAUGUUCUCAUCAUUCCCCUCCUCUUGAAAGACGAUUUGUCCUCAAAUCGAGGGCUUGUUUACAAAGGAGUAACUCGGAGAAUGUUAUAUGUAAUCCAAGAACUUCAAGAAAUUAUCAAGCCAACUACAAGAAGCAAGAACAACAAGAAACAACCACAAGGUAUGGGGAAAAAAGAGGAAAAAAAAUAAUAAUUUUCGGAUGAAUAGUACUGCUACAGUACGAUAAACAGUACUGCUACAGUGCGACGAUGAACAGUACUGCUACAGUGUGAACAGUUCCGAUGAACAGUACCGCUGUGAACAGUAUUUUUUUUUUUUUUUUUUUUUUUUUUUUUUGCUUUUGACGACUCGAUGCAAGGUUAGGACUUCACUUGGAAGAAAUUUAAUGGGAGUUAAACCCUUGAAAAACCUGUUUUCAAGAACGUAAUCACACCAAGAAAUUCCAACCUCGUUCAAUCAAGGGGGUAGGUUAGACUCAAGUGAUAAAAUAAUAAAAAAAAAACAAGAACCAAAAAUUUUUUUUUUCUUUUAAAAUUGAAAGGCGGCUAGGGUUUCGAUAGAAAAAAAAAAUAGACAAAUAAGAAAAGAAAAAGGAUAUUAACCUGAAUCAAGAGCCGAAGCUCUGAUACCAGAUGAUACGAACUCGACCCAACAAGAACCUGUCUUGAAGAACCGAAUCGAUCAGGCAGCGGAAGGAUCUAUCUUGACCAGGUUAUGGAUACAAAGAUGGAAAGACCUUACGACCCCUCUAAUCCCCGUGACUACGAACUUGUUGAUAUUAUCUCAACCCGUAACCAAACGAAUUAGUGAACCUCAGGCAAGUGUAGAAGGCGCCACAAUUCAACAUGGUCUUGAAUUGAUAAGCCGAAACUUGAACAAAGGAGAUACAACUCACUUUGUAUCAAGGAACGCUCCCAAAGGAACAAGAAAGAGAAAACUCUCAAUUUUUUAUUCAUCUCAUAAUUGUGUUUUUCAAUAGUUAAAUAAAGUUGGCUAUUUAUAGCCUUGCAAGACUCAAAACCCUAAUCUAAAUUGGAAACAAUACAAGUUUCCUUAUUUGACUUGACUUCUAAACUUGACAUAACUUCCUAAACAAAUUUGGAAGCAAUUAACUGCUUUCCUAAAACUCUAAUUCAACUAGAAUAGGAAACUAACUAAUUCAAAUUGGCUUAACUAUGGUCAACAUGACUUUAGCCUUUAUUCCCUAAUUCAAACAACUUACUUAACUCUCAAUUUGGAAAUCAAUCAAGAUAUCAAUCAAGAUACCAAUCAAGAUUUGGAAGCCAAUUAAAAUUUGGAAAAUUUGGAUCUUCAAUGAUUCUCGAGCCCGAUUGCACCAUCAACCAUCAUUAGAAUGUGCAGACUUGUAAAAUGAAAGGAAUCCAUGCAAAUCUUCAUGUUCUCAUCACUACAUAACUUGAUAUGAUAUGAUGCUCAAACCAGAUACACUUAUAUGUUCCCAAUUUGUGCAUGUAAAUAAGAGUAAUACAGAAAAGUGUGACUUACUUCUAUUUUUCCUCAAUAAAAACCAUAAUUCAAUUGACUGAUAUGUUGAAACCUACAAUCACAGUUUUGCAUACAAAUAUUAAGUGGAGACAAAAACCCAAAAAGAAAAACAAAAAAAAACAAACUAUGGUUGUGUUACUUUUCAACAGAGGAAGGGCAUAGGACUUAAUAUGUGUUUUUCUUCACUACAACAUGCUGAAAUACAAACAUUUUCAUUCUUUAAUAGGCAAUAUUUUCGGAAAUAAAAAAGGAAGCAAUUUUUUGUGUGUGGUUUCAUGUUUUAUUUUGCUAUUUUAAGUGGUUAAUUGCUCAAACUGAUCAAAAUGACAAAUCAAAGAAACCAGAUGACCUAUUUUGUUGGGUAAUCUGUAUACCUCUUCAUUCAACUCAUGUAGUACUGCAAUUUUUCCUUCUUCCAGAGCAGGUUUCCUCAGAAGGAGAGUCCAUUUCUUCUCAUCUUCCAGAGUGGACUGAAACAUUUUUGUCUCUCCUUGAUUUGGUGUGAUCAUUCCACUCACCAGGUUAGAUAUAAUUGUAUGUGUAUGUUAAUUCAGUUCAAUGACGUAUAAUUACUGAUCAUGUCCCUUCUUCAUCUGUGCCAAAUUAUUUGGUUUGAACCUUAUGCAGCUGUAUUACUUUGUCAUUGCAGGGGCAAGCACAAUCAUGCAUUCUGACAGGUUGUCGAAGCCUGUGCAAUAAUAAAACCUGCUCAAACUAAAAGUAAUUUCUGUAGACAGCGGUGAGCAGGGUCGAAUCCACAGGGACUGGGAGUAAUUGUUCCUUUUCAAAUUCACAGUGACAAUGGGGUGUUUUUAUCUCAGAGGUGACAAUUUAAGCAAUCUAACUAAGAGUAAAAUAAUAAAAAUAAAAUAGCCAACUAGAAAUUAAAAUAACAAUUUACCAAAAUCAAAGGAUCUAGCCAAGGAAUAACUUUAGCAAUGGUUCACCUAAUUGAUCAUCGAUAAGCAAAGGCAAUUUCAAUUAUUUACUAAUAAAUAGGUUAUAACUACCAAACAAGCGAUGACAGUCAACCCCUCCUUACUGUGUCGGUGAUCAAGGUGCGCCCGUUAAUCACUGCUCUAAUUGAGAAAUAAUCCUAGGUACGCCCGUAGAAUUUAAUUCCCCAAUUGCCUUACGUAUUAGAGGAGCCCUAUUCUAAUCAAAUAACGCACUACCAGGGUUAUUUUAGAUUAGCCCGCGUAUCCCCCUGACACGAAUCUAAUCGUGCCAGUUGUCACUAUUUUGAGGUAAUUAAACAAUUACGGAUUUAACACCUCAAUUGACAAUAGAUUAUCCAAUCAACUAAUUAUCUGGAUCCAAGACAAUCAAUUAAUUAAAUAACCAUAAACAUAGCAACCAAGAAAUAUGCGGAUACCAAUAAAUAAAAGAAAACGAUUAAAUUAAAUCGAUCUCACAGUUUUAGGCGACCCAAAGCAUCCGUUGUCCCUUGACUAGAGUGAGGAGAUUAGUUCAUAAUUAAUGAACAAAAUCCACACCAAAUUAAAACAAAAGCUGCGGCCAUUGUGCCCGAGAAUCAGGAAAACUCAAUUCGUUCUAUUCAAGGCGAAAGCAAAUUACAAGAAGCAAUAGAUUGUUUCAAUGCGUCUGACAUACGAAGAAGGGAGAAACUAUUCAAGGACCAUGCGGAAAAGUCAAAGGAGAAGCUCCAAUUCCUCCUGCCAUCCGUGGAGAAUAACUACCCAAAAGCUAAGAAGAAAAAGUGAAAAACAAGCUAAGCUAAAAGACGAAAAACUAAGGAAGCCACAUAGCCCCUCUGGCCUCUGCGCGGCGGCUCCCUCCAGGGGAAGAAGAAGACCCCCUUUACUUCAGCCGUGCGUUCCUCCUUUUAAUGCUUUUGUCUUCGGCAAUUACUAAAAUGGGCACAAGUUUGCCUUUUUCAACAAUGCCUCUGGGAUAAACUCUGUGCCUUAGACUCUUUUUCUGUUAAAUUGGCACUUGUUAUCAUAUUUUCGUUCUACUCCCUGAAAUAAAUGCAAAAUAUCAAAAGUGAGUAGAAUCUAGCAAUUAAUCCACAAUAUGUCAGAUAAUAGGGAAAAUUAAUAAUAAAAUAAAUGAUAAAAUUGCAACCUAUCACAUUCUAUCAAGCCAACAUUAUCCAUCAUAAUCUGUUUGUAAAAUGUUCUCCAUGUUCUUUUCUGGUCUGAUGUUUAAUAGUGUUUAUGAUCCAUCACAAUCUGUUUGUAAAAUGUUCUCCAUGUUCAAUCCUGCUGUUUGUAGGAUGUUCUUUUCUGAUUUGAUGUUUAUUAGUGUUCAUUGCUACUACGGAUUGAAAUUAAUGAUCAAAUGAUCCUUAAAACCAGCGGACAACAAGCAUACAUGUUUCUGUUUCAGUAAUACAAAAGAUUUUGACUUGUUUCUGUUUUUUCCUCAAUAAAACUCUCAUGCAACAAAUACUUAGUAUAGACCAAAAAAGGGAAAAAAAAAAGGGAUCUAAAUUGUGUUACUUUUCAAUAGAGAAAGUGCAUAGGAACAAAUUGGUAAAUUUCGCAUCAACACGAUUAUAUUUUCAUGUAUAACAAUAUUUGGCUAACGAAUGCAAUAAAAGGAGGCUGUUUGGUAGCCACUUGCAUUUCUUUGCAUUCUUCAACGUAGCAAAAGUCUAAAGGGUGUAACUUUACUUAAACUUUUUUCUAUGCUAUUUCAUCUUUUAUUUUCUAAUCACUGUGAUUAAUUGUUCAAUGUUCAACCUGGUAAAAAUGACAAAUUAAAGAAGCUGGAUGAUAUUUUUGCUGAACAAUAGAUAUUCUUCUUCAUUUAACUUGACAUCUAAUUGUGAUAUUCUAUAACAUGUAACAUAUUUAAUACAAGGAUAUUUAGAAAAUAGACAAAACCAUUAGCUGCCAAUCAUUUAAGACCAAUAUUAACGUUGACGAGGAAGCCAUUACAUGAAAAAAAAAAAAUGACUGUUGCUAAGAAGUACAGAAUGCCAGGUGAAAGCUGACUUUAACUUUCUUCUAUCCAAAUGAUUGUAAUCCAAAAUUCCAAAUAUGUGUUUCCUCUGCUUUGUUUUUCGACCUUCUUUCUUUGUUUGGGCCUUUGUUUCAUUUUUAUGCUUUUCUGAUUUUGGGCUUUGGCUUGCCGGGUUUGUUAUUUCUUCCGGUUUCUUUUUGAUGUUUAAGUUUUUUUUUUUUGUAUUCUCUAUAUUUUUGUUUCUGUGAUUUAUUUUUUCCUUAUUUUUCUUUUUCCCCCUUUCUAUGGUUCCAUAAAAGAAACCUACAAAUUGACAAAAUAGAACAUUAUAUAUAUAAAAAAAACUUAUUAAUUUACAUACGCAUGUAUAGACGCAGUUUACAAACUCACGGAGUCUUCAUGGAUGGACUACUACUGAAGCAUCACAAAACUUAAUUAGUUCAUUUAAUUACUUUAUCAAAUCUCGUUACAGUGGUCAAGCAAGGGUUCUUAGAAUCUUUUCCAUUAUCAAACUCAAGAUUCAAAUCAUUUAUAUGGCAAUUGGAAUUAAAAAGACGUACAUGAUAUACCUGACAGUAUGGGAUAAAAAAGAGUGUGAGAAGGGAUGAGAGGAUAACAAAUUUUUUUUUUUUUAAUAAAAAGAGUCUUCUCUUGUCUCUAUAGAAUAGUGUUCCUCUCUAUAGCUUGUAUGAUUGACUAGACGUGAAGAGUAACACUUUUAAUGAUCAGAUCACUCUACGUUAACCUUUUAGGCUCCAUUUGGUUUAUGAACUAGAUGAGAUGGGAUGGCUCAUUCUCAGAUUAUUAAUCUUGGAUUGAGUCAUCACUGGAUAAAUAAUCCAAGUUGUCUAGUAUUUGGUUGGUUCUUGGUUAGAUAGGAUAUGUUGGAAAAUAAUCCUAUCUUAUGUUUGGUUGGAGAUCGGAUGAGGAAGGAUUACUAUUUUAAUAACCAAAGCAUCCCUUAAUUUGUAGAUUUUUUUUAAUAAAAUAAUUUAAUAUUUUAUAAAAUAUUAAUAAAAUAAUCUAAUAAAUAAUUUAAUAUUUAUAAAUUUUAUUAAAAUAGAGUAGUUUAAAACUUUAUAAUUAUAAAGUAAAUCAAGGGUUUUGAUAUAUAAAAAUUGGUAUUCAUUCAAACUUAGCCCAUUCGGGCCCUUAAAAAUAGAUUUUGUCCAAGCUUUUGAACCUAAAUUUGAAAUUCAAUUAAAUAAUGGGCCAAGUUUUGACUAAAUUAAGGUUAAAUCAAUUAAAACCGAAUUCAUUUAAGAGCUUUCAAUGAGCCGAACUCAGGCUAAUAUAGAAGAUUUUUCUUUGGAUCGAGUUUGAACUUAUUGAAAUCCUCAUUCACAAAGUCAAAAAUUUUAAAAUAAUGAAUUGGGGCAAAUUAGUCAAAAAUUUUAAUAGAAUUAGUAGGGGCUAAUUGGUCUGUUUAUUAUGAUAUUAUUAUGUGAGAGUAUGGUUAUAUAAUAGCUAAUUUGAAUUUAAAUCAUUCAUAAGGAUAAAUUAGUCCAAAUAUUGUUAUAUUGGUAGUAGGGGCAAAUUAAUCAAAAACGUUAAAAUUAAAUAGUAGGGGCAAAUUAGUCCAUUCAUAGUAUAUUAUCAUGUGAGAGUAGGAUUAUAUAUAUAAUUAUAAGAGUAUAAAUUUGUAUUUUUUGUAAGGAUAAAUUAGUUUAAAAUUUUAUUAUCCUACCUGUUAGUGAUCCCGGGAUGACUAAUCCCAUCUCUCCCAUGGGAUUAUUUUAUCCCAUGAAUAGGGGAUUCAUUCGGUUAGGUGUGUCAUCUCCUGUAUAAAAUGCAAUUAAACAUAGAAUGACACAUGAUGAUUAAUCCAAUCCUGUGUUAUCCCAUCAACCAAACGGACCCUUAGGAUUUAUUCCACUUUGCACCUUUAAAGUUCUUUCUAUUUUCAUUUUGCUUCUCAAAAUCUUAGGCCUUGUUUGGUAAGCUAAUUCAACACUUAAAUUUAAUGGAUUCAAAUUUUAAUAUAUUCAAGUGCAUUUGAUAAUAAAAAAUUGAACAUUUGAAUUAAUUAAGUGACACUAAAUUUUCUAGGCAAAAUUUGCUCCAAAAAAUAAGUAAUAAAUUAUUCACUUAUCACUGAAUGUGAUAUACACUCAAAUGUAUUAGAUUUAAUAUUGGGAGAACUACACAAAUAGUCCCUCACAUAUUGCAAAUGUGAAAAUUUAGUCCCUCAGAUCGAAAAAGAUCAAUUUUAGUCCUUAGCAAAUAAAAAAGGAUCAAUUUUAGUCCCUUUUCACUUUUCCGACUGAUUUUUGCCCAGAAUAUCUCACGUGCACACCACGUGGCCAACUUUUCAAGGGUAAAAAUGCCAAACCACUUAUCUGUUGACCAAAAUCAAAAUGUAAAGGACGAAUACUUCCCAAAAUUCUUCUUCUUCUUCAUUUCAACCAAACCCAAAAGCUGAGCUUCAUCUCCAUGGCAGAACCACCACACGGCAGUUCUUAACUUUCCGGUAGAGGUAGUUUACGAGUCGUUGAAGCAGAUGCAGUAUGGUUUUGAAGAGGGUUACUCUCCGGUUUUGGUGAUGAAGAAACGAAACUCCAUGAACAGGAGAAAUGCACUAAGCAAAAAAGAGAAGUCAAGAUUUGAUGGGCUUGGAUGAUAAUAAUAAUAAUAAUAAUGUAUUGGUUUUGGAAGAUUUAGGCACUGACUAUUUGGAGGAGCUCCUUGGCGCAUCCGAAAGUACAUCUUCUUCUUGUCCUUGGCGUCAUCAGUGAAUAUGGUUAGACAGGGACUGAACUUUUUUUAAGUAUGAUUUAAAUAUUCAUUCCCGCUUCUUUUAGCGUUGGAUUAAAUCUUCUUUAGAUGUUUUAUCUUAUCUAAAUAGAAGAAGAUGGUACUCAAGUGGCCAUUGGAACACCCAUUUGAACCUUCGCACAUUCAUGUUACCUAAAAUAUAAAAUUGGCAAUUCUUAACAUGAACUGGCCGGCCACUACUCAAAUUUCGGAAGUUGGUGGGUAUGAUGAACUCCACCACUAAAUCCGAGAGUGCUUCAAAAACGACGUUGGCAUCCUUGUCUGACUUGGAAAUUAGCAAAAUAGUUCUUUAACUCCAUUUUCCUCCUAACCUUUCUCCUUAUCUGCUAUUUAUUGGCUCUGGUAGCCACAGACACCACUCCCUUCUCCCAGAACCAUCACAAACGCAAGGAAUUGAUGCAUCAAGAAGUAGAACCAUCUGAUGAGGUAGGGUCGUCUCGUGGAAUAGGAUGAUUAAUCUUGGUUAGUAGUUGGCUAAAUAAGCAGCUACAUUUCUGUGUUUGUUAUUAGUAACUAAUUGUGCUGACGUGGCAAAAACAGUUACCAAUUGGACAACUACCAAGAAGGAAUCGUGAAUAGGAAACUAGUCAGUUUUUGACUUGUUGACUCUUUCACAGUUUUCCUGUAUUCUCUCUAAUUCAUUUCGAUACAAUUCACCAUUCUACCUCGAGAAUUGAUCUCCAUUAUUCAUCAAUUCUCUGGGGUUUAGUUCAGAGAUCUUCACUUUCUUCUUGCAUCAGGAAUUUACAUAAUAAAAAAAGUACUGGAAAUCUAUAAAUGAACACGAGAUAUGGGGGCAAAGGGAGCUAUACCGACUCUAAAGUAUCUAAAAUGGUAUGCUCUACUUUUGUUCGUUUUCUUGUACACGUCAUAAUAGAAGCUCUAAGUUCUUGGAUUUUUCUCUGUAUCUUGGUAUUUUGGCAUAUCAGCUUAGCGUUUUAUUCUUGGCAUGGAUAGUGCGCUUCUUUGGGUUAUGGUUGUGGUGGUGUUCUUUUUAUCUGUUCAUUGGUUGUUGUUUUGGUGUAGUUUCUUGGUUAUUUGCUGUUUGGGGAGGAGCAGAGUUCUUGUAUUUGGGUAGCGGGAGAGUUCUUGCAUGAAGGAGACAACUCUGUUGAUUUCAGAGUCUUCGGGUAGGGAGAAUGAAAGCCAGGGGAAUUUAGGCAGGGGUUAGGAGCUACCCAAAUGGUUCUUGGACGAACGAUGCAAGCCAAAGUUCCACUGCAGGAAGCCAUGUUCUGCCGCAGUCGCUAUGCGUGGAAUAUUGCACGAACCAGGGGACGCUUGGCCCUGUUUGUUCCUGGUAUGGAGAAUCCUUAGUCAUUUAUACACCGGACAGUUACGAAGAUGGUGGCGUUAGCUCCUGGACCAGGCAUGCCAUCCCCUAUCCCGCAGGUUUUGAUGGUUCAUCUAUAUUUGGUAUCCUCCCUGUGGGCAACUUGCAGAUUGGCCACUUGCUAUUUAUCAACACUGAAUUGUCACAGCAGGAUUCCAGUUGCUCUAUAAAAGUUUAUUCUUAUGAUCAUCACAGCGAAAAGUUCCAGAAUAAAUCCACGUUCUGGUACACCGCAAUUACAAGUUGGGGGUUCUGCCAUGGAGACGAAGCUCAGCUUUUGGGUUUGGUUGAAAUGAAGAAGAAGAAGAAUUUUGGGAAGUAUUCGUCCUUUACAUUUUAGUUUUGGUCAACAGAUAAGUGGUUUGGCAUUUUUACCCUUGAAAAGUUGACCACGUGGUGUGCUCGUGAGAUAUUCCGGGCAAAAAUCAGUCGAAAAAGUGAAAAGGAACUCAAAUUGAUCCUUUUUUAUUUGCUAAGGACUAAAAUUGAUCAUUUUCGAUCUGAGGGACUAAAUUUUCACAUUUGCAAUAUGUGAGGGACUAUUUGUGCAGUUCUCCCUUUAAUAUUUAACAUUUCAAUAGCUUAAUGAAUUUAGAUUUCAAAUUUUAGAUUUCAGUUUUCGAUUUUCAGACUUCAGUUUUAUGAAAUGCACCUUCAAUUACAAAACUUUACAUCUUAUUUUUCAAAGCAAAUUCUAAAUCUUAUAGAGGGCAUGAGGGCAUUGAAUCAAAAACUUUAUAAUCACAUUGUUAAUACUGCUCUUAGCUGAAGGGCAUGAGGGCACAAUCUGCUAUUGUUAGUGCCAUGCAUCCUAUUUUGGCAUUGUCCCUCUCCCUGGAAUAAAAGAUGAGAUACGUUCACAAAAGAGAGCAAGUUGGAGAAGAUGAGAUUACCACAAUAACAAGCAGUAGAGCCAAUCCUCGUCUUGUACACCAUUUGCCACGAAUCCUUCAUCAUUGUUUCUCUUUUUUACUUACUGGUAUAUUUAAAUAUUUUACUUUAAUUACACGUUUUAAACCUCGAAGCUCUUUUGGAAGUUGUGGCUGGUUUACAUUGGAUUAGACAAAUUUUUGUUUAAGUUAUAUGAAUUUUUUUUCUUCAAGGAGUCAGAAUGAACUUUUUACUCUUUUUGGACCAUUUUAUCUUUAGGAGUCCUAAACUCCAAGAGGUUUUGAUUUUUGUAAUGAUUUCCCAUACAUCAAAACUUUUGCAAGCUCAAAAUACAUUAAAAAUGAUUGAAUUGGUGAUCCAGAUGUUUGAACUAUAAAUUCAAAACCAAUCACUCAUUUUGUCCAUCACCAGUCCAAGUUUCAAAACAUUUUUAAUUGCUGAAGUUGUUCAAAAACUGGAAUAUUUAAAAAAAAAAAAAAUCCUCCCUUGAAGUUUCUUGUAAUAUCAUAUAGCACCCUUAUAGUUCUAAAAAUAUCACUUACCUCCCCCAUAAGUAGGGGUGGCAAUUUCCGACACGAUCUGAAAAUAUGAUACGAACCUAAAACGAAAUUAAUGGGUUUGGGUUGAGGUUUUGCAGGUUCAGGUCAGAAUCGGGUCAAACCCGAAAAGAAAAUGGGUCGAAUUCGGGUCAAUCUGUGGGUGAUCCGAUAUGACCCGAUAACCCAUUUACGAAUUAAAAAUAAUUUAAUAAAUAUAAAAAUUAUUUUAUCUAACUAAACUAAGUUAUUUUUUUCCAAAGGUAUUAAUCACUUAAUUCUAAAUGAAUUUAUUUACCUCGUGUGAAGUUGAAAUUAUUAUAUUUGGACAAAUAAUGUAUUAUAUUAUUUUUUACUUGUAUACUAUUUUAAUUUAUUUUAUAUUUGGUUUGGGAUAAAACACUUUUACGAUGUUUUAAUUUAUUUUAGAUUUGGUUUGGGAUUAUUUAUUUAAAAUUUUAUUACUUGAUUAUGUUAUUAGUUUUGUGCGAAAUUGAUUUUAUUAGAAAUUACAGUGGUAAAUUAAUCAAUUAAAAUUAAGUUUCAAGUCAUUUCGGGUUGACCCGCCAACCCAAAAUUUUCGGGUUUGGGUCAGGUAUCUUGACCUGUUUCGAGUUGGCGGGGCAAGUUCGGGUCAACGGGUUUUCUGUUAUACCCAAGUCUCAACCCGACACGCCAAUCCGAUUUGGACCCGAUUGCCACCCCUACCCAUAAGUGACAUAUGACAAAAAUUCACCAUCGCAGCAUUCAAAGUGAAAGUAUCAUCCUCACUACGUAACACCAUUUGUUCUAAAAGAUAUUGGAAGAAAAAAAAAUAGAAAUUGACAAAUUAGAAUGUCUAUCUUAAAAAUUUUGGGCACUUAAAACCUUCGUACAUUUUUAGUCCUUCUAUGUGACCCAUAUGUUGGUUCUGGGCUAAAAUAAUCACAUUAGUUAGAAAUAUUUCUCCAAUUAAAUUUAACAAAAAAUUAACAAAAAUCUCAUACCUCUUUUUUUUUAAAAAUAAAUGUAGUAGUAUUAUUAAUGAGAACCGAAAAUUACACUAGUGCUCGGAUCUUAGCCCAACACAAAGCCUAUACCAUCCUUAACUUCCUGACUGAAGGCAACCCUAGUCUAUCUAACCGAACUUCACCACGGGCCAACUAUGGAAUCAAGUUAAUUUGCAUUAAAAAAUGCAAAUAAUUUGAACCAUAAAAGUUAAUUUGGUGUGGGUUGAGAGGCGGACUAGAUUGCUCUUUUUAAGACGAUUUGCGCCCCUAUAGAGUAUCUUCCAAUGUAAUAGGUCUCAUCACAUUGCCUCCAAAAUACAAUAGCAGAACAUUUUCUUCACUGUAAUCUACUCCAAUCUACACUAUUGGAGUAAAACAGAAACAUUACACAACAUUGAUCUUUGCCCUUAUAAACUUUAAUAGUAGUGAGAGGAAGAAAAAGUAGAAAAUAGUCUAAAGAUGGCAAAGUAUAUAUCAGAUUUGGCUGAUAGACGCCUCUAUUUAUAGGCUAAGAAAUUAGGAGUAUUAAAAUACCAACAUUAAGACGAAUUAACAACUCAUAUUUUAGCUACAAAUUGAAAAGUUUAGAUUCAUUGUAUAAUGGUAAAAAAUUCACUAAAUGAAUUCAUAAACCUAAUCAUUACAUAGGUUACACAAUUCAAGACAUAAAUCUCAUUUCAAAAACAUAAGUUACACUUUUGAAUGGUUUUAUUUGUAGGUGAAUAAUAAUUUAGACCAAAAAAUCUAAUUAAAAAAACUUAGAUCAAUAAAGAUAAUUGCUAUUUAGGAGUUAAUUUUGCACUUAAACCCCCUUUCCUACACCCCAGUUUUUUUUAAAGUCCUUGUAUACCAACAUUAUAUUAAAAUACCCUCACUACUCUAACAAUUAUUAGGAAAAAAUUUAGAAGAUUAAAUACCAAAAUUUAUAAAAUUAAAAAUUUGAUUUUCUAAAAAUUAUAUUUUCACUUAAACACCCCUUUGAUCCACUCUAAAUGCUCUAAUGCCAAUCUUAUAUUAAAUCACCUUGCUAUUCUAAAAUUUUUUGGCAAAAAAGUUUAGAAAGAAAAAAUCCAAAAUCUAUCAAAGAAUGGUAAUCCUAAUGAUUAUUUUUCACUUAAACUGUCCGUUCUCCCAACUUUUAGUUCUCCUGUGCCAACUUUAUAUCAACUAGCCUCUCCCAUUCUAACAAUUGUUCGUGCAAAAAGAAUUAAAUGCACUUGAGCAUCUUCUGGAUUAAAUGCACUACUAAUGAUACAUGUCAUCCUAUUAGAUUGUGUAAUUGUACCUUUAAAUUCUUUAUUUGUUUGUACAUUAGGUGAUGGAAUCCUUGGUUUGCAUUUAAUACAGAAGAGGCUCAAUACAGUCUGGGAGAUCUAAUCCCCUAUCUUGCAUUUAAUUUAAAAGGUGUUCAAAUAUACUUUUUUGGCCACCCCUAACUUCCCAUAGUGUUGGGUUAGGAUUAGAGUAGAUUAGCAAAUAUUGUAUCAACAAAAUAAAAAAAAAAUAGGAAAAAAGACAAGGAUAACCUAGAUCCUUUGGAUCCACCAGUCCAGGUAGUAUACGACUAGCAGUAGAGUGCACUUUUUUAAUAACUCCUUUUCCAUAAUAUAGGUACAGAUUAACCAAUAUCAUAUUUGGUAAAAAAACAAAAAAGACAGAGACAACCUAGACCCCUGAGAUCCAUCUAUUCCACAGUGUAAGAGUAAGCAUAGGAGUAAAUUAGCAAACAUAGUACUGAUUAUUAAAAAAAAAAAAAAGCACAUUCUUUUAACCAUCACACCAUGUCAAAUGUUUAUGACUGUCCAUUUUUUGUUUUUUUUUCUAGCAUUUUAAAUUCUUAGAAUCUGAUGUUCCUAAAAAAUGGUCUUUGAUUGCUGUAAAGGGUUUACUACACUUGGCCACCUUAAAGUUCCUUUUAUUUUCAUUUUUCUCUUUAAAUAUUUAGCUAGAAAACUUUACAGGAUUUUCUUUUUAAAGUUGGCUUUUCAACCCUUACAAAAGGGAAAGAAAAGAAGGGAAGGUUUGAAAGUUGAAUUAAAAACCUUAUGAUUUUUUAUUAAUGUCUUCCAAUUGGAUCGAAGCUUGAGAUUCUAUUCUAUUAAUGUUCACAUUAAAAGGCUUUUUCUAUAUAAUGUCGUAGGGCCGUACAAUAAACAAACUAAAAAUGGACGGGUGGAUCCACCCCUGUAUUACAAUACUAUCGAAGAAGAAAUUUAUUGUUAUGAAAUAACAAAAAUGUGGAUGUCCCUUUGUAUUUCCAAGAGGAUUAAUUCAUGAUUUUAUGGCUACUUAUGUAUAUAAGUUACAAUUCAUAAAACCAUUCAUGUAGUGGAGAAACCGUUUCAUAAGUUUCUUCAUAUUAUUGUAGUAGUGGGUGUUUAAUAGGAUUUAUGUAUCUUUGAUCUUGUAGUACCUAUAUAUAGAGGUACAUUGACACCCUUUGGAUGGACUUUUGUAUCUUGUUGAAAUAUAAGGAUAUCAUUCUCCCUUUUCUCUACUCCUUUCUCUAAUACUUCUUCAAUUCCUAUUGUAGUAUUUCAUUUUAUUAGUUUUAUAACACGUUAUCAGCACGAAAGCUCUACUUUUGAGCAAAAGGUGAAAACGGAGGCGCUACUUUGAACAAAAGUGAAGCACAAGAUUUUGCCGAAAUUCUGCCCGUAUUUCUGCAAGUGAUUUUUGAGGUAAAUUUUUAAGUCAAAAUCUUAUUUCAAUUUCUUAUAGCUAAUCUUACAAAACAAGAGUUUGUACCUCUUGAUAUUUCUGGAAAAAAUUAUUUAUCAUGGGUAUUGGAUGUUCAAAUCCAUCUUGAGGCAAUGGGUCUUGGUAACACUAUUGUUGGAAAAAAUGAAUCCUCAAACCAAGACCGUGCCAAAGCUAUAAUUUUCCUUCGUCAUCAUUUAGAUGAAGGAUUAAAAAUAGAGUAUCUUACUGUCAAAGAUCCUCUUGUCCUUUGGCAAGAUUUGAAAGAAAGAUUCGACCACCUGAAGUUGGUCGUUCUUCCAAAAGCCCAAUAUGAUUGGCUUCACUUACGGCUGCAAGAUUUUAAAUCUGUCAAUGAAUAUAAUUCAGCUAUGUUCAGAAUCACUUCUCAAUUAUCAUUAUGUGGCGAAAAAGUCACUGAUGAAGAUAUGUUAGAGAAAACAUUUUCUACUUUUCAUGUCUCUAACAUGCUCCUGCAGCAGCAAUAUCGAGAGAAGGGAUUUAAAAAAUAUUCUGAACUUAUUGCAUGUCUUCUCUUGGCUGAACAAAACAAUGAAUUGUUGCUGAAAAAUCAUGAGUCCCGACCAACUGAUGCAAGUCCAUUCCCUGAAGCGAAUGCGACCCAAUUUCAAAAUUCUGGUCGAGGUCGUGGACGUGGCCGUGGAGGAGGCCGUAAAGGUGGCCGUGGAGGAGGCCGUGGACGUGGCUGUGGCCGUGGACGUGAUCGUAGUAAAUUUGUGCUCCGUGAAAAUUUUAAUCGUGGCAAGCAACAAAAUAUUUCCCAAAAGAGGGAAAAUAACUACGAUCAGAAAAAUGGUGAGAAGAAAGUUUAUGAAGAAAAAUGCUACCGGUGUGGUAUGGAAGGUCAUUGGUCUCGUACCUGUCGUACGGCCGAACAUCUUGUUGACCUCUAUCAAGCAUCAUUGAAAAAGAAAGACAAAGGUGUUGAGACAAAUUUCAUUGAUAAAAAAAAUGACUAUGAUGAUGCUGACAUGACAUACCUCGAUGUUGCUGAUUUUUUUGAACAUCCUGAAGAUGUCAACAAAUAUCCUAUGAUUAUUUAAAUAUUUUUAUGAUGCUUUAUCUUUUAUGUAAUUUUUCUUUCUAUUGAAUAUUUAUUUUCGCAUCUUUAUUAAUAUUUAUUUUUGUUUGAAAAAUUCUUUCUGAAGAAGAAAUGGAUGUCAAAUAUUUGAGAUUAAAUAAUAGUGAUGAUGACAUUUGUCUCAUUGAUAGUGCUACUACGCACAUCAUAUUGAAAAAUAAAAAAUAUUUUUCUUGUUUGAAAAUGGGAGAGACAAAUGUUAAUACCAUUAGUGGUAGUGCAAAAUUGAUUGAAGGCUCCGGAAGAGCCACCAUAUUUCUCCCUGAAGGGACUAAAAUUAUUGUAAAUAAUGCACUAUUCUCUCCCAAGUCUCGAAGAAACUUAUUGAGUUUUAAAGAUGUCCGCGAAAAUAGAUAUCAUAUCGAGACAAUGACUGAGACAAAUGGUGAAUUUUUAUUAAUCACAAGUAUUAUUUCUGGGCAGAAAUGCGUAUUAGAAAAAUUGCCUUCUUUUUCGUCUGGCUUAUAUUAUGCACAAAUUAAUGCAAUUGAAAUUCAUCAUCUAGUAGACCAGAAGUCUACUCAUCCCAAUGAUUUUAUGGUUUGGCAUGAUCGUUUCGGACAUCCCGGAUCUAUAAUGAUGAGACGAAUAAUUGAGAAUUCACAUGGCCACUCAUUGAAAAAUAAAAAAGUAUUAAAAGCCAAUGAAUUCUCUUGUGUUGCUUGUUCUCAAGGGAAAUUAAUUAUUAGACCAUCACAAGUUAAAGUUGGGAUUGAAUCCCCUGCAUUUCUAGAACGAAUUCAUGGUGAUAUAUGUGGGCCUGUAAAUCCACCAUGUGGACCAUUUCGAUAUUUUAUGGUGCUAAUUGAUGCAUCAACUAAAUGGUCACAUGUAUGUUUAUUAUCUACUCGCAACCUGGCGUUUGCGAAAUUGCUUGCUCAAAUAAUUAAAUUGCGAGCACAAUUUCCAGAUUAUCCAAUAAAGAAAAUUCGUCUAGAUAAUGCUGGUGAAUAUUCGUCACAUGCUUUUGACGAUUAUUGUAUGUCCAUUGGAAUAACUGUUGAACAUCCUGUAGCUUAUGUUCACACACAAAAUGGUCUAGCCGAAUCACUUAUUAAACGGCUACAAUUAAUUGCUAGACCAUUGUUGAUGAGGUCUAAACUUCCUUCAUCUGCUUGGGGACAUGCUAUUUUACAUCCGGCAACACUUGCGAGAAUUAGGCCAACAAAUUAUCACACUUAUUCUCCCCUACAAUUAACUUUUGGUUAUGAGCCAAAUAUUUCUCAUUUACGAAUAUUUGGUUGUGCGGUGUAUGUUCCAAUUGCACCGCCCCAACGUCGUAAAUUGGGCCCACAAAGAAGAUUGGGGAUAUAUGUCGGAUAUGAAUCACCUUCAAUCAUUAAGUAUAUGGAACCAUUAACAGGUGAUUUAUUUACUGCGAGAUUUGCAGAUUGUCAUUUUGACAAGGGACAUUUUCCGACAUUAUGGAGAAAUAAAAAUCAACCGAAAAAGGAAAUCACUUGGAAAAUAUCAUUGAAUUUCCUUGAUUCUCGUACUAAAGAAUGUGAAUUAGAAGUUCAAAGGAUUAUACAUUUGCAAAAAAUUGCAAAUUAAUUACCGGAUGCAUUUAAUGACUCCAAAAGAGUUACUAAAUCACAUAUUUCUGCUGAAAAUGCUCCGAUUAAAAUUGAUGUCCCUGAAGGACAAAUCACAAGUGCUAAUGAGUCUAAAGCACGCCUGAAGCGUGGGAGACCUCUUGGUUCCAAAGAUAAAAAUCCUCGAAAGAAAAGAGGAGUAGAUGAAUCAACAAUUAGUGACAAAAUUCAACCUCCUGAAGAGGUCGCUCCUAAAGAGCCAAUUCUUGAAGAGAAUGAAAUUAUAGAAAAUUCAAUAAAUUUUGUCACUUCAAGAAAAAGUUGGAACCGAAAAGAAAUAAUUAUUGAUAAUAUUUUCGCAUAUAAUGUAGCACUUGAUAUUAUGGCAGAUGACGAGGAUCAUGAGCCUAGAUCGGUUGAUGAAUGUCGAGGUAGAAAUGAUUGGCCAAAAUGGAAAGAUGCGAUCCAAUCUGAAUUGGACUCACUGGCUAAAAGAAAAGUUUUUGGACCUGUAGUCCAAACACCUGAAGGUGUAAAGCCAGUAGGAUAUAAAUGGGUAUUUGUGAGAAAAAGAAAUGAGAAAAAUGAAAUUGUGAGGUAUAAAGCAAGACUUGUAGCUCAAGGAUUUUCACAAAGGCCUGGAUUUGAUUAUAAUGAAACGUAUUCACCUGUAGUGGAUGCUAUCACAUUUAGAUAUCUUGUGAGUUUUGCAGUACAUGAAAAAUUAGAUAUGCAUCUAAUGGACGUUGUUACUGCAUAUUUAUAUGGAAAUCUUGAAAAUGACAUUUAUAUGAGAAUCUCCGAAGGAUUCAACAUGCCUGAAGCAUGCAAAUCAAAUCCUAAAAAUAUUUAUUCUAUUAAAUUACAAAGGUCUCUGUAUGGGCUCAAACAAUCUGGACGUAUGUGGUAUAACCGCCUCAAUGAAUGUCUGACAAAAGAAGGUUAUACCAAUGAUCCAAUAUGUCCAUGUGUUUUUAUCAAGAAAAAUGGAUCAAAUUUUGUGAUAAUUGCGGUAUAUGUUGAUGAUCUAAAUUUAAUUGGAACUCCUGAAGAGAUUCAAAAUAGUGUUGAAUAUUUGAAGAAAGAAUUUGAGAUCAAAGAUUUUGGAAAGACAAAAUUCUGCCUUGGUUUACAAAUUGAGCAUUUGAAAGGUAGAAUUUUUGUCCACCAAACUGCUUAUACCCGGAAGGUAUUAAAGCGAUUUUAUAUGGACAAAGCACAUACAUUGAGUACUCCAAUGGUUGUCAGAUCAUUAGAUCCUAAUAAGGAUCCUUUUAGACCACGAGAGGAAAAUGAAGAGAUACUUGGUCCUGAAGUACCAUAUCUCAAUGCAAUUGGUGCACUAAUGUAUCUUGCUAAUUGUACAAGACCUGAUAUAUCAUUUGCAGUAAAUUUAUUAGCAAGAUUUAGUUCCUCGCCCACAAGACGACAUUGGAAUGGUAUUAAACAUAUUUUUUGCUAUCUCCAAGGAACAAUAGAUCUUGGUUUAUUUUAUUCAAAUAAAUCCAAACCUGAAUUGGUUGGUUAUGCUGAUGCUGGGUAUUUAUCCGACCCGCAUAAAGCAAGGUCUCAGACUGGUUAUUUAUUUACAUAUGGAGGCACAGCCAUUUCUUGGCGAUCUACAAAGCAAUCACUAGCCGCCACUUCAUCGAAUCAUGCUGAAAUAAUAGCAAUUCAUGAAGCCAGUCGAGAAUGUGUUUGGUUAAGAUCAAUGACCCACUAUAUCCGGAAGAAUUGUGGGUUAUUCCCCGGAAAAGAAAAUCCUCCAACUAUAUUAUAUGAAGAUAAUACAGCUUGUAUAGCUCAAUUAAAAGGAGGAUAUAUUAAAGGAGAUAAGAUGAAACAUAUUUCACCAAAAUUCUUUUUUACUCAUGAUUUGCAAAAGAAUGGUGAAAUUGAUGUGCAACAAAUCCGAUCAGAUAAUAAUCUGGCCGAUUUAUUUACCAAGGCAUUACCAACUGCGACAUUUGAGAAAUUGGUGAAGAGUAUUGGAAUGCAACGAUUAAAAGAUCUCAAAUGACGUUUGCAUCAGGGGGAGAAAUUAUUACACAAGAAUAGUGUACUCUUUUUCCUUCACUAGGGUUUUUGGUCCCACUGGAUUUUUCUCUAGUAAGGUUUUAACGAGGCAUAUUCUUUGUGUAAUGGACAUCCAAGGGGGAGUGUUAUGAAAUAACAAAAAUGUGGAUGUUCCUUUGUAUUCCCAAGGGGAUUAAUUCAUGAUUUUAUGGCUACUUAUGUAUAUAAGUUACAAUUCAUAAAACCAUUCAUGUAGUGGAGAAACCGUUUCAUAAGUUUCUUCAUAUUAUUGUAGUAGUGGGUGUUUAAUAGGAUUUAUGUAUCUUUGAUCUUGUAGUACCUAUAUAUAGAGGUACAUUGACACCCUUUGGAUGGACUUUUGUAUCUUGUUGAAAUAUAAGGAUAUCAUUCUCCCUUUUCUCUACUCCUUUCUCUAAUACUUCAUCAAUUCCUAUUGUAGUAUUUCAUUUUAUUAGUUUUAUAACAAUUAAACCCAUGUUGACCCUUUUCUCAAGAGUUAUCUAACUUAUGAUAAUGCAGUUGAAAAAAUAACGGAAGCAUGUUGGACACAUAUAGAAAUAUGUGGAAGAAGAGGAGUUUAAUAACCAUAAACGUAUAAAUUCUAGCAACAACAGCUGCAACUUUCAUAUUUAGACUUGCAUAAAUUCUAGCAGAAUUGCCUUUACAACAAUUGCAACUCUCUUUAGUUUUUCUCUUAAUUUUCUCGACUAGAUACAAUAUUGAAAUAUCUUAUAUAUUCUCAACAUGACUAGAAAAUUAAAAUUAUACUAAAAUAAGAAACUACCAUAUAAUUACUUCAUUCCCCGAACAUCUAAAUUGGUAAAACUUGGCUAUACUUUUCUUUUUAAUUUUUUCCAGUAGGGAAAAGGUGGGACUUAAGAAGUGAAGAACAGGCAGAGUGAUUUAAACCUAAGGUCUCUAAUUUCUAGAGCCUUAAACUUAUCCAUUAAACGGGGGUUUCUAGGCAAAACCUGGCUAUAUUUGAAUACUUCUAAACUAGAAAUACAAAACAUCAACUAUUAGGAAAUUUGGUUUAAUUAUAUCAACAUUGCCUCCUUUCAAUUAAACUUUUCGCGAAUAUAGCUCUAUACUAUUGGCAACCAAAAAAAAAAGUCUUCUAAGAUAUUUUUUCAUUAUAAAUCAAUUCUUGCCAAUCACUUCACUUUCAAUUUAUUAGCCUCACUAGCUGAUUACUGAUAUCAAGAUUCUCAAUUUUGCAAGUCCAUCACAAAAAAAAAAAUAAGUUGACAAGAAUUUUUUCAACUCUUUCACAUUACCAAAUUAAAUAUCAACAACUAUGGUACGAUCUUUUUCUCUAAUCACUGUCUAACACAAAUAACACGAUAACGUCUAUCCAAUUAGGGUCAAUUUUUCCCUAAUUGUCAAGUAACUGGAGUACCCCAAUAUUAAUUUAGUGGCCCAAUUUUUUCUGACGUUCGAGUACUCUGACUCAUCAAAAAAUUUACAUUUCAAAAUCUAUCAACAUCAACCUUGUAAUCUUAAGUUUGCAAGCAUCCCAAGAUCAAAAGGCAGGGUUCUAAUACCACUUUAGUGUAUAAAAAAUGCGUACAAGAGGAUACUGGGAUAUGUAAAAAUAUGUAGGAGAAGAGGAGUUUAAGAGCCAUAAAUACAUAAAGCACAUCUAAUUCACAUAUUGAGAUUGACAUAAAUUCUAGGCAGAAUUGCUUUUACAACAACCGCAACUCUCUUUAAUUUUUUUUCUCGCCCUUUUCAACUCAGUAUAAUGCUAAAAUACCCUAUAUAGAGUUAACAUAACUUAGUAAUUAAGAAACUACUGCAACAAGAAACUACCACAUAAUUACUCCGUACCCUAAACAACUGAAUUACUGAAACUUUUUUUUUUUUUUAACCAAGAUGCUUGGAUUUUAUUGCCUUAGAACAGCUCUUGAGGGGGACAGGAGCCUGACCUCAACGACACAAGACAAGUACAAGACACCUACUUACUUAACUCGACGUCGCCGAAUAGAUGGGUAGGAUAGUUUAUCCAACCGAUAUUCACCCCUAGCUACACCUGGUAAGUCCCUGAAACUUGGCUAUACUUGAAUACGUCUAAACUAGAAAUAGGAAACAUCAACUAUUAGUAUUAGGAAGUUUGGUUUAAUUAUGCCAAUAAAAAGACAUAUUCUUCUGACCAUCACACUAUGUCAAAACGUGCAUGGGUUUCGUUGAUUUUAGCAAUGAUAAAUGUUCCACAUAAAGCAAUGGCAACAUGCAUGGAGUUAGGAUAAUUUCAUAAGUUAAUUGUGUAUAUAAUGAUAGUGCAUAUACUAACAACAAUGAAUGAAUGCCACCUAAACUUGAUAUAAUGGUAGUGUAUAAUUUGAGUUUUGUUUCUUGAACAUGUAGCUUGCAAUAUUAUGGGAUAAUUUCAGAAUUCUCCACUAAGGUUAUUGACAAUUUCACUUGUCUUUCCUCAACUUUUGGAAAUCUCACAUACUCCUAGCGUACAAUUGGGGCCUAUUGUUGACUAAAGGCGCAGCAAAAUACUUAUAUCUUUAGUCUUUGGUGAUAUUAACUAAACAAUUUCUCACCUUCAAAUGUAAUUUGCAAAAAAUCAAGUCAAGUCUUAUUUCCACAACCUUGUAAUACGAUGCAAAAAGAAAAUGUUAAACAAACAAAAAUUAUUCUCACCCUUGAUUCUACUGCACCUUUCACAAGGAAAGAUAAGUUGUUCUCUAAUUUUCUAUGGUUACUUUCUCUUCUAAGCUUUAAUUGACGCUUAUCAAGCCUUAUAUAUUUUAGUAUAAACUUCCAAGCUUUUAAUAAGAAACUUGUAACAUCACCAUUUUACAAAUUUAAAUUUUGAUAAAUUUGUAUUUACUCUUAAAUUUGUAUUUACUAAUUUGAUAAACUUGUAACAUCCAAGCUGUUUCUUAAAUUUGUAUUUUCUGUCAAAUAUUUAAUUUUUGUUAAAUACAAAACCUACCAGUUUCCCUUACGCAAAAAUAUUAAUGUAACACUUUUUCAAUUCUAGUUACAAACAUUUAUGUAUUUAACAUAAAUUAAAUAAUUCAGAAUAAAAUGCCCAUAAAGAGUCAAUACUUUACUCAUGUAAUGGAUAAAAGUCAUAAAGAAUUAAACUUUAUGGGCCAUUUCUUUUUGGGAAAAUCGUUCAAAACGUCCCUCACAUUUUGCAAAAUAACUUUUUUCGUCCCUUGCUUUUAAAAAUGUAAUUUUACGUCCCUUACAAAUUCACAUUGGUCAAAUUUGGUCCCUACUUAGGUUUUCGACUAGUUUUUUGUCGAAAUUCACCACGUGCCUUGCACGUGAUCAUAUUUUAAGGGCAAAUUUGUCAAAUCAAAUUUUAUAUAAUUCGAUUCAUAAUCCCUUACAUUUCAUAACAUAAAUUUUUUCGUUCCUUACAUUUCACAAAGUGAAUUUUUUCAUCCUUCACAUUUUUUAAAAUGAUUUUUCUUUUAUCUUUGAUUGCUCAUGCGUGUGAAUAAUUUUUUUAAACUCCAUGUACAUAUUUAUUUGAUUUCACCUAAACAGUACAAAUAGCAUGUGAAAUCAAAUAGAGAUAUAUUACACACUAUUCGUAUUGUUCUAGUGAAAUCAAAUAAAUAUAUACAUGCGUUUAAAAAAAUUGUUAGUUUUUCACUUAUAUUCAUUUUCUUUUACUCGAAAUUUGAAAAUAAAGAAGACAUUUAAUCCUAAAUAUUAUCAAGUGUUUAUAUCGAAUUAAAUUUGGACAGAAAAAGUAAACAAAAGAAAAGUAUGACAAAAAAAAUAAGUGAUUGGCACUUACAAAUUUUAACAAAAUCACAAGGCAAGUAAUCUAACUGUUGGUCUUCAAAGUGUCGAGUAGAAAUUUCAGAUUUAAACUGAAAUAUGUUAGCAUAAUUAUAGAAUUCGAGUUAGGACCCAUUAAUUAGAUGACCUUAUUAUACAACUUAAUAAAUAAAUUAUUACCAAAAGAGAAAUGUCACAAAUAUUGAAUAGGUUCAAAUGGUGAAAUCAUAUAAAUAUAUACAUGGGUUUCAAACAAAAUUAUUAGUUUUAAACUCAUAUAUAUAUCUAUUGAAUAGCAUGUGUAUAACUACAAUUAGCAUUUUUAGAUGAAAUCCAAUAGAGAUAAAUUACAUGUUAUUCAUACUGUUCAGGUAAAAUCAAAUAGAUAUAUACGUGGAUUUAUAGAAAAAAAGUUAUUCGUAUACAUGAUCAAUGAGAGAUGAAAAAAUUCAUUUUGAAAAAUAUUAGAAAUGGAAAAAUUCAUUUUUUCAAAUGUGAUGAACGAAAUAACUCAUUUUGUAAAAUGUUAGGGAUGAAAAAAUUCAUUUUGUGAAAUAUGAGGGACUAUGAAUCAGAUUAUGUAAAAAUUUGAUUUGACAAUUUUGCCCUUAAAAAAUGAUCACAUGCAAGUCACGUGGUGGAUUCCGGUGAAAAACUAGUCGGAAACCUAGGUAGGAACCAAAUUUGGUCAAUAUGAAUUUGUAAGGGACGUAAAAUUACACUUUUAAAAGCGAGAGACGAAAAAAGUCAUCUUGUAAAAUGUGAGGGACGUUUUGAACGAUUUUCCCUUUCUUUUUUUAAAAAUAUUUAAUUUAAAUUAAAUAGAUAACCUAUCGAUUUCCUUUUUGUAAGAAUAUUACUAUAACACUUUUACUUUCAAAUAUUGAUAUAUUUAUCAUAAAUUAAAUGUUUGAGAGUAAAAUGCCCAUAAAGAACCGGUACUUUAAAUAGGUAAUGCGUAUUUGCUCAUAAACUACACCCCUUAAAGUUUAUUAAUUGUUAAUUGAUUUGUAAUACUUUAUCAUUUAUUUGCUAAUACUGCUUGACAUGUAGCACAAAGAGCAAAUCUGGUACAAACUUCUCAUUUCACUCCCUAAAACAAUAUUUUAAUCGCUUGGAUUGAAUUUGCAAAGAAUUAGUAUGUUUAGGGGAGGUCAGUGCAAGUGUUAGAAAUCUCAAGGGAGGUUUCUACAAUUUUCCCUACAUUAAAAUGAUUGAAUUGAUGGUUCAGAUGUUUGAACUGAUAAAGUCAAAACCAAUCAUUCAUUUUGUUCAUCACUGGUCUGCGUUUCAAAAUAUUUUUAACUAUUAAAGUUGUUCAAAAUGUGGAAUACUUUGAAAAAAAAAAAUCCUCCCUGAAUUUUCUAGUAAUAUCAUUUAGCGCUUAGCGCCCUAUAGUUCUAAAAGUAUCACUUACCUUCCCCACAAGUGAAAUGUGACAAAAAUUCACUAAUACAAUAAUCUUGUUUCAUCUUCUCCACAAAACCCUCAAUGGACUUUUUCUCAAUUCCCUGUAGCAUUAAAUUAACUCCAGCAAGAACUAAAAAUAGCCUCCAUCUUGAGUUGUCAUCUGGAAAAUUGAUGAAAAAGUUUUUGGCAACUUCAAAAUACAAUAAUAAAGCAAAAAUAAAUAUAACAUACAAGAAUCAUGUUGUUUGGCCAAUUGACCUAUGCCACAAGUGAAAGAGCAGCAAGUUCACCGUAAAGAAGAGAGUAUAAAAUCACAAGUUUUAAAGUACUAAAUACUAAAAAUAAAAAAAAAUUCUAGAUAUAACAAAAGGCUCAACAACCUAAAAGAGGUCCAAAUAAGCUUCUCUAGCUCUUUCGGUUGGCACUUCUCAAAAAUCUGUCUCUUAAAUUGGGGCCUAGGGCCUCCCGAACCUCUCUUGAUACACUAACGGACUGUCCAGGCUUGCUAUCAGUACUUUUUCACAAGAAAAUCCAACAAAGAGUUUGGCACCACCUUUUCUUAUCUUUUCUAUCAUAUCAGGCCUUCCAUUUGCAACAUGUUCUCGUUAUUACACCCCAUGAAUCCUCCUCUUCCCUGGUUUCAACCCAUUUUUUUUUUAUUUUGGUACUCUGGUAUGCAGCAAGAUGUAUUAUUGCUUUUUAAUUUGUCAAAGAAGUGUGUUAAACUUCUUUACAAAAAUUUUCUUUCCAACUAUUGCUCAACAAAGUUAACAAAAUCUGAGUUUAAUAUAUUUAUACUUCUAAAGUAAAAACCCAUUCUUGCUGUCACAUUGAAUUACAUAAAUAGCCACAAUUAUCAUAAAUAAUGCAGAGCUAAAAAAACAACAUUGCAUAUCGAGGGUAUUAUCGGAAUACGAGAUCUAAUGCACUAAUCCGCUACUUUAGACUCUUGCUCUUAAUACAUUAUAGAUAAGUUGUACCUCUAUAAGCGUUUAAUUAGAGCUACACGCUAGCCACAAUAUUGUAGCAGGAAGACUAAUGCAAAGCUAUUUCUUGAUUCAAAUUAGACAAUUAGUUUGAAAACUUGAAAGCCAUCAGCCAGCAAUUGUUUAAGAACGAUAUUGAAAUUAGUGCAGAAACCAUUACAUGAAUGUUGUAAUCUAAUUACUGAUGUGACUGCAAAAAGUGUCCAAUUUGGUACACCCAUUUUGUCAUAAAAAAAAAGCCCAAAUUGGUGCACGCAUGGCCCACCAAUAAUGCAUCAGAUUGGGAGGAAUCUUUGUUUGGCGCUGCACUGAAGUUGCUGGCAAAGUUCUGAAGCACCAUAUCUUCUGUGAACAAGAUAGUACAGUGUCUUGCAAUAUUUACACAAAAAGUGGGAAAAAAAAGUCCAGCCUAUUGUUUGUUGGCUAUUGUUAGAUGAGAAAGUUUUGGAUCCUGAACUGAUUUUAUUGAGCAGCUGCUAAACCAGAUAAAUAUCUAAUAUCAGAGUGAAAACAAGAUAUUAUAAUGGAGAUCCCCUCCAGCAGUAACGCCAAUGGCUUUGAUUUUGCUUCUUAUGAUUAUCUGCAGUCGCAUCACGUCUCCUCCAGCACUAGCACUAGUUGCUUUGAUCUUGCUUUAGAUUUUCUAGCGGAGCACUGGGUCUUCAAGGACGUGGAGAAGAGGGUAAGAUUAAUGAAAACCUGUUUUCUGUAUGUCAAAAAGUGUAGGAGGAGGAGGAACCACGAAGCGCUUUUGGAGCAUGAUCGCGAGGACAGGUGUAAUAUUAUGUCUGAAAAUUUGAGACGUAGUAUUAUUUGCUUCAGAAUUCAAGAUGUGGCUAUCAGGAUGAUUCCAGAACUUCAGCCUAUUUAUUUUGAAUAUAUUUUUACUGAUUAUCUCUUAGAUUCUGACAUCUUUGAAAGGACGGCUACCAGAUCCAAGGAAAAGAUGAAAAUGCUUCUUGAGACAGAUCUCAAGAAAUCAUGCGCCGCCAUCUUCAUCGACUAUUACUCACCAGGAGAUCCACGACUAGUUAUGGAUCUUAUUAUGUGCCUUAUAGAGAAUCUGAAUCGCGUUUUAUGUGCUGGGGAGCUAAGGGAUACACUUAGAAAUAGGCUAAAACUCUUAAGGAAUCUCAUUGGCUUUGUGACAAUGCAAGGUCUUGAAUGUUCGCAACUGACAGAUCUCUUGACUUACACUGUAGUUGCAGCUGGAAGCCUGAUUUCUAUAUGUCUGUCUGACUAUGAUGAUGAACAAGCGGUCAAUCGAAUGGAAUCUGAAAUUUAUCAGCUGAUACACGAGAAGAUCAAUCUUCAUGAUCUCCAAGUUCGAGAAACUUUUGUCCAUGUCCUGACAGCUUCAAAGAAACAACCGAGAUCAUCAUAUGAUUUAGCCCUUCAGAAGAAUGAGGAUCAUGUGGUAGGCCAGUUUAUUGGUUCUCUUCGUGAUUAUCUUAUGGAUCUACUAGGAUCUUAUGCCAGUUUUCAGGUUCCAGUCAAGGAUCAAAUACUAAGACUCCAUGAGGAAAUAAGAUGCCUGGCUAUCCUUCUUAAACAGGAGGAGAAACUAGGUGAUGAAAUAAAGGAUCUUAUUAGAGUUGUGGUAUCUGAUGUAGGAAUUUUGACCUUCUCCCUUUCUGUCAAUGAAAUCAAAGAAGGCUUGCCCGAGAAAACAGAUCUUGGGUUGUUUCAUUUGCACAAAGUUCUCAAAUAUAUGGUGGCAGAGGUUGCACACAAUUUUCCACUAAAAUCACCAUAUUCAUCAUUUAAUUAUCCAAGACCCAAUGAGUUGGGCUGUAUGGAUUCUUUCCUAGAAAAUCUCAAGGAACUAGCAAGGUGUGAUGAGGCUGAUGAUUCAAUUGGUUUUCAACAGGAUAGAAGCCAAAUGAUCCAAAAGGAUCUCGUAUUCUUAAGAUCUUUCCUGGAAAAUAUCAAGGAGCAGCGCUAUCAGAAUGGAAAACUUCAAGCUUUCUGGAGUCAUGUUAUGGAGGCUGCAUACAAGGCAGAGUUACUGAUUGACUUGGCACUUGUUGGUGAUAAAUGUGAAGAUUCUUUGGAUGCUGUUUCUAGAGAUAUCAAUCUUUUGAAGAUUGAGGCCCCUGAGAUCCAUAAUGCUCAAACCCAAAGAGUUAACAAGACUUCCCUUCACAUACCGUCACAACUUGCUGCCGCCAUGCACGACGAAGAUCUGGUAGGUCUUGACGACGAGGUGGAAAUUAUUACUCAUCGGCUUACGAGAGGAUCCAAGCAAUUGGAUAUUGUUCCCAUUGUGGGUAUGCCAGGCCUUGGUAAGACCACAUUAGCCCACAAAGUUUAUAAUGCUCCUUCAGUUAGGUCACAUUUCCAUGUUCAUGGUUGGUGUCGUGUUUCUCAAACGUGUAGCAAACACAGUUUGUUAGUUCAACUUUUGUGUAGUAGUUCUUCUGAGAGUUCUAAUGAAUAUCUUAAGAUGAAUGAAAAUGAUUUGGCCUUGAAGCUAAGGCAGGUUUUGCUGAGAAGUAGGUAUCUCCUUUUUUUGGAUGACUUGUGGGACGUUGAGGCAUGGAAUUUGUUGGAAAAAUCACUACCGAAUGAUGCCAAUGGAAGCAGGAUUCUCUUCACCAGUAGAUACCAGAAUUUAUCUUUGCAUUUCAAACCUAAUAGCGAGCCUCACCAUCUCCGCCAUCUUACUGACGAAGAGAGUUGGACAUUGCUGCAGAGAAAGCUAUUUGGCAUGGAAGAUUGUCCUCCCGCGCUAAGUGAAGUUGGAUCUCAAAUAUCAAAACUUUGUCAGGGCUUACCCCUCGCAGUUGUCCUUAUUGCUGGAAUUCUUGCUACUACUGCACAAGAUAGUUGGGAAGAAGUUGCAAAAAGUCUAAGUUCUAUCGUCCUUGAGGAUGAAUACUGCAUGAAGGCACUUGAGCUGAGUUAUAGUCAUUUACCAGAUUAUUUGAAGCCAUGCCUUCUGUACUUAGCUGCAUUUCAAGAAGAUGAGGUUAUUAAUGUGCGAAGGUUGUUACGGCUUUGGAUCUCUGAAAGAUUCGUGCAACAAACUGAAGGAAAGAGCUUAAAGGAAGCAGCUUAUGACUACUUGACGACUCUAAUUAAUAGAAGUUUAGUUAUGGCUGUCAGACAAAGAAAUGUGGGUGGUGCCAAAUACUGUCUACUUCACGAUUUGGUACACGAGUUUUGUGUGAAAAAAGCCAAAGAAGAAAGUUUUCUAUAUGCUAUUCAUAGUUGGAACCCUCUUUGUCUUACUGGACCAAGCAACCCCCACCGAGUUUGUGUUUCCAAAGCCAGGGAAUUGAAGAUUUGGGAGUUAACGCUUAUUUUUCCCAAUUUACGCUCUUUGAUCUUGUUUGGACAAGAUGAUUUUAAACAUGAAGAGGAGGAUUUGGGUAUUUUGUUACCUAAACUUCUCAGAGUGUUGGAUAUUGGGAAUUUGGACUUUGGUGAUUCUUUUCUGAUGGAAGUAGUGUUGCUUGUUCACUUGAGAUACCUGGCGCUCAAACGAAUAACAUACAUCCCAUCUGCGAUAGCCAAUCUCUCAAGGUUAGAAACUCUCAUCGUAAAAUAUCCGAGGUUUGGUAUUGAGCUGCCAAGUACUAUUUGGAACAUUAAGACAUUGAGUCAUGUACGUGCUUUAAAUUAUCGUAAAGUAUACAAACGUGGUUUUAUUUUUCCACUUGAAAAUCUUGAAGUAUCCCCAGAUUUAGAUCGUUUAGACACUUUGGACCUUACAAUUGAUCCCUCCCCUCAAAGCUUGCAAAAGAUACUGAGAAAGUUACCAAGCGUUCGCAGGUUAAAAUGUAUGGAACGCUGGAACAGCUCAAGAGAAGCUACCAGAAAUUGCAACGAGAUUCUUGAAUUUGACGGUUUGAGUCAACUGGAAUCACUUCAUUUGUUUCGUUUUCAUGGAUGUGGAUUUAAAUUCCCGUUGAAUUUGAAAAAGUUGGUUCUCUCACAUAAUCGUCAGCCAUGGAGUGAAAUUUCAACAAUUGGAAAGUUGCCCAAUCUUGAAGUGCUUAAAUUACUUGAGGACUGCUUUGUUGGGGAAGAAUGGGUAAUGAAAGAAGGGGAGUUCCCUAAACUCCGAGUCUUAAAAUUGUCGGAAUUGGAAUUUCGCAACUGGACUGCAUUUUCUGAUAAUUUUUCCCGCCUUGAGAAAUUGGUCUUGCACUCGUGUGAGGAGCUGGAAAAGGUCCCUUCCUGUUUAGGGGAGUGUGAGACGCUUGAAAUGAUUGAGGUGAAAGAGUGUCCUGAGUCUGUUGUAGAUUCUGUAAAGCAAAUUCAACAAGAGCAGAUAGAUAUGGGAAAUGAGGUUCUAAAGAUCGAAAUUGAUGAGUAUGAUACAUCCAUUUCCUCAGAAGAAUAGUCUACAGAAGCAGAGUCAACUCCCUCAGAAGCAGAGGAGAUUUCUUCAGAAAGAGAAUCUAUAUCCUCUCAUCAGUCAUCACGCAGUUGACAAUUGUGAGAGUGAAUGUACAGUAGGAUUCCACUCAUCAGGUCAGAUAAAACUAUAUUUGCAUAUGUUGAAUCAGUUCAAUUAUAUAAUGAUUCAUGUUUCUCUCAACAGUUUACCACGGCAAACCAUUCAUGUCUCCUUUUCAUCUGUUUAUAUGUUGAAUCAGUCCAAUGAUAUGUUAAUUCAUGUGUAUUUUGAAGCAAUUUCUGGAGGCGUCUAAAUUCUUUAUCUGUUUAAACCUGAUGCUGCUGCAUAACUUCCUGAUACAUUUCUGAUUGCAGUAGGAAACACAUUGAUGCACAAUCUGUUUCUAAAAUCUUCUUCCAUGUUGCUACAUAUUGAUAUGAUACUCAGAACCAGCAGAGCAAAAGCAUAACUUGAUAUGAUAUACUCAAAACCAGAUACACUUUUCUAUUCCCAAUUUGUGUUUGUAAAUAAGAGUAAUACAGAAAAGUGUAACUCAACUGAUUGAUAUGUUUAAACAUACAAUAACAGUUUUGCAACAAAUAUUAAGUGGAGACAAAAGCCCAAAAAAAACCUAUGGUUGUGUUAUUUUUCAACAGAGGAAGGGCAUAGGACUUAAUAUGUGUUUUUCUUCACUACAAUAUGCUGAAAUACAAACAUUUUCAUUCUUUAAUAGGCAAUAUUUUCGGAAAUAAAAAAGGAAGCAAUUUUUUCUUAAACUUUUUUUUUGUGUGUGGUUUCAUGUUUUAUUUUGCUAUUUUAAGUGGUUUAUUGCUCAAACUGAUCAAAAUGGCAAAUCAAAGAAACCAGAUGACCUAUUUUGUUGGGUAAUCUGUAUACCUCUUCAUUCAACUGAUGUAGUACUGUAAUUAUCCCUUCUUCCAGAGUAGAUUUCCUCAGCCGGAGAGUCCAUUUCUUCUCAUCAUCACAUUAGGCAAUGGUAAAGACUGAAGCAUUUAUGUCUCUUCUUGACUUUGUGUGAUCAUUCCACUCAUCAGGUCAGAUAUAAUUGCAUGUCCAUGUUAAUUCAGUUCAAUGAUAUAACUCAUGUCCCUUCUUCAUCUGUACCAAAUUAUUUGGUUUGAACCUGAUGCAGCAGUAUUACUUGUCAUUGCAGGGGCAAGCACAGUCAUGCAUUCUAUCAAGCCAAUAUUAUCCAUCAUAAUCUGUUUGUAAAACUAGCUGUUUGUAACUCUCUGUUUAAAGCACAGUCAUGGUUUGAUGUUUAAUAGUGUUUACGAUCCAUCACAAUCUGUUUGUAAAAUAUUCUCCAAGUUCUUUCCUGAUUUUGAUGUUUAAUAGUGUUCAUGAUCCCAAUUUUUCAAAUAUUCUUCAAUCCUGCUACAGAUUGAAAUGAUCCUUAAAACUAGCUGUUUGUAGAAUGUUCUCCAUGUUCUUUUCUGAUUUGAUGUUUAUUAGUGUUUAUGAUCCCAAUUUUUGAAAUCUUACUUCAUUGCUACUAGGGAUUGAAAUGAUCAAAUGAUCCUUAAAACCAGCAGACAAUUAACAAGCUUUUGAUUUGGUUAAAACCAGCAGACAAAUGAUCCUUAAAACCAGCAGACAUUUGAUCAAAUGAUCAAAUGUAAUUCAGUAAUACAAAACUCUCACGCAACAAAUACUUAGUAUCGACCCAAAAAAAAAAAAAGAGAUCUAAAUUGUGUUACUUUUCAAUAGAGAAAGUGCAUAGGAACAAAAUGGUAAAUUUUUCAUCAACAUGAUUGUAUUUUCAUGUAUAACAAUAUUUUGCCGAACGCAUACAAUAAAAGGAGGCUAUUUCUAUGCAUUCUUCAACUUAGCAAAUGUCUAAAGAGCGUAACUUUUCUUAAACUAUUUCAUCUUUUAUUUUCUGAUCAAUGUGAUUAAUUGUUCAAUGUUCAUCCUGGUAAAAAUGACAAAUUAAAGAAGCUGAAUGACAUUUUUGCUGAACAAUCUAUGUACUUCUUCAUUUAACUUGACAUCUAAUUGUGAUAUUCUAUACCAUGUAACUUAUUUAAUUCAAGAAUAUUCAGAAAAUAGAGAAAACCAUUAGCUGGCAAUCAUCUAAGACUAAUGAUUGUUGCUAUGACUUGUGAGACUAAAAAGGACAGAAUUCCAGGUGAAAGCUGACUUUAACUUUCUUCUAUCCAAAUGAUUGUAAUCCAAAAUUCCAAAUAUCGUUUCCUCUGCUUUAUUUUUCGACUUUCUUUCUUUCUUUGGGCCUUUGUUUCAUUUUUGCUUUUCUGAAUUUGGGCUGUAGCUUACUGGGUAUAUAUAUUAUUUCUUUUGGUUUUUUAAUUUUUAAUUUUUUGUAUUCUCUAUAUAUUUGUUUCUGUGAUUUAUUUUUUUUCCUUAUUUUUCUUUUUUCCCUUUUCUUGGGUUCCCUAAAAGAAACCUACAUAACUAACAAAAUAGAACAUUGUAUUAAAAAACUAAAUUUAUUAAUUAACAUACACAUGUAUAGACGCAGUUUACAAACUCACAGAGUCCUCAUGGAUGGACCGCUACUGAAGCAUCACAAAACAUAAUUAGUUCUUUUAUUACCCAUUUAAUUACUCUAUCAAAUCUAGUCCCAAUGAUCAAGAAAGGGUUCUUAGAUUCUUUUUCAUACCAAGUUCAAGGUUCGAAUAAUGUAUCUGACAAUUGGAAUUAAAAAGCAAUUCAAAUCAUGUACUUAACAGUCGAGAGUAAAAUGCAUAUGAGAAGGGAUGGGAGGAUUAAAAAAAAAAAAAAAAAGAGUCUCUUCUUGUCUAUAUACAAUAGUGUUCCUCUAUGUGGCUUGUAUAAUUGACUAGACAGCAAAGGCAAGACUUCUAAUGAUCAAAUCACUCUACGCUAACCUUUUAAGGUUUGUUCCACCUGCACCUUUAAAGUUCUUUCUAUUUUCAUUUUGCUUAAUCUUAGUUACAAAACUUUACAUCUUAUCUUUCAAAACAAAUUCUAAAUCUUACAAACGGCAUAAAAUUGAAUGAAAAACCUUAUAUUCACCUUUUUUUGUCAAAUAUUCACCUAGUUAAUACUGCUCUAAGCUGAACUAGGGCAUGAGAGAAUAAACUACUAUUGUUAAUGCCAUGCAUCCAAGGGGUGCUGAGGGAGGCCGUGUUUUGAAAGUUUUAAUUCACAAUGUGUAAAUAUGGGUGUAAAACAAAGUUAGCCCCCUAAUUUUCAUAAUUUUAGUUUAUAUUAUGAUAUAUAUAUAUAUAUAUAUAUAUAUAUAUAUAUAUAUGAUUUAGCCACCUUUGAAUUAAUUUUUUCUUCAAAUAAGUUAUUUAUUUUUUAUUGUGCUAGUUAUUUAACUUUUAAAAAAGUAAACAUAUAAUCAAUAAUCCAUAGUAAAUUGACCCAAUUUGAUACAUUAGAAUAAAUGACCCAAUUCAUAAUCAUCAACGGGUUAAAACAAAAACAAUUACUUUUUUGGCUAAUAUAAAUAUGCAAUUGAGCCCAAUUGAUUAGACUCGUUCUUCCUCUUGCUGUAUCAACUGUAAGUAUAGAACAGAUAUUUUCAAUUAUGAAGAUAAUCAAGAUAGUUACGAAACAAGAUGGAAGUUAAUUUCUUGAAUGAUUGCCUAAUUGUGUACAUAGAAAAGAAAGUUGUUGAAAAAUUUAGCGCUGAUUCAAUCAUAGAUAAAUUUACUUCUAAAAGGAAUGUAAAACUCAAUUUACUUUUAAGAAAAGAGAUUGAAAUUUUAGUGUAUGUUAACAUAACUUUUAUCUUUUUAAAUUAAAAUAUUUAUAUAUAUUGCAUAUAUAUAUUUAUUUAUUUUGCAUAGGCGACAUAUUGGAGUAUCUUUUCAUAAUGUAUAACUUGGGUGGUUUAUGAUAUUAUAAGAUAUUUAAGAAAAGUUUAUUUUUUGUCUUACUUUUCAUUUUGACUAUGUUGCAUAUUUAUAAAAUAAACAUACCUUUAUAAUUAAAAUUAAAAUUUAAUAUUUUUAGAUGUCAUAUAUUUAAAUAGAUGAACAUUAUUUUGAACAUAGCAUAUUAAAAUAAUUUUAUUAGAAAGAUAUUUGGGCGCCUAGGAAAAAUAUCUUGGCUCUGUCACUGCAUGGGUUCCAUUUGGCGUUCUCCUUCUCCCUGGCAUAAAAGAUGAGAUUUGUUUACAAAAAGAGAGCAAGUUGGAGAAGAUGAGGUUACCAGAAUAACCAGCAGUAGAACAAAUUCUCGUCUUAUAUUACCAUUUGCCACCAAUCCUUCAUCAUUGUUCUUCUUUUUUCCAAUCUAUCCUAAUUUUACAUCCAUUUUGCUCAUUAGCAUAUUCAAAUAUUUAACUUAAUUACAGGUUUAAAACCUGAAAGCUCUGCCGGAAUUUGACGCCGGUUUACAUUGGAUUGGACAAAUUUUUGUUUGAGUUACGCUUUUUUUCUUCAAGGAGUCAAAAGGAAACCUUUUAUUCUUUUCGGACCAUUUUUUCUUUAGGAGUCUUAAACUCCAUGAAGUUUUGGUUUUCGUAAUGAUUUCGGACACAUCAGAACUUUUUCAAACUCAAAAUACAUUAAAAUGAUUGAACUGAUGGUUCAAAAUACAUCAAAACCAAUCACUCAUUCUGUUCAUCACUGGUCUGCGUUUCACAAUAUUUUUAAGGGAUAAUUUCAGAAACUUCCCCUGAGGUUUCUGACAAUUACACUUACCUCCCCUGUGGUUUGAACAAUUACACUGACCUCCCUUGAGGUUACUAAUCCUUUACAAAUUCAGUCCAAAUGAUUAAAAUAUUAUUUUAGAGAGUGAAAUUAUAAUUUUGUACCUGAUUUGUCCUUUGUGCCACAUGUCCAAUGAAUGACAAAGUAUUACAAAUUAAUUAACAAUUAAUAAACUUUAACGAGCGUAGUUUAUAGGCAAAUACGUAUUGCCUAUUUAAAGUACCAGCUCUUUACAUGAAUUUUAUUUUCAAACAUUUACUUUAUCACAAAUAUUUAUUCUCAAAUACAGAUUUGUAUUUACUCUCAAAUAUUUAAUUUUUGUUAAAUACAAAACCUACCAGUUUUUCUUCCGUAGAAAUAUUAAUAUAACAUUUUUUCAAUUUUCAGUUACAAAUAUUUAUGUAUUUAACAUAAAUUAAAUGAUUCAGAAUAAAAUACUCAUAAAGAGCUAAUACUUUACUCAUGUAAUGGAUGAAAGCCAUAAAAAAUUAACAUUUUAUAGGCCAUUUUUUUUAAAUUUUAAUUUAUAUUAAAUAGAUAACCUAUCGAUUUUCUUUUCACAAGAAUAUUAUUGUAACACCUUUUAAUUUUUAAUUACAAAUAUUGAUAUAUUUAUUGUAAAUUAAAUAUUUAAAAAUAAAAUACAUGUAAAGAGCCGGUACUUUAAAUAAGUUAUGCGUAUUUGCCUAUAAACUAUACUCCUUACUUAAAUCAAUAAACUACACUCCUUAACUUAAAUCAAUAAACUAUACUCCUUACUUUAAAUAGUGUAGUUUAUAGGUAAAUACGCAUAUCCUAUUUAAAGUAUCGACUAUUUACAGAUAUUUUAUUUUCAAAUAUUUAAUUUAUGAUAAAUAUAUUAACAUUUGUAAUUAAAAAUUAAAAACUAUUAAAGUAAUGUUCUUGCAAAAAAAAAAUCAGUAGGUUAUCUAUUUAAUAUAAAUUAAAUAUUUUUUAAAAAAUAAAUGGCCUCAUAAACUAUUAAUUUUUUAUGACUUUCAUCCAUUACAUGAGUAAAGUAUUGGCUCUUUAUGGAUAUUUUAUCCUGAAUCAUUUAAUUUAUGUUAAAUACAUAAAUAUUUAUAACUAAAAUUGAAAAAAUGUUAUAUUAAUAUUUCUACGGAAAAAAAACUGGUAGGUUUUGUGUUUAACAAAAAUUAAAUAUUUGAGAGUAAAUACAAAUAUGUAUUUGAGAAUAAAUAUUUGUGAUAAAGUAAAUGUUUGAAAAUAAAAUUCAUGUAAAGAGCUGGUACUUUAAAUAGGCAAUACGUAUUUGCCUAUAAACUACGCUCGUUAAAGUUUAUUAAUUGUUAAUUAAUUUGUAAUACUUUGUCAUUCAUUGGAUAUACGGCACAAAGGACAAAUCAGGUACAAAAUUCUAAUUUUACUCUCUAAAAUAAUAUUUUAAUCAUUUGGACUGAAUUUGUAAAGGAUUAGUAACCUCAGGGGAGGUCAGUGUAAUUGUUCAAACCACAGGGGAGGUUUCUGAAAUUAUCCCUAUUUUUAACUGCUAAAGUUGUUCAAAAAGUGGAAUACUUUGAUAAAAAAAUCCUCCCCUGAAGUUUCUAGUAAUAUCAUUUAGCACCCCUAUAGUUCUAAAAGUAUCAUCUACCUUCCCCACAAGUGAAAUGUGACAAAAAUUCAGGAAUACAAUAAUCUUGUUCUUCUCCACAAGACCCUCAACGGACUUUUUCUCAAUUCCCUGUAGCACUAAAUUAACUCCGGCAAGAACUAAAAAUAGCCUUCAUCUUGAGUUGUCAUCCGAAAAAUUGAUGAAAGAGUUUUUGGCAACUUCAAAAUACAAUAAUAAGGCAAAAAUAAAUAUAACAUACGAGAAUCAUGUUGUUUGGCCAAUUGACCUAUGCCACAAGUGAAAGAGCAGCAAGUUCACUAUAAAGAAGAGUACAAAAUCAUAAGUUUUAAAGUACUAAAUACUAAAAAUUCAAAAAAGCCUAGAUCUAACAAAAGGCUCAACAAGCCCAAAUUAGCUUCUAACUAGCUCUUUCGGUUGUCAAUUCCCAAAAAAUCUGUUUCUUAAAUUGGGGCCUAGGGCCUCCCGAGUCUCUCUUGAUACACUAACUAACGGUCCAAGCUUGCUAUUAGUAUCUUUUCACAAGAAAGUCCAACAAAGAGUUUGGUUAGUGGAGACUUGCUAGCAAUAAUAUCUUUUCUGUUGCAUUUUUAGACAUCUUAAGCUGGACGUUCAGUCCUAGUAGAGUUUGGAUUUGGUUUGGUCAAUUAGCUGUAUUUUUUUGUUGAGGGUAGAAGACUAGAAGAGUUGUCCAAAUUAGCUAGAGGAAAAAGGGCAAAAGAAAGCGAAACCAAGAGAUGAAGAAAUAGGAUAGAUGACAACUUGAAUUUUCUUGUUCUUUUCCUCUAUUCCAAAAGGAAUAUUCAAAUAUGCCAAUAUAGUUGAGGGUUAAAUAGUUAAUUUGGUGGUUACUGCUCGUGGGAGUAUUAUGUCUAACCCAAAAAAAAGGGUAAAAGGAAAAAAACCUGUGUAACAAGUAGGCAUAACCUCGUUGAUUCUCAGCUAGAACAAUCCUAUUACUUCUAAGAUUGGAUAAUCUCUCUGUUUGCCUACAAAUUUUUAAGUGUUUUUAAAAACAAUAAAGUUUUUACAAAAAAGGAGCAAAUGGACGGUUAAGUGUAGAUAUCCUACAUUUAUAUCAACAGGAAAAAUAUAAAACUAAAAAAAAAGAAUUUAACCAGACCAAUUAACUAAUAAUUUUUAUAAAUAUAUAUAAAUUGUUUGCUCUAUAUUUUCUUAGUUUUCUUGUUUUUAUUAAUACUCAUUCUCAGUUAGAUGCUAGAUGCUUAUAUAAGCAUUAAGCAUACUCAGAGAUAUGGCAAAAGAAAAACUUCCAUAAAAACUCCUUUAGAUUUUCACUUAGAAUGUGCCAAAUUAAAUGAUCAUCCCAACACAGCAAAUUUGGCAAUUGAAAUACAAAUUUUAUUUUUUUAUUUUAAAUUCACAAAUAAAUGAAAGAGAUAAUAGGAAAGAAAAGGUCACGUUGAGUGCCUAAAUCUCUGAAAAAUGUAAGGGCGUCUUUAGUUUUGGAUUUCCUUUAACAAAAAAUAAAUAAAAGAAUGAAAACUUUUUUGUACAAAAUACCAAUGUUUUGCUCGAAAUCAAUUGCUUUUCUAUAAAGAAAUUUAUGUCAACAACACUCUAUUACUAAAUAUAACCUCAAGGUUAAUGUUUUCGCUAUCUUUUGUUUAGUUCUACAAAGUUUAAGCAAUUAGAAAAUUGAGCUCUUCCUAAAGGCAUGAGUUUAAUUUCUUUAUUAUGCCUUCACAGUAUGGGGCUCCAGGAAUCACAUUACUUGGUGUAAUUGGGUUCCAAGGUAGCCAGUUGAUUUUGAGUUCUCACGUUGAUCUAGCAUGGCAAGAAAUUUCCUUCUAAAUGUAGCUUCAGUAAACUUCUUAAAUCCAUCCACAAGAACUCAUUUUUGAUAAAUGAUAAUUAUGCAAAAUUUGAAUUUGAAAUUUAACUUUUGUAUAUGUAUCAUAGAUCUAACAAUGAUAGUUUAUACACUGUCAGUAUAUAUAAGAUUUACUCUUUUGUAUAAUAUUUAAUUUUAAUCUCUUUCCUCAAGUAUUUCCUUCAUUCACAAUUUUAUUCAUUAAAAGUUUUUAGAUAUUCUUGUUUAGUUUCCAAAAGUUCCUCCAGGAUAGUUUCCUUAAUAUCACAACAAUUAAUCGUGUUGAACAAGAAAUUGAUAUGCUAAUCUUCUUUAGUUUCCAAAAGCACUGUCAAAGAAAUUUGUUAAACUUCUUUCCGAAAAUUUUUUUUUUUUUUGCACUAUUGCUCAAGGAAACUAAGGAAAUCUGCUUACUUGCUCACAAUUAAUUGAUUGCCAGAGAAAUUUCUAAAACUUCUUUACAAACAAUAAUUUCUUUCCAACUAUUGCUCAAGAAAGUUAACAAAGUCUGAGUUUAAUAUAUUUUAUAUUUCUAAAGUAAAAACCCAUUCUUGCUGUUACAUUGAAUUACAUAAAUAACCACAAUUAUCAUAAAUAAAGCAAAGCUAAAAAAACAACAUUGCAUACCGAGGGUAUUAUCGGAAUAUGAGAUCUAAUGCACUAAUCCGCUAAUUUAAACUCUUGCUCUUAAUAUCUUAUCUUACAUAUAUAUAAAAAGCUAAGACUUCUUCUCCCAGGUUCUACCACGUGGCUGGAUGAGGAGAGGGAGGAAAAUUUUCUUCCGUUUAUGCCCUGAGAAUAUUGAGUAGUUCUCCAAACAGUGUAUCACUGUUGAGGUCAUUUUUGUCUUUUCUCAUAAAAUUACUAUCUUGCCCAAAUAAAAAUAACUAGCCCCAGGUUCAACCACGUGGCUGGAUGAGGAGAGGGAGGAAAAUUUUCUUCUGUUUAUGCCCUGAGAAUAUUGAGUAGUUCUCCAAACAGUGUAUCACUGUUGAGGUCAUUUUUGUCUUUUCUCAUGAAAUUACUAUCUUGCCCAAAUAAAAAUAACUAGCCCCAAAACAGUACCUAACUAUUGAGGGUUAUUUCUGACUUUUUGCGAAUAAUCUUUUGCGUUACUUCUCAGUGUUUCCCGUCUUUUCCCCUCUUUUCCUAGACCCAAGAAAGCGGUGGUUGGCAUUAGCUCUGUUCUCCACUUCUUCUUUGUCUCCAUUAUGAAAGACAAGAAGCCAAAAAGUCAAACAACUUUAGCACCGAUGGCAGGAAAGCAAAACACUCCAUUUGCACUUCAUUUUACAACUUUAGCCCAUCAUCUUUUGUUUUAUUCUUCCUUUCUUUCUCAGUCUUUUGCUCUCUUUCUCAAUCUUUCCUAUCCCUUCUUCUCUUUAGUCUUUUCUCAGCGAAAGAAACCGGUAGUUGCUGCUUCUUUUUUGUAUCCAUUGUCAAAGACAAGAAGUAAAAAAGUCAAAUAAAAAAUGGAAGCUGACCCAUAUGGCAGCAAGACAAAACAGUCCCUUUCUACUUCCUUUUAGCCCAUCAUCUUUUGUUUUCUUCUUCCUUUCUUUCUCUCUGUUUCCCGUUUCUUUAUUUCUCCUUUCUUUUCUUGCUGGUUGAACGAAGAAAAGUACAACUUCAAUUCUUCCAUCAGUAGCCAAUUGUUUAGAAGUGUUUUUGACUUUUUCCCUAGCAUUCUUGCCCUCUCUUUCCCGUUGUUUCUGCUUCGUUUUCUUUUUGCUGCAGAAGAAGCAUGUUUGCAUAUUUCAUUUUGUUUUCAUGUUCAGUUCUACUUUUUCUCCUUCGUCCCUCCCUCUCUGUUUCCAUUCCUUUGUUUCUCUUUUGUUUUCUUCCUGGUUCGGACAAACAAAAGUACCAACAGAUCUGCUCCAACACCUGGUCAAUAAUUUUUCCCCAAAUUAUGGCUGCUCAUCCAUAUCCCAAUCGUGGUAUUGUUCCACAAAGAGUCAAUUGUGGCUGCCCAUGCAUAUCCCAACCAUGCGAUUAUUCCACAAAGAGUCAGGUAUGAGGUAUGAUUUCUACCUAUUACUAGAGAUAUAGGUUUGUCCUUUUGCCUUCCUUUUCAUUUGCCAGUUCACAAAUUAUCGAGAGUGAGAAGAAAAAUCUCUAACAACUCAUCAAUUUUGUGUUGUUAUCUAUUGUCAGUGAAAGAAAAAUUCCUAACAACUGAUAGAGUUUGUGUCUUUAUAUACAUCAGGAACACAAACACUGCUCACAAAAAAAAUCAACGGUUCUACCUCCUUUUGCUCUGCAACAUUUCCAAGUAAAGGUAACUAUUCAUAUUCUGUGCCUAAUAUUUUUCCGAACGAGUCUUGAACAGAUUGGAAAAUCUAUAUACUUUCUAUUUUGGUUGCCAAAUUUCUUCAAGGGUUUAAUUGCACUUUGAAAGAAUUGGUGCAGAAGAGCUUCUGAUUUAACGUUCACAGAUUUCAGUUCUAAGUUCGUUUGCUUUCAGUUAUUACUUGUCGACUGAAUUUUUUUCCCUUACUUUUGUUGUUAUCAGUUUUAAGUUCCCUUGCGAGUAUCAGGUCCACAGAUUGUAAGUUCUUCUAUUUUUUUCCUCCAAUUCAACGAAUGUGGUAUUUUUGAAUGGUGGAUAGGAUGGGAUAGAAGGUUGUGUAGAUGAAAUGGAUUUUGGUUGUUGAUAGAGCAGAGGAAUAGUCUGAUACUUGGUAAUUACUUGUAUGCAUGUUUUUGGGGUCUAAAGUCGUGGAUUUGCAAGUUGGACACGACAGUGAGUGAGACGGACGGAAGUUGUGGAAUAGGCGGACAUGCAUAAUCAUAUAUAUAUAUGCAAAUUGGACUUUGGCUUUCUAUGUACGUAAUAUAUAUUUGGCUUUCUAACUUCCUACACAUAAAAAAUGGUGAAAUUGCAGCAUGAAGUGACUAUACCUGUCUAAACAAAAGAGCAAACAGACCACAAAUAUGUGAGCCAAGAUUCUUUAAUAUGUAUAAAAUUUCCAUUCAAAAGUAUUGCAAUAACACUUGUAGAUAGGAAAUGGAGAGAGGUGGCAGUUGGAAUAAAUAUUGUGUCAUUUUAUGAAUUUUUAAUUUUGUCCUUAAAAAUUAAUUUUUACUCUUCUAAUCAGAUUUGCUACCAUAAUCUCCCAUAAAUAACUCCCUUAAAUAUUAUAACUACCAAAUAAACUAUAGCUGUUUUUAAAGAAAAAGUUACUAAUAAAUUGCAAAUUUUUUUUGAAGAUUUUAUAUAAAAUUUAAUUUUGUAAAAACAAAAUUAACAUAUUCAUAAACAUUAAUAAUUAUUUCUAAACUGCACGUACAUUGGGUGUGCCCUUAACAUUAGUCUAUAUAAUAUAUAUAAAGGGCGAUUUAGUGUAAACAUUAUUUGUCACUCUUUGAACUUUCGAUUUUACUCUUAUAGAACAAAACAUGUUUUACUUUAAUUAUUUACCUUAAACAUACCUAAUACUAACCAUUGUGACUAUCAAUAUAACAAUUAUUAUUUGAAAGAAAUUUAAGAGAUUAAUUAUUAUUUUGGCAAUGAAAAAUUCAUAUGAAAUUUACUUACCAUAAAUAUUAUACAUCUAUUUAUUGAACACACAUUGAGUGUGCAAAAAGCACUAAUUUUUUUUAUUGUUUUACGUUCUCUUUGUUAAAGGAAACAAGAAUCUAAUUACUGCUAAUACUUAAUAGCUUUUUGACUUUGGGUGUCUAACCUGAGUUGAUGGAUGGAUGGACCGACCGAGAAGAAGAAGAAGGAUGAUGAUAACUAAAAACACACUAAUAAAACAUUGCAAGUAGGCAAACAAAUCGAUAGGUAUACUGAUGGACACGGACGCUCUUUGAAGUUGAUUUUUCCAACUAAGAAAAGAGGCAUAGACCAAAAAAGGGAUUUUUUUUCCUUUUCUUUUGGGGGGAGGCCAUUGUGUGUACGGCAGAUUGAGUUCAUCUCUUGUUCUUGUCGUUGUUCAGGUUCUAAUAUAAUAUUGGAAAUCCUCAGAUAGAAGCUUGAGGGUAGGUGUAGGUGGGUGGUAUUUCUUAAUAUUUCAGCUGCUUUUCUCCUUAGCAGAUUGAUAUUCAUUUAAAGUGUGCCUAAUUAUAUUUUUGCCUCUUUCUAAUUUUUUCUCAUCUAAGUAUAGUUUAAACAUAUUGGAUAAUUUGUAUAGUUUUACAUUGAUACCUUUCUUGUACAUUUUAUUUUGGUUGCCAACUUUGUUCAGGGGUUUAGUUACGAUUUAAAAGAGUCGGUGCUAAAGAGGCUUUUGUUUGGGGUUGGCAGAUUCGUAUUAAGGAAUUGCUUCAAUUCAAGGUCAUUCCUUCUAUUCCUUCACUACAUCUUACAAUUUUCGUGCUUAAGUUUUGCUCUGCUUGACUACACUCUAGAGAAUAUCAUAACUGAAUCUCUAUGCUUAUACCAUUUUUCUUUCUCAGAUUUUGCCUUUUACUAUUUAAUCACUCUAAUUUGUUGAAUAUGACGCUCUUAAACAAUUAAUCUCAUGUUUGUAUCUCUUGGUCAGCUGCUUGUAUCUAACAGUUUGGAUUUCAUAUAUAUAGAAGUUAGCUUUACUCUCUUCAUUAGCUAUCAUUGUGCCUAAGUUUUGUUAUAUUUCGUCUAUUACUCAUAAUUUUUUCAGUUGUAGGUUCAUUUGGUCUCACUUAUUAACUGAACGUAUGCUUUAUAUGAUUAUGGUGAGGCUGGCUAAUCAAUAGAUUAAUAUGUAUUAGAAGCAAACGAGUAUGAUCAAGGAAGAUCACCUACUUGCUGCAAUCAAAGUUGCUGCUUCUAUCAGGGGACACAACCUAUCAGUAAGCUUUCAAGAACUACCAUGAAUUGCAUUUGAGUUCAGUUUUAUUCAACAUUCGAAUGAAGAUUCUUAUCUCAUAAAGUACGCUCCAACCAUUAGGAUUUUAUUAACAGUAUUCUGUUUAUUAAAAAAAAAAUCCACAAGUCACAAAAUUUUGACGAAAUAGAAAGACACUUCCUUGCAUGACUUAGUCCACAUCAACUCCACUCUAUAAGCAUAAGACCAAUAUUUUGCAUUCUGCAUUUUGGCAUAUAAACUUAUAGAUAUUUCUGCGAUUUUACUUUUUUUAUUCUUAUUCAUGCUCCUGGUCAUGCUACUCUACAAAUAAAGAGCUUCAUAUAAUUGAUUAUUGUGGCCAGUCAAUGAAUGCAAAAGUGAAAAAUGAAAAAUGGGCUUCACAAUGGGAAUGUUUUAGGAAUCUAGAUGUUAUACACAAUCAAUUUGGGCUUUCCAUUUAAUUUGGAAAUAGUAGCAGCAGCAACCCACCUUGCUCUUCAUUUUUCCUUUUAGGGAGUCCUCCUUGGUAAGUUUAAUUUGCCCUUUUUUUUUGAUGUUGUUAGCUUUUCUACAUGACAAUAGUAAACAAACAAAUAGAUUGGUAUACCUAUGCUCUCAUCGUAGAUAUUAAUCAUAUAGACACCAAAGCAGCGGUACAUUUUCAAUCUAAAUUGAUAACCAAAUUGUUGAUUUGUUAAUGUGUAUCUCAUCUGCCUACUUGUCAAAGAAAUCAACGGUAACCGUUAAUCGAAAGAGAGAGAUGAAAUGGAAGCUCUUGAAUGAGUUGUUCCACCCACAGUACUUUGUACAAUAACAAAUUUCAUGUUAGUUGAAACCUCCAGUCCCUUUACAGACUUGCAAUUAAAAUCAACAUAGCAGAACAGUCAAUAGAUUGUCGUCAUUGUACAAUGUUAAAAAUGUGAAAGUUAAUGAAGAAAGAGAAAAUACGGGUAAAUAUUGUCUAUCUCCUAUGUUCAGCAAACAUCCACUUUAUGAUUUUCUAACAUCUCUUCUUCACAUAUUUAGCCUUAAGGUCAACGAAAAGACUGCAGCAUGCUAGCAUUAUCUCAUCUUAGUUCACUUUACCUUAACUUUGUUGGUAAAUCCAGGGAUCAGGAAUUUGAUAAAAUGAAAUUCAAUGAAUGAAAAUUGACAUGUCCCUUUUUGUGCUAUAUAAAUUCUUAUGUUCUAAAUUAUUGAAUCUGGCAUAUACUGAUUAUCUAUGGUUUACAUUUCUAGCUGCAUGGUUUUGUAAAGAAAGAGCAAUUGGAGGAUGCCCUCACUCACAUGGACCUUCUGAUCAUUCCUGUUGGAGUUCAUAGGAAACUAGCAAUGACUAGAGAUAACCUUUUUAAUAUCAAUCCUGACAUUGUUAGGGCUCUAUGAAUGAAUUUCAAAGUGCUGUACGGAAGCUAUUGUCUGCAUGGUGCCAUUUGGGGCUGCAAUGAACGUCACAUUUGUAAAGUUAUGUACUAUUGUUCUACGAUUCAGUUAAUUUUGUUUUGGUGUUGUUUAGGUAUCUUUAUUAUCGAUAUCUGAAAAUUCAAAGUCUAACAUGCUUCAAUUAGCCCAAGAUUUGAAUUUUUUUUGGUCAUAAUUGUUGUUCGAGCUGUACAAAUUAUUGUAAAACUGUGGAAUUGUACGAGAGUGUGCAUCUUUCAGUGUGAAAGAAAUAUUGUGUGCUGUGAGUUAAUUAACUUGAGUUUAUUGUGUUCUUCAUUCAUGUUUAUUUUUCAUAUUGCAUAUGUGCUUAUUUCUCCAGACUCUUCAUGGUUUAUGUGGAGCUAUGCAUGCACUUCAUUAUGGUCCAGAAUGGCAUAAGCUUUACAUUCCUUCUUAAGGGCCUUUGUUGUCACUCAAUAUGAAAAAUGAUUGAUUGAUGUCUAAAAUAUGAGAGCAAAAAUUAAUAUGUCUUCAUGAUAGAAUUUUUAGUGAACUUUACCAUUGUGGUCUCGCCCCUUAACCACCUCAAUUACCAAUUAUUUUAAUACUUCAGUUCUACGAGUUAUUGAUAGGUUGCGAUUUUAUCAUUUAUUUUAUUAUUAAUUUCUCCUAUUACCUGACCCAAUUUGGAUUAAUUGUUAGUUUCUACUCACUUUUAGUAUUUUACAUAUAUUUCAGGGAGUAGAACGAAAAUACCAUAAUAAGUGCCGAUUUGACAGUUAUCAGGAAAGAGUUCAAGUAGCAGGCAUCCAGGGCAUUUUUGGAACAAGGAGAUACAAGUCCUUUUUGGUAAUUCGCAGAGCGCAGCAUUAAAAGGAGGAACGAAGGGCUGAAGUGGGGGUCUUCUUCUUCCUCUCCGGAAGGGGAGCCGCCGCACAUUGGAGAGCUUUUCGUCUUGUAGCUUAGCCGUAGUUGUUGACUUUUCUUCUUAGUUUUUGUUAGCUAGUUUCUUUCUUACGUAUGAAGAUUGCUGAGAAGCUUAGCUUUUGUUUUUGAUUCUGCCUAUUCAAUUUCUCUUCUCCGAAUGUCGGACAAAAGCAAACACACUCAGUGGACUCUCGUAGCUUCCUUUCUUUAUUGAAUGCCCAGCUUCCCAAUUGAUGGCCGCAGCCUUUGCUUCAAUUUCUUGUGGGUUUAGUUCAUUAAUUAUGAACUAAUUCUACAAUUCUAGUCAAGGGACAACUGACGAUUUGGUUCGACAACUACUGUGAGAUCGAAUCUGUUUUAAUUAUUUUCUUCAUCUAUUGGUAUUUGUAUGUUCCUUGAUUUUAAUUGCUAUGGCCUUGUGUAUGAUUGAUUAGUGCGCAAUAAUUAAUUAUUCAUAUAGGCUAUUUUUGCUAAAUAGGGGUAAUUGAAUCCGUAAUUGUUCGUUAUCUCUACCUCAGUAGCAACUGGCGUAAUUGGGUUUAUGUCAGGGGAGCAUAUGAUCUAAUUUAAACAAACCCUCGUAGCGUGUUUGUUGGUUAGGAUUGGGCCUUUCUAAUUAUUAAUGCAAUCUAGAAAUUAAAUCCUACGGUCGUACUUAGGGUUGUUUUUGGGUUAGAGAAAUAGCUAACGGUCGUACCUUAGCUAUCGAUAAAUUAAGGAAGGGUUGGUUGUUUAUCGCGUGCAUGACAACUAUAACCAAUCUAUUAAUAAAUGUUGGGAUUAUUUUUGCAUCAAUGAUCAGUGCAUGAACCAUUUCUGAAGUAUACCCUUGGCUAGAGUUUCUCUUAGUUAUUUCUUUUAAUUAAUUAUUUUCUGCAGUUAAUUUAUUUAGUUAGCAUUUAUUCCAAAACCCCCCAUACUUUGGACUCUAAAAGAAACAAUUACUCCCAGUCCCUGUGGAUUCGACCCUACUCAUCGCUAUCUACAGAAUUAACUUUAGUUUGAGCAGGUUUUAUUAUUGUACAGGUUCGGCACCUGUCAGUUAUGCAUUUGCAUAGACACUAAAUAUAACUUGCCAAAAAUUUACAUGUUAUUGUUUACAGAAAUGAGAAUACCAGCAAAUUUUUCAAUAUUUUUGACACUAUAUAUAUUGGGCAUUGGCUGUGCAAGGCACAACCAGAAAAUCUCUAGUAUUAUAGAUAAGUUGUACCUCUAUAAGCAUUUAAUUAGAGCUACUCGCUGGCCACAAUAUUGUAGCGGGAAGACUCUGGCUAUUUCUUGAUUGAUUUACAAUAAUAUGAUUCAAAUUAGACAAUUAGUUUGAAAACUUGAAAGCCAUAAGCCAGCAAUUGUAAUUUAAUUGCUGAUGUGACUGCAAAAAGUGACCAAUUUGGUCAUUAAAAAAGAGACUAAAUUGGCACACGCAUGGCCCACCAAUAAAGCACCAGAUUCGGAGGAAUCUUUGUUUGGCGCUACACUGAAGUUGCUGGGAAAGUUCUGAAGCACCAUAUCCUCUGUGAACAAGUUAGUGUCCUGCAAUAUUUAAACAACAAGUGGGGGGAAAAAAAGUCCAGCCUAUUCUUUGUUGGCUAUUGUUAGAUGAGAAAGUUUUGGAUCCUGAACUGAUUUUAUUGAGUAGCUGCUAAACCAGACAAAAAUCUAAUAUCAGAGUGAAAAGAAGAUAUGAUAAUGGAGAUCCCCUCCAGCAGUAACGCCGACUGCUUUGAUUUUGCUUUAUAUCAUUAUCUGCAGUCGCAUCACAUCUCCUCCAGCACUAGCACUAGUUGCUUUGAUCUUGCUUUGGAUUUUCUAGCCGAGCCCAUAUUUCGCUGGGACUCUGAUUACCUGAAGGAGAAGGUAAGAUUAAUGAAAACCUGUUUUCUGUAUGUCAAAAAGUGUAGGAGGAGGAGGAACCACGAAGCGCUUUUGGAGCAUGAUUGCGAGGACAGGCGUAAUAUUAUGUCUGAAAAUUUGAGACGUAGUAUUAUUUGCUUCAGAAUUCAAGAUGUGGCUAUCAGUAUGAUUCAUGAUCUUCAGCCUGCUUAUUUUCAAUAUAUUCAUUCUGAUUAUCACUUAGAUUUUUCCUUCAUUCAAAGUGCGAUUACCAGAUCCGAGGAAAAUAUCAAAAUGUUUCUUGAGACGGAUGUCAAUAAAUCAUGCGCCGCCAUCUUCAUCGACUAUUACUCACCAGGAGAUCCACGACUAGUUAUGGAUCUUAUUAUGUGCCUUUUAGAGACUCUGGAUUGUGUUUUACGUGCUGGGGAGCUAAGGGAUACAAUUAGAAAUAGGCUAAAACUCUUCAGGAAUCUCAUUGGCUUUGUGACAAUGCAAGGUCUUGAAUGUUCGCAACUGACAGAUCUCUUGACUUACACUGUAGUUGCAGCUGGAAGCCUGAUUUCUAUAUGUCAGUUUGACAGUGAUGAUGUACAAGUGGUCAAUCGAAUGGAAUCUGAAAUUUAUCAGCUGAUACAGGAGAAGAUCAAUCGUCUUGAUCUCCAAGCCCGAGAAACUUUUGUCCAUGUGCUGACAGCUUCAAAGAAACAACCGAGAUCAUCAUAUGAUUUAGCCCUUCAGAAGAAUGAGGAUCCAGUGGUAGGCCAGUUUGUUGGUUCUCUUCGUGAUUAUCUUAUGGAUCUACUAGGAUCUUAUUCCAGUUUUCCGGUUCCAGUGAAGGAUCAAAUACUAAGACUCCAUGAGGAAAUAAGAUGCCUGAGUAUCCUUCUUAAACAAGAGGAGAAACUAGGUGAUGAAAUAAAGGAUCUUAUUGGAGCUGUGGUAUCUGAUGCAGGAAUUUUGACCUUCUCCCUUUCUGUCAAUGAAAUCAAGGAAGGCUUGCCUGAGGAAACAGAUCUUGGGGUGUUUCAUUUGCACAAAGUUCUCAAAUAUAUGGCAGCAGAGGUUGCACACAAUUUUCCACUAAAAUCACCAUAUUCAUCAUUUAAUUAUCCUAGACCCAAUGAGUUGGGCUGUAUGGAUUUUUUCCUAGAAAAUCUCAAGGAACUAGCAAGGUGUGAUGAGGCUGAUGAUUCAAUUGGUUUUCAACAUCAUAGAAUCCAAGCGAUCCAAAACGAUCUCGUAUUCUUAAGAUCUUUCCUCGAAAAUAUCAAAGAGCAGCGCUAUCAGAAUGGAAAACUUCAAGCUUUCUGGAGUCAUGUUAUGGAUGCUGCAUACAAGGCAGAGUUACUGAUUGACUUGGCACUUGUUGGUGAUAAAUGUGAAGAUUCUUUGGAUGCCGUUUCUAGACAUAUUAAUCUUUUGAAGAUUGAGGCCCCAGAGAUCCAUAAUGGUCAAACCCAAAGAGUUAACAAGACUUCCAUUCACAUACCAUCACAAUUUACUGUCGCCAUGCAUGACGAAGAUCUGGUGGGUCUUGACGACGAGGUGGAAACUAUUACUCAUCGGCUUACGAGAGGAUCAAAGCAAUUGGAUGUUGUUCCCAUUGUGGGUAUGCCUGGCCUUGGGAAGACCACAUUAGCCCACAAAGUUUAUACUGCUCCUUCAGUUAGGUCACAUUUCCAUGUUCGUCGUUGGUGUCGUGUUUCUCAAACGUGUAGCAAACACAGUUUGUUAGUUCAACUUUUGUGUAGUAGUUCUUCUAAGAGUUCUGAUGAAUAUCUUGAGAUGGAUGAAAAUGAUUUGACUAACAAGCUAAGGCAGGUUUUGCUGAGAAGUAGGUAUCUCCUUUUUUUGGAUGACUUGUGGGACGUUGAGGCAUGGAAUUUGUUGGAAAAAUCACUGCCGAAUGAUGCCAAUGGAAGCAGGAUUCUCUUCACUAGUAGAUACCAACAUUUAUCUUUGCAUUUCAAACCUAAUAGCGAGCCUCACUAUCUCCGCCAUCUUACUGACAAAGAGAGUUGGACAUUGCUGCGGAGAAAGCUAUUUGGCACGGAAGAUUGUCCUGCAGCACUAAGUGAAGUUGGAUCUCAAAUAGCAAAACUUUGUCGAGGCUUACCCCUCGCAGUUGUCCUUGUUGCUGGAAUUCUUGCUACUACUGCAAAAGAUAGUUGGAAUGAAGUUGCAAAAAGUCUAAGUUCUAUUGUCCUUGGGGAUGAAUACUGCAUGAAGACACUUGAGCUGAGUUAUAGUCAUUUACCAGAUUAUUUGAAGCCAUGCCUUCCGUAUUUUGCUGCAUUUCAAGAAGAUGAGGUUAUUAAUGUGCGAAGGUUGUUACGGCUUUGGAUCUCUGAAAGAUUCGUGCAACAGGCAGAAGGAAAGAGCUUAGUGGAAGCAGCUUAUGACUACUUGAUGGCUCUAGUUAAUAGAAGUUUAGUUAUGGGUGUCGGACAAAGAACUCUGGGUGGUGCCAAAGCCUGUCUACUUCACGAUUUGGUACAUGAGUUUUGCGUGGAAAAAGCCAAAGAAGAAAGUUUUCUAUAUGUUAUUCAUAGUUGGAAAGCUCCUCUUAGUCUUACUGGGCCAAGCAACCCCCACCGAGUUUGUGUUUCCAAUACCGGAGAAUUGACAAUUUGGGAGUUAAUGCUUAUUUUUCCCAAUUUACGUUCUUUGAUCUUGUUUGGAAAUGUUCAUAUUGAACAUGAAGAGGAGGAUUUGGGUAUUUUGUUACCUAAACUUGUCAGAGUGUUGGAUUUUGGGAAUUUGGGCUUUGGUAAUUCUUUUCCGAUGGAAGUAGUAUUGCUUGUUCGCUUGAGAUACCUGGCGCUCAAAGGAAUAACAAACAUCCCAUCUGCGAUAGCCAACCUCUCAAGGUUAGAAACUCUUAUCGUAAAAUAUCCGGUUUUUGGUAUUGAGCUGCCAAGUACUAUUUGGAACAUUAAGACAUUGAGUCAUCUGCGUGCUUUAAAUUAUCAUGGAGUAUGGCCAAUGGGUUUUAUUUUUCCAGUUGAAAAUCUGGAAGUAUCCCUAGAUUUAGAUUGUUUAGACACUUUAGACCUUGCAAUUGAUCCCUCCUCUCAAAGCUUGCAAAAGAUACUGAGAAAGUUACCAAGCAUUCGCAGGUUAAAAUGUAUGGAACGCUGGAACAGCUCAAGAGAAGCUACCAGAAAUUGCAACGAGAUUCUUGAAUUUGACAGUUUGAGUCAACUGGAAUCACUUCAUUUGUUUCGUUUUCAUGGAUGUGGAUUUAAAUUCCCGUUGAAUUUGAAAAAGUUGUCUCUCUCAUAUAAUGGUCAGCCAUGGAGUGAAAUUUCAACAAUUGGAAAGUUGCCUAAUCUUGAAGUGCUGAAAUUACUUGAUCACUGCUUUGUUGGGGAAGAAUGGGCAAUGAAAGAAGGGGAGUUCCCUAAACUCCGAGUCUUAAAAUUGUCAGAAUUGGAAUUUCGCAACUGGACUGCAUUUUCUGAUAAUUUUUCCCGCCUUAAGAAAUUGGUCUUGAGCUGGUGUGAGGAGCUGGAAAAGGUCCCUUCCUGUUUAGGGGAGUGUGAGACUCUUGAAAUGAUUGUGGUGAAAAGGUGUCGUGAGUCUGUUGUAGAUUCUGUAAAGCAAAUUCAACAAGAACAGAUGGAUAUGGGCAAUGAGGUUCUAAAGAUCGAAAUUAAUAGUAUGAUACAUCCAUUUCCUCAGAAGAAUAAUCUACAGAAGCAGAGUCAACUCCCUCAGAAGCAGAGGAGAUUUCUUCAGAAAGAGUGAAUGUACAGUGGGAUUCCACUCAUCAGGUCAGAUAAAACUAUAUUUGCAUAUGUUGAAUCAGUUCAAUUAUAUAAUGAUUCAUGUUUCUCUCAACAGUUUACCACGGCAAACCAUUCAUGUCUCUUUUUCAUCUGUUUAUAUGUUGAAUCAGUCCAAUGAUAUGUUAAUUCGUGUGUAUUUUGAAGCAAUUUCUGGAUUAUUCUAAAUUCUUUAUUAGUUUAAACCUGAUGCUGCUACAUAACAUUCUGAUAAAUUUCUGAUUGCAGCAGGAAAAACAUUAAUGCACAAUCUGUUUCUAAAAUCUUCUUAUUGUCAUUUUCUGGGUCAGUGUUGAGUAAUUUUUAUGUAAGGAUUUAUAAUCCCAAUUUCCGAAAUCUUCUUCCUUGUUGCUACAUAUUGAUAUGAUACUCAAAAGGCAGCAGAGCAAAAGCAUAACUUGAUGUGAUACUCGAAACCAGAUACACUUAUCUGUUCCCAAAUUGUGUAUGUAAAUAAGAGUAAUACAGAAAAGUGUAACUCGAUUGAUAUGUUGAAACAUACAAUCACAGUUUUGCAUACAAAUAUUAAGUGGAGACAAAAACCCCAAAAAAGAAAAAAAAAACUAUGGUUGUGUUACUUUUCAACAGAGGAAGGGCAUAGGACUUAAUAUGAGUUUUUCUUCACUACAAUAUGUUGAAAUACAAACAUUUUCAUUCUUUACUAGGCAAUAUUUUCGGAAGUAAAAAAGGAAGUAAUUUUCCUUAAACUUUUUUUUUUGUUUGGUUUCAUGUUUUAUUUUGCUAUUUUAAGUGGUUAAUUGCUCAAACUGAUCAAAAUGACAAAUUAAAGAAACCAGAUGACCUCUUCAUGUUGGGUAAUCUGUAUACCUCUUCAUUCAACUGAUGUAGUACUGCAAUUAUUCCUUCUUCCAGAGUAGAUUUCCUCGGAAGGAGAGUCCAUUUCUUCUCAUCAUCACAUUAGACAAUGGUGAAGACUGAAGCAUUUGUGUCUCUUCUUGACUUUGUGUGAUCAUUCCACUCAUCAGGUCAGAUAUAAUUGUAUGUGUAUGUUAAUUCAGUUCAAUGAUAGAUAAUUACUGAUCAUGUCCCUUCUUUUUCAUCUAUUUACCUGUACCACAGGAGUAGAGUAUUUUGACAAACACUCAUUUUUACCGGACAUAAAAGGCUUCUUUUUCAAGUAAUGAUGAUCACUGAAUGAUAGUGCUAACAAAAAAGCUCUGGAGCCCUUUACUUUCCCUUAAUCCUUCGCCAAAAUGAUUAGGUCCUUUGACAUGCCUCCAAAUUUCUUGCCUCAAUGGGUAGAAGAAUAUUUGUUGUCAAUGUGAAGCAUGCUUGAUCAUGACCUUUUCUCAUUGCCAUUCAGAAAUAUGCAUGAAUGAUCGUGUUCAAAGUACCCCAACGUAUAAGUGAUAGUACAUCAAUUGAAUCCCGUAAUUAUGCUCUAGCCAGAAAUAAUUGAAUGAACCAGAAGAAGACAAAUAAUAGAAAAGAUAAAGAGGAAGAAAAGUACAUUGUGAUGGUCAUUCUGGUUUGAACCAAACAUUCAAGAUAUAUCAUUUAACAAUGAGUUGCUACAAUUACCUCUUCACCAAAUCUAUCUAUGGUAUUCUUAUGUACAAAAACUGUUAUUGGCCCUGUGGUGCAGCAAAUACCUGAUCUCCAGCAAUUAAGACAGCAAUAUAUGUGAUGAGAACUAGUUUAUUAACAAUUGAUCCUAUGGUAAAGGUAAUGCUUUCCACUACAGCUAUGCUCCGAAUGCUGGAGGAAAAAUACAAAGAAGAGAACCCUUCUUAACUCAUUUGCCCAAAAGCUGGCUUCUUUCACCAUCAACCAGAAAGAAAACAAAACAAAACAAAAAUGGUGUCUGACUAAGACCCUUGUUUACAUGGAGUCUCAUGUUCCCAACAGCUUGAACAUACAUUUUUCAGUUGAUCUACACUCACCGCUAUACUCCCACAAAAUCCUCCUUUUCUUCUGCCUUUUCCGACAUAAGAAUACCACCUCAUUGGUGUCCAGGGGAGUAAAUUGUUCCUAGUCACAGAGUAUAUAUACACUUGCUAAGAAUCAUCCAUGUGCCCAAAGUAACGAUUUCUGAAUUGCAGAUUCUCAUGUUUUAGAAAGAUAGCAUACAGGAGCUCAUUCCAUGCAUCUGGGACGCCAGGCAGACACCAAUGGCUGCAGUCCUGCCUGUGGGGAGGCACAGGACCAACACUAGGAUCCAAGUAAUACAAAGAUGAGUGCCCAUCUUUUCUCCUCGCGGUCAUAUGAGUUAUAUUUAGUACUUCUACUGCUUCCGCAUUUGACGAGUUCAAGUGAGCUGAAACUACAUUGCUGAAAAGGUUAUACAUUUCCCAAUUGUUCGACGGUACCAAUGAAGAACCUAGCUCUGGAAGUGUCUCCAGGUGACAGUUUCCCCCGUUUCUCCAGUCUCCUCCUCUACAAAGCCACCAUGUCAUGUCAACAGCGACAUUACGUAACAGUACGUAAGCAUAUAUGGACAUGACUGGAAAAGAUUUAUUUUAAACUCUUAAAUCUUGCAACCUGAAAGCAGACCCCCUCAACACAUAGAAAGCAUAAGCAAGAAUAAUACAAAGGAGGAGAAAAACUAAAAAUUUUGUUGGACGUUCAAUGCAAAUAGAGCAACCAAUGCAUAAAUUUGGAAUUCAUGCUAUAGAGCUCCUACUUUCCUUAGUUCUGCCAAGCAGCAAUGUGGAGUAUGAAAUACAGUACUUACAAUCUUCAAUUGGCAGCACUUUGGCUCCAGUAAAAUAAAACACCUGAUUAUGGCAUGCAACCACACCAGGACAAACAAGUCAAACAAUUUGCACAAUAGAUGGAAUUGGAGCGAUGAUUUACUGCAAUCAAUUUUGUAACUUAUAUCUGAAACUAAAUUGAUUUUUUGAUGAGGUCAAAAUGGAUACCUCAUCCAACAUUUCCCAAAUUACCACCAACUGAAAUUUGGAAUGCAGGGUUCAAAGUGCCUAGGGGAUCUUAUGCUUGAACAAAUAAGAUGACAUGCAUUAAGACAGAGAGCAACAUCCUAUUACAUGACAAAUUCUCCUUGGGCCUGGGUGAUAACUAAGAAUCUCUGUCCUCUAAAUCCAUGACGGUUUCCUGCAUGAUGGACAAUAGAAUACAGAACAAAAGAAACACGAACAGGGUCCUCAUUUGAAGGUAAUAAGCAAAGAAGGAGCUAAGCUAAAAUUCUAGAUUAAGAUAAUUUGAGAAAUCGAGGAAUGAAAACAAAGACAGGAAAGCCUCAACAAGAAAAUUACCAGAUGGUAAAACUACAAUUUACCUGAAAUGGACAGGGGCAUAUGUGCGAAAGAAGACCUGCGUUUUGCUUGUAUUUAAUUCACGAUCAACAAAAUCUAGAACUGUCUGUAAUGAUCUCUUGUAUGCAGUCUCAACUUCCAUAUCCAUCGUUAUUUCCAAACCUUCUUGAAAGUAACAUCCCCUAACAAAGAUGGUUUGAACUGAAUUACUUUGUCAUUGCAGGGGCAAGCACAGUCAUGCAUUCUAUCAAGCUAAUAUUAUCCAUCAUAAUCUGUUUGUAAAACUAGCUGUUUGUAACUCUCUGUUUAAAGCACAGUCAUGGUUUGAUGUUUAAUAGUGUUUACGAUCCAUCACAAUCUGUUUGUAAAAUAUUCUCCAAGUUCUUUCCUGAUUUUGAUGUUUAAUAGUUUUCAUGAUCCCAAUUUUUCAAAUAUUCUUCAAUCCUGCUACAGAUUGAAAUGAUCCUUAAAACUAACUGUUUGUAGAAUGUUCUCCAUGUUCUUUUCUGAUUUGAUGUUUAAUAGUGUUUAUGAUCCCAACUUUUGAAAGCUUCUUCAUUGCUACUACGGAUUGAAAUUAAUGAUCAAAUGAUCCUUAAAACCAGCAGACAAUUAACAAAGCAUGUAUGCGAGAUUCACUUUUCUCUUCCUUUCAUGUAUUUCAGUAAUACAAAAGAUUUUGAUUUGCUUCUGUUUUUCCUCAAUAAAACUCUCAUGCAACAAUUACUUAGUAUGGACCUAAAAAAAAGGGAUCUAAAUUGUGUUACUUUUCAAUAGAGAAAGUGCAUAGGAACUAAAUGGUAAAUUUUACAUCAACAUGAUUAUAUUUUCAUGUAUAACAAUAUUUUGGCGAACACAUCCAACAAAAGGAGGCUAUUUAGUAGCCACUCGCAUUUCUUUGCAUUCUUUAUCUUAGCAAAAGUCUAAAGGGUGUAACUUUUCUUAAACUUUUUUCUAUGCUAUUUCAUCUUUUAUUUUCUGAUCAAUGUGAUUCAUUGUUCAAUGUUCAACCUGCUAAAAAUGACAAAUUAAAGAAGCUGGAUGAUAUCUAAUUGUAACAUAUUUAAUACAAGAAUAUUUAGAAAAUAGAGAAAAUCAUUAGCUGGCGAUCAUUUAAGACCAAUAUUAACGUUGAUGAGGAAACCAUUACAUGAAUUUUUUUUUUUUUUUUUUUGGGGGUUGCUAUGACUUGUGAGGCUAAAAAGUACAGAAUGCCAGGUGAAAGCUGACUUUAGCUUUCUUCUAUCCAAAUGAUUGUAAUCCAAAAUUCCAAGUAUCGUUUCCUCUGCUUUAUUUUUCGACUUUCUUUCUUUGUUUGGGCCUUUGUUUCAUUUGUGCUUUUCUGAUUUUGGGCUUUGGCUUACUAGGUUUAUUAUUUCUUCUAGUUUUUUUUUUUAUGUUUAAGUUUUUUUUUGUAUUCUCUAUAUAUUUGUUUCUGUGAUUUAUUUUUUUCCUUAUUUUUCUUUUUUCCCCUUUCUUGGGUUCCCUAAAAGAAACCUACAAAAUUGACAAAAUAGAAAAUUAUAUAAAAAAAAACUUAUUAAUUUACAUACGCAUGUAUAGACACAGUUUACAAACUCAUGGAGUCCUCAUGGAUAGACCACUAUUCAAGCAUCACAAAACAUAAUUAGUUCUUUUAAUAGCCAUUUAAUUACUCGAUCAAAUCUCGUCCCAAUGAUCAAGAAAGGGUUCUUAGAUUCUUUUUCAUACCAAGUUCAAGGUUUGAAUCAUGUACCUGACAAUUGGAGUUAAAAAGCAGUUCGAAUUAUGUACUUGAUAGUAGAGAGUAAAAUGCACGUGAGAAGGGAUGGGAGGAUUAAAAAAAAAAUGGAAGAGUCUCCUCUUGUCUAUAUACAAUAGUGUCCCUCUAUGUGGCUUGUAUAAUUGACUAGACAGCAAAGGCAAGACUUCUAAUGAUCAAAUCACUCUACGUUAACCUUUUAAGGUUUAUUCCACUUGCACCUUUAAAGUUCUUUCUAUUUUCACUUUGCUUAAUCUUAGUUACAAAACUUUACAUCUUAUCUUUCAAAACAAAUUCUAAAUCUUACAAAGGGCUUAAAAUUGAAUGAAAAACCUUAUAUUCAUCUUUUUUUUUGUCAAAUAUUCACCUAGUUAAUACUGCUCUAAGCUGAACUAGGGCAUGAGAGCACAAUCUACUAUUGUUAAUGCCAUGCAUCCAAGGGGUGCUGAGCGGGGCUGUGUUUUGAAAGUUUUAAUUCACAGUGUGUAAAUAUGGGUGUAAAACAGAGUUAGCCCCCUAAUUUUCAUAAUUUUAGUUUAUAUAUAUAUAUAUAUAUGAUUUAGCCACCUUUGAAUUAUUUUUUUCUUCAAAAAAAGUUAUUUAUUAUUUAUUGUGCUAGUUAUUUAACUUUUAAAAAAGUAAACAUAUAAUCAAUAAUCCAUAGGAAAUUGACCCAAUUUGAUUACAUUAUAAUAAAUGAUCCAAUUCAUAAUUAUCAAUGGGUUAAAACAAAAGCAAUUAAUUUUUUGGCUAAUAUCCUUAUACUAUAUAAGAAUGAGUUUGCGUCAAAGAAUGGUUUUGAAUUUCAACCGUAAGAGUAGGGGCAUUUUGGGAUUGUAAGGUUGUUUUGAGUGCAGUUAUAACGUUGGGUACUACUUAAGAUAACAUGUGUAUUUUUAUAUUUACUGAAAUGUUCUUGUGAUUUGUUCAAAGGUUUGGGUAUUUUGGGAAUGUGUGAUUAUGUGGUUGUCUUUUUUACAAUGGGUAUAACCCAUGAUAGCUUCUUUAUUGGUGUAAUUACUUAAAUGUUCUUAUAGAGGCAUUGAUUGGCUUGUGUUAGUUAAAUUAUAAGUAGUAUCAAUUAUUACCAUUGCUUUACUAUUAUAACUUGAAGACAUUCAAAUGCCAUUUUCAUCUCAAUUAAAGCAUUUAUUAAGGAAUUUAUGACUAAGCAUCAGUUUCAUCUUCAUUUCUUCAAAUGUCUUCUCCUUCACAUUCUUCCGUUAUGUUCCUUUCAUCUUCCAGUAAAUACUUAUUUGUACUGCCAUUGUACUUUAGAUUUCAAUAUGGUUUUAUGUUGAAACUAUUCUUGGUGGUUUAGCUUGAGGUGAGCUUUUAUUAUUUUUUUAUGGUAUGAUUUGCUUUGUAAAAUCAUAGUUUCUAUUGUGAGCUAAAUGCUUCUAUUCUGAAAGUAGAUACUCUGUUAGCGUAAUUUAGUGUUAAUAUCAUUGCUUCCCACAAAUUUGGUUGCUGUGUACAAUUUAAACAGUGUGAUUUUGUUGGAAUAGGUUUGAAGCAACUAUGAGAAAAAAUUUUUGCAGGGAGUAUUUGAACAAGGUAAGCCAAAAAACUACUGCAAUUGAUGCAUUAUGGUGUGGUUUAUACUGGAAUUGAUUUUUCUACUGCAAUUGAAUUGUUUGAAUGGUGUGAUUUCUUAUCUAAUUGUUUGCUUUGGUAAUAAGGUGAUUCAUUUAUGCAAUUGAUUUUGGUGAUAGUUAGAUUCCGAGUCAUUUUGAAUUGGUAGUUAAUACUUUGUCCUAAUGAUUUGAGUUUGUAUCAAAGUUUAUUCUUUCAUGUAUUCGUUUGCAUAUUUGCUUAAGCUAUUCAUCAAAGUACUUGACUUGAAUGUGGGUGAUUGGAAGGUUGAAACCAAUAAAGAAUAACUACCAAUAAGAAUUGAAAUUCCAAGUAAAUCUAUCUCCAAUAAUCAAACAAGUAGUUGGCUAAAGCCCUCUCCCCCUUAGUUGCAAUUUUCGCACUGAUGAUCAAAUUCUGAACGUUGGGAUCAUGUUGUCCCGUAGACCUUUAAGUACAAUAGGAAUUCUCCUAACGUUUGGGAACUUGGUGGAGCUCCUAUUAUUUUAGAUUGUCUGUUUAAAUUGUUAAAUCAUUGCCAUGCACACAAUUGUCUCAUGAUUAUUUUUCUGUUCAGUUUUUUUUCUUAGUUUCCUGUUUGGAGAUGAAAGUUUCUAUAGAUAUUUAAACAACAAUAUAAUUUAUUCUUCUGCCUUUAUGACUUCAUAAGUGCAUUUUUUAUGUAACAUUUGUUCAGGAAAAGAGUUUCCUGAAAAUGAUAAAAUAUGAAGACUCGUGCUUUAUGUUGGUGCUAAACACGUUUUACAUAAGGUUUCAAAUUCUAGCUUCUUUAGUGUUGAACAAUGAAUUCCAAACUUUCUUUGUCGUAUUUGAUGAUUAUUUCUUUUUAAAUUGUACUAUUAUUUCUUUGUUGGUAGUAGUAGCUUGCGAGCCUUGAUUUUCGCCAGUAUGAUUUGAUUCUAUUCUUAGUAUCAUUUUGUUGUGUACAAGAAUCAGGUCAUACUAUCCAAUGUCAUCUAUUGUUAGGCACAAACACUUCUAUGUAUUAUUUCUUCCUUUUAAAAUACAUUUUUUUCCUGCCUGGAUAAUCUUAUGCUUCUCAUUUCUAAGUUAGGGAUAUUCCUCUUCUCUUUGCUCAGGGUCUCAGGAAGUUGUAAUAGUCAAGUUUCUUUGUUCAUUGUUUGAUUCAUAAUAUCUUUUGCGAAAGUGAAGGUUUUGCUCUGGGAGAAGGCAGAGAAUGAUUUGGACAAAUUAAAACUGAGAUUUUAAUGUAAUAACAUAUCUAGUAUAAAUAUACAAUUUAGCCCAAUUGAUUAGACUCAUUCUCACUCUUGCUGCAUCAACUAUAAGUAUGGAACGAAUAUUUUCAAUUAUGAAGAUAAUCAAGAUAGUUAAAAAACAAGAUGGAAGAUAAUUUUUUAAAUGAUUGCCUAAUUGUAUACAUAGAAAAGAAAGUUGUUGAAAAAUUUAACACUGAUUCAAUCAUAGAUAAAUUUACUUCUAAAAGGAAUGUAAAACUCAAUUUACUUUUAAGAAAAGCGGUUGAAAUUUUGGUGUAUGUUAACAUAACUUUUAUCUUUUUUUAAUUAAAAUAUUUAUAUUUAUUUUGCAUAUAUAUAUUUUGCAUAGGCGACAUGUUGGAGCAUCUUUUCAUAAUGUGCAACUUGGAUGGUUUGUGAUAUUAUAAGAUAUAAGAAAAGUUUAUUUUUGUCUUAUUUUUCAUUUGACUAUGUUGUAUAUUUAUAAAAUAAACAUACCUUUAUAAUUAAAGUUAAUAUUUGAUAUUUUUAGAAGUCAUAUAUUUAAAUACAUGGAAAUUAUUUUGAACAUAGCAUAUUAAAAUAAUUUUUUAGAAAACUUCUUGGGCGCCUGAGAAAAAAAUCUUGGCUCUGUCACUACAUGUAUCCCAUUUGGCGUUCUCCUUCUCCCUGGCAUAAAAGAUGAGAUUUGUUGACAAAAAGAGGGCAAGUUGGAGAAGAUGAGGUUACCAGAAUAACCAGCUUGCCUCUACUGCUGGAUGUAAAUUCUCGUCUUGUAUACCAUUUGCCACGAAUCCUUCAUAAUAGUUCCUCUUUUUUCCAAUCUAUCCUAAUUUUACAUCCAUUUUUCUCAUUAGUAUAUUCAAAUAUUUAACUUAAUUACAGGUUUAAAACCUCAAAGCUCUUCUGGAAGUUGAGGCUAGUUUAAAUUGGAUUAGACAAAUUUUUGUUUGAGUUAUGAUUUUUUUCUUCAAGGAGAACCUUUUAUUCUUUUUGGACCAUUUUUUCUUCAGGAGUCCCAAACUCCAUGAGGUUUUGGUUUUCGUAAUGAUUUCCGACACCUCAGAACUUUUUCAAACUCAAAAUACAUUAAAAUGAUUGAAUUGAUGGUUCAGAUGUUUGAACUGAGAAAGUCAAAACCAAUCACUCAUUUUGUUCAUCACUGGUCAGCCUUUCAAAAUAUUUUUAAAUGCUAAAGUUGUUCAAAAAGUCGAAUACUUUGAAAAAAAAAUCCACCCUGAAGUUUCUAGUAAUAUCAUUUAGCACUCCUAUAGUUCUAAAAGUAUCACUUACCUUCCCCACAAGUGAUGUGGCAAAAAUUCACCAUCGCAGCAUGCAAAGUGAAAGUAUUAGCCUCACAACUUAGGAUUAUUUGUUCUAAAAGAUUUUGGAAGGAAAAAAAAUAUAAAUUGACAAAUUAGAGUUUCUAUCUUAACAAUUUUUGGCACUUAAACCUUCAUACUUUUUUAGUCCUUCUAUGCCACCCAUAUAUUACAUUGUCCUCAAUAUUCUAAUAAUAAUUUAGACAAAAAAUGUAAAAAAAAAAACUUAGAUCAAUAAAGAUAAUUCCCAUUUAGGAGUUAAUUUUGCACUUAAACCCCCUUCCUACACUCCAAUUUUUUUUAAAGUCCUUCUAUACCAACUUUAUAUUAGAAUACCCUCCCUCCUCUAACAAUUAUUCGAAAAAAUUUUAGUAGACUAAGUACCAAAAUUUUAUACAACUAAAAAUUUGAUAUUCUAAAAAUUAUAUUUCACUUAAACACCCCUUUGAUCCACUUUGAAUACUCUAAUGACAAUCGUAUAUUAAAUAGCCAAAAAAGUUUUGAGGCAAAAAAGUUUAGAAGGGAAAAAAAACCAAAAUCCAUCAAAGAACGGUCAUCUUAACAAUUAUUUUUUACUUAAACUAUCCCUUCCCCUACCUUUUAGUUCUCCUGUGCCAACUUUAUAUUACUGAACUCUCUUAUUCCAACAAUUGUUUGCGCAAAAAGAAUCAAAUGCACUUAAGCAUCUUUUGAAUUAAAUACAAACUAAUAAAGAGUUUAAAGGUACUAUUACACACUCUAAUAGAAUGACAUGUAUCAUUAGCAGUGCAUCUAAUCCAGAAGCUGCUCAAGAGCACUCAUCUUGCCACCCAUUUCCCAUAGAACCUUCAGUCUGGCGGAUCUAAUCCCCUACUUUGCGCUUAAUUUAAAAGGUUGUCAACUAUGCUUUUUGGGCGACACCUUACUUCACAUAGUGUUGGGUCAGGAUUGGGAGUAGAUUAGGUAAUAUUGUAUCAACAAAAGAAAAAAAUAAGGACAAAAAAGACAAAGGCAACCUAGAUCCUUUGGAUCCACUAGUCCCGGUAGUAUACGACUAGGAGUAGAGUGCACCUUUUCAAUAACUCCUUUUCCAUAAUACAGGUACAGAUUAACCAAUAUCAUAUUUCGUUAAAAAAACAAAAAAGACAAAGACAAAGACAACCAAGACCCCUGAGAUCCAUCUAUCCCACAGUGUAAAAGUAAGCACAGGAGUAAAUUAGCAAACAUAGUGCUGAUUGAAAAAAAAAGGGAUAAUUUAAAAAAUCUCUCCUAAAAUUUCUGACAAUUUCAUUGAGCUCCCCUGAAGUUUAAAAAAUUACACAUAUCACCCUUGAUUUGAUAGUUUUAGUAACAAAAUUUUAAAAUAUUGACUUGGUCAAAUUUUUAAAUGAAUACCCAAAAAUGCCCUUGACAAUUAGGAUCAAAUUUUUCCUAUUUGUCAAGUAACUCGAGUACCCCCAAGAUUAAUUUAGUGGCCCAAUUUUUUCCGAUGAUCGAGUACUCUGACUCAUCAAAAAAUUCACAUUUCAAAAUCUAUCAACAUCAACCUUGUAAUCUCAAGUUUACAAGCAUCCCAAGAUCAAAAGGCAGGGUUCUAAUACCACUUUAGUGCAGAAAAGAUGCGUACAAGAGGAUAUUGGCACAUGUAAAAAUAUGCAGGACAAGAGGAGUUUAACAGCCAUAGAUAAAUAAAAGCACAUCUGAUUCACAUAUCGAGAUUGGCACAAAUUCUAGGCAGAAUUGCUUUUACAACAACCGCAACUCUCUUUAAAUUUUUUCUCGCCCUUGCCCCUUUGUAAUUCAGUAUAAUGCUAAAAUACCCUAUAUAGAGUUAACAUAACUUAGUAAUUAAGAAACUACUACAACAAGAAACUACCACAUAAUUACUCCGUACCCUAAACAACUAAAUUACUGAAACUUGGCUAUACUUGAAUAUGUCUAACCUAGAAAUAGGAAACAUCAACUAUUAGGAAGUUUGGUUUAAUUAUGCCAAUAAAAAGACAUAUUCUUCUGACCAUCACACUAUGUCAAAACGUGCAUGGGUUUCGUUGAUUUUAGCAAUGAUAACUGUUCCACAAAAAGCAAUGGCAAUGGCAAGGAUAAUUUCAUAUAUAAUGAUAGUGCAUAUAGUAACAACAAUGUAUGAGUGAAUGCCAUCUAAACUUGAUAUAAUGGCAGUGUAUAAUUUGAAUUUUGUUUCUUGAACAUGUAGCUUGCAAUAUUAUGGGAUAAUUUCAGAAAUCUCCACUAAGGUUAUUGACAAUUUCACUUGUCUCUCCUCAACUUUUGGAAAUCUCACAUACUCCUAGCAGACAAUUGGGACCUGUUGUUGACUAAAGGCGCAGCAAAAUACUUAUUUCUCACCUUUGGUGAUAUUAACUAAACAAUUUCUCACCUUCAAAUGUAAUUUGCAAAAAAUUAAGUCAAGUCUUAUUUCCACAACCUUGUAAUACGAUGCAAAAAGAAAAUGUUAAACAAACAAAAAUUAUUCUCACCCUUGAUUCUACUGCACCUUUCACAAGGGAAAAAAAAAAGCUGUUCUCUAAUUUUCUAUGAUUACUUUCUCUUCUAAGCUUUAAUUGACGCUCAUCAAGCCUUAUAUAUUUUAGUAUAACCUUCCAAGCUUUUAAUAAGAAACUUGUAACAUCAACAUUUUACAAAUUUAAAUUUUGAUAAACUUGUCUUGGUUGCUGGAAACUGUGGUCUAACUUUUUUAGCCUUUUUGCUUUUUUUUUUGGCCCAAAUUACUACUGCACUUUAUCUUUUGUGGAAAGAGAACAAGAUAGCCUAAAAACAAGAUGACAAUAUAGUUGAGGGUGAAAUAGUUGAUUUGGUGGUUACUGUUCGUGGGAAUAUUAUAUCGAACCAAAAAACAGGGUAAAAGGAAAAAAAUUCUCAGCUAGAACAAUCCUACUACUUUUAAGAUUGGAUAAUCUCUCUGUUCGCCUACAAAUUUUUAAGUAUUUUAAAAACAAUACAGUUUUUACAAAAAGGAGCAAAUAAACAUGAUAUUCUUUUUUGAAGCACAAAAUCAUUUUCUUGAAUUGCAUUCAACAUUUUUUAAACUAGCUUGAGAGAACAUAUUGUAUGUCUCAUUUCCUGUAACUCUUAACAGUGGUUGUUGUUUUUUAGGAAAAUUGAUAAAGUGAAUGAGCAAAAAAGUCCAAAUCUUUGUUUGAAUACAUGUAAAAGGUUCUUUUUAUUUGUUUGGACUUUUAUUCAGUUUUUUUUUAUUUUUUGUAAAUUACUUUUCAAAGCACUAUUAUUCAGCCAAAUCAUCAGCAAUGCAUUUAAUCAACUACAUUGAUAAAUAACCUAUAUUAAUGCAUUUCUUCUCAUCAUCACAUUAGGCAAUGGUGAAGACUGAAGCAUUUAUGUCUCUCCUUGAUUUGGUGCGAUCAUUCAACUCAUCAGGUUGGAUAUAAUUGCAUGUGUAUGUUAAUUCAGUUCAAUGAUAUAUAAUUACUGAUCAUGUCCCUUCUUCUUCAUCUGUACCAAAUUAUUUGGUUUGAACCUGAUGCAGCUGUAUUACUUUGUCAUUGCAGGGGCAAGCACAGUCAUGCAUUCUAUCAAGCCAACAUUAUCCAUCAUAAUCUGUUUGUAAAAUGUUCUCCAUGUUCCUUUCUGGUUUGAUGUUUAAUAAUGUACACUUUAUGAUCCAUCAUAAUCUGUUUGUAAAAUGUUCUCCAAGUUCUUUCCUGAUUUUGAUGUUUAAUACAGUGUUCACGAUCUCAAUUUUUCAAAUAUUCUUCAAUCCCGCUACAGAUUGAUAUGAUCCUUAAAACUAGCUUUUGUAGAAUGUUCUCCAUGUUCUUUUCUGAUUUGAUGUUUAACAGUGUUUAUGAUUUUUUGAGUGGAUAAUGAAACAAAACUGCGGCUUUGGAACUACGAAACGAAAAGAUGAGGCAUUCAGGCACUUGUUCUUUGCAUGCUCUUUUAUUUAUUUAUUUUUUUUGAGAUAAGAAGUAGACCUGUCAAUUGACUUGGGCUAACCCAAGUAACACCCCAUCAACCUCAAAUGUAGUAGGUUGUGCCUCAUGCAAUGCGGGCUGAGUUGAUGUGGACUAAACUAUUUUGCCUGAUUUAAAUGUGAACUGAAUUUUAGUUGUACUGAAUUUAAUCCACUUAAUUCUCAGUCCGAAUAAUAUGUAUACUAGAGCUCAUAGUGGGAAUUAAGAAGAUUUAUUUCUCUAAAUCCAGACAAAUAUUUGAAAUUUAGAUGCCUAAUUUUAUGAUAAAUUGUUCUUUUUCAAUUUCUAGUUGAUAGAUUUAUGGAUGUUAUAGUAAACUAUAUGAUUUUUUGUUAUAAAAUUUAAACUUUUAGAACAUCUAUGGAUUAGUUGGCUGUUUGGUUCAAUUAGAUUUUGUGAACGUUAAAAGUACAUGACAUGAAUUUGCGCCUAUCCGAAUUAGGCCAAGUGCCCUAUUUUUAUUUUGAGCCGAGCAUGAGUUACAAAAAUGUGAUUCUAGUUGAGUAGAAUUUGGAUUCAAAAAAAUGAUAUUUUAUGUCAACUGAGUUUAAGCAUCUUAACACCCAACUCACAUAGUCCAAUUGAUAGGAUAAGAAGGCAACUAAUUGAAAUAGAUUCAGCCAACGAAGGAAUACUUUGUGACUAAUGAAUGGAAAUUGCGUGAAAGUUUGUUGUUGCUUGAUUAAGCAACGUUGUACAUUAAAAUAUUUAGCUCUAAGUUCCGUCAUUAUGUCUUUAAUGUCAUGCAUUCUAUCAAAUUCUUUAGUUUUCAAUAUAGUUGGGUACACAUGAAAAAAAAAAAUUGAAGAGGGAUAUUUAAUAACUAUUGUACUAACAUUUAUGCAUAUCCACCAAAUUUUAGAUCCAUCUUAAAGAACACAAAUCCCAAUGUGGUAAUAGUUAAGAUUCCAAGAACGUAGGUGAGAAAAAAUUGAGCAAUAAAUAUCCUAUAGCUUCAAUUGUAUUUAUAAUAUCUAUACAAGAUCAAUUUCUUUAAAAUGACAGAAAUUCUAUUAGUAACAGUGAAAGAUUUUGGCUUUUGAUGAUCAUAUGGGGAACCAUAUGUCAUUUAAAUCUUGAGAAUAACUUUUUCUAAUGUUUUGAUAGAAUAUACUCUAUUAAUUAAGUAAUGGAAGCAAAUAUGAGUUUGAUUACUCUAUUAGUGUAAAAGAGUAUGGAUAUAAGCAUACAAAUAGUGAUUAGUUACUUAGGAAAUAUUGCUUUUUUUUUUAAUUAUUGGAUGUAUCGCUAAUUACUGAACUUUUGAUUGAUAUAACUUCCAAAGCUACUCUUUUUAAUGCUGUUUUCACUGUCUUGUUGGAAGUAUUAAAUUUUUUGGAUGAUUUUCUUUAUCUGGGGAGGUUUUUGCUAUUAUUUUCAAAUUCCUAUAUAAUUUCUUGUUCAAGUGAUACCAAUAAGACAGUUCAAAUUUCUGGAUUGUGAAUCACGUACUUUGCACGAAAAUUCUGGAUGACAAUGUUUCAUGCACAUUUUAAGAGUAAUUAAACAUGGUUUCAAGAAAGAUUAAAGUCCAAAAUGCAUAGCACUUCCGGUCUUCAACACUAAUGAUCUAGCUCAUUCAGUCCGACACAACAUCUCAAGAUCUUGGAAUCAAGAAUGUGCUCUUUUGAUUCUGUAGUUUUCUGAAUAGAAACGUAAACAAAUCAGGAAAUAUCUUCAAAGUUGUUGUACCCACGAAAUCAACCGCGGUAAAUCUUCUCAUAUUGGGCAGCAAUAAGAGGAAAAGAUCAUGAAUGAUUGUCGUUUUAGUGGUGAUAUGGAAGAUAUGAAUAAACGUAGUUUGUGAUUUUCCAAAAUUGACAAUGGAUAGUGGACGAGGAAAUUCUUAUGGAAACCAAAUGGGUAGGUUUGGAGCAGAGAGAGUCAUUAUUUCUGAUAACCAACCUAGAAGUUUAAGGGAAUUAUCAGAGUCAGAAAUUCGAGAUAUGCUGAUGGGAAAGGCUAGGAUUAAAAUCCACAAGAAGUUACAGGGAUAGAAUAUGGCUGCUGUACAAAAGUCUUCAGGUAAAGAGGCAAGGGAGAAGCCAACUUCAUCACUGCUCCGACGGAAUCAGUUGGAAGUCAAUUUCUUCUAUUAUAACUUUCUCAGACACAACUGCCACCUUUAGUACCCUGAGCUGGAUCAUGCACUAGGGAGCUUGCCUUCUGCUUCAACCAAUGGUCGAAACACAGAAGCAACUGAUAUUGUCACGCCUCGAACCCGCACGUGCCAGUCACGUGACAUCCGCCGUACCCUCAAGUCUCGCUCAAGAAUACAAGACAACAUCAUACUAUACUAAACUUUAAAAGUACUAAAUAAUAUAACUAGAUAAAGUUCGAUACAAAUCUCAUAUGAAGGAUAGUCUACGAAUAUCCAAUAAGUUCGUACAUUUAUUCUCUGAUUGAAACAACGGAAAUAAAAGUAAAUAAAACUAACAACUAGAAGUAGCUAGCCUGCUAACUUCUGUUCACUUAAAAACUAAUAAAAGUCAUCCUCAGGGUCUUCUACAUAAAUCAAUUCAUACUCUUCAGAAUCUGCAAAGAUGGUAAAAAAUGGGAUGAGCGACAAAUUGUUCAGUAGGUAAUAUUUACCUCUCUGUUGGACCAUGCACUCGUAACUUUAUAGAUACAUAUAUAGAUAUAAAUUAAAUCAUUUGCACAUCGUUUACAUUCAUAAUCUUGAAAGUAACGUUGUUUAUAAAACAUCAGUAAUAACGGAUGACGAACAAUUUAAAAGCAUCUUAUUGACAACUAUACAUGAAAAAUCACAAAGUCAUAAAUCAUUUCAUAUCAGUUCAUAAAUUACUUCAUAUCAAUUCAUAAGUCUCUUCAUAUCAGCUCAUAAAUCAAUUCAUAUCAACUCAUAACAAGUACAUGUAAUGAUCGGCUACUGAGUACUCAACCUAGAGAUUAAACCCCUUCUAGGUGGGCGACCAAUAGAUUUCAUGACUAUCGAUUGGUCUCAUUACAUACAUGGGUCAAUCGUUCUGACUUUAUAUCAAACUACCAUGAUCUUGUCAAUUGGUCGGACUCUAUACCAGGUUACCAUGACCAUUAGACAGAACUAUAACCCCUACUGUCUAUUCCAUGACCGUUUUGAGCUUUACUUGUCAUAAAAUCAUUUCAUAUGUCACAUACAUAGUUCUUUGAUUUCAUAAAAGAUGCAGCUCGUUUGGCAUAUAAUAAUAUAUAAAAAUAUUUCAAAUAAGUCACAUGGUCCAUUUUCGUAUAGUGAAAAUAUAACGUUUAUAAAUAUCCAAGUAAAGCAUUUAAUCAAAUACAUUUCGAGUCAACACAACAAAAUAUGAUUGACAACAAAAAUUGCAUUUUGCACAUUUGAAAUCUCAGAAGAGUAAAUACCACCUACCUUUGUCUGGCUGUUCGAGUGAGGCUACCUUAGGUCUUUUAAACUUAUGUCGUACCUAUCAAAUGCAUAGGUUUCCUAAUUAGUUGAUAUUUUUUAUAGAUGCAUAAAUAUACAAACUCUGAGCGAGUCGAAAAUUCAUGUCUAAACCAUUAUAUGACCCUAACAACAUUUUCUUUGAUUGGACGAUUUCUAUUUUUAGAAAGUUUUCUAAAUUGAAAAGUUUCUAUUUUUUAGAAAGUUUCUGAAUUUGGAAAGUUCUCCUUUUUGUAAAGUUUCUGAAUUUAAAAGAAAAUAAUUAUUCAUAAUCAUAUUUAUUAUCUUGCCUAUUAUCUUACUAUACAUAUUUAUAAUUUAUAAUUAUUCAUUAUUAUUAUUAUUAUCGUCCUCGUCGUCGCUACUUUAUUUUAUUACCAUUUUAUAUAUUUGUUAAUUAGUUACUAUUAUCUUUCGCUUUAUUUCCACUUUGUGUAUGUGUAGGUGUUAUUAUUAUUUAUGUAUAUAUGUAUGUAUAUAUUGACUUAUUAUUAUAACCAUUAGUGUUAUCGUUAGUAUUAUUAUUAUUAUUAUUAUUACGAUCUUAUGUGUUCCGUUUAACAACUAGGACUUAUCUUACAUUGUAUAAAUUACUCUAAUAAAGCUAGAUUAAGACGUUUUAAAUUUCUAUUUAAGUAUCUUAGACUUAAUCAAUUAAGUAUAAACUUAAAUGACUAAAUCUUUAAACUCCAAAAAUUAUUAUUUAGAUUGGGUUUUGAAAUUUAAUUCCUAUGUUAGUCCAUAAAAUGUGGACUAAUUAUACCUAAAAUUUAACUAUUGGACAUUCACUAAACUCAUACUAUAUUUUUGUUCCCAAAUAUAUAUUCUUGUCUUUUUUUUUUCAAAUUCUAUUAUUAUUUUUAUUAUUCUACUUGUGCUGGCAACCUCCUCUUUUUUUUUUUUUUCCGCUUAAGCUUCAGCAAUUCACAACUACAACACCCUCUUUCUUCUUCUUUUUUUUUUUAAAUAACUUUCCAACAAUUUGGUAAACCCUAUUCACCCCAUAAUUAAAAUUCAAUACCCUAAUCCUACUAAUCCAAACCUAAAUCUUCCUAAAUUUCUCAUACAGGCAUAUACAUAUAUAUAUAUAUAUAACAUAAUACAUAUAUGUAAAAUCUUUAAAAUGAUUAACGCAACUAAUAGAACUUAAAAGAGGAGUUUUCACACGAAUUUAGGACUUACGAGUUUAGGUGCCUAACUGCCUGAUUGAUCAACAGUGACGCCUUCUUCUCCCCCUCUACUUUCUGACGGCUCUUACUCUAAAGGGAGGCAGACAAUGAAAGGUAGGAAUAAUGUUAUUUUUUGCUUUAUUGUUUUGAUAAGUGUGCUAAACCCUAGUAACCACCCACCAUUUGGUGGUUUAGACAAGAGUUCUAACUGUUGUGAACUUUUACCCUAUCUUAUCUCAUUCCUAUCCCCCAAUUAACCCUUUAACCUAUCUUAUAAUUAUUUUUUUACUUUGACUCAUGGUAAAUUACCAUUUAAUUAAUUGGGCAAGGAUAAAAAAAUGAUCCCAAAAUCGUGGGUUUUACAGAUAUGUUCAUGACGAUGGAUGUGGCUGAUCCGGAUUUGACAAAGAUAGUGUGGAAGAAUCAUUUGCUGAAAACCCGGUUUGGGCUGCAUAUGACAAUGAGGUGGUGUGCCUUGCUUUUAUGCUAUUAUUCAUGAAGCCUUGCCCAGAAAGCCCUUUAAAGUUAGGAUUAGCUGGUUGAACUCCAAAAGCAACAGCGAAUUGAACUUGGUCCAUUAAAUUGGUGUGAGUUGUGGUUUUGCUAAACUUGCAAAACUAAUUGCCAUAAUGGUUGGUUCUGAUUUUACAAAAUUGAGAAUUUUGAUACCAAUUGUGAUAUAGGGAAAUUCUUUUUAAAAAAAAAUUGAAGAUAAAGUCGAUGAUAAUAAUUGAAUUAUCCAAUUAAGUAUGGAAUUUUGUGGUUAAAUUCUAAUUCAGUUUGGAGUCUGGAACAGAUGAAUUUGAAACUAAAAAGUGAGAUAUCGAGCUUUCAGUUAUCCAAGGAAGCCGACUUGAAAUUUACCAAUCAUUGUUUGAUCAAUUGUCUACGGGUGUGAAAUGUUCAGGAAUAGUGAGAACCAAAAGAAACUGAUUGUUUGAGUUGGUGUUCGGUUUUGCCGAAUUUGGAAGGAAUGCAUGAGCGCUCACCCUACCAACUGCAUAGGUUGUUUUCUUAAAACUCAAUACUCCUCUCUUAGAUUUUCCGUUUUUUAUUUGAACCAAUUCAAAUCCACUUUUUCUUUCUUUAUUUUUAUCCCAUAGAAGAAGGGUUCUUCUGGAAUUUAAUUGCAAAGGAGGGAUUUUAACACUGCUACCCAUUAUUCCAAUUCUUGAAGCAUCCGAGAAAACCCCUCAAGAAAAAAAUAUUUUCGGAGUGGAUGAUGAAACAAAGUUGCAGCUUUGAGGUCUACGGGUAGUAUAGUAAUAGGCUUUUCGGUACUUCUUGUUGGGCUUUACUUGGUUAAGAAGGGCAACUCUACAACGGAUUCAGCCGAGGAAUGAAAACCUUUUGCAAAAACCUGUUGUUGAAUGAUUGAGCAACAUUAAACCUUUAAAUAUGAACUCCGGAUGUAGCCAUUAUGUCGUUAAUUUCAUGACAAUCUAUGUUGAAUUUUUGUACAAAAGUUCUUUCGUGUGGCAAUAUCCUAAAUAAAAAUAAGGGUAAGUAACCUUUUACCCAUUGUGUUAGGUUCUUAAUCAUAUCAUUCUUCUCCCUCGUUCCGCCUCUCCCCCACUCUUAUGGUUUUAAAAUUUAUACACAUCCUCCUCAUAAUUUAGGUUAAACUGUCACCAUUAAUUUUCUAUUAAAAUUAGCCGUCAAUAUUAAAAAAGUCAAAAUCAAACCAAUAAAUUAAUAAAUUCACCAUUUCUUAAUUUUUUCCAAGAACAAAAGAGAAGAAAGAAAAUUAAGGAAAAAGACAAAUAAGAAUUAGAAAAUACAAAAUCUUUAAUUAUUGCAAAUAUUUUAAACCAAAUCUUUAAUGAUUACAAAUCUUUGAUGGUAUUUUCUAUUUCUUAUUUAUAUAUUUUUAUUUCCCUUUAUUUUUUUUUUGUAUUUGGAAAAAUUAGGAUUUAGUAUGCCAACGUACAAAUUAUUUCUAAAUCAUCUCUUCUUUUCCCAAAGGGAAAAAACAAAAAACAAAAAAGGGGAAAAAAAGAAAAAAGUUAGUGAAAAGCUAUAUUUGUCAAUCCAUUAGUUUUGGAUUUGACUUUUUGAUAUUAAUUGUUAGUUUUAACCAAAAAACUAACAGUUAUGUUUUAACAAAAACUACAGAGGUUUUAUGUGGUAAAACAACAAACUACAUAAGGGGUAAAGGAUAAUUUACCCUUAAAAUAAUUACUUUCAAUUGGUUCAAUAAUUUACUAUACGAAACAGUGGUAGAGCCACAUUCAGUUGAAGGGGAUAUGCAUUUGCAGCCACCCAAUUUUUUAGAAACUAUAAAAUAGCCCAUAAAUUUUUUUUUAAAAAAAAUUAUAGUAUUGCCCCAUUUUUGCUGUUCUGAAUUUUGGUAGCAUUCCCUUUAACGUCAUAAUUGUCCCCCAAAAUUGUUCAAAUCUUCAAUAAUUGUCUUCUCCAUUUCCACAAUGGUAAAUCUUGAACUAUAAUAUAUUACAUGAUACUAUUUUUCCCUUUUUAUUAAAUGUAUUUUUUUGUAAGCAAAUGCUAUUUAUUUAAUAUUUAGCUUUUCUUACAUGUAUAUUUCAUACAAAUUACAAGCCAACCAAAUAUUCAUUUUACAGUUCGAUUGUGUGUAAAUUAUUUGCCAAUUGUACAUCUUAAUUAUAAUACAUAUCUUGUAUUCUUAUGCAUAAUUUUAUACCAUUGGAUGAGUUGAAAAAUAAUGAAUCCCAAGUUGCAUGUUUGCUAUAAUAAAUAUUUAGUCAUUUCAAAAAUCUACAAACCAACACGUUAUAAGUCUAAAUUAAUAUUAUUACACCUCUUGAAUAAAAAGGUUUGGCUACGUCACUGCUACAAAGCCAUGUAGCCAAACACAAGUUAUAUUAUCUCUAUUAGUAUAUAGAAAUAUGUAAAUAAAUACUAUUUUGAUGAAACUUGGAAAUCAUUAUAAUUGUGAAUAACACAAAUUAGAAAAUAAACACAUCCAAUCUUUCAAGUAUUACGAUUAAAAUAGUUCAAGGAUACAUUUGAAAAAGGGUAAGGCUAUUAGAAGAGAUUGUGAGGUUGUUUUGUGAUUCUAUUUGAUAAGUUUAGGUACAGGAAAACUAGAGACUUGACUGUGUUGGAUGCAUAUAGUGUUUGUUACAAAGCUAGUAAAAUUUUCAGGCCCUUGUCGAUAGUAAAUUGGGCAUCGUCAUUGUAAAUCACUCUUUCGCACGAUUCGUACCUAUGGUUUUUUCACAAGUUCUAGGUUUUGGAGACUUGUAGAUUUCAUUUUUUUCCUUGUUUUUUAUGGAAAACUUGUGGAACUUUUAUUAAUAAGUGCGUCAAUAAUCUUUUGUUAGGACUGGUCCCAUUUUCAAGAAAUUAAUCAACUAGAAUAAUAAGACUCUUGACAAUUCAAUAAAAACAAUAACAAAGUAAAUCAAACAAAGAAACACCAAAAUUUAUAUAAUUUAAUAAAAUGACUUGCAUUCACGGGCGAAAGGGUGACAAAUUUAUUAUAAUAGAUAGGAUACAAAACCCUAGAAAAGAGUUUCUACACCUAAAAGCACCCAAUAUCAAAAGUACAAGAAGAGAAUUCAAAAUCACACAAAAGGUUUAACAGUCUAAAGGCCCAAAUAACUCACUAACUGGCUAUCUUAAUUUGGCAUUUAACUUAAAAACCUCUCUUAAAUUAGGCAUCACAGCUGCCACCAUUUGUACCCUUGAGCCAGAUCAUGCAUUGGGGAGCUUGCCUAGUUGUCUUUUGCUUCAACCAAUGGUUCAAACAUAGAAGCAACUGAUAUUAUGACAAUGGAUGUGCCUGAUCCGGAGUUUGACAGAGACACAGAGGAAGAAUCAUUUGCCGGCUUUCAUGCCAAUGAGGAUGGCAUGCCUGGCUUUCAUGCUAUUAUUCAUGAAGCCUUGUCCAGAAAGCCCUUCAAAGUUUGGAUUAGCUGGUUGAGCUCCAAAAGCAACAGCGACUUUGGUCCAUUAAAUUGGGUGGGUUGGGCUUUUGCUAAAAAAGUUUUCUUUUAGGCCUCUUGGUGAUGAAAUGGGUGUUUGCUUCCAGAGGAAACUUUCAAUAUUGUCUUUCAUAAAAUGGCAGUGAAUCACGUACUAUGCAUGAGUCUUGUGAUCACAAUUUUUAUGCAAUUAUUUAUUUUAAUGGAAAAAAUGAAUUUCCUUAAUUCAAUGGAGACAUUCUUUGCAAAUCACAAAAUUUAUACAAGUUUUAAUGCAAAUUCUACCGUCCCUUUUGGAUAUCAUAUUGAUACUGAUGAUUAUCAUUUAAUAAAUUCUUAUCACAUCAUUCAAUAAUUUAAACUUUUAAAACUAUCUAAGGAUUGAUAUCUGUCUUUAUACAUUCAACGGUAUAUUGAUACGUGAUAUCCAAAAGUUACAGUAGAACUCUCCGAAGAAAGUAAGGUUAUUAGAAAGGAUCACGAGGUUUGUUUUGUGAUUCCAUUUGAUAAGUUUAGCUACAGGACAACUAGAGACUUAACUAUGUAGAAUGCACAUGAUUAUUUUGUCACAAAACUAGUAAAAUUUUCACGUAGAAUAUUGGUCUUAGUAACUGUAAAUCACAUCUUUCGCACGAUUCGUACCAAUGGAUUUUCACAAGUUCCAGGAUUUGGAGACAUUUCGAUGUCAUUUUUCUUUUUUUUUUUUUCAAGGAAAUCUUGUUGAACUUGUUUUAACAUGUAUGUGAACAAUCUUUUACUCUCCAAGGCAACACCGGAGUCCAGAAUCUACCACCUUCUGCAUGGCAUCUAACUUAAUAAAACCAAACAAAAAACAGAACCGCUGACUGCUAACUAUUCUUUUAGUCUAUCACAGAACACCAAUUAAAGAAAGAUAUGUGGAUCAAAACAUAAACCAAAACAAAGUUCCUAUUCUCAAAAAAGAAUAAAUUUUUGGUGUUUUCUUAUAAUGUGUGUUCCAGUAAUUCUUAAUCUCGUUGUCUGUCCUCUUUGGCAGGGAUGGACACGGAUGGAAAUAAGGUGCAGGCAAGGGCAGUUAGGCCACCAAAAACUUUCCGAAUAGUUAUUUAAAGGAUGAGGCUUUCUACCAAAAAUUGGUUAAUUUUAUUUUGCACCUCUCCAUAAAAGUAGUAUGAUUUAGCAAAAUAAGGAAAUUAAAUAGAAGGAAACAAAAGAUAAACCAAAGCAAAUUUAACUUCUACUACAAUUUGUAUAUAUUGAGUUGACUUCAAUUAACACUCGUAUGUUAGUCAAAAACAAUUACCGAAUGCCAGGAGUUCUUCUAAAAUUCGUACUUUUGACAAUUAACCCUCCUCAGAUAGCAUUCUUGUCUUUUCAAGCAUCCAUUUUUUCACAAACUCCAUUAUUACAAGGCAAGUUUUUGUUUUUUCCUACAAACUCCAUUGUUGCAAGGCAAGUUUUUUUCCUUGAAAAUUUCUCCCAUCAUAAUUUACCGUCCAUAGUAAAAGUUGAAUGUAUAUUUUCUGCCAUGCAAAUUAUGAAGAGUCGACAGGCCAUAAGAUGAAUGAUGAUUUUCUUGAUGACAUACAUUGAGAAAGAACUAGUUCUAUUUAUUCAUUUAUUUAUUUGUACACUUAAUCAAAUAAAUGGGUGUUGAGUCAAUUUUGCAUGCCUAGCAUUAAUAGGAAAUAGAAUGAUAUUUUGUAUUUUACUCCAAAUUUGGCUUUCUGAGAAACAAUUGCCACCAUUAGUACCCCUGAACCAGAUCAUGCACUAGGGAGCUUGACAAAGACAGCGUGGAAGAGUCAUUUGCUGAAAACCAGGUUUGGGCUGCAUAUGACAAUAGGGAUGGUAUGCCGUGUUUUUAUGCUUUCAUUCAUGAAGUCCUCUCUAGGAAGUCCCUUUAAAGUUAGGAUUAGCUGGUUGAACUCCAAAAGCAACAGCGAAUUUGGUCCAUUAAAUUGGUGUGGGUUGUGGAUUUGCUAAAACUUGCUAAACCAAUUGCCAUAAUAGUUGGUUGUGAUUUUAAAAAAUUGAGAAUUUUGACACCAAUUGUGAUAUAGGGAAGUUUUAAAAAAAAGGGUAAAAAAUAAAAAAGCCCCCUGUGGUAAACCUAAUACAUAGAAAAGCCCCUUAUGGUUUCAAAAUAUACAACACGGCAUCUCAUGCUUUGAACUAAAUUGUAAAAGUGACGGAAUCCGCCAAAUUUAACGGAAAUGACUUAUUGGAACCUAAAAAAAAUGUUUAUACCUAAUUUUUAUCAAAUAUACUUAUUCUACCCCUUAACCCUCAAUUCUCUCUAUUUAGAGAAUAAAACAAAUGAUUUUUUUGAGUUGUCUUUUGCUUUAUUAUAUCAGGGCAUUUUGGUCAUUUUGUUCAUUUUCGUUAAGUUUAACGGAUUCCGUCACUUUUAUAAUUUAGUUCAAAGCAUGAGGGGUCGUGUUUUAUAUUUUGAAAUCAUAGGGGGCUUUUCUGUGUAUUAGGUUUAGCACAGGGGGCUUUUUGGUUUUUUACCCUAAAAAAAAUUGAAGAUAAAGUCUAUCAUAGAAAUUGAAUUGUUGAAUCAAGGAUGGAAUUUGUAAGGAGGCUAAAAUAUUCAAGAUAAAGUCAGCCAUAGAAAUUGAACAAAUAUUUCGCAGAUGCUAUAGAGAUUUUAAUAAAGUUGAUUCUUAGUGAAUCACGCACAACGCACGACUCUUCAUGAUCACAAGUUCUAUGCUAUUUUUCUUUUCUUUUUGGAAAACUGAAUUUCCUUAAUUCAAUAUUGGAGACAUAUCUACGCAAAUUGCAGAAUUUAUGCAAGUUUUACUGCAAAUUAUACAACUAUUCAAAACAUGGAUGGUUUCGACUUAAUCUCAAAUAAUUAAUUUUUAUACACUGUCAGUGUAUACACCAUCACCAUUGGAUGCAUACAACUCAUCUAAAUUUAAAUUUUACUCAUGUGUCAUGUAUUCAACUAUGAUAGUGUAUACACUGUUAGUGUAUAUAUGAGUUACUCAUAAAACUUUGUCAAAUUCUAAUUCAGUUUGGAGUUUUGACCAGAUGAAUUUGUAGAUAAAAAGUGAGAUAGAGAGUUUUUAGUUAUCCAAGGAAACCGGUUUGAAAUUCAUAAAGGGAUAAUUCAAAGACCUCCUCUGAUAAAAAGUCAAAAUCAAACUAAUAAAUUGACAAGUUCACUAUUUCAUUACUUAAUUUUUCUUGAAAAGAGAAGAAGUGAAAAUUAAAAAAAAAAGAUAAAUGAGAAAUACAAAAUGUAAAGUCUUUAAUAACUACAAAUAUCAUUAUAGGAUUUUAAACCAAAUCUUUAAUGGUAUCCUCUAUUUCUUGUUUAUCUAUUUUUAUUUUCCUUUCCUUUUUUUGUACUUGGUAAAGAUUAAGAUUUAGCAGGUCAAAAUACAAUUUUUUUAAAAACAUCUAAUCUCUUCCCAAGGGAAAAAAGAAAAAGAGAAAGAAAAGAAAAAAGGUAAAAGAUAGUGAAAGGAUAAUUUGUUAAUUUAUUAGUUUGCUUUGACUUUUUAAUAUUGAUCAUUAGUUUCAACGAUCAUGUAACUUUAAUUUAAACCAUAAGAAGAUUAUGUAUAGGAUUUUAAACUAUAGGGUGUUACGUGGAAAUUCUUAUAGAAACCAAAUGGGUAGGUUUGGAGCAGAGAAAGUCAAAAAUUUAAGGGAAUUAUCAGGCUAGAAGUUUAAGGGAAUUAUCACAGUCAGAAAUUCGAGAUAUGCUGAUGGGAAAGGCUAGGAUUGAAAUGCACAAGAAGUUGCAGGAAUGGAAUAUGGCUGCUGUACAAAAGUCUUUAGGUAAAGAAGCAAGGGAAAAGCCAACUUCAAUAAUGCUCUGACAGAAUCUGUUGGAAGUCAAUUUCUUGAUGACAACUUUCUUAGACAAAACUGCCACCAUUAGUACCCCUGAGCCAGGUGCACUAGGGAGCUUGCCUUCUGCUUCAACCAAUGGCUCAAACACAGAAGCUACUGAUCCGGAGUGGCUGAUCCGGAGUUUAACAAACACAGAGUGGAAGAAUCAUAUACUGAAAACCGGGUUUGGGAUGCAUAUGACAACGAGAAUGGUAUGCCUCGCUUUUAUGCUAUCAUUCAUGAAGUCUUGUCUAAGAAGCCCUUUAAAGAUAGGAUUAGCUGGUUGAACUCCAAAAGCAACAGCGAAUUUGGUCCAUUAAAUUGGGUGGGUUGUAGCUUUGCUAAAAAAAAAUUUUCUUUUAGUCCUCUAGGUGAUGAAAUGGGUGUUUGCUUCGGGAAGAAACUUUCAAUGAUCUUCUCUUCAUAAACUAGCAGUGAAUCACGCACUACGCACGACUCUUCAUGAUCACAAGUUCUAUGCAAUUUGCUUUUUAAGAAAACUGAAUUUCCUUAAUCCAAUUCAAUGGAGUCAUAUCUCUGCAAAUUGCAGAAUUUAUACAAGUUUUAAUGCAAAAUAUACAACUAUUAGUAUUACUAAUUUGUACACUUACUAUAUUAUUGUAAUUAUCUUUUACUUAUAAUUUCAUUCUUGUAUUAUUUAUAUACACUAUUAGAAAGUUCAAAAUAGAAUGUGUUGCAUAAAAAACUAAUAUAUGCUUGUCAUAAUAAAAAAAAGUAUAUAUUGCUAGCAAUUUGACUAUUUGAAAAAAUAUUAGCAAACUAGAACUUUAAAUAACUUAAUAUUUAAAGCUAUAUCCCAAAAAAUAAAAUAACUAAUUGUUUUAUUUACUUUUUUAUGUAAAAUUGAUUAACCACUAUAUUAUUAUGGUUUUUCAACUCAUUACUGUUGUUAUUAAAAUGUAAUUCAGUCUAAAUUCUAGCCUUAUUAAUUUAAAUAAUAUGUGACAUAGUUUAUGUAUAUAGAUAACAUAUAUGUUGUUGUAGCAUAGAUUUUAUGAUAAUAUUACUUUCAGUAAAAAAGAUAGAAACAAAUGAAGAUGAUGUUUAAGAAAAUUAAAAUUAAUACAUGGAUAAUACUAGUAAAGAGAAGAAAGUAGUUGAUCACAUGAGAAAAUGGAGAAAAGUUUAAAAAAUAUAUAAAGAAAAUGGACAGGUAGAAAAAAGGAAAAAGAAAAAGAAAAAGAAAAUAAAAUAAUAAUUAGUAUAGAAGAGGCACUUGUGUCCUAAAGCAUAAAAUUGGAGGGCAAAGUGCCAAUUUAUUGAGUUGAGAAGGGUAAGGUGCAAUUGAGAAUAAAGUUCAGGGAAUUUAAUGCUUUUAACCCUAAAAUAAAACAUGGCUUCAACUUUCAACUUCCAACAAAAUUCUGAAUUUAAUUGCCAAAAUGAAGCUUCUUGAAUUUAUUGCAAAUGAGGGUAUUCAACAGUACCGCUGAUCGUGUCAAAAUCAAUCAAAUACAAACAUUGCCAAGUUUUUGUAAUCUUGCAUCUCAACCAUAGAAGGAUGAUACAAACAUUACAAAGAACUCCAAUUCUGCCUGCUUUGACACCUUGUCUCUUGGAGCAUCAAGCCGUGAUAGAGGGACAAAGUUUUGUUAGCCUUUGCGACAUUGUUCAUUUCCUCAUCAAGUAUCCACUAAUAGAGAAGCUACACAUUGACCUGAGCCUAUCCGACUUUAAUCUUUUAAUUUUGUUAAAUUUGAUUCCGUGCAAAUUACUUGUAAUAUAUAUAUUCUUAAGAAUCAUAACUCUAUUGCAUAUAUUUAGUCUACAAUAUCAUACAAAAUUGACGUUUGUGUAUUUUAUGCUUGCCAUUAUACAUCACGUUACUGAACAAAUAAAAUGCAUUAUUCCUAAUUGAAUUCUUUCUGCAAUUACUUUUUGUAAAAAAUCUUUGAAGUUUUUUUCACACCCUCAAUGCUACUUGUUAAUUGUCCUUUAGAAUAAGGGCUUUUUCAGAAUUUUAAUUGCAAAGUAUAGUUUUCACCAUUGCUGCCCAUCAUUCCAACUCUUGAAGGAUCUAGAGCAAAAAACUUUACACUCGUUGAUUCAGAAUUUCACCUCCGGAAGACUAAGUACAAAAUGCACCUUCUCUGGGGUGUUUUUUUAUCUUAACCACAGGUAAAAUUCUAGAGUAAAUUCCUCUAGGAAAAAGCCUUUUGGAGUGGAUUAUGAAACAAAAAUAUCGCUUUGUCUUCGCAUACCUUUUUUUUUUCUUUUUUGAGAUAAGAAGGGGAACUAAUUGCAAUGGAUUCAGCCAACGGAGGACUAUUUGUGAUUAAGCUAUGAAAAAUGUGUGGAAGUUUGUUGUUCUUUGAUUAAGCAACAUUGUACAUUAAAACUUUAGCUUUAAAUUUAGUCAUUAUGCCUUUCAUGUAAUGCAUUCUACCAAAGUUCUUUCUUUUUCAAUAUAGUUGCAUAAACAUGAAAUAAAUUCCGAAUUCAUGAAUAUAGUAAAUUAAAAAAAUUGAGAAACAAAUUUACUAUAACUUCAAAUUUACUAUAGUCUUCAAUUGUAUUUAUAAUAGCUAUACAAGAUUAAUUUCUAUAAAAUGACAGAAAUUCUAUAUUAGCAACAAUGAAAGAUUUUGGUUUUUUGUUUCUUAGCUAUUGGGAACCAUAUCUCACUUGAAACUUGAGAAUAGUUUUUUCUAAUGAUUUGACAGAUCAUACUUUAUUAAUUAAGUAAUGGAGGCAAAUACGAGCUAGAUUAUUCCCAUUAGCAUAAAGAAUAUAAACAUAAGCCUACAAAUAGUGACUAUUUUGGUGAAACUUAGGAAAUAUUGCUAUUUUUUUUAUUGGAUGUAUCACAAAUUACUGAAUUUUUUUUAUUGAUAUGACUGUGAAAGUUAUUUCGGUUUAAUGAUUGUUUUCACUGUUUUCUUGGAACUAUUAAAUUUGUUGGAUGCUUUUCUUUUCUAGGGAGGUUUUGCAGACCUUGUAAUUUCUUUGUUAUUAAAUUCCUAUAUAAUUUCUUUUUCAAUUGAUACCAAUAAGACACUUCAAAAUUACUAAAAAGGUGAGGUUAUUAGAAGAGAUCUUGUGGUUAUUUAGGCAAAGCACUACCUCUUACCCUACCACUAUAACAAGAUUAAAUAAAAAAAAAAAGAAAGAAGAAACAGUAUCCAUAACUUGUAAAUCACGUAUUUUGCACGAUUCAACUGAUUAAGGCAAUUCCUUGCCUAUGCAUAUGUGUUCUACAGUAAUAGCAGUGAACUAGGAUGUAUGUUGCUAAUAUUCUGAAAAACAAAAGGCAAUUGCUGCCUCCCGUGAGCUCUCCAGACGGUUUUAAGGGAUGAUAGUAACAAUAAGUAUAUUGUAACAUGUAGGACUUGUUUGAUGGGCUGAAUAUAAACAUAAGGUAGGAAUAAAAUUGUGCGACUGGAAUGGCGCUAUAUAUGUUGUCUCAUGUUACUGUGUGAAUAUUGAACGGUACUAAGAGAAAAAGAUCAUGAACAAUUGCUGUUUUAAUGGCGAUAUGGAAGAUAUGAAUAAAAGUAGUUGUGAUUUUAGAAAAUUGAGAAUGGACAGUGGACGCGAAAGUUCUUAUAAAAGCCAAAUGGGUAGGUUUGGAGCAGAGCAAGUCAUUAUGUUUGAUAACCAGCCUAAAAAGUUUAAGGGAAUCAUCACAGUCAGAAAUUUGAGAUAUGUUGAUGGGAAAGGCAAGGAUAGAAAUCCACAAGAAGUUACAGGAAUGGAAUAUGGUUUCUAUACAGAAGUCUUCAGGUAAAGAAGCAGGGAAGAAGCCAACUUCAAUAAUGCUCCGAAAGAAUCUGUUGCAAGUGGCAUGAAGAAGGCUAGGAAACGCUUUGAUUUUUGGUGCCAAUACUUUCACUACACCCCAAAAAGUCAUCAGUUUCUUCUAUAAUAACUUUCUCAAACACAGCUACCACCAUUAGUGCCCCUGAGCCAGAUCAUGCACUGGAGAGCUUGCCUUCUGCUUCAACAGAUGGUUCAAAGUUCAAACAGGGAAGCUAUGAUAUUAUUAUGACAAUGGAUGUGCCUGAUUCGGAGUUUGACACAGACAAAGAGGUGCUCAUGACAAUGAGGAUGGCAUGCCUGGCUUUCAUGCUAUUAUUCAUGAAGUCUUGUCCAGAAAGCCCUUUAUAGUUAGGAUUUCUAGUUGAACUCCAAAAGCAACAGCGAACAUGGCCCAUUAAAUUAGGUGGGUUGUGAUUUUUAUAAAACUUGCUAUACCAAUUUGUCACAAUGGUUGGUUCUGAUUUUACAAAAUUGAGAAUUUUGAUACCAAUUGAAAUAUAGGGAAGUUUAAAAAAAAUUGAAGAUAAAGUCGAUGAUAAUAAUUGAAUUGUAUAAUUGCGUGUGAAAUUUGUAAGGAGGCUAAAAAAUUAAAGAUAAAGUCAACAGUAGAAAUUGAACAAAUAUUUGGAAGAUGCUAGAGAAAUUUUAAUAGGUGAAUCACGCAUGAUGCAUGACUCUUCAUGAUCACAAGUUCUAUGCAACUUUUUUGUUUUCAGAAAACUGAAUUUCCUUAACUCAAUUCAAUGGAGACAUAUCUCUGCAAAUUGCAGAAUUUGUACAAGUUUUAAUGCAAAUUAUACAACUAUUCAAAACAUGGAUGGCUUCGACUUAAUGUCUUUCAAUUGGCUCAAUAAUUUACUCUACUAAGCAAUGUAGCCAAAUACAAGUUAGAUUAUUUCUAUUAGUGCAUAAAAACAUGUAAAUAAAUACUAUUAUGUUGAAACUUGGGAAUCAUUAGAAUUGUGAAUAACACGCAUUAAAAAAAUAAAUACAUGCAUUCUUUCAAGUACUACGAAUAAAAUAGUUCAAAGACGCAUUAAAAAAUUGUUGACAAAAAAAUUAAACCAAGCUGAUUUGUUAUUUGGUAACUAGAUUAGAAUUUGCAUUAAAAUUGAUUUAGAAAAUAUAGUUGAGCUGUGUUUAGAUAGGGAUGACAACGUGGGCGGGCACCCGCGGGGGAUCAUUGGGGCGGGGGGUGGGACCGGGGGGGAGGGGGAAUUUUUUUCCCCAUUUAGAAACAGGGAAGGCCCCCGCCCCGCCACCUGUUUGAAAAAAUAUAUAUAUAUAUGAUUAUGUACAUAAUUAUAUAUAUAAUGAUAUUAUCAAUUAUACUAUUAAUUAUACAUGUCUAUUAAUAAAAAUUAUUAAUUAUUUAUACUAAAUUUAUUAAUACAUUUAUGUUAAAUUCCUAACUACACUUAAUACAAUAACACUUUUUCUAAAAAAAACACAAUAAUAAUUUAGUGAUUGUAUUUGUAUCAAAAGUGAAAACUUGAUUAUUUUAGUUAUAUUUGUUUUAUCAUAUUAGAUUGUAUUCAAAUAACCUUUGUUUAAUUAUUUUUAUGAGUUUCAAUUGUAAAAUUACAAUGAAUAAUAAUUUGGUGAUGUGUUGAUAUUUUAGUACUUGAUUAUUUGCUCAAAUUUAAUUAUAAUAAAAUUUUUUUAACCCCACGGGUACCCCCUCGGGGGAAGCGGGGCGGGGGUUGGGGGAGGUGUCCCCCGCCCCAUUGCCACGCCUAUGUUUAGAUAUUAAUAUUGGAAUAGGUGUUAUGCUAUUAUGUGUCUAUUUAAAGACUUGAGUUCAACUUUUGUUAUUGAGAGAGUUGUGAUAUUUGAGUUACAAAAUUAUUUCCUCUCCAGCAUAAUACUUUGCCUUCCUCCAUCCGUAAGAGUGAUUAGACAAUUGAGAGCAUGAAACUUUGGGUUUACCAGGCAAAAAGUAUUAUACAACUCAUCAAAGUUGUUCUGAAAAGGAGUUCAAGAGAGGAUUAUCUUUCAUUUUGUCUUGACUCCUGUCAAAACCUUCCACACAAGACUCUGUUGAUUGCGAGGUGGGUGCCCUUCGUCAAGAACCACAAGACUAGGCAGUUGAAGAAAGAUUUCCAAAGGUCGUAUUGGGAUUGAAAUUUUCUGAAGUUUUUGUAAAAAAAAUACCUUAACGAUUUGAUAUAUGUGAGAUAAAAAAGUGAUUAAAAAAUAUGUUCACGGAAAAUAUAAAGAUUUUUUGAUGAAAAAUUCCUUUCCAAACAAGGCCGUGUUAUUAAGUCUUUCAUCACUUCCUUUUUCCUUCCGUCCACUAGCAAUCUGCCCAAUUAACUGAUUCCAAGAGCACUUUUAUCCUUUGUCCAAGAGUACAGCUUUGUCAUUCGACUUCCAACUCUCCGAAGAAAUUCUGCAUCAGUUUUGAGUUCGUUUCCUGACAAGUCCUUGCUAUGAAAGUUAUGAAAAGGAAUUCUAUAUCCCCAUUUUCGGAACUCAUUUUUCCAAAUAAGCAGCAUGCUUGUAGGAGCUAUAAUCAAGAGCCAGCACAUUGGAUAUAUUUUUAACAAUGACAAAAUGAGAACAAUUGUCAGGCAAGUCUUCCCUGUGCCAGGGGCAUGUGAUAUUAUGGCUCCUCUUCCAUCAUCAGACAGUUCAGUUUUCAGCUUCUCAAUACAAUACAAAUUUCUCCUACCAUGCUUUUCCACAAGAAGACAAAUCCAUUCAGUUGAUGACUAUACAUUGACGUUCUAAUAUCAUCGAGAAUAAGAUCCAGUACAGAACCUUCAACAUGAAUGGAGGUGUAGUAGUUUCCAGAGGCUAACUGAUACGCUCCUCGAUCCACGGUCGAGACACGUAGCACGUUUGCCCAAGGAUCUAGCGGGGAUGUCCAACGGUUGGAUUGCGGAACCUAUAAUCAAACGGACAACACGACUUGAUUGAAGGUGGUAGACGACACUCCGAUGAAGGUGAAUACUCCAGGGGAAUAGGUCGGUAGAACAAUCUAGGACGGGACGCAAGAUUGUUCAAAACCCUUGCCAAAGCAAGUAAAGUGCUCGACCUCUCUUCUUAGAAGAAGGAACGAAUUAAACCAAUUUUAUUGAUAAAACGACUACCCUUAAACCUUACAAAGCAAGCCUAUUUAUAGGCUAAAGUGACUAAAACCCUAAAUGCUAGGAAAAGGAAAAAGUCGGCCCAUGUUUUUGGAACAAGAUGGGCCGGCCCAUGCUCUUACUUAAUCAUUAACUAAUUGCUAACUAAUUGAUGGGGCUUAAGGCCUUAUUCUCUUGGUGGCCCGCUUGACUCUUCGUGGACUUGGAUCAUGGUGUAAAUGACUCGAUUGUCUCUCUCCAAGCCCUCAAUAUCUUAAUGAACUCCAUGUUGGUCUUGAACGUUCCUUGAAUUGCUUAGCCCGUGCACAUGUGACUGGGCCCAAUGGUACUUGAACUGGGUCAUUGGUGGGCCAAGGUCCGUUCACACAUCAGUCCCCUCCUCUUAAGAAGGAUUUGUCCUCAAAUCUAGAUAGGGAUGGAAGAUACUAACAAGAGUUAGUAGUAUGACAACUCAAAUCGAUAGUGCGUUUGGAAGUCAGCCACGUUGGGAACAAAUGAAAGGUCACGAGCCAAGUUAAAUGUCGUUUGGUCAGCUUCAUUAGGCUCUCAAACAAGGACAUGCGCCAAGAUAGGAAAGAGCUUGUGUAAGGCUCGCGAAACUUCCAGGUAGCAAUCCAAAGCACUCGAAUCAUCCUUCGGCCAUGCAUUGUUAUAGUGUCACCAUUCUCAUGCACAAGAUAAGGAUCUUCAGAAUGAUGCUCAUGGGAGCAAGAGAAAUUCCAAAUCGGGUUUUUCAAGGUGGUAUGACUCGUCCCUGGUUGUUGCUGAUUUGGCACAACUUGCCUAUUUGGAGGUGAAACAUUGAACCAAUCAGGUUGCACUUCCCUAGAAGUACGAACCAGUGAUGUAAGACCAACGUUCGGAUCUUUAUUGACACAUUUGUGGGUAUCACCCGACAAAAGUGGCAGCAAUGAAGUGAGACGCACUCCAUACGAAUCAUAUGAAUUUGUGCAAGUUGGAGUUGGUGAAGUAAGCUCGUGGUGACCAGCUUUUGGACAUGUGAAGAAGCCCGAACGUGCUCCACUUUCAGCAGGAAUAAGCACGAAAUCGGGUUGCAAGUUCUUAACCAUAGUUGGAAAAUUUUGGACAGCGUUACAACCUACAAAAACAAAAUAACCUUCAACUUGAAGCAAUUCGGAAAUCGGGUAAAGAACUAAUGGUACAUUAUCAACUAGAUGGUAAGAAGGUGUAGAACAAGAUGGAAAUGAGAAAACUCCCUUUGACACUUCAAUAUUCCUUCUACCAAUUGAUUCAACUUGAGAUGCCAGUGCUAGUCCUUUACACUUCUCUUUAACACCUACAUGAGAGCAACAAGAGUUAGUGCUAGUAUCAUGCUCAAAAUAAGGCAAAGGUGAGGAAUGAACCAUAGGUAGAGAACAAGCAGUAGAAUCUGAAAUUUCCCUUUUAAGACGAGCUCGAAUCAAUCCUCCAAUGGUGUGGACAGGUUUGAGUUGACAUGGUUCCAUGAAUUGAGACCAAAGAGAUUUAGCUCCUAGAAGACAAACUCCAUGGAAACUCGCAAAGUGUCCAAGUGACGUGGGAAUGGAACAUGCCAUGACCAACUCUACUUGACUUUAUUUAAUCUGCACAAAAGAAGAGGUACUAAACAAAACACAUGUUAGCUUGUUAGCAAACAAAACGUCCACACUUUCAACUUUUGCGAACAUGGCCAACUCCUUCUCUUUACUCAUCAGUAAGGCCAAACUAUUCUUGCCUUUUCCCACUCCAUUUGUCUCGGACCAUUGUCCAUUCAUUGCACUUGAGUUCGGAUUAUGUUCAUGGCUUAGCUGCAUCUCAUUCAUAGAGGGCUCUUCAAUCGACGAGGGACUAGGAUGAAUAUUUCCUUUGUUACCACCGGUCGACACAUGAUUAAGUUGCUCAAAGUGGGAAUCCCAUACUUGGCUAAGUCUUUCCAUCAUAGAAUCAACCCAUGCUUUAGUUUGACUUCGGAAUUCAUCCUUUGCUUCACGAAGCUUUGACUCAAUUCGAAAAUUCUCGAGCUCCUCGUCUUGAUUGUCAAGACGCUUCUUAGAUGAACCUUGUUUGCUUGAAGUUGACCUUGAUUUAGAUGCUCUACGCAAGCUGCUUUGCUCCUUCUCAUACUCAUCACAAUCUUGUUUAUACCUUUCGUAUACACACAAAGCACGGUGGCGUUGCAUCUCCUCCCGGAGUGAAUGAUACCCACAUUGUGAACUGGAUUGCAUGGAACUAGAGUACUUGGAGGUACUUCGCUUGGGACCUCUCCUCUUGAAAGGUUCGGUCUCUACAAAUUCUUGAUUGUAUGAGUAAGAUGCAACUCUAGUGGGCAUGACUAUGUGACCUGCAAAACGGUUAGUAGAGCAAAGGAAUUUUCCUCCCACACACAAGCUCACGCAUGUACACUCUACUCUCGUGUAUCACUCAAGCUGAUGACACUCUAAUGGUCUUACCAUUACGCUUACGUUGCCGGAUUGAGUAACUUGAGCAAUGCCGCACAAGGUCCAAGAAUUGUCCACCAAGCUUCGCACAAGAGUAACCAACGAGCAAAGAUACUUUGGACACACUUGAGAUACUGUUUUAUGACCUAAAUAAUGUAGGUGAGCAGCCCAAGAUGAUUGACACUAGAUAAUACACAAAACUCAAAAGCUGAAAUUUUUGGAAUUCCUAGAAGGAACUCUACCCGAGCCAAUUUCUGGAAUUUGAUGGGUUGCUGUUUUCGUGCCCUUUUGGUCAGGGUUUUGGGGUAUUGUUGGUGCUGUUUUGGUGAAUGAGUCAACCCUUAACACUUAGCCCAACCCCGAUCACAAAGUGAUGUUCCACUAAUUCGAGAAUGCGGCUGGUUUGGCUGAAUGGGAAACUGAAUUUGGGAAACCGAAUUGGUGAAUAUAUGGGCAGUGGUUGUCGGUCAAGACAUUGGGAAAUGGUUUUGGUGUGGUGGCCGAAUGUGAGACAGAAUUUGGGAAACUGAAUUGUUUAUUUGAAUUGGUUAUAUGUGGGCGGUGGAGGGUGGUUGAUAGAAGGCUGGAUUUUAUAUAAAGUGGACUGUUGAGUCGGUGAAGGCUUUGGGAAGUGGCUUGGUGUUUGGCCGACUGGAGACAGAAUUUUAGGAAACUGAAUUGUUUAUUGUGGUGGCCGAAUGUGAGACAGAAUUUUGGGAAACUGAUUUGUUUAUUGAAUUGGUUAUAUGUGGGCGGUGGAGGUCGGUUGAAUGGAAGGCUUGCUGGUGUAUUAAGUGGGCUGGUGAGUCGGUGAAGGCUUGGGAAAUGAGUUGGUGUUUGGCCGAAUGGAAGACUGAAUUGGUGAUUAUAUGGCAGUGGAGGUCGGUUGGAGGGAAGCUUGGGUGGUAUAUUAAGUGGGCUGUGGGGUCUGUUAAGAGCUUUUGGGGGAAUGGUUUGGAAUGGCCGAAUAAGUUUCUUGGUUCCUAUUAAUCCUACCAGAAUUAGGAGUAGUUGGGUCACGGUGGGACUUGGGUUUUCCAAGUAGGAGACUAGAGCCAAUAUCCUUGCUUUCCUUCCUUUUUUUUUUCUCUGUUUUUUUUUUCUUUUGCAGAUUCGGCUAUGGCUAAUUGCUGGACAGAACGGUUGUCACAAGGAUACGAAAUCUGGACAGAUUAGGACUAGCAACAACACACAACUAACCAGAAUUGACGCGACCAAAAGAACUAGCGGCCAGAAAUUUUUUUUUUGACAAGCGAUGCAAACAGAUUUGUUUGUUCCUUUUGUUUUUUUUUUUUAACUAACAAGGCAGCAACGGACAGACUUGAAGACUCAACGGACAAACAUUAAGAACAACGACCAGAAUUUCUAGACAACAAAAGGAAAGGAAACGGCUCAACAAGUAACAAAGCUAACGAACAGAAUUUUUUUUUUUUUGUAAAAACAAGGCAGCGGAAAAUUAAGGAAAACUAAGACAAGACGACGGAUAUAACGGAAGAUACCUCCACCAAAGCUCUGAAGCCAACUGAUACGCUCCUCGAUCCACGGUCGAGACACGUAGCACGUUUGCCCAAGGAUCUAGCGGGGAUGUCCAACGCUUGGAUUGCGGAACCUAUAAUCAAACGGACAACACGACUUGAUUGAAGGUGGUAGACGACACUCCGAUGAAGGUGAAUACUCCAGGGGAAUAGGUCGGUAGAACAAUCUAGGACGGGACGCAAGAUUGUUCAAAACCCUUGCCAAAGCAAGUAAAGUGCUCGACCUCUCUUCUUAGAAGAAGGAACGAAUUAAACCAAUUUUAUUGAUAAAACGACUACCCUUAAACCUUACAAAGCAAGCCUAUUUAUAGGCUAAAGUGACUUAAACCCUAAAUGCUAGGAAAAGGAAAAAGUCGGCCCAUGUUUUUGGAACAAGAUGGGCCGGCCCAUGCUCUUACUUAAUCAUUAACUAAUUGCUAACUAAUUGAUGGGGCCUAAGGCCUUAUUGUCUUGGUGGCCCGCUUGACUCUUCGUGGACUUGGAUCAUGGUGUAAAUGACUCGAUUGUCUCUCUCCAAACCCUCAAUAUCUUAAUGAACUCCAUGUUGGUCUUGAACGUUCCUUGAAUUGCUUAGCCCGUGCACAUGUGACUGGGCCCAAUGGUACUUGAACUGGGUCAUUGGUGGGCCAAGGUCCGUGCACACAUCACUAACUCACCAAAAUGAAGCUCAUGAAUACCAUUGCAAAGGUUAUUAGAAGAGAUCAUGAGGUUGUUUUGUCAUCCCAUUUGAAAAGUUUGGUAUAGGACAACCAGAGACUUAACUAUGCAGGAUGCACAUAUUGCUUUGUUACAAAGCUAGAAAAAUUUUCAAGCCCCUUUCGACAGUAAAUUGGGCAUAGUGAUUGUAAAUCACGUCUUUUGCACGAUUCGUACCAGUGAAUUUUUCACAAGUUUCGGGUUUUGGAGACUUUGAACGGGAAUAGGAUGACGGACAGUGUGAGUUUGACACUCACAGAUGCCAAUCAAGACAGUUUCAUUAAUUUAACAAAUUUAGUUCCUUGAUUAUACUUAAUUGUUCAAAAACCCAAAAUAUUUUUCUCCUCCACUAGAUUCUACCGAUCAACCCCUUUUUGUUGCCUGACUGCCGAUAUCUUAUUUCUCCUUUUCCCUGAUGUAAUCCAUCUGGUCGCUCGACAUUGGCAGUGAAAACCAAUCUUUAGUUAUUAUUACGAGAAAAAUAUUAAUAUCCAAUAAGCAAUCGAAUCAACUUACAAGAAAGCCAACCCAACUCCAUUGACAAUAAAUUAUAAUAGAUGACCAAUGAGCUUUAGCAACCAUUUUACUCAUGUUCAUGAUUUAGCUUUAUAAAAAUCUAAAUCUCAAGCCAUCCACCACCAGCAAAGCAUAAUCAAUCAUCCCUUAAAUCAUCAUCAUAGUUGCAUAAACUUCUAUAUACAAUACAUGUCUAAAUAAUUGAAUAGUUUUUUCAGAAGACAAAAAAAAAUGGGGAGAUACAAGUUAACCAUUCAAGAGUGUAGCUCUGGUUAUGAGGGACAUAAUCACCUAGAGAAGAUAAUUGAUUUGGGCUUUGAGGGCAAAUUAAGGAUAGCUAGAAGAGGAGGAAAGGAAGGUGAUGACCAAAUGGUUGAGAUAGAGAUGUGGAUAAAGAGGAUUAAGGAGAAUGGAAUUGGAGCAAAGCAUAGAUGGAUAAGGCAAAGAAUUAUAAAGUUGGGAAGAUGCAAAAUGUAAAAGAGAAGGACAAAGUAAAGAGAAUGUGAAAUAAGAUGAUUGUACUGUUCCUGAACAAGCAAGUAGUCUAUGCACCCAAAUUGAAAUGAGUGGCUAGAAAUUGUCCGUAGCUUUGAGAGAAGUUACCCCAUUUUCCGGUGACUUUUUGGAUUUCAUUUUUCUUCUUGUACAAUGUCUACUUGAAAGCAGCAGAGAAAGAGUGUUAAGGUGGCUUUGUCCCACAUCGCCAUUCGUGUGAGGGAGACUUUCCCUUAGUUGCCUAUAAAUAUAGUAGGUCUGUGAUAGGGUUAAGUGCACCAAAACCAAGAGAGUAUUAGUGGAUUAUUUGGGUCUUUGGGUCAUUAUGCCUUUUGUUUAGUUAAAUAUUUUUUAGGCUCUCUUGUGUUUUUUAGUAUUAGGUGUUUUAAGCCUAAAAACACUUUCCUAAGACAUUUUUUGUACUUUCUCCUUCAUAGUAAAAUAUUGCUCUUCCUCCACCCGUGGAUGUAGGUCAAUUUGACCGAACCACGUAAAUUCCUGUGUUCCUGUUUUACUUAUUUUUGCUUUGUUAUUUGUCUUUUGGGGUUGCCAAAAAUCCUUUCGUCAAUUUCCUGGGGCCAGACCUAACAAACUGGUAUCAGAGCUUCUUCGGAGACUUUGAAUUUUGUGACAACAAUGACAAUAAAAAAGAUUGUCAUCGAAAAAUUCAACAGGAAAAUUAAUUUCGAGAUGUGGUAGCUCAAGAUGGAGGCCAUUUUCGUUCAAGACGGAGUUGAUCUAGUGAUACACGGAAUUGAGAAAAAGCCAGAGGGUGUGACAGAUGCAAACUUUGCUGAGAUGGAUAAGAAGGCAAGAUCCAGUAUUAUUUUAAAUCUCUCUGACAAGGUUUUGUGAGAGGUAGCCACUGAGACUUCGGCAAAGGCCAUGUGGGACAAGGUUAAGGCCUUGUAUAUGAAGAAGACAGUUGAGAAUCGACUUUAUUUAAAACAAAGUCUAUAUAUACUUCGCAUGACUGAAAGUACAUUUAUACUCUCACAUCUUGAUAAAUUUGAUUCCAUUAUUAUGGAUUUAGAAAAUAUAGAUUCAAAAAUUGAUGAUGAGGAUCAGACCCUGUUACUUUUGUGUUCUCUUCUCCAAUUUUUUAAACAUUUUCACGAUACUAUGAUUUAUGGAAAAGAAACAAUUUCGUAUCGAAAAAUUAAAUCUACAUUAAAAUCUAAGGAGCAGAUAGACAGGGAUAUUACUGGGAAAUUUAGUGGAAGUCAGGCAGAAGGUCUGGUUGUUAGGGGCAGAACUGAGAGAAGAAAAUUUGAUAGUAGUAGAUCUAAAUCCAGACAUAGAAAUGUGGAGUGCAAUUAUUGUCAUAAAAUGGGGCACAUUAAGGCAGAUUAUUUCAAAUUAAAAAAUGGAUUGAAAUAAAAAGGGAAACAUGAUGAAGAAAAUAUUGAAACUGCUGAAACUGGUGUUGUAGCUGAUGAGAAUGAAGGAAAUAUUUUCUUUGUGACUGACGACAGGACAACCAGAGAUCAUGAGGUUGUUUUGUCAUCCCAUUUGAAAAGUUUGGUAUAGGACAACCAGAGACUUAACUAUGCAGGAUGCACAUAUUGCUUUGUUACAAAGCUAGAAAAAUUUUCUAGCCCUUUUCGACAGCAAAUUGGGCAUAGUGAUUGUAAAUCACGUCUUUUGCACUCACAGACGCCAAUCAAGACAGUUUCAUUAAUUUAACAAAUUUAGUUCCUUGAUUAUACUUAAUUGUUCAAAAACCUAAAAUAUUUUUCUCCUCCACUAGAUUCUACCGAUCAACCCCUUUUUGUUGCCUGACUGCCGAUAUCUUACUUCUCCUUUUCCCUGAUGUAAUCCAUCUGGUUGCUCGACGUUGGCAGUGAAAACCAACCUUUAGUUAUUAUUAUGAGAAAAAUAUUCAUAUCCAAUAAGCAAUCGAAUCAACUUACAAGAAAGCCAACCCAACUCCAUUGACAAUAAAUUAUAAUAGAUGACCAAUGAGCUUUAGCUGUGAGAACUCGCAAAUUCCUUAUAUUUUUCUAAAAAAAAAAUCCCUUUUAUUUGAAAAUUAUUUGGCAAUUAUUAUUCUAUACUGUCAUACGGCUCAAUCACCCUAGAAAAGUGCCAAUGGUUAUAGGAAAUUAGGGUUUUCCUAUUUGUUUUCAAUUCAAGGUGAAAUAGGAUUUUUCGUGUAUCCACAGUGUAAUUAUCCGGUACGAAGCAAGGAUCAAAUUUGGUGGUUAAGAGUGACUUUUAAGUGAGAAAUAAUAUGUGAUUAGAAGCAAUGAUAAAAAGUUAGUGAAUAGGAAGUAAAAAUCCUAGUACGUGUGAUUUAAGGAAAAACGGUGCGAACCGACGUGUGCCGUGCACUACCGAUUGAACACACCACUUGGUCACCACUUUCUUACCAUACAAGCUCAUUAAUAUUUGAGCAAAAUAUGCCCUCAUUUCCAGCUGGCUUUGGCCGAAAUUUUUGACCAAAAUUGCAAGGAAAAGAAACAAAAAAAUGAGUGGAAAUUGGGGUGACACUUGUUGGCCAUUGAGGGCCUUGACCAAGACCAACUAGUCUUACCUUCUUAUCACCAUGGAGCUGCCUUUCUUCAUCAUUUUUCUGCUGCUUUGGUCAAGAGAGAGGGAGAGAAAAACCAAGGGAGAGCUGCACCAAUUCAUCUUGGGUUUGUGUCAUCUAAGUGAGGAAACAAGAAACUAAACCGAUUAAAACCUUUCUUGAGUGUUUAGCUAGUGGUGUGUUGGUGAAAUUUUGGAAGGAAAAGAUAGGGCUGCUCUUGGUAGUCACUUUAGCAAGGUAAUAAUGUCGAUUUCCCCAUUUCUUACACUUAAUCUUGUUUAACUUGGCAUAGCACCUUAAACUUGUGGUGGAUGAUAGCUAUUAUCAUGAUUUGGGAGGAUAUAGUGUAUGUUUUUUUUAGUUGCAUGAGUUAGGGUUUGAAGGAUUGCUGCCUAUACUUGCUGUAUGAUAGUAGAUGUUGUAUCUAAGCUUAUAUAAGAGGUUGUGGUAGUGAUUGAAGCAAGAAAUGAAGAAAGUUUCCUUUGAAACCGUUCCAGAUUUCUGGAAAAUUGUAGUUCAGUUCUGUCCGGUUCUAGUUUGUGAUGUUAGAGGACGAAUUAGGCUUAGUAUAAAACAUGAAAGUUGUAGAGAAUGAUAUUUUAUAGCUUCCUACACAAUUUCAGGCCAAUCGGAGCAACGUAGCCUAUGAAAAGAUCAAAAUACCCUCACUGCCCUAGGAUGCAUCCAGUGAUCCGUUUUAGACAAUUCAUCCAGUUAACCGUGUCUAUUCACUAUGAUUCGUGCUGAUUUAACCAUUUUCCAAAACAUGAAAGUUUUAGUACUCUUUCUUAGAUUUUCAACGCCUCUAAGAAUGCCUUAAACGGACUUUGGUAGCCUGAGAUAUGGCCAUUGAUAUUUUAUAGCUUCCUACACAAUUUCAGGCCAAUCGGAGCAACGUAGCCUAUGAAAAGAUCAAAAUACCCUCACUGCCCUAGGAUGCAUCCAGUGAUCCGUUUUAGACAAUUCAUCCAGUUAACCGUGUCUAUUCACUAUGAUUCGUGCUGAUUUAACCAUUUUCCAAAACAUGAAAGUUUUAGUACUCUUUCUUAGAUUUUCAACGCCUCUAAGAAUGCCUUAAACGGACUUUGGUAGCCUGAGAUAUGGCCAUUUGAAGGUAGUACGAUUAAUUAGCCGACUAGUUCAAAUUUGGUUCUGUGAACUUUGAAUUUGACUGGGUUACACUAUAAAUUUGACUAAGUGAUCUUCGUGAAAAUUGUAGCCCUGUGUCUUAGCUUCAAAACGGCACAAAUUACAUCUCAAUCCGAUAAGCGUAGCUUCAGAUGUGUCCAUUCCGUAAAAACUCGUCAAAUCUGUCUUUUGUUAAACUCCAUUUCCGCACUUGUUGUUAGCUUAAUUUUUGUACUUGUAUUGUCUUGAGCCUAUUGAACGGCUAUUGAAAUGAAUUUGUAUUGUGUGUAACCUUGGGUUUGAUUAAGGAAAAUAAUGAAGCCAAAAAUGGCUGGAAAUAGGAAAAAUACCAAGAGCAUGCUAUCCAAAUUUACGCUCGAGGACUAGAGGGAUACACUUGCGACUUGAGUAAGCGUUAAGAGUGAUUACUACUUGAACCAUCUAGGACAUUUGUUACUUUGUUUAGCCAGGGUUAUACGUUAGAACCUAGCCGAACUUGUACCCUUGAGAAAUAAAAUAAUGACUACUAGGAGUAUGUUUUCCUUGUACUUUCGACUCAAAUGGCAUUUCCAAAUAUAAAUGUUACAAAGUUAUAUAGUUUAAAAAGCGAGCGAGUGUUUCACGAAUACUCUCCAAGUGAAUUUUCAUUUCUUGAUUCUUAUUGAACGAAACGUCUAAGUUUCGAAUCUUAGUCAUGUUUCAAAGUUCUCAAACUGAGUUUUAUCGCAGAUUUGGACUCCGAACCCGGAGUACAACCUGAAAGUGACCAGUAAAGGCACGAUAUCUUUUGGUGAGUGCUUUCAAAUACCGAAUUGAACUUGAUACUUGUAUUUGAUACGUGACCAAUAUGAUUACAUGUUAUAUACGUGAAUUGUUAGGGCGAGAGUGUACUUUAUCACACUUGCCCUUACGUGAUAUAUACUUGUUUAUUGUUGCAAUUGAUUUGAUAUACCUGUUUAUGAGGUGCGCACUUCCUGGAAUUCCAGAAACCCUGCGGUAAGUUACUCGAAUCGAGUCGGCAAGGGCUUGGUCAAUUAGGUAACAAACCCUGGGUCUCUUGAUUGUCGAGUGGAGUGAUAUCUCCUCGACUAAUCGAUAUACUCAAGUAUUACCACCCGUGUUUAUUGAGGAUUUUGGGCCUAGUAGGGGGUUUGAAUGGUGGACGGAGAGUAGUGUAAGUGGUGUACUACUGGAUUGGUUACUUACUUGAAAGUUGACGGAGUGUCAACUAUUACGUGAUCAAGCUCCUGGUGUUGCAAUGGGAAUUUGGCUCCUGAGAGCCCUCCGUAUCCUUAUACUUUGGAACGACUAUUGCUUAUUGGAUUAUUGUUUCUUCUGAAAAACUUUUACACUCGCUUAUUUUGAGAUUGCUACUUGACAUGUUAUUGCUCACUUUUAUGAACUCUUCAUGCUCGUUACUUUGCUAUUUCGAAAACUUAUACUUAUAAAUAAUGGUCAAUUUGCUAUUUGGAACCUCACUGGGCUUUUAGCUCAUUCCACGCCAUUUGUUUUCCUUACAGGGGUACGAGCGAGGCGUGAGACGUGUACAGACUAGCGUAGUGUAGUUGUUUUGAAUUUUGUAAUUGUACUCGCACUAGUCGCUCGAUUAGGGUUGAAUGUACUGAGACCUUAAAUCUUUUGAUGUAUUUGGGACUGUAUGGAUGAUUGAGAUAAAUAUGAAUGUAUUUGUAUCUUCCAAACUUGGGAACUGUUAUUUCGUUUAUUAUUGAGAUUGCACCUUAUUUUAGUGGACGCGAGUGAGUGAGUCCUGGCGAGAGUUGGGCAGACGGUUCGCUGAACCCUUUGGUUCGCCUUAGGGGAAGGUGGGGCUGUCACAUUAGCAACCAUUUUACUCAUGUUCAUGAUUUAGCUUUAUAAAAAUCUAAAUCUCAAGCCAUCCACCACCAGCAAAGCAUAAUCCAUCAUCCCUUUAAUCAUCAUUAUAGUUGCAUAAACUUCUAUAUACAGUACAUGUCUAAAUAAUUGAAUAAUUUUUUCAGAAGACAGAAAAAAAUAAAAAAUGGAGAGAUACAAGUUAACCAUUCAAGAGUGUAGCUCUGGUUAUGAGGGACAUAAUCGCCUAGAGAAGAUAAUUGAUUUGGGAUUUGAGGGCAAAUUAAGGAUAGCUAGAAGAGGAGGAAAGGAAGGUGAUGACCAAAUGGUUGAGAUAGAGAUGUGGAUAAAGAGGAUUAAGGAGAAUGGAAUUGGAGCAAAGCAUAGAUGGAUAAGGCAAAGAAUUAUAGAGUUGGGAAGAUGCAAAAUGUAAAAUAGGAGGACAAAGAAAAGAGAAUGUGAAAUAAGAUUAUUGUACUGUUCCUGAACAGGCAAGUAGUCUAUGCACCCAAAUUGAAAUGAGUGGCUAGAAAUUGUUCGUAGUUUUGAGAGAAGUUACCCCAUUUUUCAGAGUCUUUUUGGAUUUCAUUUUUCUUCUUGUACAAUGUCUACUUGAAAGCAGCAGAGAAAGAGAUUCCACAUAGUAUUGAUAGGGUGAGUGUUCACCAAGAUGGGAAUAUAAUUGUGCAACUGGAUUGGUCCUACUGUAGUCUUAUGUUACUUUAUUAAUAUUGGAUAGUAAUUAGAGGGGAAAAAUCAUGAAUGAUUGCUGUUUCAAUGGUGAUAUGGAAGAUAUGAAUAAAAAUAGUUGUGAUUUUACAAAAUUCAGAAUGGGUAGUUGAGGCCGAAAUUCUUAUGGAUAGGUUUGGAGCGGAGAAGUCAUUAUUUCUGAUAACUAGCCUAAAAGUUUAAGGGAAUUAUCACGGUCAGAAAUUCGAGAUGUGUUGAUGGGAAAGGCAAGAAUGGAAAUCCACAAGAAGUUUAAGGAAUGGAAUAUGGCUGCUGUACAGGAGUCUUCAGUUAAAGAAGCAGGAGAAGCCAAUGAAAGUAGCCAACUUCAUUAAUGCUACGAAAGAAUCUGUUGGAAGUGGCAUGAAGGAGGCUAGAAACAUGAAAACACAAAGAUGAAGGGUGCCAAUACUGCAGAUACACCCCAAAAAGUAGUCAAUUUCUUCUAUUAUAACUUUCUCAGACACAACUGGCACCAUUAGUACCUUGAGCUAGAUCAUGCACUAGGGAGCUUGCCUUCUGCUUCAACCAAUGGCUCAAACACAGAAGCUACUGAUAUAUUCAUGACGAUGGAUAUGGCUGAUCCGGAUUUGACAAAGACAGGGUGGAAGAAUCAUUUGCUGAAAACCAGGUUUGGGCUGCAUAUGACAAUGAGGUGGUAUGCCUCGCUUUUAUGCUAUUAUUCAUGAAGCCUUGUCCAGAAAGCCCUUUAAAGUUAGGAUUAGCUGGUUGAACUCCAAAAGCAACAGCAAAUUGAACUUGGUCCAUUAAAUUGGACCAGGUUUGGGCUGCAUAUGACAAUGAGGUGGUAUGCCUCGCUUUUAUGCUAUUAUUCAUGAAGCCUUGUCCAGAAAGCCCUUUAAAGUUAGGAUUAGCUGGUUGAACUCCAAAAGCAACAGCAAAUUGAACUUGGUCCAUUAAAUUGGUGUGAGUUGUGGUUUUGCUAAACUUGCGAAAGCAAUUGCCAUAAUGGUUGGUUGUGAUUUUACAAAAUUGAGAAUUUUGAUACCAAUUGUGAUAUAGGGAAGUUCUUUUUUUUAAAAAAAAAAAUUGAAGAUAAAGUUGAUGAUAAUAAUUGAAUUAUCCAAUUAAGUAUGGAAUUUUUUAGGCUAAAAAAAUAAAGAUAAAGUCAGCCGUAGAAAUUGAACAAAUAUUCGGUAGAUUGUAUAGAAAUUUUAAUACAGUUGACUGUUAGCGAAUCACGCACUACGCACGACUCUUCAUGAUCACAAGUACUGUGCAAUUUUUUUUUUAAACUGAAUGUCCUUAAUUCAAUGGAUACAUAUGUCUGCAAAUUGCAGAAUUUAUACAGGUUUUAAUGCAAAUUAUACAACGAUUCAAAACAUGGAUGGAUGGCUUUGACUUAAUUUCAAAUAACUACAUAACAAAACUUUGUCAAAUUCUAAUUCAGUUUGGAGUCUAGACCAGAUGAAUUUCUAACUAAAAAGUGAGAUAGAGAGAUUUUAGUUAUCCAAGGAAACCAACUUGAAACUCACAAGUCAUAGUUGGAUCAAUUGCCAACGAGUGUGAAAUGUUCAGAAAUAGUGAGAGUUAAAAAGAAACUGAUUGUUUGAGCUGGUGUUCAAUUUUGCUGAAUUUGGAAGGAAUGCAAGAGCUAUCACUCUAUCAACUACGUAGGUAAUUUUUUUUCUCAAGCUCAAUACUCCUCUAUUUGAUUUUCACCUCUCAAUUAUACAUCAAUUCUCGUUUUGAUUUUUAAAUUAUGAAUUGGGACACUUUAGUUCUUAAACUUUAGAAAAUGUCUCACUUAAGGAUAAUUGUUAAUGAAUCCCCAAAAUUAACAGAAUACUAGUCAAGUGAGCAGCAAAAAAAAUUAAACAAUAACAAAAAAAAAUCCCAAAUUAGAGAGAAAAAAGGGAGUUUAGGAAACAAUUUGAGAAUCAUAGUAUAGUUUAGCAACUAAAAUGACUCAAUUUAAAGCUUAGGGACCAAAUUGGGAAUCAAUGAAUAGUUUAGGAACUAAGAUAUCCCAAUUUAGAGUUUAGGAAUCAAAAUGUAAAUCGAAAUGUAGUUGAAGGGUGUAAAAUAGAAUUAACCCACCAAAAUAAUGCUACUUUGCUCCCCUCCCCCCAACCCUACAUAUUUAUCUAAAGUUAUUUAUUGUCUCUACAUAUUUAUCUAGUUCAUUUAUCUAAAGUUAUUUCUUUUAAAUUUUCUUGCAAUAAACAAAUUUCUAGUUUAGUUUCUUUCUUGGGUCUGUCUAAUGAAUACCCACUAGGCACUUUUUAGACAAUAUUUAAUGGGCACUUGUUAUAAGGUGGUGAUAUUUUCAAAAUUUUAAAAAUAUAAAUAUAAGAUAGGAUAAUAGUUGUUAAUGUACAUUCACCUCGUAAUUUAAGUUAAAUUUGUUGUCAUUUAGGUGUUUUAACAAAUCUCCAUUGGCACAUGUUCAAGAACCUUUCUUUUAUAUGCUUCCUAAAACAAACCACCGACUAGUCACUUUUUUUUUGACAAAUUUUAUGAACCAAACCAACUUCUAAUCUCCAUAAAAUUAGUAUAACAUAGCAAAAUAAGGAAAUUAUAACAAGGAAACAAAAGAUAAACCAAAGGAAAUCUAACUUCUACUACAAUUUGUUUGUAUUAAAUUGACUUCAAUUAACACUCAUAUAUUAGGCAAAAACAACUACCAAAGUCAUGACUUCUUCCAAAAUCUGUACUUUUAACAAUUAACCCUCCCCAAAUAACAUUCUUGUGUCUUCAAGCAUCCAUUUCCUCGCAAACUCCAUUUUUCCAAGAAAAGUUUUUUGGUUUUUUUUGUUCCACCGAACUCCAUUGUUGCAAGGCAAGUUUAUUACUCCUAUUUUCUUUAAAAUUUUUUCUGAUAUGAAAAUCAUCAAGAGUCCAUAGGCAAUCAGAUAUGUGAUGAUUGUAGACACCAAAUUUUUGGUGUAAUUUCUUUUACUUUUUAUUCUCAUUUGUCGUGGUUGCUUUUAGUUUUUUUUUUAGUUUCUAGUUUUUAUUUUUAUUUUUAUUUUUAAGUUUUAGCGUAGAAAAAUCAAAUGGGGCGUGACAGUGAUUUUCCUGCAGAGUCAUUGAUGACAUACUUCGAGAAAGAACUAAUUUUAUUCAAUUAUAGAUGCAUUUAAUCAAAUGAAUGAGUGUCGAUCACAAUUUUGCAUGCCUAGCAUUAAUAAGGAAUAGAAUGUUACUUUGUAUUUUACUCGCUUUGACUAUUUUAAACAUUUGGUUACUGCUUAUGGCUUUAUUAAUCUUCUUUAUGAAUUUAUUAUGCUUUGUUUGUUGUUACAAUUUUUCACCAUUAUAUGUUUGAUGUUCGCCCCCGUUAAGCCAGAAUUCCGUCUAUGUUGGCAGCUAAGUUGCUACAGCUGACCAUCUAUAUCAUUAUCAUAAAAAAAGGAAAAAAAGUAAUUGUCAUAACUUUUUCGUACAGAUUUUGCAGGAUAUGGGGCAGGGACGGUCAUCAGAAGGACCGUCCCUGAACAGUCUCCUCAUAAUCCCAUGCGAAAGAACCACAAACAGCCACGUCGAUCAGUUUUGGGAAGGAGCAAAAAUGAUGUCGCCUGAAUCAAUAAUGGAAAAAAGAAAUUUGUGAACCUAACGGACACCGUUGGAACUUAACAGCGGUUUCAAAUGUUCAAAAAUUGAAAUGAAUUGGAAUUGUUUGAAAUGAAACCCGGGAAAAUCACCAGCCACAUCAUUUAGUAUUCAAAAUAUCAUUUAAUAGUAAGAUAAGGGGAGAAAUAGUUGUGGAGAGACAAGCUUGCAUACAUUCUGGGGAUUAUAGGUUUGAGAAGGAGAUCUCAAAGGCACAAAGUAUGUGAGGGAUGAAGACGCAUAGUGUUGCUGGUGUGUUAAGCAGGUGUUUGCAGAGCAAAACAAGGAAGUAGAAGUAAAAGAUCUACAUCAUCCAAUGACACUGCAUAUGCAGAGUGAAUUGGAAUAGAGAAGAAACUAAAUACAGUACUUAGUCAUCCCUAUCGUCCCUGGUGAAGCAUACAGUAGUGAUUAAGGGUAGUAGCAUGGUUGGCGAACACUAAGUCGGAGACCAACAAAGGUAAUACAUUCAAUUAUUUCAUAGGAAAUGUGUAAAAAUUAGGCAUUCUGCCCAUGAACUGUAAAUGUUUAAAAAGUAGGCAACAUGAGCGUAUAAUAUAUUGAUUUGAAAUAGAUGUUAUGGUUGUUGACGGCAUGAGUAUUGUAUGUGAGCAAUGGUCACAUAGUGUCACGAUUGUGCACAAUAAGUUUCCAAUAAUGUACAUGUUGUUAUAUGACAAUUACUGUGCAUAGUCAUGAGUGUACACAUUGUGAGUCAAGCAUUGUAGUCAGUUAACUCGUUAGUACAACGUAAGCAAAGUCCUCACCUUUUAAAACCCGGUUGCAUAGUAUACAUAUAUCUUGGCUAAAAGAGGUUGAGUGGGGUGGCUUGCAUAGCAAAAACUAUUAGGAUAGUUGAUAAGUACAUGUCUAUCAAAAUUUACAAUCGCAUGGCGAGAAAUUUACAUAACUUAGCUGUUUCUUUGAAUUUGCAAUUGGGUGUUGGUUCAUAGGUAAUGUUGUCUAUAUGGCACAUAAUACGAUAAUAAAGUUGCUAUAUAGAUGGUUAGUAAUUAUGUUGACUUCAUGGCAGUGUGUAUGUGUUAAAAUAGGCCAAACGUGUACAUAAUUAAUGUCUUAUGUGCAAUCUUUUUGUUGAUGGAAUGAGUAAGUGCAAUGGUUCACAUUGUGAUGACUGAUGUACACAUGGUAAUUGACAGAAAAUGCAGUUGUUGAUAGCAACAAGUUGAUAGAGGAUGGGAUUCCUAAAAUAGGAAUAGGGUUUGAUGCAGAAGAUGAGGCUUAUAAAUUUUACAAUACAUAUGAUUUUGUCAUGGGUUUCAGCAUCCAAAAAGACUACUUGAACAAGGACUAGGAUGGCUUGACAACAUCAAGAAGGUACACUUGUUGCAAGGUAUCCCAUAACACUUAUGUAUGCUUACAUGGUCAUAAAUUUAUAGAAGUUAGCCUAUUGUUUAAAUUUGCAAUUAAUUAUUGGCUCUUACAUACUAUCACGUGCAUAACAUAAUGUGAAAAUGAAUUUACUAUAUAAUUGUUCGCCGGUUAUAUAGAAACCAUAUAGGCAUACAAAUUGGGAUCUAAUAUGUUAUACCCUGCAUGUAAUUGUUAAUACAUUAUAUUUUGUUCAAUUUAUUUUGCAGCAUACCAAGGAUAAAGACAGCUUCUUUUCACAAAUCAAUGGAUAUCAAUCAAAGGUGGUAGAGCAAAGAAGCUAGAUUGGAUAAUUAGAUAGUUUUUUUAUUUUAUCAAACUCAUAACACUCAUUAGAAUAUAUUUACACUUAGUUCUUAGUGCAUUACCACAUGUUCAAUCUAUUUUAUAAUGUACUAGGGGAAAGAAAAGUUAAAUUGCUAAUUUUAAUUUUGUGUAUCGAUAUUGCUAAUAAAUAGUUAUUUGUCCACAUGCAUAUUGCAAUUAGUUAUCACAGCCACAUGCUUAGUGCAAUGGUAUGCAUACAUUUGGAAUGAUUAUUGGUACUUUAAUCCACUUGUGCAUCUCCUUGCUGGCUGCAGUGGUGUGUAAUUUUUUUUGUAUGACUAAUACUAAUUUGUCUAUAAGCAAAUUACAUGGGAUGAUAUAUGAGGUACAAUCAGUUUACAAAAAUGUACAUCAUAUUAGAUGUUAGUUACUUGACUGUGUAUAUAUAUGAAAGAUAGUGCAAUUGGUACGCAUAACUUUGGAAUGAUUAUUGGCCAUUUGAUCAACUUGUGCAUCUCCCUACAAUUGAUGCAUAAUUUUACUUGUAUGAGUAAUACUAGUUUGUCUAUGAGCAUCUUACACGGGGAUCUAUAAGGUACAAUCAGUUUAUAAAAAUGUACAUCAUGUUAGAUGUUUGUUACUUGACUAUGUAUAUCUGUAAGAGGGAGAUUAGAUAUAGUGCAAUAAAAAGUAGCCACCUGAGUUGGAAUGUAUUUUAGAAACUUUGGUAUAAUUGAUAUUAGCAUUUUUUUGUGGAGUGUACACGUUGUUAGUGGGUACGGAGUAGUGCUUUAUGUUAUGUUUGCUUACAUGGUCAUAAAUUUACAAAAAGUUAGUCUAUUGUUUAAAUUUGUAAUUGGUUGUUAGCUCUUACACACUGUCACAUGCAUACACAUAAUGUAAGAAUGAAUUUACCAUAUUAUUGUUUGCUGGUUACAUAGAGCUCAUAUAGGCAUACAAAUUGGAGUUUGAUUAGCUAUACCGUGUAUGUAAUUGUUAACACAUUAUAUUUUUGUACCUUAUUUUGCAGCAUGUGAAGGACAAAGAUAGCUUCUUUUGACAAAUCAAUGGAUUUCAAACAAUGCUGGUGGAGCAAAGAAAUUAUAUUGGAUAAUUAGAUUGUUUCAUUGUGCUAGACUCAUAAUACUUGCUAGAAUGUACCUACAUUUAGUUCUUAAUGCAUUAUCACAUGUGCAAUCUAUUUUACAAUGUACUAGAGGAAAAAAAAAGUUAAAUAGCUAAUUUUAUAUUCUAUGUAUCAGUAUUGUACAUCUAGUUAGUAUUUAAGUAGUAUUUGUUGUUAAUUUUUUUAUUGUUACCUCAAUUUGUUUUACAAUAUAUCCAAAGUAGUAACUUGGAUUUUAUCAAUUGGUAAAAAAAAAUUAAUUUCUAUUGCUAAUUAGUAACAUCCCGAUGUUGUAACCCAUGUUAGUAUCUAUUGACUUUUUGUUGCUAUUAUCUUACAAACUGUUUAGUCCAUUUUAUGAUAUAUUUAAGGAAAUAAAAAUUUUGUUUUACAAAUUGGUGAAAACCAGAUACAUUUGGUUAUUUAUAAGUUACAUACAUGUUGAUUAAACACAAAUUUAACUAGUCAUAUACUACUAUUAUGGAAAUAGUAGCUUUAGGUAAAAUUUUAGUUGUCAAUAUAUUAUAAUCUCAAAAAGUAGUAAUUGUCCAUUAGCAAAUUUGUAACACCCAAUCAUAGUAUACGUCAUUUGUUUCUGUUUUUAUCAAACCCCAAACUAAAAACCUUAAAAACAUGGUUGGAAUGUCAAUUUUGGGCUACUUCUAUCAUUUAAUUGAUCUUUGAACAAAUAUCCUUAAGUUUAUUAGCUGUGAUGCGUAUAAAAAUGAACCAAAUGAACACUCUAGUUAUAACAAUAUGUACAAUUCUAAUAGAUAUAUACAAUACUUCAAACAAAUCUACAAAUUGAACAAAAAUCUACGAUGAUUACAAUGAUAUCUACAAGGAUUCUUACCUAUCACUACAUAACAUUUUGCAUAAAUCGAAAUUGAAAAUUUACAAAUGUUUUGCUAACAAAAAUCUUUAAAAAGAAAUUAAAAGAGUUAUACAAUGCUGUUAACUGAUUUUCACUUACUCCAUUUAUUCUUCUCAAGUUGAUUUCUUCUUUUUGUUUUCUAAUUAUAAAUGGUGGGAUUGGUUCUACAAGCUCAAUAGUUCCCACUUUUUAUAUUUCUUCCUUUUCAUUUGGAUUCUUCUUUAUCCUUUUCCGUGCUAUCUUACCACUGCUCAUGCAAAUUGUAAAGGCUAUUUACUUUGUUCAAUACAUAUCAGUUUGGCUAUUAGUGAUAGAUGACUAGUUAAAUUUUUAUUCAAUCAGCAUGUAUGUAACUUAUAAGUAACCAAAUGUAACUAGUUUUCACCAAUUUGUGAAAUAAAAAUCUUUAGUUCCUUAAACAUAUUGUAAAAUAGGCUAAACAAUUUGUAAGACAUUAGCAAUGGAAAAUCAAUAAAUACCAAGAUUGGGUACAACAUCGGUAUGUUACUAAUUACCAAUAUAAUAUAAUUUUUUUUACCAAUUGAUAGAAUAGAAAUUAUUGUUUUGGAUAUAUUGUAAAACAGAUUGAGCUAACACUAAAAAUUAGCAAUAAAUAGUACUUAAAUACUAACUAAUGUACAAUACUAAUACACAGAAUCUAAAAUUAGCAAUUUAACUUUUUUUUCCUCUUGGACAUUGUAAAAUAGAAUGAACAUGUGGUAAUACAUUAAGAACUAAAUGCAAGUACAUUCUAACGAGUGUUAUGAGUCUGACACAAUGAAACUAUCUAAUUAUACAAUAUAAUGCCUUUGCUCUACCAGCAUUGAUUGAUAUCCAUUGAUUUGUCAAAAGACGCUAUCUUUGCCCAAGGCAUGCUGCAAAAUAAGGUGAAUACGAUAUAAUGUGUUAACAAUUAUAUACAAGGUAUAGCUAAUCAAACCCCAAUUUGUAUGCCUAUAUGAAUUCUAUGUAACCAAUGAAUAACUAUAUUAAAUUCAUUCUUACAUUACGUGUAUGCAUGUGACAGUGUGUAAGGGCUAACAACCAAUUACAAAUUUAAACGACUAACUUUUGUAAAUUUAUGACCAUAUAAGCGUACAUAACAUAUAGUACUACUCCAUACUCACUAACAACGUGUACACUCUACAGAGAAAUUUUAAUAUCAACUAUAUCAAAGUUUGUAGAAUACAUUCCAAUUCACGUAACUACUUUUUUUGCGUUAUAUCUAAUCUCUCUUUUACAUAUAUACAUAGUCAAGUAACUAAAACCUAACAUGAUGUACAUUUUUGUAAACUGAUUGUACCUCAUAGAUCACCCUGUGUAAGAUACUCAUAGACAAACAAAGACUACUCAUACAAGUAAAAUUACACAUCUACUAUAGGGAGAUGCACAAAUUGAUCAAAGGACUAAAUAACUGUUCCAAAUUUGUGUACAAUUGCACUACCUUUUAUAGAUAUACGCAGUUAAACAACUAACAUCUAACAUAAUGUAUAUUUUCGUAAACUGAUUGUACCUCAUAAAGCACCCAGUGUAAGGUGCUUAUAAGCAAAUUAGUAUUAUUCAUAUAGAUAAAAUUACACACCCACUGCAACCUGCAAGGGGAUGCACAAGUGGGUCAAAACAUCAAUAACCAUUCCAAAUGUAUGCAUACCAUUGCACUAUGCAUAUUGCUGUGAUGACUAAUUGCAAUAUGCAUGUGAACAAAUAACUGCAUGUUUAACAAUUUCUAUGCAUCGUAUUGAUGAAUAAAAUAUUGUACAUUCUGAUAAGUAUGGUGUACAUCACACACCUUAUCUAGGCCAAUAACCAUUUCAAAGUUAUACAUAUCAUUGCAGUACCUUUCACAAAUAUACACAGUCAAGUAACUAAUACCUAACAUAAUGUAUAUUUUUAUAAAUUGAUUGUACCUCAUAGAUCACCCCGUAGAAGGUGCUUAUAAGCAAAUUAGUAUUACUCAUACAAGUAAUAUUACACAUCUACUGCUGCUUGUAACGAGAUGCCCAAGUUAGUCAAAGCACCAAUAACCUUUCCAAAGGUAUGCAUACCAUUGCACUAUCUUUUAUAAAUAUACACAUUCAAGUAACUAAUACCUAAGAUGAUGUACAUUUUCAUAAACUAAUUGUAUUUAUACAUCACACAGUAUAAGAUGUUUACAGACAAAUCAGUACUACUCAUACAAGUAAAAAACAUUUACUAAAAAUCAGUACAAGUUGUGGUUGCAACGGCUAAUUGCAAUAUGCAUGUGGACAACUAACCGCAUAUUCAAUAAUUUGUACACAUUGUAUUUGGUCGGUUAUAUGGUGUACAUUAUUUCAAUCAGAUUGUACAUUCACUAAGUAUUUAUGUACUUGCCGUUCAUUGAACUAAACUAUCUAUAUAAUUUAAUGCACUCUCAUAAGCACUAAUGGUCAAUUUCAUAGACGAUUGGAACAAAUAACCAUCUAGUAAAAACAUCUGAUAUAAAUGUUAUUAAUGGCUAAUAUGCUAUACGUUCCAAUAAACACGGUGUACAUCACAUACCUUGUCUAGGUAAAAUCUUAUAAGUUAUCAAAAGUUAUGCCAUACUUUAAAAGUGUAGACACCAAAUUUUUGGUGUAAUUUCUUUUACUUUUUAUUCUCAUUUGUCGUGGUUGCUUUUUAGUUUUUUUUUUUUUUUAGUUUAGUUUCUAGUUUUUAUUUUAUUUUUAAGUUUUAGCGUAGAAAAAUCAUGAAAAAGAAAAAAAAAAGAAAAAUCAUGAAAAAGAAAAAAAAGGAAAAAUCAUAAAAAGGAAAAAAAGAAGGAAAAUUUGUUCACAAAAAUAUGUUUAUUUCUUUAAAUUCAACCUUUUUGCACUUUAGUUAUUUUUAUUAAGUUAUUUUGAAAAAAAAAAGGAAAAAAGAAGAAAAUUUGAAAAAUGGACAUUUUUGUUGUUUUUAUUUAUUUAGUUUGUUUUUUUUAUUUAUUUGUUUUCAUUCUUAUUAUUAUUACAUGGUUUUGUCAUUUUGUUAUUAUUAUUAUUAUUAUUUAUAUUCUGUAUUUAUUAAGUUAAAAAAAAAAAAAAACCAACCAACGCGCAGCUUGCAAGCUGCGUUUUUGCAGCAGCUUGCAAGUGAACUUUGGGGAGAUCCUUAGUUGCAAAUAUAUCAGAAAGGGCUGGGGUUUAGGUUUUGGGGUUGCCCAUAUAAAAGCUAAGAGAGUGGACAGCCGCAAGAAAAAAAAAAGAAAAGAAAAAAACUAAAAAAGAACGGGAACCGAAGGCAUGAGAAAAGAUUGAAGGGACGACUGAGAAGGAAAAAAGGGAGAGAGUGUUUAUGCUUGGGAAAGAAGAAAAGGUUUCAGGGUAAACAAAACAGAGGGACACGGCUAAAAAUCUGGAGGGAAUUUUAUAGGGAGUGACGGUUAUAGACAGAAAGAGGGAGAGAGAGAAUUGAAAGGAGGAGCAGGAGUUGCGGCUGCAUCCGGAGGAGGAAGACCGACAUGAGGAAGAGACUAGGAGGCUUGUUUUUCCAGAAGUUCCAUAGAAGUUUGAUGCCGGCUCAUUUCUUUUGACUUCAGCCUUGUCAAAAAUCUUUAUCAGGUAAUCCAUUGAACUAAAGGUUGCACCUUUGGUCCUCCUCUGUGUGCGUAGGUUUGGCCUGGGAAUUUUUGUGAUUCCAAACUUCAAGAUUUAAUUUUGAUUGUUGCCUUGGGUUAGAAAUUUGGUAUUUGUUUGGAUUUUGGCAUGAAACCCAGUGAUUGCAAUUUAGGAAACCAGUUUUCUGCUAGAAUGAUGCAUGAGUUGUCGAACCUUUUGCUGCUGGUUUAUUAAGUUUGUUCCAUAACAUUACCAUGUUUGCUCUUUGCUGUCUUUCUUGCCUUUGUCGUCUUCUCCUCCUGUUCUAUAUAUAUCUUAGACAUGAGUUUUGAAAUAGAAAAGCGUUGGUCAUAUAUUUUUGGCUGGGGAGGGUAGUGCACGGAAAUCUACUGCAACAAACAACAGGCUCGAGGUUGCUGGUUUGUUGCAAGCGAUUGGACAAAACUAUUUUUUUGGGUUAGACUGAGAUCCUGUUUUGGCUUGAGUUUCAUUUGGGUUUGCUUGCUAAUGUUAGAGACGCUGAGCAUAUGCCUUGCUGUAUUUUACGGCAGUAAGAUGCGGUGUCACACCAAGCUGCAAUAUGUCAAGACCAUUUGUUGCAGCCAUAGAGUCACUUUGCUAUACUUUAUAUCUAGUUGCUAUGAUUAGUUCUUUUAAGAAUAGAUGUUUGUGGUGGAGUAAGGUUCAUAACAUGAGUUGAAGGUUUUGCUUUCCUUUUCGUUUUUGCUGCAUCGAUAAACAUCACUUGGACUGUUCAGUUUUUGCAUGCAUGUUGUCCGACCAUUUGAUGUCUAAAUUUACAAGUUUCAUGGUGCAAAGUGGGAAUAUUGUGUGAUAGUUGUGUUAGGAUUGGCACUGUUUUAAUGUUAAGUUGAAAAGCUGGAUGAUGAAUCUGAUUUCGGCAACUUGAGGCUAAAGCUUGUGGCUAAAGAAUGAAAAUUGCGGCUGGGCUCUUUGAAUUUGCAGAGAGCCCUGCUACAUCUUUUUCUUUUUCUUCUUUUACUGUUUCAUUUGUACCCUUGAUGCUCAGCUUCAAUUCUUGUUUUAAUCUUGCAAUGAAGUUGCAUGUUUAGUCAAUGAUAGAUAGUGGAAUUUCUGGCAUUUGAUGAACAUAUUUGCAUGAUAAACUGGAAGGAAAUUCAUGGCAGAAAUGGUGCAGAAAAAUGGUUCUUUACGUAGGCAUGCAUGAAAAACUAAAGAAAAUUUGCAUUUUGACCCCCCAAGUUUCCCCUUGACUCACUAUGGCCCAAAUAAUUAAAAAAAUUAAUCAAUUGGGGCCCUGUGUUUUUUGCAACAAUGCUACGAAGACCCAACUAGGUUCCAUUUUCUUGCAAUAAGAUCCUAUGAUAGUUGAAAUUGAACCAUUCCUCAACCUUUUCCUUGCCUUUGGACCUUUGAAGUUCCUAAAAGUGUUUCAUUAAGCUUGAAUGUUUGGUUAGUGUUCACAUUUGAGUAUUUGGUAGCAUUAAUGUUUUAAUUCAAUUGCUUGUUUGCUUUCAUUGGUUACCAUGUUUUGCUAAGGUGAUGCUUAAUGCAGGGAUUGGUGAACCUUGUGUCUAAAUGAGCUUGUGAUUGCCUAUUUCCUUUAAUUUCCCUAAAAUAAGUUGAUUAAUUGACCUUUUCAUGCUCAUGGACCUUUUGAGUUCUAAAAUGUUUCAAAUGGCUUUGAUGGUUUGGUUAAGGGUUGCUUUUGGAUCCUUAGUUAGUUUUGCUAUUUUUGAAAUUUGAUCAAAUAACUCACUUGGCUUAUAAUUCAUACAUUAUUUGGUCAUUUCUAAGUUGCAAAGUGAGAGAGGAUUAAAUGUUUGGAUGAAUUUUGACUUCUUUACAUUUCAUCACUAUAUUGGUGCAUUAAUCCUUUGUUUGAUUGGUUUUAGCCCAAGUUAGAACCUUUUCCAGUUACUAGUUUCACGAACGGGGAAGGUAUAACUUUCUUUUACUUUUUUGUCUCUCCUAUGUGAUCCAACGUGCUAAGUGAAAUUUGCAUGUCUAUUUCGCUUUCCUAGUUUUAUUUUCAUUACUUUCAUUUAUUUCAUUUACUUUUGCUUUUUAUUUAAGUUAUUCUUUAUGGGGUAUGUGUACACCUCUUGGCUUGUAAUAGAUAGGGCUUGGAAAGCGCUUGAUGAAGGCCUAUUGAAGACGUGUGCCUAGCUAGCAAAUGUAAUAGGUCCAUUAGUUUGAUUGCUUGUUUUUGUGACUAUGUGUUAAUUUGCUUUAUUAGGUUUUUGCAUCUAGUCGAGCAUGCUAAGUGUUAUGUGCUACGUGUUUAUGAAUUUUUGGCAUGUCUACUUGCUUUCUACAGCCAUGAAUGAAUGUGAUGGAUGAAUGUACGUUUCCACUAGUCCAACGCUAGUAGGAAUUCCUAGAUAUGGGCUAGUCCAACGCUAGACCCCUAGGAGCCUCCUUCGCUAGUCCACAUUUGCAUGCCUCACUACAUUUCAUGCAUUUUUCUUAGUUUUUCCUAGCAUUUGGCAUGUUCCUCCAACCCUUCCCCUUUCAUUUUAGGCCUUUGCAUUCCAUGCUAGUAUGGGGUCCAUUUGCUUGAGAGUCCCCCUUGGGUAAGGGAAACGAGCGAGUGUGGCUUCAAAAUAGCCUUAGCACGCUAGUUUUUCCUUCUAAUCAAAGGGAAAAUUGAAAUCACAAAAUUAGAGGUCAUUCCCGUACCCGACCUGAUGCAUUCCUCUAAGUUCAUGUACUUUCAUAUCUUUUUUCAUUAUUUUCUUCACUAAUUAUAUAUCUUAAUCCACAUACCAUAUUCACACACUUCUGCACUUCUUUAUUUUUCACCUCACACAUUGCACCUAUUUUUACUUAUAUAUUUACUAUUUUUAUUCACUUGCACACCAACCCUACUAUUUUCAUACACUUGCACACAAAAAACACUUGAAUUUUAUACAAUUUCACACAUGCACCUUUUUAUGCAUUCGCACACUUGCACUUACAUUUCUUGCAUCUUUCAUACACUUUCACACUUGCACACUUGAAUUUGAACUUUCAUUUGCAUUAAUCGACCUCUAUGAGGUUUUCUUUUGUUGGCCGCCACAAUUCAUAUGGUCUGGGACCAAAAGCCUCAUAAGAGACAUCGUAGAAUUUAGGAUUGCAUUUUCCUUUCCGUUUUGCAUUCAUAUAGUCAUAUCCAACGUGCGAUACAUACAUUGGGUAGAAAAUUAGGAAAGGUAAGGUUAAGUCGCGCAACUAGCCUUGGCUAGGUCAAAGGGGUGCCUUGGAUUCUAUCCUUGCCUUCCCCUUUGUCAAACGUGUCUCCCGAACAUUUUUCUUUGGCUUACGUGGACUAGGAGUCGUUUUUUAAAGGGUUUUACUACUUUGUCUUUAAAAAUUUAUUUUUUAGGUGACUUGGUACACCUUAAUCAUUACCAAGUGGCGACUCCAAUUUCUCAUUCAAAAACCCUUUUUUUUAAAAAAAAAAACUAUUUUUUGGGUCAAAUCGUCGCUUUUUCAAGUCCCAUAUUAGACCCAUAUCUUUUUUCAACUCACAAAAAUCAUUUUUGAAUCAAAAACAUCUUUCUCAAACCAUUUUAUUUUUCUUAUAAAAAAAUGGGGCGCGACAGUUGGCGACUCCACUGGGGACUUCCUAAGUGGGUCCAAGCAUUUUGACUUAACCAUUUGUUUCCUUUUUCUACCCUUUCUAUGCAUGGCAUGUGGAUAUUAGGAUUGCAUUUUUCAUUUUUAGGACCUUUUGUCUUAUGUACGUAAUCAAACCAAUCCCUCGACCCACGAAUGUAUGUUUGAAUGAAUGUUUACUUGUUAUCUCGCGCUUGUAUUGCAUUUGGGUGGGGGACAUACCCUAGAGCCUCGUGUUGGGUUCUUGAUCCCUCCCCUCCAAACGAGCACUAGCAUACGAGCAUACGCUUUAAUUUUUUCACCCUUCAUUUAUUUUUCUUUUAGUGGCUUGUCAUGCCACUCCACCCUAUUAGGAUUUUAGGUGACCCACUUGGACAUGUGAUCGUAUCACGACGUGUGCGUAGCAUGAUCCGAGGGGUCACUCGAUCUUCCGCUUUAAACUUUAGGUUGAUGACCUAUUAGUUUUUAGUUGAAGGUUGAGGAUUUUUUUUAGAUUCGCCCAGACGGGUAGCCGUAACACGACGUGUGCGUAGCAACGUCUGGGGAAUCGCUCGAGCCACCGACAAGGAACCUUGGGAGUGAUGACCCUUGGUUUCCAAGUCUGAAGGCUCGGGGACCUAUGACUUAUCGAGUCUAGAUGCAUUAGUGAGCCCCAACCUCAUGCAUCCAUUUUAGCUUGCCUAUAGUAGAGUCGGCCUUACCCUAUUAGGGACACCAUUCACGAGGGGAGUGAUCCCACCCUCUUUCCUUAUUUCUUUGUUACUUUUAUAUCAUCUAAUUGUCCAAUGUGUUAUGUGAUUAUGUGUUGAACUAACGUUUCCUUGUUUCUUAUCUUUUGCAUUCACAAACAUUAGGCAAAUAAGAGGUCUGGCAUGACCUUCUUUUAGAACCUACCCUUGUAGAUAGGUUAUUGCACGCUUAAAGAUUUUGGUAUAUUGCAUUCAUAGAUUAAUAAUUGCAUAGCAUUCUAAGCCUACCUUGGCGUAUAAAAGGUCCUUUAGGCCAUACUUGUCACAUAUUUACCACUUUAAUAAAUGGCAUCCUGCAUUAAACCCUAGAAAGGGAAUGCCAUUUAGGGGAUCCCGUGUUAGGAAUAAACUGCCUUGUGUCUCGGAUACUUAAUCCAAAGAGACUUGCACGUUUACAUUUUGUACCAUCCAAAGGGGUAGUGCACAAGGUAAGGUAGGAUCCGAUCGUCUUCAUAGGAGCGAUCUUUGGACUAUGAACGUCUAAUAAAUCACCUUUUGGCCGUUGUAUCAAAAUGGUAAGAAUCCCUUGCUUAAAGGACAUUAAUUCGAAGAAAUUCAUAAAUAUUUCCUUACUAUUGAGACAAUAAAUGAAUGGAGGCCAAAUCGUGAUUUUAGAAGGCUCAUAGACUAAUUUUUUUGAAACCACCAAUGGCCGGACGAUUCAAUCGAUCCAUUUUGUCAAUUCAUUAUCAAUUUUAAAUAAACCAUUCAUUUGACCAAUUUACCCUUUUUGGGUGAUUUGGCCGAUUUUUGAGUAAAUCAUUAACUUCAUUUCAUUCAUUUGACCAAUUUACCCCUUUUAGGGUCAUUCGGUCGAUUUUGAAUAAAUCAUCAAUUCAUUUGACCAAUCUACCCUUUUUAGGGUCACCUGGUCGAUUUUGAAUAAAUCAUCAAUUCAUUUGACCAAUUUACCCUUUUUAGGAUCAUUCGGCCGAUUUUUGAAUAAAUCACCAAUUUCAUUCAAUUCAUUUGAUUAGUUAGGGCUUUUUUGUCGAUUUUCGAUAAAUCAUCAAUUUCGUCCGAUUCAUUUGCCAAAUUUACCCUUUUAGGGGGAUUUGGUCAACUUUGAAUAAAUUCUCGAUUUUAGUCAAUUCGUUUGACCAAGUUCCUUUUUAGGAUGAUCCGGUCAAUUUUGAGUAAGUUUUAAAUUUUACUCAAUUCAUUUGACCCGUUCCCCUUUUAGGGUAAUCUGGUCGUUUUUAAAUAAAGGGUCAAUUUCAUUUAACCCGUUUGACCAAUUAGGGUUUCGAUAUCGAAUUCCAAAUUGGGAAAUCUAGUCGAGUUUUGAAGAAAACCGUCCAUUGCAUCCAAUCAUUUGAUCAAUUAGGGUUUUGACCCGUGAUUCACUGAGAAAUUUUAUCAACGAAUUCCAAUCUCUUUGAUAGGAAGUUCGUCAAGGUCAAACCCGUGCGUUUUUUACAAAAUCUUGUAUCGAUCAAAAGUGAUCAAUCCAUUCGGACGUUGUCUUCAUUUUGACAAAUGUCUCUCGUCACUCCAAUUGACCAAAUUUUUUAAAAAAAUUGUCUUUCACUCAAGGAAUUGAUCAGAUCCAUCAGGUACGGUAUAGUGCCUACCUCAGAGGAUUGCAUUUUCAUGCUGGGCCUACCCUUGGCACAAAAAGGGUUCCCCCAUAGGACAUGCAUCUGAAUUUUCUGGAUAUCUACUAACUCUUGUCUUUUUCUUUUCUUUUUCUUUAUUUUCUUUGGAAUAACUAAGCGAGGGUUGAAUCUAAAGGCAGUCUUUCAAAAAUUCUCAGGUAAUAUUUAAACAUAGCUUCUCGUCGAAGCCCCAUCAUAACACGAUCCCGUAGUCAAGCUCAGAGGAGUCGUGUAAACAUGAUUUCACAACCUGAACAAGCAGAUAGGUCUACUACUACCAUUCAACACGAGACUGCGAGUUUGGGGGUUCAGUUGACUGAGAUGCUCACUAAGUUCGACAAGAUGACCACUGAGAUGGCGGCCCAAAGGAAAUUGAUUGACGAGCUAAUCAGCAGCGGAGUUCAACCCGAACCUAUACCCGUCAAGCAGGCUGAGCAAGAGCCAUUCGUCAUCCCUUCAACUCAAGUCACCGUUAUUCCAUCUUUACCUAUUCCACCCGAAGGAACUUUCACAUAUCCCACCAUACAUUUGCCAUACACUUGCCCUUCUGAUCCUUCAUUCUUCCCUACUUACAUGCAAGGCCCACAACCCCAAAUCACUUCGAAUAUACCUCCUAAGCCGCAUACCUUUUAUCACGAUACAGCUGAGCCUUUCUUACCAGACCAUACCAUUCAAACCAAGCCAGAAAUGGGGGAAUCCUGUGCUCCCAUUGAUAUAAAGCUGCUCAAACGCCUUGAUCGUUUUGACGAAUUCAUAAGGAAAAGUCAGGGGUUGAACAAACAAAGAGUCCUGGAUUACGAUGAACUUUGCCUUUUCCCGAAUGUGCAAUUACCUGAGGGGUUCAAGACCCCGAAAUUCAACAAGUAUGAUGGAACGGGCAAUCCCAAGACACACCUCAGAUUGUUCGCCAACAAGUUGGGUAGGCCAACAGAUGAUGAAAAUCUGCCUUUGAGGCUAUUCCCAGAAAGUCUGGAGGGGGAUGCACUCGACUGGUAUUCCAAGCUGAAACCCGAAGAAGCAAAGACCUGGUUUGACUUGUCCAACGCUUUUGUAAGGCAGUACGAGUAUAAUUGCGAGCUGGCUCCGACGCGAACCACGUUGGAAGGAACAAAAAGAAAACCCUCUGAGGACCACAAGACAUAUGCCAAAAGGUGGAGGAAAAUAGCUGCAAAAGUCGAGCCACCAAUGACUGAGGAUGAAAUCAUACGCAUUUUCAUUGAGGCACAUGAUCCGCCAUACUUUGAAGAAAUUUUCCGCAUGACUGGAUGCUCGUUUGCCGCUAUUGUCAAUAAGCUUGAAGAGUUCGAUGACUUCGUGAAAGCUGGGAAGAUUGUUAAUGUCUCUGCCCUUAAAUCCCAGUUGGAUACCUUGCAAAGCCAAAGUAGUAAUGGGAAGAAGCAACAAUUCAAAAAGCAAGAGGGGAAACUGCUUUUGUCUGGAAUCAAAACCCUGUCUCAAAGCCCAGACGUCGACAAUACCCUACCCACUCAAAUCUUUACCCUUACUAUUCAAACCCUCAUCCUGUUUACCAUACCAAUACCACUCAUCCUCAACCUCGACCAAAUUACCCAAACACACCCACAACACCAUUUUAUAUCUCCCCACAUAACUUUCAAACUAGACCUUGCUCUCCUUAUCAUCCAAGACCAAUCUUACCCGUCAACCAUAACUACAACUAUCAACAGACCGCUGGCACCCAAGACCCGGCCCGAUAUAGAACUUUUACCAAUCUAGGUCGGCCCCUCGAUCAACUAUAUGAGCAGCUCAAGGCCGCGGGGAAAAUUGGUACAAUACCUCCUAAAGUCUAUACUAAAGGAGUUCCCCCUGGUUAUAAUCCUCAAUCUUUUUGUGCUUAUCAUUCUGGAGCUUCUGGGCAUUCUACUACCAAUUGUUGGGUACUUAAACACAAAAUCCAAGACAUGAUUGAGGCCGGAGACAUAAUUUUGAAAGGGAGGGAAGAACAAGGACCAAAUAUAAAAACAAAUCCUUUUCCUAAACACAAGGACACCUUUGAGGCAUCCACCUCCAAUGACGAAAUUUGAAGGUCUUGAAAGAGCUCUGCACAAUUUGGAUGGCUGACUAUCUUCCCUCUCGAAGGGAAUUUUGAUAAGUCUAGGGGUUGUCAUUUGCUAAAAUUCAUGAAAACUUUUUCUUGCAUAUGUGCAUAGCUUAAUGAAAGCGUCUUUUGCAAUUGAGUUUUGUUUUGUUUCCGCUUUGAUUUGGAGUUUCAUGAAAUGCACAAUUUGAUUAUUUGUUUAUUUGUUUAUUGUUCUGGUUUUUGUUAAUUCUUUGAAAUGGCCAAAGGUGAAGUUAUUUGACUCUUUGAAUAUCACUGUUCUGGAAUUUGAUAAAGCCCUUCAUUGAAAAUUCCUCCAUUAAAAAGCCCUCAUUGAGAAAUUCCUUCCUUGGGAAAGCCUUCAUUGAGAAAUUCCUUCAUUGAGAAUGCCUUCAUUGAGAAAUCCUUCAUUGAGAAAACUUUCAUUGAGAAAAAUCAUUAAAAAUCCCUUCAUUGAAAAAUCCCUUCAUUUGCGAAAUCCCUUCAUUGAAAAUUUGCGAAAUCCCUUCAUGGAAAAAUCCUUUCAUUUGAGAAAAUCCCUUUUCGGCCGGGUUGGAAGCUGAUUUGUUAAAGCAGUGUCAUUAACGAUUGAUUCUGAUUGAUGAAAAGCAGUUGAAUGCUAUGUGCCAUGACCAACGUUGUCAAAACGCAUGACCUAUGUUCAUAACAAAAGGAUCCGCCACCGAUCUUCUGAAAAGGAAACAAAGUGCUAAAGCGAUGAAAGACGAAGUCGAAGGCAAAUUUGCUUCAAAUUGACAAAGUUUAUUGGGUGUUCAAAGGAGAGAUAGAAGGACAGACAUUCCCUUAACCUAUCAACUUGGACAUGUGUAAGAUGUUCUUUAUUUGAUUAUGCAAAGUUUCUUUUAGGAAAUCAUGCAAGGGGCGAGGCAAAAGUCAGGCCAUCUUCCUUUUCAAUCAAAACAUUUCAUCCCUAGUCAUCCCCUUUGAGCUAUCAGAACAAUAAUUUUCGUUUGGCAGCCCUUGAGAAUUGCAAACCCCACACUGGGGCGAAUUCAUUUUGAAAAAUGAUCAGAAAGGAAAGAAAACCCCACACUGGGGCAAAUGUAUCUUCGAAAGAGAUAUGGGAAAAGAAAGAACCCCACACUGGGGCAAAUUCAUUUUGAAAAAUGAUCAGGAAGAAAGAACCCCACACUGGGGCAAAUUUAGUUUUUGAAGAAAAAUGCAAUGCAAAGAAAAAAGAAAAAAAAAAGAAGAGAAAAUGCAAUGAAAAGUACAAAGAAAGGAAAAUUCAAUCAAGCUGGGGCAAGUUUUCCUCGGUUUCGUUCAAAAAUUAGAGAUAAUUUCAAAAUGAUGCAAUCUCAGUUUAUUUCACACCUUUCAUCAGACCUGCUUUCAAGCCUCAACUUUUCUUGAAAAACACCCCACCUAACCUCAUUACAAAAGCCCAAAAGUCCUGGCUUUCGUCACUUGCUGCAUUUCUAUUAGGGAUUUUGCUAAUCAACUGGCACGUGAUGUCCAUAAUGCCUUCGUUAAGUCUAUAAGGGAAGCGCAUUUUUACUGAUGCCAGCAAUCUUCAACUUACAUUCCUGAGUCGACUAUGGUUGAGCUCUUCCAUUAUUUCAUUAGGUGAAAAACCCACAAGGGCACCUCAAGAGAAAAAGAAAAAAGAAAAAAAGAAGAAGAAAGAGAAAAGAAAAACCAACAAAAGGGUGGGGGGCAACCUUGGUGAAAACCCGAAUGGGCGCCAAGGUAAGUUUCUGCAAUGAGCAAGCACAAAGAAGAACAAGUGGUGGUUUGGUCCAUUUGGAUUUCUUCUCAUUUUUGUCAUACCUCUGACAACAUUGAAUUCCGGAGCUAAGAUAUCCAGAGAUUUGAAUAUGACAUCUGUUGGACAAAAGCCGUGUCAUUUUGUAAAAAAUAUUCUUUUGUAAAUACAUUCUUAGGAAACUCAUUUUUUCCAAAUUACUUGCAUUCAUGGCAUUUUUUGUAGAAUUUAAGCACAAAUGGUUAGGUGUGCAUUCUUGUACAUAUUCAUUUUUACAUGACAUGUGAAUUUUCUUGCAUACCUCAUUCUUUAUCAUUGAAUUGUGGUGAAUGACAAUCCCCGUGGUUUAUUGCAAAAGUAUGCUUGGAUUCAGUCAUCUUUUGGAAAUAGUUGAAAUUCAGCCAAGCCAGCUACACAAACUUCAUAAUAGGGCAAAGCACAUACCUGGUCAGUUUGAAAAUCGGAAGAGUCUUAGGGUGAGAAAUCCAACUCAAUCGGCUGCCGCAGCAAAAGUUGAUAAAAGCGUCGAAAGACUCAUGUUUACACGAUUCUCAAAGGAAAACGGAUCAAAUGGUGGUGGCAAUUUCUUUGUUUUUCUCUUUUGCAGGAAAAUUGCAUGCACAAAUGAAAGUAGUCACACCUCGCACUGGAAUCGGUGUCGGAAAAGUCCUCCGGUAAACAAAGGCAGAUCAAAAAUAUUGCAAGCAAAUCUGAUCAAAAGGUGCAACAACAUCAACUAUGGACCCAAAAUUGCAGAAAAUUCACCAUACUGGGGCAAAUUUUUGGGAUUUCGUGAAGCCAGAAUCUUACGAAUCAAGGUCUCAAGGAGGAGCAACCAUAAUACAAAUCAAUUGAUCGGUUGCACAAAUUGGGGGAGACUGGGGCAAAUUAUUUUGACAAGAUUCUCUCAAUCAGGAUUUCUGGAAAAAUCAAAUUCAAUUUCUUGUUUUUUGAAAAAUCACAUUGAAUUCUUGUUGGCAAUAUCUCAGCGCCCGCCGCGCUCUCUUCUAUCUUCCCCUUUUGACAAUCACACUUAAUUGCUUGACCAAUUGGACGGCAGGACCGGGUUUUAUCCCGCUGACCGCUUACUUCGGCAGGACCGGGUUUUAUCCCGUUGACCGCUUACCUCGGCAGGACCGGGAUAAAGACCGCUUACCUCGGCAGGACCGGGUUUUAUCCCGCUGACCGUCCACAUCACGGCAGGCUCGGGUUUGAUCCUACUGUCCGAUUGUCAAGACGUUUCAUUUUCAUUGCCACUAGCCGUGGGUCAGUCCCACUAGUGAGCAUUUCAUUUGCAUCACUAACAAACAUGGGUCAGUCCCAUUAACACUUCAUUUCACUUCUUUCAUUUGUAUCACCAAUGAACAUGGGUCAAUCCCACCAACACUCUACCUCAAUUCAAUUCAUCAAUUUUCUUUUAUUCGGGCCAAUCCCAUGAUUUUCAUUUUAUCCGGGUCAGUCCCAUGAUUUUCGUUUUAUUCGGGUCAGUCCCAUGAUUUUAAAUUUUCUGUUCGGGCCAGUCCCGUUUAAAUCCCGUGGGUCUAUCCCAUUUAAAUUUUCUGUAUGGGUCUAUCCCAUUUAUAUUUCUGCCCGGGUCUAUCCCAUUUAAAUUUCUUGUUCGGGUCUAUCCCGUUUAAAUUCUGUUCGGGUCAGUCCCGUUUUAAAUUUCCUGUUCGGGUCAGUCCCGUUUUAAUUUCAUGUUUGGGUCAGUCCCAUUUUAGAAUUCCUGUUCGUUAAAUCAUUCGUAGCCGAAUAACACAGGUAAGUAUUUGGUGUCUACUUCUUUGUCUCAAGUUUUUUCAAAACUCAGACAAAGAGGGGCAAACUGUAGACACCAAGUUUUUUGGUGUAAUUUCUUUUACUUUUUAUUCUCAUUUGUCGUGGUUGCUUUUUAGUUUUUUUUUUUUUAGUUUAGUUCUAGUUUUAUUUUAUUUUUAAGUAGAAAAAUCAUGAAAAAGAAAAAAAAAGGAGGAAAAUUUGUUCACAAAAAUAUGUUUAUUUCUUUAAAUUCAACCUUUUUGCACUUUAGUUAUUUUUAUUAAGUUAUUUUGAAAAAAAAAGGAAAAAAGAAGAAAAUUUGAAAAAUGGACAUUUUUGUUGUUUUUAUUUAUUUAGUUUGUUUUUUUUAUUUAUUUGUUUUCAUUCUUAUUAUUAUUACAUGGUUUUGUCAUUUUGUUAUUAUUAUUAUUAUUAUUUAUAUUAUGUAUUUAUUAAGUUAAAAAAAAAAAAAAAAACCAACCAACGCGCAGCAUGCAAGCUGCGUUUUUGCAGCAGCUUGGAAGUGAACUUUGGGGAGAUCCUUAGUUGCAAAUAUAUCAGAAAGGGCUGGGGUUUAGGUUUUGGGGUUGCCCAUAUAAAAGCUAAGAGAGUGGACAGCCGCAAGAAAAAAAAAAGAAAAGAAAAAAACUAAAAAAGAACGGGAACCGAAGGCAUGAGAAAAGAUUGAAGGGACGGCUGAGAAGGAAAAAAGGGAGAGAAUGUUUAUGCUUGGGAAAGAAGAAAAGGUUUCAGGGUAAACAAAACAGAGGGACACGGCUAAAAAUCUGGAGGGAAUUUUAUAGGGAGUGACGGUUAUAGACAGAAAGAGGGAGAGAGAGAAUUGAAAGGAGGAGCAGGAGUUGCGGCUGCAUCCGGAGGAGGAAGACCGACGUGAGGAAGAGACUAGGAGGCUUGUUUUUCCAGAAGUUCCAUAGAAGUUUGAUGCCGGCUCAUUUCUUUUGACUUCAGCCUUGUCAAAAAUCUUUAUCAGGUAAUCCAUUGAACUAAAGGUUGCACCUUUGGUCCUCCUCUGUGUGCGUAGGUUUGGCCUGGGAAUUUUUGUGAUUCCAAACUUCAAGAUUCAAUUUUGAUUGUUGCCUUGGGUUAGAAAUUUGGUAUUUGUUUGGAUUUUGGCAUGAAACCCAGUGAUUGCAAUUUAGGAAACCAGUUUUCUGCUAGAAUGAUGCAUGAGUUGUCGAACCUUUUGCUGCUGGUUUAUUAAGUUUGUUCCAUAACAUUACCAUGUUUGCUCUUUGCUGUCUUUCUUGCCUUUGUCGUCUUUUCCUCCUGUUCUAUAUAUCUUAGACAUGAGUUUUGAAAUAGAAAAGCGUUGGUCAUAUAUUUUUGGCUGGGGAGGGUAGUGCACGGAAAUCUACUGCAACAAACAACAGGCUCGAGGUUGCUGCUUUUGUUGCAAGCGAUUGGACAAAACUAUUUUUUGGGUUAGACUGAGAUCCUGUUUUGGCUUGAGUUUCAUUUGGGUUUGCUUGCUAAUGUUAGAGACGCUGAGCAUAUGCCUUGCUGUAUUUUACGGCAGCAAGAUGCGGUGUCACACCAAGCUGCAAUAUGUCAAGACCAUUUGUUGCAGCCAUAGAGUCACUUUGCUAUACUUUAUAUCUAGUUGCUAUGAUUAGUUCUUUUAAGAAUAGAUGUUUGUGGUGGAGUAAGGUUCAUAACAUGAGUUGAAGGUCUUGCUUUCCUUUUCGUUUUUGCUGCAUCGAUAAACAUCACUUGGACUGUUCAGUUUUUGCAUGCAUGUUGUCCGACCAUUUGAUGUCUAAAUUUACAAGUUUCAUGGUGCAAAGUGGGAAUAUUGUGUGAUAGUUGUGUUAGGAUUGGCACUGUUUUAAUGUUAAGUUGAAAAGCUGGAUGAUGAAUCUGAUUUCGGCAACUUGAGGCUAAAGCUUGUGGCUAAAGAAUGAAAAUUGCGGCUGGGCUCUUUGAAUUUGCAGAGAGCCCUGCUACAUCUUUUUCUUUUUCUUCUUUUACUGUUUCAUUUGUACCCUUGAUGCUCAGCUUCAAUUCUUGUUUUAAUCUUGCAAUGAAGUUGCAUGUUUAGUCAAUGAUAGAUAGUGGAAUUUCUGGCAUUUGAUGAACAUAUUUGCAUGAUAAACUGGAAGGAAAUUCAUGGCAGAAAUGGUGCAGAAAAAUGGUUCUUUACGUAGGCAUGCAUGAAAAACUAAAGAAAAUUUGCAUUUUGACCCCCCAAGUUUCCCCUUGACUCACUAUGGCCCAAAUAAUUAAAAAAAUUAAUCAAUUGGGGCCCUGUGUUUUUUGCAACAAUGCUACGAAGACCCAACUAGGUUCCAUUUUCUUGCAAUAAGAUCCUAUGAUAGUUGAAAUUGAACCAUUCCUCAACCUUUUCCUUGCCUUUGGACCUUUGAAGUUCCUAAAAGUGUUUCAUUAAGCUUGAAUGUUUGGUUAGUGUUCACAUUUGAGUAUUUGGUAGCAUUAAUGUUUUAAUUCAAUUGCUUGUUUGCUUUCAUUGGUUACCAUGUUUUGCUAAGGUGAUGCUUAAUGCAGGGAUUGGUGAACCUUGUGUCUAAAUGAGCUUGUGAUUGCCUAUUUCCUUUAAUUUCCCUAAAAUAAGUUGAUUAAUUGACCUUUUCAUGCUCAUGGACCUUUUGAGUUCUAAAAUGUUUCAAAUGGCUUUGAUGGUUUGGUUAAGGGUUGCUUUUGGAUCCUUAGUUAGUUUUGCUAUUUUUGAAAUUUGAUCAAAUAACUCACUUGGCUUAUAAUUCAUACAUUAUUUGGUCAUUUCUAAGUUGCAAAGUGAGAGAGGAUUAAAUGUUUGGAUGAAUUUUGACUUCUUUACAUUUCAUCACUAUAUUGGUGCAUUAAUCCUUUGUUUGAUUGGUUUUAGCCCAAGUUAGAACCUUUUCCAGUUACUAGUUUCACGAACGGGGAAGGUAUAACUUUCUUUUACUUUUUUGUCUCUCCUAUGUGAUCCAACGUGCUAAGUGAAAUUUGCAUGUCUAUUUCGCUUUCCUAGUUUUAUUUUCAUUACUUUCAUUUAUUUCAUUUACUUUUGCUUUUUAUUUAAGUUAUUCUUUAUGGGGUAUGUGUACACCUCUUGGCUUGUAAUAGAUAGGGCUUGGAAAGCGCUUGAUGAAGGCCUAUUGAAGACGUGUGCCUAGCUAGCAAAUGUAAUAGGUCCAUUAGUUUGAUUGCUUGUUUUUGUGACUAUGUGUUAAUUUGCUUUAUUAGGUUUUUGCAUCUAGUCGAGCAUGCUAAGUGUUAUGUGCUACGUGUUUAUGAAUUUUUGGCAUGUCUACUUGCUUUCUACAGCCAUGAAUGAAUGUGAUGGAUGAAUGUACGUUUCCACUAGUCCAAUGCUAGUAGGAAUUCCUAGAUAUGGGCUAGUCCAACGCUAGACCCCUAGGAGCCUCCUUCGCUAGUCCACAUUUGCAUGCCUCACUACAUUUCAUGCAUUUUUCUUAGUUUUUCCUAGCAUUUGGCAUGUUCCUCCAACCCUUCCCCUUUCAUUUUAGGCCUUUGCAUUCCAUGCUAGUAUGGGGUCCAUUUGCUUGAGAGUCCCCCCUUGGGUAAGGGAAACGAGCGAGUGUGGCUUCAAAAUAGCCUUAGCACGCUAGUUUUUCCUUCUAAUCAAAGGGAAAAUUGAAAUCACAAAAUUAGAGGUCAUUCCCGUACCCGACCUGAUGCAUUCCUCUAAGUUCAUGUACUUUCAUAUCUUUUUUCAUUAUUUUCCUCACUAAUUAUAUAUCUUAAUCCACAUACCAUAUUCACACACUUCUGCACUUCUUUAUUUUUCACCUCACACAUUGCACCUAUUUUUACUUAUAUAUUUACUAUUUUUAUUCACUUGCACACCAACCCUACUAUUUUCAUACACUUGCACACAAAAAACACUUGAAUUUUAUACAAUUUCACACAUGCACCUUUUUAUGCAUUCGCACACUUGCACUUACAUUUCUUGCAUCUUUCAUACACUUUCACACUUGCACACUUGAAUUUGAACUCUCAUUUGCAUUAAUCGACCUCUAUGAGGUUUUCCUUUGUUGGCCGCCACAAUUCAUGUGGUCUGGGACCAAAAGCCUCAUAAGAGACAUCGUAGAAUUUAGGAUUGCAUUUUCCUUUCCGUUUUGCAUUCAUAUAGUCAUAUCCAACGUGCGAUACAUACAUUGGGUAGAAAAUUAGGAAAGGUAAGGUUAAGUCGCGCAACUAGCCUUGGCUAGGUCAAAGGGGUGCCUUGGAUUCUAUCCUUGCCUUCCCCUUUGUCAAACGUGUCUCCCGAACCUUUUUCUUUGGCUUACGUGGACUAGGAGUCGUUUUUUAAAGGGUUUUACUACUUUGUCUUUAAAAAUUUAUUUUUUAGGUGACUUGGUACACCUUAAUCAUUACCAAGUGACGACUCCAAUUUCUCAUUCAAAAACCCUUUUUUAAAAAAAAACUAUUUUUGGGUCAAAUCGUCGCUUUUUCAAGUCCCAUAUUAGACCCAUAUCUUUUUUCAACUCACAAAAAUCAUUUUUGAAUCAAAAACAUCUUUCUCAAACCAUUUUAUUUUUCUUAUCAAAAAAUGGGGCGCGACAAAAAGCAAUUACAAGUAGUAAAAUUUAUACCUUACAACAAGUUACACCAUACUUUAAAAGCAAUUACGAGUAGGCAAAUAUCAUUGUAAUCAUGUUAUGGGAUACCUUGCAACAAGUGUACCUUCUUGAUGUUGUCAAGCCAUCCUAAUCCUUGUUUAGGUAGACUUUCCGGAUGCUGAAACCUAUGACAAAAGCAUAUAUGUGAGUGAUGGUCGCAUAGUAUCACAAUUGUGCACAAUAGGUUUCCGAUAAUAUACAUGUUGUUAGAUGAUAGUUACGGUUUAUAGUCACAAAUGUACGCAUUGUGAGUCAGGCAUUGCAGUGUUGUAUUCCCUAUUUCAUUCAUGUAAUUUACAAUAACUCACUUUACUUAUCUUUUAUCUUUGUAUGUGUUAAUCUACUGUGGUGUAAGCGCCCAUACACAGUCGGUAAUACAGUUUAAACUGUAUGGUGUCACUACUAUCCUGCAACAAGAAUUAAAAAAAAAGCAAGUAAUAAUUACCUUCACACUAGGGGUGGGCAAAAUUAUCCGCUAACCCGAAAACCCGUCAUAUCCGAUCCGAUCCGAAAAUUAGGAUAUCCGAUUUUUAUUAUUUGAUCGGAUCAAAAGAGGAUCGGCUAUUCACUAAGAUGCGGGGUGCGUUAGGGUCACAUAAUUAAAAAUCCGCGGGUACUCGAUCCGCCCCCCAUAUAUAUAUUUUUAUUUUUAUUUUUAUACACACACUAUAAAAUAAUAAGUUAGAAUUAAAUAAGUAAUUUUAUUAAAGAAAUUGCAUUACAAAUAUGAGAGACUAUAGUUUAUUUACAAGGUUCAUUUGUAAAGGCCAUGAUCUUAUAUUUUAUAGAAAAAAGUUUAAUUAAUGUGGAACAUAUAUAUUAAAAAUUGUGCUACUUAUUUCAAACUUUUAUUGAUUUUGAAUUGUUUUAAUUUUUUUCCUUUAUCUUAUAUUCUCUUCAUAUGCCUGUUUCUUAGUGGGAAACCUUUUUGUAGAAAAAAAUUAUUAAAUUUUAGAUGAAUGUGUAAAAUAUAAAAUUAAAUUGAUAUAAAUCAUUUUUUAUAAAAAUUAAAUGAUAAACGGGGCGAGACGGGUACCCGCUGAUCCAACCCUAUCUCAGCGGGUUAUAGGGUACCCGCUGAUAUUCGGGACGAGUAAGGGUCAGAAAAUGGCUGACCCGCAAGGUGCGGGUCGGGUCAGAAAAAUGGUGAAUGGGGCGAGCACCCGCCCUGCGCCCACCCCUACUUCACACUCUCCCUGUUAUUUUAUAUACCUAUAAACAUCCUAAGUCGUUUAAUUCGUCUAUUGAGUCAAAUUUACAAACACUUGGCAUGCAUAAGUUCUCUGUGUAUACGUUCUUUAAGUUAGCUUUCAAUGUAUCCAACUUGUGCUACCCAUAUGAUUUCCUUGUUUAUGAGUUUUCGCUAGAGUUUCAAUUUUAUUAUUCAUGUCACACUGUCUUAAACAAGUUGUACAAACAAAAUCAUGCAAGUAAAUUCAUCCCCCUGCUAUCGCAAAACAAGUCAAAUAGUGCAAUGAGUUUGCAAUAUUCUUACCUUUGGGUUUAGUCCAAUUCGAUUGAGUCUAUCUCUGCUUCAGAUCUCACCAACUUCCGUCUUUUGGCAGCCAUUAUGAAAAAUUUUUGUCCCACAACAGUUACUUCUUGUGUCCCCUCAGUAUAUUUCUGUAACACUUUCUCCAAAAACUUCUCAUCUUAAACUUUCCAAUUUGGGGUAGGGAUAUUAUUUUGCUGAUACUCUGGAAUUGUGAAUGAAUGUUCACAAGAUAUAUUUUUGGAGGGAGACCAAAAUUCUAUUUCAUUUGAACAUUUCAGAUGAAGAGUCAUGCCUCAUUAAUUUGGGCGGGAAUUUUUGGAACGGACAGCUAAGGUAUUUUAACGGAGCCCAUUAGCCCCUGAAAUUUUUUUUUAUUUUUUUCCCUACUCACUUACUAAAACAACGUCAUUUUCCUUUGCUGUUGCCACAAUUAUACGUGGCCUGUUGCAGUCCUCUCAUUUCCUUUUGUGAGAGAACUGCUCAGGCGGAUCGUCCCUGCCCCAAAUCCAAUUUUGCACAAGAUGUUUGAUUUAUCCUACAUUGCAAACACUUUAUUCAUAGAUGUACCCCCUGAAUUCAUGUGAUGUAGUUAUGAAAGCAAUGUAAGAUGAUAAACCAAUUAUUAUUAUUGAGGGAAUGCUUUGGGAUCCUACCAUAUACCUCAAGGAUAAUGAUAGUAAUUUGCCAAUUCAGAUGCCAACAAAAGAUGAAGAGUCAUAGCCUUUGAAGGAAGAUGGCAGUCAGGGAUAGAGAGAAAAAAUGAUUCAUAUCCUAAGAAUGUGAAGUCGAGACAAGGAAACAUCAACUGAUCAGUUGAUUACAGUUGCAGGGAUUCUUGAAUCUAUUGAUAUCCUUGGAACCAAUCCUGGGAAGGAAGUUGAGACCAUUAAGGAUCCAGUAGCUGAUAAAAUUCCCUCUGUUAGAAAAGAAUAAUCUGGUCCAUGACCAAUUAUCAUUCCAAUUGUCCUAAGGAUGGUUGAGUUUGAUCAUAUGACCUUACUAGAGGUGUGAAUAUAUAUAUGCAAUCUUCUAAGGAGAAAUGCCAAAUCCAGGAGAAAACUAAGCUCGUAAGCAACUGAAAAACAAUUCAGGACUAUCUAUGUUCAUUCAAGUCGUUGGGGGUUUGACAGUUUUCAACAUAUUAGCAACAAAAGUUGGCAAGCUAUUGGACUUUCAUGUUCAAAUCCUUCUCAAAUUGAGGCCAUGAACAAGCACAAAGAUUGAGAUUUAACUGCCAAGAGAUCAAUGGUUUCAACUUUCAAAUAAUAAUUGAAGUUCUUCUCUUUUACUUGUUAACAAUGGGAAGUGACAUAUUUCUAACUUUUCUUUUUUUUUUUUUUUACCAAACAAUAGGAGACUUCAUUACUGGAAACGAAAGUUUACAACUUUGGAGCAAAGGCUCCUACAUCGUUUUUGGCAAAACUGAUUAGCCAACUUGGAAUGACUCCAUCCAAGCUAUCUCAGAAACUGAAUUUAAGGCAAACUUUGCCAACUGGUGAGACAUACUAUUCCCUCUCCUUUUAACAAAGGAGAAGACACAAAAACUAAAAUCCUUGCUAAGCACAAAGAUGUUAAACAGGACAGCACCUGCUAGAUGGUCAUUCAACCUUCCCUCUCUGAUUUGGUCAAUGAUGCUCUUACAAUCAGAUUGUAUGAUGAUAUUCCUCCAUCCAUUCUUUUUGGCCAAUGACAAGUAUAUAUUUUACGUGUUUUUAGUGUGUUCUAUUAAUUUGUUUCAGUAUGUUUUAAUUAGUUUUAUAGCUAAUAAACUAAGAUUCUAGUGAAAAUAUGCAUUUUAUGGUUUAAAGUGUGAAAAUAUGCAUUUUAUGGUUUAAAGUGUGAAAAUUGCAUUUCUAUGAACUUUUACCGCAAAAACUUCAUGUUUUUGUAGAUUUAAGGAUUCAAUCAUCAAAGGGAGAGAUUUGACAAGAUAAUUGGAUGAUUGAUACUGAUUUGAAGUGGUUUAAAGAAGACAUGAAGUGCAAGAGAGGAAAUGCAAUCAAGAACAAAAGGAAGCAAGUUUCACAGCUUUGACACCUGGUGGUAUUUCGACUAUAUCUUGAGCUACAAUGAUUGGCUGGAGGUGAUUCUUAAACCAUUUCGAAGCUCAGAGACAUAUCUACAUUUGGUAUGAGACAUCGAAGUCCAGAUCAGUCGUUUUCAUUGUCAAAAAGUUGGAAUACAGAAGUGCAAAUUCUGUGGUCGUAAGCUGGAAUAGAGCUCUAACCAGUCUUUAGUAUGUCGGUCAUAUCUUGGUCCACAGAGCUCUAAAUUGGAUGAUUCUUAAGGCAUUGGAAAGCUAACUCAAAGGGCUACAACCUUCAUGUUUUGCACAAGAGAUAGUUCGGCGUCCAACCUCAAAAAAAUAGCAGUUGAAGUAGUGCAGAAGUGAAAACGUGACUCAAUGAAAACGUGGGUUGCAGUCGCGUAUUAUCAAGUAGUGUUUUCUCACCUGUUUUCUACAACUUGCUCAUCAACUUGCCUUGCUUUCACACAAUUUUUCCAACUCAAUUCCAGCUACAAUCUCGGUUGUAUCUGAUAAAAAAAAGGUUGAAAAGUUGGAAAGACAACUUAUGGAAGAUUCAAGAGUCAAAAAUGACAACUUUAACAACUCUUCUUAACCUUGAAUUCCUCUAUAUAUAGAAGCCUUUGGAGAACAUUUUCACAACUUUGGAAAGCUAGAGAAACUCACAAAAAAUGUAGUCUUCACUAGUUUUUCUUAGUUCAUUAGUUAGAGUAGUAUAGUAUAGAAUAGUUUAGAUAGUUAUGUGUGUUAUCCACUCUUGUAUAUUGGCUAGAUUAGGAUGAAGAUAGAGAUGAAGAAGGAGGGAUUGAAACUCAUGUGACAAGGGUUAUCUCUUCUCCAACUCUUUAUCUUUUGUAUUGGAUUCUUAAGUAUGGUUAAUAUGCAAGUUUUGGAUUUGUGUUUUAAUAUGUUUAGCUAAAGUUUAUGCCUAGAGUUAUGGAUGAACUUUCUAUAUCUUGUUUGUAAUGUUUACUUGGUUAUUUGAUGAUGUUAUUUUGAGCAAGUUAUUUAUCACUUUUGCUUUUCUAAUCAUGAUUAACUGGCCAUUAGUUGUGAUUAUCUAAAGGUGUUAAGUUUGCAAUGAGAAUUGGAAUUUAACACUAGUUCAAGGAAAUGAUAAACCUAGGGAGUACACUCACGAGAGUAAAAGUGCACCUAUGUGGCUUUAGUGACUUGUUCAUAUAAUUUCAUAGAAAAAAUGAGUUUGUAAUUAAUUUCAUAACCACAAGAGUAGGUAUGGUUUAGCUAUAAGUAUAGUUGAUUCACUACGAGAGUAGGUUUCACAUACAUUAGGAAAUUAUGCCAUAACUAAUCAAGAUAAUAGCAUUCACUUAACCGGUAAUCUCAUUUGCAAGAGUAGUAAGGAAUUCUAUAUCUCUAGGAGCUUUCUAGUGCUAACUUUCAUUACUUUUAUGUUUAUGGUAGUCUAGGUAAUAAAGAAGUUCGAAAAACACCGGUAAUUGCAAUCUUCCCUGUGGGAUUAACCCUUAAUACUCUAUACUCGCUCACGAUUCGUAUAUUUGCGAUAAAUGGCGUAUGGGGUAUUUAGGAGUUUAUAAAUGUAAAACUUGAUUGUAGAUGGGUUAAUUGUAUAUGUAUACGCCGCGCACGUCAAGUUUUUGGCACCGUUGUUGGGGAAGAUUGGUCAAUAUCGAUGCUAAGAAUAACUUUAUUAAUUUAGACAUUUUUACUUGUUUUUGUAGUAUUUAGUGUCUUAAUUUUUGUUUUUAGUGUCUUUUUGAGUCGUGGUAUAUGUUUUUUAUGUGUUUAGAGUCAUCUAUUUUUCUUGACUAAACUUGUUUUUAAAUUACUUUGAAAGAAUGUUUAAGGGUUCAAGAAGAGUAGAAAACAUGAGGAGACAAUGCAUGAGAAGUGGAAGAUCGGCAAUGGAUGGUUACUACGUGCAAAGCUCCUUGAAUAGAGGUAACCAUGAAAUUACCGAAGGUAUGCCAUUUGAAGAUGGUUUAAGGUGCUUAGAGGCUAAAUUUGAUGUUAUAACGUUACAAAUUCAAAUAGACACUUUUAUGCAUGAAAUUGAGUAAAAGAGGAAUGUUAAUGCUUUUAAUUCUUAUCAUAUGAUUUGUGACUUGUGUGGAGAUUAUCAUGCUACUAAUACAUGUAAACAAGCACAAAAUUAGAUUAUUUUGAUGAAUUGGGCAUUGCAAUCCUUGUUUUGAUCAAUAUGGUGAUAAUUUGAGCAAUUCUUAUGCUUAUGGUGGGGAUAAUCAAUGUACUUAUAGUGAUUUUUCAUUUUUUUAUGAUUAUCCAUCCGAAUGUAUCCAAUAUGAAUCAAAACCAUCUUGAAAAUUGGCAAUAGAAAGGUUAGCUAAUGCAACUUUACCUUUGGAAUUAGAGAGUGAACCAUUAGCUAACAAUUCCAAGCCAUCUUAGGAGUUAGCAUUAGAAAAACUAGCAAAUGCAACUUCCGACCGUUUUGAUAGGGUUGAGGAAAGAUUAGAUGAAUUAGCUUCUCAUUUUAGUAGAAUACAAGACCAAUUAUAUGCAUUGUGUGAAAUUAUUUCUUCUAAUGAUAUGCAAAAUGAUCCUAGCGUGAAUUGUGAGCAUGUUGCAAAUGAAAUGGAUUAUAUUUUGAUGAAAAUGAUGAAUCUCAAUUGAGUUUCGAUGAAAAAAUGCCCAUUUCACAUGAUAGUACCUUUAGAACUAACCUUGAACCUCAAGAGGUGAGACUUAACGAUUCAUUUUUAAUCCCUCUUGAGGAGUAUGUUGAGAGUAUAGGUUUUAAAGGUAUUAUUCCCCAAGGAAGCCAAGUUGACGUUCCUUUGAUGAGUUCUCAAGUGGUACAUAAUCAAGAUAAAAUAUAUGAAAUACUUGAGAUAGGUAAGCUACUUCUACCUCUCACAUCAUUAGAACAUGUGACUUUUGCUAUAAAGUCACCUUUUAAUGAUCCACCACGACCUAAAUGGUGGAUUAUUCAUUGACAAAGCCUCUUUGAAAAAUGAGGCAAAAUAGUCGAGCCAACAACUAUAAACAAAAGCGCUUGUUGGGAGGCAACCCAAUGUUUUGGCUAUUUAUAUCAUUUUGGUGUGAUUUUAUGUUUAAAUUAUAUGUUUGAGUUAUUUUGUUGUUUUGCAUUUGUAGGUAUUGAAAAUAGAAGCAAAAGUGACCAAAUGAGAUGAAAAAGGCGAAGUUCAAUCAAGGAACUCUACCCCUUGAUUUGUGCUAAAGGUGUAUUUGAUCUAUUCAAAAAGGGUAAAAUACAUGUUUUAAUCGUUUUACAUGUGCGUGCAUUGAUAAUUUUGGCAAAGAAUGAUCUAUGAUACAUUUUGAGUAAUUGGAGUAACAUGUGUAAUUUUCCAAAGUUGGCAUUUCUGCAAAAAUUUGCAACAGAAAAUGUGGAUGACUUGAAAACGCUCCAUCGUGCCACGUUUUACACGAGCCAAGUUUUCAAUUUUGCAAUUUUUGUAUAGAAAAUGCAGCUUGAAAACGCUCCAUCAAGCCACGUUUUACACAAGCCACAUUUUUAGUACUGCCCCAGAAGGAAGAAACGCGGCUUGGAAACCCUCCAUCAAGCCACGUUUUCAGUUAUGCCCAGAAGGAAGAAAACGUGCCUCACACAAAACGUGGCUCGAAGGCACGUUUUGUCAAGUCAUGUUUUCCCUUCAUGUCCGAAUGCUAAAAACAUGAGAUCUGGUUCAUUCUUCUUUUCCUUACGUAUUCCCUUGUACCUUGAGUAGUUUAUUGUGUAUUUUCUAUAGGUAUAUUACCACCACAAAGGCUUAGGAGUUACGGAUGGCCUUUAUAUGUUUAUUAAUGCCUUUGUUAUCGCCUUUGUUUCUCAUUUUUCAUUUUUUUAUAUCACUAAUGGUUAUCUAAUGGAACUAAUGAAGUUGUGGGGAUAACCGGACAAUGGCUCAUGAUCUUAAUACUUUGCGCACUUCAAUCACAUCAAUAGGGGAAUAUUACUUUCUUUAUCUUGGUUUCCCUUUUUACACAUUGAGGACAAUGUGCAUGUUAUGUGUGGGGGGAAGAAUUGAUAUUAUAUGCAUUGUAUGUGAUUGACUUGUUAGUUCCAAAAUUGCAAAAUUACCCCAAGAAAUUUCAAAUUUUUUCAAUUUUAUCCAAGGGGUAACAAGUUCCAUGUCAUUAGUAAUUCAAAUUCCUUCUACUUUUGAGAUAAAUAUAUGUGACUUGGAAAUGACUUUUCUCAUUUAACUUGGAAAUGAUUAUUAUGCGAUCAAUUUGUGCACUUAUAGAAAAGUAUAUCUUGUAAAGUGGAGAAAAUUAUGCCUACAUUUUGCAUAUUUGAGAAAAUUUCUUAUCUUUAUUUGAUUUUACAUAGUUAAGUGAUAAGUAUGGUCAAUAAUUGCAAUCCUCUUCUCAUGAUUAUGCUUUUGAGGAAAUGUUAUUAUCUUUACUUUGAAAAAAAAAAUGAAAAAAAUGUAAAAAAGAAAAAAAAAGAGAAGAAAAAAAAGAGAGAAUAAAAAUUGCUUUACUCUAAUGGUUCUUGUAUUUAGUAACUGGGAGUCUUCAUCUACAAAUGUCGACUUUCGCGUAAAACGGUAGUUGAAUUAAGAGUAUGCAAAACAACUUGAGUAUGUGAAGUGUUGAGUAACCGACGAUUUUCAUCUAAAAAUGUCGAUCAUCAUUUAAAAAGGCACUUUCAUAAUUUGAAUAAUAUUUAUCUAUAUUAUAUGAAUAAAUCCUCUCUAAGUUAAAUAAGAAGAUGAUCAUGGGUUUAGAAAGUAUUUUAUUGACCAUAUGAGUUACUUAUGAAAUUGGGUGAGGAUAAGAAAUGGAAUUGAACUAGUUAAAUUUAAGGUAUAUUGGCUCUCCUUUACUUGAUAUUAUGAGUAUUUGAGGAUUAAUGAAUAAUUGUAUAAUGGUUGUUUACUUUGUUUUGAGAAAAUGAAGUUGAUGGUGCACAUAUCUUUAUUUUCAAAACUUUGAAUCAUUAUUGGUAUGUAUUUCUAAUUGUUGAAGACAAGAUGUGAGGACUCGAAAAUCUAUUAUUUUUAAAUCCCUAAUUUUGGCUUAAUUAAUUAUUUAUUUGGAUUUUUGCCAUGAAUAAUAUUUUCUACCCUUAUUAGACCUGAGUACAUGGUAUUAUAGUUUCGUUAUAUUUUUAAAGUGUCUCGUUUCAAAAAUUAUUUUCUUAGAAGCUUGUUUAGUGAAAAAGUGAAAACGCGUUUGGAAAAUUUAACCAAUUGGGAGUACAUUAAGCCCUGAAAAUUGGAGACAUGUACAAUGGUCUUAAAAUAGGUAAAUUUAGCUUUAAGUACUCAAGUGAUAGUUAGUGGUACGAUCGUUAUAAGAAUUUAUCGAAGGUUUCACUUUAUCGCGCCUAAAUUGGUAAUACGCGUUUUCACGCGCGCGAAUAAUUGAGAGACUUUAGACCAUUAUUUUGGGACAAUUAAGAGUGAAUAAUAUUUAUAUGAAUAUAAGUGCAUUAGAGGUUUAGUGCACUAGUGAAAUAAACUCGAAAGAAAUCGAACCCAAAAUGCGCGCGUACACGCUCAAGAGAGAGUUGACUUUCGGCGAAUUGUGGCCACACAUUUAAGCUUACUUUAGAAGCUUUAUUUCAGCAUAUCACACGCCUCUUUCUUUCUCAUUUGGCCGAAACAUCAGCUGCAACAAAACAACUCCAAGUUUUGCAAAUUCCAUCUCCAAAUCUUACACAAAUCUUCAUCCAAUUCACACCCAACUUAAACCACACGUGGCUUAACACUUAAGGAUCAUUUGAGCUGCAAAGAGGAACUGAAAAUCACGGUUUUUCUGGAAUAAAGGGGGGCCAAAAUUCUGCUUGAACAUCAAACCAAAGUAGGUAAUGAUCCAGCACUCUAAACUUGGUUUAUAGAGGUUGUUUAACACCUUUAAGCUUGGAUAUUCAUACGGGUGGUUGUUAUUGUUGCAAAUUUGGAAGGUGGGCUCUAUGAACUUCCACCCUUUGUCUUGAUGGCUGAUGUGAUGAUUGAUGAUGAAUUUAAUGUUGGUUUAGUGCUCAAAAUGGUAGAUUAAUGGUGUAUUAGUAGUAUGAACUUCAAGAAAUGCAUGAGAGGAAAAGUUUCAAUUCUACCCCUGCUUUGAACGUAUCUAUUUCUGCUGAAUUUUGGGGUUGUAAUGACUUAUAUAUGAUGUUUAUAUGUUGUAUAGAUGGUGUAUUAAAAUUUCAUUGAAAAAUAUUGAGGUUUGGUGGGUCAAAUGAAUUGAUUUCACAAAGCUAGUAAAUGUGGAACUGUUCCCGUAAUGCUCUGACCAGCUUUCGUGUUUCGGCCAUAAUUUUGUGCUCCGAUGUCGAAAUCGAGUGCCGUCAAUGGCAUUUGAAACUAAACAUUCCAACCUUUCCGCCGGUAUAAAAUUCAUGUUCUGGUUCUAUGUAUGUCAGCCGAACCAACCAUUUAAAGUCGGCUGUUCUGUUUCUCUGUUUUACUGGAACGAAAUGCUGAGGCUGCAACUUGUGGCUCGAAUUCGAGCUAGUUUUGUGCCGAAUUUCAAAAUUAUUUCUUCUGAGAAAUUAUAGCUCUAUGAAUUCUUUUUCCAACGCCAUAAACCAUGACCAAUUCCGAGUUAAUUUGAGUGAUUUGUGAUCAAAAUACGGAACCUGUCCUGCUCUUGAAAACCCUGACUUUUGGACAGAUUUGAUGCAAGGCUUGGUAUAGACUUGCUAACUGAAUAUUUUGGUGUUAAACACUUACCAAAUGUACCAUGAAUAUUCCUUAGGCAUUGCCUACACUAAUGAGCCAUGUUUGAGGAAUUUUUCCUUGACCCAAUGUUUGAAAUGGAAAACAAAAUGUUCAAGGGAGUUUUGUCUUAGUAUUUUUGAAACUUUGGGUAUUUGAUUGACUACAUUUCCGAAGGUAUUUUUUCAUGAAAUUUGAUAGAGGGAUACUCUUUAUAUAGGAGUAUUAUACUGCCAAAUUUUGUACCAAUCCAAGUCCCUUUCGAUACCUAACUAAAGUCCCAAAGUUGGAAGCUCAAAUCUGGAAAUUUGUUCACCAGUUUUGAAUUUUUCCCAAACUUCGAGCUACCGUAUCUCGGUGCUCGAAACUCCGAUCCUUGAUCCGUUUUUUCAGUUAUAAACCUUACUUACAAUUCUAAUUGAUUUACAAAUUUCAGAGGCUAGCUCGCAACAUGUGAAUUUUGCCGAAUUUUCAAAGUUAGCGAAAAACCAACCCCGGCUCAAUUUUGAGUGUUCCGGAACAGCAACUUUAAACCCAUUUUUAAAUAUCUUCCACUUAGAUUCAUGGAAAAGUGUCUUCUAAAAACUUUUAGUACUUUCAAAAAAGUUUCCAACGGUACCAAGUUUUCCAAUUUUUGACAUGUAGAAUGUGAGAUACGAUUUUUCAAAAUAUCGUAUCAAAACUGAAAAUUUUUCGAAUUCCAAAGGAAGGGAGUUUUCAACCACUCCUUAUUCCUUCGAUAUUACUUGAACAUGUUAUACCUGAUUUUCUAAAAUGAAAACUCAAUCGCACUUGUACUUUAAGAAACUCUAAUUGAACCUCGAUUUACGAGUAAUUGAGAUUCAAUUUCAUGAAAUUUCCUUAGAUUGUACAAGUGUACAAUCUUCCUUGACAAUUGGGAUAUAUGAGUGAUGCUUCACUAUUAUUUGCUCAGGCGCACACGAUGACCCACAAGAGGAUCCCACGGUGGACGCUUAAACUUCGAGUGCCUUUUUCUUUUCGUUUUACUUGGUGAGUGUCAAGUGUGUGUUACUUAAACUCCUGUGAAUUCGAUACGUGAUUACUUGUUAUUGAUACUUGAGAUUUUGGGAAAUGGAGUCGAGUGUGUACUUUAUCGCAUUCGUUCUCAUUCGAAAUGAUUUAACUCAUGCUCAAAUUGCUUGAAUAUAUCGAUUGCUUGGAUACAUCGAUUGCUUGUACGAUCAAUGCUUGAUACAUGAUAUGAUAUGCUAUGGCUGCAUACGUCGGUGGAGUAAAUCUCCUCGAUACACAAUUGCACACGGGGACGCCCACAUCUCAUUGGCCGACCUUGGACUCGAGCCGGCAUGGGCUUGGUCGGGAAUCUUGGCGAGCCAUGAGAUAUAUAAGUUUGACCUAAUGAGAGGUCUUGCUUGGCAUACUCGAGUAGUAUCGCCAUAAACAAAUGACAGGAGGGCCCGAUACAGGGGUAUGUGAGGUGAAAGGGGACAGGUUAACUGGAGUUCUACAGACAAAACCUACCCGAUUGACGGAGUGUCAAUUCGUGGAGGUUAUUGAUCGUGCAAGUGGAAUAUAGCUCUUGAGAGCUCCUAUAUCCUUGAAUUGUUUCCAUUUACUUUCCGGUAAAUUGUUAAUUGAAACAUAUUAUUGCGUAGCUUGUAAUUGGGAUUGUUAUUUGAACUGCGUGCUUGCAUGUGUGACCUUGGCCUCAUGAGCGUUUUGCUCACCCUGUAGAUUUGUUUUCCUUAACAGGACUGGAAAUGGAGUUAACGCGGAGAAAUCUCCUUUUGGAUAUAUUUUGUUUUAGGGUUUCAAGUGCAUUUUAGCUUGACCCCUUUAUGAUUGUACUUUUGGAAGUUUAAUGUAUCAUUCGGAUAUAUGUGAUGUAUAUUUUGGAAUUUAAGUUGUAUUAUGAACGCCCGACGUGCGGGUUGGAUAAUGGAUGGAUAUUGUUAAGCAUGAACGCUUCCGCUCUAUAUGUAUUUGUACUAAUUUGAUUGUGGUAUCUAGUAUCGCUUUAAGCUUGAACGUUUAUUGCUUGAGUCCUGGCGAGAGUUAGGCAGGCGUUCCGCGGAUACCCUUUGGUGCGUCUUAGGGAGAAGUAGGGGCGUCACAGUUGGCAUCAGAGCGCUAGGUUAGCGCUAUGUUAGAGAUCUAUAUGGGAGACAUAUUAGAUACUCUACCCUUAAAACUUGAGACCGGAUAAUUAAGUUCUACCUUAAGAGGUAUUUGGGGCAUACUAGUGUUUAGGUUAGGCAUGCAUAAACGACAUCCGAACUAGAUAGUGAUUUAAAUUUCUAACUCGAAAAGUGCUAUUAUUUUGCAGGGAUGGAAAACGGAAAUGGAAUUCGGACAGCUGACGGGAAUGGCCAUGCGAAUGGCUAUAUAGUGCCUCCUAAGCCUAUCUUCUACCGGGCUCUAGAUGGGUGAGCUCGAUUACGCUAUUCUCCAUCUGACAGAUAUCCCCGAUGUGCGUGUAGGGUUACCUUUGCUUACCCGAACCACCUUGUGCUUGCUCUGGACGAUGAGCGUCGUCAGUUAGUGGAUCUUAACACGGAUCUUCAGGCAGAGGUGGACGAGUUUAGACAGAUGGUUAGUGCUCAGGGUGAGCGGAUUGCAGAGCUCGAGGAGGUGAUCGAGGGUGAGGUGGCCAUAUCUGUAAUGGUUCGUGAUAAGUUUCAGAGUGUUAGGGCUCAACUUACUAGAUUGAGAGAGGAGGUCCGUAGUCGGGCUUCUGAUAUCGUAGCUGAUGCCACUAGGGUAGUGGAUGAGGCGAUGGGUGUGGCUCAGGACUCUGGGGAGAAGGAUCCUGAGGAGGAGGUUCCUCCUGAUAGUCCUGCUGCGGACUAGGUUUAGAUUGAUCGACAUUUCUUUUGACCCUUUUGACUAGUAUAGCUAGUAUUAGCAGGGGUGAUGCUAAGUGCUGAGACCAUUGUAUUUUUCAUGACUGUGUGGCAUAUUUUUGAGACACUUGCUUUACUUUAGUGUUCUGUGACUAAAAAGUACUCUUGUGGCACCUGUGUGCUAUAUUUUUGUGACUACCCCAUGAUUUGCUAAUUGUGUCACCUUGAUAUGCUAAUGAAUGUAAAUUAUUGUUAUAUCCAAUGUUUUCUUGAUUGGUUCCUGCUUUAUACUUUGCAUCACAUAAUUUAUUUAUUCCUUGCACUAGGAACGCCUAGGUUAUGGAAGGAUUAAAAAGGGGUCGAGGCCGUGGUCGAGGUUGUGGGCGAGGGACUAGACCGGUUCAACCUCAAAAGGAUGAUCAGGGAUCGGCAACUGGACCGACCUAAGGUCAGGAAAAUAUUGAGGGUAAUCAAGUGGCUACUGCCAUUAAUAGGAUGACUGAUAUCUUAGAGCGCUUAACUGAUAGACAAGGACCUGGACCGUUCAACAACCUGGGGUCAAGAAAGAGGAGAGGAUAGAGUCUUAGAGAGGUUCUUGAAAUUUAACCCGCCUAAGCUCCUCGGCGAACCUGAUCCUGAGGUAGCGGAGAAUUGGUUAGAAAGGAUGACCAACAUAUUCACUGUUUUAAACUACAUUGAAGAUAGACGAGUGAAUUUCACUGCUUUCCAAUUUGAGGGAGUAGCCCGUGCUUGGUGGGAUCUGAUAAAAGGAAAAUGGGAGAGAACUCAGACCCCUUGGACUUGGGAGAAUUUUACAAGAGAAUUUAACGAAAAGCUUCUUUCGCCCUUAAUCCAAGAGAAGAGGGAGGAUGAAUUUAUCAAACUAAAACAGGGAGCUCUUAGUGUAGCUGAGUAUGAAGAAAAGUUUACUAAACUUUCACAAUACGCUCUCGAAUUGGUGACCGAUGAACGAAAAAGGAUUAGACGGUUUGUCCAGGAACAUAAUGUGGAGAUACAAGAGGGCUUGACUGCAGUCCAAAUCUCUGCAUUUACUGAGGUACAAGAGAAAGCCCAAAGGGUAGAAAAUGCAAGGAUGCAAGUGAGAGACUUCCACAAUAGAAAAAGAAACUUUUCUAACCAUACUUCUGGACAAGCAAGUAAGAGUGCACAACCUUCCAAGAUGGGAAGAUGAGCAGGAGGAGUGAAGUCUGUUGGAGCUUCUAGGGGAGCUCUAUCUAGAGGGGGUCGUAGUUGGACUACUCAAUUUAGGGGAGCGCCUUCUACUGGAUCGGCUGUGACCCCUUAAGUUACAUGUGGAUACUGUGGUAAAUCCAACCACUCUGAUAACGAUUGUUGGAGAAAGUUGGAAAAAUGUUUAUUUUGUGGUAGUGCUGAACAUCAAGUCGCCAAUUGUCCAAAAUCGCCAAAGACGGGAGGAAACCCUCAGAGGCCAGAAAAGCCAACCUCUAAGCAGACCAGUGCCGGAGGAAGUCGACCGAAAGUACCGGUUAGGGUUUAUGCAUUGGAUUAUCAAUAAGUUCCUGAGGCAACUGAGGUGGUAGAAGGUACAAUCCCAAUCUUUCACCGUUUGGCUAGGGUUUUAAUUGAUCCAUGUGCUACAUAUUCUUUUUAAACCCUAACUUCAUGAGUGGGAUAGAUUUGAAACCAUUUAAGUUACCAUAUGAUUUAGAGGUUAAAACGCCUACUGUGGAUCAAAAUCUAAUUGUUAACUUGGUGUAUCAAGAUUGUGAAGUCUGGAUUGGGGAACGAAAAUUAUUGGCUGAUAUGAUAGGUUUGACGAUUAAGGGAUAUGAUGUGACAUUAGGAAUGGAUUGGCUAGUCCGUUAUAAUGCCCAAUUGAACUGUAGGACGAAAAUUGUAGAAUUGUGUAUUCCAGGGGAGGCAACCCUGAAACUGGAUGUAAGGGGCAAAUUGGUUUCAUCUGCACUUAUUUCAGGAAUUCGGAUUAGAAAAUUAUUAAAUAAAGGAGUUCAAGGGUAUUUGGGUUUUCUUCUUAACACCCCAAGUGAUAAGGUGAAUUUGGAGAGCAUGCCUGUAAUGAAAGACUUUUCAGAUGUUUUUCCUGAAGAGUUAGAGUCUCUACCUCCAGAACGAAAAAUAGCUUUUAAGAUUGAUGUAACUCCGGGAGUGACACCUAUCUCUAAAACGCCAUAUCGGAUGGCUCUAGCGGAAUUAAAGGAGUUGAAAUUGCAAUUGCAAGACUUGCUGAAAAGGGGUUUUAUAAAAGAGUGAUUCUCCGUGGGGAGCCCUGAUUUUGUUCGUUAAGAAAAAGGACGGGAGUUUGAGGCUAUGUAUAGACUAUAGAGGCUUGAAUGAAGUCACCAUUAAGAAUAAAUACCCACAACCCCACAUUGACGAGUUGUUUGACCAAUUGCAGGGGACGGUAGUAUUCUCGAAAUUGGAUUUGAGACAGGGUUAUUAUCAGUUGAGGAUUUUGGAGAAGGAUAUACCCAAAAUUGCUUUUAACUCGAGAUACGGGUAUUUUGAAUUUGUCGUGAUGCCGUUUGGGUUAACGAAUGCUCCUGCUGCUUUUAUGGAUUUAAUGCAUAGGAUUUUUAAGUCUUAUUUGGACCAAUUUGUGGUAGUGUUCAUUGAUGAUAUUUUGGUGUAUUCUAAGAAUGUGAAAGACCAUGAGAAACACUUGAGGGUUGUUUUGCAAACCUUAAGGGAGCAUCAAUUGUAUGCUAAAUUUAGCAAGUGCGAAUUCUGGUUAAAAAAAUGACUUUCUUGGGACACAUAAUUUCUAAGGAUGAUAUUAAAGUGGAUCCAGCUAAAGUUGAAGCUGUUUUGAAAUGGAAACGAUCGGAAAACCCUAACGAGGUUCGGAGUUUUAUUGGAUUAGCAGGGUAUUACCGGAGAUUUAUCAAAGAUUUUUCUAGAAUUGCUGGACCAAUGACCGAGCUGACCAAGAAAAAUGGGAAGUUUAUAUGGAGUCCUAAGUGUGAGGAUAGUUUCCAGAAAUUGAAAAGACGGUUAACAAAGGCACCUGUGUUAGUUUUGCCAAAUGGAAAGGAUAGUUUUGUGGUUUAUACAGAUGUAUCUAAGGAAGGUUUGGGAUGUGUGUUGAUGCAAAAUGACAAAGUGAUAGCAUAUGUCUCUAGGAAAUUGAAACCGCAUGAAGGGAAUUACCCGACUCAUGAUUUGGAGUUAGCUGCUGUGGUCUUUACUUUGAAGAAAUGAAGACAUUACUUGUAUGGAGUAAUGUUUGAAGUCUUUACUGAUCACAAAAGCCUUAAGUACUUAUUUUCACAGAAGGAGCUGAAUUUGAGGCAACGUAGAUGGAUGAAAUUUUUGGAAGACUAUGACUGUACGAUUAAGUACCAUCCAGGAAAAGCUAAUGUAGUGGCUGACGCUUUGAGUCGUCAAGUACAGAUGGCUGGAUUGAUGAUUAAGGAAUUUCAAUUAUUGGAAGACGUUAGUAAUUGGGAUUCUCGACUGGAACCGAGAAAAGUAAUUUUGGGGAAUAUUGUAUUGAAUUCCACUUUGAUGGAACGUAUCAAGGAAUCUCAAGGAAAGGACACUGAGGUGCAGAAGUGGUUGGAAAAGGUUAAAAAGGGGGACAAGUCGGACUUCAACUUGGGAACGGAUGGUGUAUUGAGAUUUCGGAAUCGGGUGAUUGUGUCAAAGGAUGAAGGGCUUAAAAAGGAAAUUUUAGAAUAGGCACACCGAUCAAAGUUUACGGUACACCAAGAGGGAAUAAAAUGUACCAAAACUUAAAGAGUCUGUAUUGGUGGGAGAACAUGAAAAAGGAGAUUGCUCAAUUUGUCCAAACAUGCUUAAUUUGUCAACCGGUUAAAACUGAACAUCAGAAACCAUCGGAACUUUUGCAACCUCUAGAAAUACCUGAGUGGAAAUGGGAGAAUAUCACCAUGAAUUUUGUAUCGGGAUUACCAAGAACACUGAGGCCAUGAUGCGAUUUGGGUAAUAGUGGAUGGAUUGACCAUUUCGGGUCAUUUUCUGCCGAUUAAUAUGAAAUACCCGUUAGAGAAGCCGGCCAAGUUGUAUUUGAAUGAGAUCAUUAGGUUGGAUGGAAUACCUGUCAGUAUCGUGUCGGAUAGGGAUCCAAGAUUUGUUUCGAGAUUUUGGCAAAAGAUGCAAGAAGUGUUAGGGACUAAAUUGAAUUUUAGUACUACUUAUCAUCCCCAAACCGAUGGACAGUCUGAAAGGACAAUUCAGACCCUUGAGGAUAUGUUGAGAACUUGCGUUCUGGAUUUUGGGGAAAGUUGGAGUAAGUUUUUGACUUUAGUAGAAUUUGCCUACAACAAUAGUUUCCGUACUUCUAUUCAGAUAGCCCCGUAUGAGGCACUUUAUGGUCGGAAAUGUAGGUCUCCGAUUUGUUGGGAUGAAAUAGGUGAACAGAAAAAUCUUAGAUUCGACUACAGUGUCUUGGAUUGAAGAAACUAAUGAGAAAGUAAAGUUGGUACGCCAAAGAAUUCAGACCGCUCAGAGCCGCCAAAAGAGUUACGUCGAUAAUCGGAGAAAAGAUUUGGAGUUUACUGUUGGAGAUUUGGUAUUUCUCAGAAUCACGCCCUUGAAAGCAAGCGUGAUGUCUGGAAAAGGAAAGAACUUACAACCGAGAUUUGUAGGACUUUACAAGAUUAUCAAACGUGUGGGGAAUGUAGCCUAUAAGCUUGAAUCCAUAAUGUAUUCCAUGUAUCUAUACUUAAGAAGUAUCAUUCAGAUCCUUUUCACAUUUUGCAGCCGGAGAGUAUUGAGAUUGAUGAGACUUUGACCUAUGAAGAGAAACCGGUGAAACUUCUGGAUCGAAAGCUGAAGGAAUUGAAGAACAAGCAGAUACCACUAGUAAAAGUUCUUUGGAGGAACCAAGGAGUUGAGGAAGAAACAUGGGAAGUUAAAGAAACGAUCAGAGAGAAGUAUCCGGACUUGUUUGCCAAUCAAGGUAAAAUUUCGAGGACGAAAUUCUCUCAAGAGAGAGAGGAUGUGAGGACUCGAAAAUCUAUUAUUUUUAAAUCCCUAAUUUUUGCUUAAUUAAUUAUUUAUUUAAAUUUUUUCCACGAAUAAUAUUUUCUAACCUUAUUAGACCUAAGUACAUGGUAUUAUAGUUUCGUUAUAUUUUUAAAUUGUCUCGUUUCAAAAAUUAUUUUCUUAGAAACUUGUUUAGUGAAAAAGUGAAAACGCGUUUGAAAAAUUGAACCAAUUGGGAGUACAUUAAACCCGAAAAAUUGGAGACAUGUACAAUGGUUUUAAAAUACGUAAAUUUAGCUUUAAAUACUCAAGUGAUAGUUAGUGGUACGAUCGUUAUAAGAAUUUCUCGAAGGUUUCACUUUAUCGCGUCUAAAUUGGAAAUACGCGUUUUCACGCGUGCGAUUAAUUGAGGAAUUUUAGACCAUUAUUUUGGGACAAUUAAGAGUGAAUAAUAUUUAUAUGAAUAUAAGUGUAUUAAAGGUUUAGUGCACUAGUGAAAUAAAUUCGAAUGGAAUCGAACCCAAAAUGCGCGCGUACACGCGCAAGAGAGAGUUGACUUUCGGCGAAUUGUGGCCACACAUUUAAGCUUACUUUAGAAGCUUUAUUUCAGCAUAUCACACGCCUCUUUCUUUCUCAUUUGGCCGAAACAUCAGCUGCAACAAAACAACUCCAAGUUUUGCAAAUUCCAUCUCCAAAUCUUUCAAAAAUCUUCAUCCAUUUCACACCCAACUUAAACCACACGUGGCUUAACACUUAAGGAUCAUUUGAGUUGCAAAGGGGAGCUGAAAAUUACGGUUUUUCUGGAGUAAAGGGGGGCCGAAAUUCUGCUUGAACAUCAAACCAAAAUAGGUAAUGAUCCAACACUCUAAACUUAGUUUAUAGAGGUUUAUUUAACACCUUUAAACUUGGAUAUUCAUACGGGUGGUUGUUAUUGUUGUAAAUUUGGAAGGUGGGCUCUAUGAACUCCCACCCUUUGUCUUGAUGGCUGAUGUGAUGAUUGAUGAAGAAUUUAAUGUUGGUUUAGUGCUCAAAAUGGUAGAUUAAUGGUGUGUUAGUAGUAUGAACUUCAAGAAAUGCAUGAGAGGAAAAGUUCCAAUUCUGCCCCUGCUUUGAACGUAUCUAUUUCUGCGGAAUUUUGGGAUUGUAAUGACUUAUAUAUAUGAUGUUUAUAUGUUGUAUAGAUGGUGUAUAAAGUUUCAUUGAAAAAUAUUGAGGUUUGGUGGGUCAAAUGAAUUGAUUUCACAAAGCUAGUAAAUCUGGAACUGUUCCCGUAAUGCUCUGACCAGCUUUCGUGUUUCGGCCAUAAUUUUGUGUUCUGAGUCAAAAUCGAGUGCCGUCAGCGGUAUUUGAAACUAGACAUUCCAACCUUUCCGACGGUAUAAAAUUCACAUUCUGGUUCCAUGCAUGUGAGCCGAACCAACCAUUUAAAGUCGGCUAUUCUGUUUCUCUGUUUUACUGGAACGAAAUGCUGAGGCUGAAACUUGUGGCUUGAAUUCGAGCUAGUUGUGUGCCGAAUUUCAAAAUGAUAGUUUCUACGAAAUUAUAGCUCUAUGAAUGUGUUUUCCAACGCCAUAAACCAUGCCCAAUUCUGAGUUAAUUUGAGUGAUUUGUGAUCAAAAUACGGAACCUGUCCUACUCUUGAAAACCCUGACUUUUGUACAGAUUUGAUGCAAGGCUUGGUAUAGACUUGCUAACUCAAUAUUUUGGUGUUAAACACUUACCAAAUGUACCAUGAAUAUUCCUUAGGCUUUGCUUACACUAAUGAGCCAUGUUUGAGGAAUUUUUCCUUGACCCAAUGUUUGAAAUGGAAAACAAAAGGUUCAAGGCAGUUUUGUCUUAGUAUUUUUGAAACUUUGAUUGUUUGAUUGACUACCUUUCCGAAGGUAUUUUUCCAUGAAAUUUGAUAGCGGAAUAUUCUUUAUAUAGGAGUAUUAUACUGCCAAAUUUUGUACCAAUCCAAGUCCAUUUCGAUACCUAAAUAAAGUCCCAAAGUUGGAAGCUCAAAUCUGGAAAUUUGUUCACCAGUUUUGAAUUUUUCCCAAACUUCAAGCUACCGUAUCUCGGUGCUCAAAACUCCGAUCCUUGAUCCGCUUUUUCUGUUAUAAACCUUAAUUGUAACUCUAAUUGAGUUACAAAUUUCAGAGGCUAGCUCGUAACGUUUGAAUUUUGCCGAAUUUUCAAUGUUAGAGAAAAACCAACCUCGGCUCAAUUUUGAGUGUUCUGGAACAGCAAUUUUAAGCCCAUUUUUAAAUAUCUUCCACUUAGAUUCAUCGAAAAGUGUCUUCUAAAAACUUUUAAUACUUUCAAAGAGGUUUCCAACGGUACCAAGUUUUCUAAUUUUUGACAUGUAGAAUGUGAGAUACGAUUUUUCAAAAUAUCGUAUCAAAACUGAAAAUUUUCCGAAUUCCAAAGGAAGGGAGUUUUCAAGAACUCCUUAUUCCUUUGAUAUUACUUGAACAUGUUAUACCUGAUUUUUCAAAAUGAAAACUCGAUCGCUCUUGUACUUUAAGAAACUCUAAUUGAAUCUCGAUUUACGAGUAAUUGAGAUUCAAUUUCAUGAAAUUUCCUUAGAUUGUACUAGUGUACAAUCUUUCUUGACAAUUGGGAUAUAUGAGUGAUGCUUCACUAUUAUUUGCUCAGGCGCACACGAGGACCCACAAGAGGAUCCCACGGUGGACGCUUAAAUUUCGAGUGCCUUUUUCUUCUCGUUUUACUUGGUGAGUGUCUAGUGUGUGUUACUUGAACUCUUGUGAAUUCGAUACGUGAUUACUUGUUAUUGAUACUUGAGAUUUUGGAAAAUGGAGUCGAGUGUGUACUUUAUCGCUCUCGUUCUCAUUCGAAAUGAUUUAACUCAUGCUCAAAUUGCUUGAAUAUAUCGAUUGUUUGGAUACAUCGAUUGCUUGUACGUAUCAAUGCUUGAUACAUGAUAUGGUAUGCUAUGGCUGCAUACGUCGUUGGAGUGAAUCUCCUCGACACACAAUUGCACAUGGGGACGCCCACAUCUCAUUGGCCGACUUUGGACUCGAGCUGACAUGGGUUUGGUCGGAAAUCUUGGCGAGUCAUGAGAUGUAUAAGCUUGACCUAAUGAGAGGUCUUAUUUGGCAUACUGGAGUAGUAUCGCCAUAAACAAAUGACAGGCGGGCCUGAUACAUGGGUAUAUAGGGUGAAAGGGGACAGGUUAAGUGGAGUUCUACGGAUAAAACCUACCCAAUUGACGGAGUGUCAAUUCGUGGAGGUUAUUGAUCGUACAAGUGGAAUAUAGCUCCUGAGAGCUCCUAUAUCCUUGAAUUGUUUCCGUUUACUUUCCGGUAAAUUGUUAAUUAUUGAAACAUAUUAUUGCUUAGCUUGUAAUUGGGAUUGUUACUUGAACUACGUGCUUGCAUGUGUGACCUUGGCCUCACGAGCGUUUUGCUAACCCUGUAGAUUUGAUUUCCUUAACAGGACUGGAAAUGGAGUUAACGCGGAGAAAUUUCCGUUUGGAUAUAUUUUAUUUUAGGGUUUCAAGUGUAUUUUGGCCUGACCCCUUUAUGAUUGUACUUUUGAAAGUUUAAUGUAUCAUUCGGAUAUAUGUGAUGUAUAUUUUAGAAUUUAAAUUGUAUUAUGAACGCCCGACGUGCGGGUUGGAUAAUGGAUGGAUAUUGUUAAGCAUGAAUGCUUCCGCACUAUAUGUAUUUGUACUAAUUUGAUUGUGGUAUCUAGUAUCGCUUUAAACUUGAACGUUUAUUGCUUGAGUCCUGGCGAGAGCUAGGCAUGUGUUCCGCGGAUACCCUUUGGUGCGCCUUUGGGAGAAAUGGGGAAGUCACAAUUGGUAUCAGAGCACUAGGUUAGCGCUAGAUUUGAGAUCUAUAUGGGAGACAUAUUAGAUACUCUACCCUUAAAGCCUGAAACAGGAUAAUUAAGUUCUACCUUAAGAGCUAUUUGGGGCAUACUAGUGUUUGGGUUAGGCAUGCAUAAACGACAUCCGAACUAGAUAGUGAUUUAAAUUUCUAACCCGAAAAGUGCUAUUAUUUUGCAGGAAUGGAAAACGGAAAUGGAGUUCCGGCAGCUGACGGGAAUGGCCAUGCGAAUGGCUAUAUAGUGCAUCCUAAACCUAUCUUCUACCGGGCUCUAGAUGGGUGAGUUUGAGUACGCUAUUCCCCAUCUGACAGAUAUUUUCGAUGUGCGUGUAGGGUUACCUUUACUUAUCCGAACCACCUUGUGCUUGCUCUGGCCGACGAGUGUCGUCAGCUUGUAGAUCUUAACAGGGAUCUUCAGGCAGAGGUGGACGAGUUUAGACAGAUGGUUAGCGCUCAGGGUGAGCGGAUUGCCGAGCUCGAGGAGGUGAUCGAGGGUGAGGUGGCCAUAUCAGCAGUGGUUCGUAAUGAGUUUCAGAGUGCUAGGGCUCAACUUAAUAGGUUGAAAGAGGAGGUCCGUAGUCGGGCUUCCGAUAUCGUAGCUGAUGCCACUAGGCUAGUGGAUGAGGCGAUGGGUGUGGCUCAGGACUCUGAGGAGGAGGAUCCUGAGGAGGAGGUUCCUCCUGAUAAUCCUGCUGCGGACUAGGUCUAGAUUGAUCGACCUUUCUUUUGACCCUUUUGACUAGUAUAGCUAGUAUUAGCAGGGGUGAUGCUAAGUGCUGAGGUCAUUGUAUUUUGCAUGGCUGUGUGGCCUAUUUUUGAGGCACUUGCUUUACUUUAGUCUUCUAUGACUAAAAGUACUCUUGUGGCACCUGUGUGUUAUAUUUUUGUGACUACCCCAUGACUUGCUAAUUGUAUGAAAUUGAUAUGCUAAUAAAUGUAAAUUAUUGUUAUAUCCAAUGUCUUCUUGAUUGGUUCCUGCUUUCUACUUUGCAUCACAUAAUUCAUUUAUUCCUUGCAGGUUAUGGAAGGAUUAAGUAGGGGUCGAGACCGUGGGCGAGGGACUAGAUCGGCUCAACCUCAAAGGGAUGACCAGGGAUCGGCAACUGGACCGACUCAAGGUCAGAAAAAUAUUGAGGGUAAUCAAGUGGCUGCUGCCAUUAAUAGGAUGACUGAUAUCUUAGAGCGCUUAGUUGAUAGACAAGGACCUGAACCGUUCAACCAACUUGGAGUCAAGAAAGAGGAGAGGAUAGAGCCUUAGAGAGGUUCUUGAAAUUUAACCCGCCUAAAUUCCUCGGCAAACCUGAUCCUGAGGUAGCGAAGAAUUGGUUAGAAACGAUGACCAACAUAUUCACUGCUUUAGACUACAUUGAAGAUAGACGAGUGAAUUUCACUGCUUUCCAAUUUGAGGGAGUAGCCCGUGCUUGGUGGGAUCUGAUAAAAGGAAAAUGGGAGAGAACUUGGACUUGGGAGAAUUUUACAAGGGAAUUUAACGAAAAUUUUCUUCCGCCCUUAAUCCAAGAGAAGAGGGGGGAUGAAUUUAUCAAACUAAAACAGGGAGCUCUUAGUGUGGCUGAGUAUGAAGGAAAGUUUACUAAACUUUCAAAGUACGCUCCCGAAUUGGUGACCUAUGAACGAAAAAAGAUUAGACGGUUUGUCCAAGGACUUAAUGUGGAGAUACAAGAGGGAUUGACUGCAGCCCAAAUCUCUACAUUUACUGAGGCACAAGAGAAAAUUCAAAGGGUAGAAAAUGCAAGGAUGCAAGUGAGAGACUUCCACAAUAGAAAAAGAAACUUUUCUAACUAUACUUCUGGACAAGCAAGAAAGAGUGCACAACCUUCCAAGAUGGGAAGAGGAGCAGGAGGAGUGAAGUCUGUUAGAGCUUCUAGGGGAGGUCUAUCUAGAGGGGGUCGUAGUGGGACGACUCAAUUUAGGGGAGGGUCUUCUACUGGAUCGGCUGUGACCCCUCAAGUUACAUGUGGAUAUUGUGGUAAAUCCAACCACUCUGAGAACGAUUGCUGGAGAAAGUUGGAAAAAUAUUUAUUUUGUGGUAAUGCUGAACAUCAAGUUGCCAAUUGUCCAAAAUCGCCAAAGACGGGAGGAAACCCUCAGAGGCCAGAAAAGCCAACCUCUAAGCAGACCAGUGCAGGAGAAAAUCGACCGAAAGUACCGGCCAGGGUUUAUGCAUUGGAUUAUCAACAAGUUCCUGAGGCAACUGAGGUGGUAGAAGGUACAAUCCCAAUCUUUCACCGUUUAGUUAGGGUUUUAAUUGAUUCAAGUGCUACAUAUUCUUUUGUAAACCCUAACUUCAUGAGUGGGAUAGAUUUGAAACCAAUUAAAUUACCAUAUGAUUUAGAGGUUAAAACGCCUAUUGGAGAUCAAAAUCUAAUUGUUAACUUGGUGUAUCAAGAUUGUGAAAUCUGAAUUAGGGAACGAAAAUUAUUGGCUGAUAUGAUAGGUUUGACGAUUAAGGGAUAUGAGGUGAUAUUAGGAAUGGAUUGGCUAGCCCGUUAUAAUGCCCAAUUGAACUGUAGGACGAAAAUUGUAGAAUUGUGUAUUCAGGGGAGACAACCCUGAAACUGGAUGUAAGGGGUAAAUUGGCUUCAUCUGCACUUAUUUCAGGAAUUCGGGAUAGAAAAUUAUUAAGUAAAGGAGCUCAAUGGUAUUUGGCUUUUCUUAUUAACACCCCAAGUGAUAAGGUGAAUUUGGAGGGCAUGCCUGUAGUGAAAGAUUUUCCAGAUGUUUUUCCCGAAGAGUUAGAGUUUGUACCUCCAGAACGGAAAAUAGCUUUUACGAUUGAUGUAACUCCGGGAGUGACACCUAUCUCUAAGACGCCAUAUCGGAUGGCUCCAGCGGAAUUGAAGGAGUUGAAAUUGCAACUGCAAGACUUGCUGGAAAGGGGUUUUAUAAAAGAGAGUGAUUCUCCGUGGGGAGCCCCAGUUUUGUUCGUUAAGAAAAAGGACGAGAGUUUGAGGUUAUGUAUAGACUAUAGAGGCUUGAAUGAGGUCACCAUUAAGAAUAAGUACCCACUGCCCCACAUUGACGAAUUGUUUGAUCAAUUGUGGGGGGCGGUAGUAUUCUCGAAAUUGGAUUUGAGACAGGGUUAUUAUCAGUUGAGGAUUUUGGAGAAAAUUAUACCCAAGAUUGCUUUUACCUCGAGAUACGGGCAUUUUGAAUUUGUCGUGAUGCCGUUUGGAUUAACGAAUGCUCCUGGUGCUUUUAUGAAUUUAAUGCGUAGGAUUUUUAAUCUUUAUUUGGACCAAUUUGUGGUAGUGUUCAUUGAUGAUAUUUGGUGUAUUCUAAGAAUGUGAAAGACCACGAGAAACUCUUGAGGGUUGUUUUGCAAACCUUAAGGGAGUAUCAAUUGUAUGCUAAAUUUAGCAAGUGCGAAUUCUGGUUAACAGAAGUGACUUUCUUGGAACACAUAAUUUCUAAGGAUGUGCUUAAAGUGGAUCCAGCUAAAGUUGAAGCUGUUUCAAAAUGGAAACGACCGAAAAAUCCUACCGAGGUUCGGAGUUUUAUUGGAUUAGUAGGGUAUUACCGGAGAUUUAUCAAAGAUUUUUCUAGAAUUGCUGGACCAAUGACUGAGCUGACCAAGAAAAAUGGAAAGUUUAUAUAGAGUCCUAAGUGUGAAGAUAGUUUCCAGGAAUUGAAAAGACAGUUAACAAGGGCACCUGUGUUAACUUUGCCAAACGAAAAGGAUAGUUUUGUGGUUUAUACAGAUGCAUCUAAGGAAGGUUUGGGAUGAGUAUUGAUGCAAAAUGACAAAGUGAUAACAUAUGCCUCUAGAAAAUUGAAACCGCAUGAAGGGAAUUACCCGACUCAUGAUUUGGAGUUAACUGCUGUGGUCUUUGCUUUGAAGAAAUGGAGACAUUACUUGUAUGGAGUAACGUUUGAAGUCUUUACUGAUCACAAAAGCCUUAAAUACUUAUUUUCACAGAAGGAGCUGAAUUUGAGGCAACGUAGAUGGAUGAAAUUUUUGGAAGACUAUGACUGUACGAUUAAGUACUAUCCAGGGAAAGCUAAUGUAGUGGCUGACGCUUUGAGUCGUCAAGUACUGAUGGCUGGAUUGAUGAUUAAGGAAUUCCAAUUGUUGGAAUACGUUAGUUAUUGAAAUUCUCGACUGGAACCGAGAAAAAUAAUUUUGGGGAAUAUUGUAUUGAAUUCCAUUUUGAUGGAACGUAUCAAGGAAUCUCAAGGAAAGGACACUGAGGUGCAGAAGUGGUUGGAAAAGGUUAAAAAGGGGGACAAGUCGGACUUCAUCUUGGGAACGAAUGGUGUAUUGAGAUUUCGGAAUCGGGUGGUUGUGUCAAAGGAUAAAGGGUUUAAAAAGGAAAUUUUAGAAGAGGCACACCGAUCAAAGUUUACGGUACUGCCAUGAGGGAAUAAAAUGUACCAAGACUUAAAGAGUCUGUUUGGUGGGAGAACAUGAAGAAGGAGAUUGCUCAAUUUGUCCAAACAUGCUUAAUUUGUCAACAGGUUAAAGCCGAACAUCAGAAACCAUCGAAACUUUUGCAAUCUCUAGAAAUACUUGAGUGGAAAUGGGAGAAUAUCACCAUGAAUUUUGUAUCGGGAUUACCAAGGACACAGAGAGACCAUGAUGCGAUUUGGGUAAUAGUGGAUAGAUUGACCAAAUCGGCUCAUUUUCUGCCGAUUAAUAUGAAAUACCUGUUAGAGAAGCUGGCCAGGUUGUAUUUGGAUGAGAUCAUUAGGUUGCAUGGAAUACCUGUCAGUAUCAUGUCGGAUAGGGAUCCAAUAUUUGUUUCGAGAUUUUGGCAAAAGAUGCAAGAAGUGUUACGGACUAAAUUGAAUUUUAGUACUACUUAUCAUCCCCAGACCGAUGGACAGUCUGAAAGGACAAUUCAGACCCUUGAGGAUAUGUUGAGAACUUGCGUUCUGAAUUUUGGGAAAAGUUGGAGUAAGUUUUUGACUUUAGUAGAAUUUGCCUACAACAAUAGUUUCUAUUCUUCUAUUCAGAUGGCCCUGUAUGAGGCACUUUAUGGUCGGAAAUGUAGGUCUCUGAUUUGUUGGGAUGAAAUAGGUGAACGGAAAAUCUUAGAUCCGACUACAGUGUCUUGGAUUGAAGAAACUAAUGAGAAAGUAAAGUUGGUACGCCAAAGAAUUCAGACCGCUCAGAGCCGCCAAAAGAGUUACGUCGAUAAUCGGAGAAAAGAUUUGGAGUUUACUGUUGGAGAUUUGGUAUUUCUCAGAAUCACACCCUUGAAAGCAAGCGUGAUGUCUGGAAAAGGAAAGAAAUUACAACCGAGGUUUGUAGGACCUUACAAGAUUUUCCAACGUGUGGGGAAUGUAGCCUAUAAGCUUGAAUUGCCACCGAGUUUAUCUCGAAUCCAUAAUGUAUUCCAUGUAUCUAUGUUUAAGAAGUAUCAUCCAAACCCUUCUCACAUUUUGCAACCGGAGAGUAUUGAGAUUGGUGAGACUUUGCCCUAUGAAGAGAAACCGGUGAAACUUCUGGAUCGAAAGGUGAAGGAAUUGAGGAACAAGCAGAUACCACUAGUAAAAGUUCUUUGGAGGAACCAAGAAGUUGAGGAAGCAACAUGGGAAGUUAAAGAAACGAUCAGAGAGAAGUAUUCGGACUUGUUUGCCAAUCAAGGUAAAAUUUCGAGGACGAAAUUCUCUUAAGAGGGAGAGGAUGUGAGGACUCGAAAAUCUAUUAUUUUUAAAUCCCUAAUUUUGGCUUAAUUAAUUAUUUAUUUGAAUUUUUGUCACGAAUAAUAUUUUCUAACCUUAUUAGACCUAAGUACAUGGUAUUAUAAUUUCGUUAUAUUUUUAAAGUGUCUCGUUUCAAAAAUUAUUUUCUUAGAAGCUUGUUUAGUGAAAAAGUGAAAACGCGUUUGAAAAAUUUAACCAAUUGGGAGUACAUUAAGCCCGAAAAAUUGGAGACAUGUACAAUGGUUUUAAAAUAGGUAAAUUUAGCUUUUAAGUACUGAAGUGAUAGUUAGUGGUACGAUCGUUAUAAGAAUUUCUCGAAGGUUUCACUUUAUCACGCCUAAAAUGGAAAUACGCGUUUUCAUGCGUGCGAUUAAUUGAGGGACUUUAGACCAUAUUUUGGGACAAUUAAGAGUGAAUAAUAUUUAUAUGAAUAUAAGUGCAUUAGAGGUUUAGUGCACUAGUGAAAUAAAUUCGAAAGGAAUCGAGUCCAAAAUGCGCGCGUACACGCGCAAGAGAGAGUUGACUUUCGGGGAAUUGUGGCCACACAUUUAAGCUUACUUUAGAAGCUUUAUUUCAGCAUAUCACACGCCUCUUUCUUUCUCAUUUGGCUGAAACAUCAGCUGCAACAAAACAACUCCAAGUUUUGCAAAUUUCAUCUCCAAAUCUUACACAAAUCUUCAUCCAAUUCACACCCAACUUAAACCACACGUGGCUUAACACUUAAGGAUCAUUUGAGCUGCAAAGGGGAGCCGAAAAUCACGGUUUUUCUGGAGUAAAGGGGGGCCGAAAUUAUGCUUGAAUAUCAAACCAAAGUAGGUAAUGAUUCAACACUCUAAACUUAGUUUAUAGAGGUUGUUUAACACCUUUAAGGUUGGAUAUUCAUACGGGUGGUUGUUAUUGUUGGAAAUUUGGAAGGUGGACUCUAUGAACUCCCACCCUUUGUCUUGAUGGCUGAUGUGAUGAUUGAUGAUGAAUUUAAUGUUGGUUUAGUGCUCAAAAUGGUAGAUUAAUGGUGUAUUAGUAGUAUGAACUUCAAGAAAUGCAUGAGAGGAAAAGUUCCAAUUCUGCCCCUACUUUGAACGUAUCUAUUUUUGUGGAAUUUUGGGGUUGUAAUGACUUAUAUAUGAUGUAUAGAUGGUGUAUAAAAUUUCAUUGAAAAAUAUUGAGGUUUGGUGGGUCAAAUGAAUUGAUUUCACAAAGCUUGUAAAUCUGGAACUGUUCCCGUAAUGCUCUGACCAGCUUUCGUGUUUCGGCCAUAAUUUUGUGUUCCGACGUCGAAAUCGAGUGCCGUCAGCGGCAUUUGAAACUAGACAUUCCAACCUUUCCGACGGUAUAAAAUUCACAUUCUGUUUCCGUGUAUGUGAGCCUAACCAACCAUUUAAAGUCGGCUGUUCUGUUUCUCUAUUUUACUGGAACGAAAUGCUGAGGCUGCAACUUGUGGCUCGAAUUCGAGCUAGUUGUGUGCCGAAUUUCAAAAUGAUUCUUCUGCAAAAUUAUAACUCUAUGAAUGUGUUUUCCAAUUCCAUAAACCAUGCCCAAUUCCGAGUUAAUUUGAGUGAUUUGUGAUCAAAAUACGGAACCUGCCCUGCUCUUGAAAACCCUGACUUUUGGACAGAUUUGAUGUAGGGCUUGGUAUAGACUUGCUAACUGAAUAUUUUGGUGCUAAACACUUACCAAAUGUACCAUGAAUAUUCCUUAGGCUUUGCCUACACUAAUGAGCCAUGUUUGAGGAAUUUUUCCUUGGCCCAAUAUUUGAAAUGGAAAACAAAAGGUUCAAGGCAGUUUUGUCUUAGUAUUUUUGAAACUUUGGGUGUUUGAUUGACUACCUUUCCGAAGGUAUUUUUCCAUGAAAUUUGAUAGAGGGAUAUUCUUUAUAUAGGAGUAUUAUACUGCCAAAUUUUGUACCAAUCCAAGUCCAUUUUGAUAUCUAAAUAAAGUCCCAAAGUUGGAAGCUCAAAACUGGAAAUUUGUUCACCAGUUUUGAAUUUUUCCCAAAUUUCGAGCUACCGUAUCUCGGUGCUCGAAACUCCAAUCCUUGAUCUGGUUUUUCUAUUAUAAACUUUACUUACAACUCUAAUUGAGUUACAAAUUUCAGAGACUAGCUCGCAACGUGUGAUUUGUCGAAUUUCCAAAGUUAGCGAAAAACCAACCCCGGCUCAAUUCUGAGUGUUCUGGAACAGCAAUUUUAAACUCAUUUUUGAAUAUCUUCUACUUAGAUUCAUGGAAAAGUGUCUUGUAAAAACUUUUAGUACUUUCAAAGUGAUUUCCAACGGUACCAAGUUUUCCAAUUUUUGACAUGUAAAAUGUGAGAUACGAUUUUUCAAAAUAUCGUAUCCAAACUGAAAAUUUUCCGAAUUCCAAAGGAAGGGAGUUUUUAAGCACUCCUUAUUCCUUCGAUAUUACUUGAACAUGUUGUACCUGAUUUUCCAAAAUGAAAACUCGAUCGCUCUUGUACUUUAAGAAACUCUAAUUGAAUCUCGAUUUACGAGUAAUUGAGGUUUAAUUUCAUGAAAUUUUCUUAGAUAACGAAAAGUUUCUUCCGCCCUUAAUCCAAGAGAAGAGGGGGAUGAAUUUAUCAAACUAAAACAGGGAGCUCUUAGUGUAGCUGAGUAUGAAGGAAAGUUUACUAAACUUUCAAAGUACGCUCCCGAAUUGGUGACCAAUGAACGAAAAAGGAUUAGACGGUUUGUUCAGGGACUUAAUGUGGAGAUACAAGAGGGAUUGACUGCAGCCCAAAUCUCUACAUUUACUGAGGCACUAGAGAAAUUCAAAGGGUAGAAAAUGCAAGGAUGCAAGUGAGAGACUUCCACAAUAGAAAAAGAAACUUUUCUACCAUACUUCUGGACAAGCAAGUAAGAGUGCACAACCUUCCAAGAUGGGAAGAGGAGCAGGAGGAGUGAAGUCUGUUGGAGCUUCUAGGGGAGCUCUAUCUAGAGGGGGUCGUAGUGGGACGACUCAAUUUAGGGGAGGCCUUCUACUGGAUCGGCUGUGACCCCUCAAGUUACAUGUGGAUACUGUGGUAAAUCCAACCACUCUGAGAACGAUUGCUGGAGAAAGUUGGAAAAUGUUUAUUUUGUGGUAGUGCUGAACAUCAAGUGCCAAUUGUCCAAAAUCGCCAAAGACGGGAGGAAACCCUCAGAGGCCAGAAAAGUCAACCUCUAAGCAGACCAGUGCCGGAGAAGUCGACCGAAAGUACCGGCCAGGGUUUAUGCAUUGGAUUAUCAACAAGUUCCUGAGGCAACUGAGGUGGUAGAAGGUACAAUCCCAAUCUUUCACCGUUUAGCUAGGGUUUUAAUUGAUCCAGUGCUACAUAUUCUUUUGUAAACCCUAACUUCAUGAGUGGGAUAGAUUUGAAACCAAUUAAAUUACCAUAUGAUUUAGAGGUUAAAACGCCUACUGGGAUCAAAGUCUAAUUGCUAACUUGGUGUAUCAAGAUUGUGAAGUCUGGAUUGGGAACGAAAAUUAUUGGCUGAUUGAUAGGUUUGACGAUUAAGGGAUAUGAUGUGAUAUUAGGAAUGGAUUGGCUAGCCCGUUAUAAUGCCCAAUUGAACUGUAGGACGAAAAUUGUAGAAUUGUGUAUUCCAGGGGAGCAACCCUGAACUGGAUGUAAGGGGCAAAUUGGCUUCAUCUGCACUUAUUUCAGGAAUUCGGGUAGAAAAUUAUUAAGUAAAGGAGCUCAAGGGUAUUUGGCUUUUCUUAUUAACACCCCAAGUGAUAAGGUGAAUUUGGAGACAUGCCUGUAGUGAAAGACUUUCCAGAUGUUUUUCCCGAAGAGUUAGAGUUCUACCUCCAGAACGGAAAAUAGCUUUUAAGAUUGAUGUAACUCCGGGAGUGACACCUAUCUCUAAGACGCCAUAUCGGAUGGCUCCAGGAAUUAAAGGAGUUGAAAUUGCAACUGCAAGACUUGCUGGAAAGGGGUUUUAUAAAAGAGAGUGAUUCUCCGUGGGGAGCCCCAGUUUUGUUCGUUAAGAAAAAGGACGGGAGUUUGAGCUAUGUAUAGACUAUAGAGGCUUGAAUGAGGUCACCAUUAAGAAUAAAUACCCACUGCCCCACAUUGACGAUUGUUUGACCAAUUGGGGGCGGUAGUAUUCUCGAAGUUGGAUUUGAGACAGGGUUAUUAUCAGUUGAGGAUUUUGGAGAAACAUACCCAAGACUGCUUUUAACUCGAGAUACGGGCAUUUUGAAUUUCGUGAUGCCGUUUGGAUUAACGAAUGCUCCUGCUGCUUUUAUGGAUUUAAUGCAUAGGAUUUUUAACCUUAUUUGGACCAAUUUGUGGUAGUGUUCAUUGAUGAUAUUUGGUGUAUUCUAAGAAUGUGAAAGACCAUGAGAAACACUUGAGGGUUGUUUUGCAAACCUUAAGGGAGUAUCAAUUGUAUGCUAAGUUUAGCAAGUGCGAAUUCUGGUUAAAAGAAGUGACUUUCUUGGGACACAUAAUUUCUAAGGAUGAUUAAAGUGGAUCCAGCUAAAGUUGAAGCUGUUUCGAAAUGGAAACGACCGGAAAAUCCUACCGAGGUUCGGAGUUUUAUUGGAUUAGCAGGGUAUUACCGGAGAUUUAUCAAAGAUUUUUCUAGAAUUGCUGGACCAAUGACCGAGCUGACCAAGAAAAAUGGAAAGUUUAUAUGGAGUCCUAAGUGUGAAGAUAGUUUCCAGGAAUUGAAAAGACAGUUAACAAGGGCACCUGUGUUACUUUGCCAAACGAAAGGAUAGUUUUGUGGUUUAUACAGAUGCAUCUAAAGAAGGUUUGGGAUGUGUGUUGAUGCAAAAUGACAAAGUGAUAGCAUAUGCCUCUAGGAAAUUGAAACCGCAUGAAGGGAAUUACCCGACUCAUGAUUUGGAGUUAGCUGCUGUGGUCUUUGCUUUGAAGAAAUGGAGACAUUACUUGUAUGGAGUAACGUUUGAAGUCUUUACUGAUCACAAAAGCCUUAAUACUUAUUUUCACAGAAGGAACUGAAUUUGAGGCAACGUAGAUGGAUGAAAUUUUUGGAAGACUAUGACUGUACGAUUAAGUACCAUCCAGGGAAAGCUAAUGUAGUGGCUGACGCUUUGAGUCGUCAAGUACAGAUGGCUGGAUUGAUGAUUAAGGAAUUCCAAUUGUUGGAAAGUUAGUUAUUGAAUUCUCGACUGGAAUCGAGGAAAGUAAUUUUGGGAAUAUUGUAUUGAAUUCCACUUUGAUGGAACGUAUCAAGGAAUCUCAAGGAAAGGACACUGAGGUGCAGAAGUGGUUGGAAAAGGUUAAAAAGGGGGACAAGUCGGACUUCAACUUGGGAACGAAUGGUGUAUUGAGAUUUCGGAAUCGGGUGGUUGUGUCAAAGGAUGAAGGGUUUAAAAAGGAAAUUUUAGAAGAGCACACCGAUCAAAGUUUACGGUACCCAGGAGGGAAUAAAAUGUACCAAGACUUAAAGAGUCUGUAUUGGUGGGAGAACAUGAAGAAGGAGAUUGCUCAAUUUGUCCAAACAUGCUUAAUUUGUCAACAGGUUAAAGCCGAACAUCAGAAACCAUCGACUUUUGCAACCUCUAGAAAUACCUGAGUGGAAAUGGGAGAAUAUCACCAUGAUUUUGUAUCGGGAUUACCAAGGACACAGAGAGCCAUGAUGCGAUUUGGGUAAUAGUGGAUAGAUUGACCAAAUCGGCUCAUUUUCUGCCGAUUAAUAUGAAAUACCCGUUAGAGAAGCUGGCCAGGUUGUAUUUGGAUGAGAUCAUUAGGUUGCAUGGAAUACCUGUCAGUAUCGUGUCGGAUAGGGAUCCAAGAUUUGUUUCGAGUUCUGGCAAAAGAUGCAAGAAGUGUUAGGGACUAAAUUGAAUUUUAGUACUACUUAUCAUCCCCAGACCGAUGGACAGUCUGAAAGGACAAUUCAGACCCUUGAGGAUAUGUUGAGAACUUGCGUUCUGGAUUUUGGGAAAGUUGGAGUAAGUUUUUGACUUUAGUAGAAUUUGCCUACAACAAUAGUUUCCAUUCUUCUAUUCAGAUGGCCCGUAUGAGGCACUUUAUGGUCGGAAAUGUAGGUCUCGAUUUGUUGGGAUGAAAUAGGUGAACGGAAAAUCUUAGAUCCGACUACAGUGUCUUGGAUUGAAGAAACUAAUGAGAAAGUAAAGUUGGUACGCCAAAGAAUUCAGACCGCUCAGAGCCGCCAAAAGAGUUACGCCGAUAAUCGGAGAAAAGAUUUGGAGUUUACUGUUGGAGAUUUGGUAUUUCUCAGAAUCACACCCUUGAAAGCAAGCGUGAUGUCUGGAAAAGGAAAGAAUUACAACCGAGGUUUGUAGGACCUUACAAGAUUAUCCAACGUGUGGGGAAUGUAGCCUAUAAGCUUGAAUUGCCACCGAGUUUAUCUCGAAUCCAUAAUGUAUUCCAUGUAUCUAUGCUUAAGAAGUAUCAUCCAAACCCUUCUCACAUUUUGCAACCGGAGAGUAUUGAGAUUGAUGAGACUUUGACCUAUGAAGAGAAACCGGUGAAACUUCUGGAUCGAAAGGUGAAGGAAUUGAGGAACAAGCAGAUACCACUAGUAAAAGUUCUUUGGAGGAACCAAGGAGUUGAGGAAGCAACAUGGGAAGUUGAAGAAACGAUCAGAGAGAAGUAUCCGGACUUGUUUGCCAAUCAAGGUAAAAUUUCGAGGACGAAAUUCUCUUAAGGGGAGAGGAUGUGAGGACUCGAAAAUCUAUUAUUUUUAAAUCCCUAAUUUUGGCUUAAUUAAUUAUUUAUUUGAUUUUUGCCACGAAUAAUAUUUCUAACCUUAUUAGACCUAAGUACAUGGUAUUAUAGUUUCGUUAUAUUUUUAAAGUGUCUCGUUUCAAAAAUUAUUUUCUUAGAAGCUUGUUUAGUGAAAAAGUGAAAACGCGUUUGAAAAUUUAACCAAUUGGGAGUACAUUAAGCCCGGAAAAUUGGAGACAUGUACAAUGGUCUUAAAAUAGGUAAAUUUAGGUUUAAGUACUCAAGUGAUAGUUAGUGGUACGAUCGUUAUAAGAAUUUCUCGAAGUUUCACUUUAUCCGCCUAAAUUGGAAAUACGCGUUUUCAGCGGCGAUUAAUUGAGGGACUUUAGACCAUUAUUUUGGGACAAUUAAGAGUGAAUAAUAUUUAUAUGAAUAUAAGUGCAUUAGAGGUUUAGUGCACUAGUGAAAUAAACUCGAAAGGAAUCGAGCCCAAAAUGCGCGCGUACACGCGCAAGAGAGAGUUGACUUUCGCGAAUUGUGGCCACACAUUUAAGCUUACUUUAGAAGCUUUAUUUCAGCAUAUCACACGCCUCUUUCUUUCUCAUUUGGCCGAAACAUCAGCUGCAACAAAACAACUCCAAGUUUUGCAAAUUCCAUCUCCAAAUCUUACACAAAUCUUCAUCCAAUUCACACCCAACUUAAACCACACGUGGCUUAACACUUAAGGAUCAUUUGAGCUGCAAAGGGGAGCUGAAAAUCACGUUUUGCUGGAGUAAAGGGGGGCCGAAAUUCUGCUUGAAUAUCAAACCAAAGUAGGUAAUGAUCCAACACUCUAAACUUGGUUUAUAGAGGUUGUUUAACACCUUUAAGCUUGGAUAUUCAUAUAUAUGGGUGGUUGUUAUUGUUGGAAAUUUGGAAGGUGGCUCUAUGAACUCCCACCCUUUGUCUUGAUGGCUGAUGUGAUGAUUGAUGAUGAAUUUAAUGUUGGUUUAGUGCUCAAAAUGGUAGAUUAAUGGUGUAUUAGUAGUAUGAACUUCAAGAAAUGCAUGAGAGGAAAAGUUCCAAUUCUGCCCCUGCUUUGAACGUAUCUAUUUCUGUGGAAUUUUGGGGUUGUAAUGACUUAUAUAUGAUGUAUAGAUGGUGUAUAAAAUUUCAUUGAAAAAUAUUGAGGUUUGGUGGGUCAAAUGAAUUGAUUUCACAAAGCUAGUAAAUCUGGAACUGUUCCCGUAAUGCUCUGACCAGCUUUCGUGUUUCGGCCAUAAUUUUGUGUUCCGACGUCGAAAUCGAGUGCCGUCAGCGGCAUUUGAAACUAGACAUUCCAACCUUUCCGACGGUAUAAAAUCACGUUCUGGUUCCAUGUAUGUGAGCCGAACCAACCAUUUAAAGUCGGCUGUUCUGUUUCUCUGUUUUACUGGAACGAAAUGCUGAGGCUGCAACUUGUGGCUCGAAUUCGAGCUAGUUGUGUGCCGAAUUUCAAAAUGAUUUCUUCUGUGAAAUUAUAGCUCUAUGAAUGUGUUUUCCAACCAUAAACCAUGCCCAAUUCUGAGUUAAUUUGGUGAUUUGUGAUCAAAAUACGGAACCUGCCCUGCUCUUGAAAACCCUGACUUUUGGACAGAUUUGAUGCAAGGCUUGGUAUAGACUUGCUAACUGAAUAUUUUGGUGCUAAACACUUACCAAAUGUACCAUGAAUAUUCCUUAGGCUUUGCCUACACUAAUGAGCCAUGUUUGAGGAAUUUUUCCUUGACCAAAUGUUUGAAAUGGAAAACAAAAGGUUCAAGGCAGUUUUGUCUUAGUAUUUUCGAAACUUGGGUGUUUGAUUGACUACCUUCCGAAGGUAUUUUUCCAUGAAAUUUGAUAGAGGGAUACUCUUUAUAUAGGAGUAUUAUACUGCCAAAUUUUGUACCAAUCCAAGUCCAUUUCGAUACCUAACUAAAGUCCCAAAGUUGGAAGCUCAAAUCUGGAAAUUUGUUCACCAGUUUUGAAUUUUUCCCAAACUUCGAGCUACCGUAUCUCGGUGCUCGAAACUCCGAUCCUUGAUCUGUUUUUCUGUUAUAAACCUUACUUGCAACUCUAAUUGAGUUACAAAUUUCAGAGGCUAGCUCGUAACGUGUGAAUUUUGCCGAAUUUCCAAAGUUAGCGAAAAACCAACCCCGGCUCAAUUCUGAGUGUUCUGGAACAGCAACUUUAAGCCCAUUUUUGAAUAUCUUCACUUAGAUUCAUGGAAAAGUGUCUUCUAAAACUUUUAGUACUUUCAAAGAGGUUUCCAACGGUACCAAGUUUUCCAAUUUUUGACAUGUAGAAUGUGAGAUACGAUUUUUCAAAAUAUCGUAUCAAAACUGAAAAUUUUCCGAAUUCCAAAGGAAGGGAGUUUUCAAGCACUCCUUAUUCCUUCGAUAUUACUUGAACAUGUUAUACCUGAUUUUCAAAAUGAAAACUCGAUCGCUCUUGUACUUUAAGAAACUCUAAUUGAAUCUCGAUUUACGAGUAAUUGAGGUUCGAUUUCAUGAAAUUUCCUUAGAUUGUACUAGUGUACAAUCUUCCUUGACAAUUGGGAUAUAUGAGUGAUGCUUCACUAUUAUUUGCUCAGGCGCACACGAGGACCCACAAGAGGAUCCCACGGUGGACGCUUAAACUUCGAGUGCCCUUUUCUUCUUUUUACUUGGUGAGUGUCAAGUGUGUGUUACUUGAACUCCUGUGAAUUCGAUACGUGAUUACUUUUUAUUGAUACUUGAGAUUUUGGGAAAUGGAGUCGAGUGUGUACUUUAUCGCACUCGUUCUCAUUCGAAAUGAUUUAACUCAUGCUCAAAUUGCUUGAAUAUAUCGAUUGCUUGGAUACAUCGAUUGCUUGUACGUAUCAAUGCUUGAUACAUGAUAUGGUAUGCUAUGGCUGCAUACGUCGUUGGAGUGAAUCUCCUCGACACACAAUUGCACAUGGGGACGCCCACAUCUCAUUGGCCGACCUUGGACUCGAGCCGGCAUGGCUUGGUCGGGAACCUUGGCGAGCCAUGAGAUAUAUAAGCUUGACCUAAUGAGAGGUCUUGCUUGGCAUACUCGAGUAGUAUCGCACAAACAAAUGACAGGCGGGCCCGAUACAGGGGUAUGUAAGGUGAAAGGGGACAGGUUAAGUGGAGUUCUACGGACAAAACCUACCCGAUUGACGGAGUGUCAAUUCGUGGAGGUUAUUGAUCGUGCAAGUGGAAUAUAGCUCCUGAGAGCUCCUAUAUCCUUGAAUUGUUUCCGUUUACUUUCCGGUAAAUUGUUAAUUAUUGAAACAUAUUAUUGCUUAGCUUGUAAUUGGGAUUGUUACUUGAACUACGUGCUUGCAUGUGUGUCCUUGGCCUCACGAGCGUUUUGCUCACCCUGUAGAUUUGUUUUCCUUAACAGGACUGGAAAUGGAGUUAACGCGGAGAAAUCUCCUUUUGGAUAUAUUUUGUUUUAGGGUUUCAAGUGUAUUUUGGCUUGACCCCUUUAUGAUUGUACUUUUGGAAGUUUAAUGUAUCAUUCGGAUAUAUGUGAUGUAUAUUUUGGAAUUUAAGUUGUAUUAUGAACGCCCGACGUGCGGGUUGGAUAAUGGAUGGAUAUUGUUAAGCAUGAAUGCUUCGCACUAUAUGUAUUUGUACUAAUUUGAUUGUGGUAUCUAGUAUCAGUUUAAGCUUGAACGUUUAUUGCUUGAGUCCUGGCGAGAGUUAGGCAGGCGUUCCGCGGAUACCCUUUGGUGCGCCUUCGGAGAAGUGGGGGCGUCACACAAGCAAUGGUUCAAGUGUGGGGUAUUUGACAAGUAUAUAUUUUACGUGUUUUUAGUGUAUUCUAUUAAUUAGUUUCAGUAUGUUUUAAUUAGUUUUAGAGCUAAUAAAUUAAGAUUAUAGUGAAAAUAUGUCUUUUAUGGUUUAAAGUGUGAAAAUUACAUUUCUAUAAACUUUUACGGCAAAAAUUUCAUGUUUUUGUAGGUUUGAAGAUUCAAUCAUCAAAGGGAGAGAUUUGAUAAGAUAAUUGGAUGAUUGAUGAUGAUUUGAAGUGGUUUAAAGAAGACAUGAAGUGCAAGAGAGGAAAUGCAAUCAAGAACAAAAGGAAGCAAGUUUUACAGCUUUGACACCUGGUGGUAAUUCGACUAUAUCUGGAGCUACAAUGAUUGGAUGGAGGUGAUUCUUAAACCAUUUCGAAGCUAAGAGACAUAUCUACAUUUGGUAUGAAGACAUCGAAGUCCAUAUCGGUCGUUUUCAUUGUCAAAAAGUCGGAAUACAGUAGUGCAAAUUCUGUGGUCGUAAGCUGGAACAGAGCUCUGACUAGUCUUUAGUAUUUUGAUCAUAUCUUGGUCCACAGAGCUCUAAAUUGGAUGAUUCUUAAGGCAUUAGAAAGCUAGGUCAAAGGACUACAACUUUCAUGUUUUGCACAAGAGAUAGUUCGGCUUCCAACCUCAAAAAAAAACUUGUUGAAGUAGUGCAGAAGUGAAACGCGACUCAACGAAAACGUGGGUUGCAGUCGCGUAUUAUCAAGUCGUGUUUUCUCACCUGUUUUCUACAACUUGCUCAUCAACUUGCCUUACUUUCACACAACUUUUCCAACUCAAUUCCAGCUAUCAAUCUCGGUUGUAUCUGAUCAAGAAAAGGUUGGAAUGUUGGAAGACAACUCAUGGAAGAUUCAAGAGUCAAAAAUGACAACUUUAACAACUCUUCUUGACCUUGAAUUCUUCUAUAUAUAGAAGCCUUUGGAGAACAUUUUCACAACUUUGGAAGGCUAGAGAAACUCACAAAAAAUGUAGUCUUCACUAGUUUUUCUUAGUUCAUUAGUUAGAAUAGUAUAGUAUAGAAUAGUUUAGAUAGUUAUGUGUGUUAUCCACUCUUGUAUAUUGGCUAGAUUAUGAUGAAAAUAGAGAUGAAGAAGGAGGGGUUGAAUCUCAUGUAACAAGGGUUAUCUCUUUUCCAACUCUUUAUCUUUUGUAUUGGCUUCUUAAGCAUGGUUAAAUGCAAGUUUUGGAUUUGUGUUUUAAUAUGUUUAGCUAAAAUUUAUGCUAGAGUUAUGGAUGAACUUUCUAUAUCCUGUUUGUGAUGUUUAUUUGGUUAUUUGAUGAUGUUAUUUUGAGCAAGUUAUUUAUCACUUUUGCUUUUCUAAUCAUGAUUAACUGGCCAUUAGUUGUGAUUAUGUGAAGGUGUUAAGUUUGCAAUGAGAAUUGGAAUUUAACACUAAUUUAAGGAAGUGAUAAACUAGAAAGUACACUUACAAGAGUAGAAGUAUACCUAUGUGACUUUAGUGACUUGCUCAUGUAAUUUCAUAGAAAAAAUGAGUUUGUAGUUAAUUUCAUAACCACAAGAGUAGGUAUGGUUUAGUUAUAAGUAUAGUUGAUUCACUACGAGAGUAGGUAUCACAUACAUUAGGAAAUUAUGCCAUAACUAGUCAAGAUAAUAGCAUUUACUUAACCGGUAAUCUCAUUUGCAAGAGUAGUAAGGAAUUCCAUAUCUCUAGGAGCUUUCUAGUGCUAAUUUUCAUUACUUUUAUGUAUAUGAUAGUCUAUAUAUAAAGGAGUUCGAAAAACACCGGUAAUUGCAAUCUUUCCUGUGGGAUCGACCCUUAAUACCCUAUACUCGCUCACGAUUCGUAUACUUGCGAUAAAUCACGUAUGAGGUAUUUAGGAAUUUAUAAAUAUAAAAACUUGAUUGUGGAUGAGUUAAUUGUAUAUGUAUACCCCGUGCACGCCAGCCAACACCAAUGCUUUCCGGAUUGCUCUUGCCUCUUCCAUAGCUGGAACACUCUUUCUGCCUUCACACCCAGCCCAAACCCCUCUUAACUUCCCUUCCUUACAUCUAGCCACGACUCCCCAGCUGAUUUUUACUUCAUGCUGCUUGAUAGCUGCAUCUGUAUAUGGGCACAUGAAAUUUUCUGGAGGUGGCUCCCACUUCACAUUUCCUUUUUCAACACCCCUAUGCCUAUCUUCAUCCUCUACCUUUGCUGAGCUUACAUUUUGGAAUUCUAGCCAUUUGUUUAUUGCCUUAUUCACUGUCCUGCCUGGACAUCUUCCCUUCCUAUUAAAUUGAAUCUGGUUCCUGGAUUUCCAAAUCUGCCAAAGCACAUUGAUGGUCAGCUCGAUGUGUUCCCUCCCAUCCUUUCUAACCUUUGCUUCCAUCAGGCUACUCUACUAAUGCCAAAAGCUAUAUCUGUACUCCUGUAGACCAUCCCAGCAAAUUGGGGCAGCCUUGAAAAUUAGCUCUGCAUGCUUACAGAAAAAAGAACAUAUGUUCAACAGUUUCUGUCCCUUCGCCACAGCAGCAGCACUUAUCAUUUCCUUGCCCAAUCCUUCUCCUAAUUGUUUCAUUCAUUGUAAUAUCCUCUGGAGACAUUUCCAUACAAAAUGUUACAGCUUAUGCUUUACAUUCAAGCUCCAUAAGAAUCUCCACACCCUUGACUUAGCUUCAUUCCUACUACUACUCCCCUGUUGCUUAUUUUCCAUCCUUCAUGUUCUCUGCAGCUCUUUAGCCACCCUAUAGCUAGUUUCACAGUAUACUUCCCAGAUUUAGAGAACAUCCAUAUGAGCCUAUCCUUAUCACCACACUCACUUAUUGGAUGGUAGUUAUUCUUUGACAGUCCUCUCCUUCUCAAAAACUUCUCUCAGUAAUUCCAGGUCCUAUGUCCCAUCAGAAAUCAAUUCAUGGACUUUCUUUACAUGACAAGGUUGGGUUUCUCAUUCUAUCUUACCAUUCUUCCUGAUCUAGUAGCCAUUUAUCUUCCCAUAUAUAUCAAUCUGCUUGCCAUCCCUUACUCUCUUCCUCACCUCUUCCUUUAACAGCUCCCUUGCACUUAGAAUACUUUUCCAAACCCACGAAUCUCAAGCCUUAAUAUUCGUUUCCCAAAUGGAAGAUCCUCUAAAAUACCUCUCCCUAACUAUCCUAAUAACUAAUAAAUUUGGUUGAGUCAAGAUCCUCCAUAGUUGCUUUGCCAACAUUGCUGUAUUGAAUUGCUGGAGAUCUCUAAAACCCAACCCUCCCUUCCCUUUAACCUCAGAUAACUUCCUCCAUUCUACCCAAUGAAUUUUCCUAUUCUCUCCACUAUUCCCCACCAAAACUUUGCCAUCUCUUUACACAUAUCCAUAGAUAAUCCCUUUGGAAGUUUGCAGCAACUCAUAGCAUAAGCAGGCAAAGCUAGGAUCACAGAUUUUAAGGACUUCCUUACCAGCAUUGCUCAGUAGCCUUGCCUUCCAUCCACACAUUCUGUUGAUGACCCUCUCCCUAAUAUAGUUGAAAAUUUGUCUUUUUGGUCUCCCUAUAACCAAUGGAAGCCCCAGAUAUUUGCUCUGCUUAGCUUCCUUCAUGCCUCCCAGGAUGUCCAAAAUUUCUGCCUUCCCUUCCUUCCUUGUGUUCCUACUAAAAAACACAAAUGAUUUUUCAGCAUUUAUGACUUGUCCUGAGGCAUCACCAUACCUUUCAACAACUGCAUCACCUUCUCACCUUCUUCCUUGUUAGCUAUACAGAAAAUCAAUGUAUCAUCUGCAAAAAAGAGGUGAGACAAAGCUGGACUAUGUUGUGCAAUCUUUAGACCAGAUAUUUCCUAAUUAGACAUAGCACUCUUAAGUAAACUGGAUAGACCUCAGAAACUAGCAAAAAUAUGUAUGGAGAUAAUGGAUCUCCCUGCCUAAUCCCUCUUGUAGGUGUAACUAAGCCUUUUUCUCCCCAUUCAAGUUAAAGGAGUAAACAACAGAAGACAUACACUUUAGAAUCCAAUCUGUCCAUUUUUGACAAAAUCCCAUUUUUUCCAUAAUUUUUUGCAUAAAAAGCCACUCAACUCUAUCAUAAGUUUUGGACAUAUCCAGUUUUAAAGCCAUGAAAGCAUUUGAUCCACUUCUCCUAUUAUUUAAGCAAUGAAUGAAUUCAUGAGCAAUAACAACAUUAUCAAUGAUUUGUCUUCCUGGAACAAAAGCAGAUUGGUUUUGGCUUAUACAUAGUUUGAGAAGAGGUUUCAGUCUGUUGACCAAGAUUUUAGAUAUGAUCCUAUAGACUACAUUACACAGACUAAUUGGUCUAAACUGUGACACUAAGACUGGGGAAACAACUUUAGGUAUAAAAGUAAUGAUAGUUUCAUUGAUAGCCUUCAAUAACUAGCCAGAAUGAAAGAAGCUGGAAAUGGCAUUUACCACAUUCCAGAAUUGUUGGAAAAAUACAGGAGUCAUACCAUUAGGCCCCGGGGCUUUAUUUGGUUGCAGAGAGAAGCAGUUUUUCAGACUUCCAUUUUGAAACAGGCCUAACCAGCAUCUCAUUCAUUGGUCUGUGAUCACUAGGGGAACAUCAUACAAUAUUGAUUCAAUCUGCUGAGGAUUACUGGAAGUGAAGAGAUCCUGAAAAUACCCAUUUAUUUCAUUUUCAAUUUCAUGUUCAGACUCACACCAAGUUCCAUCACCUUUCUUAAGACUUGAGAUAUUAUUUCUUCUUCUCCUCUCUACAACACUAGCAUGAAAGUAAUUAGUAUUCUUAUCGCCUUCCUUCAACCACCUAACUCUAGCUUUCUGCUCCCAAUACACCUCCUCUCUCUUAUAGGCCUCCUUUAGUUCCUUCUUAAGCACUCUCACCUUUUCAUUCUUAUUUGCAUACCCAUCCCCCUGAACCUCAGCAAGUCUCUGUUUCAGCUCCCUAAUCUCCUUUUUUGCAUUAGUAUCUCUUUGCCUAUGCCAGUUCAAAAGAGCCACUCUACAGCUCUUUAUUUUUUGGUGUAGCUUAAAAAAUCUCGAUCCCUCCUGUUGUUUACCCCAUUCUCUACUGAUGAUCUCCCCUACUUCCUUAUAUUGUACCCAGUUCAUGUCAAAGAAAAACCUCCUCUUCCACUUCCUACCCUUUGAAUCAGUAUCAAACAAUACUAUAGCAUGGUCAGAGGCAUUAUUCUGGAUAUGCAGGCAUUUAGCCUUCCCAUUUUCUCUCCUCCAGUGUCUACUACAUAAAACUCUAUCCAAUCUUUCCUUAAUUUCUUUCCGUUUUCCCAAUUAUUAGACCAUGUCCAUGGAAUUCCUUCAAAACCAAUGUCAAUAAGUUUGUUAUUGUUUACAAAGUCCCUGAAUGUUUGAAAACUCCUUUCUGGCCUUCUACUACCUCCCCACUUCUCAUCAUUAGACAGUAUAUCAUUCAUAUCACCUGCCAACACCCACUACUAGCCCUACAGCCUUUUCGUAUCUUCUAUAGUCUUCCACUAUUUUUCCCUAAUCUGAUCCUCUCUACUGGCAUACACACAUAUCAGCCACCAUCUAGCUCUAGCACCACUCCUUUCCAGCAAUAGCUUGAUAGUGAAAUCAGUAUAUAGCACUUUACAGACUUGUAGCUCAUUCCUUCACAUAACUGCCAAUCCACCAGCUUUUCCAACUGGAUCAACCACAAACAGUCUAUCAUACCUCAACUUUAGUCUUACUUUAUUCAUAACAUCUUUUCUGUUAUUUGUUUCAGACAAAAGAUCACCUCAGGGGAAUGGAGUUUGACACUUCUUUUAACUGGGCAACUGUCAAGAGGCUCCCAACACCUCGACAGUUCCACACCAAAGCUCUUAUUGAGGCUUGGGAGCCCCAUUAAGGUAGGACUCCACCACCUUAGCUGUAUGUUCCAGACCUGCUCCACUUCCUUCAGUUUUGCUUUUUUUUUUUGGCAUUCCCUCCCUCCCCCUUAUUCAUUCUCUUUAUCAGCUUUCUCAUUCAGUUUUCUUUUUCCCCCCUUAAUGUCAAUGUCCAUAACCUCAUUUUUGUCACUCAGAGGUACCCUUUUACUCACCUCACGAAUUAGUCUCUUCCAACCUCUAUUCCCUUUGUACUUACCAGCUCGAUCCCUGAACUAUUGAUUUGAUCCUGUUUUUUAUUAACAGGACCUAUUCUUUUCCCUUCACUUUUACUUCCCUUAUUUUCUGUAGUUUAUCCAUCAAUCCACAUUGAAUCAAAGUAUUCCUUUUCACUCAAUUCCUCCUUUUGACUAUCUCCCUGAAUAACCCAAAAGCACUGAAACUUACUGCUUUACUAACAUUAGUUCUUCCCUUCAGUUCAUCCCCUUCUUUUUACAACUAGACUGCAAAGAACUCUCCUUCUUAGGACCUUCCAUCAGACUACUUUGAUGCCUGUCCUUAACUUCUUCCUUCACAGUCUCCUGCACUACUGUAUCAACACUAACCUCAACCAGCUUCCAAGGUAACAAUAAUUGGUCCUGCUCCUUCUCUCCCUAAUCCCUAGUUAGCUGAGAGCCAUCCCCACCAUUACUAUCCAGAUUACUUGAAGUAUUGUGUCUUCUGGUUUGGCUCCUAGCAUUACUUGCUCUUAACCAGGCGCCAUACUGAGCUUCCUUGGUAAUAUUAAUGCCCUUCACCCUGUAGCUUCUCUCAUUAUGCCCCAUAAUCCCACAACAAUAGCAGAAAUCAGGACAUUUCUCAUAUCUAAACUCUAUCCAUCUAGCACUACCACCUAGCUUCACUGUAGUUCCCCUCAGCAGUGGUUUAGAUAACUCCAUUUUCACCAGAAUCUUUAAAUGUUUCCCCUCCUUCCCCUUAUUCGGAAUUAUAACUUCCUUCACAGAAUUGAAAACCCCCCAAUGUUCCUACCAAUUUUCUUAGUAAUUCGGUGGAUAGGUAAAUUCCAUAACUGAACCCAAAUCUAAGUCCUAUUAAAAGCUACAUCACUCUGUUCUAACCCCUCCUUCCAUGGUAAUACUACUAAGGGCAAGUUAUCAUAUAUCCAUGGUCUCCCUCUUAGUACCCUCUCCAUAUCCUGAGUGUUAUUAAAUAUAAACUGAAACAUAUUAACCCCAAUCUCCAGUACUUUCAACUUCCUUGCAAAAGGCCACAUAUUAUUCGUAAAACUUCUAAUACCAGAUAUGUUUGCAGACUUUUCCACCACCACUUUCCCAAUAAUACUCAUCUGACAUUCAGCCACACCCUGGAACAGAUCUGAUCCAUCCAAUUCCACUCCCCUCUUCUUCAGUCAGAGCAAAUUUUCUCAACACUUCCUCUAAUUCCUCAGUCAUCCUAACCAGUACCAGGAGUAUUCCCCAGUCAACACAGACACAAUGAAGGUCAAUACCAGUAGCCUAUCCAAAACGAGCCAGAAAACUAUGAAAGCAAAAUGUUACCAACAAAACAGAGAGAAAACAGAAAAAUGACUUACGCCUAGUAGCUAGCUUACUGGAAAUGGAAAAUGGAAUCAGGAACCAAAUAGCAGGAUCUGGAAUGAAGAAUUAGAUCUAUAAAACCUGGAAAGACAGCUCAAAAGGAACUAGAGAUCAUGAGCUAGAAGAUCGGAGCUCAUGAGAUAGAAGAUCUUCUAUACCGCCAUCUUCAAUCAUCCUACCAUGGAAAAACUUGACGUACGAACAAAGGACACCAAACAAAAAGGAAAACAGCAUCAUACUAACGCGUUAUUACUCCAUUGAAUUCACCAUUGAUUUAAUAGGCAAAGAGGAUAGAAGAAUUUUGUUUUGGUUUUUUGUUUGUUUUCGAAAAGUACGGGAAAUUUGAAAUUUUGAAAACCAGUACAAAACACCCACUAGGGGUGAUUUUGACUCCCUGCUUAGAGAGAGAAAGUAACCCACCUACAAAGAGGGACUUACCUAUUUCUAACUUGCCUUGAAAAUUUUGGUGUUAAUGAAGAUUUGUAAUAAAAUUGAAAUAUUCAAAUUCGAUAAUUUGACCCUUAAUACUUGUCAAUAUUACAUGUAUUUGCUUUUUUUUGGGGUCCUAAUAUUAUAGUGUAUUUCAGAUAAAAGAAUUAAAAUCUCACCAAGCCUGCUAAGAAAAAAACAUAAAACUUCUUCGCUUGUAAAAUUAUGCUUGGAUUAAUUCAUCCUUCUUACAUUUUUGUAUACCCAUAUGACUAUUACAUGUACUAAAUGGUCUAUAAAUGAAGCGUUAGAUCAAGCCUACACAAGUUUCUAUGGUAGAGUUUUAAUAAAAAAAAUACUUAUAUGGUGGAAUCUUUCAUAAAUAUAUUCCUUAAAACAUGCCAGAUAGGAUUUUUUAACUAUGGUUUUAUCCCACCAAAAUGAUUGAAAAAAAUAUAUAGGCAGUAGCUUACGAAGGUAAUUGCCAAUUACCUACUGAGUAAGAUUUAAUAUUACUGUAUAUACUAGCUAUUAGACCAAUGUGCAAAUCAAGUGCAAUUAACAUUCAAAAUUUAAUAUUUGAGCAUUUAUUGGGUGAAAGUGAGAAAAAUGAGAAGACUAGUACUAAAGGUUAGAAACAAAAGUUGCGGUGGAACAGGGUACUUGUCUAAAUUAAAAUAUAUAACAAUUUUUUAAAGUAAAAUAGGGACUGCGUAGUUCCUACUUUGACCCUGGACCCAGUCCAGCAGUUCCGUUCUUCCGAAUUUUGCAGGCCCACUUUUUGUGUUAAAAAUUCCAUCCCGGAGAAUUUUGGGGCCAUUGGCUAAUUUAUCUGUUUUUGGCAACACGGGGUAGACUAGGUCGGAAGGGCCCAAGUAUUUAACGGGUAAAUAUUGGUUUUUUUUUCCAGAAAUGAUAGAAAUUUUAUUUCUAAUAAAAGGGUAAUUCAAUAUAUGAGCAAGGGCACAAACUUGGAUUUUACAAAAGUGUAUUAAGACACCGAGGGUCUAGAAACUCCUCAUCAAAGUGAAUGUGCAUUGCUAUCUUACUUAAUCUAUUACUGAUUCUAUUACCUUCAACAGGUAGACUAUCAAAUGAGCAUCUCCUAAACAUUGAGCUUAUGUCUCUUAUGUCUUCUAGGUGGGCUGCUAGACAUAUGUCUCUUGAAGCUUGACUUUUUAUCAGUUGUAACACCUGAAAGCAUGAUGUUUGGAUUGUAAUGUACAGCCAGCCUUGUGCCAUUAUCUUGCAUAGAGCCAGUUGUAAAGCCAAAAAAUGAUCCAACGUAACUGAUCCAAUGCUUCUCUCCUUCAAAACCCAAGCUGCACAUAUCUGGCUUUGUGCGUUUUGUGCUGUGAUGCCAAUGCCCAUAUUCUGACCUUUGAUAUGUUGCCGCCCCACUUCGACUGAAAUGAUCAGCAUGUUGUCACUUUCCUCCACCAUUUCCUCUUGUACUUCUGCUAUAUCUGUUUCUGAGAUGCUCAGCUGCUGCUCUAUCCGUUGGGAUUGUUGGUAUUUCUCCCACUCUUUUACUACUUUUCUAAUUACUGCCAUUGGAUGCUUGACUUUGUCUUCAAACUCGGCUUCGUUCUUGGCUUUCCAGAUUUGCCAAAGAAUUUCCACUGUUAAUGCUAUAUGCUCGGAUCUUCACAUCCAUUAGCAUACUCCACCACCUCCUAAAGUCACCUGUAUAUUCCUUAAGUCCAUCCCACUGUAAUGGAGCCAUUUGCCAUAUCAGUCUUGCCUUGCUGCAAUGGAAGAAAAUGUGUUCUAUUGUCUCACUAUUUUCUCCGCACGUUUUGCAUAUCAGGUCACCUUUCCCUGUUCUUCUAAAAAUGGCUUCCCUUCCUGGUAAUGUUUGGUGUAAGUUGUUUCAUAGAAACAACUUUUGCUUGUGCUUAAUCUUUAUUUUCCAUAGCUGUUUCCACACUCUAUCACUCCCACCUGCCCAGCUUGUUUCUCCCAUUAACCGCACUUGUGCUGUCAACUGCCUAUUCUCUCUUGUCAUUAUUUUAUAGGCUGAACUGACUGUGUAAUGUCCCUUGUUGCUAAUGGCUCCAAAAGUAAGUGUCAGGCUAGCCUGUUAUGCUUAUAGGCAUUUUGAGUAUUGUCCUUGCUUCCUAUUGGGUAAAGGUCCUAAAAAUGAGUACUGAGUUCCAUCUAAAAUUGGAUAUCAAUUCACUUGCUCUACUGAUCUUGCAACCUGGCUGUUUAGGGGACUGUAAUUUACCAUCCUUGCCCUCCUGUAGCCAUGCAUCCUCCCAAAUUCUGAUAGUCUUCCCAUUUCCAAUUUUCUUCCUUGCUCCUCUCUGCACAUCCUCUCUUGCCCCCAUCAAAUUUUUCCAUAUCCAGGAUGAGUUGCACUUUACUUUACAGCUCAAUGGUGAUGCUGUAGGAUAGCAUCUAGCUUUCAUCACUUUACUCAUCAGUAGAUUUGGGCUUGUGAGGAGUCUCCAAAUCUGUUUUCCCAGAGAGCUUUGUUGAAACCUUAGAGGUCUUUGAAGCCUAAUCCUCCAGUGUGCUUUUCAGUUGUUGUCUUUUUCCAGGAGCACCAAUGAAUUUUCCUUUUCCCAUUGUCUUCUCCCCACCAAAAUCUUGCCAUCAAGGCACUGAUUUCUUUGCAUAACUUAAAUGGGAGUUUAAAACACGACAUGACAUAAGUUGGCAUUGCCAUGGUUAUGGCUUUCAGCAAGAUCUCUUUCCCUGCUUGACUUAACUGUUUGUUGCACCAGUUAGAGACCGUCUUAUGGCAUUUAUCUCUAAUGAAGCCAAAUAUUUGGUCUUUACUUUUUGUGAUAACCAUCGGCAGCCCCAAGUACUUUCCUUGCUUCACCACCUUUAUUUUUCCUAGUCUGCUGCAAAUCUCUCCUUGUUUGGCUUGCUCCACAUUCUUGCUAAAAAAAACUGAUGACUUAUCCAUGUUGAUCAUCUGUCUUGAGCCUCUUUCAUACAUCUUUAGAAUUCCCAUCACUUCUUGUCACGCCCCGAGCCCGCACGUGCCCGUCACAUGACAUCCGCCGUACUCCCAAGUCUACAUUAACUAAUUUAACUUUAAAGGUACUAAAUAAUUUAACUAAAUAAAGUGCGGUACAAACCACGUAUAAAAGAAAGUCUACAAAUGUUCCAGACGUUCGUACAUUUAUUCUUUGGUUGAAACAGCGGAAAUAAAAGUAAAUAAAACUAACAACUAGAAGUAGCUAGCUUGCCCACUUCUUUUCAUCUAAACUAAUAAAAGUCAUUCUCAGGGUCUUCUACGUAAACCAAUUCAUACUCUUCAGAAUCUGCAAAAAUGGUAAGAAGUGGGUUGAGCGACAUAUCGCUCAGUAGGUAAUAUUUACCCCUCUGUUGGACCAUGCACUCUUAGUUUUAUAGAUACAUAUAUAUAUAUAAGUACAACUCAAAUCAUUUGCAAAUCAUUCACAUCCAUAAUUUUGAAAGUAACGUCAUUUAUAAACAAUCAGUAGUAAAGAAUGACAAGCAAUUUAAAAGCAUCUUGUUGAUAAUUAUACAUGAGAAAUCGUAAUGUCAUAAAUCACUUUAUAGCAAUUCAUAAGUCUCUUCAUAUCCAUUCCUGAAUCGUCCUAUAAAACGUUGCAUUUCAGUUCAUAGAUCAUUUCAAAUCAGCCCAUAAGUCAUUUCAUAUUAACUCAUAAACCUUCUUUCAGUUCAGCUCAAACAAGUACAUGUAAUGACCGGCUACUGAGUACACAGUCUAGAGAUUAAACCCCUUCUAGGUGGGCGACCAAUAGAUUUCGCGACUAUCGAUUGAUCUCAUUUCAUUCUUAGGUCAAUCGGCCGAACUUUAUACCAGACUACCAUGGCUUUGUCAAAUUGGCCGGACUCUAUACCAGGCUACCAUGACUUUACCAAUCGGCCGGACUUUAUACCAGACUACCAUGGCGAUUAGACAGGACUAUAACCCCUACCGUCUAUUCCAUGACUGCUUUGAGCCUUACUUGUCAAAAUUCAUUUCAUAUAUCAUAUACACAAAUCUUUGUUUUCAUAAAAGAUUCAGCUCAUUUUGUAUAUAAGAACAUAGCAAAACAUUUUAAAUAAGUCACAUGGUCCAUUUUAUAUAGUAAAAUAUUGCUUUCAUAAAUAUCCAAGUAAAGCAUUUAAUCAAACACUUUUCGAGUCAACACAACAAAAUAGUAUUGAAACAAGAAUUUCAUUUUGCACAUUUGAAAUCUCAGAAGGGUAAGUACCACCUACCUUCGUUUGGCUGCUCGAGUAGAACUAUCUUAGGUUCUUGUAUUGCACCUAUCAAAUGCAUAGGUUCCCUAAUCAGUUGUUACUUCCUAUAGAUGCAUAAAUAUACAACCUCUAAGUAAGUACAGUAUUCAUAUCUAGACAAUUAUAUGGACCCUAAUAGCAUUUGCCCCAAAUUGGAUGAUUUUUAUUUUUGGAAAGUUUCCUAAUAUGAAAAGUUUCUAUUUUUAGAAAGUUUCUUAAUUUGGAAAGUGCUCAUUUUGUAAAGUUUCCUAAUUUAACAGAAAAUAAUUAUUCACAAUCCUGGUGAUUAUCCUCACUACUAUCUUACUAUGUUUAUUAUAAUUUAUGAUUAUCUAUUAUUAUUAUCACCAUCCCCAUCAUCGCUAAUUUAUUUUAUUAUCACUUAUAUAUAUAUUAGGUAGUCACUAUUACCUUCCCUUUAUUUCCACUUUUAGGCGUGUGUAGGUAUUAUUAUUAUUUUUAUAUAUCUACUCAUACACUUAUACAUACUGACUUUCUAUAAUUGUUUAGUUUAUUCCACUCGUAAUUAUAUCUUAUUUUUGUUUAUAUUCUUCAUUUAUUUCCCCCACGUCCACAUUAUUGUUAUUCUCACUAUCAUUGUCUUAUUAAUUAUUAUUUACUAUUACUACUACCACUAGUAUUAUUAUUAUAUUUAUCUUCAUAUAUAUAUAUAUUUUAUUAUAUAUAUUAUUAUUAUUAUUAUUAUUUUAAGCAUUCCGUUUAGCAAUUUAGCACUUACCUUACCUUGUCUGAUGUGGUUUAAGACGGCUAGAUUAAGAUGUUUUAGAUUUCCAUUUAAGUACCUUAUACGUAAUUAACUAAGUAUAAUUUUAUAUGACUAACCUUUCAAUUCUAACAAUUAUUUUAAAUUGGGUCCUGAAUUUUAAUACCUAUGAUAAACUAUAAAGAUGGACUAGUUAUUUUCUAAAAUUUAUUUACUGCAUAUUUACUAAACCCGUACUGUAUCUUUAACCCACACAUACUUGCCAAUAUAUAUAUAUAUAUAUAUAUAUAUAUUUAUAUAUGUUUACUUAUUUACUAUAGUCAUUACUAUUGAUUAAAAAAAAGAUUUUUUUUCCCGUAGGGUUACUCCACUGGCGUUGCUUUGCCAAAGCUUUUGUCAAGCUUUGGCAGCCGCCAUUCUUGACUGCUACUUGUUUGGUUGUUGUUGUCCCUUUUUUUUUUUUUUUUUGCUUCGGUCUUGGUUUCGGCCAACCUUUGCAAAUUUCUUUCUCAGCCGCCAGAGAUGGCGGCCCCCCACUCUUUUCUGUUUCUGCGCGUGGCGUUGCAGAAGCUCUGCAACGCCUAGCCAUAACAGAGCAGCAGCUGUUGCCGCUGCCUUUCUUUUCCCUUAUCAUUUUUUUUAACAGAUUCCAAAUACCCUCUAAUCUCAAGAUUAAAAUCAAUCCCCUUUAUUUCUAUUAACCCAGAUACGAAUCUUAUCAAACAUAUAUCUACACCUAUAUAGUAACAAUACUUGUCCAUAAAAUUCCUAGAACAAUUAAUACAUCUACUAAAACUUAAAAGAGGGGUUUUCUUGCGUGAACUCGAGACUUACAGGUUUAGGUGCCUAGUCGUCGGAUCGAUUGCCGGUGUUGCCUGCUUCUCUUUCUCUCCUCUCUGACGACUCUUGCUCUAAGGAGGCAGACGAAAGAAAAGUAAGGCUAGGGUUAUUUUCCUGUCUAGGGUUUUAAUUCAUCAAAUAGGAAUGAGUGAAGAGGACCAAGAAAAGACGGCGUUCUACACCGACCAAGGUGUUUAUUGCUACACCACCAUGCCAUUUGGGCUAAAGAACGCCGGGGCGACCUACCAAAGGCUGAUCAACCGACUCUUCAAGAAUCAGAUCGGCCGUAAUGUGGAGGCUUAUGUGGAUGACAUCCUCGUCAAAAGUCUCGCCACUUCAUCCUUCCUGUUAGACUUGAGGGAAGUCUUCGGGGUCCUGCGAGACUCGAGGAUGAAGCUGAAUCCCAAGAAGUGCGUCUUCGGCGUCACCUCGGGAAAAUUCCUGGGGUAUCUGGUUUCCCACCGGGGAAUCGAAGCCAACCCCGACAAAGUCAAGGCCAUUCAAGAUAUGUCCCCACCUCGGAACCUCCGAGAAGUCCAAAGACUGAAUGGACGCCUAGCCGCACUGAACCGCUUUUUGUCUCAAUCAGCUGAGAAGGCCUUGCCCUUCUUUAAAGUGCUGAAGAAGUCUGAUCAGUUCGCCUGGACGGAGGAGUGUCAGUCUGCCUUCGACCAGCUGAAGCAGUACUUGCACCACCUGCCCACUCUCGCUUCACCUCGGCCCGAGGAAAAGCUCUACCUCUACCUCUCUGCAGCAGACGAGGCUGUCAGCGCUGUGCUCAUCCGAGAUGAGGGCACCCAAGUGCCGAUCUACUACGUCAGCCGAGCUCUUCGCGGGCCGGAGACUCGAUACACUCAGGUGGAGAAACUGGUGCUAGGACUAGUCCAUGCCGCUCGGCGGUUGAAGCCCUACUUCUUAGCCCAUCCUAUCUCGGUCAGGACUGACCAGCCCAUUCGGCAAAUAUUGGUGCGACCCGAAGCUUCUGGUCGCCUCACCAAGUGGGCUGUCGAGUUGGGAGAGUAUGACUUAACAUACGAGCCUCGCACAGCUAUAAAGGCACAAGCCUUAGCCGACUUCCUCGCCGAGCUGACCUUCACGGAAGGUCCAGAGUCCGCCUCCGCCGGAACUGAAGUGUCCACUUCAUCCCCAUGGACAUUGUAUGUGGAUGGAUCUUCUAAUGGAGAUGGCAGCGGGGCCGGACUUCUUCUGGAAGGACCUCAGGGAGAGGUGUGCUCCUACGCCCUCCGCUUUGGCUUCUCGGCCACCAAUAAUGAAGCCGAAUAUGAGGCUUUAAUUGCUGGACUCCAGCUGGCCCGAAGGCUCGGCGCCCAGCAAAUCCACGUCCGCAGUGACUCCCAACUUGUUGUGCGCCAAGUUCUCGGUGAGUAUGAGGUCAAGGAUGAGACCAUGCAACGAUACCUCUCCAAGGUUCACCAGCUCACCGUGUACUUCGAGUCAUUUGAAAUCCAAAGAAUCCCCCGGUCCCAGAAUAAGCGAGCCGACGCCUUAUCCCGGCUGGCCUCCACUUCAUUCUCUGACCUCAACAAAACGGUUUUAGUGGAAGUUCUGAGUGAACCCGGAUAUGUGGAAGAGGUGGCCUGCCCCGUGCACUCCGAAGAUACCUGGAUGACCCCGUUCAUCCUUUUCUUGGGUCAGGGAACACUCCCUGAAGACCGAGCCGAGGCGAGAAGAAUACAACGCAAGGCGGCUCGGUACGCUCUCCGCGAUGGAGAACUGUACAAACGCUCUUACCUCGGCCCAUGGCUGAGGUGUGUCACUCCCGAGGCCGGACGUCACGUCCUCCACGAGAUCCACGAAGGCCUGUGCGGAGCUCACGUCGGCCACAGGAUGUUAGCCAAGAAGACUAUGCUCCUUGGAUAUUUCUGGCCGUCACUUCGGCAAGACUCCCAGGACCUCGUUCUCGGCUGCCCUUCCUGCCAAGUCCACGCACCCGAGCACCACCAGCCUUCAAACUUCAUGGUCCCCAUCACUUCACCCUGGCCGUUUGAGCAAUGGGGGACAGAUAUCAUAGGUCCUUUCCCUAAAGCUGUCGGGGGUUAUACUUUCCUGGUGACCGCGGUGGACUACUUCACUAAGUGGGUCGAGGCCGAGCCACUUCGGACCAUUUCGGGGCUGGCCAUUCAAAAAUUCUUUUGGAAGUGCAUUGUCUGCCGCUUCGGCAUACCUCAGAUCAUCAUCUCGGACAAUGGGAGACAAUUUGCCGAGAAUCCAUUCAAGACCUGGUGCGAGAACCUCGGCAUCAAGCAACACUUCACUUCGGUUGGCCACCCCCAGGCCAAUGGUCAAGCAGAAAACUUCAACCGGACUCUCCUGCAUGGCCUCAAGACCCGACUACACCAAGUUGGGUCAUCUUGGGUGGAGGAACUCCCCAGUGUCUUGUGGUCAUAUCGGACCACGCCGAGGUCAGCGACGCAAGAGACCCCAUUCUCCCUGACCUAUGGCGCCGAAGCUGUCAUCCCGGCUGAAAUCCUUACUCCCAGCCCUCGGCUGGCAACCUAUGCCGCCGAGGUGAACGACGAAGAGAGGCAGCUGGACCUCGACCUCGUCGAAGAACGAAGGGACCUCGCCUCAGCCCGGAUAGCUUCAUAUAAGAACACACUGGCACGCUAUUACAAUGCCCGUGUCAGACAUCGUAGAUUCCGUCCUGGAGACUUGGUUCUUAGGAAAAAUUCAGUCAGUCGAGCUGAGCCGCAAGGGAAAUUACGCCCGAAAUGGGAAGGCCCUUACCGAAUUCUGGAAUCUGACCCUAAAGGGUAUUGUAAACUGAGCUACCGAGAUGGCUCAUUAGUGCCGAGGUUUUGGCACGCCGAGAAUCUUAGGUUGUAUUAUGUUUGAAGUUAUGACUUCAUUCGGUUAUUUCAUCAAAGUUGACUCUAUCCAGUUAUCAUGCCAAGCUAUGACUUCGGCUAUUAUGUUAUUUUUCAACAUCGUUAUUACGCAAUUAAAAAAUAAGGGGGACAAGCAAGGGAUGAAGUCAAAGCAAGAAACAAGAAAUUAAAGAGCUGAGAUGAAAAGAAACAGACUUUCAUUCAAUAGAAGUAUUACAAAAAAUACAAGGCCGAGGUCGGAGUGCUACUAAACACUUCACCUCGGCCACCCCCUCGAAGCAUAUGAGCCUAGACCCCCGUCUCGGCUCCAUUCCCGGUCUUGGCUCCCUCCUGGGCAGCCUCCUCUUCGGCCUCUUUUCCGCCGGGGUGUUCAUCUCCAGGCUCUUUUCCGAGGUCCCCUCCGACUUCGUCCCCCCCGGCCUCGUUUCCCUCAACUUCCUCUACAUCCACGUCCUCGAACACGUCGUCGAGUUCGGACAGCCACUUGUUGAACUCGACCUGGACUUCGGCCAAGUUCCUUCCCGCCUGAAUGCCUUCGGCCAUCCGAUCACAUAACUCCUUUGAGUCUUCAUUGUAGCUGGCAUGAUUUUUCAAAGACUCCAAGGCUUCGGGGGAGAGGUGAGCUGCGGCCUCGUCAAUGGCCGAUGUGAAGCCAAACAUGAAGUUAGGCGUAAGCAGUUGGCCGAGUUCCUUGAUGAAGGCAUCGGACCUCCGAAACGCGUCCACAGCCGAGGCUCCAGCACCCUCGAGAGCUUGUGCGUGGGACUUCUUCACUUCGUCCCCCCUCUUCUGCUCCUCCUCGAGGGCUGAUCUAAGACUAUUCAUAGUAGCCUCGGCCUCCUCACCCUUAGCUUCAGCCUCUUGAAGUUGCCUCUGAAGCUCUGACUUCUCGGAUUCGGACACCGCCAGUUGUUUCUCCAACUUGGAGAUCUGAGUCUGCAGCUUGCCGGUGUCCUGCUCCUCGACUAGAGCACAGUAUCUGUGAGCCAUCUCGGCCGCAAAAGCUGAGUUGGAAACCGUGGUCACCAUCAGACUUUGAACCAACUCGGCCGGGCUCAGUUUUUUCAUGAACUCCAAAUCCCUUGGCAGAGUGGAGUGCAUUACUAGCUCCUGUGCAACCCGAGGAUGCUGGCACCGGUCGUUGACCGAAACUUUCCAGUUCGGACACCAAUGAUUGCCGGAGUGCGUCUUCUCCUCCCCGGGAAACACUGGGGGGCUAUGGAAACGAUUUCAUAGCGAAGUCCCCGAGACUGGAUUGGCCGGGGCCUUCAGCUGCUUGCCUCGGCCCUGAGGAGGUGGGAGUGCCGUAACGAUUCCGAGAGGCACUCUCUCUGGCACGGACGAAGUGGACCCAGUAGCCGCGGUGGCCGAGCUGCUCUGGCCGACCUUGGUGGGAGUGCUUGUAGCCGCCGGGGUCUUGGCAGCCUGUCCCUGUGCUUUCUUCUUCUUUGGCGGAAGUGCCGAUGUCUCGUCAGUACUCUUCCUCUUCGACCUCUUGGCCACUUCGGACGAGCUGGAGACGACGAUAUCGGACAACUUGACCACUGCACAAGAAGUAAAUAUUAUCAUAUGCCUUAGCCGAAGUGAAAAGAAAAGCCAUGAAAGAAAAUUACGAGGUUUCUCAAGUUUAAUGGAAAAGAAGGGGGUCUUGGUAGUGUUGAUCACGGCUCGACUUAUCCCCCCAUCCACGAGCACGGUUUCGGGGUAGUCAUGGCUGAACAGCCGAAGUCCCGACUUCAUCAGCUUUUGGAAGGACUCUUCUUCGGCAUCCCCGGCAGAGGGGUCGGCCUUCGCCUUAAUUGGCCUCCACCAAAAACCCCUCGGGAAGUCCACUCCGGACACGAAAAAGUAGUCGCGCUUCCAGUUCUUGAUCGAGCUGGGAGCACCGAUCACCAACUUCGGGAUGGCAUUGUUCCGGUUGCCAACAUAAAACCAUCCCUUAUCCGUCGCGUGCGCCUUGAGGGUGUAGCAUCGGCGGAAGAGAUCAACGGAGGGAGUCACCUCCUGAUGUCGGCACAGCAUUUCAAACCCCACAAUGAUGCGGAUCGCAUUCGGGGUGAGUUGGGUGAUUCUCACCUGGAAGUGACGAACUAAGUCCCGGAGGAAUCUCGACGUCGGCAUUCUCAGCCCGGCCUCCAGCUGUUGAACGUAGACGGCCACCAUGCCAAAGGGGGGCUCCGCGGCUGUGUCACCCACCUCGGGCGGCAAAAUUUCGUACCAAGGCCGGAAGGGGUACUUGUCUACCACCUUCAUGGCCCUAUCUCUUCCUACGCGACUCCUAAACUUCGGCAUCUGGCCGAAGUCGAUGUCGGCUACGUCCACUGGAGCAACUGGCUCCGGUACACCCUCGUCAUGGGGUAUCUCGGUCCCGAGCUCGGUAUUGUACUCCACCUCGGAGCCGCCUUCGCUGAUCUCGGACGAUUCCAGUUCCGAGGCUGUCUCUCCGGCUCUCACCUCGGUCGAUCCUUCCUCGGAACUCUGUGCCGACCCCUCCGAACUGGACGUCGUCGCUUCUUCCUCAGAAUCCGCCCGCACCUCGGUCUGGUAGCUCGGGGUCACGGUUUCUUUAUGGGUUUUCGCGGUUUUAGCCAUGAGUGAAAGACGAGAUAAGAAAGAAAAAGGGAUACUUACUAUUGACUACGAUAUCGGACGCAGUGAAGACUUCGGCAAGGAUCUCGGCUGAUGGAACUGACCUCGGCUACGCUCGUGAAUUAUACAAGUAUUGGAUGAAAGUGAAAGGUGUGAGAAAUGCGGUGAGGGGGCCCCCCAUUUAUAGGGGUUCUUGGGAACCCGAAGAGGCGGCAAGAAUACGGAAGGGCGGCAACGAUCCAAAUUCCAGAUACUUUGUGCCUGCCCUUCUGUUUCUCCCUCUCUCCUCAUUAAUGCCCUGUCCUUUCGGCUGACACUCUGCACGAAACGUCCCACUACUUCACGACGUGACGGUUACGUGCCGACUCACUCUCCAGGUCCCUUCAACUGACAUGCCCACGUGUCACGUCCCCGCAUCUUCCGGAGCAGGCUCGGGACCCCGACUCUUCACGACUUCGGCAGAAGGAAGCCUCGGCACCUCCCUUGCUCGGAGCAUCCGAGGCUUGGGGGGCUUAUUGAGGAUGUUCACCUCGGCCAUCCCGAGUGGCCGAGGUGAACUCACCUCGUCCCUCAUCGGAGCUCAUCCCUGUCUUGAGCACAACCCCAGAGCUCGGCUUCAACCCUAGUCCACCGUGUAGGUGACCUCGGCACAUCCACCUCGGCUGCACGCUGAUGAUGUCAACCCACCUGACAUCAUCCAGGACCAGCACUUUAUCUGAAAAGCACUGGAGGCACUUAAUGGCACCUGCACCAUAUCCUCCGUCAUCACUCCCAGGCGGCUACAGUGUCAGAGUCAGACCUCCUGACAGGAGACAGAGCCGUAAUGCCAGAGAGUGGGUCCCGCUAGCAUGAGCCUUCCGUCUUGACCACCUCUCUUCUAUAAAUACCUCACUCACACUCCCAACAAGUAAGCAUACACUGUUCAUUAACUUACUCUUAUUAUUCUCGUUCUCAUACUAACUUGAUCGUCGGAGUGAUACCAGGGGAGAAGCCCCGCCACUCACUUCGGACAAGGAGGUUCACUUCGGACACAGGAGUUCACCUCACUUCAUCUCAGAGAGGACUGAUCCAGGUCGGUCUAGUUACCAACCAAAAAUCGCCUCCUCAAGGUCCAAAUAAGCUUCUCUAGCUCUUUCGGUUGGCACUUCUCGAAAAUCUGUCUCUUAAAUUGGGGCCUGGGGCCUCCCGAAUCUCUCUUGAUAUACUAACGGACGGUCCAAGCUUGCUAUUAGUAUCCUUUCACAAGAAAGUCCGACAAGGAGUUUGGCACUACCUUUUCUUGCCUUUUCUAUCUUAUCGGGUCUUCCAUUUGCAACAAGUUCUCUUUAUUACACCCCCAUGAAUCCACCUCUUUCCUGAUUUCAACCCAUUUCUUUUAUUUUGGAACUCUGGUAGAAUGCAAACUUAAAUGUAUGCAGCAAGAUGCAAACUUUAAAGGGAAAAGAAAGCGGGACCAAGAGAUGAAGAAAUAGGAUAGAGGACUCAAAUGUAUGACCAAAUGGGUGAGAAUCCUAAGUUUGACAAAUUUUUAUCAGAAGUGGUCAUAAAGUUAGCAGCACCAAGAUGAUCUAUACCUUUCUUUGUUCCUUUGAUAAAGUAGCAUCCAUUGUCUUGGUUACUGGAAACUGUGGUCUAACUUUUUUAGCCUACCCAAAUUACUACUGCACUUUAUCUUUUGUGGAAAGAGAACAAGAAAGCGAAAUGGAUGGUAAGCGUAGAUAUCCUACAUUUAUAUCAACAGGAAAAAUAUAAAAAUGAAAAAAAAAAUUUAACCAAACCAAUUGACUAAUAAUUUUAUAAAUACAUAUAAAUUGUUUGCUCUAUAUUUUCUUAGCUUUCUUGUUUUUAUUAGUGCUAAUUCUCAGUUAGAGGCUACUUAGAGGUGUGGCAAAAUAAAAACUUCUAUCACGGUUGAAACUCCUUUAGAUUUUCACAUAGAAUGAGCCAAAUUUAAUGAACAUCAUAACACAGCAAAUUUGGCAAUUGAAAUACAUAUUUUUUAAUUUGAGAAACUAAUAAAAACCCAUGAAAUGGCAAACUUAAGUGCCACCUAUUGAUUUUGAAAGGAACCUGUUAGCUAAAAUUGAUUUUUUUUUUCCUGUAUUCCUUGUGCUUUUUCUUAAACAGAUAUUAGCUCCUUAUUUAGUUGCUUUGAAAUAGUGUUUGUUAUUCUUCUGAAGAGUUGGUUUCAACUUGCAACGCUUUGCUUUUAUUUCCUAUUAAGUCAAUAAACAAUUAAACACGUGCAUAUUAACCUCCAUAUAUCAUUAUUUCUAGUGUUAAAUGCAUGAAAUGAUUUACUUUCAAGAUUACUAAGGAAAAAAUAUUCCAAAAGGAAUUAGCUUGAUUAAUAAUUCUUGCAAGUUACCAAUUAUUUUUUAAUAACAUUAGGUGGUAAUUAUAUUGAAAUGACUGGAAUUAAUUUGAAUUACAAUUAAAAAAUUAUUAGAAAGCAUCUAAGAAAAUAUUUUCACCUUCGUAUGACACAUCGAUCGCUAUUCAUUUUUCUAUAUUUUGAUUUGUGAAUGACUUUGGCACUCCAUAAUUAAUCAUAGACAUACCACUUAAUCUUCUUGUUAACUCAGCUGAUCUAAAUGAUCAUGCCCCAGCAUAGAAGACAAAUUUGAUGAACAUAUUGCUAAAUUAUAUAUAAUAAUGUCUUAUGGAAUUUUUUUAGCCAAAGAAUAGUUAUUUUUUUGGAUUGCUUAAAAAGCUCAACAUCUCAACAAAGAGUAAUAGAAUUGAUUAGAAAAGUCAAAAUUUAGAUAAUUGCAUAAAGAUUUUAUAAUUCUUAAAUCAUAUAAUCUCUCCACUACUCUGUCAAAUCAACAUUUUGAGUUGGAACUGCAUCAAAUUAGUGGUCGUGACAUGCAAAUACUAACUCUUCUCACAUAGAUAUGUCACAAGGGAUAUAUCUAUAUCCACUAGCAGGUUUUGACAAAAAAGGCCCUCCGGGGCUUGGUCUGACGGUUGAGGUUGCUGAAGAUGGAGGCUUAGGUCCCUGGUUCGAACCUUACUGCCAACAAGUUGUGGAGGGUGGGGAAUAGUCUGCGGGGUCCACUCCCUGCGGGACAUCCCAAAAAAAAAAAAAAAAAAAAAGACAAAAAGAAAAAAAAAUCCACUAGCAGGAAUGAUAUCCACGUUUCAUUGCAAGCAUUCUGUCUUCAACUCAAAAUUGCGUGUAGGAAUCCUUGCCUCAAAAUUUCAUGUAGAAAUUUGUGUCAACAACAUUCUAUUACGAAAUAUAACCUCAAGGUUAAUAUUUUCUCUAAGUUUAGUUCUGCAAAGUUUAAGCAAUUAGCAAGUUGAGCUCUUCCUAAAGGCGUGAGUUGAAUUUCAUUUUUAUGCCUUCACAGUAUGGGGCUUCAAGAAUCACAUUACUUGGUGUAAUUGGGUUCCAAGGUAGCCAGUUGAUUUUGAGUUCUCACGUUUAUCUAGAAUGGCAAGAAAUUUUCUUAUAAAUGUAGCAUCAGUUAACUUCUAAAAUCCAUCCACAAGAACUUAUUUUGGCAUAUGUCAUAGAUCCAAUAGUGAUAGUAUAUACACUGUCAAUAGAUAUAAGAUUUACUUUUUUUGUAUGGAUUAAUUUUUUAUACACUGAUGAUGUAUACAUUAUCAGACUUCGAUUAAUAACAAUUAUGCAAACUUUAAAUUUGAAAUUCAACUUUUACACAUGUGUCAUGGAUCCAAUAGUGAUAGAAUAUAUACUGUCAGUGUUUAUUUUUUUGUAUGGAUUAAUCUGUCCAACACCGACAGUGAUACACUAUUAGUCUUAGAUGAAUGACAAUAAUGCAAAAUUUGAAUUUAAAAUUCAAUUUUUGUAUAUUUGUCAAAGAUCUAAUAGUGAUAUAUAUUGUCAGUAUAUAUAAGAUUUACUCCUUUUAUUUUUAUCCCUUUCCUCAAGUAUUUCCUUCAUUCAUAAUUUUAUUCCUUAAAAGUUUUUAGAUAUUCUUCUUUAGUUUCCAAAAGUUUCUCCAGGAGAGUUUUCUUAAUAUCGCAACAAUUAAUCAUGUUGAACAAGAAAUUGAUAUGCUAAUCUUCUUUAGUUUCCAAAUAUAUUGUCAAAGAAAUUUGUUAAACUUCUUUCCGAACAAUUUCUUUUAACAAUAUUGCUCAAGAAAAUUCAGGAAAUCUGCUCACUUGCUCCAAAAUUAAUUGAUUGCCAAAGAAAUUUCUAAAACUUCUUUACAAAAAAUUUCUUUCCAACUAUUGCCCAACAAAGUUAACAAAAUCUGAGUUUAAUAUAUUUUAUAUUUCUAAAGUAAAAACUCAUUCUUGCUGUUACAUUGAAUUACAUAAUGCACUAAUUUAGACUCUUGCUCUUAAUAUAUUAUAGAUAAGUUGUACCACAAUAUUGUAGCAGGAAGACUAAUGCAAAGCUAUUUCUUGAUUGAUUUACAAUAUGAUUCAAAUUAGACAAUUAGUUUGAAAACUUGAAAUUAAUGCAGAAACCAUUACAUGAAUGUUGUAAUCUAAUUACUGAUGUGAAUGCAAAAAGAGACCAACUUGGUACACGCAUGGCCCACCAAUAAAGCACCAUUUGUUUGGCAGCUACACAGAAGUUGCUGGGAAAGUUCCGAAGCACCAUAUCUUCUGUGAACAAGAUGUGUCUUGCAAUAUUUACACAAAAAGUGGGAAAAAAAAGUCCAGCCUAUUGUUUGUUGGCUAUUGUUAGAUGAGAAAGUUUUGGAUCCUGAACUGAUUUUAUUGAGCAGCUGCUAAACCAGAUAAAAAUCUAAUAUCAGAGUGAAAAGAAGAUAUUAUAAUGGAUAUCCCCUCCAGCAGUAACGCCGACUGCUUUGAUUUUGCUUUAUAUGAUUAUCUGCAGUCGCAUCACAUCUCCUCCAGCACUAGCACUAGUUGCUUUGAUCUUGCUUUAGAUAUUCUAGCCAAGCUUGACAAAAUGCCCCUAUUUGGCGGGGACUUCGUGGACCUGAAGAAGAGGGUAAGAUUAAUGAAAACCUGUUUUCUGUAUGUCAAAAAGUGUAGGAGGAGGAGGAACCCCGAAGCGCUUUUGGAGCAUGAUCGCGAGGACAGGUGUAAUAUUAUGUCUGAAAAUUUGAGACGUAGUAGUGUUUGCUUCAGAAUUCAAGAUGUGGCUAUCAGGAUGAUUCAAGAACUUCAGCCUGCUUAUUUUCAAUAUAUUCAUUCUGGUCGUUACUUAGAUUAUGCCAGCAUUGAAAGUGCGAUUACCAGAUCCAAGGAAAAUAUCAAACUGUUUCUUGAGACAGAUCUCAAGAAAUCAUGCGCCGCCAUCAUCAUCGACUAUUACCCACCAGGAGAUCCACGACUAGUUAUGGAUCUUAUUAUGUGCCUUUUAGAGACUUUGGAUGGGCUUUUACGUGUUGGGGAGCUAAGGGAUACAAUUAGAAAUAGGCUAAAACUCUUAAGGAAUCUCAUUGGCUUUGUGACAAUGCAAGGUCUUGAAUGUUCGCAACUGACAGAUCUCUUGACUUACACUGUAGUUGCAGCUGGAAGCCUGAUUUCUAUAUGUCUGUCUGACUAUGAUGAUGAACAAGCGGUCAAUCGAAUGGAAUCUGAAAUUUAUCAGCUGAUACACGAGAAGAUCAAUCUUCAUGAUCUCCAAGUUCGAGAAACUUUUGUCCAUGUCCUGACAGCUUCAAAGAAACAACCGAGAUCAUCAUAUGAUUUAGCCCUUCAGAAGAAUGACGAUCCAGUGGUAGGCCAGUUUAUUGGUUCUCUCUGCUAUUAUCUUAUAGAUCUACUAGGAUCUUAUGCCAGUUUUCAGGUUCCAGUGAAGGAUCAAAUACUGAAACUCCAUGAGGGAUUAAGAUACCUGGAUAUCCUUCUUAAACAGGAGGAGAAACUAGGUGAUGAAAUAAAGGAUCUUAUUGGAGUUGCGGUCUCUGAUGUAGGAAUUUUGACCUUCUCCCUUUCUGUCAAUGAAAUCAAAGAAGGCUUGCCUGAGGAAACAGAUCUUGGGGUGUUUCAUUUGCACAAAGUUCUCAAAUAUAUGGUGGCAGAGGUUGCACACAAUUAUCCACUAAAAUCACCAUAUUCAUCAUUUAAUUAUCCUAGACCCAAUGAGUUGGGCUGUAUGGAUUCUUUCCUAGAAAAUCUCAAGGAACUAGCAAGGUGUGAUGAGGCUGAUGAUUCAAUUGGUUUUCAACAUCAUAGAAUCCAAGUGAUCCAAAACGAUCUCGUAUUCUUAAGAUCUUUCCUGGAAAAUAUCAAGGAGCAACGCUAUCAGAAUGGAAAACUUCAAGCUUUCUGGAGUCAUGUUAUGGAGGCUGCUUACAAGGCGGAGUUACUGAUUGACUUGGCAUUUGUUGGUGAUAAAUGUGAAGAUUCUUUGGAUGCUGUUUCUAGAGAUAUCAAUCUUUUGAAGAUUGAGGCCCCAGAGAUCCAUAAUGGUCAAACCCAAAGAGUUAACAAUACUUCCCUUCACAUACCAUCACAACUUACUAUCGCCAUGCAUGACGAAGAUCUGGUAGGUCUCAAAGACGAGGUGGAAACUAUUACUCAUCGGCUUACGAGAGGAUCAAAGCAAUUGGAUGUUGUUCCCAUUGUGGGUAUGCCUGGCCUUGGGAAGACCACAUUAGCCAAUAAUGUUUAUAAUGCUCCUUCAGUUAGGUCACAUUUCCAUGUUCGUGGUUGGUGUCGUGUUUCUCAAACAUAUAACAUACGCAGUAUGUUAGUUCAACUUUUGUGUAGUAGUUCUUCUAAGAGUUCUGAUGAAUAUCUUAAGAUGGAUGAAAAUGAUUUGGCCAUGAAGCUAAGGCAGGUUUUGCUGAGAAGCAGGUAUCUCCUUUUUUUGGAUGACUUGUGGGACGUUGAGGCAUGGAUUUUAUUGGAAAAAUUACUGCCAAAUGAUGCCAAUGGAAGCAGGAUUCUCUUCACCAGUAGAUGCCGGUAUUUAUCUUUGCAUUUCGAACCUAAUAGCGAGCCUUACCAUCUCCGCCAUCUUACUGACGAAGAGAGUUGGACAUUGCUGCAGAGAAAGCUAUUUGGAACGGAAGAUUGUCCUCCCGCGCUAAGUGAAGUUGGAUCUCAAAUAUCAAAACUUUGUCAGGGCUUACCCCUCGCAGUUGUCCUUAUUGCUGGAAUUCUUGCUACUACUGCACAAGAUAGCUGGGAAGAAGUUGCAAAAAGUCUAAGUUCUAUCGUCCUUGAGGAUGAAUACUGCAUGAAGGCACUUGAGCUGAGUUAUAGUCAUUUACCAGAUUAUUUGAAGCCAUGCCUUCUGUAUUUUGCUGCAUUUCAAGAAGAUGAGGUUAUUAAUGUGCGAAGGUUGUUACGGCUUUGGAUCUCUGAAAGAUUCGUGCAACAAACUGAAGGAAAGAGCUUAAAGGAAGCAGCUUAUGACUACUUGACGACUCUAAUUAAUAGAAGUUUAGUUAUGGUUGUCAGACAAAGAAAUGUGGGUGGUGCCAAAUACUGUCUACUUCACGAUUUGGUACACGAGUUUUGUGUGAAAAAAGCCAAAGAAGAAAGUUUUCUAUAUGCUAUUCAUAGUUGGAACCCUCUUUGUCUUACUGGACCAAGCAACCCCCACCGAGUUUGUGUUUCCAAUGCCAGGGAAUUGAAGAUUUGGGAGUUAACGCUUAUUUUUCCCAAUUUACGAUCUUUGAUCUUGUUUGGACAUGUUCAUAUUGAACAUGAAGAGGAGGAUUUGGGUAUUUUGUUACCUAAACUUCUCAGAGUGUUGGAUUUUGGGAGUUUGGGCUUUCGUUACAAUUCUUUUCCAAUGGAAGUAGUAUUGCUUGUUCACUUGAGAUACCUGGCGCUCAAACGAAUAACAUACAUCCCAUCUGCGAUAGCCAACCUCUCAAGGUUAGAAACUCUUAUCGUAGUUGAUCCGGAUUUUGAUAUUGAGCUGCCAAGUACUAUUUGGAACAUUAAGACAUUGAGUCAUCUACGUGUUUUAAAUUAUCAUGGAGUAUGGUCAAUGGGUUUUAUUUUUCCACUUGGAAAUCUUGAAGGAUCCCCAGAUUUAGAUCAUUUAGACACUUUACACCUUGCAAUUGAUCCCUCCCCUCAAAGCUUGCAAAAGAUACUGAGAAAGUUACCAAGCCUUCGCAGGUUAAAAUGUAGGGAACGCUGGAACAGCUCAAGAGAAGCUACCAGAAAUUGCAACGAGAUUCUUGAGUUUGACGGUUUGAGUCAACUGGAAUCACUUUAUUUGUUUCGUUUUCAUGGAUGUGGAUUCAAAUUCCCGUCGAAUUUGAAAAAGUUGGCUCUCUUCUGUAAUGGUCAGCCAUGGAGUGAAAUUUCAACAAUUGGAAAGUUGCCCAAUCUUGAAGUGCUUAAAUUACUUGAUCGCUGCUUUGUUGGGGAAGAAUGGGAAAUGAAAGAAGGGGAGUUCCCUAAACUCCGAGUCUUAAAAUUGUCAAUGUUGAAAUUUCGCAACUGGACUGCAUCUUCCGAUAAUUUUUCCCGCCUUGAGAAAUUGGUCUUGCGCUGGUGUGGGGAGCUGGAAAAGGUCCCUUCCUGUUUAGGUGAGUGUGAGACUCUUGAAAUGAUUCAGGUGAAAGGGUGUCGUGAGUCUGUUGUAGAUUCUGUAAAGCAAAUUCAACAAGAACAGAAAGAUAUGGGAAAUGAGGUUCUAAGGAUCGAAAUUGAUAAUUAUGAUGAUAGAUCCAUUUCCUCAGAAGAAGAGUCUACAGAAGCAGAGUCAAGUCCCUCAGAAGCAGAGGAGGUUUCUUCAGAAAGAGAGUCUAUAUCCUCUCAUCACGCAGUUGGCAAUUGUGAGAGUGAAUGUACAGUGGGAUUCCACUCAUCAGGUCAGAUAAAACUAUAUUUGCAUAUGUUGAAUCAGUUCAAUUAUAUAAUUGUUCAUGUUUCUCUCAACAGUUUACCACGGCAAACCAUUCAUGUCUCUUUUUCAUCUGUUUAUAUGUUGAAUCAGUCCAAUGAUAUGUUAAUUCAUGUGUAUUUUGAAGCAAUUUCUGGAGGCGUCUAAAUUCUUUAUCUGUUUAAACCUGAUGCUGCUGCAUAACUUCCUGAUACAUUUCUGAUUGCAGUAGGAAACACAUUGAUGCACAAUCUGUUUCUAAAAUCUUCUUCCAUGUUGCUACAUAUUGAUAUGAUACUCAGAACCAGCAGAGCAAAAGCAUGACUUGAUAUGAUAUACUCAAAACCAGAUACACUUUUCUAUUCCCAAUUUGUGUUUGUAAAUAAGAGUAAUACAGAAAAGUGUAACUCAACUGAUUGAUAUGUUUAAACAUACAAUAACAGUUUUGCAACAAAUAUUAAGUGGAGACAAAAGCCCAAAAAAAAACCUAUGGUUGUAUUAUUUUUCAACAGAGGAAGGGCAUAGGACUUAAUAUGUGUUUUUCUUCACUACAAUAUGCUGAAAUACAAACAUUUUCAUUCUUUAAUAGGCAAUAUUUUCGGAAAUCAAAAAGGAAGCAAUUUUUUCUUAAACUUUUUUUUGUGUGUGGUUUCAUGUUUUAUUUUGCUAUUUUAAGUGGUUUAUUGCUCAAACUGAUCAAAAUGGCAAAUCAAAGAAACCAGAUGACCUAUUUUGUUGGGUAAUCUGUAUACCUCUUCAUUCAACUGAUGUAGUACUGUAAUUAUCCCUUCUUCCAGAGUAGAUUUCCUCAGCCGGAGAGUCCAUUUCUUCUCAUCAUCACAUUAGGCAAUGGUAAAGACUGAAGCAUUUAUGUCUCUUCUUGACUUUGUGUGAUCAUUCCACUCAUCAGGUCAGAUAUAAUUGCAUGUCCAUGUUAAUUCAGUUCAAUGAUAUAACUCAUGUCCCUUCUUCAUCUGUACCAAAUUAUUUGGUUUGAACCUGAUGCAGCAGUAUUACUUGUCAUUGCAGGGGCAAGCACAGUCAUGCAUUCUAUCAAGCCAAUAUUAUCCAUCAUAAUCUGUUUGUAAAACAAGCUGUUUGUAACUCUCUGUUUAAAGCACAGUCAUGGUUUGAUGUUUGAUAGUGUUUACGAUCCAUCACAAUCUGUUUGUAAAAUAUUCUCCAAGUUCUUUCCUGAUUUUGAUGUUUAAUAGUUUUCAUGAUCCCAAUUUUUCAAAUAUUCUGCAAUCCUGCUACAGAUUGAAAUGAUCCUUAAAACUAGCUGUUUGUAGAAUGUUCUCCAUGUUCUUUUCUGAUUUGAUGUUUAAUAGUGUUUAUGAUCCCAACUUUUGAAAGCUUCUUCAUUGCUACUACGGAUUGAAAUUAAUGAUCAAAUGAUCCUUAAAACCAGCAGACAAUUAACAAAGCAUGUAUGCGAGAUUCACUUUUCUCUUCCUUUCAUGUAUUUCAGUAAUACAAAAGAUUUUGAUUUGCUUCUGUUUUUCCUCAAUAAAACUCUCAUGCAACAAUUACUUAGUAUGGACCCAAAAAAAAAGGGAUCUAAAUUGUGUUACUUUGCAAUAGAGAAAGUGCAUAGGAACUAAAUGGUAAAUUUUGCAUCAACAUGAUUAUAUUUUCAUGUAUAACAAUAUUUUGGCGAACACAUACAAUAAAAGGAGGCUAUUUAGUAGCCACUCGCAUUUCUUUGCAUUCUUUAUCUUAGCAAAAGACUAAAGGGUGUAACUUUUCUUAAACUUUUUUCUAUGCUAUUUCAUCUUUUAUUUUCUGAUCAAUGUGAUUCAUUGUUCAAUGUUCAAGCCUGUAAAAACAUCUUUUAUUUUCUGAUCAAUGUGAUUCAUUGUUCAAUGUUCAACCUGCUAAAAAUGACAAAUUAAAGAAGCUGGAUGAUAUCUAAUUGUGAUAUUCUAUACCAUGUAACAUAUUUAAUACAAGAAUAUUUAGAAAAUAGAGAAAAUCAUUAGCUGGCGAUCAUUUAAGACCAAUAUUAACGUUGAUGAGGAAACCAUUACAUGAAUUUUUUUUUUUGCAUGGAGUCCUCAUGGAUAGACCACUAUUCAAGCAUCACAAAACAUAAUUAGUUCUUUUAAUAGCCAUUUAAUUACUCUAUCAAAUCUCGUCCCAAUGAUCAAGAAAGGGUUCUUAGAUUCUUUUUCAUACCAAGUUCAAGGUUUGAAUCAUGUACCUGACAAUUGGAAGUUAAAAAGCAGUUCGAAUUAUGUACUUGACAGUAGAGAGUAAAAUGCAUGUGAGAAGGGAUGGGAGGAUUAAAAAAAAAAAAAAUGGAAGAGUCUCCUCUUGUCUAUAUACAAUAGUGUUCCUCUAUGUGGCUUGUAUAAUUGACUAGACAGCAAAGGCAAGACUUCUAAUGAUCAAAUCACUCUACGUUAACCUUUUAAGGUUUAUUCCACUUGCACCUUUAAAGUUCUUUCUAUUUUCACUUUGCUUAAUCUUAGUUACAAAACUUUACAUCUUAUCUUUCAAAACAAAUUCUAAAUCUUACAAAGGGCUUAAAAUUGAAUGAAAAACCUUAUAUUCACCUUUUUUUUUGUCAAAUAUUCACCUAGUUAAUACUGCUCUAAGCUGAACUAGGGCAUGAGAGCACAAUCUACUAUUGUUAAUGCCAUGCAUCCAAGGGGUGCUGAGCGGGGCUGUGUUUUGAAAGUUUUAAUUCACAGUGUGUAAAUAUGGGUGUAAAACAGAGUUAGCCCCCUAAUUUUCAUAAUUUUAGUUUAUAUAUAUAUAUAUAUGAUUUAGCCACCUUUGAAUUAUUUUUUUCUUCAAAAAAAGUUAUUUAUUAUUUAUUGUGCUAGUUAUUUAACUUUUAAAAAAGUAAACAUAUAAUCAAUAAUCCAUAGUAAAUUGACUCAAUUUGAUUACAUUAUAAUAAAUGAUCCAAUUCAUAAUUAUCAAUGGGUUAAAACAAAAGCAAUUACUUUUUUGGCUAAUAUAUAAAUAUACAAUUUAGCCCAAUUGAUUAGACUCGUUCUCACUCUUGCUGCAUCAACUAUAAGUAUAGAACGAAUAUUUUCAAUUAUGAAGAUAAUCAAGAUAGUUACAAAACAAGAUGGAAGAUAAUUUUUUAAAUGAUUGCCUAAUUGUAUACAUAGAAAAGAAAGUUGUUGAAAAAUUUAGCACUGAUUCAAUCAUAAAUAAAUUUACUUCUAAAAGGAAUGUAAAACUCAAUUUACUUUUAAGAAAAGGGGUUGAAAUUUUGGUGUAUGUUAACAUAACUUUUAUCUUUUUUAAUUAAAAUAUUUAUAUUUAUUUUGCAUAUAUAUAUAUAUAUAUAUAUUUUGCAUAGGCGACAUGUUGGAGCAUCUUUUCAUAAUGUGCAACUUGGAUGGUUUGUGAUAUUAUAAGAUAUAAGAAAAGUUUAUUUUUGUCUUAUUUUUCAUUUGACUAUGUUGUAUAUUUAUAAUUAAACAUACCUUUAUAAUUAAAGUUAAUAUUUGAUAUUUUUAGAUGUCAUAUAUUUAAAUACAUGGAAAUUAUUUUGAACAUAGCAUAUUAAAAUAAUUUUUUUAGAAAACUUCUUGGGCGCCUGAGAAAAAAAUCUUGGCUCUGUCACUACAUGUAUCCCAUUUGGCGUUCUCCUUCUCCCUUGCAUAAAAGAUGAGAUUUGUUGACAAAAAGAGGGCAAGUUGGAGAAGAUGAGGUUACCAGAAUAACCAGCUUGCCUCUACUGCUGGAUGUAAAUUCUCGUCUUGUAUACCAUUUGCCACGAAUCCUUCAUCAUAUUUCCUCUUUUUUCCAAUCUAUCCUAAUUUACAUCCAUUUUUCUCAUUAGUAUAUUCAAAUAUUUAACUUAAUUACAGGUUUAAAACCUCAAAGCUCUUCUGGAAGUUGAGGCUAGUUUAAAUUGGAUUAGACAAAUUUUUGUUUGAGUUAUGAUUUUUUUCUUCAAGGAGAACCUUUUAUUCUUUUUGGACCUUUUUUCUUCGGGAGUCCCAAUUCAGGAGUCCCAAUCUCAAUGAGGUUUUGGUUUUCGUAAUGAUUUCCGACACUUCAAACUCUUUCAAGCUCAAAAUACAUUAAAAUGAUUGAAUUGAUGGUUCAGAUGUUUGAACUGAUAAAGUCAAAACCAAUCACUCAUUUUGUUCAUCACUGGUCCGCCUUUCAAAAUAUUUUUAACUGCUAAAGUUGUUCAAAAAGUGGAAUACUUUGAAAAAAAAAAUCGUCCCUGAAUUUCUAGUAAUAUCAUUUAGCGCCCCUAUAGUUCUAAAAGUAUCACUUACCUUCCCCACAAGUGAUGUGGCAAAAUUCACCAGCAUGCAAAGUGAAAGUAUUACCCUCACAACUUAAGAUUAUUUGUUCUAAAAGAUUUUGAAAGGAAAAAAUAUAUAAAUUGACAAAUUAGAAUGCCUGUCUUAACAAUUUUUGGCACUUAAACCUUCAUACUUUUUUAGUCCUUCUAUGCCACCCAUAUAUUACAUUGUCCUCAAUAUUCUAAUAAUAAUUUAGACAAAAAUAUCUAAAAGAAAAACUUAGAUCAAUAAAGAUAAUUGCCAUUUAGGAGUUAAUUUUGCACUUAAACCCCCUUUCCUACACUCCAAUUUUUUUUAAAGUCCUUAUAUGCCAACUUUAUAUUAAAAUACACUCACUACUCUAACAAUUAUUUGAAAAACAAUUUAGUAGAUUAAGUACCAAAAAUUUAUAAAACUAAAAAUUUGAUAUUCUAAAAAUUAUAUUUUCACUUAAACACCCCUAUGAUCCACUUUGAAUACUCUAAUGACAAGCUUAUAUUAAAUCGUCCUUGCUAUUCUAACAACUUUUUAGGCACAAAAGUUUAGAAGGAAAAAAAAAAAAACAAAAUCCGUCAAAGAAUGGUCAUCUUAACAAUUAUUUUUUACUUAAACUUUCCCUUCCCGCAUUUUAGUUCUCCUGUGCCAACUUUAUAUUAACUGACCUCUCCUAUUCUAACAAUUGUUUGUGUAAAAAGAAUUAAAUGCACUUGAGCAUCUUCUGAAUUAAGUGCAAACCCAAGGAUUCGAUCACCUAAAAUACAAACUAAUAAAGAAUUUAAAGGUACUAUUACACACUCUAAUAGAAUGACAUGUAUCAUUAGUAGUGCAUUUAAUCCAGAAGCAGCUCAAGAGCACUCUUCUUGCCACCCAUUUCCCAUAGUACCUUCAUUCCAGCAGAUCUAAUCCCCUAGUUUGCAUUUAAUUUAAAAGGUGCUCAACGAUACUUUUUUGGCCACACCUUACUUCACAUAGUGUUGGGUCAGGAUUAGGUGUAGAUUAGCUAAUAUUAUUGUAUCAACAAAAGAAAAAAAAAAGGCAAAAAAAAAGACAAGGACAGCCUAGAUCCUUUGGAUACAUUAGUCCCGGUAGUAUAUGACUAGGAGUAGAGUGCACUUUUUUAAUAACUCCUUUUCCAUAAUAUAGGUACAGAUUAACCAAUAUCAUAUUUGGUUAAAAAACAAAAAAGACAAAGACAACCUAGACCCUGAGAUCCAUCUAUCCCACAGUGUAAAAGUAAGCAUAGGAGUAAAUUAGCAAACAUAACACUGAUUGAAAAAAAGGAUAAUUUCAAAAACCUCCCUUGAGAUUUCUAACAAUUUCAUUGAGCUUCCCUGAAGUUUAGAAAAUGACACAUAUCUCCCUUGAUUUGAUAGUUUUAGUAACAAAACUUUAAAAUAAUAUUGACUUGGUCAAAUUUUUAAAUGAAUACCCAAAAAUGCCCUUGUGUAAUGAGUUUUAAUUUAUCCCUAUAAAAUUAUAAGAUUAUUUAAUGUAAUUAUAUCGAAAAUGUGUCGAAUUUUUCAUGUCUAUACCUACUAUUUGAUAAACAACUAUAAUAAUGAUUUUAUCACUAUAAUAGGAUACUUUUGAUGGUAUUUUAUUAUGGUUUUAGAUUUAUAAGAUAGAAAAUAAAAUGUUGAAAUAAUUGAUUCAGAAUUGAUGAAUUUUUUGAGUUGUGGGAUUAUCAUAAUUUAGUAGUGAUUUUGGACAAUUUAUUUUUAAUUUAUUAUUAAUUUUAAUACCAAAAAUAGAAAACAAAGAUUGGCAAAAAACACCGGAUUAUGUCUAAAGUUAAUUCAUAAAAAAAAAUCAUUAGUUCCACAUUUGAUUACAAUAGAAACUAGAGAUAAUAGUGGUAAUUUUAUAAUUUUAUUGGCAAAAAAUUAAAAUAAAAAGGAAUAAGAAGCAAAAACAAUGAAAAAAUAAUUUUAAAAUAAAAAAAAUAAGAAGCAAAAAGAAUGAAAAAAUAAUUUUAAAGUCAUUCUAAAUAUAAGAAUAACAAACAAGGGAAUUUCAUUAAAAUAUUUAAGGGUAGUAUUAUCAUUUUAAAUGACAAGGGAGGUAUGUGUAAUUUUUCAAACCUCAGGGGAUCUCAAUGAAAUUGUCAAAAAUCUUAAGGGAGGUUUCUGAAAUUAUCCCAAAAAAAAACACAUUCAUUUAACUGUCACACCAUAUUAAACGUUUAUGAUUAUCCAUUUUUUGUUUUUUCUAGAAUUUUAAAUUCUUACAAUCUGAUGUUCCAAAAUGGUCUUUGAUUGCCGUAAACGGUUUACUACACUUGGCCACCUUAAAGUUCCUUUUAUUUUCAUUUUGCUCUUUAAAUAUUUAGCUAGAAAACUUUACAAGCUUUUCUUUCUAAAGUUGGCUUUCCAAGCCAUAUGAAGGUGUGAUUUUUGGGUAAGUAACCGAGCUGAAUUAGCGAGGUCUUUUCUUAGGCGAGGCAGCGUUAUACUGGAUGUUCUUUGGCCGAAGUAAGAGGCGGGGCUUUAUCCCCUGGGAUCACUCCGACGAUCAAGUCAAUUAUGUGAGAAUAAUAAUAGAUAUGGAUGUAACAGUACGCUUACUUGUUUGGAAAGAAGGAAGGGGUAUUUAUAAGGAGCAGGGUGGAGGGAAAGACAACAGGUUUAAACCCACGGGCCCCACGCCCUGCAUCUUACGACUCUGACCUGCACUUUGCGACUCUGACCUGACACGCAGCAGUGGCCCAGGCUUUAUGCCAUGUGACCACAUGCAUUCCCGAUAAAGUGAAGCCAUGUGGCCUUCCAGUUAAGGCAGUGGAUACUAAUAGCUUGUUAGUUCAGCUGACCUCAUCCAGGUGCUGAUACGGUACUUAGCAUCCUCAGUACGGAGUAGCGGGGUUCGGCGUGGACGAUCUCGGGCCGAGGUGAGCUCACUCACGGACUUCAUCGAGGGUAGUCCGGGGUGAGUAAGCCGAGGUGACCGUCCUCACCUUACAAAAGGAAAAGAAAUGAAGGGAAGGUUAGAAAGUUGAAUUAAAAACCUUAUAAUUUUUUUAUUAAUGUCUUCCAAUUGGAUCGAAGCUUGAGAUUCUAAUCUAUUAAUGUUCACAUUAUAAGGCUUUUUCUAUAUAACAUCGUAGGGCCGCACAAUAAACAAACUAAAAUGGACGGCGGAUCCGCCCCUGUAAUACAAUACUAUCGAAAAAAAAUGUUAGUACCCAAAAACACACAACGGAAGCAUAUUGGACACGUAUAGAAAUAUGUGGAAGAAGAGGAGUUUAAUAAUACCAGGUUGUCGAUGCCUGUGUAAUAAUAAUAAUUAUCUUAAGUGCCAACAAAGUAAUUUCGUGUCAAUUCUAGUACUGGUGCAGGGACUCUAAAUGUGCAAUAGGUUACUUGAUUCACCCUGGUACCGAAGAGUUUGCUUGACCCGAUAUACCAGAAUUUAUUCACGAGAAAUCUAUAAUUUGUAUAUAGGGCAAGUAUGAUCGUAUCCUCAGGGACUGGGAGUAAUUCGUUUCUACUAAAGUUCAAGUUAUGGGGGGAUUUUAAGGAAAUUAACAAUGAGCUAUACUAAUCAAAUGUUGCAGUCAAAUAAGAAUUAAAUAACAACUAAAUAGCAAUAAGGUAAAAACUCAAACAGUAUUAGACAGCUCUAGUCAAGAAUCAACUUCGGAAAUGGUUCUUCUAAUUAAUUGAUCAUCGAUGCAAUAAUAUUCCACAUAUAAAUUGAUAAACAAGUUAUAAUUGUCAAACAAACGAUGACAAUCAAUUUCUCCGUAAUUAUCGAUAGCUAAGGUACAACCGUUAGCUAUUGCCCUAAUUGCAAAAUAAUCCUAAAUACGACCAUAGAAUUAAAUUUUACAAUUGCCGUAAAACAUAGAGAAACCCUGUUCUAACCAGACAACACGCUACGAGGAUUGUCUACAAAUUAGCCCAUAUAUUUCCCUAACAUAACCCUGAUUAUGCCAGUUGUCACUAAUUUAGAACAAUCAAACAAUUACGGAUUUAAUUAUUCUAAUUGGCUCUAGGUUAUUGAAUUAAUCUAACAUUCGGGCACGGGACAAUUGAAUAAUACAACAACCAUAAGAAAAUAAAGCCGAAAAUAUACGAAUACCAAGAAAUAAUAGGAAAACUAAAAUUAGUUAGAUCUCACAAUUUAUGUCGAACCAAAUCUUCCGUUGUUCCUUGACUAGAAAAAGGGAUUUAGUUUAUCCUUGUUGAGGAGUGAGGGUGAUAGUUUCGGCUCGGCCUUCCCAUUUCGGCUUAUUUCAAGACGGCUCCCCCAUCCUGCUUGUCCAUGUUCUGGAUCACCCUACCGAGAUGAGCCUUGCUCCGGCUCUACCAGUCAUCCUGAACGCCUCGGCUAUCGAGGCAUUCAUCGUGAAGUUUCAUGACGCCUGAUGGGACCACUGAGGCCAGGUCACAGUCUGAUGCCUGCAGAGGGGCAAGACAUUUGAUAGGACCUGCCUAACAGGCCUGGUGGGACAGACUGACAUGCUCAGUCUGUCAGGGCAUGGGAAUUUGAUCCCGACCGCCAUUUCUCUCCAUUUGUCCCCUAUAAAUACAAGGAGGUUACUCAGAAGGAGGGAAUUUUUCCUUUUUGGUUCCUACAAGGUAUAUUGUCUACAAACCCUUUAAAAAGACUAUCCUCCAAUAGAAACUAACUAGACCGUCGGAGGUAAACCGAGGGACUUUAUCCCAUCUCUAACACUUUGAGCAGGUGACUUUUGUGAGGCCGUACCCACUUCAAGAGAGAGUUACUCCCGCAUUCAGGUACCGUCCAUUGAACUCGAAAAUCACCUCUUCAAUUGGCGUCGUCUGUGGGAACCCGAAAACAUCAAAGGAUGAAACCUACGCGUUCUAAGAGCAGGAGGUUCUCACUAUUGGAGCUGAGUCAGGUGCUGCAGCUCAACAUGAAGAUGUCUCUGGAGGACAGGGGUCCCUAGAGAAUCAGACUACAAACGAAGAAGCCAUAGCCCGAAUGGCCGAGUUUGUAUCUGAGAAUCCUAAUAUUUUUGAAGAAUUAGGGAGGUACUUCAAGAGGGAAGGCAAGCAAAAAGCUGAAUCCUCUAAGAGAAAGUCGGAUGAGUCUCCCGAACUCCCAUCUGAUGAGGAAUCCGAGGGGAAACCUUCAAUCAAGAGUACUCCGAAGCCGAUCUCCUCUAAGGCCACCUCUAGGAUUGGCUCCAUUUCUAAGGCAUUCUCAAGGGGCCUACUAGGGAAAUGAGUCAAGGAGGAACCUCGGCACUCAGGAAGGCCAGGAAUGGACUACAUGAGGGUUCCGCCUUUCAUGGACGACAUCAAUGAGGAGAGGCUCCCCUCAAACUUCAAAUUGCCCACCAUACCAUCUUAUGAUGGCCGAGGUGACUCGGAGGACCACAUUCAUGCCUUCAUCUUGGCAUUCCGAUUGUAUUAUAUUCCCGAUCCGGUCAUCUGCCGGGCUUUUUCAGUAUUCUUGCAGGGGACAGCUCGAAAAUGGUUUUGGGGUCUGGAACCUAGGAGCAUCUCCACUCUAGGAGAAUUGGUGGACAAAUUUCUCCAUCUAUUUAUCUCUUCCAAACCGACGACGAGGACCUCGGCUUAUCUAUUAAAUAUACAACAGAAUCCAGGGGAGUUCCUCAAUGCUUAUGUGCAGAGGUUUUAAGAUGAAAGCGUGCAGAUACCUGAUCUUAAUGAGCAGGUAACCAUAGCCGCCUUCACCAAUGGGUUUGUUAUCGGGGUGUUUAACACCGCGAUACACAAGAAGUAUCCCCGGAUGCUUCGAGAGCUCUAGAAAAAGGUCAAAAAAGGCAUACAGGCCGAAAACCUGAACCGUUUGAAAAAGGAAACUCAGGUGGCACGCCCCAGGCAUGAUCCCCGAAAAAAGAAUGAAUUAGGCCGAGGUGAUGCUAGUGCUAUGGGUGAUUUCCAUAACUCUGGCCGAGACCGUCGGAGCGUUUUUGACAAAAUUGCCAAGGAAAAGUCAGCCGUUCCAGAUUCCAAUCUGACCUCUGAACACUAAUUGUUCCCAUAUCCUUGCCAUCAUGGAGCAGAAUCGCCUCGGACGGGCUCCUCCCAGAAUGGCUGGAAGAAGGGAAAAGAGGAAUACCAACCUCUACUGUGCCUAUCACCGGGACAUUGGGCACGAAAUCGAGGAUUGCAAUGACCUGAAAAGAGAUAUCGAGGAACUGAUUAAGUGGGGGUACUUGAAGCAAUUCGUCCGUAGAGACGAAGACAAUACGAGUGACCCUCACCGCAACCACUAGGGCGAACCGUGUCUGGAAAGUAGCCGAGGUGAACCCCGUCGAGAGAACCGAAGAGGGUCCAGAAGCAGCUGCUGAAGAAGUCUAGGGAAACGAAGAAUCCUUCCCGAGAUGGAUCCCCUGGCUAUGGGCUAGAUUAUGAGCCAAACAUAGUCGGGGUCAUUAACACUAUAGCCGGAGGUCUGACGGGAGGAGAUAGCCAAAACUCCCAGAAGAGGACCUAUAGACAGGUCAAUUCAGAUCAGGCCGAGACGAGUUCCUGCCUUACAAAAACAAUCACCUAUAGCCCAAGUGACCCUGUUCCGACUGCGUCCAGCAGUCACGAAACCUUGGUGAUUGAGUUGCUCACCAAUAAUUACCUCGUGAAGAAGGUGUAUGUUGACCUCGCAAGUUCGGUGGACGUCAUGUACCAUCGGGCUUUGAAAAACCUAAAAUUGACAAGAGAUCAGCUCAUACCCGUGAGAACUCCGGUAGUAGGGUUCGGGGGGCAUGCUGUUCACUUUGAAGGGAUGAUUACAAUGAUGGUGACAGUGGGAUGACAUCAUCGGUGCCGAAUCGUUCCCAUCAACUUUAUUGUGGUCAAAGCUAAUUCCCCGUAUAAUCUGCUCAUAGGGCGACCUACCCUAUAUGCGCUGCGGGCGGUGUACUCAACGUACCACUUAAUUUUCAAGUUCCCCACGCCAGCAGGCAUAGCCGAGGUCAGCAAUGAUGUCUGUGCCGUUAGAGAAUGCUACCUCGCCACCCUCUAGGCAGCCUCUUCGUCAUCGGCCGAACUGAAAAUCGAGGGUAAGAGAUGUCACAUCCUCUCGAUCGACUGCAUAGACUCUUAACGAUCCGGGAAGCUUGAAAAGCUGGAGACCGGUGAUGAGGUCGAAGAAGUCCUUUUGGAUCCUUCAAAACCCGAGCAAACCAUCUGCGUCGGCGCUAGUUUGCCCAAGCCACUUAAGGGCGAUGUGGUUAAUCUUCUCAAAGAGUACCAGGAUGUCUUUGCUUGGACUGCUGAUUAGGUCGUGGGAGUAUCCUACCACCUCAUGGUACAUGAACUGAAUGUUGACCCAUGAGCGAAGCCUGUUAAGCAGAAAAGGAGACACUUCGACUCGGAACGUGGUAAAGCCGUGACUGAAGAGGUGGAUAAACUCUUGCGGACACAGAUGAUUAAAGAAGUGCAAUACCCCACCUGACUGUCCAACCCUGUCAUGGUUAAGAAGGACGCCGGAGGGUGGAGAAUGUGUAUGGACUUUGCGGAUCUGAAUAAGGUUGGUUCAAAAGAUUAUUACCCACUGCCAAAGAUAGACACCUUGGUUGAUUCGGCUGUAGGUUACAAGAUCCUCUGUUUCCUAGAUGCCUUCAAAGGCUAUCAUCAGAUAGGAAUAAGUAAAGAAAAUCAGGAAAAGACGGUCUUUUUCACAGAGAUUGUAACCUCGUGUUGGGGCUAGUACUUGCGGCUCGGAGAUUGAAACCUUAUUUAGCUCACUUGUGACAGCCCCACCUCAGCCUAAGGCGAACCAAAGGGUUCCGCGGACCGCCUGCCCAAUUUUCGCCAGGACUACGGAGUCGAUACACACAAACCCAACAUAGUAUGCGCGAAAGGAUCCAAAGAAAACGAACAAUCGGAAACUACAUAUAUUUACAUCGGAGUCUUGAACAAAGGAACCAAAAUACAAGCCAAAGUAUUCAUGCUACACAAAAUAUAAUUAGAGUUUCAGUUACAGAGGAGCAUAAGCAAGAGAAGUCCUACAACUAGCUCAACUCUUUUCUUCCAAAAAUCUUGGUUUCAAAACAUGGAACCCUGUAAGGAAAACAAAGGUAACAGAAAGGGGUGAGUUUGCGCUCAAUGAGGUACCAAACAUAUAGGGGUAAAAUCAUGGCCUUUCACGUUUAACCAAUCAGAUACAUAUACCAGAUAUAAAGGAAAGCAAUUAGACACAGUGAUUCAAAGAAAAGGAUACAAGUGACUCUUAGGAGCCAGAUUUCCAUUUGCAGUACUUGAUCCGAACCCGUUGACUUUCCGUCAACAUAGAUAGAACCAACAUGUCCGUAGACCCCACUUUACACCAAUUUCCGUCCACCAAACAUACCCCUACCGGGCCCGAACUUCAUUCAGAAACAGUAAUGGUAAUACUCGAGUAUACCGGAAUCAAGAGUCUCAAUACCCAAAGAUCCCAAAACAGACUAUCGUGGUUCGUUAUCUAAUCGAUCAGACCCUUGCCAACCCGACUUGAGUAACUAACCACAGGUGUUGACCUCAGAGGUCACAGAAAGGUCGUUGGAUACCAGUCUCCAAACGACGUCCGAACAGAUUCAGAUACAGUUAACAGAUCAUACACAGUAAAUAGACAUAUGGACAGACAAGAGAACGAGUGUGAUAAAGUACACCCUCAUCUCAAACAGAAUAAACAGAUAGUGCAGUCAUUUAAAUCGCAGAUUGCAAGGGUAGAAACCAAGUUAAACAGCAAAUGAGGGGAGUAGUACACUCACCGGUUCAAGUACAGAUACUUCAAAAGUUUUCACUUCAAACUGGCUUUAAUCGCCAAGAAACCCUAAAAUCAUCAAAGUAAAACAAUUAAAGGUUUCACUUCCAAAAUCGAGUAAACGGAAUGUCCAAGUGAGACUCGACUACAUGUCGUACGUCUUUCCAGGUUAAGUACUAGCACAAAAGAAUAAACUAUGACUUUUGAACAAAAAGAUAACAGUUAGUCCUAGGGUUACAAACAACCCCCAAAACCCCUCAUUUGUACUAAGAUCAACUCAAUUGAAGGAAUCGUGUAGCCCUAAAAUUUUGGGCAGCAUGCCCUUUGUAUUUACCUAUUUUCCCCAACCACUUAUGGCUUCAUUAUUUUCCUCAAUCAAUCCCAAAGUCAUACGCAAUAUAAAUUCAUCACAACAGCCAGUCAAUAGGUUCAAAAUCAUUCAAGUACAAAAUUUAGCUAGGAAAAUGACCGGAAAUGAAAGUUAAGCCCUAAAACCCAAAAACAGUUUUGACGUCGUUUAGCGUAUUGGACACAACCGGCGCUACGAUUAUCGGAUGGAUGUGCAAUAUACACCGUUUUGAAGCUAAAUAAAAGGGCUACAAUGUUGAAGAGGGACACUCAGUCUAGUUUGUAGUGCAACUAGAUGAAAACUUCAAUGUACCAAACCAGAACCGCAUAAACAGGUUAGCGAACUAUUCUGGUUAAAUAACCAUAAUUCAGCUACCAGAGUCCAAUUCAAGUGAUUCCAAAGCUAUCCGAAAGCUAAGAUACCAGGCUAUAUUUCUUAAUAAGACAUCAACAACCAAAUCAGUAGUAUUCCCGAUCAAACUAACCAAUUACAGAAGUGGAUUAUCAGUUUCGGACAGAAACAGGGCAGCAGGGGUAUUUCGAUCUUUUCAUAGGCUAUGUUGCUCUGAUUGGGUUGAGAUUUUGUAGGCAACUAUAAAAUAUCAUUCUCUACAACUUUCAUGUUUCAACCCAAGGAUAAUUCAGUCUCUAACUAGGGGAAACAGUACCAGUCAGAAUGGGGUUAAUUGAAACCCUAAUUCCAAAAUUUCCUUUCAAAGCGAAAAUUUUCAGCAAAUAGCCACAAUUUACGCACUAUAGCUUCAUUCUAAACCAUUCCCGACCAUCAUCCAUGGUCACACAAUAUUAAACAUAUAAAAAUAGAAAAAUCAUGAAUAAAUAGAAAAAUUCACCAAUUUCAACCAAAAUCAUGAAAUAGCCCACAAAAUCACCUCUUAGACUACCACAAGCCACUAAUUAAAUAUCAUUAGAUAGAAAAGAGAGAUUCCUUAGCUACUCACCUUGCAACCAAAGAAAGGAGACAACUUAGUACCUUAGCCUUCCAAACCACUUUACUAACCACCUUACAAUCACUAAAUUAAGGAUUUUUAUGGAGAAAUUAAAAAUUUAAACGGUUGGUUUGAUAGAUUGAGCAAGAUUGGAGCAAGAAAUUUGAGAACUUUUUCCUUUCUUUUUUCUUGAAGAUAUUCGGCCAUAAGGAUGAAGAAAAUGAUGAAUUGUUGGUCGAUUUUGAUUAAUUGGUAAAGGUAAGUAAGAUGGUCAAAAUCAAGAAUAAACCACAAGGUGACACUUGUCACCCUUAUUUAAUGCAACUCUAUUCUUUUGUCUCUCCAAUGAUAAUCCAUCUAGGUAACUUCUAAUUAUCUCCUUAUACCUGAUAAAUUAAACCCGGUAUACACAACUUAAUAUAAUUGGCCGAAUUUUCUCAAACUUACCGCACUAGUGGGUCUCUGUAAGCCCCGAUGCAACCAAAAUACUCAACCAAACAAGUAAUCAAGUAAAUACAAUGACAAAGAAUAUAAGCAAUUUUAAAGCACAAAAUAGAGUAACAAUAAAGUAAAAGAAAUUCAAACCAAUCAAAUUCCCAAGCUUCUUCCAAACUUGGAGUUGAAUCCACCAAAUAGUUUCUUCAAGUGAUGGUAGUGCUAACCAACUUGUACAAGUGAAGGCUCACUCCUUCCUCACCUCAAACAUACUUUGGUUGAGCAAAGAAAUUUUACUACUCUCCAAGUAAACCCUCAACUAGCUACAAUUGAAAGCUUACCCAUUCAAUUAAGAACUACUUUAUACAAGUGAGGCAACCUUUAUCAAGGUUUUACCACUCCAAGUGAUAGGUUCACCUUCACCAAGGUUUUACUCCUCCUAGAGAGUAACCUUCACUUGAGCAACCUCACAACCCAACUUUCCCAACUCCUUAUACAACCAACAAAGAAUAUUUCUACUCAAAGAUCUCACUUGUAAGCUUGUAUUUAGUGUUGGCCAAAAAGUCCGUGUCUUCUUGUGCUUUGGGGUAUUUAUAGAAGGUGAGAAAUGGCUCCAAAAGGCUCUCCAACGGUCAAAUGUUAAAUGCUGUCGAAACUAGCCGUUGGCCUGUCGGACGUCCGAACCAUUUGCUCUGCGUCCGAACCAUUUGUUCUGCGUCCGAACCCUGCGUCCAAUAGAAAUCAGAAUGUUCAACGUUCAUUCUUUUUGUGUCGGACGGCCGAAGCAAUGAAUGAGCGUCCGAUCCAAGCGUCCGAAGAGUAUCGUCGUCAGUUGGACGACCGAUCCUCUAUCGAGCGCCCGAUACUCUACGUCCGAACCUUCAUAUUUCUUAACUUCUCUUUGAUUCAAAUCUUUUCGAUUCUCUUUUGGAUCAAUGACCUGUUCUAAGAAAUUUCUCACAUAAAAACAUUAGUCCAAAUCUACAUUUUGGUUUGUUAAUCAUCAAAACCAAGGACUGAUCAACCAAGAUCAACAGUCCCACAUCCGGUAUACACUCUUAAAACCUUAUAAACUAACUUAUACUAGAAAAAAAUGAUUUCAAAACCAUCUUUACUCAUAAAAAUUAUUUUCACAAUUUUUCAAAUAAAUAAAAUGUGGAAAAACGUGCAAUUAAUAGAAAAUAAAACCUAGCAAUUAAGAAAAUUACGGGUUCUCACACUCUCUCCCCCUUAAAGAAAUUUCGUCCUCAAAAUUUUCUUAUCAACGGAAUCUUUCAAAAUCUAAGGUACCUUCUACGUCCUCAAACGAGUCAGGGAUCUGAUGGUACUCUAAAGAAUAUAUCCGAGCCGGUAUUUUCAAUCCAGUCCCUUCCUUUUCCGACUGUCUAGGGUUAGUCUUAGUUGGUUGCGGGGUCCCUUUUUCUUUUCGUAAUCGAACUGGGCAGUCAACAAUCUGAUGAUCGGUACUUCCGCAGCGCAGACAUUUUCCCUCUUUCUUCCAACAAUUUGCCUCCGUAUGAUUUGGCCCUCCGCAAUAUUCACAGAGACCACGAGUAGCAGAGACCGGUCCCCCCUGAGAGACAUCACGCGACACCCCCGGUUGUCGUACUCCCCCAUUUUCCUUUCCAAUCUUAGGGGAUAUACUUGUACCUUUUUGCUCAGAGCUACUCCCGGGAAAGCCCCUUUUCUUGACUUGAAAGUUUUUCACCUGCAACCUAGCAUUCUCUACUCGUUGCGCCUUCUCUACGGCAUCGCUGAAGGCGUUAAUUUGGGAUAUGGCUAGAUCUUCCUGGAACUCCACGUUCAUAUCCUAGACGAAUCGCCGUAUUCUUCGUUGCUCGGCCACGAUAAGUUCGGGUGCGAAUUUGGAUAGCCGAGUGAAUUGGCUCUCGUACUCAGCCAUUGUCUGGGCCCCUUGACGAAACCGGAUAAAUUCAUCCUCCUUUUGUUCUUGAACUAGAGGAGGGAAGAAUUUAGCGUUGAACUCCCGCAUAAAGUUCACCCAAGUCCUGGGCAUUUGCUCUCGGUCCCACUUUUGUCGUAUUACGUUCCAUCGGGAACGGGCCGCCCCUUCCAGGUGAAAAACAGCAAAAGUCACAUGCCGUUCCUCCGUGUAGUGCAGGACAGCAAAGAUAUUCACCAUUUUCUCUAGUCACCUUUCGGCUACAUCUGGAUCGGGUCCCCCAAUAAACUUUGGUGGGGCAAACUUCUGGAACCUCUCGACGGUCCAGUCCUCGCUCUCCACGUGAUUACCAGGGUUCCCAGGGUUGGAGUUAGGAUUGUGACCCUGUUGGUGCACCACUUGAGCUAGCAAAUCAGUCAUUUGCUGCAUGGCAGCAGCUAUUUGGAUGUUGGGAUCAACCCUAGGUUCAGGGUUUGGUCCAGACGAGAUUCCCCCAGUGCCCCUUUCAGACGUGGGUUGCCUAAUUCCACGCCCGCAGUCUCGUCCACUACGAGUGCCCACCAUUGAUCUAAGUCAAUCUAAGGUCGAGGUGCAAAGAUAAUAUUAAAGAUAAGUAUAGGCAUAAGCAAAUAACAAGAGGUACUCACAGAUCAAAAACAUAUAUAUACACACAACUGUACCGAACCAGUCACACAGUAGCAGUCAAUUAGAUACAAAUAUGAGAGAUCCAUGAAAGUAGCGGGGUCAUCCAAAAGUACUAUAGACAGACUAGUUCACGAGUACAAAAAUAACUCACGAAAAGCUUUUCCCCCUCUAGGGCUCCGUCAUAAUCUACGAGAACAACCCCAUUUAUAUCUUAAUCAAGGUUGAUCACGCUUAACUACACCUGAACAAAUCACACGAAAUUCCAUAGAAUGACAUUUCUAGUUCGCCCAAUCCUUUCUAACCUAGGCUCUCAUCUCUUUCGUAUCCGGGCGUAAGAAUCCCAUCUAAGAUAAUUCACAACUCGAGCCGGCCGGUCCCAAGCGUAAAUCAUCCAUAUUAAAGAUUCCUACCCGACAUACAUACCUAACUUCCUCAAGUCCCAUGAUAAAUAUUUUUACACUUAUGACAUGCACGGUUCAUAGCUUACGCUCAAAAGAGCACUUAUACCUUUCGACGCAUUCACGAAAGCAGGACCAUAACACCACUUGGCCCAAACUCUCUCCGCGCAGAGACCACGCGAAGUGGUUCUGAUACCACCUGUGACAGCCCCACCUCACCCUAAGACGAACCAAAGGGUUCGGCGGACCGCCUGCCCAACUCUCGCCAGAACUACGGAGUCGAUACACACAAACCCAACAUAGUAUGCGAAAGGAUCCAAGGAAAACGAACAAUCGGAAACUACAUAUAUUUACAUCGGAGUCUUGAACAAAGGAACAAAAAUACAAGCCAAAGUAUUCAUGCUACACAAAAUACAAUUAAGGUUUCAAUUACAAAGGAGCAUAAGCAAGAGAAGUCCUAUAACUAACUUAACUCUUUUCUUCCAAAAAUUUUGGUUUCAAAACAUGGAACCCUGUAAGGAAAACAAAGGUAACAGAAAAGGGUGAGAUUGCGCUCUAUACCGGAAUUAAGAGUCUCAAUACCCAAAGAUCUCAAAACAGACUACUGUGGUUCGUUAUCUAAUCGACCAGGCCCUUGCCAGCCCGACUUGAGUAACUAGCCAUAGGUGUUGAGCUCAGAGGUCACAGAAAGGUCGUUGAAUACCAGCCUCCAAACGACGUCCGAACAGAUUCAGAUACAGUUAACAGAUCAUACACAGUAAAUAGGCAUAUGGACAGACAAGAGAACAAGUGUGAUAAAGUACACUCUCAUCUCAAACAGAAUAAACAGAUAGUGCAGUCAUUUAAAUCGCAGAUUGCAGGGGUAGAAACCAAGUUAAACAGCAAAUGAGGUGAGUGGUACACUCACCGGUUCAAGUACAGAUACUUCAAAAGUUUUCACUUCAAACUGGCUUUAAUCGCCAAGAAAUCCUAAAAUCAUCAAAGUAAAACAAUUGAAAGUUUCACUUCCAAAAUCGAGUAAACGGAAUGUACAAGUGAGGCUCGACUACAUGUCGUACGUCUUUCCAAGUUAAGUACUAGUACAAAAGAAUAAACUAUAACUUUUGAGCAAAAAGAUAACAGUUGGUUCUAGGGUUACAAACAACCCCCAAAACCCCUCAUUUGUACUAAGAUCAACUCAAUUGAAGGAAUCGUGUAGCCCUAAAAUUUUGGGCAGCAUGCCCUCUGUAUUUACCUAUUUUCCCGAACCACUUAUGGUUUCAUUAUUUUACUCAAUCAAUCCCAAAGUCAUACGCAAUAUAAAUUCAUUACAACAGCCGUUCAAUAGGCUCAAAGUCAUUCAAGUACAAAAUUUAGCUAGGAAAAUGACCGGAAAUGAAAGUUAAACCCUAAAACUCAAAAACAGUUUUGACAUCGUUUAGCGUAUUGGACACAACCGGCGCUACGAUUAUCGGAUGGAUGUGUAAUAUACAUCUUUUCGAAACUAAAAGAAAGGGCUACAAUGUUGAAGAAGGCCACUCAAUCCCAUUUGUAGUGAAACUAGGUCAAAAUUUCAAUGUACCAAACCAGAACCGCAUAAACAGGGUAGCGAACUGCAUUCUGGUUAAAUAACCAUAAUUCAGGCUACCAGAGUCCAAUUCAAGUGAUUCCAAAGCCAUCUAAAAGCUAAGAUAUCAGGAUAUAUUUCUUAAGAAAACAUCAACAACGAAAUCAAUAGUAUUACCGGUCAAACUAACCAAUUACAGAAGCGGAUUAUCAGUUUCGGACAGAAACAGGGCAACAGGGGUAUUUCGGUCUUUUCACAGGCUAUGUUGCUCUGAUUAGGCUGAGAUUUUGCAGGCAACUAUAAAAUAUCAUUCUCUACAACUUUAAUGUUUUAAUCCAAGACUAAUUCGGCCUCUAACUAGGGGAAAUAGUAUUUGGCAGAAUGGGGUUAAUUGAAAUCCUAAUUCCGAAAUUUCCUUUCAAAGCGGAAAUUUUCCGCAAAUAGCCACAAUUUACGCACUAUUGUUUCAUUCUAAACCAUUCCCGACCAUCAUCCAUGGCUACACAAUAUUAAACAUAUAAAAACAGAAAAUUCAUGAAUAAAUUGAAAAAUUCACCAAUCUCAACCAAAAUCAUGAAAUGACCCACAAAAUCACCUCUUAGACUACCACAAGCCACUAAUUAAACAUCAUUAGAUAGAAAAGAGAGAUUCCUUAGCUACUCACCUUGAAACCAAAGAAAGGAGACAACUUAGCACCUUAGUUUUCCAAACCAUUUCACUAACCACCUCACAAUCACUAAACUAAGGGUUUUUAUGGAGAAAUUGGAAAUUUAAACGGUUGGUUUGCUAGAUUGAGCAAGAUUGGAGUAAGAAAUUUGAGAACUUUUUCCUUUCUUUUCUCUUGAAGAUAUUCGGCCAUAAGGAUGAAGAAAAUGAUGAAUUGUUGGUCAAUUUUGGUUAAUUGGUAAAAGUAAGUAAGAUGGUCAAAGUCAAGAAUAAAUCACAAGGUGACACUUGUCACCCUUAUUUAAUGCAACUCUAUCCUUUUGUCUCUCCAAUGAUAAUCCAUCUAGGUAAUUUCUAAUUAUCUCCUUACACCUGAUAAAUUAAAUCCGGUAUAUACAACUUAACCUAAUUGACCGAAUUUUAUCAAACUUACUGCACUAGUGGGUCCCCAUCCGGUAUACACUCUUAAAACCUUAUAAACUAACUUAUACUAGAAAAAAAUGAUUUCAAAACCAUCUUUACUCAUAAAAAUUAUUUUCACAAUUUUUCAAAUAAAUAAAAUGUGGAAAAACGUGCAAUUAAUAGAAAAUAAAACCUCGCAAUUAAGAAAAUUACGGGUUCUCACAUCACCUCAUACGAAUAAGAACAGAUCAGCCUAUUUGGCAGAUAUUGUCCCGACCUGAAGUCUCGGGACUCCUCACCAAGUGUGUCAUUGAGCUCGAGGAAUAUGAUCUCACAUAUGAGUCGCGAACUGCCAUCAAGGCCCAAGCCCUUGCCUAUUUCUUAGCAGAACUCACCCUUCCCGCGGACUAAGACAUUACGUCGGAUAUGCUUGAGCCUCAAAGAUGGGCCUUGUAUAUAGAUGGUUCUUCUAACAGUGAGGGUAGCGGAGCCGGACUGCUCCUCGAAGACCCUCACGGAGAUGCGUACUUAUAUGCUCUCCGUUUUGAUUUCCCCGCCUCCAAUAACGAAACUGAAUACGAGGCUGUCAUCGUGGGCUUGCAACUAGUCCGCCGACUUGGUGCCUGACAUAUCACGGCUCAUAGUGACUCUCAACUCGUUGUAUGUCAGGUACUAGGGGAAUAUGAAGCCAGGGAGGAAUCCAUGCAACGGUACCUCUCUAAACUCCACCAAUUGGCAGCUUAUUUCGAGUCCUUUGAAAUUCAAGGGAUACCCCGGUCUCAGAACCGGCGAGCUGAUGCUCUGUCCAGACUUGCCUCUACUUCAUUUUCUACCCUCAACAAGACAGUUCUCGUGGAGGUUCUGGCCGAACCCGGUUACGUGGAGGACAAAGUCUAUCCGGUGGCAUCGGGGGACACUUGGAUGACCCCGUUAGUCAAGUUUUUGGGUCAAGACAUUCUUCCAGAUGACAAGACCGAGGCAAGAGGAGUGCAGCGCAAGGCGGCCCGAUAUGCACUCCACAACGGCUGCCUCUAUAAGCGAUCUUAUCUCGGCCUAUGGUUGCGAUGCGUCACCCCGAAAGAGGGAGAGCGCAUCCUUCAAGAGAUACACGAGGGACUCUGUGGAGCUCACGUUGGUUAUCGGAUGCUGGUCAAAAAGACCUUGCUUCUCGGCUAUUUUUGGCCAACUCUUAGACAAGAUGCCCAACUUUUGCUACUCUGUUGCCUUUCUUAUCAGCACCAUGCUCCGGAGCACCACCAAUCGACCAAUCUCAUGGUCCCUAUCACGUUCCCCUGGCCUUUCGAGCAAUGGGGGACAGAUAUUAUUGGACCCUUCCCUCGGGCAGCAAACAAUAUGCCUAUAUAGUUGUUGUCGUCGACUACUUCACGAAAUAGGUCGAAGCUAAGCCCCUGCGAAGCAUAACUGGCUUGGCCGUUCAAAAGUUCUUUUGAAAAUGCGUGGUUUGUCGCUUUAGUUUGCCCAGAGUCAUCAUCUCAGAUAAUGGGAAGCAAUUUGCGGAUAAUCCCUUAAAAGCAUGGUGUGAGAACCUGGGAAUCAAACAACACUUCACCUCGGUGGGACACCCCCAAUCUAAUGGACAAGUUAAAAACUCCAACCGAACGCUCCUCCAUGGGUUCAAGACUAGGUUACAUCAGCUCGAAUCCUCUUGGGUAGACGAACUCCCUAGUGUGCUGUGGUCCUAUCGAACCACGUCGAGAUCUGCCACUCAAGAAACACCAUUCGCCUUAACCUAUGGAUCUAAGGCCGUAGUCCCUGCUGAGUUUAUUACUCCAAGUUCUCGCAUGGCAACCUUCACUGCUGAGGUGAAUGAUGAAAAACGAAAAAUUGACCUCGAUCUAACUGAGGAAAAAAAGGAUGCCUCAGCAGCCCGAAUAGCCUUGUACAAGAACAUCCUAGCCAAUUACUACAACGUCCGAGUCAGACACCUUUAGUUCAGACCAAGAGACCUGGUUCUACGGAAGAACUCCAUCAGCCGAUCUAAACCACAGGGCAAGUUAAAUUCGAGGUGGGAAGGCCUAUACCGAGUUGUAGAGACUAAUCAGAAUGAUUAUUAUAAGUUGACCUACCGGGAUGGUACCCUGGUACCCUGAACCUGGCAUACAGAAAAUCUUCGGUUGUAUUAUCCUUGAGUUGUUAAUGUUCAGUUAAGUUAAUGACAUCAUUACUUUGUGUUUAGUGUUUUACACAAUUAUUUUCUUAAACAUUACUCCAUGGUGUCGUUAAAGAAAAUAAGGGGACAAGAUAAGUAGAAACGAAAUGAAAAAGACAAUUGAAAAAAGACAAUUUGGGAUGGAAGCAAAAGAUAACUUUCAUUGAUUAUCGAAGGAGGAUUACAAGUACAAAGGCCGGGGUGGGAAGCUCAUCUAAGAGCCACCCACCUCGGCGGAAUCCGCUCCCUCUCUACUGCUGAGUUUACCUCCUCCAGCAGCUCCGCCGAACUCAUCAUCCGAAACUUGUUCGAAAUCGGCCAUUUCUUAAUUAAAUUUCUCUCUAAUUUCGGCCAGAUUCCGUCCGGACUAGAUGCCAAUGGCCAUGCGGUCGCACAGCUCCUUAGCAUUAUCGUUGUAGUUAGGCUUGUCCUUCAACACAACUAGCUGCUCCAGAGUAAGGAAAGAAGCCACAUCCUGAAUGGCCGUGGUAUAGCCAAAUAUAAAGCUCAGCAAGGUCAACUCGCCAAGGUCUUUCAUGAAGGUCUCGGAAGAGCGGAAAGCCUCGAUGGCCGUGCUGCCGGCUUUCUCUAUAAUUUCCCGGGAUGACUGCUUUUCUUCUUGUCUCCUCUUCUUUUCUUCUUCGAGAGCAGUCUCCAAGGAGGUGAUGGAAGCCUUAAAAUGCUCCACUUCGGCCACCGUGGUGUCGUGUUGUUUCUGGAGCUGUGCCUUUUCUUCCGCAGCCACCUUCAACUCCUUUUCAAGCCGAGAUACUUUGUUCAUGAGCUCGGCAGGAGGCUGGUUCUCGACCAUGUUGGUAUACCUCUGUAUGAGCUCGGACAAGAAAGCAGAGGUAGACGCCCACGCCACCGAAGUGCUCUACAUCAGCUCUUCUAUGGUGAAUUUCUUCGCAAAGGUGUGAUCUCGGGGCAGGCUAGAGUGGACAAGGAGGUGAUGGGCAAUUCGGGGAUCUUUGCAUCUAUCAUUGACACUAACAUCCCACUCUGGGCACCAGUGCCAAUCGGGAUGCCUCUUGUCCUCUCCUUCAGGCACGGACUGGACGAAGUGUCGAUUCUAGAGGAAAGACCCAAUGGCAGGCCUCUCUGGGGCUUGGAUCUGCUUACCCUGGCCCAGAAAGGAUGGAGCGGCGACUGUCACACCAUGGGUGGCCACCCCCUCCGGAAUGGCCGAGGUGUUGGAGGUAUCUUUCGGGACAGUGGUCAAUGGGAUGGUAGCUGAAGUGCCAAGAGCGCUCUUCUUCUUUUGAACCCCCGAGGUCUGACCGAGGGCCUUGCGCUUAUGUGGCCGCUUAACCACCGUAGCCACUCCUGAAGUGAUCAGAUCCGAAACUCUUGUUAUUGCACAAGCAAAGAAUGAUUAAUAAGAAUCAAAGGAAAUAAAACAAUAUGAAAUGAUGAAUGAAAGAAUACAAUGUUUUUGAAACCGAGUAGAGAAAUAAGGGAAGCGAUCCGGAGUGAUCAGUGCUCGACUAAUGCCCCCAUUGACGAGGACUGCCUCGGGGUAGGCCCAGCAGUUAAUCCUAAGACCCGACCCGAGUAGUUUUUGAAAACUCUCCUCAUCGUGCUUCCCCAGAAAAGAGUCCUUCGCCGAGAUAGAUGGUCUCCACCAAAAAUUUCUUGGGAAAUCCUCGACAGGGACGAAAAGGAAAUUGUGCUUCCACUCCUUUAUAGAUGAAGGAGCGUCUAUCACCAAUUUCGGUACGCUCUUGCCUCAGUUCCCGAAAUACAACCACUCUUUCUCAUUCCUGCUGUUAUGGAUGGUAUAGCAACGACGGAAGAGGUUGACGGUGGGGCUCAGUUCUUGCUCCCGGUAGAGCAUCUUGAACCGAUGAGAAUUCGGACUGAGUUCGGGACUAAUUGAGUGAUUCUAACACCCCAGUAUCUGAGGCAGUCCCGAAAGAAUCUGGUGGUAGGCAUUCUUAGCCUAGCUUCCAGUUGGUCCGUAUAGAUGGCUACUCUUCCUUUUGAGGGCCGCUCGGCUGCUUGAUCCGGUCGAGGUAUGUAAAUGCUAUAAUUCCGGCGAAAAGGGUACUUGCGGAUCACCUCGUUAGCCGUAGCCUGAUCAACGACACUGUUGAACAACGGGAGUUAGCCGAAGUCAAUGCUCGAGAGAUCGGAAGGGGUAGCCGGUUCUUGUACUCCCUCAUCUCGAGGUACUUCGGGUUCGAGAUCGUCGUUGUAUAAUUUUUCGGACACUUCCUGGAUCUGCUUCAGCAACACCUCGCCCUCAACUGGUACUUCGACUUCCUCCUCCUCCGGGGUAGCUGGAUUGUCUUCCUCCUCUGUCGGGUCGGGUCUCUCCGCCGCUUCGAAUUUCGACUUGACUGUCUCUCUAUGCGUACGGGCAGUUUGAGUCAUAGUGCGAAAAAUAAAAGGAAAGGGCGUCACUUACUGAUUAUGGAGAAAGAAAGGCUGGGGUGAGCAGUUAAAGCAGCUUGGGUGUUCUCUCUCUCACACUUUGGAUGCCCCCUAUGACCUCGGACAACUUAGUAUAGAGGGUGCUAUUAACUUUACGGUGAAAGGUUAAUACUAAUGAAGAACACCCCCUAUUUAUACAAGUAUGGGGGAAGGUGAAAGGACGGUGUCCCUUGAGCUUCCCCUGACGUUUCCACUCUCCUCAUUAAUGACUGAUCGGCGUUCUGACUCCCUGUCACACGUCUUUUCACACUGUCAUGAUGGCUGACCCCCGUUUUGCCUCCCCUUACUUUAUCUGACAUGUCAGCGAUCUCCUACUCACACGAAAACCCCGGAGGUAGACCGUUGACCUGCUACCUCUCGAGGCUUGGGGGGCUUAUUGAGGGUGAUAGUUUUGCCUCGACCUUCCCGUUUCAGCUUAUUUUAGGACCGCUCCCCCAUCCUGCUUGUCCAUGUUCCCAAUCACCCUGCCGAGAUGAGCCUCGCUCCGGCUCUACCAGUCAUCUUGAACGCCUCGGCUAUCGAGGCGUUCAUCGUGAAGUCCCAUGACACCUGAUAGGACCACUGAGGCCAGGUCACAGUCUGAUGCCUGUAGAGAGGCAAGACAUUUGAUGGGACCUACCUGACAGACCUGGUAGGACAUACUGACAUGCUUAGUCUGUCAGGGCAUGGGAAUUUGAUCCCAACCGCUAUUUCUCUCCGUUUGUCUCCUAUAAAUACAAGGAGGUUACUUAGAAGGAAGGGAUUUUUCUCUUUUGGUUCCUACAAGGUAUAUUGUCUACAGACCCUUUAAAAAGAUUAUCCUCCAAUAGAAACUAACUAGACCGUCGGGGGUAAACUGGGGGACUUUACCCCAUCAUUGACACUUUGAGCAGGUGACUUCCGUGAGGCCGUACCCACUUUAGGAGAGAGUUACUCCCGCAUUCAGGUACUAUCCGCUGAACCCGAAAAUCACCUCUUCAAGGAGAACCCACGUAAAAGUGCGGAAUUAAUUGUUGCAUACAUCGUCUCUCAAUUAAGAUGAUCAAUCUGACUGAAUAAUUAAAAGAACCAUCAAUAAGAUGAAAAAGUCUAAAAACAAAAAGUAAUCAAAAGUGGUCUGCCGAAUCCAACGCCACCGAUGGCACCUGAUUCCGACCUUCCUACAGUGAGAUAUAGCCAUUUUCUCAAAAUUGCGCGGGCGCAACUGUUUUACCCGUGAAAAACAUUUUGAGCUUGAAUGAAACUUUUCUGUUGCCCAACUUUCAUGCACUUGUUAAAUUUGUUUUUUCAUGAACUUUUACUACAUUUUGGGCCAAGUUUGCAUGAUGAAUUAAAUGGUUUUAACCGCUCACUUGGUCUCUUAAUGAGCCUAUAAUUGAGUGGAAAAUGAACCUAAUUUGUUAACGAUUUCACUCAUUGUCCUAGGAUUGGGAAACGAAGGUAGUCGUAACCGAGAUACUUGACGUUUGACUACUGCAUUGCUUGACAGGUGAGUAUACCACUCCCAUGAUUUGUGCUUAACCUGGUUUAUCUGUAUUUCCAAUCCGUGACUUGUUUACCUGUGACUCUUGUUUAUUCUAUACAAGAUGAGGGUGUACUUUAUUACACUCGUUCUCUAGCCUGUGUAAUUGGUUUACUGUAUGAACUUGAAUUAGUUGAUCCUGUAUGCGAACUUGCAUGUUUAUGUGCAUGUGAAUUGAGGUCCUUUGGUGAGGUAUAGCCGUUGUGCUAGCCUGUUGUGUUGUCCAGCACUGCUAGGGACGAAAUCCUGAAUUGAGGUUUUCUGGUGGGGUACAGCCAUUGUGCUAGUCUGUUGUGUUAUCCAGCACUGCCAGGGAUGAAAUCUUGAAUUGAGGUCCUCUGGUGAGGUAUAGCAGCUGUGCUAGCCUGUUGUGUUGUCCAGUACCACCAGGGAUGAAAUUCCCGACUUGCGGCUCAGUUAUAUCCUAAAGUUCUGGUAUACUCGAGUAUUACCAUUCCUGUUCCUGUUUGGCGUUCGAGCCUAGUAGGGGGUUGACUGGUGGACGGAGAUCGGUGAAAAUGGUGUUCUAUGGACUUUAUAUUUUGUGAAUACAAACGUUGACGGAGAGUCAACGGGCUCCAGUAUGAUCAAGCUCAAGGGGAUUUGGCUUUUGGAAGCCACCCGUAUCCUUGAAUUGAACUGUGAUUAAAUUGUUAUUGUUCUAUACGGUGUUUGCUUGGUUAUAUUAUGCCCUUAUUUGGUUAUGUGCUUACUCGUUUUACGUGAAACCUCACUGAGUUUUAGUUCACUCCACUCCCUUUGUUUUCCUUAACUGAUCGGGGAUGGACUUGUGUUCAAGAGCUUUCUUAGCUUUAUUUUGCUUUGACUGGUAUUUUGGGAUUGUAACUUUUGCUUAAGAAGACCUUACUUUUGACUUUUGUAAGCUUGAAUUUAUAAGCUCGACUUAUGUUAUGUAAAUUAAGUGUGGAGUGGUAAGUUGACAUUUAGCUCUAUAUUCUAAGUUUUGGAUAGUUGGUGUAGCGAUUAUGUUUCAAUUAGGGUUACACUCCUUACUUGGGAGAUAAUUCAUCAAUUUCAUUUGAGUUGCUAGUUCUUUGAUUGACCGAGCUCCGGCGAGAGUUGGGCAGGCAGCCCGCUGAUAUUCUACGGUUCGCCCUAGGGAGAGGUGGGGCUGUCACACCGAAUCUUCUUAUCUAAUUCGUAUCUACCUAAUUGUCUCUUCUCAUACGGCUACUAAGAGGAAUAAUAAAGGAAGACUCCUAGUCUUUGUUGACCUCUAUCCUCUUUGGAAACUACCCAAGAGAAGAAAAAGGAGAGUUCCCCAAAAAUUGCUCCCUAGUCCGCCGUAGUUGACUAUUGGGCAGGGAAAAUAAACUCCAUUUGAACUCUCUUUUCCUUUUAUUUCUCGAACUCCUCUUGCAACGCUAGACGUCCUGAAGCUAAUAUAGUGAGGAAUUUGCACCUUUUAUGAUAUUUUAUUCCAACUCCCUGCAAUAACCACAAAUUUCCAAAAGUGAGUAGAAUCUGACAAUUAAUUCAUAUUUGGUAAGGUAAUCGGAGAAAUUAAUUAUAAAAUAAAAGGCAAAAGUGUGACUUAUCAAAUAACCAUAAACAUAUAAAGCAUAUCUGUUUCUCAUAUUGCGACUUGCGUGUAUUUUACCAGAAUUGCCUUUACAACAACCACAACUCUUUUUAGUUUGCCUCUCAAUGUUCUCAACUGGAUACAAUACUAAAAUAUCAUAUAUAUAGUCAACAUGACUUGAAAAUUAAAAUUCUACUAAAAUAAGAAACUACCAUAUAAUUACUUCAUACCCUAAAUAUCUAAAUUGGUAACACUUGGCUAUACUUUUGUUUUUAUUUUUUUUAGUAGGAAAAAGGUAGAACUUAAGAAGUGAAGAAGCAGCAGAGUGAUUUCAACCUAAGGUCUCUAAUUUCUAGACUUUUAACCUUAUCCAUUAAACUAAGGUUUCUAAGCAAAACUUAGCUAUACUUAAAUACUUCUAAACUAGAAGUAGAAGACAUCAACUAUUAGGAAGGUCAGUUUAAUUAUGUCAACAUUGUCUAUUUUAAACCAAACUUUUCAUGAAUAUAGCUCUAUUCUAUUGCCAACCAAAAAAUAUCUUCUAAGAUACUUGUUCAUUAUAAAUCAAUUCUUGCCAAUCACUUCACUUUCAAUUUAUUAGCCUCGCUAGCUGAUAACUGAUAUCAAUAUUCUCAGUUUUGCAAGUCCAUCACAAAAAAAAUAAAUAAAUAAAAUUGACAAGCAUUUUUUUCAAUUCUUUCACAUUACCAAAUUAAAUACCAACAACUAUGGAAGGAUCUUUUUUUCUAAUCACUGUUUAACACAAAUAACACAACAUAAUACUUCUUCUCACAUGUCUAUCCAAUUAGGGUCAAUUUUUUCCCAAUUGUCAAGUAACUCAAGUACCCCAAGAUUAAUUUAGUGGCCCAAAUUUUUCCGAUGUUCGAGUACUCUAACUCAUCAAAAAAAAUCACAUUUCAAAAUCUAUCAACAUCAACCUUGUAAUCUCAAGUUUACAAGCAUCCCAAGUUCAAAAGGCAGGGCUCUAAUACCACUUUAGUGUAUAAAAGAUGCGUACAAGAGGAUACUGGCAUAUGUAAAAAUAUGUAGGAGAAGAGGAGUUUAAGAGCCAUAAAUACAUAAAGCACAUCUGAUUCACAUAUUGAGAUUGGCAUAAAUUCUAGGCAGAAUUGCUUUUACAACAACCGCAACUCUCUUUAAUUUUUUUCUCGCCCUUUUCAACUCAGUAUAAAGCUAAAAUACCCUAUAUAGAGUUAACAUAACUUAGUAAUUAAGAAACUACUGCACCAAGAAACUACCACAUAAUUACUCCGUACCCUAAACAACUGAAUUACUGAAACUUGGCUAUACUUGAAUACGUCUAACCUAGAAAUACGAAACAUCAACUAUUAGUAAGUUUGGUAUAAUUAUGCCAAUAAAAAGACAUAUUCUUCUGACCAUCACACUGUCAAAACGUGCAUGGGUUUCAUUGAUUUUAGCAAUGAUAACUGUUCCACAUAAAGCAAUGGCAACAUGCAUGGAUUUAGGAUAAUUUCAUAAGUUAAUUUUGUAUAUAAUGAUAGUGCAUAUAGUAACAACAUUGAAUGAAUGCCACCUAAACUUGAUAUAAUGGUAGUGUAUAAUUUGAAUUUUGUUUCUUGAACAUGUAGCUUGCAAUAUUAUGGGAUAAUUUCAGAAAUCUCCACUAAGGUUAUUGACAAUUUCACUUGUCUCUCCUCAACUUUUGGAAAUCUCACAUACUUCUAGCAGACAAUUGGGACCUAUUGAUGAUGAAAGGCACAGCAAAAUACUUAUAUCUUUAGUCUUUGGUGAUAUUAAUUAAACAAUCAAAGGAAAUUUGCAAAAAAUCAAGUCAAGUCUUAUUUCCACAACCUUGUAAUACGAUGCAAAAAGAAAAUAUUGAACAAACAAAAAUUAUUCUCACCCUUGAUUCUACUGCACCUUUCACAAGGAAAAAAAAAAGCUGUUCUCUAAUUUUCUAUGGUUACUUUCUCUUCUAAGCUUUAAUUGACGCUCAUCAAGCCUUAUAUAUUUUAGUAUAAACUUCCAAGCUUUUAAUAAGAAACUUGUAACAUCGCCAUUUUCUCAUAAUCAAUAGCACAUAAAUUUCAAAAAAGCUCUUCAACUUUGCCCGCAUUUUAUUCUUGCUUUUCUGGAUAAGAUUACAUUAAUUCAAUAGUUGAGUUCUAGGAAUCCCUCAUACAUAUUAUUCAUUUUUUGUUUAACCUUCAACUUAUCAAUUACAAAGAAUGACGAAAAUCUUUAAAAGAAAAAUUAAACAAAAAAAGACCAAGUCUAAUAAACAAGUCAUGCUUAUUGCAAUUCUAAUGAUUAGUUUCUUUCUCCAAUUUUAAACAUAAGAAUUAGUUCUUCGUAAUAUAUAGCAAUUCAUUAAAUCAAAUUUAUCAAUUCCUAUACUUAAUUUGGUCUUUUCAUCGAUUGGCAAAUGAUUGCGUUACUCUAGUUUUUAUAAUUCUAGGAAAGAACUCUUUGAUAAUACACUCUAGUUAUGGUAACUAUGGUAUUAGAAAAAACAAUGUACUAGUAAUAUCAUUUUUUGCAAAAAUGAAAUUUGUAUUUAAAACUUGAAGCAUCUUAAAUUUAUGUCAAUGUUGAUGGAACUGCUAGCCAUUUUUUAUAUCUUUGUUUUUUUGAGGUAAUAGUUUACAGCCAAAAAGGGCACAAAAAUAUCAAAAAGGGCCUUGGGAGGAGGGGGAACAUAAAACGUGAAAUCCUUGGAAAACCACAGGUUUAGCAUCUUUACGGUAGUUUGCUUUGCAAUCACAGCUUUCCUCCUCUUAAAGCACUUUGAUCUUCACCCUGCUCUGAGGGAUUUCCAAUACUAAUUCCAUUGAUGGCUUAAAAAAUCAUUCUAUAGAAUAUACAUCAAUAACGCUGUAAAAUAAGUGUUUGUAAUUAUCAUGCGUUAAAGUAAUACUUGUCAUAUAUCAUCUCAAUUCUGAAAUCUUCUCCAAUGCUGCUAAUACAACGUUGAUCUGAUCCUUCAAACCAGCAUAUGUGCUAGUUAGACUUUUUUCGUGACUUUUCUAUAAAUCAGUCUGACUCAUACAGAAAUUUUAACUGCUUCUCUUAUUUUUGAGUAAAGAACCAUAAACUUUAACUGUUUGAUAUGUUAAAAUCUCUGUGACUUGCAUAGAACACUUGUUAUGUAGUAAAUACUAAGCAGAGACAGAAUUAGGAAAAGAAUUUAAAAGCAUUAUACAGGUCCAAGUAAGUUGCACUAGCUUAAAAAAAUAAAUAACAAAAAAAAUACUAUAUUAUGAUGUUGAUGAUCAAAAUUUCAUAAAAAUUUUUAGUAUCUGAAAAAUAAUAUAGUUUAAGAUAUUACAAUCACGUGCAAAGCACGUGAACUAUUACUAGUCUAGCAAAAUUCAUUCUAUUAUAGAUAGCUUUCUUCAGUUUUUGAAAUGGCCCCACUGUUUUUUAGCAUUGUAGUCCGUUGCUUCAUUCAGUUUUGGAUCUCGAGAAUCCGUCCUUGAAAGCUGGAGUUAGGCAUGGGCACGCCAAAUUAUCAGGGGUCAGUUGGAAUGACGAUUUUCAGUACUUUUUCUUCACCACUUCCUGUAAUUAAUCCCAAACACAAAACCUGAGUAGAAUCCACCCAACUAUGCAAUAUUUAGUCAAACAAUUAUGCAAUAAUAUCAAAAUAUGCCACUAAAAUGCACCCUAUCAAUCUCCCCCACACCUAAACUAUGCUUGCCCUCAAGCAUAAUUAAUUCAGAAGUGCAAUCGAGAUACCAAGCAUAGUAGUUCAUACCAAUACGGUAUUCCAAAUUCCCUAAUAACUGUAUCGAAAUCAGAAUAUACCAAAUUGACAACUCUCACAUUUAAUAGGCAUUCAUUAUGCACUCAUUCACUUCAAAGUGUAUAAGAUAUAUAGGAUGGCUCCCGAAUCAACACAAUGAAAUGACAUUACCAUAGGCUUGCUCAUAUAUCACAUCUCCACCACUUAAUUAUGAUUUUGAAUGCAACAAUCAAGGGACUUUGCAAGGUUGUAAUGGGGAUGGGGUGAGAAGGUAGGAUAAAGAGGAUUCAAAGGGUGUAAAAAUAUAAAGAAAAUGCUCAGAAAUUCAUUACACAGAUUCUUGCACAUUUGAAACUUCAAGGCACCUCAACAAUCCCCCAAGUGAAAUAAUUGACUUUUCUUUUUCUCUUUUUUCUUUUUUUUCCUUUUCUUCUUCUCUCUUUUUUUUUUCUUCUUAGCACUUCUUUACACGAGGUUCACAAAAGAAAGUCUAAAAAGAGGGUUUACAGGUAAAAACUGAGGUCUCAAGCAAAGAAUAAGGGUUAAGGCUCAACUUGGCUCCCUAAUGGUAAAUGAACUAAAGGUCGAUUUUUUUAAGAAAGUCCAAAAAUGGCUCAGUCCUAGGUGCCCUAUCAUUUUAAUGCAUUAAACUCAUUUAAAUGUGGUCUUGACAUGCAUAACCGAGAAAGUUUUAGAAUGACAAACCAUGUGCACUAACCACUCAACAAAUGAAAAAUUAGGCUCAAAAAUUGCACAAGUGAUCAAAUUCAUGUCAAGUUCAGCAUAUUCAUCAAUCAAUUCAUUACCAAGAAAAAGUAGAACACCCCAUGGCAUGAACUUACUACUUAUACUCAUAUCUGAAGUGCAUUCGUCACUGUUUAAAGAAAAGAACUACUAAGGCAAGGAAAACGCACAUCAAACAACUAGAAGCACAACUAAAGCAUAGUUAACCCUCCCCCACACCUAAACCUUACAUUGCCCUCAAUGGAAGAUAAUAAAGAUCAAAAUAGAGGUAUUGGGGCAACGGCACUUCCCUGAACACCAAAGGGGGGUUGUGGCACAGUUGUAGGUAAGAGGCAAAAGACAUAUAGAGCUCGAUGGCAUAUGUCGAUUGAAUGAUCUGAGACAAAAUAAGUUCCACAAUUUGCAGCAGCCCAUUGAUCAUUAGAAAAAGCACAAGCCUCAUAACCCCUUCUAGAAAUAAAAUCCAAUCUAUCACCAAAAUACGGAAUGUUAGCAGCCAUAAACUAUAUAUAAAAAAAAUAAGAGAAAAAUAAAAAAAAUGAACUAAAAAAGAAACAAAUUAAUCAGGCACCAGUCCCAGGCAACGGCACCGAAAAUUGACAGGUGCCGAACCUGUGCAAUAAUAAUAAAUAAAACCUAACUACCACCUGAAGCAGUCAAUAAUCAAUUCUAGUACUGGAGUAGGGACUCUAGGUGUGCAAUGGGUUACUUGAUUCACUCUGUUCCCGAAGAGUUUGCUUAAUCCGAUAUACCAGGAUUAAUUAUUUGACUGAAUUCGGUAACUAGUAGACAGUGACAAGUAGAGUCGUCUCCUCAGGGACUGGAGAGAAAUUCGUUUCUUUUCGAGUCAAGAUUGAUGGGGGGUUUUUGGGAUUAAAUGCUAAUGAAUUGCUAACUAAAUAAAUUAAAUGUGCAAAAUAAUUAAUUGGGAGAACUCUAACCAAGGGUACACUUCAGAAAUGGUUCAUGCACUGAUCAUCGAUUCACAGAUAAUUCCAACAUUUAUUAAUAGACUAGAGUAGUUGUUAUGCACAUGAUAAACAACCAACCUUUCCUUAAUUUUUCGAUAGCUAAGGUACGACCGUUAACUAUUUCUCUAAUCCAGAAACAACCUUAGGUACGACCGUAGGAUUUAAUUUCUGGUUUGCAUUAAUAAUUAGAAAGGCCUAAUCCUAACUAACAAACACGCUACGAGGGUUUAUUUAACCUAGAUCGUAUGUUCCCCUGACAUAAAUCCAAUUACGGCAGUUGCUACAUAGAUAGAGAUAACGAACAAUUACGGAUUCAAUUACCCCUAAUUAGCACAAUAGCCUACGUGAAUAAUUAAAUAUUGCGCAUCUAUUUAAUCAUACAUGAUAGCUAUAACAACAAUUAAAAGCAGAAAACAUACGAAUACCAAUAAAUAGAGAAAGCAGUUAAAAUAAUUUAGAUUUCACAGUAAUUGUUGAACCAAAUCUUCAGUUAUUCCCUUGACAAGAAUUAGAAGGUUAGUCCUCCAUUAAUGGAGAACAACCAUGCGAAAAAGCUGUUCGAAGCCUUCAAUUGUUGUCUAACAAAAGUAAAAGCAACAGCCAAAAUAAGUCAACAACGGCGGCUUCUCCAAGCAUACGAGAGAAAAGUUUUUCUUCUUUUUCUUCUUUGUCUUGGUCAACCCUCAAAUUAGCCAAAGCCCAAAUACAAGGGUCCACCCAUAUGGCUUUCUCUCGAUGGUCCCCACAUAGCAAAGCCAAACGGAAAUUAAAAAGCCAAGCAGAACUCCUGGGAGUCUAAUUCCUCCUCUCCCGUUGGAAGCCACGAAAUUAAAGGAAUUUGUUUCCUAUUACAAUUUAAUUUCCUAAAAACUCUCCCAAUCACUUGAGAAUGAUCCCCUGAAAUCAGAAAGGUCCUGAUAGCUAUCAAAUUAGGAAAUUGAUUCGGAUUUGAGGAUUGCCUAGGGAUGGCAACGGGGCGGGGUUGGGGCGGGGGACCCCUCCCCCGCCCCCCGCCCCCCGCCCCCCGCCCCCCGCCCCGUUGCCUAUUAGUUCCCUCCGUCUCCCGCCCCGUCCCCCGCUUCCCGCUCACCCCGCCCCGCCCCGACCCUGCCCGCUUCUCCCCCGCGGGGUUAAUAUAAUUUUAUUAUAUUAUUUUAUUAUAAUUAAAUUUUAAUAAAUAAUCAAGUACUAAAAUAUCAACACAUCACCAAAUUAUUAUUCAUUGUAAUUUUACAAUUGAAACUCAUAAAAACAAUCAAACAGAAGUUAUUUGAAUACAAUCCAAUAUGAUGAAAUAAAUAUAACUAAAAUAGUCAAGUUUUCACUUUUAGUACAAAUGCAAUCACUAAUUCAUUAUUGUGUUUGUGCUUUUUUUUGAGAAAAAAGUGUUAUUCUAUUAAGUGUAAUUAGAAAUUUAGUAUAAAUGUAUUAGUAAAUUUAGUAUAACUAAUUAAUAAAUUCUAUUAGUAGACAUGUAUAAUUAUUCAUAAUAUUAGUAGACAUGUAUCAAUUAUAUUACAUAAACUAAUAUACAUUAUAUAAUACAUCUAACUAAUAAUAUCAUUAUCAUAAGUUUAUAACUAAUUAACUUACAUAUUAUAUAUAAUUAUAUAUAUAGUUAUAUAUAUUUUUUUUUUUUGCGGGUGGCGGGGCGGGGUAUACUCCCCCGCCCCCCGCCCCGUUUCUAAGCGGGGGGAAAAAAUUCCCCCCCGCCCCCACCCCGAGAGUCCCCCCGCGGGCACCCGCCCCCAUUGCCAUCCCCGAUUGCCCAAUAUCAACCCUGACUUUUUGGUCUUGAAUGUAGGUCCCGAACGUACCACCAUCAAAUUAACUGGAAAUUACCACUUUUUAAUCAUAUUUUGCUCAUUUUCCUACAAUUAGCACCAUUAACCAAAUAUAAGUAGAAUCUAUCAAUUAAAAUAAUAUUUGGCUAAAAUCAAGGGAAAAAUAAUUAUUAAUUUAGCAAUAAAUUAUGACCUAUCAAUAUUCAUAAAUUAAAUUACAUAAAUGAUUGACUUUCACUUUAAAAUUGACUCUCUGUCAUGGACUCAUGGUAUCGAACAAGAACCAGAACAAUGGAAUCGUUCUCAGUUGAAUUAACAAGAAACAGUAAUAAUAAUAGCUGAUAAGACUUCGACUCAAAUGAUGUUGUAUUGAUCAAAUAAUGAGAUUACAGAAUUGGCGGGAAAGAAAAGGAGAUGAACAAGAAUGAAGGAAAUCAGAAAAGGAACAAUGCCCAGGGAAUGACCCUAACAAUGACUAACAAAUUCCUGCUUUUCCAUCUCUGAUCCUGACUAUAUAGAGCUAACUAAUAACUAACUUCCUCGGCUCUACCAAUCCAGCUUGGCCACGUGGCUUUUGUUAACAGAAUGGACCACUUGCUUGAUAAGCUCACGUUUCUGAGCAGCUUCCCAGUAAAGGCGUGGUUCUGGUUCCACGCCUUCUCUUGUGCCGUUCAUUAUCUGCCACACCUCCUCUAUUGAGUGCACACCUUUAUCUUCCAGUAAAGGCGUGGUUCUUGGUUCCACGCCUUCAGCUUUUAUUUAGCUAACUUCUGUUUCAUGACACUCUCAGAGUAAAACAAAGUUUAGCUCAUGCAUGUGCCAACAUUUUCAUGCAUUAAAAUUAAAUUUCAAACCUCUAAGUUCAGCUACAUUCGUUAUCCAAUAUAUAAUAAAUAAUAAUAGAUAACGGUAGAGAAAGUUUCAAUUCACCCACUCAAUUUUUUUUCUUUUUUUCUUUUUUUGGUGUGUCAAUUCACUCAUUGAGACUCUGAAAGUAUACUGUUUUGAUCAUGCAAUUAGGAACAAAAAACGAAGAAAUAGCAUUCGAGGAUAAAGUGUGCGUAUAAGUGGUUCGAGUUCCGUGUGAUAUAACCAUGAAAACUGAAUCAACAAUUGUCAAAGUAGCGUCCUUUCGGAAGUUUAUUGAACAAAUUGAUACUAAAAAAGUUCAUUGAUUUAAUCAAAAAUUUUUUUUUUAAUAAUUUGGUGGCUGCUAGUACAUUUUACCCUUCAAAUUAUUCCUUGCUAAAGUUUGCCUAUCAUAGGUAUUAACAAAACACAAGAAUGUAAAAUGAGUACUCAAUAAUGGCAUUCCAAUUCGCCACGAAAUUAGACUCCACAUUCUCGGUAAUGUAAAGCUUAAAAGGCUCAAUGGGCAAAUAUAUUAGUAUUUAAACAAAGUAUUUAGAAGGGUUUAGGAUUUCGUCUCGAUCAUUAUUUUCUUCAAACACUAAGUCAAGGUAAGUGGAAGUCACAAACCUAAUUAUUGAGCCAAGAUGCAAAUGCAAUAUGGUUAGCGCGAAAUGGGAGGACUUUGACACCCAAUCGAGAAAUUUUACAACGGUCAGGAUAAAUUGUGUGAAAAGUCGGAUAAAUUGUUUGGAAAGUCCAGUAAUUGGUCUUUAACUAAUUUGAUAUCACUAAUCGGGAAAAAAAAGGACUCCAUAAUCUUAUUUGAACUGUAUUUGAUAUUGACUUGACAAUUUUAUUUGAAAUAUUUUUAUUAGUCAAAAACAAAGUAAUGGGCAUGGCACAUAGUUGGUCCCAUGAAAUUUCUCGCCCCAGGGACUUGCGGAACCAAGCAAAAUAAGAUGUUCAUUUGAAUUCUAAUUCUCGAGGAUGAGUAAUUAAGGUCAAAUUAUGCGUCGAGUUCGCGUUCGCGUUCCAAGAUUACCUAUUGAAGUAACAAACAGUAGUUAUACUCCUCAUUUUGCUUUUCAGAGUUUCAUCUUGGACAUACCAUUGAAUGGAUUAAUCUUUUUUACACUAAUAUUAUAUGCAUUUUUAGUGUUGGAUGAAUGACAACUAUAAGGUAAUCAUAUUUUAAAAAGGUAAAAUUGUUCAAAACGUCCCUCACAUUUUAUCAAAUGAGAUUUUUCAUUCUUCACCUUUAAAAUGUUAACUUUGCAUUUCUCACAAAUUAAAGUUAACAAAAGUUAGUCCCAACCUAAAUUUUUAUCAUUUUUAACUUGAAAUCACCAAAUGAUCCACAUGCAGUCAUUUUUUAUAUACGAAAAAGUCAGAUUCCAAUCAUUAGUAGUAAAAAUGAAUAUAGAUUUGGUCAAAUCUCACUUUUUAGAAAAAAAGGAAGUAAUAUGAUUUGGUCAAAAUCUUACUCUCUUAGUGAUAAAAAUGAAUAUAUAUCGGGUUAUUUGUUUAACUAUAAAUUGAAUCUAACAUUUUUACGCCUAAAAAGAUGACUGCGUGUAAGUCACAUGAUGGAUUUAUUCAAGAUAAAAAAAUGAUUGAAAACCUAUACUAAGAUCAAAUUUUACUAAUUUGAUUUUGUAAAUGAUAUAAAGUUAUCAUUUUAAAAGUAAAUGACGAAAAAAUUUAUUUGAGGGGUGUCUUGAUCAGUUUUGGUGACUCUCUAUUACUCAACACCGGUUUAUUGGUCAGCCUACAAAAACGAAGAAUAAAAUCUUCAAUUCCUAUUUUGUGAACAUCUCCCUCAGCAGCUGACUCUGUUAAACUUAAUGUAGAUGGAUCUUCUCCGGGUAAUCCCGGCUCUUCAGGUGGUGGCAGUACUAUUCGAGAUUCAUUUGGCAACAUCCUAAUUGCCUUACUCUCUUUUCUUUGGAGGCAAAACUGAUAUGGAAGCCGAGUGAUUAGCCCUGCUAGAAAGCAUUCAACUUUGUCAGGUCCAUGACUUUUGUAACAGCCCCACCUUCCCCUAAGGCGAACCAAAGGGGUUAGCGGACUGCCUGCCUAACUCUCACCAGGACUACGGAUCAGUUUACGUCAAUCUAAUACAUUCCGGAACUUACCAAUGCGCGCAACCAAGUCAAAAUCACAAAAUAAAAAAAAUGAAAAAAAUCGAAACCGAUGAUGAACAGUACCGGCCACGUCAGAAUUCGGAUACUAGGCCGAGAGUAGCCAAAAUUUUUCUUUUGCCGUUUGAAAUAUGAGUUGAUCCGAAAUUCAACCAAAUAUCAACCAAACAUAUAUACAUUGAAAUGUAACAUUUACAAGCCAAAACGGCAUAUCAAAACGAUUCAUCAUGGAUAUACAUGUCCGGUUUGCCAAUCAAAAGAGAAUGAACCCAAUACACAUUAGGGUUUCAUUUAAAGAGCUAUUCAAAAGACAUUUACAUGAGAUCGACUUGACAACCAACUAACACAACCUUUUCCAAAAGUGGUCAUUUCCUGUAAGGAAAACAAAUGGAACGGAAUGAGCUUAAACCCAGUGAGUUACUACCACAUAAGCAACAAAGAUCACAUAAGCAUAGUCUUUCAUUUCAAGUACACAAUUAAGAAGUAAAACAAGUCGGUAAAAGGAUACAGACGGCUCUCAAGAGCCCAUUUCCACGCUUACAUUCUUGAUCCAUUCUCAUUGACCCUCCGUCAAUGUUUAAGAAUACCCGACCGUAGACCUCACUUCACUCCAUUCCUUCCACCCAACAUACCCCAACCGGGCCCGCACUCCAAUCAGUAGCUUUUGAUAAUACUCGAGUAUACCGGAAUCAAGAGUCUCAUUACUACAAGAUUCCCCAGUACAGUCCCCGUGGCAUGUCAAUUUUCACGACCAAGCCCUCGCCGGCUCGAUUCAAUUGGCUACCAACGGGGUUGAGCUCAGUAAUACAGUAAGGCCGUUGGAUACUCGUCCAAACGACACAAAAUCAGUUUUUCCAUGAAUGGAAUUCAAUAUCUCAUAUGUCAAGUUCAGUAUUUCAAUGAAACGGUAAACAGUCGUUAACGGUAUCAAAGGGGGUGAGGGCGGUCAAGUACACCCUCACCUUAACCAAUUCCAUUAGCCAAAUAAGCCUUCAAGGCAUCACAAUCACAUAUAGCAAAGCCACAUUGUAACAUUCAAGUGAGUAGUAUACUCACCAAUCAAUUAAGUGUUAUUUCAUGCACUUCCGUCAAGAGAAUGUCGUGAACCACCGUCACGCCCUAGAACACGUAAACAAGUACAAUGAGACUCGAUAACGAGUCAUAAAGCAAUGCCAAUCACAACCCCAAUAGGGUUUCAUAUGCAUAUACAAGUAUCAUAGGUAACCAGAAAAUCCGGAAAUGCAAUUAACUUUGGCCCUGAAAAAAACAGUUUUUGUCCUCAUUUUGCGGUAAUGGUACCAAUUUCACUACGAUUAUCGGAUGAGGGUGCAAGACCCACCAUCUCGAAGCUAAAAGACAGGGCUACAACAUUACAGAAGGUCACUCAACCCAGUUUUGAGUGCAAACAGGUCAAAAAUGUAAGAUACUAUAUCGAAAACAUAAAACAGAUUCACCAAAACGCAUUCUAGCGGAAACAUCAUAACUCAGGCUCUACAAGUCCAAAUCCAGAAAUUCCAAAACCAGCUGAAUAAGAAACAGGGCUACAAUAAUGUAGAAGAUCACUCAGUCCAAUUCCUAGCACAACCAGGUCAAAUAUGCGAGAUACUAAACCAGAACCACAAUAACAGGUUCACAAACUACAUUCUGCUGUAAUCAGUACAACUCAGUCUAUACAGGUCCAAAUUCAGAAAUUCCAAAGGCAUAUGGUAGCUAGGACAUCAAGCUACAUUUCAUCAGAAGACCUCAAAGGCCAAAUCGUGCAUUUUCAUGGUCGAAAAUGGAAGACUACACAAAAAUAGAAAUCUGGGCGCGAAACAGGUUUCGAAAAUAGUCAAGGGUAUUUCGGUCAUUUAACAUGCUACAGUGGUCGGAUCAAGCUGAAAAUUUACAGGAAACUAGUUUAUAGCCUUGGCUACAACUUUUAUGUUUUGGCCAAAAUCUAAUUCGGUUAAGAUCAGGGUGAAAAGGUACGGUCAAAAUGAGUGAAAAGGCAACCCUGUUCGCAGCACCCCUUCCUAGACCAGUCUCGGUAUUUUCGAAUUAUCUCAUUCUACACUACUCCGAUUGCCCUGAAAUUUUACAGGAACCUUUAUAACAUCAAUACCUACAACUUUCAUGUUUUAAGCAAAGGCCAAUUCGGCCUCUAACCAUAUGAUACAAAACCGGACAGAAAAGGGGGUUAUGAAACCCUAACUUUUCACAUUUCCUUCCAAAUCCAAAAUUGGUUGCAAUUACCAAUCAUUUACACCUACAAGAGUCAUUAAACAUCAUUUCCAACCAUCAUGGACAGCCACAACAUCAUGAUCAAAUUAAACCAGAAAAAUCACCAAUAAAUUGAAAACUUCAUCAUUUCUUCCAAAAACAAGAAAUAACCCACAAAAUCCAUCACUUUAGCUAUCACUAAGCAUAAAUCAAGCUUCAUUAAGUGUAGGAGGAAGUUCAUACACCACUCACCUAGUAAACAAGAGAGGGAGAGUUGUUGGACACCUUAGCUUCUCCAAACACUUCACUAAACAAACCACUAACACCUAGUGAAGAGGUUUUAUGGAGUAGAAACAAGUUUAAGGGAUUGCUUGGGAUGAUUUGAGCUAGAUGGAUGCCAACCUUUGAAGAGUUUUCUUCCUUCCUUUGCUAGAGAGAGAGAGCCGACCAUCAAGGAGAAGAAAAGAGUGAAUUUUGGUGAUUUUUGGAGAUAUUUAUUCAAUUGGUAAGACAAGUCAAAAGGUGAAUAGUUGUCAUCAAGUCAAACCAAUGGGCAAGUGACACUUGUCACUCCAUAAACGCAAGUCUAUCCUUCUUUUUCCCUCUCACAUCAAUCACUUCACCUCCUCUACUUAUCUCUUAAUAUCCGAUAAAUUCCACCCAGUAUCCGAAACUUAACCUAACUGACCGAAUUUUUCCGAACUUUUCGUGCUAGUGGGUCCCACGUCCAUAAUAGAUUCUUAAUUUUUCAAAAACUCUCCAAUAAUAGAAAAAUCAUCUAAAAACUAUAAUUACUCAUAAAAUUCACCAGGAGAAUUUUCCUAAGCCAGAAAAUACAGAAAACAUGCCAUUAAAGGAAAUAAACCCUAGGAAAAUUAUUAGGGGAUUUACGGGUUCUCACAACUUUGACCAAGUUGAAAUGGAUUCUAAAAUCUUGGAGCAGAUGAUAAAUGGGGAAGCUAAAAUUCCAUGGAAGGUGCUGGCUACUACUUGCCAAAUCAAGCAGUUAACUCACAGCAGGCACUUCUCUUUUUCGCUUCAUACUAGUAUAUAUCAUGGUUUAGUACCUUAACACAAAUUAGCUACAGAGUACAUGUAAUGCACCUAACAUGUCUAUUCGUUUUAAGAAAUUUGUUCCCCUAACAGACAGUUUGAUAAUUCUAUUAAUGAGCUCCACCUUCCAUCCUUUCCACUUUGAGAUAGAUAUUAACUUUUUCACCUGAUGGUUAUUGGUUGAUCAUGCCCAUUCCCCUCAGCAAGAAUACCAAUAAAAUUCAAUAUGUCUUGCACUACCCCACCCUCCCUCUCCCCCCCCCCCCAAAAAAACCCCAAAAAGAAAGAAAAAGAAGUUUAUGAAUGAGGUCUUUUAAUGAGUUGUUAUAACAUAAUUGAAUGAGGUCUUUUUAAAAGUUUAUGAAGAAGUUUACAAUGAAAAUGACCUAUUUCAUUGCUCACAUUUUGUUAAAAUAUUUUUUUCAUCCCUCACUUUUAAAAUGAAACAAAUUCGUCCCUGACAUUACUAUUACAUCCAUAAACCCAACUUUCAAUCUGAAUUAAACCAUCCAGUAACUUAGUAACAAAUUUUGAGGGGAUAUAAUUAGUAGAUCAGUUAGUCAAUUCUAUCACAUUCACAUGAUAUUUAUCGAACAAAAAAAGGAAAAAAUAAAAAAUUAUAACAUAAAAAGGUCGCUCUUUAUCUGGGAAUAGUAGGAUUUCUUUUUUGAGUAAAUCUUUUUAUGCACUGUUAGUAUAUACAUUUGCGAGUCUAGAUACAAAGUUUGGUAUUUAAAUUUAAAUUGAAAUAAUGUGGCAAGUAUCUUUUUUUUUUUGUGCCGACACGAUAGAAUCUAUUCUACACCUACUCCUACUUUAUAUUAGGGAGAGAAGGAGAUCCAAAGGGGUCAAAAAAGGAACCCGAAGGAAACUGAAACACUACUGGUCCAAACGGAUGCCUACACAUCCGCUAGCAAAAUCCUCUAUACUAGGGGAAGGCGGGGACCCAAAGGGAUCAAGGAGGAAAUUUAAAAGAGACUGAACCACCACUGACUUAAACACGUGCCUACACACCCGCCGACGAAAUUUUCAAGAAAUCCUUAAUAUUAGAACGCAAGCCAAGGGAUUCAUCCCUUGACUUACACUCAAGUAAAGUAUUAAAGCUCUCUUGGUAACUAACAAUUCUAGUUAUGUGACAGGUAUCUAGACCCGUCAUCAUUUAGGCGUCUAUUGCCCCUUCAAGAUUGAGGCAUAUUCAUUGUUCAAAUAAUUCUCUAUUAAAAUUUAUUAGUUAAAUGUUAUAUCGAAAAUUUGGAACACAUAAUUGUUGAUGCCCUUUUCUCGGAUAAGUUUGAAGCAAAUCAACAUUUUAAGCUAUUCUUUGCCAAACUUCAUUCACCACAAGCAAAGAAUAUAAUGUGGGGUACUCAUUAAUGGCACCACCACCAAAUUAGACUCAUCCUGAUUAUUUAAAGUUGAAAAGGCCCAAUGCUCAACUAUAUCAGAAUCCGAAUGAAUCAUCCUUUCCACGGAGGUAAAUCUUUGCCUGCUAGGUAAAUCUGAAUUAACAAAAUUGAUAGGUUGCAAUUUAUCUAUUUAUUUUAUUAUUAAUUUCCCCUGUUACCUGACCCGAUGUGGAUUAAUUAUUAGAUUCUACUCAUUUUUUGUAAUUUGCAUUUAUUUCAGCGAGUAGAACGAAAAUAUAACAACAGGUGCCAAUUUGACAUAAAAGGAAUCCAGAUGAUAGAGCUUGUCCCAGGGGCAUUUUUGAAAAAGAAGAUGUCACGCCCACUUUGGUAAUUUCCGCAAAGCAAUGACGGACGAAGGGCUUCUUCCUCCUGGUGAGCCGCCGCAAUAAAGGAGGGAAAACAGGAUCAGAUGGGGGCGAGCUUAGUUUUAGUUUUCCGUCUGUAGCUUAGCUUGAGAUUGUUGACUUUUCCCUAAAAAUGCUUUUUGCUUGUCAUACGCAUGGCAGGCAUUAGAAAUUGGUAGCUUUUGACUUUUCUUCAUGUUAAAUGCUUAGAGUUUUUCUAUCUUUCCUCGUAUGCCAUCCGUAGUGAGGCAGAGGAUCAUUUCGUGUAACUUUGCUAUCUCCUCCUGGUUGGAACGGAUUGAGUUCUCAAAAAUCAAUGACAAUGGCCGCAACUUUAUCUUCAAUUUCUUGGGGGUUUAGUUCAUCAAUUAUGAACUAAUUUUCCAACUCUAGUCAAGGAGCAACGAAGGCUUUGGGUCGCCUAAAAAUUGUGAGAUCGAUAUAAAAAUUGUGAGAUCGAUAUAAUUUAAUCUUUUCCUUUUAUUUAUUGGUAUUCGCAUAUUCCUUGAUUGCUAUGUUUAUGGUUAUUCAAUUAAUUGAUUGUCUUGGAUUCGGAUAAUUAAUUGAUUUGAUAACCUAUUGUCAAUUGGGGCAUUGAAUCCGUAAUUGUUUAAUUGUCCUGAAAUAGUGACAACUGGUACGAUUAGAUUCGUGUCAGGGGGAUACGCGUGCUAAUCUAAAAUAACCCUGGUAGUGUGUUAUUUGGUUAGAAUAGGGCUCCUCUAAUACAUAAGGCAAUUGGGAAAUUAAAAUUCUACGGGCGUACCUAAGAUUAUUUCUCAAUUAGAGCAGUGAUUAACGGGCGUACCUUAAUCACCGACACAGUAAGGAGGGGUUGACUGCCAUCGCUUGUUUGGUAGUUAUAACCUAUUUAUUGAUAAAUAAUUGGAUUUGCCUUUGCUUCGAUGAUCAAUUUGGUGAACCAUUGUUGAAGUUACUUCUUGGCUAGAUCUUUAAUUAAUAUUAUCUUGAUUUUAGUGAAUUGCCAUUCGAUUUUUGGUUGUCUACUUUAUUUCAUUUCUAAUUGUUUCCUUGUUUUAAUUGAUUUAGGCCUUUAAUUAUUGCUAUUCUAAAUUCAGUGAAUUGUGGUUUAAUUUCUAGUUAGUUAUUCAUUUUUAUUUUCUUAUUUGAGUUUAUUUAAUUGUCGUCGUUCCUACAAAAUCACCCCCUGUAUUACUUUGGAUUUCUUAAGAAACAAAUAUACCCAGUCCAUGUGGAUAUGACCCUACUUGCCCUGUCUACAAAUUCAUAAUUAUUUAUGAAAAGAAAUAAGCAUUCCAUUCGGGUAUAUCAGAUCAAACAAAGUUUUCGGGAACAGGGUGAAUCAAGUAACCCAUUGCACACCUAGAGUCCUUGCUCCAGUACUUAGAAUUGGGUUUUGGUCAUUUCGACUGGCAAAUAGGUUUAAUUUUAUUAUUGCACAGGUUUCGACACCCUGUCAAUUUUUGGCGCCGUUGCCGGGGACUGGCGUUAUUAUUUGUUUCUUUUUAAAUUCAUUUUUUUCUGUCCUAAUUUUCUGGUUUUCUUCUAGUGUAUGCCUCGAUUUUCUCGUACAGGUGAUCUGAUUUUCGACCCCGAGGUAGAGAAGACUGCGCAUAGGACAAGAAAAGAGACCAGACAGCUCAGAGAGGAGCACUCCAGUACUGCAUCUCAGAGACCUGAGUCAGAAGUUGAACCUACAGACUCGUUUGGGGACACUUCGAGUGACUCUGACCAGGAGGAAGGCACCAUGGUUAAUGCACGAAUAUUAAAGGAGUUGACUGCUCCUGAUUUAAAUCAGCAGCCUUUAUGCAUUACUUUUCCGAGUUUGAGUGAAAACACUUCAUUUGAAUUGAAAUCAGGUCUAAUUCACCUUUUACCCUCUUUUCAUGGUUUACCAGGUGAAGAGCCGUAUAAGCAUCUGCAGGAGUUUGAUGUCGUGUGCAAUAGUAUGAAGCCCUCGGGAAUUACAGAAGAGCAGAUAAAAAUGAGGGCAUUCCCCUUUUCCUUGAAGGAUUCUGCAAAGGACUGGCUGUACUUCCUGCCACCAGGUAGCAUCACCACGUGGGACCAAUUGAAGAAAAAAUUUUUAGAUAAAUAUUUCCCUGCGUCCAGGGCUGCAAGCCUAAGGUAGGAAAUUUGCGGGAUCAAGCAGCAUCCAGGGGAGUCACUCUAUGAGUAUUGGGAACGGUUCAAGAACUUGUUGCACAAGUGUCCCCAGCACCAGAUAAGUGAGCAGUUGCUCUUUCAGUAUUUUUAUGAUGGGAUCCUUUUCAGAGAUAGGAGCAUAAUUGAUGCCGCAAGUGGAAGGGCACUGGUGAACAAAACCCCUCGGGAAGCACGAGAGUUGAUAGAGGGGAUGGCAGAGAAUUCACAACAAUUCGGUACGAGAGAGGAUGUCCCAAUACGCAAGGUGAACGAGAUAGAAACACCAUCUGUCCAGCAGCAGCUAACUGAGUUGACCUCGUUUGUGAGGCAACUGGCUGUAGGGAGUGCAACUCAGGCCAGGGUGUGCGGGAUUUACACUGGUAUGGGACACUCUGCAGACAUGUGCCCAAUGAUUCAGGAAGAAAUUGCAGAACAGGUGAACAUGGCUGGUCACGCGCCCGCGCCAAGAAGGCCCUAUGACUCGUACUCGAAUACGUACAAUCCCAGAUGGAAGGACCACCCGAAUCUCAGUUAUGGAGGAAAUAGGCAGCCCAACUAUGCACCGAACAGGCAGUCUAAUUUCGUGCCAAAUAAGCAACCAGGAUACCAGCAGCAAUACCAGCCCCGACCACCUCCGCCCCCGAGCUCUGGUCCAUCUGUGGAGGAGAUGAUGAAACAAAUGAUGGCAACCAUUACGCAAAAUCAGCAAAGGACGGAGGCAACCAUUAUGCAAAAUCAGCAAAGGACGGACUCCGAAAUGCAGGACAUAAGGAAUCAGAUAAGUCAAAUGGCCACAACAAUCAACCGUUUGGAUUCCCAGAACCAAGGUAAAUUGCCGUCUCAGCCUGAAUUAAAUCCGAAGAACGUGAGCGCAAUGACCCUAAGGAGCGGGAAGAAAAUUCAGGGGCCUAAACCUGUGAUCCCUAAGGAUAAGGAUGAGAAAAAGAUCGAAAAUGAGUUUGAAAGGGAGGACAGCAAUGGUGCAGACCCAAAGGUACUUCCAGACCCAAUAAUUACAGUUAAAACUAACCCGCCUCCUUUUCCUAGCAGGUUGGAAAAAUCGAAGAAGCAGGAUAAGGAGAAGGAGAUUUUGGAGGUGUUUCGCAAGGUAGAGAUAAAUAUCCCCCUCUUAGACGCCAUCAAACAAGUACCAAAAUAUGCCAAGUUCCUAAGGGACUUGUGUGUCAACCGAAGGCGAUUGAGGGGAGAUAAAAGGAUUAUUGUUGGGAAAAAUGUGUCUGCGGUCCUGCAGAGAAAGCUUCCACCAAAGUGCGGGGACCCAGGUAUGUUUACUAUCCCCUGUAGGAUAGGCAACACUGUGAUUAGAAGGACCAUGUUGGACCUGGGAGCAUCAAUUAAUGUCAUGCCUAAAUCUAUCUAUACUUCUCUGAAAUUAGGUCCAUUAAAAGAAACUGGAAUAAUCAUUCAAUUAGCUGACCGAACUAAUGCAUAUCUUGAUGGGUUGGUUGAAGAUGUGUUGGUAAAAGUAAAUGAUUUGGUGUUUCCAGCUGAUUUUUAUGUACUUGAUAUGGAUGAUGACCACUCCCCCGAUCCCUCACCUUUGUUAUUCGGUAGACCCUUUAUGAGCACAGCACAAACAAAAAUUGAUGUUAAUAAGGGUACCUUAUCCAUGGAAUUUGAUGGGGAAACUGUGCAUUUUAAUAUCUUUGAUACUAUGAAAUACCCCUCAAAUUCCAACUUUAGCUCAGUUUUCUCUGUGAGUGCUAUUGACCCUGCAGUGCAGGAAGUAUUUAAAACUGUUGGCAGGGAUGAGUUGGAGGUAGCUUUGACCAAGCACCUCGAGUUGGAGACAACUCCUGAGGUGGAGUGGAGUGAAAAUUUAAAGUGCACGAUAGGAGCACUACACUCAUUGCCAACCUCCACGAAAAGGUACGAAGUUUCACCUGUAUUCAUUCCUGAACCUCACCAGAGGGUAUUGCCAUCGGUGGUGCAGGCGCCUGUUUUGGAGUUGAAGCCCUUACCAGAGCACCUGAAGUAUGCAUAUCUGGGUGACAAUGAGACACUCCCAGUGAUUAUCUCAUCGGCACUGUCAAAAACCCAGGAGGAGAAACUGAUCCGGGUCCCUAGAGAGCAUAAAGAGGCGAUAGGUUGGACAAUCGCAGACAUUAAGGGGAUCAGCCCGGCCAUCUGUAUGCACCGGAUUAGACUGGAAGAUGAUGCUAAACCUGUUCGGCAGGCUCAAAGGAGGCUCAACCCCCUAAUGAUGGAAGUUGUAAAGAAAGAAAUUUUAAAAUUGCUAGAUGUAGGGAUUAUUUUUGCAAUAUCAGAUAGCCCUUGGGUGAGCCCGGUCCAGGUAGUUCCAAAGAAGGCAGGAGUGACGGUGGAAGCCAACCAAACAGGUGAACUCGUGCCAGUGCGCAAACCCACUGGAUGGAGGCAGUGUAUAGACUACCGUAGGCUAAACGCCGUCACCAAAAAGGACCAUUUUCCUCUCCCUUUCAUUGACCAAAUGGCUGAACAUUUAGUUUGUAGGGCUUACUAUUGCUUUUUGGAUGGAUUUUCAGGAUACUUUCAGAUAACAAUUGCACCAGAGGAUUAAGAGAAGACAACCUUCACGUGCCCGUUCGGGACCUUUGCCUAUAGACGAAUGCCAUUUGGGUUGUGUAAUGCACCUGUAACAUUCCAGAGGUGUAUGGUAAGUAUUUUUUCUGAGUAUGUAGAGAAAAUUAUUGAAGUUUUUAUGGCUGAUUUCAGUGUGUAUGGUGAUAGUUUUGAUACAUGUUUAGAUAACCUGAAGUUGAUCCUGAUAAGGUGUAUAGAAACUAAUCUUGUGCUUAAUUGGGAAAAAUGUCAUUUUAUGGUUGAGCACGGGAUAGUUCUGGGUCAUAUUGUAUCGUCUAAGGGCAUCCAGGUUGACAAGGCUAAAAUAGACAUUAUAUCUGCAUUACCUUACCCUGCGAAUGUGCGGGAGGUGCGUUCUUUUCUUGGACAUGCAGGUUUUUAUCGAAGGUUCAUCAAGGAUUUUUCAAAAAUUGGAGCCCCGUUGUUCCAACUCCUACAAAAGGAUGUGACCUUCGAAUUCAAUGACAAAUGUGAGAAAGCCUUCGACAAGUUGAAAGAAUUGUUGACUUCACCCCCAAUCAUCCAACCCCCUGACUGGAGUCUACCAUUUGAGAUCAUGUGCGAUGCCAGUAAUCAUGCCGUAGGGGCUGUAUUGGGGCAAAGAGUAGGGAAGGUAGCUCACUUCAUCUACUAUGCAUCCCGAGCAUUGAAUGGAACCCAAUUGAAUUAUUCCACUACUGAAAAGGAGCUUCUUGCGGUUAUUUUUGCUUUAGAAAAAUUUAGGUCAUACUUGUUAGGUGCUAAAGUGAUUGUAUUUUCUGAUCAUGCAGCAUUGAGGUACCUGAUAACCAAGAAAGAUGCAAAACUGAGGCUCAUACGGUGGAUAUUGCUCCUACAGGAAUUUGACCUGGAGAUAAGGGAUAAAAGAGGCUCAGAGAAUUUAGUAGCUGACCAUCUGAGUCGUAUACCUGUUGGAGAGGAUAAUGAACCAUUGAGGGAUGCAUUCCCUGAAGAGCAUUUAUUUUCUUUAAAUUCUCAAUUGCCUUGAUAUGCUGAUCUUGUCAAUUAUUUGGCAACUGGUAAUUUUCCUGCAGGUUGGCCAAAAUCGAAAAGGGAUAAGUUGAAGAGUGACACCAAGUAUUUUAUCUGGGAUGACCCGUACUUAUGGAAAAGAUGCGCAGAUCAAGUGAUGCGGAAAUGUGUAAGUGAAAUGGAAUUUCAAUCGAUUUUAGCUUUUUGUCAUACUUUUGCCUGUGGAGGUCAUUUUGGACCCAAGAGAACUGCUCAUAAGGUUUUAGAAAGUGAAUUUUAUUGGCCUUCAUUGUUUAAGGAUGCCUAUGUGUUUUGUAAGUCAUGUGAUCGCUGUCAAAGGGUAGGUAAUAUAGCCCGUAGAGAUCAUAUGCCCCAAGUCCCGUUGAUUUUUGUUGAAAUUUUUGAUGUCUGGGGUAUAGAUUUCAUGGGGCCUUUUCCUACUUCAUUUGGUUUUAUAUAUAUUUUGUUGGCAGUUGAUUAUGUGUCUAAAUGGGUGGAGGCCAAGGCCACUCGGACUAAUGACUCGAAAGUAGUUGCAGAUUUUAUCAGGUCUAAUAUUUUUGUGCGAUUUGGAAUGCCAAGAGCUAUUGUCAGUGAUAGGGGAACGCACUUCUGCAACAAAACCAUAGCUGCGUUAUUUCGCAAGUAUGGUGUUCUCCACAGGGUCUCGACGUCGUACCACCCGUAGACUAAUGGUCAAGCGGAGGUAUCGAAUCGGGAGAUUAAAUCCAUUUUGGAGAAAAUGGUGCGCCCCGAUAGGAAAAAUUGGAGUCAAUGGUUGGAGGACGCACUCUGGACCUAUCGGACGGCAUACAAGACUCCUAUAGGGAUGUCACUGUACAGGUUGGUAUUUGGGAAGCCGUGUUAUCUUCCAGUGGAGUUUGAGCACAAGGCUUUUUAGGCGAUAAAGCAAUGCAACAUGAACCUGGAGGAGGCCGGUGCCCAACGGAAGUUGGAUUUGCAGGAAUUGGAGGAGAUCCGGAACGAUGCCUACGAAAAUGCACUAAUUUAUAAGGAGAGAAGCCGGAUAUUUCAUGAUCAACAAAUUUCAAGAAAAACCUUUGAAGUUGGUCAGAAGGUCCUCCUAUACCAAUCCAGACUCAAGCUAUUCCCAGGUAAGCUACGUUCCCGUUGGAUUGGACCUUUUCUUGUUACUCACGUUUUUCCAUAUGGUGCAGUUGAAAUCCAGAGUGCUAAAACAGACAGCAAAUUUGUGGUGAAUGGACACCGUCUCAAACAUUAUUACGAAGGUUUUUCAAGUGGAGAAGUGGAGACAAUAAGUCUAGACGCAUCACCGUGUCCUAAUCAGUGACCCUUUUACCAUGUCUAGUCAAAGACAUUAAAGAAAGGCGCUCAUUGGGAGCAAAUAAAUUUGAACACGAUAUCAUAUGGGCACGAAUCGUAUGAAUCGAAUAUUGAACCCAAUUGUUUCUUUUAAUUGUUUGUUUGAUUUCGUGGGAUAGUUUAAAUAUGUUUUCCUUGAAUUCGACUGAUUUUGGGUUUUAGUUUUCGUUUUUGCUGAGUUGUAGGUGUCUAUCUGACUCGGCGCGCCCGCGUCAUCUUGCAGGAAGUGCUCAAGGUCAGAGAGCUCUCCUGCUCUCAUGACGCACCCGCGUCAUCUCGCAGGAAGCGCUCAUGGUCAGAGAGCUCUCCUGCCCUCAUGACAUGCCCGCGUCAUGACAUCCAGGAAGCUCACGGUCAGAGAGCUCUCUUGCUCUCAUGGCGCGCCCGCGUCACGUUCACGGGAAAGGUAAGGAUUCAAAAAAAAAAUUUUUUUUUUUCUUUUAGCCGUAGCUAUUUCUUUUCUUUAAAAAAAAAGGGAAAAAAAAAGAAUUUCACCGUAGCUUUGGUUUCCAAAUUUCAGAGAAAAAAAAAAGAAUUUCACCGUAGCUAUUGGUUCCCAAAUUUCAGAAAAAAAAAAGAGAGAAAAAAAUUCCUUUCUUUUUCUUUCUUCUUUCUUUCUUUUCUUUCUUUCUUUCUUUUCUUUCUUUCUUCUUUCUCUUUUCCUUCUCCCCUGCGCCCUCUCUGUUAUCCGAAAUCUCCUUAGCCGCAACAGCACUCCACUGCCUUCCUUCUCCACGAUCGGGCGUCUGCCACCAGAUCUGCCCCACGGCUGAAGCUCCCUCGCCCAUCGUGCAACCACUCCAACUCGUCCGCCACCCCCACCCGAGCUCUGCCUCACGGGCAACCCAGCGGCUCCGCGCACGAAGCUCCACCGCCGUCGCUGCUGAAGUUCCCUCCGCUAUCUGUGCCGCGCUCCACUAGCUGUCACCAGCCCGCGCGCAGCCUCCCCACGCAGCUCUAUCCUCGCACAACCGCCGCCCAUCUCAUCCGCGACCUCCGUCAUCCACCUCUCUCGCGCGAGCCUCUCUUCCUUUUGCCCCUUUCCACCUCUGCUUCACCUCCGCCGGGCGCCACCCUCUGCCUCGAUCUCACAGCUGCCAGUCGCCGUCCUGCUCUGCGCCACAGGCGCGGGCUCGGCCCACUUCCGCAGGCGACAGAGAACCCCAUUUCUCCAUAGUUGCGCGCGGUCCCCUGCCGUUCUCUUUCCGUGGCCGCCAUUCGAGUCCACCCGACGCCACGACCAACUCACCCCCUACUCCCUCGCGUCUCCCUCUUUCUCACACAGUGGAGGUCUAGGGCCCCUUGCUCUCAACCCCCUCCACAAGCAUCUAUUCCUGUGAAUACACCUACCAACCUACAUUCCUCUUCUGGUGCUCGAACCCGUUUGGGUAGGGGUAGGGGUGCUCAGGUGGAUACCCCAGCUCACUUCGGAGGGCACCUCACAUUCACUAGACCCGCCGAUCAGCAGAGAUAUGCUAAGGUCUGUGAGCGGCGUAUUACACCUUGCAAAACUUGGGAAAAAUUAACCGUCGUGGGCCUAGGCAUACGAGAGGAGGUCGAGUAGAUGUUUACAACCAUCGGGUGGCGCCCAUAUCUCGAUAUCUUAUGCCCCGCCUUUGUCGAGCUGACUCGGGAGUUUUAUUCUACCUUUGAGUUUGAGUUGCCCACGAGGUUCACCGUUGAGACGCCCAAUGUCAUCCGCUUUCGUCUGAUGGGUCGGAAAUUUAAUUUUUCAAUUACCCAAUUUAAUCUGGCAUUUGGGUUCAUUACUCGGGAGUAUGCUGAGACUAGAGAGUAUGGUGAGAGUGCCUGUGAUUACGUAGAGCCUUUUCUCUCCCGCUACCGCACUAUAUGGGAAGAAAUGUCCACCGAUCGGCACCGCUACGACCCUUUUAGGUCUAGGAGCUCCUUUCUUAGGGAUCCUAGCGCCCGAUACGUCCAGCGAUUCUUAGCCUAUAGUUAUUCCGGUCGCAAGGACAGCUCCGGGAUUCUCUCUCGACCCGAGUUUUUCUUCAUCUGGAGUAUGCAGAAUAACAUCAAGGUCAACUUGGGGUGUUGGUUGGCGGCGCAGUUCCAGACCGUCUUAACCAAAAAGAACAAGCCCCUGAUCCUUGGGUCCUAUAUCACCCACUUGGCAACACAGUUGGGGGUUCUUAACCUGGAGGACCACGACUUACAUUUGGCGUGCGAGAUGGAGCUCUUGGACGUAGAUUGCUUGGAGAAGAUGAGAGUCGUCGAGCGCCUGCCUGAUGGUUCCUACCAGUUCACCUCUCCGGGACCACCUAGAGCUCCGGGUGCGCACCAUUCGUCUCGAGCAGGGCCCUCCUUAUUUCCUGGGUUAGCCGAGGACACGGCUGGGCCAUCUUCUUCUGCGCCACCUCCACCACAUGGGACGACUGAGUGGCAGCAACUCCGGGAGCAGGUUCAGACUUUGGAGGCUCGGAUGGUCAACGUGGACGCCAAUGUCGCCGGCAUAGCACAGAAUUUGGCGCAGUUUCUGCUUCAUACAGGCUUUGCACCUCCGUUUCCACCUCGCCCCCACUAUGACCCGGUUUCAGGGAAGUUUCGUUGCCUUCUCCCUCACUUUUGCUGCUUUUUUGACACAUUUAGGACACUGUGUCCUAUAGGUGUGGGGGGGGUCUAGAGUCUUUUUAGUUUUUAAUAGUUUUUAGUUUCUGUGUUUUUAGCUUUUAAUAGUUUUUAGUUUUUAGUAGUUUUUAGUUUUAAUAGUUUCUAGUUCUACUUCUAGUUGCUUAUUUUCUUCCUUUCUGCUUGGGUGCUCAUCUCUCAUGCGGAUGAAAAAAAAAUGAUGUUGGUUUAUUGACUCUGAUUCUACUUUUGCCAAGUUUUUCUUUUUAAAUAAACAUGUAUCGGGCUAAUGUGGUGGGGUCCAAGAUAUCUCCUUGGUGAAUAUCGGAUUGCUUGACUCUUUUGAUUUCUUGGUUAACUUUUCUAGGCAUUGGGAAUGACUGUUGGCAUUUUAAUGUGAACUGGUCCAAUAUUGACUCCAGUUCUCCAUGUUUGGCAAUAAUGAGGCGAGCUGCUCCUAUGCUUAGUUGCUAGUGUUGGUAUUUCGCGUUUUUGCAUUGUUUGGCUGUGAAUAAGCUUGACUGUACUCCGCUAUUAAGUUACUACUGAAUAACCGGGAAUCUGCAUCUAAAAGUGUCGAUUCUCGCGUCAAAAGGUGGUGCUUUCUAUGAGUACGUGGUCAUAUAGCGGUAGGAGCUGAGUAACCGGGCUCCUUCAUCUAAAAAUGUUGGAGUUCGCGUCAAAAGGCCCCGACGGCUAAAGACUAAGUCUUUUUGUGUUAAUUAUUAUUGCUAUUAAAAAAUAAAAAAAAUAAUAAAAAAAACACAGAAAACGGAAAAAAAAGGAAAGAAAAAAAAAGGGGGGGAGAAUAAAUAAUAGGAAAGCUUGCCGGUUUAUGGACUUAUUAUGGAGACUCGUGUGAAUAUUUGGACCAUUAGCUGAUAAAUGUGGUGUGCCAUUCCUUUUUUCUUAGAUUAGCUAAUCUAGAAAUUGAAGAAAUUUAUGGUUUAGAGGCUAACCGGGGGGAUGCUUCUCGGAUUUUAAUCACUAGUGCUCGAUAUAUGAUUCUUCCUGAUAUCUUGGCAAUUUGGUGGAUAGAGCAAUGGCCAUUAUCAAAUUUUGGGGUCUGUGCACUAUUCUUAUGCUUGAGGACAAGCACGGUUUAGGUGUGGGGGGAAUUGAUAGGUUGCAAUUUAUCUAUUUAUUUUAUUAUUAAUUUUCCCUGUUACCUGACCCGAUGUGAAUUAAUUAUUAUAUUCUACUCAUUUUUCAUAAUUUGCAUUUAUUUCAGGGAGUAGAACGAAAAUAUAACAACAGGUGCCAAUUUGACAGAAAAGGAAUCCAGAUGAUAGAGCUUGUCCCAGGGGCAUUUUUGGAAAAGAAAAUGUCACGCCCACUUUGGUAAUUUCCGCAAAGAAAUGAUGGACGAAGGGCUUCUUCCUCCUGGUGAGCCUCCGCAAUAAAGGAGGGAAAACAGGAUCAGAUGGGGGCGAGCUUAGUUUUAGUUUUCCGUCUGUAGCUUAGCUUGAGAUUGUUGACUUUUCCCUAAAAUUGCUUUUUGCUUGUCAUACGCAUGGCAGGCAUUAGAAAUUGGUAGCUUUUGACUUUUCUUCAUGUUAAAUGCUUAGAGUUUUUCUAUCUUUCCUCAUAUGCCAUCCGUAGUGAGGCAGAGGAUCAUUUCGUGUAACUUUGCUAUCUCCUCCUGGUUGGAACGGAUUGAGUUCUCAAAAAUCAAUGACAAUGGCCGCAGCUUUAUCUUCAAUUUCUUGGGGGUUUAGUUCAUCAAUUAUGAACUAAUUUUCCAACUCUAGUCAAGGAGCAACGAAGGCUCUGGGUCGCCUAAAAAUUGUGAGAUCGAUAUAAUUUAAUCUUUUCCUUUUAUUUAUUGGUAUUCGCAUAUUCCUUGAUUGCUAUGCUUAUGGUUAUUCAAUUAAUUGAUUGUCUUGGAUCCGGAUAAUUAAUUGAUUUGGUAACCUAUUGUCAAUUGGGGCAUUGAAUCCGUAAUUGUUUAAUUGUCCUGAAAUAGUGACAACUGGCACGAUUAGAUUCGUGUCAGGGGGAUACGCGAGCUAAUCUAAAAUAACCCUGGUAGUGUGUUAUUUGGUUAGAAUAGGGCUCCUCUAAUACGUAAGGCAAUUGGGGAAUUAAAAUUCUACGGGCGUACCUAGGAUUAUUUCUCAAUUAGAGCAGUGAUUAACGGGCGUACCUUAAUCACCGAUACAAUAAGGAGGGGUUGACUGCCAUCGCUUGUUUGGUAGUUAUAACCUAUUUAUUGAUAAAUAAUUGGGUUUGCCUUUGCUUCGAUGAUCAAUUUGGUGAACCAUUGCUGAAGUUACUUCUUGGCUAGAUCUUUAAUUAAUAUUAUCUUGAUUUUAGUGAAUUGCCAUUCGGUUUUUGGUUGUCUACUUUAUUUCAUUUCUAAUUGUUUCCUUGUUUUAAUUGAUUUAGGCCUUUAAUUAUUGCUAUUCUAAAUUCAGUGAAUUGUGGUUUAAUUUCUAGUUAGUUAUUCAUUUUUAUUUUCUUAUUUGAGUUUAUUUAAUUGUCGUCGUUCUUACAAAAUCACCCCCUGUGUUACUUUGAAUUUCUUAAGAAACAAAUAUACCCAUUCCCUGUGGAUACGACCCUACUUGCCCUGUCUACAAAUUCAUAAUUAUUUGUGAAAAGAAAUAACCAUUCCAUUCGGGUAUAUCGGAUCAAGCAAACUCUUCGGGAACAGGGUGAAUCAAGUAACCCAUUGCACACCUAGAGUCCCUGCUCCAGUACUUAGAAUUGGGUUUUGGUCAUUUCGACUGGCAAAUAGGUUUAAUUUUAUUAUUGCACAGGUUUCGACACCCUGUCAAAAAUAAUUAGAAGCCUACUAGAUUUUUGUGUUGACUAUAUUUUUUUUUUCCAAACAAUAACUUUAGUGAGACAAAAGGCGACUAUUCAUUUAAUAUAUGUCUCUAGCUAAGAAGCAAAAUCCAACAGAGCUAGUGCGGAAGCAACAGAAUAAGGUGUCCGUUUUAAGCCUAAAUCCCAAGGAUCAGUAAUUAAGACCAAAUUAUGUUCCAAGUUCAUCUUUCAAGGAUUAACGAAUGAAAUAUAUGUUAAACAAACAGCAAAUGUAAUUGUUAGCCCUCAAUGGAAUAAAGAUGAAGGCCCUAACAAGAAAGUUAAAAGGAAAAUGCCAAGCCAGGAAUCUACAUUUCAAAGCAUCCAAGUUACCCAUGAAAUUUAAAGUGAAGAUGCCAAGCAAGGAAUUUAUAUUUCCAUUGCAAAGGAAGGCAUCCAAGUUAAGAAUAACUCUGCACUUUUAAGCGACCAAAUAUCAAUGCUCUUCUCUCUUUAACCACUUGUAAGAUUACCAAUUUUUGGCUGCUAAAACCUCCCAUUUAAAAAAUCCAUCUUGAUCUCGAGACCUAAUUCAAGUUAUUUUUAAAAAAAUGGCUGACGCUCUUAUCAGCUCCACAAUUCAGGUUGCCUUAGAAAGGGCACUGUCUCUUGCCUCUGAUAGGAUUGGUAUGUUAGUUGAGUUCAAGAAGGACGUGGCCAGCAUGACACGUUCUCUCCGCCUCAUCAAUGUUGUCUUGGCUGAUGCUGAAACAAAGCAAAACCAGGACGCAGCAGUACAAGAAUGGUUGAAGAGUCUCAAGGAGGUAGCUUAUGAGGCUAUCAAUUUGUUGGAUGAGCUCCACUAUGAAUCUCUUCGUCACCAGGUGGAGUCCCGGAACUGACACAAGCUAAAGGUAUGCUGCUUCUUCUCCUUCUCUAACAUUAAUCUUGCUUUUCGUUGGAGAAUGGCUUCUAAGAUCAGGGACAUCAAACUUAUGUUGAAUGAGAUAAAUCAAGAAGCCAAUGGAUUGGGACUGGUUAGUAGGUUAGUGAUGGCAGCUGCCCUCCCUGCUGCUGUCGGAGACACAAGAAGUCGGCAGACCGACUCUGUUGUUGCUCCAAUGAUUGAAAGAGACAAUGACAAAUCAAAGAUAGUGGAGAUGUUGUUGAGCCCAUCUAAGAAGGUUGUUUCUAUUCUUCCCAUAACUGGUAUGGGAGGUUUAGGCAAAACAACUUUGGCUAAAUCGAUAUACAACGACAAGCAAAUUAAUGCGCACUUUAAGAAAAAGAUUUGGGUUUGUGUAUUGAAAAAAGUUCCAAUAGAGGAGCUUUUCAAACUCAUAUUAGUGCAAUUGAUGAAAGAAAAAGUUGAAGUAGAUGAUAGGAAUGUCAUUGUUGGAAAAAUUCAGAAUCAACUUGAGGAAAAAAGAUAUUUCCUUGUUCUUGAUGAUGUGUAGGAUGAUAGUCAGGCAUUGUGGGAUGACCUUUUCACCACCUUGAAGGGGCUCAAUCCAACCGAUGGAAGCUGGUGUCUUGUCACUACGCGUCUUAAUCAAGUGGCAGAUACUGUGUCGAAAGUUCUGAGGAUGGAUGAUGAAUGCUAUUCCUUAGGAAAACUACCUGAUGAUCAUUGUUGGUCUAUCCUAAAAGAAAAAGUAGUUGUAGGGGAAGAAGAUCCUGAUGAACUAAAAGCAAUUAAAGAGAGAGUAAUUAAAAGAUGUGAUGGUCUACCACUAGCUGCAAGUAUAAUCGGAGGUCUGUUUUGUUUAAAGGGAAAAGAGGAAUGGCAACCAAUUCUAGAGAAUAAGCUUUUGAGUUUGAGUGCAGAUGGAGAGUGUGUGAUGCAAAUACUUAAGUUGAGUUUUGAUUAUUUACCAUCUCCAUACAUUAAGAAAUGUUUUGCAUAUUGUUCUAUAUUUUCUAAGGAUAGUGAGAUAGAAAGGAAUAUGCUUAUCGAACUUUGGAUGGCAGAAGGUUUCCUCCAAGCAGAUAUCAAUAGCCAAAUGAUGAUGGAGGAAUUGGAAUGAAUUAUCUAGCAAUAUUAUUGCAGAGUUCAUUGUUUGAAGAAAUAAGAUAUGGUUGGAAAACAUGUUACAAGAUGCAUGAUUUGGUGCACAACCUUGCUGAGUCAAUGUCAAAGUCUACCAAAGUCAUUAAUGAUUCGAAUACACAUGUGGUAGACAAUGGUAAUCAGAUUCAUUACCUUGCAACAAACUCAUUUGGUGGUGGAGAAGACAGAGAAAAACUUUUGGAGAGUGUAUCAACUUCGCUUCAUACAUUGUUUGUAAAGGGUGACUUUUCUGGUAAUAUAUUAAUGAAGUUGAAGAACUUGUAUUCUUUGAAUUUGUCUGAUUCAAGAACUCGAGAGCUACCAAUCUCAAUUGGCAAACUGAUACAUUUGCGGUAUGUUAACCUUUGGCGGUCUGCAAUCAGGAUUUUGCCAGACUCCCUUUGCAAGCUUUAUAAUCUGCAGACAUUGACGCUAAGUGACCCAAAUGUUAAAGAUCUUCCAAAGGGGAUGUGCAAUUUGAUUAGUUUGAGACAUCUCCACUAUUACACAAGUGAUGAAAACUUUCAAAUGCCGCUAGAGAUGGGACGAUUGUCUUGCCUUCAGACACUAGAGUUCUUUAAUGUGGGUCGAGAGAAAGGUAGACAAUUGGAGAGCUUGGAUGCUUGAAAAACCUCAAAGGCAAAUUGGAGAUACACAAUCUUCAAGGAUAGGAAAGGAUCUGAGGAAGCAAAUCUUGGUGAAAAGGCAAAUAUACUUACGUUGCAACUUGAGUGGCCAUGCAUUUGGAGUCGAGAAGGCAACAACUACAACUACGACAAAGAUGUGUUAGAUGGCCUUCGGCCUCACCCAAAUUUGAAGGAGUUGGUAAUUCUGUGUUUUAUGGGUGAUCAAUUUCCUCGAUGGUUAAUGGAUUUGCCAACAACACUCCCCAAUUUAGUGAGUUUGAAAUUUUAUUGGUGCGACAGAUGUAGGGAACUCCUUCCCCUGCAAAACUUUAUGUCUCUUAAAAAGCUGGUGAUUUGGGGUUGCUGUGGGUUGACGAAUCUGCCCAGUAACAUGCUACAGUCUUGUCCCUCCCUCGAGAAGCUUCGAGUGAAUGCUUGCUAUAGUCUUAUUUCCUUUCCACUUGAUUUGCAACAAACGCCUUCUCUCUUGGAUCUGAGGUUAUCCUGCUGUCCCAAACUCAAAACAAGUAUGACGCCCAAAGGAUUUCAUUUCCUAACCAGCUUCAGGAAGCUUAAAAUUGGUCCCUUUUCAGAUGAUGAUGAUGAUGAUGAUCAUGAAAAUUCUUCAAUUUACAAUGAAUUUGAUUGGUCUGGUUUGAUAUCCUACAGUUCUUCGUCAUCUGGACUCCGUCGAUUAGACUUAUUUGGGUUGCCACACAUGGAGUCCAUGCCACAUCAGCUCCAAGACUUGACCACUCUAACAUCACUAUCGCUGGGUCAGUUUGGAGGUAUAAAAGCUCUACCAGAUUGGUUCGGAAACUUUGCUGCUCUUGAAGAACUGCAUUUAUUUGACUUUAAAGAGUUUCGACAUUUACCCUAUGGGGAUGCCAUGAGAAGUCUCACCAAACUAAAAGAUCUGAGCAUUUAUGGUUCUCCUCUGUUAAAAGAAAGAUGCACUCCUGAGAGCAGCGGCCCCGACUCCCAGUGGUCCAAAGUUUCUCAUAUUCAACACCUACACAUAAGUGGGUCAAGAGUUUUUCUUUAGAUCAAAUUCAAUCAUGUAAGAUUGCCUCCUACCUACUUUCUUAAUUCGUCUUAUAAUCAAUCUCUUUGUUGUUUUAAGAUUUGCCUUCUCUUCACCUCCUACUCUGAUUAACCUUCUCAUCAGAAAAACUAAAAAGUUCCCCAUGGUUAUUCUUCAGAAUUUUCUCUUCUUCCUUUUUCUUGUCCUGUUUGUUAUCUUUCAAAGCUACGACAAUAGCAUAUCUUAUUAGGUCCAACAUAUUGGUGCUUUUCAUUUACUCCUAACAGCAUAAUACUCUUGUAACCAUCAAUUAGCAUGAAACCAAGCACCUAUCCUGUUCCGUGCUUUGAUGUAUUAUUAUAACUCUAUUAAUAUUCUAUUCCACACUUUGUUUUUGUAGGAUUGACAAAACAAUAGCUUCACGAAAUUAUCUGAAUUGUCUUGUUAGAUCUCUUGUUGACUACAUAAUGUCUGAGCUCGAAUUUUUUGUUUUGCAGUGAUCUUAGGCUCAAGGUUUAACUGGAAAUCUGCGCUGGCUAUUAAUUGCUCAUCAAAUUGCAAAGCUAGUAUCUUGGACAGAAAUGUUUAUGAUGGCACUUAUUUCUUUCGUAUUACAGUCUUAAAUAGCCAACACUUGAUAUAUAUCCUUAUCAUUUGAGCUUACACACUGUCAAUCUGCCGUUUCAGUCACGAGGUCUAGCAGUAAGAAUUUACCUACUAUGUUACUACAAAUUAUCUCUUUUCUUCUUGGCUUCUUGUCCUUGAAACUAGAUGUUACAUAAUUGAAAAAAUUUUUUAGUCUGUAUUUUUGAUUGCUCAAGACUAUCAACUGGCCUGUACGAGCUGCUUGGAAAAAUUUCAUGCCCCAACUUAUCGAAAGUUUGUGAAAAGCCAUCAUUACCAAGACUUUCUGAUGAUCCUUAUUGACAGUUUGAGGAUCAUUACUACAGAAACAGAUUGACCAUUAAAGAUUUUCUAACUUUUGAGAAUUAUCCAAAGGUUAGCAUGUCUAAGCCUUAUAGGAUACAAUUUUCUCAUUUAUUUUAUUAUUAAUUUCCCCUAUUACCUGACCUGAUGUGGAUUUAUUGCUGGAUUCUACUCACUUUUAGUAUUUUACAUUUAUUUCAGGGAAUAGAAUGAAAAUAUAAUAACAGGUACCAAUUUGACAAAAAAGGAGUCCAGACGAUAGAGCUUGUCUCAAGGGCAUUUUUGAAAAAAAAGAUAUCACGUCCGUUUCGGUAAUUUGCAGCAAAGGAAUGACAGACGAAGGGCUUCUUCUUCCUGGGGUGGAGCCGCCGCACAAAAAAAAAAAAAAGAAAGAAAGGAGGCAGGAGAUAAAAACGAGAGAAUAGCAGAGGACUAGGGGAAUCUUGAUUUCUUCUUAGUUUCUCGUCUUUAGCUUAGCAUGAAUUUCUAUUGACUUUUCCCUUGGACUUACUUUUUGGCUUUGGGGACUUACGAAUGUGAGGACCCCUAAGCCAUUCUUGGCUUUUGACUUUACUUCAUUUUUGAACUUUCAGUAUUUACGUUCCUUUCUUCGUAUGUCAUUCGAAGUGAAACAAAGGGUUACCUCUUGUAACUUUGCUAUCUUUUCAUGAUUGGAGCGAAUUGCAUUUCCCAAUUUUUGUGACAAUGGCCGCAACUCUUGUUUCAACUUCCUGUGGACUUAGUUCAUCAAACAUGAACUAAUUUCACCACUCUAGUCAAGGAGCAACGGAGGCUCUGAUUCACCUAAAAAUUGUGAGAUCGAUUUAAUUUAAUAUUUUUCUUUUAUUUAUUGGUAUUCGCAUAUUCCUUGAUUGCUAUACUUAGGGUUAUUUAAUUAAUUGAUUGUCUUGGAUACGGAUAAUUAAUUGAUUUGGUAACCUAUUGUCAAUUAGGGCAUUAAAUCCGUAAUUGUUUAAUUGUCCUGAAAUAGUGACAACUGGCACGAUUAGAUUCGUGUCAGGGGGAUACGCGAGCUAAUUUGAGAUAACCCUGGUAGUGCGUUAUUUGGUUAGAAUAGGGCUCCUCUAAUACGUAAGGCAAUUGGAGAAUUAAAUCUUACGGGCGUACUUAGGAUUACUUCCUAAUUAGAGCAGUGAUUAACGGGCCAACCUUAAUCACCGACAUAAUAAGGAGGGGUUGAUUGCCAUCGCUUGUUUGGUAGUUAUAACCUAUUUAUUGAUAGAUAAUUGGAAUUGCCAUUGCAUUGAUGAUCAAUUAGGUGAACCAUUGCUGAAGUUAUUUCUUGCAGACCGUUAAUUAAUAUUACCUUGAUUUUAGUGAAUUGUCGUUUGAUUUUUAGUUGCCUAUUUUAUUUUAUUUUUAAUUGUCUUCUUGUUCUAGUUGUUUUGGAUCGUUAAUUAUUGUUACAUUAAGUUUAGUGAAUUGCCAUUUAAUUUCUAGUUAGUUAUUUAUUUUUAUUUUCUUAUUUGAAUUUCUUUGAUUGUCAUCGUUUCUACAAAAACACCCCCCUUUGUUACUUUGGAUUUCUUAAGAGACAAAUAUCCCCAAUCCCUGAGGAUAUGACCCUACUUGCCCUGUCUACAAAUUUGUAAUUAUUUGUGAAAAAAUCAUCUCAUUCGGGUAUAUCGGAUCAAGCAAACUCUUUGAAAACAGGGUGAAUCAAGUAACCCAUUGCACACCUAGAGUCCCUGCUCCAGUAUUUGAAAUUGGAUUUUGGUUAUUUUCACUGGUAAUUAGGUUUAAUUUUAUUAUUGUACAGGCUUUGACAACCUGUCAAUUUUUGGCGCCGUUGCCGGGGAUUAGCAUUAUUAUUUGUUUCUUUUUAAAUUCAUUUUUUAUCUAAUUUUCUGGUGCUUUUCAAGUGUAUGCCUCGUUCUUCUCAUAUAUGUGAAUUAAUUUUCGAUCCCGAGGAAGAGAAGACUGCGCGUAGGACAAGAAAAGAGACCAGACAGCUCAGAGAGGAGCACUCCAGUGCUGCAUCUCAGAGACCUGAGUCAGAAGUUGAACCAACAGAUUCGUUUGGUGACACUUCGAGUGACUCUGACCAGGAGGAAGGCACCAUGGCUAAUACACAAAUAUUAAGGGAGUUGGCUGCACCUGAUUUAAAUCAGCAGCCCUUAUGCAUUACUUUCCCCACUUUAAAUGAUAACACUCCAUUUGAGUUAAAAUCUGGUCUAAUUUACCUUCUACCAUUUUUUCAUGGUUUACCAGAUGAGGAGCUUUAUAAGCAUUUGCAAGAGUUUGAUGUCUUGUGCAAUAGUAUGAAACCCUCGGGAAUCAUAGAAGAGCAGAUAAAAAUGAGGGCAUUCCUCUUUUCCUUGAAAGAUUCUGCAAAGGACUGACUGUACUACCUACCACCAGGUAGCAUCACCACGUGGGACCAGUUAAAGAAAAAAUUCUUAGAUAAGUAUUUUCCCGCGUUUCGAGUUGCAAGUCUAAGAAAGGAGAUUUGUGGGAUCAAACAGCACCCAGGGGAGUCACUCUAUGAGUAUUGGGAGCGAUUCAAGCAGUUGUACAUCAAGUGCUCCCAGCACCAGAUAAGUGAGCAGUUGCUCAUACAGUAUUUUUAUGAGGGGCUCCUUUUUAAAGACAGGAGCAUAAUUGAUUCUGUAAGUGGAGGGGCAUUGGUGAACAAAACCCCUUGGGAAGCAUGAGAGUUAAUUGAGGGAAUGACAGAGAAUUUACAGCAAUUUGGUAUGAGAAAGGAUGUCCCAAUACGCAAGGUGAAUGAAGUAGAGACAUCCUCUAUCUAGCAGCAGCUAACUGAGUUGACUUCUUUUGUUAGGCAACUGGCUGUAGGAAAUGCAUCUCAGGCCAAGGUGUGUGGGAUUUGCACUGUUAUGGGUCAUUCUACAGACAUUUGUCCAGUAAUGCAAGAGGAAGGUGCGGAGCAAGUGAACAUGGCAGGUCACGCGCCCACGCCAAGAAGGCCCUAUGACCCCUAUUCAAAUACCUACAACCCUGGUUGGAGGGACCACCCUAACCUCAACUAUGGAGGGAACAGGCAGACUAAUUUCGUGCCAAAUAAGCAACCAAGAUACCAGCAGCAGUACCAACCCGUACCACCUCCGCCCCCGAGCUCUGGUCCAUCUUUGGAGGAGAUGAUGAAGCAACUACUUGCUAAUCAACAAAAGGUGGACUCUGAAAGGCAGGAUAUAAGAAAUCAGAUGAAUCAAAUUGCCAAAACAAUCAACCGCUUGGAGUCCUAAGUGCAAGGUAAAUUGCCGUCUCAGCCUAAAUUGAACCCGAAGAAUGUAAGCGCGAUGACCCUAAGGAGCGGGAAGAAAAUUUUGGGGCCUGAGCUGGUAAUCCCUAAGGACAAAGAUGAGAAAAAGAUAUGAAAUGAGUUUGAGAGGGAGGACAGCAAUGGUGCAGAUCCAAAGGUACUUUCAGAUCCAGCACUUACAGUUAAAACUAACCCGCCUUCUUUCCCUAGCAGGUUGGAAAAAUUGAAGAAACAGGAUAAGGAGAAGGAGAUCUUGGAGGUGUUUCGCAAGGUAGAGAUUAAUAUCCCCCUCUUAGACGCAAUUAAAUAAGUUCCAAAAUAUGUCAAGUUCCUAAGGGACUUGUGUGUCAACCGAACGCGGUUGAGAGGAGAUGAAAAGGUUAUUGUUGGGGAGAAUGUGUCAGCGGUCCUGCAGAGAAAGUUUCCACCAAAGUGCGGGGACCCAAGUAUGUUUACUAUUCCCUGUAGGAUAGGCAACACUGUGAUUAGAAGGGCCAUGUUGGACCUGGGAGCAUCAAUUAAUGUCAUGCCUAAAUCUAUAUAUGCUUCUCAAAAACUACGUCCAUUAAAAGAAACUGGGAUAAUCAUUCAACUAGCUGACCGAACUAAUGCACAUCUUGAUGGGUUGGUUGAAGAUGUGUUGGUAAAAGUUAAUGAUUUGGUGUUUUCAGCUAAUUUUUAUGUACUUGAUAUGGAUGAUGAUCACUCACCCGAUCCCUCACCUUUAUUAUUAGGUAGACCCUUUAUGAGCACAACACAGACUAAAAUUGAUGUUAACAAUGGUACCUUGUCUAUGGAGUUUGAUGGAGAAAUUGUUCAUUUUAAUAUUUUUGAUACCAUAAAAUACCCCUCAAACUCCAAUUUUAUCUCUGUUUUCUCUGUGAGUACUAUUGACCCUGCGAUGCAGAAAGUGUUUGAAACUGUUGGCAGGGAUGAGUUGGAGGUGGCUCUGAUCAAACACCUCGAGUUGGAGAUGAUGACUGAGGUAGAGUGGAGCAAGGAUCUAAAAUACACAAUAGACGCAUUACACUCAUUGCCGACCACCACAAAAAAGUAUGAAAUCUUGCCUAUUUUUAUUUCCGAAUCUCACCAGAGGGUAUUGUCAUCUGUGGUGCAGGCACCUGUAUUGGAAUUGAAACCCCUGCCGGUGCAUUUGAAAUAUGUGUAUUUGGGUGACAAUGAAACACUUUCGGUAAUUAUCUCAGCUGUACUCUCGAAAACUCAGGAGGAAAAGUUGAUCCGAGUCCUUAGAAAGUAUAAAGAGGUGAUAGGUUGGACCAUCGCAGCCAUCAAGGGGAUCAGCCCCUCCAUCUGUAUGCACCGGAUUAGGUUGGAAGAGGAUGCCAAACCCGUACGGCAGACUUAAAGGAGGCUCAACCCCCUUAUGAUAGAAGUGAUAAAGAAAGAAAUUUUAAAAUUGCUAAAUGUGGGGAUCAUUUUUGCAAUAUCAGAUAACCCCUGGAUGAGUCCGAUCCAGGUAGUUCCAAAGAAGGCAGGAGUGACAGUGGAAGCCAACCAAACUGGUGAACUUAUGCCAGUACACAAACCCACUGGAUGGAGGCAACGUAUCGAUUACCAUAGGCUGAACGCCGUUACCAAAAAGGACCAUUUUCCUCUCCCUUUCAUUGACCAAAUAGUUGAACGUUUAGCUUGUAGGGCUUACUGUUGCUUUUUGGAUGGAUUUUCAGGAUAUUUUCAGAUAGCAAUUGCACCAGAGGAUCAAGAGAAAAUGACCUUCACGUGCCCGUUCGGGACCUUCGCGUACAGACGGAUGUCAUUCGGGUUGUGCAAUACGCCGACAACAUUCCAGAGGUGUAUGGUAAGCAUUUUCUCUAAAUAUGUAGAGAAAAUAAUUGAGGUUUUCAUGGACAAUUUCAGUGUGUAUGGUGAUAGUUUUGAUACAUGUCUAGAUACCUGAGAUUGAUCUUGUUAAGGUGUAUAGAGACUAAUCUCGUGCUUAAUUGAGAAAAAUGUCAUUUUAUGGUUGAACAUGGGAUAGUUUUGGGUCAUAUUAUAUCUUCUAAAGGUAUCGAGGUCGACAAGGCUAAAAUAGACAUUAUAUCUGCCUCCACAGCGCCGCACAGUCACAUGGCCGCGACCCUCCAGAUCCUGCCGCCACCAACUCAUCUCCAGCUCAUCCGCCGCCAGCAGCCCACGGCCGACGCCCGCCUCUGCUGCCCACGUCGACGCAGGACCAGCUAGACCGCUGCCCACCUCGCGUUCUCCCUCCGCUCCGCAAUGCCGAAGACCACCGAGAGAACAAGUCGCCGUCGCUGUUCAUGCCACGGCCACACGCCAGCCGCAUGUCUUUCCCUUGGUGUUGCGCUCUCCCUCUUUCAUAACAGAUGAAGGUAUUCACCCCUCGAACACUUAUACCCAAUUGUUUACAGCAAUAACUUUUGGACUUAAUUACUGGGCUGAAUUGGAAACUCCCUGGUUGCGUUAUCUGCUUAAAUUGAUUGACAUUGUUUGGAGGAGUUCCCUGCUAUUGUGGUUGUUGUUAAUUACCCAAUUGAGAAACCAUAGGGCUUAUUGGGUUGAGUGCAACAUUUUUAGUUGUAUUCGUUGCUUUAAAGUGCGUUGCCAGUGGAUUUCAAUUGCUCAAUUCCUUGGGUCUAUCAGUCCUGCUGUUGGUUGUUGAAUUGGGAAGGCUUUGUCUGUGUUUUUACUCUUCUCCGUUGUGUGAAUUGUUGCCCUCAUUGACUGUCUGUGGGGCAUUGGGCAUUUUUAUUUGCUGGAAUUCUUCUGUUUGUUAUUGAUUGGGUUACUACUAGGAGAUUAUUGCAUUUGCUGGUUCCUAUACCUGUUGGAGCUUCUGUUGCUUUGAGCUAACUGUUGGGGGACAUGGUGAGACCAAAAUCAUCCUCUAGGUCUAAGGCCUCUCAGUCUCAACCCCCUCCACAGGUCUCCAUUCCUGUGAACACACCUACCAACUUACUCUCCUCUUCUAGUGUCCGAACCCGCUUGGGUAGGGGUAGGGGUGCUCAGGUAGAUACCCCAGCUCACUUUGGGGGGCAGUUGACCUUCACUAGACCCGCCGAUCAGUAGAGAUACACUAAGGUCUGUGAGAGGCGUAUCAUAUCCUGUAAAUCUUGUGAUAGACUCUCUCUGACUGCCCUCGGUAUACGGGAGAAGGUUGAUCAAAUGUUCACCGCCAUUGGGUGGUGCCCGUAUUUUGAUAUUUCUUGCCCCACCUUUGUUGAGCUUAUUCGAGAGUUUUAUUCCACCUUUGAGUUCGAGUUGCCUACGAGGUACACCGUUGAAACACCGAAUGUCAUUCAUUUCCGUCUAAUGGGUCGGGAGUUCAAUUUCUCCAUUACCCAGUUCAAUCUGGCAUUUGGAUUUAUUACUAGAGAGUAUGCUGAGACUAGGGAGUAUGCGGAGAGUGCCUGUGAUUAUAUAGAGCCAUUUCUCUCCCGCUACCAUGAUGUGUGGGAGGACAUGUCCGUCAAUCGGCACCGCUACCAUCCUUCUAGGUCUAGGAGCUCUUUUCUUAAGGAUCCUAGUGCCCGAUAUGUUCAGCGAUUCUUAGCCUACAGUUACUCGGGGGGCAAGGACAGCUCCGGUAUACUCUCUCGACCUGAGUUUUUCUUCAUCUGAAGUAUGAAAAACAAUAUCAAGGUCAAUUUGGGGUGUUGGUUGGCUGCACAGUUCAAGACUGUUUUGACCAAAAAAAACAAACCUCUGAUCCUUGGGUCCUAUAUCACCCACUUGGUGACCCAGUUAGGAGUUCUUAAUCUGGAUGACCACGACCUCUAUUUGGCAUUCGAGAUGGAGCACCUGGACGUGGACUGCUUAGAGAAGAUAGGAGUCGUCGAGCGCCUGCCCAAUGGUUUCUACUAGUUUAUCCCUCCAGGACCAGUUCGAGCUCCAGGUGCGCACCCUUCGACCCGAGCAGGGCUCUCUUCAUUUCCUGGGUCGGCCGAGGACACUACUGGGCCAUCCUCUUCUGCGCCACCUCCACCACCUAGAACUACUGAAUGGCAGCAACUCCGGGAGCAGGUUCAGACUUUGGAGGCUCGGAUGGUCAACAUCGACGUCAAUGUAGUUGGCAUGGCGUAGAAUUUGGCGCAGUUUCUACUUCAUAAGGGCUUCCUCCUCUAUUUCCACCUCGCCCACCACUUUGACCUGGCUUCAGGGAAGUUUGGUCGCCCUCUCUCCCCUUUUGAUGUUUAUUUGUCACAUUGAGGACAAUGUGUCCUAUAGGUGUGGGGGGUCUAAUGGGGUGCUAGUAUUUUUUUUAGUUUUAGUAGUUUUUAGUUUUUAGUUUUAUUUCUAGUUCAUUAUUUGUCUAUCUGUCGCUCAUUUUCUUUCUUUUUUUUGGUGCUUAUCUCUCAUGUGAAUACCCGGAUUUGAUGUUGGGAUGUUGAUUCUAACUCUACUUUUGCCAAGUUUUUAAAAUAAAAGUGUAUCGAGUUAAGGUUUUUGAGUCCAAGACAUCUGCUUGGUGAAUAUCAGACUGCUUGACUUUUUUGAUUUCUUUGUUAACAUUUCUAGGCAUAAGGAAUGAUUGUUGGCGUUUUAAUGUGAAUUGGUCCAAUAUUGACUCUAACUCUCCAUGUUUGGCAAUAAUGAGGCGAGCUGCUCCUAUUUCUGGUUUUUAGGUUGUUUUGCGUUUUUGCGUUGUUUGGCUGUGAAUAAGCUUGAUUGUACUCCGCUAUUAGUUACUAUUGAGUAACAGGGGAUCUGCACCUAAAAGUAUCGAUUCUCGCGUCAAAAAGUAAUACUUUCUAUGAGUACGUGGUCGUAUAGCCAUUGGAAUUGAGUAACCGGACUCCUUCAUCUAAAAAUAUUGGAGCUCACGUCAAAAGGCUCCAAUGACUAGAGACUAAGUCUUUUUGUGUUAUUAUUAUUACCAAAAAAAAUAAAUAAUAGAAAAGUGUGUUAUUAUUAUUACUAAAAAAAUAAAUAAUAGAAAAGUGAAGAAAAACAAAAAAAAAGAGGAAAAAAAUAGUGCAGGUUGUGUUAGUGUGUUAGAGGUCAGCUUGCCGAUUUAUGGACCUAAUAUGGAGACUUUGGUUAAUAUUUGGAUUGUUUGCUGAUAAUUGUUAUGCGCCAUUCCUUUUUCUUAGAUUAGCUAAUUUAGAAAUUGAAGGAAUUUGUGGUUUAGAGGCUAACUGGGGGGAUGCUUCUCGGAUUUUAAUCACUAGUGCUCGAUAUAUGAUUUUUCUUGAUAUCUUGGCAACUCGAUAGAUAGAGCAAUGACCAUUAUCAAAUUUUGGGUGUCUGUGUACUUUUCUUAUGCUUGAGGACAAGCAUGGUUUAGGUGUGGGGGGAAUUGAUAUGAUACAAUUUUCUCAUUUAUUUUAUUAUUAAUUUUCCCUAUUACCUGAUCUGAUGUGGAUUAAUUGUUGGAUUCUACUCAUUUUUAGUAUUUUACAUUUAUUUCAGGGAAUAGAAUGAAAAUAUAAUAACAGGUACCAAUUUGACAAAAAAGGAGUCCAGACGAUAGAGCUUGUCUCAAGGGCAUUUUUUGGAAAAAAAGAUAACACGUCCGUUUCGGUAAUUUGCAGCAAAGGAAUGACAGACGAAGGGCUUCUUCUUCCUGGGGUGGAGCCGCCGCACAAAAAAAAAAAGAAAAAAGAAAGAAAGGAGGCAGGAGAUAAAAACGAGAGAAUAGCAGAGGACUAGGGGAAUCUUGCUUUCUUCUUAGUUUCUCGUCUUUAGCUUAGCAUGAAUUUCUAUUGACUUUUCCCUUGGACUUACUUUUUGGCUUUGGGGACUUACGAAUGUGAGGACCCCUAAGCCAUUCUUGGCUUUUGACUUUACUUCAUUUUUGAACUUUCAGUAUUUACGUUCCUUUCUUCGUAUGUCAUUCGAAGUGAAACAAAGGGCUACCUCUUGUAACUUUGCUAUCUUUUCUUGAUUGGAGCGAAUUGCAUUUCCCAAUUUUUGUGACAAUGGCCGCAACUCUUGUUUCAACUUCCUGUGGACUUAGUUCAUCAAACAUGAACUAAUUUCACCACUCUAGUCAAGGAGCAACGGAGGCUCUGAUUCACCUAAAAAUUAUGAGAUCGAUUUAAUUUAAUAUUUUCCUUUUAUUUAUUGGUAUUCGCAUAUUCCUUGAUUGCUAUGCUUAGGGUUAUUUAAUUAAUUGAUUGUCUUGGAUACGGAUAAUUAAUUGAUUUGGUAACCUAUUGUCAAUUAGGGCAUUAAAUCCGUAAUUGUUUAAUUGUCCUGAAAUAGUGACAACUGGCACGAUUAGAUUCGUGUCAGGGGGAUACGCGAGCUAAUUUGAGAUAACCCUGGUAGUGCGUUAUUUGGUUAGAAUAGGGCUCCUCUAAUACGUAAGGCAAUUGGAGAAUUAAAUCUUACGGGCGUACUUAGGAUUACUUCCUAAUUAGAGCAGUGAUUAACGGGUCAACCUUAAUCACCGACACAGUAAGGAGGGGUUGAUUAUCAUCGCUUGUUUGGUAGUUAUAACCUAUUUAUUGAUAGAUAAUUGGAAUUGCCUUUGUAUCGAUGAUCAAUUAGGUGAACCAUUGCUAAAAUUAUUUCUUGGCUAAAUGAUAGGUUGCAAUUUUAUCAUUUAUUUUAUUAUUAAUUGCUCCUAUUACUUGACUUGAUGUGGAUUAAUUGCGGGAUUCUACUCACUUUUAGUAUUUUGCAUUUAUUUCAGGGAGUAGAACGAAAAUAUAAUAACAGGUGCUAAUUUGACAGGAAAAGAGUCCAGAUGAUAGAGCUUGUCCUAGGGGCACUUUUCGGAAUAACAAAACGCGAGCCCUUUUUGGACAAAUUGGGCCGAAGUUUUCUUUUAUGGAGUGAGCCGCCGGACAUCAAGGGGAAGCGGAGGAUAAAAAACCAAGGGAAUAGCAGAGGAUUGGGGGCGCAGCUGUAUUUUUUUUUCUUUAGCUUCAUCUUUGACUUUUCUCCUUAGAUUUUGGUAAGGGUAAAGUACAUAAAACCCCCCUGUGGUUAAGAAAAUUGACACGAAACCUCCUCAUUGUUUAGAAACUCCCACUUAACCCCCCUGUGCUUUGGACUUGUUUGGAUUUUACCUGCUAACCGGCUGGGGAGCCGGUAAUAAUAUGAAAUAUCAAAAAUACCCUCAUAUAUAAUAUGUGAAAAGUUACAUAUGCAAUGAGUCAAUCUGGAGCGGAUGAAAGAAACUGAGAGAGAAACCCUAAACCUAUAACGAAGAAGAAGGUAACUGUAUUGCUGAGCGGUGCGAGUUAUGAUGAAGAUCUGUCGGGCUUGAGAUAUAUUUCAUGUUUAGAGAGAGAAACCCUAAACCUAAUUCCAAAAAGAUGGUGUUUGUGUGCUGCGGAUCGGGAAACCUACAGCCAAGAACAUCGGUCGGUGCUUGAGUGCAGAUGGAUCGGCGUUUAUGUGUAGAUCGGUCGAGAGUCGCAACGCAUUGAGCAUAUCUGAACCAGGUAAAAUACAUAUAUGAACCUUAUGCAUUAGACGAGUUGAUUUAUUUGAUGGCAGGUGUUUUGGUACUAAAUUGUUGGGGAUAUUUUGAAACUUGGUAAAGGAACCACCAUGUUUGGCUUAGUUAGAAGUGUCUCCGACAAUGUUUGUGGGAAUUUGUUUUUAAAAUUUGGUAAUUAUUGCAAAAUGUCAGUUUGGGCUUGGUCAGAAGCUUUUCCGACAGUCUUCCGUGUUUGUGGGAAUUUUUUUUGCUUUUUUAUAACAAUACGCAAAAUAUCAAGAUUUGGCUUAGUCAGAAGCUUUUCUGACAAUGUUUGGGUGCAAUUAUUUAAAAAAUUGCAAUAUACUGCAAAAAAAUAUGAGUUUUUGUGGAGUAAUCAAAUUUUCAUUGGUCCAUACUGGUCUUGAUUAUGGUCUUGAUUAGGUUUUUUUCAUCCUUCUAGAUAAGUGUGUUGUUGUUCAUUUUUUUAUGUUUUUGAAACUGAGUGUGUAUGAAAUAUUGCAUGUCCUUUUUGAUACAUCUGAAAAGCAAAUGAGUAAAUGAAUCUCUGUUUUUUGAUACACUUGAAAACGAAAUUAGUAAAAUAAUCUCGGUUACUUUGGGUAAGGUGCAUAAAAAUGAGAGAUAAUUCGUGGCAGACCGUAGACAUACACUUGCAUUAUGGUGGAUAUUUCAAAUAGGAGCCGAGAAUUAGAUACACUGGCGAACAUGUGAGGGUAUUUUGUGAUUUCGACCCUGAUGAAUUAUCCGUAUUUGAGUUUCAAAAAAUAUACCAAACAAUUGAGCAUGGCGUUACAAAUAUGAAUUUCUGGUACUGUAUUCCCUUUCAUGACCUUGAUUUUGGUGUGGUUAGCAUCAAUGAUGAUGUAGACAUCGAAUUAUUGACAACAUGUUAUGAGGGGUUUAAAGAAAUGCACAUAUAUGCUGAGAGGGGGUCUGAUCCUAUUGAAGUUGUGUCUCCGGAAGGAAAAUUACUGUACAAGAGAGUGACUGGUGAUGGCAUACUUGCACUUCCAUAUCAUGAUACCUGGCAGGCUGAGAUUAGUUCGUCCUCAACUGUUAAAGGCAAGGAUGACAUGGUCAAGGAAGUAAUUGGGAGUGAGGACAAUAAUGACAUUCCAGACAUUAACAACAAAGCAAAGGACGUCUGCGAAGAAAAGUCAUUACAAAUGGAGUCAGAUCCAGCUGUUAUGGGACCACAUAAAGAGAAGAUACAUGAUGCUGGUGACAAGUCCAAGAGAAAGAAGGUAAGAAAUGAUAAAAAAGUCAAGUCACAAAGAGUAAAGUUAAGCGCAAGGAAAUCAGUCAGGCGGUUAUUUAAAGACAAAGAAGAAGGUGAUACAUCCUCAGAGUUUCGGCAGUGUCAUACAAGGAAAUCAGCAGAAGAAACAACACAGACAGAGGGAGAUCCAACAUCAGAGCAGACUGAUUGUUAUGGAGAAAGACCAAUUCAUGAAGACGGAGAAGAAGAUGAAAUCAUAAUGGAUUACUCAGAUUUUCCUGACUGGCUAAGAGAAGCAGUAGAACUGCCUGAAGAAGAUGAUAUAUUUGCAGGUUUAAAUGGUCAAGGAUGAACACAGGCGUCUAUAAAUAUUGGAUCUGCAAAUUCAUUUGGUAUUCCUUCUGAGCAGCAACAAGAAAAUCAGCAAGCAAAAGCAUCAAACAAAGCUGAUUUAGAUGAACAGCACCAAAAACAACAUGAAAAUCAGCAACUAACUGAAAACCCAGAAGCUGAUUUAGAUGAACAUCAACAACAACAACAAAAUCAGCAGGAACAGGAUUGGAAUGAGGCAGUAGAUGAUGAUGAAAACCUGUUUGACAGAGGAAUAGGUUCUGAUGAUGAAAGCACCCCUGUCUACAGCUACUUCAAUGCGGAUGAAGAGUUUAGAAAAGAGCACUUUGAACUAAAGGUUGGCCAGAAAUUUAGCAGUUUUCAUAAGUUUAGAGAGGUUUUAGUGGAAUGGGGUAUUAGGGAGAGAUAUGAGCACAAGUACAUCAGAAAUGAGGGGUCUCGAAUCACAGCUAAAUGUGCAAGGGGGUGUAGUUGGAGGAUUCAUGCAAGCAAAAUCCAGAGAUCAAAGACAUUUAUGAUCAAGACUCUUAAGGGAGAUCACCAUUGUGGCAGGGAUUACAGCAAUCGACAUGCCACCUCAACAUAUCUGAGUCAUAAAUUUCAAGCCAAAGUGAGAGAUGAUCCUGGGUGUAGUAUUCCUGGCAUGGUGAAUGAGACAAGAAGAUUGUUCAUGCUAGACAUUAGUCAAAAAAAAGCUGCCAGGAUAAAGCAAACAGCAUUAGAGGCACUCAGGGGCAAUGACAUGGAGCAAUACCACAGACUUUGGGAUUAUGUAGCUACUGUAAAAAAUUCCAAUCCUGAUAGUCAUAUUUCAUUGCAAAUUGAUAGGCGAAAUAUUGAGGAAAGGGCUACAUUUCAGAGGAUAUAUUAUGAUUUAGGUGCGUUGAAAAAUGGUUUCCUACAAGGAUGUAGACCUAUCAUAGGUCUAGAUGGUUGCUUCCUCAAGAGUCCCUUUGGAGGUCAGCUACUUACAGCCUUGGGUAGGGAUGCCAAUGAAAAUAUGUUCCCUAUUUCCUUUGCUGUUGUUGAGGUUGAGAAUUACGACAGUUGGAGUUGGUUUUUGCGGGAAUUAAUCAGCCAAAUUGGAAGAGGAAACAAAGGAGUGGCUUACACUUUCAUCUCAGAUAGGCAAAAGGGUCUUGUCCAUGUAAUUGAAGAAUUAUUUCCUGAAUCAGAGCACAGAUUCUGUUUGAAACAUAUGUUCGAGAACUUCAAACAAAGAUUCAAGGAUCAAGACCUUAGAGAUCUGUUUUGGGAGGUAGCUGCAGCAGCAAGCAUGCCGGAGCAUGAAACUGCCCUUUCAAAUCUUGAGAGGGCUGACCCACAGGAAGGUGACAAGCUAACAGCUGCGGAAUGGUUCAAACGGUUGCCUCCAAAAUUAUGGUCUAGAGCUCAUUUUAGUACAGCUUGUAGGAGUGACACUUGCGUUAACAACAUGAGUGAGUCAUGGAAUAAUUACAUUCUAAAAGUUAGAGGGGAGCCAAUAAUAACAAUGCUGGAGUGGAUUCGAAGGAGAUUAAUGCAAAGGUUGGUAACCAAACGAGAGGGCAUGCUGAAUCAUGGUGGAACUUUAUGUCCAAACAUUUAUGAGAAGUUGGAGAAACUUAAGAUAAAGGCAAGAAAUUGUGUUGCGGUUUACGGAGGAAAUGGAAAUUUGGAAGUUGAUGGCUAUGGAAGGACAAAUGUUGUCAAUUUGGAGUUGAAAACUUGUACCUGUGGUCAUUUUCAGCUUAGUGGCAUUCCUUGCGUGCAUGCGGUUGCCUGCAUUCAGAGCAGAAAGCUGAAAUUCGAGGAAUAUGUUGAUGCUUGUUACCAUGGAGAAGCAUAUUUAAGGGCCUACAACUUCACAAUUUGUCCCGUUCCUUCGAAGCAGUUCUGGGUAGAUAGCAAGAUGCAAUAUCUGAACCCACAAUUGGUGAAAAAACAGCCUGGUAGGCCAAAAAAACAGAGAAAGAAGGGUCCAGAAGAGCUUACAAAUCAACAGAAAGCAAGUAGGAAAGGACUUGCAGUUUACUGUCGGAGAUGUUUGAAAACUGGACAUAACAUACGUACUUGCAAAUCGGCGAUUGACCCUAAGUCUAAACUUUACAAAGUAAUGUAACAUUUUACACUCUACUGUAAUAUGGUUUAGUGUGUUUUGUUGCUACUUAUAUACUAAUUCAUUUUGAUUUGGACUGUAGGCACCUAAAGUUGGUCAAACAGCUUCAAAUGCAACAUCCGUAGCUUCUGCUGCUCAGGCAAGCGUAUCAAGUACUGCUACUACAGUUUCACAGGUACUAGAGAGUACUGGCCAAACAUUUUUGGAUGCUGGAAUAUACUUACAUAUAUACUAACCAUGACGAGAUACGUGUAGGAGCCAAAUCAGCCUAUAGGUGGUACCAACCAAGAAAGCCAGCAAAGCAGAAUCUCAAAGAGAAAGCAACCUGCUGCAACUUCAAGGAUGUCAAGGUUGCGACAUUGUGGCUCCAAGAGACCAAGAAAAUGAAAAGCUGUUUUCCUGAUUUUGUUGACUAACAAUACUACUUAUGCCAAGUAGAAUAUGUCAUUUUAUUGGUUGAAUGUACUGAUGCCAUUAUGGUAUGGAUGGAUGUUGCAGUAUUUUUCAUUGUACUCAGAUUUUUUAUUAUUUUUUGGUUGACUGUUGCUCUCGUGGAUAUUGUAUUAUGGUUUUUGUGUGAAUGAUUUCGUUGACUGUGACUAUCGUUUGGUUGACUGAUGCCAUUGUGGUAUUGUACUCAGAUAAAUUGGCUAUGUUUUGAUCGACUAUUGCAUUUGUGACUCUAUAGCUAUGCUGGUGAACCUUUUGACCAUGUUAUGGUAGGAUACCAUUGUGGUAUGGUUGUAGUAAUGAGUUGAUUUUUGUGUUUAUGGAUGGCACGUCUUCGCUUAUUUAUCAUGUCUGGCUGUGGUAAUAUGGAUGGCAAUAUCACUGGCCAUAUCUUUGCUGCAGAUGACUAAAUCUGACAAGUGUUUAUGGAGAUCAAUAUUGCUGGUUAUAUCUUUGCAUCUGAUGACUUAAUAUAACAACUUCAUUGCAUUUAAUUGGGUAUCUCAGGUUUUUCUGUAUAUGUACCACACCAGAAGCAGGCUUUUUCAAUGUCUUGAACAAAAGCAGCUUCAGUUGCUCAUUUAUAAUUCAAACAUGAAAAUCAACUUCAAAUUGAAACAACUUCACUACAAUUUCCCAACUCCAGAUUCUAUUACACGGCCAAACAGCCAAACAUUACACUUUUUGCCCAAAAUUCAUCUCAUACAUAUAACGACCAGUGACAAAAGAGACACAAGUACAGUCAGCAUCAUCAUUAUCUUCAUCAGCCCCAUCGUUGCUUCGACAUUGUGAAUCUUCGAUUGUAAUCCCAUAAUAAUGUUAUAGUUAUUACUUUCUAUUCCUUGCCCAGAGAUGAUAAAUCUUUCCGCGGUUGCAGGUCGAAUUGAUGAACCCCUUCCACGUAUGGACUUUGGCAGGAUGAUUCAUUAGUGCCUCCUUCUCUACUAAUUGGGUUGCACCAUGCCCAAAAUGAACAACCACCAGUUUCACAUACAUAAUACAACAUACUUUUUGAUGGUUUUUCAGAUUCUACUACCUUAAUCUUUGCUUUAUUGUUGCAGAAACAACGCUGAUUUUGGUACCUUAGGUCUCUCGAUCCACCGCCAAAAUUUUGGGAGUUUGACAUUUUUGGGUUCUUCCUUGAAAUGAUAGUUGAUUUAGCCCCUCCAAAGCUUUUCUUGAUCCAUCCAAAGUUGCGCUGAGUUCUUUACGUUUUUGGGUCUUCGUUUUGCAUCUCUGUCGAAAUUUUUCAUUUGCAGAUCUACAACUAUGGUGGGUGCAAGCUUGGAAGAGACAUGGAGGACAAAAUUGGAAUGAAAUGAGUUUCUGCUAGACACAAGUUACCAUUAAGUCGCGUAAAUAUCACUCGCUAGCUCCCCAGCCGGUUAGCAGGUAAAAUCCAAACAAGUCCAAAGCACAGGGGGGUUAAGUGGGAGUUUCUAAACAAUGAGGAGGUUUCGUGUCAAUUUCCUUAACCACAGGGGGAUUUUAUGUACUUUACCCUUUUGGUAAUGAUUCUCCACGGAUGUCAGGAGAAAGAAUUGGGAGAAAAGUUUAACUUUUCUUCCUUUUAGCUUGUAGCUGUUUUUUUUCUUCCUUGGUAUGAGCAGACAAGUUAACGCAUUAAAUCAUCCGCUGCAAUUUCGGUUUUCUUUACUUCUUCGACCGAAUUGAACUUGGGCAUUUUCUCAAUUGAUGGCCGCGGCUCUCUCCGCAAUUUUGCGUGGGUUUUUCGCAUUAAACAUGAACUAAUCUCUUCACUCAAGUAAAAAAACAACGAAGGCUCUGGUUUGCCUAAAUAUUGUGAGAUCGGUUUAAUUUAAUUUUUUUCUUUUAUUUAUUGGUAUUCGCGUAUUUCGUGAUUGUUAUGCUUACGGGUAUUUAAUUAAUUGAUUGUCUUGGAUCCGGAUAAUUAAUUGAUUUGGUAACCUAUCUUCAAUUAGGGUAUUAAAUCCGUAUUUGUUUAAUUGUCCUGAAAUAGUGACAACUGGCACGAUUAGAUUCGUGUCAGGGGGAUACACGGGCUAAUCUGAAAUAACCCUGCUAGUGCAUUAUUUGGUUAGAAUAGGGUUCCUCUAAUACGUAAGGCAAUUGGGGAAUUAAAUCUUACGGGCGUACCUAGGAUUAUUUUCUAAUUAGAGCAGUGAUUAACGGUCGUACCUUAAUCACCGACACAGUAAGGAGGGGUUGACUGCCAUCGCUUGUUUGGUAGUUAUAACCUAUUUAUUGAUGAAUAAUUGGAAUUGCCCUUGCUUCGAUAAUCAAUUAGGUGAGCCAUUGCUGAAGUUAUUUCUUACUUAGAUCUUUAAUUAAUAUUACCUUGAUUUUAGUGAAUUGCCAUUUGACUUUUAGUUGCCUACUUUAUUUUAUUUUUAAUUAUUUUCUUGUUUUAAUUGAGUUAGACCUUUAAUUAUUGUUACUCUAAAUUCAGUGAAUUGUUGUUUAAUUUCUAGUUAGUUAUUUAUUUUUAUCUUCUUAUUCGAAUUUAUUUGAUUGUCGUCGUUCCUACAAAAUCACCCCCUGCGUUAUUUUGAAUUUCUUAAGAGACAAAUAUAUCCAAUCCCUGAGAAUACGACCCUACUUGCCCUAUCUACAAGUUCAUAAUUAUUUGUGAAAAAUAUAACCAUCCCAUUCGAGUAUAUCGGAUGAAACAAACUCUUCGAGAAUAGGGUGAAUCAAGUAACCCAUUGUAUACCUAGAGUCCCUACUCCAGUACUUGGAAUUGGAUUUUGGUUAUUUUUACCGGCAAUCAGAUUUAAUUUUAUUAUUGUACAGGCUUCGACAACCUGUCAAUUUUUGGCGCCGUUGCCGGGGACUGGCAUUAUUAUUUGUUUCUUUUUAAAUUCAUUUUUGUUCUAAUUUUUUGGUGCUUUUCGAGUGUAUGCCUCGUUGUUCUCGUACAUGUGAAUUAAUUUUUGACCCCGAGGUAGAAAAGACUGCGCGUAGGACAAGAAAAGAAACCAGACAGCUCAGAGAGGAGCACUCCAGUGCUGCAUCUCAAAGACCUGAACCAGAAGUUGAACCAACAGAUUCGUUUGGUGACACUUCGAGUGACUUGGAACAAGAAGAAAUCCCCAUGGCUAAUGCACGAACAUUAAGGGAGUUGGCUGCACCUGAUUUAAGUCAGCAGCCUUUAUGCAUUACUUUCCCCAUUUUAAAUGAUAACACUACAUUUGAGUUAAAAUCUGGUUUAAUUCACCUUCUACCCUCUUUUAAUGGUUUACCAGGUGAAGAGCCGUAUAAGCAUCUGCAGGAAUUUGUUGUCGUGUGCAACAGUAUGAAACCCCCAGGCAUUAUAGAAGAGCAAAUAAAAAUGAGAGCAUUCCCCUUUUCCUUGAAGGAUUCUGUAAAAAGCUGGCUGUACUACCUGCCACCAGGUAGCAUCACCAUGUGGGACCAAUUAAAGAAAAAAUAUUUAGAUAAAUAUUUACCUGCGUCCAGGGUUGCAAGUCUAAGGAAAGAAAUUUGCGAGAUCAAGCAGCACCCAGGGAAGUCACUCUAUGAGUACUGGGAGCGAUUCAAGAAAUUGUGCAUCAAAUGCCCCCAGCACCAAAUAAGUGAACAGUUGCUCAUACAGUAUUUUUAUGAGGGGCUCCUUUUCAGAGAUAGGAACAUAAUUGAUACUGCAAGUGGAGGGGCACUGGUGAACAAAACCCCUUGGAAAGCAUGGGAGUUAAUAGAGGGGAUGGCAGAGAAUUCACAAUAAUUUCGUACGAGUGAGGAUGUCCCAAUACGCAAGGUGAAUGAGGUUGAGACAUCCUCUAUCCAGCAGCAGCUAACUGAUUUCACCUCGUUUGUUAGGUAACUGGUUGUAGGAAAUGCAUUUCAGGCCAAGGUGUUUGGGAUUUGCACUGGUAUGGGUCAUUCUACAGACAUGUGCCCAGUGAUUCAGGAAAAAAGUGCAGAGCAAGUGAACAUGGCUGGUCACGCGCCCACGCCAAUGAGACCCUAUGACCCGUACUCGAACACGCACAAUCCCGGCUAGAAGGACCACCCGAAUUUCAGUUAUGGAGAAAAUAGGUAGCCCAACUUUGUACCGAACAGACAGUAAGGGUACCAGUAGCAGUACCAACCCCGACCACCUCCACCCCCGAGCUCUGGUCCAUCUUUGGAGGAGAUGAUAAAACAACUGAUAGCUACCACCGCACAACAUCAACAAAAGGCGGACUCCAAAAUACAGGACAUAAGAAAUCAGAUGAAUCAAAUGGCCACAAAAAUCAACUGUUUGGAGUCCCAAGUCCAAGGUAAAUUGUCAUCUCAACCUGAAUUGAACCCGAAGAAUGUAAGCGCGAUGACCCUAAAGAACGGGAAGGAAAUUCUGGAGCCUGAACCUAGGAUCCCUAAAGACAAGGAUGAGGAAAAAAUCGAAAAUGAGCUUGAGAGGGAGGACAGCAAUGGUGCAGAUCCACAGGUACUUCCAGACCCAGUAAUUACAGUUAAAACUAACCCGCCUCCUUUCCCUAGCAGGUUGAAAAAAUCGAAAAAGCAGGAUAAGGAGAAGGAGAUCCUGGAGGUGUUUUGCAAGGUAGAAAUAAAUAUCCCUCUGUUAGACGCAAUCAAACAAGUGCCGAAGUAUGACAAGUUUCUAAGGGACUUGUGUGUCAACCGAAGGCGGUUGAGGGGAGAUGAAAGGAUCAUUGUUGGGGAGAAUGUGUCAGCGGUCCUGCAGAGAAAGCUUCCACCAAAGUGCGGAGACUCAGGUAUGUUUACUAUUCCCUGUAGGAUAGGCAACACUGUGAUUAGAAGGGCAAUGUUGGAUCUGAGAGUAUCAAUUAAUGUCAUGCCUAAAUCUAUCUAUGCCUUUUUGAAACUAGAUCCAUUAAAAGAAACUGGGAUAAUCAUUCAAUUAGCUGACCGAACUAAUGCAUAUCCUGAUAGGUUGGUUGAAGAUGUGUUGGUAAAAGUUAAUGAUUUAGUGUUUCCAACUGAUUUUUAUAUACUUGAUAUGGAUGAUGACCACUCCUCCAAUCCCUCACCUUUGUUAUUGAGUAGACCCUUUAUGAGCACUGUACAAACAAAAAUUAAUGUUAAUAAAGGUACCUUGUCCAUGGAGUUUGAUGGGGAAAUUGUCCAGUUUAAUAUCUUUGAUACUAUGAAAUAUCCCUCAAACUCCAACUUUAGCUCAGUUUUCUCUGUGAGUACUAUUGACCCUGCGGUGCAGGAAGUGUUUGAAACUGUUGGCAGGGAUGAGUUGGAGGUGGCUUUAACCAAGCACCUCGAGUUGGAGACAACUCCUGAGGUGGAGUGGAGUGAAGAUUUAAAAUGCACGAUAGGGGCAUUACACUCAUUGCCAAUCUCCACAAAAAGGUAUGAAGUUUCACCAGUAUUCACCCCCGAACCUCACCAAAGGGUAUUACCAUCGAUGAUGCAGGCACCCGUAUUGGAGUUGAAACCCCUGCCGGAGCAUUUGAAAUAUGCGUAUCUGGGCGACAAUGAAACACUUCCGGUAAUUAUCUCAGCUGCACUCUAAAAAACUCAAGAGGAGAAGUUGAUCCGAGUCCUUAGAGAGCAUAAAGAGGCGAUAGGUUGGACCAUCGCAGACAUCAAGGGGAUCAGCCCCUCCAUCUGUAUGCACCAGAUUAAGUUGGAAGAGGAUGUCAAACCUGUACGACAGGCGCAAAGGAGGCUCAACCCCUUAUGAUGGAAGUGGUAAAGAAAAAAAUUUUAAAAUUGCUAGAUGUGGGGAUUAUUUUUGCAAUAUCAGAUAGCCCCUGGGUGACCCCGAUCCAAGUAGUCCCAAAGAAGGCAUGAGUGACGAUAGAGGCCAACCAAACGGGUGAGCUCGUGCCAGUGCACAAACCCAUUGGAUGGAGGCAGUGUAUUGACUACCGUAGGCUGAACGCCGUCACAAAAAAGGACCAUUUCUCUCUCCCUUUUAUUGACCAAAUGGUUGAACGUUUAACUUGUAGGGCUUACUAUUGCUUUUUGGAUGGAUUUUCAAGAUAUUUUUAGAUAGCAAUUGUAUCAGAGGAUCAAGAGAAGACAACCUUCACGUGCCCGUUCGGGACCUUCGAGUACAGACGGAUGCCAUUCGAGUUGUGGAAUGCACCUGCAACAUUCUAGAGGUGUAUGGUAAGCAUUUUCUCUGAAUAUGUAGAGAAAAUAAUCGAGGUUUUCAUGGACAAUUUUAGUGUGUAUAGUGAUAGUUUUGGUACAUGUCUAGAUAACCUGAAAUUGAUUUUAUUAAGAUGUAUUGAAACUAAUCUCGUGCUUAACUGGAAAAAAUGUCAUUUUAUGGUUGAGCACGGGAUAGUCUUGGAUCAUAUUGUAUCUUCUAAAGAUAUCGAGGUCGACAAGGCUAAAAUAGACAUUAUAUCUGCCUUUUCUUACCCCGCGAGUGUGCGGGAGGUGCGCUCUUUUGUUGGACAUGCAGGUUUUUAUCGAAGGUUUAUCAAGAAUUUUUCAAAAAUUGGAGCCCCGUUGUUCCAACUCUUACAAAAAGAUGUGACUUUCGAAUUCGAUGACAAAUAUGAGAAAGUCUUCGACAAGUUGAAAGAACUACUGACCUCACCCCCGAUCGUCCAGCCCCCCGAUUGGAGUUUGCCAUUUGAAAUCAUGUGCGAUACCAGUGAUCAUGCUGUAGGGGCUGUAUUGGGGCAAAGAAUAGGAAAGGUAGCUCGCAUCAUCUACUAUGCAUCCCGAGUCCUGAAUGGGGUCCAAUUGAAUUAUUCCACAACUGAGAAGGAGCUUCUUGCAGUUAUUUUUGCUUUAGAAAAAUUCAGGUCAUAUUUGUUAGGUGUUAAAGAAAUUGUAUUUUCUGAUCAUGCAGCAUUAAGGUACCUAAUGACCAAAAAAGAUGCAAAAUCGAGGCUCAUCAGGUGGAUAUUGUUACUACAGGAAUUUGACCUGGAGAUAAGGGAUAAAAAAGGUUCAGAGAAUCUAGUAGCCGAUCAUUUGAGUCGCAUACCAGUUGGGGAGGAGAACGAACCAUUGAAGGAUGCAUUCCCUGAAGAACAUUCAUUUUCUUUAAAUUCUCAGCUGCCUUGGUAUGCUGAUUUAGUCAAUUAUCUAGUAACGGGUAAUUUUCCUGCAGGGUGACCGAAAUCGAAGAGGGAUAAAUUGAAGAGCGACACCAAGUAUUUUAUCUGGGAUGACUCGUACUUAUGGAAGAGAUGUGCAGAUCAAGUGAUGAGGAGAUGUGUAAGUGAAGUGGAAUUUCAAUCGAUUCUAGUUUUUUGUCAUACUUUUGCCUGUGAAGAUCAUUUUGGACCCAAAAGAACUGCUCAUAAGGUAUUGGAAAGUGGUUUUUAUUGGCUUUUAUUGUUUAACGAUGCUUAUGUGUUCUGUAAAUCAUGUGAUCGCUGUCAAAGGGUAGGUAAUAUAGCCCAUAGAGAUUAUAUGCCCUAGGUCCCGUUGAUUUUGAUCGAAAUUUUUAAUGUCUGGGGUAUAGAUUUCAUAGGGCCUGUUCCUAGUUCAUUUCGGUUUUAUAUAUAUUUUGUUGGCAAUUGAUUAUGUGUCUAAAUGGGUGGAGGCUAAGACCACUCGGACUAAUGACUCGAAAGUAGUUGCAGAUUUUAUCAGGUCUAAUAUUUUUGUGCGAUUUGGAAUGCCAAGAGCUAUUGUCAGUGAUAGGGGAACACACUUCUGCAACAAAACCAUAGCUGCGUUGUUUCGCAAGUAUGGUGUACUCCACAGGGUCUCAACGUCGUACCACCCUCAGACCAAUGGUCAAGCGGAGGUGUCGAAUAGGGAGAUUAAGUCCAUCUUGGAGAAAAUGGUGCGCCCCGAUAGAAAGGACUGGAGUCAGAGGUUGGAAGAUGCUCUUUGGACCUACCACACGGCGUACAAAACCCCCAUAGGGAUGUCACCCUAUAGAUUGGUAUUCGGGAAGCCGUGUCACCUACCAGUGGAGUUUGAGCACAAGGCUUUUUGGGCGAUAAAGCAAUGCAACAUGAACCUAGAAGAGGCCGGUGCCCAGCGAAAGUUGGAUUUGCAAGAAUUGGAGGAGAUCCGGAACGAAACCUACGAAAAUGUACUAAUUUACAAGGAGAGGAGCCGGACAUUUCAUGACCAACAGAUCUCUAGAAAAACCUUUGAAGUUGGUCAGAAGGUCCUCCUGUACCAAUCCAGGCUCAAGCUAUUCCCAGGUAAGCUACGUUCCCGUUGGAUUGGACCUUUCAUUGUGACUCACAUUUUUCCCUAUGGUGCAGUUGAAAUCCAGAGUGCCAAAACAGACAACAAAUUUGUGGUGAAUGGACACCGUCUCAAACAUUAUUACGAAGGUUUUCCAAGUGGAGAAAUGGAGACAAUAAGUCUAGACGCACCACCGUGUCCUAAUCAGUGACACUUUACCAUAUCUAGCCAAAGACAUUAAAGAAAGGCGCUCAUUGGGAGGCAACCCAAUCUCUUUUAAUUGUUUGUUUAGUUUUGUGUGAUAGUUUCACUAUGUUUUCCUUGAGUUUGAUUGGUUUCGGGUUUGAAAUUUUCGUUUUUGGUGAGUUGUAGGUGUCUAUCUGACUCGGCACGCCCGCGUCAUGGCACAGGAAGAGCUCAUGGUCAGAGAGCUCUCUUGCCCUCUUGACGUGCCCGCGUCAUGACGUACAGAAAGCUCACGAUCAGAAUCGUCAGAAGGGGUUCUUGCCCUCAUGAUGUGCCCGCGUCAUGACUUACAAAAAGCUCACUGUCAGAGAGCUCUCUCGCUCUCAUGACGUACCCACGUCAAGCGACCUAAAGACCUCUCUUGCCCUCAUGACGUGCUCACGUCACGUUCGCGGGAAAGGUAAGGAUUCAAAAAAAUAAAAAAAAAUUUAAAAAUUUAAAAAAAUAAAAGAGAAAAAAAUAAAAAAAUAUAUAAUAAUAAUAAUUAAUAAAAAUUAAUAAAAAAACAAAAAAUUUUAAAAAAUUAAUUUCCAUAACGAAAAAAAAACAAAAAAAAGAGAGGUCGACAAUUAAAAAAAAAAAAGAUCUCUGUUCUUUUUUCUUUUCUUUUUCUUUCUUCUCUUUUCUUUUCUUUCUUUUUCUCUUUUCUUUCCUUUCUUUUUUCUUUCUUCCUCUUUUCUUCCCUUCUUCUUCCCGCUGCCCUUGUUCGCCCUUUCUUUCUUCACCUCCACCGCGCGCCACUCUAUUCUUCGAUCUCAUAGCCGCACGCCGCCAUCCAUGCGCACGCCGACGCUGCGCGCCGCCCGCGACCCCAGCGCACCGCCAGAGCGAGGCUCCCCUUCGCACGCCGAGCCCAUCACCUCCAUCCUAGCUCCAGCCCCGCCACCACCAGCUCCCCUCGCCUCUCCGCGCUCCUCUGCACACGGAUGCCGCCGCGCCCACCAUCCGCAGCUCUAGCCCAGGCGCGCAGCCGCUGCUCCGCGCGUCCGCUGCGCUGCAUCAUGCGCCCAAGCAGGGGACAUCCACCAACCCCCUGCGCUCCCUCACCUCUCUCUCUGCUCUGUCUAGCUCUGCCCACGCCGCUGCUGCACAAGCUGUCGCCCGCCACCACCGCGCAACGCCGACCUCCACCUCUCUCGCGCGAGCUCUCCCUCAUUUUCCCUUGCCUGCAUCAUUCUCUCUCUGUCUCCUGCCUCUCACCACUGCCAUAAGAAGCGCGCGCCGUCGCCCUUUUUCCCUCGCCGCAUCUUUACUCCCGGUGGUCCUCAAGGUGGAGGUAUUCGUCUAACUCCGGCUCUGUUUUGUGUCCAGCAAUCGGUGCUGGUAAAUUUUGUAAUUUCAAGUGUAUCGGGCUAUCUUGGAUUCAAUUGAGAUUUAUUUUGCCGCUUUACUUAUUGCGUAAAUUGAAGUGAAUCAUUGGACUACCAUGGGAAUCCACUAAGUGUUGUUUUGCUUGGAUUUUUGUUGAAACUUUCUUAACUGGAUUGUGCAUUUAAUUGCUUUUCCUGUAUCCCCUUCUUUACAUAUUCAGUGACGUUUUGGGCCUCUGCAAAAUCUUAGUAGGGAUUGGCAUUUCCAUUAAACAUUUUGCUAAUUGGGUUGGCUAUUUGAGACUAUUCGUUUACUGGAGUUUGCCCCCAGUAGUACUGGUGGGAGUAUUUUCACUUGACUUUGGUCACUCUAUUUGGUUGGAUACCUAAUUGUCUGCCAAGGGCCUGUGACUUUGUGCUCUUGUUACAUUUUUGAAUUGCUAGUGCUUGAUUUAGCAUAUUAUUGGGGCAAUUGCUGCAAUUUUAGAGUGCAUCUGUUGAGAUUAUGGAUGGCCAAGUCUGCGUGUUGCCUGACUGACAUGGGUAGUCCCUGUGCUUAUUGACGCGGCUUUACUAGCUUCUAGUUGUUGAUACUAGUUUCCGGUUGUUGAUUUUGGAGAGCAAUUGUUACUUUGUUGAUCAUAUUUGGGUUUGAGAAGCCCGUGUUUACUUCUGAUUGUUGAGUGGGCAGCACUAGUAACUACUGAAUUCAAUUUGUUGGAUCCUACUGUGUCCCUGCCAAUUGUUUCUGCUAGUCGCUGUCGCGCCCCAUUUUUUGAUUCAAUUUGUGAUUGGAAAAUGAAUUGUGAUUUAAAAGAAAAAUGGGUCUAAAUGGGGGUUUGAGAAUGCGACGAUUUGACCCAAAAUUAUAGUUUAAAAGGGUUUUUUGAAAUAAAAAAUCGGAGUCGCCACUUAGUAAUGAGUUAAGAUGUACCAAGUCAGCUAAAAUGAAUUUUUAAAGAAAAAAUAGGGAAAAGUAGUAAGAAACCCCUUUUAAACGACUCCUAAUCCACGUAAACCAACGAAAAAGGUUCGGGAGUCACAUUUGACGAAGGGGAAGGCAAGGAUAAAAAUCCAAGGCACCCCUUCGACCUAGCCAAGGCUAGUUGCGUGAUUUAAUCAAAGAUUUUCUUGUUUUAACCAAAGAAUUUAUUACAUUUGGAUGUACUACAUGAAUGCAAACCCUAGACCUAGGGGUAUUGGGGGGCAAAAUUUCUCUUCAAAGCUUGAAUGGUGCCAAUCACAUUAAUUGUGAAGCCCAAUAAUGAUCCUCUGGAGAGGUCACACAUAAUCCUAAAUGACGUAAAAAUGAGUGAAAUGAAUGCAUACCAUGUGAAAAUGUGUGAAGUGAGAAAAGGAAAAAAUAAUAGGAGGUAAGUGGAGGUGUGCAAAUGUAUUUACAAGGUAAGGUGAGUAAAGAAUGAUGAUGUGAAAAUAACAUAAAGUGCAUGUGUGUGAGUGAUAUGGUAUAAAGUGUGAGUAGUUAAGUGAAAACGUCCAAAAGUAGUGUGAAGUGAGAAUGUGGAAAAAAGGAUAGAAUAUAAAUUAGAAGUGUAUAGGAUAGUGAAUAAAUAAAAUGCAUGAACCCUAUAGGAAUGCAUCAAGACGGGAACGGGGAGUCCUAACUUUGUGACUUCAAUUUUCCCUUUGAUUAGAAAGGAGAACUAGCGUGCUAAGGUUAUUUUGUAGCCAAACUCGCUCGUUUCCCUUAUCGAAAGGGGACUCUUCAAGCAAAUGUACCCUAUAUCUAGCAUGAGGUGCAAAAAUCCUAAAAUGAGAGGAAAAGGGGUUCGAGGAGCAUGCCAAAUGAUAAAACUAAGAAAAAUUCAUGACAUGUAGUGAACAUGCAAGUAUGCACUAACGAAAGGGGAACGGCCUAUUAGGUCUAGCAUUGGACUAGCCCUUUCUAUGAAUUCCUAACGAAAUAAUGAGCCACAACUAGCAUUGGACUAGUGUGGUGGCGUACAUUCAUCCAUCACAUUCAUCUACAACUAUAGAAAGCAAGUAGACAUGCCAAACACUCAUAAACACAUAGCACAUAACACUUAGCAUGCUCGACUAGAUGCAAAAACCUAAUAAAGCAAAUUAACACAUAGCCACAAAAGCAAGCAAUCAAGCUAAUGAACCUAUUACAUUUGCUAGCUAGGCACACGUCUUCAAUAGGUCUUCAUCAAGUGCUCUCCAAGCCCUAUCUAUUACAAGCCAAGAGGUGUACACAUACCCCAUAAAUAAAGAAUAACUUAAUGAAAGCAAAAGUAAAUGAAAUGAAUGAAAGAGAUUAAGGAAAAGCAAGGAAAACAAAGUAGACAUGCAAUUCUCACUUAGCACAUUGGAUCACAUAGGGGAGAGACAAAAAAGAUAAAAGAAGUUAUACCUCCCUUGGAAUAGUGUCCCAAUGAAAGAAAAAUGGCUUAUUUAUCCUCCAAAAUAAAAGAAAUGGUCAAGGUACCAAUUUAUUUGGGAAAAUUAAAGAAAACAUGCAAACACGGGCUCACAUGGUCAUAAAGGUCUUAAAUGCAUGCAUGAAGUGCAAUUUAAACAAAGCAUGGUAGUCAAUUGAAACAAACAAGCAAUGGAGUUGUAAAAUUAAAAGCUACCAAGGACCAAAUUGAGGAAAUCAUUCAAUUGAUUGGGUCAUAGUAGGACAAGGGGAGACUUGGGGGGCCAAAGUGUAAUUUUUGGAAGCUUUCAUGCAAGUUCAUGCAAUGACUACGGGACAAGCUUCAGGAAAUAAAGAAAAGAGCUCGCAGCUUCUUAUUCCCAAGCUUGCUGCAAUUUUCUUAGCAUUCCUACUCACACAAACGAAGUCAUCAAAACACCAGAAGUUUAACUCUCUAAACCAACUAAAACAAACACAAAAUCUUUAUUGCAGGAUUUACGCAAAGAAAACUCAAAUUUGGCCGACAGAAAAAGGAAAAAUGCAGCAAAGUCUCUACGAUUUCCUCAUGAUAAGCUUCUGCUAUCUCGCAUUGGCAGAUUCACAAAGCUCAAAACUGAGACCAACUUCAAGCUCUUAUCAUGCAUGCAAGGGAAUGACAAACCAGAACGAGGAAAAUCUUCAUGCACAUUCAUGAAAUGAAACUGCCGCAACAAGCCAAAGAAUGCGGCCACAGAAUGCAGCAGAAGCAGAAUGCAGCAAGAAUUUUUUAAUGUUGGAACAUGAUCCAAACAUUUUAGCUCCUAAUAAAUUGGUCAACCAGCAAACUGAAUGGCCGACACUUUGGUGAGUAAAUGCAGGCAAAAGAAACAGUAAAGAGAAUGCGAGGCCCCAUUUGUUCUGCUGCAAAAUGUUGCAGCUUCUCUAUGUGGGUAUCUUAUGCAGUUUCAGACCAAACCAAUGAACUCAUUUACCCAUCCCAUUAAAAUUCAAAACACUUGAUUAAUACAACACAAAAGGUAGGAAAUAGAAUCAUUGCAUAUCAAACGGACAACAGGGAACGACAAAGAGAAAUGAAAACAAUUUUUCUAAUGAGUUUUGGGUUCGUUAUCAGCAUGCAAGCAUUUCACAUCCGUUCCCAACCAACAAAGCAGGCACCUUAUAUCUAUUACUACCCAAAACAACAUGAAGGAAGGAUGUACGAACCCAUGACACUAGCUUACGGGGAAGGCCCUAGAUUUCUACCUCAAAACACAAGCUGAACCAAACCGCCAAUCAAAGUUAGAAACUUUCGGUCGUUUUCUCUCGGCCAAGACACCAAUAUGCAGGAGACCGACUCCUUACCCAAACCCUAGACUUAGCAGUACCCAAACAAGAACCAUUAGCUAUAUUGAAGCAAGAUCAGAACCAGUAAUAACGCAGAAAUGCAAACAAACAACUAAAGAAAAGAGCUUUCAACUUAAAAAGAAGAGUUCAAUACCUGAAUCGAGUAAUGGAGAACAGGCUCAGAUGAUUCGGCCAAACCUUCUGGUUUUGCUUUCCUUCAACAGUCCGCAGCCCCCCCAAGCAAUCCUCUUUUCUCUCUGGUUUCUAGCCGUCAACCUUCUCUCAAAGCUCUAGCCUUUUCCUCAUCAGCCGACCUUCCCCCUGUUUUCUCUUUCUCAAAAUGGUUUUCUCCUCCCCUUGCUCUCGGCUGCCUCCCUCCUUUUUCCCUUUCAAGCUCACACAGAAACUCAACCCUCUCCCUCGUUCUCUCUUGCUUCUCAGUUUUUCUUCCUCCAGCAGUCGUCCCCCUUUUCUUUGCCUUUUUCUGUGUUUCUAUCUCUCGGGUUCCUCCCCUCUUGCGGCUGCAGUUCCCUUUCUUUUAAUAUCCGGCUAGCCACCCCCAAAACCCUGUAUUCAAUGGCUAGAAAUCAUCCCUCUCAAACCCUUUUUCUUGGCCAUCCGAUGAGCCUGCAUUCGUCCUUUGCAAGCUGCCAACAAAUGCAGCGUGCGUGCCGCGAGACUUCCUCUUUUUUUUUUAAUUAAUUAAUAUAGAUAACUAAUUACUUAAUAAUAAAAAAAAUGAAGAAAUGCUAAUUAAGAUACAAAUGAAAUGCUAAUUUUCUUUCUUCUUUUUUUCUUUUUUUUUCCUUUUUCCAUUUUCAUUCAUUUUUCCUUUUUUCCUUUUUUUUCCAAAAAUUCUAUGCUAAAAACUUGAAAAUAAAAAUAAAACUAGAAACUAACAACUAAAAAUCGAAUAAAACAAACACGACAAGUAAAAAACUAAAAAUGAAAUUACACUAAAAUUUUGGUGUCUACAGUUUGCCCCUCUUUAUCUGAGUUUUGAAAAAACUUGAGACAAAGAAGUAGACACCAAAUACUUACCUGUGUUAUUCGGCUGCAAUGGACGCUUCUGAAAUGAGGACUGACCUCUUUAAUAAAAUUUUUUUUUUGAAAUGGGAUUAACCCAAACAGGAAAUUAAAACGGGACUGACCCGAGCAGAAAUUUAAACAGGACUGACCCGAACAGAAAAUUAAACGGGACUGACCCGAACAGAAAUGUAAAUGGGAUAGACCCAGACAAAAAUGUAAAUGGGAUAGACCCACGGGAUAGACCCGGACAGGAAUUUAAAUGGGAUAGACCCGGACAGAAAUGUAAACGGGAUAGACCCGAACGGAAAUGUAAAUGGGAUAGACCCACGGGAUAGAUCCGGACAGAAAUGUAAACGGGAUAGACCCGAACAGAAAUGUAAAUGGGAUAGACCCACGGGAUAGACCCGAACAGAAAUUUAAAUGGGAUAGACCCAGACAGAAAUUUAAAAUCAUGGGACUGACCCGAAUAAAACUUAAAAUCAUGGGACUGACCCGAAUAAAACCUAAAAUCAUGGGACUGAUUCGAAUAAACAUAAAAUCAUGGGACGCUCACUAGUGGGACUAACCCACGGCUAGUGGCGAUGCAAAAGGAAAUGCUCACUAGUGGGACUGACCCACGGCUAGUGGCGGAGUAAAGGAAAGUGCGCACUAGUGGGACUGACCCACGGCUAGUGGUGAUGCAAAAGGAAAUGCUCACUAGUGGGACUGACCCACGGCUAGUGGCUGAGUAAAAUGAAAAUGCACACUAGUGGGACUGACCCAGGGCUAGUGGCUGAGUAAAUGAAAAUGCGCACUAGUGGGACUGACCCACGGCUAGUGGUUGAGUAAAUGAAAAAUGCGCACUAGUGGGACUGACCCACGGCUAGUGGCUAAAGAAAAUGAAAUGCUCACUAGUGGGACUGACCCACGGCUAGUGGCUGUGAAAAUGAAAUGCUUACUGGCGGGACAAACCCAUCUCCAGUAGCAAUGUAAAUAAAUGCUUACCGGCGGGACAAACCCAACUCCAAUAGCAAUGAAAAUAAAAUGCUUACUGGCGGGACAAACCCAGCUCCAGUAGCAAUGUAAAUGAAAUGCUUGACAAUCGGACAGUGGGAUCAAACCCGAGCAUGUCGUGAUGAACUUGAUUUGAUUUUUGAUUUUUUGAUUUUUUUUUUUUGAUUUUUUGAUUUUUUUGAUUUUUGAUUUUUUUGAUUUUUGAUUUUUCUCUUUUUCUGAUCUUUUGAGAGAAUCUUUUCAAAAUUUGCCCCAGUAUGAUGAAUUGGUCAGUAAGACAACAUCUGAGCCUGACGGGGUGUGGACGGUCAGCGGGAUAAAACCCGGUCCUGCCGAGGUUGGCGGGAUGAAACCCGGUCCCAACGAAGUAAGCGGUCAGCGGGAUAAAACCCGGUCCUGCCGAGGUACGCGGUCAGCGGGAUAAAACCCGGUUCUGCCGAGGUACGCGGGAUAAAACCCGGUCCCAACGAAGUAAGCGGUCAGCGGGAUAAAACCCGGUCCUGCCGAGGUUGGCGGGAUGAAACCCGGUCCCAACGAAGUAAGCGGUCAGCGGGAUAAAACCCGAUCCUGCCGAGGUUGGCGGGAUGAAACCCGGUCCCGAAGUAAGCGGUCAGCGGGAUAAAACCCGGUCCUGCCGAGGUAAGCGGUCAGCGGGAUAAAACCCGGUCCUGCCGAGGUUGGCGGGAUAAAACUCGGUCCCAACGAAGUAAGCGGUCAGCGGGAUAAAACCCGGUCCUGCCGAGGUAAGCGGUCAGCGGGAUAAAACCCGGUCCUGCCGAGGUAAGCAGGAUAAAACUCGGUCCCAACGAAGUAAGCGGUCAGCGGGAUAAAACCCGGUCCUGCCGAGGUUGGCGGGAUGAAAUCCGGUCCCAACGGGAUGUUGUGCAGUUGGCGGCACGAAGUCCAGGCCCAACGUGAUCUUGUGAAGUUGGCGGCACGAAAUCCAGGCCCAACGUGAUCUUGUGAACAAGAAAUUGAAUUUGACUUGUCAAGAAGCAAGAAGUUAAACUUGAGUUUUUUUUAUUUUUGACCUUUCUGAUGAUGAUUUUUUGAUUUUUUCUUUUCCUUUCAUUUUCUGAUUUUUUUUCUUUUUUUUUUAAUUUUUCCUUCCUUUCGGAUUUUUCCGAGAGAAUUUUUCCAAAAUAAUUUGCCCCAGCAUCGGGUCCAUUUUUCCCUCCUUCUUCUUGCUUCUCUUUGCAGUAUCGGCCUUCUGCCUCACUGGAUGCUUUUCGUCAUUUUGAACCAUGAAUUACCUAUACAAGGGGUUCAUCAAAGCAUGACAUGCAUUCAAAUUUCUUAUUUGAAAAGAAAAGCGUGAUUGGUUUGACAUCCUCACACGUAUUACAAAAAUUUUGCCCCAGUGUGGACUAUUUUGCAAAAUCUCUCUCAUGAAAAUUUGCCCCAGUGUAGGCCUAUUUAAUUGCAAAAAAUUUGUUUGAAUGACCCUCCAUUUAUUUGAACAAAGUAAGCAAUUGCUUUUCCUAACAUAUCAUGUGAAGAAAAAUUGAAUGUCUUGCUUAAAACUCAUAUAGCAAGUUUCAUGAUGAAUUUCUUAAAAUAAUGCCAAAUUACGAAAGAUUUCUUCCCCACUUUAGCAUCAAUGUUUUGGGUAAUGGGUCACCAUUUCUUGUUGGCUCAUCUUUCAGGACCAAUCAAGUGACUUUAUUUCUGAUUUUGAGGUGGCCAAGGAAAAUGAGAGGUCAAGAUUUGUCUGAUUUUUUGUGCCCAAAUUGUAUGUAAUCCCUUCAAUACCACAUCUUAGUGAAAGCAAAGAAUUUAUCACCCUUAUUUCUUAAGAAAACUUAGUCAACGUAUAAGCUUUGUAGGCUUGCAACAAAAUGAGUAGAAGCGAUAGCUAAACCUGUGAAAACUGGUUAUACCCCCAUGAUCACGAAUGAUUGAUGGAUUUCUUACGAGCAUAAUCCUCACUUUGGAUUGUCAUAAAGGAAUAAGUCAACUAUGGACUUUAUUAGCUUGUAAUGUGGCUUGAAAUAAUAGUUGAAGGAUAAGACUUUCAAGGACAUUGCACCACAGAUCGCAUUUUUCCAAAAUUGCCCCUAUUUCGAACUCGAAGAUUCUGAACUUUGUUUGAUCACUCAAUAGGGACUUCACCAUCGAAUCUUUUGUAUUUCAUUUUUCCUUUUUGCUUUUCCGUUUUCUUUUCUUUGAUCUGGUGGGUUUUCCAUGGUGAGUAGCGUUAGCCCCCAUACUCAAGCAAUUCAGAAAUACAGCUAAAAUUUUCCAGCAUCAGAAAUUUUCUUGACAGGGCCAUUGCAAAGAACAGAAGUCAGGACUUUCGGUUUUUGUAAUGGGGUCAGGUAUGGUGUUUUAGAAAAGUUAAGGGUUGAAGGCAGAUUUUAAAAAUUGUUUGAAGAAUCUGAGAUCGCAUUGUUGCGCCAACCCUAUUUUAGGGCUAAAUCAGAACUUUGCCCCAGUUUAUGCUCAAUUGAGGCUUUUUCACUUUCAUUUUCUUUCUUCUUUUGACUUUUCGGCCUUUUGCCAUUUUUUGAAACUUUCACAAAAUUUGCCCCAGUUUAUUUCUGAACUGAGGUUCUCUUUUCUUCUUUUGCUUUUGAUUUUGUGGCUUUUCACUUUUCACUUCUUGAAACUUUCCUUUUCAACUCAAACUUGCCCCAGUGUGGGGUUUGCGAUUCUCAGGGGUUGCCAAAUGAAGUAUUUUAUUCUGAAGGCUCAAAAGGGAUAACUAAGGAUAGAACGUUUGAUUGGAAAAGAAGAGGGCCUGACUUUUAUUCCAUUCCUUACAAUAACUCUGAAAGGAAACUUUCAUUAAUGGGAAAUUUCUGGCAUGUAUCUGAAUUAACUGACUGAGGAAGACCCUUGUUCAUCCAUAUUUGUGAAAUGUAGGCGUUCCGUGCGGACAAAUCUCUUCCUUUUCUUCUUUCUUUUUUUUUUCAAAAUUGGAACCCAAGUGGAAUCAAAUUUUCCCAAUUUGCGGUUCCCUUUCCCCUUUUCUUUUUCCUUUUUUUCAAAAUUCCCCAAUCUCCUUCCCCAAUGUGGGGUGCGAUCAUAUGUGCACUUGAAAAGAACCUACCAAUUUUUUUUUUGUUUUUGUUUUUUGGCUCAAAUGAGGAUGCAAGGGAUAAAUGGUGUUUAGGUCGUAGAAACGAUGGCCAAAGUAUCAUUCUUACGCCUCAUGACAACCAAGUAAACGAAUUGCUCAUUGAGAAUCCAUUCCCUUUUGAAAAUCUUCCUAAUGUAGGGUAGUGAUCAUUAAGGCUCUUAUUUGAAGCGAAAUUAUUCUUUCAAAGGCUCAAAUGGGAGAACAAAUGAUAAAAUGUGUAUAGGUAGAGAAAAGAAUGCUCGAAGUAUCAUUCCAAAUUUUCAAAACAAACAAGAGUAAUGCACAUUUUUGCUUUCACUUAGAUGUGAACUGAAUCGGUUAAACACAAUGGAUAUUUUCAAGCAAAGAUGGCCCCAAUUUGCAAUUUAUCAAUCAAUGUGACUGAUUUUAUUUUGGGGUUAAGUGAAGGAGAAAAGGUAUCUUAUUGGGCCUUUUGAGUGACCGUUCACCCUUUUCUGAGCACUCUUAUUGUAUAGCUCGGAUCACCAACCUAGUGUACAUGAGGAUUUUAGAGAGUAUACACUUGCGAAAUUCAGGUUAUAGGUUGAAAAAAUCUCAAUUUGGUCUUAUUUCUCAAAAUUCAUCAUGAAAUCUCUAAUGAGUAAGAAUAAAGAAUGAAAUGUACAUAUACACAAGACAAUAAUUGUCCAAAAAUUUUAUUGCUGAAAAAGUUUGAAACAAAAAUUCCUGUUCAAUUACGAUACAAAUGAGAAGAGAGAAACUUGUAAAAAGCUCCACAUAUACACUUUUUGUCUCCUUUUCUUUUGGAACAAAAUGUAUUAACAAAUCAAAUAUACAAAAUUUUCCUUUGAAAAACAAUUACAACAUCUCUCAGAGGCUUUAGCGUAGAGCUUCCAGAUAAAUCAUUUAUGUUUUCAUUGUAGGAUCUGCCCAAAAAUCACACAAUACUUGCAAUUUUGACACUUUAUUAGAUCGGAAGUGCCAUCAGAUAUAGAAAAAUAUUUUCCCUUUAUUGAAGUAUUUUUACGAAUGCAGGGAAGGGGGAAAACAAAAGAAAAAUACCCUGAAUUAGCAAGUAAGAUUAUAAAAUCAGUAUGCAUGUCCUAUGGGGGAACCCUUUUACGCCAAGGGUAGGCCUAGCAUGAAAAUGCAAUCCUCUAGGGUAGGCACUAUACCAUACCUGACGGAUCUGAUCAACUCAUUGAGUGAAAAAUAAUUUUGAAGAAUUUGGUCAAUUGGAGAGACGAAAGACAUUUGUCAAAAUAAGAACAAUGUCCGAAUGAAUUGAUCACAAAUGCACGGGUUUGACCUUGACGAACUUCCUACCGAAGAGAUUGGAAUUCGUUUGACAAAAUUUCCUCAGUAAAGCGCGGGUCAAAAUCCCCAACUGAUCAAAUGUCUGGAUGCAAUUGAUGUUUUUCUCAAAAUCGAUUAGGUUUCCCAAUUUGAAAUUCGACAUUGAAACCCUAAUUGGUCAAAUGGAUUGAAUGAAAAUGACCAUUUAUUUAAAAUCGAUCGGAUUACCCUAAAAAGGGAACGGGUCAAAUGAAUUAAGUGAAAUUUAACAACUUACUCAAAAUUGACCGAAUCAUCCUAAAAAGGAACUUGAUCGAAUGAAAUUGAGAAUUUUAUUCAAAAUGGACCGGAUCAUCUUAAAAAAUGAAAUUGGUCAAAUGAAUUGAAUGAAAUCGAGAAUUUAUUCAAAAUUGACCAGAUCGCCCUAAAAGGGUAAAUUGGUCAAAUGAAUCGGACGAAAUUGAUGAUUUAUUAAAAAUCGACAAAAUUGCCCUAACUAAUCAAAAUGAAUUGAAUGAAAUUGGUGAUUUAUUCAAAAAUCGACUAGAUUGCCCUAAAAUGGAUAAACUAGUCAAAUGAAUUCAAAAUCGACUAGGUUGCCCUAAAAAUGAACAAAUUGAUAAAAUGGACUGGAUGAAAUUGAGGAAUCAAAUGAUCCAAUGGACUGAAUGGCUUGAUGCAUUAGUCUAUGAGCCUUCUAAAAUCAAAUUUUGGCCUCAGUUUAUUUAUCGUCUCAUCAGUGAGGAAAUAUUGGUGAAUGUUCCAAUUAAUGUCCUUUUUGCAAGGGAUUUUUACCAAUUUGAUAAAAUGGCCAAAAAGUGAUUGUUAGACGCUCAUAUUCCAAAGAUUGCUCUAUGAAAAUGAUCGGAUCCUACCUUACCUUGUGCACUACCCCUUUGGAUGGUACAAAAUGUAAACGUGCAAGUCUCCUUGGAUUAAAUAUCCGAGACACAAUGUGGCUUAUUCCUAACACGGGAUCCCCUAAAUGGCAUUCCCUUCUAGGGUCUAUGCAUGAUGCCAGUUUAUUAAAGCAGAAAAUAUGUGACAAAUAUGGCUUAAAGGACAUAAAUAAUGCAUCGAGGGGAAAAGGUCUAAAAAUGAAAUGUACUUAUUGAAAAAUAAGUGUAAUGACUGAAAUUUAAACAUGUGAAUUAUCUAGUGGGUAGGUCACUAAAAGAAUGCCGAAGAGGCCUCUUAUUGCUAAGGCACAUGAAUGCAAGCCAAGAAAACAACGAAAUGGUUAGUACAAUUGAUAGUACACAUAACAUAUUAGGAGCAAAUAAGAAAGGAAAUACAAUAAAUAAAAACAAGUAAAAGGGAUGGAACCCCUUCCCUCGUGCCUAAUGUGCUUAAAAAGGGUAAGGCUGACUCUAACCUAGGAAAACUCUAACAUGGAUGCAUGAGGCUGGGGCUCACUAAUGCAACUAGACUCGAUAAGGCUUCGGCUCCCAAGCCUUCAGACCUAAAGGCAAAGGGUCAUCACUCUCAAGGCCUUCGAUCGGUGGCUCGAGUGAUCCCUUAGAUAGCGCUAUGGGCGCAGCGCACACCAUCCGCCUACCCAAGGCGAUCGAUCCUAAUCCUACAAGGCGGUGUGGGAAACGCCCACGAAAAUAAAGUAAAAUGGGAUAACAAUAAAUAAACGUGCACGUAUGAAGUGCUCCCUAUUUUGAGGGAAAGGUUUGAGAACCAACACGAGACUCUAAAGGUGACACACACCCCCCCAAAUGCAAUGCAAAGCGCGAGAUAAAAUAAGUAAAACAUAUAUCCAAAAAACCAAUCAUACAUUCGUGAGGGAGUAAUUUGAGACGUGUGAAAUGCAAAAUCCUAAAAAAGGAAAAAAUGCAACCCUAAAACACCCGAAUGUGAUAUAUGAAAAGGUUAAAAGAAGAAAAAGGUUGAUUAAAUCAAAUUUGCUCGGACUCUCGAAUGUCCCCAGUGGAGUCGCCAACUGUCGCGUCCCAUUUUUUGAUAAAUAAAUAAAUGGUUUGAAAAAUGUAUUUUUUGAUUCAAUUUGUGAUUGGAAAAUGAAUUGUGAUUUAAAAGAAAAAUGGGUCUAAAUGGGGGUUUGAGAAUGCGACGAUUUGACCCAAAAUUAUAGUUUAAAAGGGUUUUUUGAAAUAAAAAAUCGGAGUCGCCACUUGGUAAUGAGUUAAGGUGUACCAAGUCACCUAAAAUGAAUUUUUAAAGAAAAAAUAGGGAAAAGUAGUAAGAAACCCCUUUUAAACGACUCCUAGUCCACGUAAACCAACGAAAAAGGUUCGAGAGUCACAUUUGACGAAGGGGAAUGCAAGGAUAAAAAUCCAAAGCACCCCUUCGACCUAGCCAAGGCUAAUUGCGUGAUUUAAUCAAAGAUUUUCUUGUUUUAACCAAAGAAUUUAUUACAUUUGAAUGUACUACAUGAAUGCAAACCCUAGACCUAGGGGUAUUGGGGGGCAAAAUUUCUCUUCAAAGCUUGAAUGGUGCCAAUCACAUUAAUUGUGAAGCCCAAUAAUGAUCCUUUGGAGAGGUCACACAUAAUCCUAAAUGACGUAAAAAUGAGUGAAAUGAAUGCAUACCAUGUGAAAAUGUGAAUUUGUGUGAAGUGAGAAAAGUAAAAAAUAAUAGGAGGUAAGUGGAGGUGUGCAAAUGUAUUUACAAGGUAAGGUGAGUAAAGAAUGAUGAUGUGAAAAUAACAUAAAGUGCAUGUGUGCGAGUGAUAUGGUAUAAAGUGUGAGUAGUUAAGUGAAAACGUCCAAAAGUAGUGUGAAGUGAGAAUGUGGAAAAAGGGAUAAAAUAUAAAUUAGAAGUGUAUAGGAUAGUGAAUAAAUAAAAUGCAUGAACCCUAUAGGAAUGCAUCAAGACGGGAACGGGGAGUCCUAACUUUGUGACUUCAAUUUUCCCUUUGAUUAGAAAGGAGAACUAGCGUGCUAAGGUUAUUUUGUAGCCAAACUCGCUCGUUUCCCUUAUCGAAAGGGGACUCUUCAAGCAAAUGUACCCUAUAUCUAGCAUGAGGUGCAAAAAUCCUAAAAUGAGAGGAAAAGGGGUUCGAGGAGCAUGCCAAAUGAUAAAACUAAGAAAAAUGCAUGACAUGUAGUGAACAUGCAAGUAUGCACUAACGAAAGGGGAACGGCCUAUUAGGUCUAGCAUUGGACUAGCCCUUUCUAUGAAUUCCUAACGAAAUAAUGAGCCAUAACUAGUAUUGGACUAGUGUGGUGACGUACAUUCAUCCAUCACAUUCAUCUACAACUAUAGAAAGCAAGUAGACAUGCCAAACACUCAUAAACACAUAGCACAUAACACUUAGCAUGCUCGACUAGAUGCAAAAACCUAAUAAAGCAAAUUAACACAUAGCCACAAAAGCAAGCAAUCAAGCUAAUGAACCUAUUACAUUUGCUAGUUAGGCACACGUCUUCAAUAGGUCUUCAUCAAGUGCUCUCCAAGCCCUAUCUAUUACAAGCCAAGAGGUGUACACAUACCCCAUAAAUAAAGAAUAACUUAAUGAAAGCAAAAGUAAAUGAAAUGAAUGAAAGAGAUUAAGGAAAAGCAAGGAAAACAAAGUAGACAUGCAAUUCUCACUUAGCACAUUGGAUCACAUAGGGGAGAGACAAAAAAGAUAAAAGAAGUUAUACCUCCUUUGGAAUGGUGUCCCAAUGAAAGAAAAAUGGCUUAUUUAUCCUCCAAAAUAAAAGAAAUGGUCAAGGUACCAAUUUAUUUGGGAAAAUUAAAGAAAACAUGCAAACACGGGCUCACAUGGUCAUAAAGGUCUUAAAUGCAUGCAUGAAGUGCAAUUUAAACAAAGCAUGGUAGUCAAUUGAAACAAACAAGCAAUGGAGUUGUAAAAUUAAAAGCUACCAAGGACCAAAUUGAGGAAAUCAUUCAAUUGAUUGGGUCAUAGUAGGACAAGGGGAGACUUGGGGGGCCAAAGUGUAAUUUUUGGAAGCUUUCAUGCAAGUUCAUGCAAUGACUACGGGACAAGCUUCAGGAAAUAAAGAAAAGAGCUCGCAGCUUCUUAUUCUCAAGCUUGCUGCAAUUUUCUUAGCAUUCCUACUCACACAAACGAAGUCAUCAAAACACCAGAAGUUUAACUCUCUAAACCAACUAAAACAAACACAAAAUCUUUAUUGCAGGAUUUACGCAAAGAAAACUCAAAUUUGGCCGACAGAAAAAGGAAAAAUGCAGCAAAGUCUCUGCGAUUUCCUCAUGAUAAGCUUCUUCUAUCUCGCAUUGGCAGAUUCACAAAGCUCAAAACUGAGACCAACUUCAAGCUCUUAUCAUGCAUGCAAGGGAAUGACAAACCAGAACGAGGAAAAUCUUCAUGCACAUUCAUGAAAUGAAACUGCCGCAACAAGCCAAAGAAUGCGGCCACAGAAUGCAGCAGAAGCAGAAUGCAGCAAGAAUUUUUUAAUGUUGGAACAUGAUCCAAACAUUUUAGCUCCUAAUAAAUUGGUCAACCAGCAAACUGAAUGGCCGACACUUUGGUGAGUAAAUGCAGGCAAAAGAAACAGUAAAGAGAAUGCGAGGCCCCAUUUGUUCUGCUGCAAAAUGUUGCAGCUUCUCUAUGUGGGUAUCUUAUGCAGUUUCAGACCAAACCAAUGAACUCAUUUACCCAUCCCAUUAAAAUUCAAAACACUUGAUUAAUACAACACAAAAGGUAGGAAAUAGAAUCAUUGCAUAUCAAACGGACAACAGGGAACGACAAAGAGAAAUGAAAACAAUUUUUCUAAUGAGUUUUGGGUUCGUUAUCAGCAUGCAAGCAUUUCACAUCCGUUCCCAACCAACAAAGCAGGCACCUUAUAUCUAUUACUACCCAAAACAACAUGAAGGAAGGAUGUACGAACCCAUGACACUAGCUUACGGGGAAGGCCCUAGAUUUCUACCUCAAAACACAAGCUGAACCAAACCGCCAAUCAAAGUUAGAAACUUUCGGUCGUUUUCUCUCGGCCAAGACACCAAUAUGCAGGAGACCGACUCCUUACCCAAACCCUAGACUUAGCAGUACCCAAACAAGAACCAUUAGCUAUAUUGAAGCAAGAUCAGAACCAGUAAUAACGCAGAAAUGCAAACAAACAACUAAAGAAAAGAGCUUUCAACUUAAAAAGAAGAGUUCAAUACCUGAAUCGAGUAAUGGAGAACAGGCUCAGAUGAUUCGGCCAAACCUUCUGGUUUUGCUUUCCUUCAACAGUCCGCAGCCCCCCCAAGCAAUCCUCUUUUCUCUCUGGUUUCUAGCCGUCAACCUUCUCUCAAAGCUCUAGCCUUUUCCUCAUCAGCCGACCUUCCCCCUGUUUUCUCUUUCUCAAAAUGGUUUUCUCCUCCCCUUGCUCUCGGCUGCCUCCCUCCUUUUUCCCUUUCAAGCUCACACAGAAACUCAACCCUCUCCCUCGUUCUCUCUUGCUUCUCAGUUUUUCUUCCUCCAGCAGUCGUCCCCCUUUUCUUUGCCUUUUUCUGUGUUUCUAUCUCUCGGGUUCCUCCCCUCUUGCGGCUGCAGUUCCCUUUCUUUUAAUAUCCGGCUAGCCACCCCCAAAACCCUGUAUUCAAUGGCUAGAAAUCAUCCCUCUCAAACCCUUUUUCUUGGCCAUCCGAUGAGCCUGCAUUCGUCCUUUGCAAGCUGCCAACAAAUGCAGCGUGCGUGCCGCGAGACUUCCUCUUUUUUUUUUAAUUAAUUAAUAUAGAUAACUAAUUACUUAAUAAUAAAAAAAAUGAAGAAAUGCUAAUUAAGAUACAAAUGAAAUGCUAAUUUUCUUUCUUCUUUUUUUCUUUUUUUUUCCUUUUUCCAUUUUCAUUCAUUUUUCCUUUUUUCCUUUUUUUUCCAAAAAUUCUAUGCUAAAAACUUGAAAAUAAAAAUAAAACUAGAAACUAACAACUAAAAAUCGAAUAAAACAAACACGACAAGUAAAAAACUAAAAAUGAAAUUACACUAAAAUUUUGGUGUCUACAGUUUGCCCCUCUUUAUCUGAGUUUUGAAAAAACUUGAGACAAAGAAGUAGACACCAAAUACUUACCUGUGUUAUUCGGCUGCAAUGGAUGCUUCUGAAAUGAGGACUGACCUCUUUAAUAAAUUUUUUUUUUUGAAAUGGGAUUAACCCAAACAGGAAAUUAAAACGGGACUGACCCGAGCAGAAAUUUAAACAGGACUGACCCGAACAGAAAAUUAAACGGGACUGACCCGAACAGAAAUGUAAAUGGGAUAGACCCAGACAAAAAUGUAAAUGGGAUAGACCCAGACAAAAAUGUAAAUGGGAUAGACCCACGGGAUAGACCCGGACAGGAAUUUAAAUGGGAUAGACCCGGACAGAAAUGUAAACGGGAUAGACCCGAACGGAAAUGUAAAUGGGAUAGACCCACGGGAUAGAUCCGGACAGAAAUGUAAACGGGAUAGACCCGAACAGAAAUGUAAAUGGGAUAGACCCACGGGAUAGACCCGAACAGAAAUUUAAAUGGGAUAGACCCAGACAGAAAUUUAAAAUCAUGGGACUGACCCGAAUAAAACUUAAAAUCAUGGGACUGACCCGAAUAAAACCUAAAAUCAUGGGACUGAUUCGAAUAAACAUAAAAUCAUGGGACGCUCACUAGUGGGACUAACCCACGGCUAGUGGCGAUGCAAAAGGAAAUGCUCACUAGUGGGACUGACCCACGGCUAGUGGCGGAGUAAAGGAAAGUGCGCACUAGUGGGACUGACCCACGGCUAGUGGUGAUGCAAAAGGAAAUGCUCACUAGUGGGACUGACCCACGGCUAGUGGCUGAGUAAAAUGAAAAUGCACACUAGUGGGACUGACCCAGGGCUAGUGGCUGAGUAAAUGAAAAUGCGCACUAGUGGGACUGACCCACGGCUAGUGGUUGAGUAAAUGAAAAAUGCGCACUAGUGGGACUGACCCACGGCUAGUGGCUAAAGAAAAUGAAAUGCUCACUAGUGGGACUGACCCACGGCUAGUGGCUGUGAAAAUGAAAUGCUUACUGGCGGGACAAACCCAUCUCCAGUAGCAAUGUAAAUAAAUGCUUACCGGCGGGACAAACCCAACUCCAAUAGCAAUGAAAAUAAAAUGCUUACUGGCGGGACAAACCCAGCUCCAGUAGCAAUGUAAAUGAAAUGCUUGACAAUCGGACAGUGGGAUCAAACCCGAGCAUGUCGUGAUGAACUUGAUUUGAUUUUUGAUUUUUUGAUUUUUUUUUUUUGAUUUUUUGAUUUUUUUGAUUUUUGAUUUUUUUGAUUUUUGAUUUUUCUCUUUUUCUGAUCUUUUGAGAGAAUCUUUUCAAAAUUUGCCCCAGUAUGAUGAAUUGGUCAGUAAGACAACAUCUGAGCCUGACGGGGUGUGGACGGUCAGCGGGAUAAAACCCGGUCCUGCCGAGGUUGGCGGGAUGAAACCCGGUCCCAACGAAGUAAGCGGUCAGCGGGAUAAAACCCGGUCCUGCCGAGGUACGCGGUCAGCGGGAUAAAACCCGGUUCUGCCGAGGUACGCGGGAUAAAACCCGGUCCCAACGAAGGUAAGCGGGUCCCAACGCGGUCAGCGGGAUAAAACCCGGUCCUGCCGAGGUUGGCGGGAUGAAACCCGGUCCCAACGAAGUAAGCGGUCAGCGGGAUAAAACCCGGUCCUGCCGAGGUAAGCGGUCAGCGGGAUAAAACCCGGUCCUGCCGAGGUUGGCGGGAUAAAACUCGGUCCCAACGAAGUAAGCGGUCAGCGGGAUAAAACCCGGUCCUGCCGAGGUAAGCGGUCAGCGGGAUAAAACCCGGUCCUGCCGAGGUAAGCAGGAUAAAACUCGGUCCCAACGAAGUAAGCGGUCAGCGGGAUAAAACCCGGUCCUGCCGAGGUUGGCGGGAUGAAAUCCGGUCCCAACGGGAUGUUGUGCAGUUGGCGGCACGAAGUCCAGGCCCAACGUGAUCUUGUGAAGUUGGCGGCACGAAAUCCAGGCCCAACGUGAUCUUGUGAACAAGAAAUUGAAUUUGACUUGUCAAGAAGCAAGAAGUUAAACUUGAGUUUUUUUUAUUUUUGACCUUUCUGAUGAUGAUUUUUUGAUUUUUUCUUUUCCUUUCAUUUUCUGAUUUUUUUUCUUUUUUUUUUAAUUUUUCCUUCCUUUCGGAUUUUUCCGAGAGAAUUUUUCCAAAAUAAUUUGCCCCAGCAUCGGGUCCAUUUUUCCCUCCUUCUUCUUGCUUCUCUUUGCAGUAUCGGCCUUCUGCCUCACUGGAUGCUUUUCGUCAUUUUGAACCAUGAAUUACCUAUACAAGGGGUUCAUCAAAGCAUGACAUGCAUUCAAAUUUCUUAUUUGAAAAGAAAAGCGUGAUUGGUUUGACAUCCUCACACGUAUUACAAAAAUUUUGCCCCAGUGUGGACUAUUUUGCAAAAUCUCUCUCAUGAAAAUUUGCCCCAGUGUAGGCCUAUUUAAUUGCAAAAAAUUUGUUUGAAUGACCCUCCAUUUAUUUGAACAAAGUAAGCAAUUGCUUUUCCUAACAUAUCAUGUGAAGAAAAAUUGAAUGUCUUGCUUAAAACUCAUAUAGCAAGUUUCAUGAUGAAUUUCUUAAAAUAAUGCCAAAUUACGAAAGAUUUCUUCCCCACUUUAGCAUCAAUGUUUUGGGUAAUGGGUCACCAUUUCUUGUUGGCUCAUCUUUCAGGACCAAUCAAGUGACUUUAUUUCUGAUUUUGAGGUGGCCAAGGAAAAUGAGAGGUCAAGAUUUGUCUGAUUUUUUGUGCCCAAAUUGUAUGUAAUCCCUUCAAUACCACAUCUUAGUGAAAGCAAAGAAUUUAUCACCCUUAUUUCUUAAGAAAACUUAGUCAACGUAUAAGCUUUGUAGGCUUGCAACAAAAUGAGUAGAAGCGAUAGCUAAACCUGUGAAAACUGGUUAUACCCCCAUGAUCACGAAUGAUUGAUGGAUUUCUUACGAGCAUAAUCCUCACUUUGGAUUGUCAUAAAGGAAUAAGUCAACUAUGGACUUUAUUAGCUUGUAAUGUGGCUUGAAAUAAUAGUUGAAGGAUAAGACUUUCAAGGACAUUGCACCACAGAUCGCAUUUUUCCAAAAUUGCCCCUAUUUCGAACUCGAAGAUUCUGAACUUUGUUUGAUCACUCAAUAGGGACUUCACCAUCGAAUCUUUUGUAUUUCAUUUUUCCUUUUUGCUUUUCCGUUUUCUUUUCUUUGAUCUGGUGGGUUUUCCAUGGUGAGUAGCGUUAGCCCCCAUACUCAAGCAAUUCAGAAAUACAGCUAAAAUUUUCCAGCAUCAGAAAUUUUCUUGACAGGGCCAUUGCAAAGAACAGAAGUCAGGACUUUCGGUUUUUGUAAUGGGGUCAGGUAUGGUGUUUUAGAAAAGUUAAGGGUUGAAGGCAGAUUUUAAAAAUUGUUUGAAGAAUCUGAGAUCGCAUUGUUGCGCCAACCCUAUUUUAGGGCUAAAUCAGAACUUUGCCCCAGUUUAUGCUCAAUUGAGGCUUUUUCACUUUCAUUUUCUUUCUUCUUUUGACUUUUCGGCCUUUUGCCAUUUUUUGAAACUUUCACAAAAUUUGCCCCAGUUUAUUUCUGAACUGAGGUUCUCUUUUCUUCUUUUGCUUUUGAUUUUGUGGCUUUUCACUUUUCACUUCUUGAAACUUUCCUUUUCAACUCAAACUUGCCCCAGUGUGGGGUUUGCGAUUCUCAGGGGUUGCCAAAUGAAGUAUUUUAUUCUGAAGGCUCAAAAGGGAUAACUAAGGAUAGAACGUUUGAUUGGAAAAGAAGAGGGCCUGACUUUUAUUCCAUUCCUUACAAUAACUCUGAAAGGAAACUUUCAUUAAUGGGAAAUUUCUGGCAUGUAUCUGAAUUAACUGACUGAGGAAGACCCUUGUUCAUCCAUAUUUGUGAAAUGUAGGCGUUCCGUGCGGACAAAUCUCUUCCUUUUCUUCUUUCUUUUUUUUUUCAAAAUUGGAACCCAAGUGGAAUCAAAUUUUCCCAAUUUGCGGUUCCCUUUCCCCUUUUCUUUUUCCUUUUUUUCAAAAUUCCCCAAUCUCCUUCCCCAAUGUGGGGUGCGAUCAUAUGUGCACUUGAAAAGAACCUACCAAUUUUUUUUUUGUUUUUGUUUUUUGGCUCAAAUGAGGAUGCAAGGGAUAAAUGGUGUUUAGGUCGUAGAAACGAUGGCCAAAGUAUCAUUCUUACGCCUCAUGACAACCAAGUAAACGAAUUGCUCAUUGAGAAUCCAUUCCCUUUUGAAAAUCUUCCUAAUGUAGGGUAGUGAUCAUUAAGGCUCUUAUUUGAAGCGAAAUUAUUCUUUCAAAGGCUCAAAUGGGAGAACAAAUGAUAAAAUGUGUAUAGGUAGAGAAAAGAAUGCUCGAAGUAUCAUUCCAAAUUUUCAAAACAAACAAGAGUAAUGCACAUUUUUGCUUUCACUUAGAUGUGAACUGAAUCGGUUAAACACAAUGGAUAUUUUCAAGCAAAGAUGGCCCCAAUUUGCAAUUUAUCAAUCAAUGUGACUGAUUUUAUUUUGGGGUUAAGUGAAGGAGAAAAGGUAUCUUAUUGGGCCUUUUGAGUGACCGUUCACCCUUUUCUGAGCACUCUUAUUGUAUAGCUCGGAUCACCAACCUAGUGUACAUGAGGAUUUUAGAGAGUAUACACUUGCGAAAUUCAGGUUAUAGGUUGAAAAAAUCUCAAUUUGGUCUUAUUUCUCAAAAUUCAUCAUGAAAUCUCUAAUGAGUAAGAAUAAAGAAUGAAAUGUACAUAUACACAAGACAAUAAUUGUCCAAAAAUUUUAUUGCUGAAAAAGUUUGAAACAAAAAUUCCUGUUCAAUUACGAUACAAAUGAGAAGAGAGAAACUUGUAAAAAGCUCCACAUAUACACUUUUUGUCUCCUUUUCUUUUGGAACAAAAUGUAUUAACAAAUCAAAUAUACAAAAUUUUCCUUUGAAAAACAAUUACAACAUCUCUCAGAGGCUUUAGCGUAGAGCUUCCAGAUAAAUCAUUUAUGUUUUCAUUGUAGGAUCUGCCCAAAAAUCACACAAUACUUGCAAUUUUGACACUUUAUUAGAUCGGAAGUGCCAUCAGAUAUAGAAAAAUAUUUUCCCUUUAUUGAAGUAUUUUUACGAAUGCAGGGAAGGGGGAAAACAAAAGAAAAAUACCCUGAAUUAGCAAGUAAGAUUAUAAAAUCAGUAUGCAUGUCCUAUGGGGGAACCCUUUUACGCCAAGGGUAGGCCUAGCAUGAAAAUGCAAUCCUCUAGGGUAGGCACUAUACCAUACCUGACGGAUCUGAUCAACUCAUUGAGUGAAAAAUAAUUUUGAAGAAUUUGGUCAAUUGGAGAGACGAAAGACAUUUGUCAAAAUAAGAACAAUGUCCGAAUGAAUUGAUCACAAAUGCACGGGUUUGACCUUGACGAACUUCCUACCGAAGAGAUUGGAAUUCGUUUGACAAAAUUUCCUCAGUAAAGCGCGGGUCAAAAUCCCCAACUGAUCAAAUGUCUGGAUGCAAUUGAUGUUUUUCUCAAAAUCGAUUAGGUUUCCCAAUUUGAAAUUCGACAUUGAAACCCUAAUUGGUCAAAUGGAUUGAAUGAAAAUGACCAUUUAUUUAAAAUCGAUCGGAUUACCCUAAAAAGGGAACGGGUCAAAUGAAUUAAGUGAAAUUUAACAACUUACUCAAAAUUGACCGAAUCAUCCUAAAAAGGAACUUGAUCGAAUGAAAUUGAGAAUUUUAUUCAAAAUGGACCGGAUCAUCUUAAAAAAUGAAAUUGGUCAAAUGAAUUGAAUGAAAUCGAGAAUUUAUUCAAAAUUGACCAGAUCGCCCUAAAAGGGUAAAUUGGUCAAAUGAAUCGGACGAAAUUGAUGAUUUAUUAAAAAUCGACAAAAUUGCCCUAACUAAUCAAAAUGAAUUGAAUGAAAUUGGUGAUUUAUUCAAAAAUCGACUAGAUUGCCCUAAAAUGGAUAAACUAGUCAAAUGAAUUCAAAAUCGACUAGGUUGCCCUAAAAAUGAACAAAUUGAUAAAAUGGACUGGAUGAAAUUGAGGAAUCAAAUGAUCCAAUGGACUGAAUGGCUUGAUGCAUUAGUCUAUGAGCCUUCUAAAAUCAAAUUUUGGCCUCAGUUUAUUUAUCGUCUCAUCAGUGAGGAAAUAUUGGUGAAUGUUCCAAUUAAUGUCCUUUUUGCAAGGGAUUUUUACCAAUUUGAUAAAAUGGCCAAAAAGUGAUUGUUAGACGCUCAUAUUCCAAAGAUUGCUCUAUGAAAAUGAUCGGAUCCUACCUUACCUUGUGCACUACCCCUUUGGAUGGUACAAAAUGUAAACGUGCAAGUCUCCUUGGAUUAAAUAUCCGAGACACAAUGUGGCUUAUUCCUAACACGGGAUCCCCUAAAUGGCAUUCCCUUCUAGGGUCUAUGCAUGAUACCAGUUUAUUAAAGCAGAAAAUAUGUGACAAAUAUGGCUUAAAGGACAUAAAUAAUGCAUCGAGGGGAAAAGGUCUAAAAAUGAAAUGUACUUAUUGAAAAAUAAGUGUAAUGACUGAAAUUUAAACAUGUGAAUUAUCUAGUGGGUAGGUCACUAAAAGAAUGCCGAAGAGGCCUCUUAUUGCUAAGGCACAUGAAUGCAAGCCAAGAAAACAACGAAAUGGUUAGUACAAUUGAUAGUACACAUAACAUAUUAGGAGCAAAUAAGAAAGGAAAUACAAUAAAUAAAAACAAGUAAAAGGGAUGGAACCCCUUCCCUCGUGCCUAAUGUGCUUAAAAAGGGUAAGGCUGACUCUAACCUAGGAAAACUCUAACAUGGAUGCAUGAGGCUGGGGCUCACUAAUGCAACUAGACUCGAUAAGGCUUCGGCUCCCAAGCCUUCAGACCUAAAGGCAAAGGGUCAUCACUCUCAAGGCCUUCGAUCGGUGGCUCGAGUGAUCCCUUAGAUAGCGCUAUGGGCGCAGCGCACACCAUCCGCCUACCCAAGGCGAUCGAUCCUAAUCCUACAAGGCGGUGUGGGAAACGCCCACGAAAAUAAAGUAAAAUGGGAUAACAAUAAAUAAACGUGCACGUAUGAAGUGCUCCCUAUUUUGAGGGAAAGGUUUGAGAACCAACACGAGACUCUAAAGGUGACACACACCCCCCCAAAUGCAAUGCAAAGCGCGAGAUAAAAUAAGUAAAACAUAUAUCCAAAAAACCAAUCAUACAUUCGUGAGGGAGUAAUUUGAGACGUGUGAAAUGCAAAAUCCUAAAAAAGGAAAAAAUGCAACCCUAAAACACCCGAAUGUGAUAUAUGAAAAGGUUAAAAGAAGAAAAAGGUUGAUUAAAUCAAAUUUGCUCGGACUCUCGAAUGUCCCCAGUGGAGUCGCCAACUGUCGCGUCCCAUUUUUUGAUAAAUAAAUAAAUGGUUUGAAAAAUGUAUUUUUUGAUUCAAUUUGUGAUUGGAAAAUGAAUUGUGAUUUAAAAGAAAAAUGGGUCUAAAUGGGGGUUUGAGAAUGCGACGAUUUGACCCAAAAUUAUAGUUUAAAAGGGUUUUUUGAAAUAAAAAAUCGGAGUCGCCACUUGGUAAUGAGUUAAGGUGUACCAAGUCACCUAAAAUGAAUUUUUAAAGAAAAAAUAGGGAAAAGUAGUAAGAAACCCCUUUUAAACGACUCCUAGUCCACGUAAACCAACGAAAAAGGUUCGAGAGUCACAUUUGACGAAGGGGAAUGCAAGGAUAAAAAUCCAAAGCACCCCUUCGACCUAGCCAAGGCUAAUUGCGUGAUUUAAUCAAAGAUUUUCUUGUUUUAACCAAAGAAUUUAUUACAUUUGAAUGUACUACAUGAAUGCAAACCCUAGACCUAGGGGUAUUGGGGGGCAAAAUUUCUCUUCAAAGCUUGAAUGGUGCCAAUCACAUUAAUUGUGAAGCCCAAUAAUGAUCCUUUGGAGAGGUCACACAUAAUCCUAAAUGACGUAAAAAUGAGUGAAAUGAAUGCAUACCAUGUGAAAAUGUGAAUUUGUGUGAAGUGAGAAAAGUAAAAAAUAAUAGGAGGUAAGUGGAGGUGUGCAAAUGUAUUUACAAGGUAAGGUGAGUAAAGAAUGAUGAUGUGAAAAUAACAUAAAGUGCAUGUGUGCGAGUGAUAUGGUAUAAAGUGUGAGUAGUUAAGUGAAAACGUCCAAAAGUAGUGUGAAGUGAGAAUGUGGAAAAAGGGAUAAAAUAUAAAUUAGAAGUGUAUAGGAUAGUGAAUAAAUAAAAUGCAUGAACCCUAUAGGAAUGCAUCAAGACGGGAACGGGGAGUCCUAACUUUGUGACUUCAAUUUUCCCUUUGAUUAGAAAGGAGAACUAGCGUGCUAAGGUUAUUUUGUAGCCAAACUCGCUCGUUUCCCUUAUCGAAAGGGGACUCUUCAAGCAAAUGUACCCUAUAUCUAGCAUGAGGUGCAAAAAUCCUAAAAUGAGAGGAAAAGGGGUUCGAGGAGCAUGCCAAAUGAUAAAACUAAGAAAAAUGCAUGACAUGUAGUGAACAUGCAAGUAUGCACUAACGAAAGGGGAACGGCCUAUUAGGUCUAGCAUUGGACUAGCCCUUUCUAUGAAUUCCUAACGAAAUAAUGAGCCAUAACUAGUAUUGGACUAGUGUGGUGACGUACAUUCAUCCAUCACAUUCAUCUACAACUAUAGAAAGCAAGUAGACAUGCCAAACACUCAUAAACACAUAGCACAUAACACUUAGCAUGCUCGACUAGAUGCAAAAACCUAAUAAAGCAAAUUAACACAUAGCCACAAAAGCAAGCAAUCAAGCUAAUGAACCUAUUACAUUUGCUAGUUAGGCACACGUCUUCAAUAGGUCUUCAUCAAGUGCUCUCCAAGCCCUAUCUAUUACAAGCCAAGAGGUGUACACAUACCCCAUAAAUAAAGAAUAACUUAAUGAAAGCAAAAGUAAAUGAAAUGAAUGAAAGAGAUUAAGGAAAAGCAAGGAAAACAAAGUAGACAUGCAAUUCUCACUUAGCACAUUGGAUCACAUAGGGGAGAGACAAAAAAGAUAAAAGAAGUUAUACCUCCUUUGGAAUGGUGUCCCAAUGAAAGAAAAAUGGCUUAUUUAUCCUCCAAAAUAAAAGAAAUGGUCAAGGUACCAAUUUAUUUGGGAAAAUUAAAGAAAACAUGCAAACACGGGCUCACAUGGUCAUAAAGGUCUUAAAUGCAUGCAUGAAGUGCAAUUUAAACAAAGCAUGGUAGUCAAUUGAAACAAACAAGCAAUGGAGUUGUAAAAUUAAAAGCUACCAAGGACCAAAUUGAGGAAAUCAUUCAAUUGAUUGGGUCAUAGUAGGACAAGGGGAGACUUGGGGGGCCAAAGUGUAAUUUUUGGAAGCUUUCAUGCAAGUUCAUGCAAUGACUACGGGACAAGCUUCAGGAAAUAAAGAAAAGAGCUCGCAGCUUCUUAUUCUCAAGCUUGCUGCAAUUUUCUUAGCAUUCCUACUCACACAAACGAAGUCAUCAAAACACCAGAAGUUUAACUCUCUAAACCAACUAAAACAAACACAAAAUCUUUAUUGCAGGAUUUACGCAAAGAAAACUCAAAUUUGGCCGACAGAAAAAGGAAAAAUGCAGCAAAGUCUCUGCGAUUUCCUCAUGAUAAGCUUCUUCUAUCUCGCAUUGGCAGAUUCACAAAGCUCAAAACUGAGACCAACUUCAAGCUCUUAUCAUGCAUGCAAGGGAAUGACAAACCAGAACGAGGAAAAUCUUCAUGCACAUUCAUGAAAUGAAACUGCCGCAACAAGCCAAAGAAUGCGGCCACAGAAUGCAGCAGAAGCAGAAUGCAGCAAGAAUUUUUUAAUGUUGGAACAUGAUCCAAACAUUUUAGCUCCUAAUAAAUUGGUCAACCAGCAAACUGAAUGGCCGACACUUUGGUGAGUAAAUGCAGGCAAAAGAAACAGUAAAGAGAAUGCGAGGCCCCAUUUGUUCUGCUGCAAAAUGUUGCAGCUUCUCUAUGUGGGUAUCUUAUGCAGUUUCAGACCAAACCAAUGAACUCAUUUACCCAUCCCAUUAAAAUUCAAAACACUUGAUUAAUACAACACAAAAGGUAGGAAAUAGAAUCAUUGCAUAUCAAACGGACAACAGGGAACGACAAAGAGAAAUGAAAACAAUUUUUCUAAUGAGUUUUGGGUUCGUUAUCAGCAUGCAAGCAUUUCACAUCCGUUCCCAACCAACAAAGCAGGCACCUUAUAUCUAUUACUACCCAAAACAACAUGAAGGAAGGAUGUACGAACCCAUGACACUAGCUUACGGGGAAGGCCCUAGAUUUCUACCUCAAAACACAAGCUGAACCAAACCGCCAAUCAAAGUUAGAAACUUUCGGUCGUUUUCUCUCGGCCAAGACACCAAUAUGCAGGAGACCGACUCCUUACCCAAACCCUAGACUUAGCAGUACCCAAACAAGAACCAUUAGCUAUAUUGAAGCAAGAUCAGAACCAGUAAUAACGCAGAAAUGCAAACAAACAACUAAAGAAAAGAGCUUUCAACUUAAAAAGAAGAGUUCAAUACCUGAAUCGAGUAAUGGAGAACAGGCUCAGAUGAUUCGGCCAAACCUUCUGGUUUUGCUUUCCUUCAACAGUCCGCAGCCCCCCCAAGCAAUCCUCUUUUCUCUCUGGUUUCUAGCCGUCAACCUUCUCUCAAAGCUCUAGCCUUUUCCUCAUCAGCCGACCUUCCCCCUGUUUUCUCUUUCUCAAAAUGGUUUUCUCCUCCCCUUGCUCUCGGCUGCCUCCCUCCUUUUUCCCUUUCAAGCUCACACAGAAACUCAACCCUCUCCCUCGUUCUCUCUUGCUUCUCAGUUUUUCUUCCUCCAGCAGUCGUCCCCCUUUUCUUUGCCUUUUUCUGUGUUUCUAUCUCUCGGGUUCCUCCCCUCUUGCGGCUGCAGUUCCCUUUCUUUUAAUAUCCGGCUAGCCACCCCCAAAACCCUGUAUUCAAUGGCUAGAAAUCAUCCCUCUCAAACCCUUUUUCUUGGCCAUCCGAUGAGCCUGCAUUCGUCCUUUGCAAGCUGCCAACAAAUGCAGCGUGCGUGCCGCGAGACUUCCUCUUUUUUUUUUAAUUAAUUAAUAUAGAUAACUAAUUACUUAAUAAUCAUGAUCACGAAUGAUUGAUGGAUUUCUUACGAGCAUAAUCCUCACUUUGGAUUGUCAUAAAGGAAUAAGUCAACUAUGGACUUUAUUAGCUUGUAAUGUGGCUUGAAAUAAUAGUUGAAGGAUAAGACUUUCAAGGACAUUGCACCACAGAUCGCAUUUUUCCAAAAUUGCCCCUAUUUCGAACUCGAAGAUUCUGAACUUUGUUUGAUCACUCAAUAGGGACUUCACCAUCGAAUCUUUUGUAUUUCAUUUUUCCUUUUUGCUUUUCCGUUUUCUUUUCUUUGAUCUGGUGGGUUUUCCAUGGUGAGUAGCGUUAGCCCCCAUACUCAAGCAAUUCAGAAAUACAGCUAAAAUUUUCCAGCAUCAGAAAUUUUCUUGACAGGGCCAUUGCAAAGAACAGAAGUCAGGACUUUCGGUUUUUUGUAAUGGGGUCAGGUAUGGUGUUUUAGAAAAGUUAAGGGUUGAAGGCAGAUUUUAAAAAUUGUUUGAAGAAUCUGAGAUCGCAUUGUUGCGCCAACCCUAUUUUAGGGCUAAAUCAGAACUUUGCCCCAGUUUAUGCUCAAUUGAGGCUUUUUCACUUUCAUUUUCUUUCUUCUUUUGACUUUUCGGCCUUUUGCCAUUUUUUGAAACUUUCACAAAAUUUGCCCCAGUUUAUUUCUGAACUGAGGUUCUCUUUUCUUCUUUUGCUUUUGAUUUUGUGGCUUUUCACUUUUCACUUCUUGAAACUUUCCUUUUCAACUCAAACUUGCCCCAGUGUGGGGUUUGCGAUUCUCAGGGGUUGCCAAAUGAAGUAUUUUAUUCUGAAGGCUCAAAAGGGAUAACUAAGGAUAGAACGUUUGAUUGGAAAAGAAGAGGGCCUGACUUUUAUUCCAUUCCUUACAAUAACUCUGAAAGGAAACUUUCAUUAAUGGGAAAUUUCUGGCAUGUAUCUGAAUUAACUGACUGAGGAAGACCCUUGUUCAUCCAUAUUUGUGAAAUGUAGGCGUUCCGUGCGGACAAAUCUCUUCCUUUUCUUCUUUCUUUUUUUUUUCAAAAUUGGAACCCAAGUGGAAUCAAAUUUUCCCAAUUUGCGGUUCCCUUUCCCCUUUUCUUUUUCCUUUUUUUCAAAAUUCCCCAAUCUCCUUCCCCAAUGUGGGGUGCGAUCAUAUGUGCACUUGAAAAGAACCUACCAAUUUUUUUUUGUUUUUGUUUUUUGGCUCAAAUGAGGAUGCAAGGGAUAAAUGGUGUUUAGGUCGUAGAAACGAUGGCCAAAGUAUCAUUCUUACGCCUCAUGACAACCAAGUAAACGAAUUGCUCAUUGAGAAUCCAUUCCCUUUUGAAAAUCUUCCUAAUGUAGGGUAGUGAUCAUUAAGGCUCUUAUUUGAAGCGAAAUUAUUCUUUCAAAGGCUCAAAUGGGAGAACAAAUGAUAAAAUGUGUAUAGGUAGAGAAAAGAAUGCUCGAAGUAUCAUUCCAAAUUUUCAAAACAAACAAGAGUAAUGCACAUUUUUGCUUUCACUUAGAUGUGAACUGAAUCGGUUAAACACAAUGGAUAUUUUCAAGCAAAGAUGGCCCCAAUUUGCAAUUUAUCAAUCAAUGUGACUGAUUUUAUUUUGGGGUUAAGUGAAGGAGAAAAGGUAUCUUAUUGGGCCUUUUGAGUGACCGUUCACCCUUUUCUGAGCACUCUUAUUGUAUAGCUCGGAUCACCAACCUAGUGUACAUGAGGAUUUUAGAGAGUAUACACUUGCGAAAUUCAGGUUAUAGGUUGAAAAAAUCUCAAUUUGGUCUUAUUUCUCAAAUUCAUCAUGAAAUCUCUAAUGAGUAAGAAUAAAGAAUGAAAUGUACAUAUACACAAGACAAUAAUUGUCCAAAAAUUUUAUUGCUGAAAAAGUUUGAAACAAAAAUUCCUGUUCAAUUACGAUACAAAUGAGAAGAGAGAAACUUGUAAAAAGCUCCACAUAUACACUUUUUGUCUCCUUUUCUUUUGGAACAAAAUGUAUUAACAAAUCAAAUAUACAAAAUUUUCCUUUGAAAAACAAUUACAACAUCUCUCAGAGGCUUAGCGUAGAGCUUCCAGAUAAAUCAUUUAUGUUUUCAUUGUAGGAUCUGCCCAAAAAUCACACAAUACUUGCAAUUUUGACACUUUAUUAGAUCGGAAGUGCCAUCAGAUAUAGAAAAAUAUUUUCCCUUUAUUGAAGUAUUUUUACGAAUGCAGGGAAGGGGGAAAACAAAAGAAAAAUACCCUGAAUUAGCAAGUAAGAUUAUAAAAUCAGUAUGCAUGUCCUAUGGGGGAACCCUUUUACGCCAAGGGUAGGCCUAGCAUGAAAAUGCAAUCCUCUAGGGUAGGCACUAUACCAUACCUGACGGAUCUGAUCAACUCAUUGAGUGAAAAAUAAUUUUGAAGAAUUUGGUCAAUUGGAGAGACGAAAGACAUUUGUCAAAUAAGAACAAUGUCCGAAUGAAUUGAUCACAAAUGCACGGGUUUGACCUUGACGAACUUCCUACCGAAGAGAUUGGAAUUCGUUUGACAAAAUUUCCUCAGUAAAGCGCGGGUCAAAAUCCCCAACUGAUCAAAUGUCUGGAUGCAAUUGAUGUUUUUCUCAAAAUCGAUUAGGUUUCCCAAUUUGAAAUUCGACAUUGAAACCCUAAUUGGUCAAAUGGAUUGAAUGAAAAUGACCAUUUAUUUAAAAUCGAUCGGAUUACCCUAAAAAGGGAACGGGUCAAAUGAAUUAAGUGAAAUUUAACAACUUACUCAAAAUUGACCGAAUCAUCCUAAAAAGGAACUUGAUCGAAUGAAAUUGAGAAUUUUAUUCAAAAUGGACCGGAUCAUCUUAAAAAAUGAAAUUGGUCAAAUGAAUUGAAUGAAAUCGAGAAUUUAUUCAAAAUUGACCAGAUCGCCCUAAAAGGGUAAAUUGGUCAAAUGAAUCGGACGAAAUUGAUGAUUUAUUAAAAAUCGACAAAAUUGCCCUAACUAAUCAAAAUGAAUUGAAUGAAAUUGGUGAUUUAUUCAAAAAUCGACUAGAUUGCCCUAAAAUGGAUAAACUAGUCAAAUGAAUUCAAAAUCGACUAGGUUGCCCUAAAAAUGAACAAAUUGAUAAAAUGGACUGGAUGAAAUUGAGGAAUCAAAUGAUCCAAUGGACUGAAUGGCUUGAUGCAUUAGUCUAUGAGCCUUCUAAAAUCAAAUUUUGGCCUCAGUUUAUUUAUCGUCUCAUCAGUGAGGAAAUAUUGGUGAAUGUUCCAAUUAAUGUCCUUUUUGCAAGGGAUUUUUACCAAUUUGAUAAAAUGGCCAAAAAGUGAUUGUUAGACGCUCAUAUUCCAAAGAUUGCUCUAUGAAAAUGAUCGGAUCCUACCUUACCUUGUGCACUACCCCUUUGGAUGGUACAAAAUGUAAACGUGCAAGUCUCCUUGGAUUAAAUAUCCGAGACACAAUGUGGCUUAUUCCUAACACGGGAUCCCCUAAAUGGCAUUCCCUUCUAGGGUCUAUGCAUGAUACCAGUUUAUUAAAGCAGAAAAUAUGUGACAAAUAUGGCUUAAAGGACAUAAAUAAUGCAUCGAGGGGAAAAGGUCUAAAAAUGAAAUGUACUUAUUGAAAAAUAAGUGUAAUGACUGAAAUUUAAACAUGUGAAUUAUCUAGUGGGUAGGUCACUAAAAGAAUGCCGAAGAGGCCUCUUAUUGCUAAGGCACAUGAAUGCAAGCCAAGAAAACAACGAAAUGGUUAGUACAAUUGAUAGUACACAUAACAUAUUAGGAGCAAAUAAGAAAGGAAAUACAAUAAAUAAAAACAAGUAAAAGGGAUGGAACCCCUUCCCUCGUGCCUAAUGUGCUUAAAAAGGGUAAGGCUGACUCUAUAGGAAAACUCUAACAUGGAUGCAUGAGGCUGCUCACUAAUGCAACUAGACUCGAUAAGGCUUCGGCUCCCAAGCCUUCAGACCUAAAGGCAAAGGGUCAUCACUCUCAAGGCCUUCGAUCGGUGGCUCGAGUGAUCCCUUAGAUAGCGCUAUGGGCGCAGCGCACACCAUCCGCCUACCCAAGGCGAUCGAUCCUAAUCCUACAAGGCGGUGUGGGAAACGCCCACGAAAAUAAAGUAAAAUGGGAUAACAAUAAAUAAACGUGCACGUAUGAAGUGCUCCCUAUUUUGAGGAAAGGUUUGAGAACCAACACGAGACUCUAAAGGUGACACACACCCCCCAAAUGCAAUGCAAAGCGCGAGAUAAAAUAAGUAAAACAUAUAUCCAAAAAACCAAUCAUACAUUCGUGAGGGAGUAAUUUGAGACGUGUGAAAUGCAAAAUCCUAAAAAAGGAAAAAAUGCAACCCUAAAACACCCGAAUGUGAUAUAUGAAAAGGUUAAAAGAAGAAAAAGGUUGAUUAAAUCAAAUUUGCUCGGACUCUCGAAUGUCCCCAGUGGAGUCGCCAACUGUCGCGUCCCAUUUUUUGAUAAAUAAAUAAAUGGUUUGAAAAAUGUAUUUUUUGAUUCAAUUUGUGAUUGGAAAAUGAAUUGUGAUUUAAAAGAAAAAUGGGUCUAAAUGGGGGUUUGAGAAUGCGACGAUUUGACCCAAAAUUAUAGUUUAAAAGGGUUUUUUGAAAUAAAAAAUCGGAGUCGCCACUUGGUAAUGAGUUAAGGUGUACCAAGUCACCUAAAAUGAAUUUUUAAAGAAAAAAUAGGGAAAAGUAGUAAGAAACCCCUUUUAAACGACUCCUAGUCCAAAACCAACGAAAAAGGUUCGAGAGUCACAUUUGACGAAGGGGAAUGCAAGGAUAAAAAUCCAAAGCACCCCUUCGACCUAGCCAAGGCUAAUUGCGUGAUUUAAUCAAAGAUUUUCUUGUUUUAACCAAAGAAUUUAUUACAUUUGAAUGUACUACAUGAAUGCAAACCCUAGACCUAGGGUAUUGGGGGGCAAAAUUUCUCUUCAAAGCUUGAAUGGUGCCAAUCACAUUAAUUGUGAAGCCCAAUAAUGAUCCUUUGGAGAGGUCACACAUAAUCCUAAAUGACGUAAAAAUGAGUGAAAUGAAUGCAUACCAUGUGAAAAUGUGAAUUUGUGUGAAGUGAGAAAAGUAAAAAAUAAUAGGAGGUAAGUGGAGGUGUGCAAAUGUAUUUACAAGGUAAGGUGAGUAAAGAAUGAUGAUGUGAAAAUAACAUAAAGUGCAUGUGUGCGAGUGAUAUGGUAUAAAGUGUGAGUAGUUAAGUGAAAACGUCCAAAAGUAGUGUGAAGUGAGAAUGUGGAAAAAGGGAUAAAAUAUAAAUUAGAAGUGUAUAGGAUAGUGAAUAAAUAAAAUGCAUGAACCCUAUAGGAAUGCAUCAAGACGGGAACGGGGAGUCCUAACUUUGUGACUUCAAUUUUCCCUUUGAUUAGAAAGGAGAACUAGCGUGCUAAGGUUAUUUUGUAGCCAAACUCGCUCGUUUCCCUUAUCGAAAGGGGACUCUUCAAGCAAAUGUACCCUAUAUCUAGCAUGAGGUGCAAAAAUCCUAAAAUGAGAGGAAAAGGGGUUCGAGGAGCAUGCCAAAUGAUAAAACUAAGAAAAUGCAUGACAUGUAGUGAACAUGCAAGUAUGCACUAACGAAAGGGGAACGGCCUAUUAGGUCUAGCAUUGGACUAGCCCUUUCUAUGAAUUCCUAACGAAAUAAUGAGCCAUAACUAGUAUUGGACUAGUGUGGUGACGUACAUUCAUCCAUCACAUUCAUCUACAACUAUAGAAAGCAAGUAGACAUGCCAAACACUCAUAAACACAUAGCACAUAACACUUAGCAUGCUCGACUAGAUGCAAAAACCUAAUAAAGCAAAUUAACACAUAGCCACAAAAGCAAGCAAUCAAGCUAAUGAACCUAUUACAUUUGCUAGUUAGGCACACGUCUUCAAUAGGUCUUCAUCAAGUGCUCUCCAAGCCCUAUCUAUUACAAGCCAAGAGGUGUACACAUACCCCAUAAAUAAAGAAUAACUUAAUGAAAGCAAAAGUAAAUGAAAUGAAUGAAAGAGAUUAAGGAAAAGCAAGGAAAACAAAGUAGACAUGCAAUUCUCACUUAGCACAUUGGAUCACAUAGGGGAGAGACAAAAAAGAUAAAAGAAGUUAUACCUCCUUUGGAAUGGUGUCCCAAUGAAAGAAAAAUGGCUUAUUUAUCCUCCAAAAUAAAAGAAAUGGUCAAGGUACCAAUUUAUUUGGGAAAAUUAAAGAAAACAUGCAAACACGGGCUCACAUGGUCAUAAAGGUCUUAAAUGCAUGCAUGAAGUGCAAUUUAAACAAAGCAUGGUAGUCAAUUGAAACAAACAAGCAAUGGAGUUGUAAAAUUAAAAGCUACCAAGGACCAAAUUGAGGAAAUCAUUCAAUUGAUUGGGUCAUAGUAGGACAAGGGGAGACUUGGGGGGCCAAAGUGUAAUUUUUGGAAGCUUUCAUGCAAGUUCAUGCAAUGACUACGGGACAAGCUUCAGGAAAUAAAGAAAAGAGCUCGCAGCUUCUUAUUCUCAAGCUUGCUGCAAUUUUCUUAGCAUUCCUACUCACACAAACGAAGUCAUCAAAACACCAGAAGUUUAACUCUCUAAACCAACUAAAACAAACACAAAAUCUUUAUUGCAGGAUUUACGCAAAGAAAACUCAAAUUUGGCCGACAGAAAAAGGAAAAAUGCAGCAAAGUCUCUGCGAUUUCCUCAUGAUAAGCUUCUUCUAUCUCGCAUUGGCAGAUUCACAAAGCUCAAAACUGAGACCAACUUCAAGCUCUUAUCAUGCAUGCAAGGGAAUGACAAACCAGAACGAGGAAAAUCUUCAUGCACAUUCAUGAAAUGAAACUGCCGCAACAAGCCAAAGAAUGCGGCCACAGAAUGCAGCAGAAGCAGAAUGCAGCAAGAAUUUUUUAAUGUUGGAACAUGAUCCAAACAUUUUAGCUCCUAAUAAAUUGGUCAACCAGCAAACUGAAUGGCCGACACUUUGGUGAGUAAAUGCAGGCAAAAGAAACAGUAAAGAGAAUGCGAGGCCCCAUUUGUUCUGCUGCAAAAUGUUGCAGCUUCUCUAUGUGGGUAUCUUAUGCAGUUUCAGACCAAACCAAUGAACUCAUUUACCCAUCCCAUUAAAAUUCAAAACACUUGAUUAAUACAACACAAAAGGUAGGAAAUAGAAUCAUUGCAUAUCAAACGGACAACAGGGAACGACAAAGAGAAAUGAAAACAAUUUUUCUAAUGAGUUUUGGGUUCGUUAUCAGCAUGCAAGCAUUUCACAUCCGUUCCCAACCAACAAAGCAGGCACCUUAUAUCUAUUACUACCCAAAACAACAUGAAGGAAGGAUGUACGAACCCAUGACACUAGCUUACGGGGAAGGCCCUAGAUUUCUACCUCAAAACACAAGCUGAACCAAACCGCCAAUCAAAGUUAGAAACUUUCGGUCGUUUUCUCUCGGCCAAGACACCAAUAUGCAGGAGACCGACUCCUUACCCAAACCCUAGACUUAGCAGUACCCAAACAAGAACCAUUAGCUAUAUUGAAGCAAGAUCAGAACCAGUAAUAACGCAGAAAUGCAAACAAACAACUAAAGAAAAGAGCUUUCAACUUAAAAAGAAGAGUUCAAUACCUGAAUCGAGUAAUGGAGAACAGGCUCAGAUGAUUCGGCCAAACCUUCUGAUUUUGCUUUCCUUCAGCAGUCCGCAGCCCCCCCAGCAAUCCUCUUUUCUCUCUGGUUUCUAGCCGUCAACCUUCUCUCAAAGCUCUAGCCUUUUCCUCAUCAGCCGACCUUCCCCCUGUUUUCUCUUUCUCAAAAUGGUUUUCUCCUCCCCUUGCUCUCGGCUGCCUCCCUCCUUUUUCCCUUUCAAGCUCACACAGAAACUCAACCCUCUCCUCGUUCUCUCUUGCUUCUCAGUUUUUUCUUCCUCCAGCAGUCGUCCCCCUUUUCUUUGCCUUUUUCUGUGUUUCUAUCUCUCGGGUUCCUCCCCUCUUGCGGCUGCAGUUCCCUUUCUUUUAAUAUCCGGCUAGCCACCCCCAAAACCCUGUAUUCAAUGGCUAGAAAUCAUCCCUCUCAAACCCUUUUUCUUGGCCAUUCGAUGAGCCUGCAUUCGUCCUUUGCAAGCUGCCAACAAAUGCAGCGUGCAUGCCGCGAGACUUCCUCUUUUUUUUUAAUUAAUUAAUAUAGAUAACUAAUUACUUAAAAAUUUUCCAUUUUCAUUCAUUUUUCCUUUUUUCCUUUUUUUCCAAGAAAUUCUAUGCUAAAAACUUGAAAAUAAAAAUAAAACUAGAAACUAACAACUAAAAAUCGAAUAAAACAAACACGACACAUAAAAAACUAAAAAUGAAAUUACACCAAAAUUUUGGUGUCUACAGUCGCUGUAAUUGUUAGAGCUUCUUUCUCUGGUUACUUGGGUUGACAGUUUGAGGCCAUGGUUAGACCGAAAUCGCCUUCGAGGUUCGGAGCCUCUCGCUCUCAGCCUCACCUCAACCCUUCAUUCCGGUCAAUACCCCGAUCAACCAACCUAUCGCCGCCGGUGUCCGAACCCGGUUAGGCAGGGGUAGGGGUGCCCAUGUGGUCUCCGCACCUCACCAUGGAGGGCAUUUGGAGUUCACUAGGGCCGCCGAUCAGUGGCGCUAUGCUCAAGCCUGUGAGCGGUGUAUCAUUCUGUGCAAGUGCGCAGACAACAUUACUAUGGCUUUUCUGGGUAUCCAAGAGGAGGUUGAGCGCAUGUACACCGCCAUUGGAUGGCGCCCCUAUCUCGAUUAUCUUCCAGCCCGCCUUUGUCGAGUUGACGAGAGAAUUUUACUCUAUCUUCGAAUUUGAACUACCUGCGAGGUAUACUGUUGAGACUCCCGAUGUCAUCCAUUUCCGUCUCAUGGGUCAGGAAUUCAGUUUCUCCAUUACCCAGUUCAACCUGGCUUUCGGUUUCAUCACUCGGGAGUAUGCAGAGACUAGGGAAUACGGCGAGAGUGCCUGCGAUUACGUGGAGCCAUUUCUGUCCACUUACCACGAUGUGUGGGAGGAUAUGUCUGUUGACAGGCAGCGUUAUGACCUGUCUCGGUCUAGAAGCUCCUUUCUGGACCCGAGUGUAUGAUAUGUACAGCGUCUCUUGGCUUACAGCUACUCAGGUAGAAAGGACAGCUCAGGUAUCAUCUCUUGGCCGGAGCUCUUCUUCUCUGGUGCAUGAAAAAUGGGUUCAAGGUCAAUUUGGGUCGUUGGUUGGCGGCUCAGUUCAAGUCCGUUAUGGCGAAGAAGAAUAAACUCUUGAUCCUUGGGUCUUACAUCACACACCUAGCGGUCCAGCUAGGAGUGCUCACUCUUCAGGAUCAUAAUCUGCACUUGGCUUGCGACAUGGAAUAUCUCACUGCUGACCGCUUAGAAAAGAUGGGGGUUUUGGAGCUUGUCGAUGGCCGCUACCACUUUGUCCCCCGGGACCACCCCGCGCCCCACCUCGCUCUUCUUUCACCCAUUCGACCCCGGUUGGAGUUGAUCCUGGCCCCUCAACGUCCGCUCAGCCCUCUCCACCAGCAGGGGCUGAGGACUGGCACCAGCUUCGGACGCAGGUUCAGAAUUUGGAGGCCGGAUGAUUAACAUCGACAACAAUGUGGCGGCUAUGGCACAAAAUCUGGCGGCUUUCCUGCAACACUCGGGUUUCCUGCCCCAGCACCACCUCACCCUCCACUUUGACCCGGUUUCAGGAAAGUUUGGUUGCCCUCUCUCCUAUUUUUACAGUUUGUUUGUCACAUUGUGGACAAUGUGUCCUAUAGGUGUGGAGGGGGGCGCUCUAAUGGGGUGCCUAUGUUUUUUCUUUUAGUUUUUAACUUCUAGUAGUUUUUAGUUUUAGUUUUAUUUCCAGUUAGUGACUUAUCUAUCUUUCGUUCAUUUUCGUUCUUUCUUGUUGGUGUUUAGCUCUCAUGUGAAUACCAGGAUUUGGUGUUGGGGUAUUGCCUCUAAUCCUACGUUUGCCAAGUUUUUAAAAUAAAAGUGUAUCGAGUUAAUAUGGUUGAGUCCAAAAACAUCUCUUUGGUGAAUAUCGAACUGCUUGACUCUUUUGGUUUCUUUGUUAACUUUCCUAGGCAUAGGGAAUGAUUGUUGGUGUUUUAAUGUGAAUUGGUCCAAUAUUGACUCUAGCUCUCUAUGUUUGGCAAUAAUGAGGCGAGCUGCUCCUAUUUUUGGUUUUUAGUGUUGUUAUUUUGCGUUUUUGCAUUGUUUGGCUGUGAAUAAGCUUGACUGUACUCCGCUAUUAGUUACUACUGAGUAACCGGGGAUCUGCACCUAAAAGUGUCGAUUCUCGCGUCAAAAAGUAGUGCUCUCUAUGAGUACGUGGUUAUUAUAGCGAUAGGAGCCAAGUAACUGGGUUCCUUCAUCUAAAAAUGUUGGAGCUCGCAUCAAAAGACUCCAAUGGCUAGAGACUAAGUCUUUUUGUGUUAUUAUUAUUACAAAAAAAAAGAAAUAAUAAUAAUAAUAAUAAUAGAAAAGUGAAAAAAAAGAGAGAGAAAAAAAUAGUGCAGGUUAUGUUAGUGUGUUAGAGGUCAGCUUGCCGAUUUAUGGACCUAAUAUGGAGACUUUGGUUACUAUUUGGAUUGUUUGCUAAUAAAUGUUAUGCGCCAUUCCUUUUUCUUAGAAUUGUUAACUUGGAAUUGAAAGAGUUGGUGAUUUAGAAGCUAACCAAGGUGAUGUCUAUCGGAUCUUGAUCACUAAUGCUCGAUAUAUAUAGCAUUCCUUGGUAUCUUGGCAAUAUAGUAGAUAGAGCAAUGGCCAUUAUCAAAUUUUGGUGUUCGUUUACUAUUCUUAUGCUUAAGGACAAGCAUGGUUUAGGUGUGGGGGGAAUUGAUAGGUUGCAAUUUUAUCAUUUAUUUUAUUAUUAAUUUCUCCUAUUACCUGACUUGAUGUGGAUUAAUUGCGGGAUUCUACUCACUUUUAGUAUUUUCCAUUUAUUUCAGAGAGUAGAACGAAAAUAUAAUAACAGGUGCUAAUUUGACAGGAAAAGAGUCCAGAUGAUAGAGCUUGUCCUAGGGGCAUUUUUUGGAACAACAAAAACGCGAGCCCUUUUUGAACAAAUUGGGCCGAAGUCUUCUUUUGGAGUGAGCCGCCGACAUCAAGGGGAAGCGGAGGAUAAAAAACCAAGGGAAUAGCAGAGGACUGGGGGGGGGCGGCUGUAUUUUUUUUUCUUUAGCUUCAUCUUUGACUUUUCUCCUUAGCUUUUGGUAAUGAUUCUCCACGGAUGUCAGGAGAAAGAAUUGGGAGAAAAGUUUAACUUUCCUUCCUUUUAGCUUGUAGCAGUUUCUUUUUCUUCCUUGGUAUGAGCAGACAAGUUAACGCAUUAAAUCAUCCGCUGCAAUUUCGGUUUUCUUUACUCCUUCGACUGAAUUGAACUUGGGCAUUUUCUCAAUUGAUGGUCGCGGCUCUCUCCGCAAUUUUGCGUGGGUUUCUCGCAUUAAACAUGAACUAAUCUCUUCACUCUAGUCAAGAAAUAACGAAGGCUCUGGUUCGCCUAAAAAUUGUGAGAUCGAUUUAAUUUAAUCUUUUUCUUUUAUUUAUUGGUAUUCACGUAUUGCUUGAUUGUUAUGCUUCGGGUAUUUAAUUAAUUGAUUGUCUUGGAUCCGGAUAAUUAAUUGAUUUGGUAACCUGUCGUCAAUUAGGGCAUUAAAUCCGUAUUUGUUUAAUUGUCUUGAAAUAGUGACAACUGGCACGAUUAGAUUCGUGUCAGGGGGAUACACGGGCUAAUCUGAAAUAACUCUGGUAGUGCGUUAUUUGGUUAGAAUAGGACUCCUCUAAUACGCAAGGCAAUUGGGAAAUUAAAUCUUACGGGCGUACCUAGGAUUAUUUCCUAAUUAGAGCAGUGAUUAACGGGCGUAUCUUAAUCACCGACACAGUAAGGAGGGGUUGACUGCCAUCGCUUGUUUGGUAGUUAUAACUUAUUUAUUGAUGAAUAAUUGGAAUUGCCCUUGCUUCGAUGAUCAAUUAGGCGAGCCAUUGCUGAAGUUAUUUAUUGGCUAGAUCUUUAAUUAAUAUUAUCUUGAUUUUAGUGAAUUGCCAUUUGACUUUUAGUUGCCUACUUUAUUUUAUUUUUAAUUGUUUUCUUGUUUUAAUUGAGUUAGACCUUUAAUUAUUGUUAUUUUAAAUUCAGUGAAUUGUUGUUUAAUUUCUAGUUAGUUAUUUAUUUUUAUCUUCUUAUUCGAAUUUAUUUGAUUGUCGUCGUUCCUACAAAAUUACCCCCUGCGUUAUUUUGAAUUUCUUAAGAGACAAAUAUACCUAGUCCCUGAGGAUACGACCCUACUUGCCCUGUCUACAAGUUCAUAAUUAUUUGUGAAAAAAUAACCAUCCCAUUCGGGUAUAUCGGAUCAAGCAAACUCUUCGGGAACAGGGUGAAUCAAGUAACCCAUUGCACACCUAGAGUCCCUGCUCCAGUACUUGGAAUUGGGUUUUGGUCAUUUUAACUGGCAAUUAGAUUUAAUUUUAUUAUUGUACAGGCUUCGACAACCUGUCACUAGAUCGUUAAUUAAUAUUACCUUGAUUUUAGUGAAUUGCCGUUUGAUUUUUAGUUGCCUAUUUUAUUUUAUUUUUAAUUGACUUUUUGUUUUAGUUGUUUUGGAUCUUUAAUUAUUGUUACGUUAAGUUUAGUGAAUUGCCAUUUAAUUUCUAGUUAGUUAUUUAUUUUUAUUUUCUUAUUUGAAUUUAUUUGAUUGUCAUCGUUUCUACAAAAACACCCCCUUUGUUACUUUGGAUUUCUUAAGAGACAAAUAUCCCCAGUCCCUGAGGAUAUGACCCUACUUGCCCUGUCUACAAAUUUGUAAUUAUUUAUGAAAAAGCCAUCCCAUUCGGGUAUAUCGGAUCAAGCAAACUCUUCGGGAACAUGAUGAAUCAAGUAACCCAUUGCACACCUAGAGUCCCUGCUCCAGUACUUGAAAUUGGAUUUUGGUUAUUUUCACUGGCAACUAGGUUUAAUUUUAUUAUUGUACAGACUUUGACAACCUGUCAAAGCCAGAAAAAUAUACAUACAGUAUCGAGUCUUAUUACCUGCUCAUUAUCCUUAGGGUAAAAGCAAUAAAAGAAAUCAGUUUUGUAAGAUUCCCAGCUCAAGAAAAUGUAAUAGAAUUUCCUGUUCUUUCAAAAUUAUAAUGUAGGAACAAGUUUUCUUGAGAUUUUAAAUCCAAGUGCUUUCAUCAAACUCAGUUAUACACAUCACCAUUUACUGUGAAAAUUUUAUUUACUUAUUGAUUUGCUUGAAACAAAAAGAAAAGAUAAUGCGUUAUACUCAUGGAGUAAAGCCUCAAAUGAAAGUAUGUCCAAGCACGAAAAAUUGUGAACUAUCAACCACAGGCAAAGAUUUUAGACUUUUUAAUUUAUAGCCUUUUUUGUUUCUGUGGGAGAACUUACUCCAAUGCAACUCUUAUGAAGAUUUCUAUUUAUUAGAUUAUGUGAGGUGAUAUGGAUGGUAACUAAAAUGAUUAACUUUCCAAUGCUUCCAACGAUUUUGUCUAGCAAUGCAAUAGCAGGAAUUUGAGAGGAUUCCAUCGUGCACCUUUAGUUUGUUGAAGGCAGAAGUCUACUUUGCUGAAAUUUCCUUGUCUUAGGCAGUCUGAAAAUGUUCAACUACUAUUAGCAAAGAAAACACUAUCACUUACUUUAAUGUCACAGCACACACUCAAUACACAUACGCAUAGCACACAAAAUACGUAUCACGGAUCACACUUGGCACUUCUAGUUCCUCCCCGAGAGAUAGUUCAUCAUCCAAUCAAUUCUUUUGGUAUAAUUUUGGCUUUUUUAGGGGCCACUUCCAGAUGUAAAUGAUAUAUUUGAUGAGCAUUUUGAUAUUUUGGUUCUGGCACAUGGUCCACUUCAAUGCUAACUCAAUUAUAGAUCGCAGAUAUUUAAGAACAGAUUAUUUGGUGUGGACAGCCAAGCAUAAUUUGAUAGCUUAAGACUAUUUGUACUGAGUUUCAUGCCUUUGCUAUCUUUCAAUAAAAAAUAGCAGUUUUUAUUUGCUCAUCACAUAUGUCUGCCACUGUAAGUUGUACAUUGAUUCGUGUUAAGAGAAUAUAAGUAUUAUUGUAGAUAAUAAAUUAGUAAGGGUAUUUUUGUAAAUAGUUUGUUAGGGUUGUACUCCUAUAAAUACUAGUUGGUCACUCAUAAUAUUGUGACUAGAUGUUUUCCUUCCAAGAUACCUGUUGACAUGGUAUCAGAGCAAAAGUCCUAGGGUUAGGGUUAAACAUCUAGCAAAAUCACUGUUCACGCCGCACUGUUCAUCGCGGCACUGUACACGCGUACUGUUCACGGCACUGUUCACGCGUACUGUUCAUGCCGUUACUGUUCACGGCUCAAGUUUUGACCCGUUCUUUCGUUUGACGUGCUAUUCGCUAUGGUUGAAAGGUUUGUUAAUACGGCUAUCACUGACCAAGUUGAAUCAAGUUUUUCAGCACAUGGGUCCCAGAAAACUGUUACUAUAUCUGAGGAAGAUUAUGUUAAAUUCCUACAGUACCAAGCUACAAAUCACGCAUCUCUUCCCUCUGCUUCUUUAGCACAAAAAGGUAAUGACUCAUGGAUUAUUGAUUCCGGAGCUACUGAUCAUAUGUCAGGUACCUCUAAAAUUUUUUCAAUUUUCAAGAGUCUACUUCCUUUCCUCAUGUUACUUUAGCUGAUGGAUCUACCACUAAAGUUAAAGGCCUAGGCACUGUAGAAAUUAAUCCAUCACUUCCGCUGUCUUCUGUUCUUUACGUACCCAAUUUGCCCUUUAAUUUAAUGUCUGUUAGUAAGCUCACUAAAUUUCUACAGUGCACAGUUACUUUUUCUCCUGAUUCUGUUGUCAUUCAGGAUUUGAAGACAAAGAGAACGAUUGGUGGAGGGCAUGAGCAUAAUGGUCUUUACUUUCUCCACUUCAAUGGUCCGAUAGCAUGUCCUGCUACUGUUUCUCCUCUUGAAAUUCACUGUCGUUUAGGUCAUCCGUCUUUACAAAAUUUGAAAAAGUUGGUUCCUACUUUGAGUCAAUUAUCUUCGUUAGAAUGUGAGUCUUGUCAGCUAGGAAAGCAUCAUCGUGUUUCUUUUGCUCCUAGAGUCAAUAAACGGGUUUCUGAACCAUUUUUGUUAGUUCAUUCUGAUGUUUGGGGUCCUAGUCGAGUCACUUCAAAGUUAGGUUUUAAAUAUUUUGUAGUUUUUGUUGAUGAUUUUUCCAGAGUUACAUGGCUUUAUUUAAUGAAAGAUCGUUCAGAAUUAUAUUCCAUUUUUUGUGCAUUUGUUACAGAAAUAAAGAAUCAAUUUGGUGUGCCUGUACGUAUACUUCGCAGUGAUAAUGCGAAAGAAUAUUUUUCCACUCCUUUUAAUACCUUUAUGACUAAGUCUGGUAUUAUUCAUCAGUCCUCUUGUCCUCACACUCCACAACAGAAUGGAGUUGCUGAAAGAAAAAUUGGACAUUUAAUCGAAAUUGCUCGAACAUUGUUGUUGCACACAAAUGUGCCCAAACAAUUUUGGAGUGAUGCAGUUCUAACUGCAUGUUAUUUAAUUAAUCGCAUGCCAUCUAAUAUUCUUGGAGGUCAAUUACCUCACUCCAUUCUUUUUCCUCAUGAACCUGUGUUUAAAUUGCCUCCUCGUAUUUUUGGAUGUGUGUGCUUUGUUCAUCAGCUUGCUCCCGGGGUGGAUAAAUUAGAUUCUCGUGCUAUUAAGUGUAUUUUUUAGGAUACGCACGAGCGCAAAAAGGGUAUAGAUGUUACAGUCCAGUUUUAAAUCGAUUUUUUACUUGUGCUGAUGUUACUUUCUUUGAAUCCACUCCAUAUUUUAUCAAACAAAGUAUGUCUUGUGAGUUAGACCAGUGUCACUCUUUUUCCUCUCCUGUUUUACCAGUCCCUUCCCCUUUAUUACCUGAGUUAUCUAGUCCACCAGAUUCCAUAGCUCGAUUAUCUCGUCCUCAUCUUCAAGUUUACUCUCGUCGUUCCAUGGUUGAGAAAGUUCCUGAUAUGCCACGCACUUCACCAAUUAACUCUCACUCUUCAAAUCCAGGUAUGACGCCCUCCUCUGAGUUAGAUCUUCCUAUUGCUUUACGCAAAGGUAAGAGACAUUGUACUUCCCAUCCUAUUUCUAAUUUUGUUUCUUAUUCUCAUCUCUCUAUGUCAUAUUCUUCUUUUGUUGCUUCCCUUGAUUCUAUUUCCAUUCCUAAGUCUAUUACCUAUGCUCUUAAUCAUCCUGGUUGGAGAUUAGCCAUGCAAGAAGAGAUGUCUGCUUUGGAACAAAAUGGUACUUGGGAUCUUGUCCCUCGUCCUUCAGGUAAGCCUGUUGUUGGUUGUAAAUGGGUGUACACUAUAAAAGUGCAGCCUAAUGGUUCUAUUGAUAGAUUAAAGGCUCGUCUGGUAGCUAGAGGAUUUACUCAGGUGUAUGGAGUGGACUACUUAGAAACAUUUUCUCCUGUUGCAAAGAUUACCUCUGUUCGUCUUCUUAUCUCUUUGGCAGCCACUUAUAAUUGGCCAUUGCAUCAGUUGGAUGUGAAAAAUGCAUUUCUGCAUGGAGAUUUGGAAGAAGAGGUAUAUAUGGAACAACCUCCUGGAUUUGUUGUUCAGGGGAGAAUCCGCGGUUGGUUUGUCGUUUGAAAAAAUCCUUAUAUGGAUUGAAACAGUCUCCGAGAGCUUGGUUUGGCCGGUUUAGUAGUGUUGUCAUGGAGUUCGGUCUGACAAGAUGUGGAGUAGAUCAUUCUGUAUUUUAUCGGCAUUCUAAUGCUGGUAAAAUUUUAUUAGUUGUUUAUGUGGAUGACAUUGUGAUUACAGGUGAUGAUGUUGUGGGGAUCCAGAAGCUUAAAUCCAAUCUGCAGGCAAACUUUCAGACAAAGGAUUUAGGUCAUCUACAGUAUUUUCUGGGUAUUGAGGUAGCUCGGUCUAAAUAUGGGAUUUAUUUAUGUCAAAAAAUAUGUACUCGAUAUGUUGAGUGAAGUUGGGAUGUUAGGUUGCCGACCUGUGGAUACUCCUAUGGAUCCCAAUGUGAAAUUAGCAGGAGAUCAAGGUGCAUUACUUGAUGAUCCUAAGCAAUAUCGAAGACUUGUGGGUAAAUUAAAUUAUCUCACUGUAACGAGACCUGACAUUUCGUUUCCAGUGAGUGUUGUGAGUCAAUUUCUUGAUACCCCUCGUACUAGUCAUUGGGAUGCUGUUAUACGGAUUCUCAGGUAUCUUAAGAGUGCUCCUGGAAAAGGGUUGCUGUAUCAAAAUCAUGGACACGCUGAUAUUGAAGGAUAUAGUGAUGCAGAUUGGGCUGGUUCUGCCUCAGAUCGAAGAUCGACUACAGGAUAUUGUGUGUUCGUUGGUGGUAAUUUAGUGUCGUGGAAGAGUAAGAAGCAAACAGUUGUAUCCAGAUCAAGUGCAGAAUCUGAAUACCGCGCUAUGGCUCACACUGUGUGUGAGUUGGUUUGGUUGAAGAGCAUGUUACUUGAACUUGGGUUUGAGCAUAAACAGCCUAUGAAUUUAGUGUGUGAUAAUCAGGCGGCUGUUCAUAUUGCGUCUAAUCCAGUGUUUCAUGAAAGGACAAAACAUAUUGAAGUUGAUUGUCAUUUCAUUCGAGAGAAAUUGCUUGACGGGGUCAUCAAGACAUCUCAUGUACCGUCUGUAGAUCAAUUGGCUGAUGUGUUUACCAAGAGCUUAGGGGGUUCUAGGGUGAAAUACCUUUGUAACAAGUUGGGUGCUUAUGAUAUAUAUGCUCCAACUUGAGGGGGAGUGUUAAGAGAAUAUAAGUAUUAUUGUAGAUAAUAAAUUAGUAAGGGUAUUUUUGUAAAUAGUUUGUUAGGGUUGUACUCCUAUAAAUACUAGUUGGUCACUCAUAAUAUUGUGACUAGAUGUUUUCCUUCCAAGAUACCUGUUGACAAUUCGUAAAGUUGAGAUUCUAUGGGACAAAAUGGUUGCUCAGAACUUUCACCUCUCGAAAAUGUACUUGUCAUCUUAUCAUCUUGCUCUGAACCAUCUGUGAUUUCAUCUUCUCUACAAGAGAUGGGAUUCGACUCAACUUUCCCUAGUUAUGAUCUCUCAACAUGAGGACACUUGUCAAUCGACAAAUUCUCUCUGCCCCUUGAUUGUCAAAUUGGUACUGGCAAUCUACGAUUCCAUUUUUUUCCUUAAAAUGAUCCUAAUUUAUGAUACAACUUUUCUUCUCAAACUAUGUAAUAUUGAAUUUUAAGCAUUUUGAUUCUCAAUUUGUUUAACUAAAAAAAAAAAAGGACGCAUUCAAGUUAUUUUUUGAGGUUGCCAAGGAAAAUCUUGCUGUUCCUGCAAUGAAGCUCCAGAGACUUGGUAAAUUAUCAUUUCUUAAAAACCUAAGUCUAACUAUGAUGAUUUGAACUUUUGAGCAUCAAAUAGUAACAAUUGGUCGCUAUUCUCUAGGAAUUUGACUUCAUGAAGAUUCUUGAGCUGUCUAUGCCUAUCAUGUUUUCUGGCUACCACAUUUCUUUUUUUAAAUUACUCAGCUGGUCAUAUUUUGGAGCUUUGGACAGAAACUAGACCAAUUUACAUGACACUUCAUGGUACUUGUAGAGUGAGUAGAAAGACUUCGUAUCUUCUUACUAAUUUAGGUUUGAAAUCAAUGACAACAUCUCUCUGUUUUUUUAACCUUUCUGUAAGAUUUGUUGAACAGAAAUGUCCUGCAAUUACCUGAAUUUUCUUGUUAGCUUCAUGGUCUUCUAUACACUGUCUUGAGUUUUGAAUAUUCUGUUUUGCAAUGGUGUUAGGCUCAAAGCUCACGGGAGACCUCAAUGGCUUAAUUACCGCCCUACCAAUCAAUAUCCCAUUAUGCCUUCUUCAACCACAUCAUUUUCAAACUGAAGGCAAACAUAUAGAAUGGCACUCUCUUUUGCUUCUGGGUGACUGAGAUGGCCAAAGCCUGAUAUCUACUUUAUGAAUGUGAUGCCUUCAAACUGUUGGUCAUGAAAUGAGGUAGUAAUUCAUCAAUUAUCGACCUCAAUUGGUUUCUGUCUCAGACUGCUUGCCUCUCAAAUUAGCUGCAAUUUAGUUGCAGAAAAUUGUCAGUCUGUCUUUUGACUGCUUAUUGUCUGUUAGUUGGCCUCUGCAAGCUACUCACCACCCUUCUUGAAGUUGUAUCUUAGCUCCAUUACAUACAACAUGAUUUUAUGAGUUUGCCUGUUCUCCUUUUGCAGUUAAAAUCGUAUGUCUAGAAUGAUGCUCUUACUUUAAGAUUCAUAGUUAUUCCAAAAUUAUUGAGUCUAUAUGAUGUUGAGUAAAUCUUAUGUUGGUAGUCGCUUGACAAAAAAAUGAAGAAUUGCACGAAGUUGUUCUUUUCAAUUUUGUCUGGCAUCUUUCUUAGGUUUCUGUAUCAUGAUUGAAAGUUACAGGUACUCCAUAAACAUUACCUUAAAUAGGCAACGGUUACAUGUCUUCAAUGGAAGCUUGACUUAAUAUCUUGUUUCUGUAUGAAUAACCAAAGGCACAAGAUUUUCUUGGGUGACCAAAGCAAGUUCUGCAUAAAAGAGAAGUGAAACAAAUCAACUAAUCAAGUAACAAUGUAAAAGAUUAUUUCUAAGAUUAGCUCUCCCUUUAAACUCAAGAUUUGCAUCAGGAUGAAAUGAGUUCUCUGCACUUUUGUCCGUGGAAAAUGCAUUUGCAUUUUAUAUUCAUAGCAUAUGCAGAAAAUUUGUGAAACUUUUUCUAUAUGUCUUUAGAUCAGCAAUGCUGACGACACUCCUUUCUUCAAAACUUUCCAAGCUGAUUUUUGUGGUCUCUUGCUUAGACAAACAGAGGCUAGAAUUUUGAAGCUUCUUCAGUACCAUCUAUAUGGCUGGAACUCAAUAACUUUUGGCCCGCAUUUCCUACAAUAUCCUAUUAAUUUUAAAACAACUAGCAGUCUAGUUGUAUUUAUUUUACAUGUCUGCUGCUUUUGCGGAUUUUAAGUUAUUAUUGCUAAAGUCAGCUCACUCUAUUUAAAAUUGUCAUUCUAAGGGGAUGAAAUGGUUUCUCUGAACUUUGACCUCUUGAUAAUGAACUUGCAUACUUAGUUGAACUAUUUGAUUAGUAAUUGCUCUAUGAGAGUCAUAUAUGACGGUUGUAUGACUCACUUUUCCUUCAUUUUGACUUUUGAGCCAUGAAGACAAUGGUCAAUUGAGGAGUUUUCGUAGCUGUUGGUCAUCACUUUCAUGUUUUGGUUCAAAAAUUCUGGUAAUUUUCGAUAUGCUUCUCUUCUUUCACUACUCCAUUUUGACAUUUAACCACUUUAAUAUGUAAUAUAUCACAUAUAAAACAAAAGAAAUCUUGUCAUCACGAAGAUAUUUUUGAGGUAGCCAAGGAAGGUGUACUGUUCGAGCAAUGAAGUUGAACAAAACUAGGUGGAGUAUCUUCCAACAUUCUUGUCUAAGUGGAAUGUUUUGAAGCAUUCCGGUUGGUCAAGUCUGCUUGUUGCGAUUUUCAGCUCUUAAUGAAUCCACCUUGAUAAAGGCUCUUAAGCUCUCUCUGCUUUUAUGAUUGUUGGUUGCUUCUUUUUAUUAUGGUAAGUUUCUCCUUUUGGGCCUUCAGUUACAAUGACAGAAAACUUGCAAUUAUCUAAAAAUUUCCAUUAACUUUAUUCUAUACUGAACGUGGUCUUGAGUUUGAGUUUUUGUGCUUUGCAGUGAUUUUAGGCACAAAGCUUGACAGGGAACCUCAUCGAUGGCUCUUACUUCUUUACUUUUUGAAAGUCUUGCAAUUCCUUGCUGAACAAGAUCUUGCUUCAGUUGAAUAGUAACAUCUAGGAUGGCAUUCUCUUUCGCUCUGUGCCUCAGAUGGCCAAAGUCUGAGAUGUCCAUUGGGGUAUGGUUCUUUUGAACUGUCCAAACGAUUCUGUGAUGUGUUAGAACUAGGAUAAUGAGGUGCUGAUUUACAUGUUUUAGAACUCAAAUUGUCAUCUGUGACAUAUUGCUCACAGUUAGAAGUUAGAACUAACUGGUGUUUUGGUAGCAGUUAAAUCCAGAUCUCUAUUGUCCCUCAGCGGCCCAUAGCACUAUUGUUCCUCAAUGCCUCAAUGUAAAAUGCAAAUUGCCUAUCAUUAUUUUCAAAUUUACGAUUGUACUUGCUUUGCGUUGGAACCAAACCACUGUAAUUGUAAACACGACUGGGUACUUGCUUAUCCAUUUAGUUUGAUAACAAACAAGACACACAUUUUAGCCUUUUGUGAGAUUGACGGAACCAAAGUAUUGUUGAAUUAUCUGAACUUUCUCAUAAGCUUUCUUGUUGACCACAUAUUGUCCCGGUUCGAGUUUUCUGUUCUGCAAUGAUAUCAGGCACAAACGUCAAUUGGAAUGUACAAUUACUCUUACUACUGAUUGAAUUACACAGCCUGUGACUUUUGAAAACUUAGUUGAAUCAAAUCCUGUUUCAAUUGGACAGAAAUGAUUAGGAUGGCACACUUUUCUAUCUUUAUUGCAAUGCUGGCAAACAUGCCUUCCUUAGAUUUUGAAUCUUGAAGCUCCUCAUCAAACUAUGUACUCUAAAAGUUCAUUUGGUGUCUACAUUCAUGAAAUAGAUUGUUAAAUCAAAGUUUGAUGGAGCACAGAAAAUUAUGAAUAAGCAAUGAUGGACAAAGACUUUAAGAGUUAAUUUCUAGUUUUUGUUUCUUCUGGACAACAUACUCCAGUGCAACCAAUGCUAAUAUUUUCUAACAUGAUGUGAUAAAAAUUGUACAAUAAGAUGGUUAAGUUGCAAAAUUGUCUGAAGUUUUAUAACGUCUGCCUUCAAGGAUGUUGUCUAGCAAUGUAACAGCAACGAUUGGAGGGUUACCUGUGAGAACCUUGAAAAAAGAAAAAAAAAUAGAUAUAUAUAUAUAUAUAUACAUAUAUAUAUAUACAUGUUGCAUUUGCAUUUUAGACUCUUAAUAACUUUUAUUAUUGUUGGUUCUUAAAUAAGUGUGUGAAAACAAAUUUUUUUUUUUGGUUACAAAUAGUUUAAUUGUGCAAAUAUUAAACCAUUUGAAUUUUUGCUAAGAUAAAUUAAUACUUCUUGAUGUAGAUUAUUGCAUUGCUUUAAUAUUAAUCCUUUGAAUUCCGAUAGUUAAUUCUAAGUGUUAAUAACGUUAAGUGUCAACGGGAAUCUAGAACUAAGAUGAAAACGACUUAGGUCAAAACCCUUUAUAAUCACACUUAGGACGUUGAAUCUCGAUAAUUUAAUUUUUGCGAGACUAGUAUGCUAGUAGGCUAUCGAACUUCAUUUGGGGUAAAAUCUUGGAGUUAGGUUACGAAUGAGGACUCAAGUGUAUUUUAUAUUCUAUUUCCAUAUAUUAUCAAAGGUGUUGCAUAUAUCAUAUAACCAAUUAAUUUACAUGCUUAAUUGACUUUGUAUAAAUUGAAUGUAUAAAAAUACGUGAAAUUAGUGUAAGAAAAUCCUUAUAGGGAUACACCAAUUAAAAUAAGGUGGAGUUUGGGGCAAUACUUGAAGGUAAUAAAGAUACAACUCCUUAGUAAGUAAAUAAACUAAUGCCAAAUGACCCUUUUAACCCUAAGACUUAAACUAAUUUACCAUGCAACCUAACAUCUAACAAUUCUUACUAAGUUAAAACCGAAAUUGGAGAAGGAAGGCUCGGCUGUUUCAUUUGAUAACAGAAACCAUGACGAGCAAAAGAGAGAAACAGAGUGUGAAGCUUUCUUCCUCCUCCAAUCUCGAAACCGUGAGCAAAAGUGCGUGAUAGGGAGGGAUAUCUUGUGUGUUUCAUCACCUGCCAGCCUCAAACGAGAGAGAGAGGGAUGCAAGGGACGAGAAAGAGAGAGACUGGUGUAUUUAUCUUGAGGAACCGAAGCAGAAACCAAGGCGCAGUCCGUAAUUUCAGAUUUUGGGAGGAAAGGGAGGUAAAAUUUUGUAACAACCACUCACUUAUUUAGUAUAACUGAAUGUAUAUAGAAGCAGCAUGUGAAUUUAGCUGGGAAAAAUGAGUUCCUGGCCGAGGGAAAAUUCUGUGCAGCAACCGAAAGCUAUUGGAAAGGAAAACUGCAGAAACCGAGAGUGAAGAUUGGAAAUUGCAGCUUGCUAUCAAUAUUUCUUUGGAGAAUAAUGUCAAGAAAUGCAUGUAAUAUAUAUUUAUCUUAAGUUUAUAAGAGAUUUAGCUGGAAAACUUGUGAAAAGUUGGAAGUUUGAGCUGGAAAUGUUGAGAGAAAGCCGCUGGAAUUUCCCAGCUUCAGCGAGAGAAGGAAUAAAGGAUUUUUCAAGGUUUCUUUGUGGAUUCUGAUUCCAAACUUCUACAUUAAGGCUUAAUUCAUUGCAUAAUACUUUAGUUUUAACAUGCAUGUUAGAUUUGAGUGUGUAACGAAGAGAUUAAUGGAGAAAUUUCUUGUUUAAAAGCUGAUUGCUGUUAAAAUUUUUCCAACAUGGCCGAGAGAGGGAAAUAGAAUUUUAUCCAGCUUUCUCUUUGAUUCCUUGGCUGAAAACUUUAUAUUCCAGCUUAAAAUACUUUGUGGUAUGUUAGUUGCUCUCUGCAUGUUAAGUUUGGAGUGAGGAAAAUGAAGAAAAGUAAGGAAACAGUUUCAUGCUUGAAUUACCGAAUUGUUGAAUUUACUUGUAGCGGAUGACAGAAUUAGUUGUGGUUACUUGGUGAAAUUGCCGCUGGAAUUGUAUGUUAAUUGCUUUAGUUAGGUUGGACAGAGUAUAAGCUGAGUGUUUACUGUUUUAAGCAAGUAAAAGGGGAACUUUGAUGAGAAAUUCUGUGGUAAUGUUGCUAGAAACAAGUGUGCUGGUUGAGAGAAUUAGGAGGUUAAGUUCUUGUGUUAUAUUGAAAAUUCCAAGAUAAUUGGUUAUAAAUUUUGUGUAAAUCGACUAAUAACACUUUGACCCUGUUUAUUCCUGAUCAUUUUAGUAAUUCUGGGACUUGAGAAGCUGGUGAAUUGGAGCAGAUUUAAACAACAAGCAAACUAGAAUUUGGUUUAGCUUAAAAGGAAAGAAAUGAAAAGUUCACUAGCCUCAAUCUUUAAAUUUGGGUUGAAUGUAGUUUAACCUCAGUUUAAACACCUCACAAGACCUUAAAUUUGGAGUACAUGUAUAUUUCCCUUGUUUGAAUUGAUAAAUUUGAUGAAUCUUGAAGAGAAAUAUGAGAAAGGUUGCUAUAUCAACUAUAGGAAUCUAAAGAGCUUUAAAACUUAUAUGAAAAGAUAUUAAACUAAAAUAUAAUUUAAGUGGCUUUAUACGAAUUGUAUAUUCACCUUAGGGCAAUAAACUAGUUUGCUCAUGGUCUUAAUUAAUAAAAGGAAUUUAUGGGACAAAAAGUACCUUAAAGUUCGCUACUUCUAAACUUACCUUGUUAAAAGAUAAUGUUAAGUUUCAGUACGUUAAAUCUAAAUGCAUAAAAGUAGUGAAGUGACAAUACUGGAAUUGUUACUUAAACUUCCUUUCUUUUGGAAAUUAAAAGUCAAAGUGACAAGUGAAUGUGAGAAAAUGCACUUGGAAAGCCGUGACUUGUGGUUUGGAAUUGUUUUGAUGUCUUGGACUUCCUUCAUUUAAUUUUUGAUUGGAAUUGAACUUGUUGAGACCUAGGGCUAAUGAUUGAUGAAGCCCUAGUGAAAUUGAUGUUUGAAUUGUGAUUUUGCUAUAUUGGCGACUUGGAAUAUAAUGUGCAAAUGAAUUGAAAUCGUGAAGUCCGUUUUAGUCUUUUGAAUUCAAGUAUUUUUAAAUCAAGCUUUGUAGAAAUAUUUUGUCUUAAUAUCAGGUUAUAGAAAUUGAGUAUAGUACGAUAAAGCUAAACUUCAAGUGUCGGGACUUUUAAAACCUUGCCAACUAGUUUAUUCUUUUCUUUGUUUAAACUAGUUUUAUUACUUUUAGGAAGUAGUUGCAUUAACUUCCAAACUUUAAGUUUUUCAUAAAAUUAUCCUUAGCUAGUUGUUUUAGAGGAAAUUUGUUAAAAACACUAGAUUUGAAUAAUUUCAAAUAAAAGACAUAGAAAACUUGUUCGGCAAGAAAACUUGUUUGAAUUAAUUUGGUUCUAGUUUGCCCCUCUAGAAGGGAAAUACCUUUAAAGAAACCAUACGAAAUAUUUUAUCACUCUUACUAGUUUUGGUUCUAAGAGAAUUAUUAAUUUAUUCCGAGAAAAUAAACUAGUUUUAUACUAGAUAAUCUUUUAUAUAUAAACCAAGAGUUUGUUUAGUAAAAUUUAUAGUUUUAAAACUUGGAUUUCUAGGGUUUAGCGAGGACGUGGACUUCGAUUCCCAGCUUGACUUUUGAGCUUCACUUUUGGUGAGUGUCCGUGCUUGUUCUAUGAUUAACUUGUUAAAGUGCUUUCUUGACCUGUUAUGUGAUACUUGGAAAGCGGUUUUCUUGAUCCGUCGAAGUGGGCAGUAUGUACUUUAUCGCACUAGCCCUUUCGAGUGGUGACUUGCUUGAAAUGUUUUCUCGAAUAUCUUGCAAUUGUUGACUGGAGCGUGGACUCAUCAACUAAUCCACCAGGCAGGGGAAUGUACCACACCUUAGGAUGGAGGGCCUUUUAUCCUGACCUGGUAAAAAUGUGUUGUGACGUCGUUGGGUGAAUCCCUCGACUAGUUUAUAAUGUGAUGUCGUUGGGUGAAUCCCUCGACUAGUUUACAAAAAGGUAUACUCGAGUAAUACCAAACUCUCUCGUGAGGCGUGCGGGCCCGGUGUGGGAGUAAGUUGGUUGGAGCGUGUUAAGGAAAAAAAAAAUGAAUCUACAUGGACUUUAGGUAGUGAGAGUUGACGGAGGGUCAACUGCGGUUAAUUUUGAUCAAGCUAGUGGAAAAUGGCUCCUGAGAGCCCUUGUAUCCUACCCUGUGCUGUUAUAAGCUUUCCUACUUGUUGAACUUAAUUUGAAGUUACUAUUUGUUACUUGUUUAUAUGGUUGCAUGUUUUGGGCCCCACUGAGUUUUGGCUCACCGCACGAUAUUUGUUUUCCUUAACAGGUUUUGGCGUUCGAGAGACUUGAAGCCUACUUUUCGUUUUUGUAAAUAUUAUUUCGGAUCGUCUUUGUAUCUUUUGUUUUGGGUUGUCACUUGAGGCUAGAAAAGUGCAAACCCUAAACUUUGGCUUGUAUGAAUGUAUUUGAUAUUUUAUGAUUGCGGUUUGUGGCUUGUAAUGUAUGAUUUUAGUUAUGUGUUAAGCUGGAUGGAGGUGUAUUUAAGAGUGAACGUUUAGAUGCCAAUGGCAAUGUUAUCUCUGAAGUUAAUGUGUUCUUAUUAAUUUGGUCGUUCAAAGGUUUGGAUUGUUCAGGUGACGAAUUUUGUUUUGGUUGAAGUUAUACGUGGAAAGGGUUUAGUCGGUUUCCUUGUGUGAGUCCUGGCGAGAGUUGGGCAGACGACCCGCCAACUCUCUGGUUCGCCUUAGGAAGAAGUGGGGCCGUCACAUUAUCAAUUUGCACCUGCAAGUUGAUUGCAUGCUGCAAUUAGAGAUCUCAAUCGUUAAUUGUACUAGUAUCUUAUAAGCAGUGAAUUGUGGAAGUAAAUUGCCAAUUUGGGAAGUGAUGCAACUGUGAAACUUUAGUAGUCUGCUUAGUGAACUUGUCUGGGCUUUGUCAGUCUAAUUCAGAGAAACUUACAAGUGCUGUUCAGGGAAGAAAGCAAUAUCACUUUAUUCAAGAGCAGUUUUACUUUGGCUCAUCUCAUCUGUCUGCUACUUCUAGCUGUUCAUCAUGAUUGCUGAAGGUAGGUAAUUCUCUCUUUAAAUUUGAGAUUCUAUUGGGAUGGAAAUGCUUGCUCUGAACCUUGUGCUCUUGAAAAUGUAUUUAUGUCUCAAAGAGUUCGCCUUCAUGACAAUUCCAGAGCUCUCUGCCUUUCAUGCUUGUGAGUGCCACUGAUUAUCGCUAUUGUUAUAGCACUUUCUCUUUUUUCAAAUGCUUUGAACUAAAGCUAAUAUAGUUUCUAUGGCACUUCUGGUGCUUGUAGACUGCGCAGAAAGAUUUGAUAUCUGCUUACUAAUUUAGGUCAGUAAGAACAACGAAAACAAAUAUUGAUUGAGCUUUUGCAAGAAAUCAAAUAACCAAAUGUACGUAGAUAGAUUUUCUUGGGUCGCCAUUUUGCAAGAAAUCAACAAUCAUCUUCUCUGAUUCUUGUUAGUCCACGUCGCUGUCCAGUUUCCUUCAUCAUUUUUCUAUUCAGGACAUUGCAUGUAGCCAGUAGUACAUUCAUUGUUCUCAGGUCGGCAACUCUUGCCGCCAUGUACAUGUAUGGCUGGAAUUGAAGUUGUAUUGCUUUUGCGCUGCUACCUACAAUUGCCAAUGUCUUAAGGCCUCUUGGAGAAAAGUUUGGUUUUAUUGCUGAUUUGCUUAAAAAAAAAAAAGGAAGACAAUGAGUUUAUAUAAAAGAAAGGGUAAAUUACCUUUUCUCCCUUGUGGUUUGAUGCCUUACCAUAUAACCUUCCCUUGGUUUAAAAACCUAUACAUAACCCCCUCAUAGUUUGGGUUAAUGUGUCAUGGUUAGUUUUUCGAUUAAAACUAAUGGUCAAUAAAUGUCAAAAUCAAACUAAUAAACUGACAAAUUCACUAUUUCACUACUUUUUUCCUUUUUUCUUUUUUCCUUUUCUUUUCUCACUUUUUUUUUUGGGAGAAAAGAAGAGAUGAUUCUGAAAAUAUAUACUCUGGCCUACAAAUCUUAAUUUUCUCUAAAUCUAAAAGAGAUGGAAAGGAAAUAAAAGAUAAAUAAAUAAGAAACAAAAAUAGAAGGGAAAUAUAAAACAAAUAAAUACAAAAUACAAAAUAUUUUUUGACUAGAAAUAUCAUUAUAAAUUUUUAAACCAUAGAGAGGUCAUGUGAUAAAUCACCAAACCACAAGAAGGUAAAAGGUAAUUUAUCUAAAAGAAAAUGAAGCUUUAUGUUAAAGCAUGUCUAAGCACAGAAUAUUGAUUCAGGUUUAAGAAAGAGAAUCAUUGCUUCUUCUUUCAGAUUCUCAAGUGUUCAUUUUAUUGGGUGAACAUUCAACCGCUAUGUACUUUUCUUGGUUAACCAAGCCUUGGGUAGAAUUAAAUUAAUCGACUGUGCUUUUUUUCUUGUCAGUUAGCCUGAUUCUUAGUCGGACUUUACUUUUUUUGUAAAAUAAAUAAAUAAAUACAAAAGUCUAUCAUGUUUCACCCCUGGUGAUAACCAGAGUUAAAAUCACUCAAACUUUUUCUUUCGAAAACAAAAAAAAAAUUGUUUGGAACCUAGAAAUAAUAUGUGGAGUUUGAGAUGGGUAGAACGUGGACUAUAUUAUCUACAAGUGAAAUUUCUCACUCAUUAAUAAUUAGGGAGAGUUUCUGUGUUUGUGUGUUAAUGAAUAUGAAAUUGGAAGUCACAAAGCCUGAUUAUUUAGCCAAGAAGCUGCAUGCAACAUAGUCAGUGCAGAAAGGAAGAACUUUGACCCCUAACAAAGAAAUUUUAUUACGGUCCCCAUCAAUUAUUUGGCAAGUACAGUCGUUUUUAUAUGAAAUUAAUCAAACAAAUAAGGAGUUCAUAAUCUUAUUUGGAUUGUAUAUGAAAUCAAUUUGAUUUCACAAUCUUAUUUAGAAUAUUUGUAUUAAUCAAAAACUAACCAUUAGCUGAUCCUAUAAAAAUUCUUGCUGCUGGCACUUGAGGAAACCAAACAAAAUAAGAUGCGUGUUCUAAUUUUAAUUCUUGAGGAUCAGUAAUUAAGACCAAAUUAUGAUUCACGUUGGUAGAAGAUUGGAUUGAGUGCUAAGAUGGGAUGAAUUCUAAGUAGGGAAUUCUGAAUUCAAUUUUAUUAUUGACGUAAAUGAUUGUCCUUUAUAGAUGCAACAACCAUUGAGAUAUGGGAUCAUAUCAAAGCCUUCCCUGAUGUUUCUCUUAAUAUCACCUAAUACCUUUAAGGUUUUAAAAAUAUAAUUUACUUACCUUGCUUUGGUUAUUUGUGUAACAAAAUUUUUAAAAAUUCUAAAUUGCCCUUUUACUUGCUAAAUAAAAAUAUUCCUAAACAACUUUAUUUACUUCAAAAAAACCAUCACAUAAAAAAUAAUUUCUAGCAGUAACUACAUCAUAAUGCAAUAACCCAUAAAAAUAUAAAUUUAAAAAAUAAAAAAGAUAUUUGCAAAGAAAUACACUUGCACUAAUUUGACUCUAUAUGCUCAAAACCGAUUUCUUUCAUCACCGGUGGUAAACAUUUCCAAAGAUUCAGAAACUGCAUUGUUAUUCUGUGCAAUGAUAAAUUGUCUAGCAGGUGUCACUCUCCUCUUUGCUCUUCUAGCCUUUGCAGGUCUUCCUCUUUGUGCCAGUUGAGGAAAACAAAAUCAAUUUUGCUUCUAAUUUGCAAAUGAAAUAUUGGUUAUGCUGUUAGUCUAAGGCUUCGUUUGGGAGUUGGGAUUUUGGAUAGGAAUGAAAGGAAAAGAAGAGAGAGUUAGCUUUCCUUUAGUUUUUGGUAAGAAAUAAAAGAAAGAAAUGGGAAGAUUCAAAAGGAUGAAAUGCAGUGCAACAAUAGCCAAAACUUUUCUUCCUAAAUUGGACAGAAAUGGAAGGAAACUUUGAGAAAGCUUGUCAAUUGUUUUCAAAAUGCCUAUUUUGUCCUUAAAAAGGUCUUGAACAAAUAUUUAAUAACUUUCAUAUCCAAAAUCAUUCUACUAAUUUUCAAAACUCUCAAACAACAUAACAAUCCCUUCCCUUCUCUUCUCUUCUCUCAUAACUUAAGUUUUCCCUUCCUUUCUUGUCUAUCCUAAACUCCUAAAAUAAGCCUAAUUCUCAAGGAUAGUUAGUAAGACCAAUUUAUUAUUCUUUUCAAAAUUAUUUUUGGAUUAAGAGAUGACAUGAUUGAUGUUGCCAACGUCACCAACUAUGAUUGUGUACAUUUGACUAAUUUUUUUGUUCAAUUUUAGGAAUAUUUAUAAGUAAUAAAAUUAUCUAACAAAGAGGCACUUUGCUAUAUUUAUAAACUUAACAAACUUCUCCAUUCUUCUUUUUUUUUGAGAAAUCCAUUCUUCAUUUUAAGUCACACAUCAUCCCUCUUUAUGUAUAUGUUAUUUUUAUAUGCAUCAUAUCUAAUAAACCCAAGAAUAUUUAUUCAAAAAGCAAUUAAAUGAUAGAAGUAUGCAAAAUUGACAUCUCAACCAACCCAAAGCUAUUUGUUCAACGAGCAAUUAAAUGAUAGAAGUAUGCCAAAAUUGACAUCCCAACAACUUUUCUAAGACUUUUAGUCUGGAAUUUGAUAAAAAUGGAAACGAGUCACACUCUGAUUGGGUGUUACAAACGUGUUGAUGGGUAAAUACUACUUUUUGAGAUUGUAAUAUAUUGAUAACUAAAAUCUUACCUAAAGCCACUACUUUCAUAAUAGUGGUAAAUGACUGGUUAAAUUUUUGUUCAAUCAACAUGAACUUAUAAGUAACCAAAUGUCAUUAGUUUUCACCAAAUUUGUGAAACAAAAAUCUUUAUUUCCUUAAACAUAUCAUAAAAUGGACUAAAUAGUUUGUAAGACAUUAGCAAUGGAAAGUCAAUAAAUACCAACAUGGGGUACAACAUCUGUAUGUCACUAAUUACCAAUAGUUUGUAAAAUUUUUUUUAACCAAUCGAUAGAAUAGAAGUUAUUGUUUUGGAUAUAUUGUAAAACAGAUCGAGCUAACAAUGAAAAAUUAACAACAAAUAGUACUUAAAUACUAACUAAAUGUACAAUACUUAUAAAUAGAAUCUCAUCUGAAACUUCCCAAUUUGGGGCAGGGAUAUUAUUCUAUUGAUACUCUGAAAUUGUGAAGCAAUGUUCAAAAGAUAAGUUUUGAAGGGAGAUCAAAAGUUUAUUUCAUUUGAAGAUUUCAUAAGAAUAGUCGUGCCUCAUUAAUUUGAGCGGAAAUUUUUGAAACGGAAGCUGAGGUUUUUUAAAGGAGUCUGUUAGCCCCUCAUAUUUUUAAAAAAAAAAAAAAUCUUUUUCCCUACUCACUUAGUAAAAGUGUCAUUUUCCUUUACUACUGUUCCCAUUAUAUGUGAUCUAUUGCAGUCCUUUCAUUCCCUUUUGUGCGAGGAGCGCUUGGAAACUGUCCGCCUGAUGACCGUCUCGGCUCCAUAUCCCACUUCCCUUCUCUCUUACAUUUUGGCGGUUGAACAUAGCUAUUUGUCAUUCUUGGGUCAAACCACCAUUCUAAUGACCACUUGAGAUUGCAUCCAAGUUUGUCCAAGAUGUAAGCAUCAUGCACUGAUUAAGAAAGGCCACGUAGCGAAAUUGCCAAGCAUCUUCUAUGGCAAUUAAUAACAUCCAAGUUUGUCAACGAAUUAUUAAUCUAGAUGAAGUCAAUUCUAUCCUUAUGUCCCAAGAAUUACCAAAUUAGAUUUUAAAAAAUGGUUGCCUCGGUAGCAAUUAUGAUUGCCAUUUUCCCUGUCUUUUGCAUCAAAAGUUCAAUUGUAACUAUGGAAGUUUAUAAGUAAGAUAAGUAGUAUUAUUUUAAAAUUGAAAGGAGGAAUUUUAAAAUCAGGUACUGGCACAAUAGACGUAUACACUAAGAUAUUAAAUGUAGAAAAAAAUAACAAUACACAAAAGCACAAUAAAUGUUUUAUUCAUUAAAAGUUUUUCAUGCUAAUCAAUUCUAUUCAUCCAAUUUCAAAUUUACCCAAUGUAAAAUAUAGAUUGCAUGGUGCAAUCAAUUGCAAGAAGUAAUUGUGCGUUAUCCAUCUCAACUCACCACACUUAUCAUUGUUAUCACCUUUGUUUUUUUACCCUGUCACUAUUAUCAUUAGAUAAAUAUAUGAAAAAACAGUUUAUACUUAUUCCACUCACUUUUUUUUUUAUUUUUCCAGCCACCAUCCUGUCUCACAUGCAUUAUAUAAAAAUACAAAAAGUGUUACAUUAUUAAUCUAAUUUUUUUUAUUUAACUAAUCCUCUAUUCGGCCACACUUUUAUUUGAGUAAAAUGAUACCUUUCACCCUUUCGGAUCAUUCAUUUAUUUUUUUUUCUAGGUUUGCAAUUAGACUGCACCAAAUUAAUAAAUGUUUCUUGUUUUCACAAAUGUAUCAUAGCUUUUAUGUAUCAACUCUUUCCUCAACAUCGUUUGUUUGCUGAGAAAUUUCUAAAAUUAUGAUGAAUUUUAAAAAAAUUCUACAAAGGGGCAUUUUGAAUAUGGAUUUUGUCCAAGGAGUCUUCGCAUUUAGCAAAUGCGAGCUCAGCAAAUGCGAGCUCCAUGAGCUCGCAUUUGCUGAAUGCGAAGUCUCCUUGAAUUUUCGACCAACAAAAUCCAAAAAAAAAAAACAAAAAGAAAACCAGACCUCGCAUUUGUUAAAUGCGAGGUCCGUUACCUCGCAUCUAAUAAAUGCGAGUCACUUAGACCUCGCAUUUAACAAAUGCGAGGUCAGUGACCUCCCAUUUUGUUAACAAACGAUCGCAUGUCCAGAGGCCUAAUACUGAUUUCAGAGCACUUUCCAUAUUUUACCUCUUUUUUUUUUUGUCCUUUCAUCUUCCUUUUUGGAAAAUUACUAGUUGCCAACCGUGCAAUGUACAAGCCAUGUAAUGAAAACCCAUUGAAUUGUGAAUCAAUUUAAAAUGAUAUCAGCAAUACAAUAACGACCCAAGAUCAAAGUAUCAAAACAAGAAAAUCCCAGAAAAUUUCAUUCAAAAUGUCGAAUUUCUUAUGAUGAUACCCCAAAUGGUUAAAUUGCUUAGUUUGAUCUAAAAAUAAUUUUGUUGUCCCCUUUCAGGAUUUCUUUUUAUCCACACUUACCAGAAUUUAGGCUUCUCGCAGAUUUUUGCCACAGUGAGUGUGAUGGAUAGAAUCCUCAAUGUCCCUGCGGUAUGUCACUCCUGGAGCUCAGCCUACUCCAACAAAAUUUGUUCGACUUCUUUGGGCACUUGCGAAAUCAAAAAACAAAAAAUGAACUCCCAGAAUCUUGGCUGCACGGAGAGAGUGAAGGGAGAGUGAGACAGACACCAACGAUGAAAUUGAAGGAGUUUCAAUGUAUAGGCCUGCAUUUGGAGGGGAAUUUUGAUUGUUUUCAGAUUGAGUACCUCGCAUUUAAGAAAUGCGAGGUACUCAAUCUCGCAUUCUCCAAAUGCAAGCUUAUAUUAAGCUCACAUUCUGCAAAUGCGAGCUUGCAAGCUCGCAUUUGCAAGCUCGCAUUUUCCAAAUGCGAUCUUGUUUUUUUUUUUUUCUAGAAACACUUACCUCGCAUUUCACAAAUGCGAGGUAUCUAAACUCGCAUUUCACAAAUGCGAAGAUCAUAAGUCUGGAACCAACUUAAAAAAUUACCCCCUUUGUAGAAUAACUUUUUUUUUUCAUCACAAUUUAAGAAUUUUCUCUUUGUUUGCUCUGAAGCGGUUUACAAAUCUCCCACUUUAACGUAAAAUUGUCAUAGUAACCUUAGAUGUACCCUUCUGUUUGCUAAUGCACCAAACCAUUUUGUGACUCCUAUACAUGCGCAACAUUAAUUUGAAUUAUCUGUAAUCGCUUAAUUUGAAUUAUCUAAAAUUAUUUUGGACCUUUCAUUGUUCAGCACAGUUCUUAUCCUUCUUGGGUGGAAUUUUCCACGUCCAGGGGCCCCGGCAUGUGGAAUGUGGAUCAAAAGUAGAUGUAGAAUCCCGGCAAUGACUAUAUUUUAUUUUCAACUGAAAAUGCCAAGCAACUUCCGUUGCAAAAGCAUCCGACCCAGUUUGUCAAAGAAGCGCUGCACCAAAAAAUCCUCAUAACUCUUGUCACUUCCGUUUGAGUCAAAGCAGUUCCUUGCUGCUUCUAACUACGGCUAAAACCUUCCACUGCAAAAGGGUAUUCUUAUCUGAAGACUGUACCCAAGGAACAGAAGAAUGGCUGAUGCACUUAUAGCUUCCACAAUAGAGGUAGCAUUGAAGAAGACACUUUCCCUUGCAAUGAAAGGAUUGGCAAGUUAUUCCGAUUCAAGGAGGAUUUGGAGACCCUCAAAGAUCUGUUGCUAUGAUCCAAGCUGUCUUGGCUGAUGGAGGAAAAGCAAACGCAUGACCAGGCCGUGUGACUGUGGCUCCAGAGGCUAGAAGUCGUGGCGUUUGAUGCCGAGAAUUUGUUGGACGAGCUGAAUUAUGAAGCUCUUCGUCGCCAACUCGUGGGCAAGGUGCGCUCCUUCAUCCUGUCCUCUGACAUUAAUAUUGUUUUCCGAUGGAGAAUGGCCUCUAAGAUCAGUGACAUCAACAAGAAGUUGUAUAAGAUCAAUAAAGAAGUCAAUGAUUUUGGACUGAUCAGAUUCCAAAGGGCAAGUUUCCCCCCUUUACUACUGCUAAAGUCACACUAAAUAGAGAGACGGAUUCUAUUGCUGGCCAUUAUGUUGUAGGAAGAGCUAAGGAUGAAACAAGGCUGGUGGAGAUUGCUAAGCUUGUCAGAAAAUGCCGUUUCUGUAAUUCCCAUCCUUGGGAUGGGCGGAUUGGGAAAGACAACUUUAGCUCAAUCUGUAUACAAAAAUAGUCAAGUUCAUAGCCAUUUUGAGAAAAAAAUUUGGGUUUGUGUGUCCGACAACUUUGACGUGACCAGGCUUUUGAAAAUGAUUUUAGAAUCACUCACAGAAGAAAUGUUGAAAUGACCAGUAGGGAUGUCAUCGUCCACGAAAUUCGAGAACAACUUGUGGGAAAAUUUUUUUCCUUGUUUUUGAUGAUGUCUGGACCGAAAAUCUUACCUUGUGGGAUGAUUUUUUUCGUUCAUUACUGGGGCUAAAUGCAACUAAUGGAAAUUGGUGUGUUGUGACUACUCGUAAACAACAAACUGCAUCCAUUGUGGCCACACAUGAUCCUUAUGUGCUAGGAAAGCUAUCUGAUGACGAUUGUUGGUCUAUCCUAACAAAGAAAUUCCCAAACAAUUGCAUGUCAUGAAAAAGGAAAUUAUAAAAAAAUGUGGUGGUCUACCACUGGCUGCAAGUGUAAUGGGAGGUUUAUUGCGCAUGAAGAGAAAAGAGGAGUGGCAGUUGGUUUUGAAGAAUAAGCUUUCAAAUUUCAGUGGAGAUGAAGAUGGUGUCAUGGAAAUACUUAAAUUGAGUUUUGAUUGUUUACCAUCUCCAUCCAUUAAGAAAUGUUUUGCAUAUUGUUCUAUAUUUCCUAAGGAUACUAUGAUGAAAGGAGAUAUGCUAAUCGAACUUUGGAUGGCAGAAGGUUUGCUCCAAGCAGAUGUCACAACCAAAUGAUGAUGGAGGAAAUUGGAAUGAAUUGUCUGAGAAUUUUAUUACAGAGUUCGUUGUUUGAAGAAACCAAAAGUUAUCAGGAAACACAUUAUUAUAAGAUGCAUGAUCUAGUGCAUGACCUCGCAGAGUCAAUGUCAAAGUCUACUAAAGUUAUUAACAAUAUUCGUUACCUUGCAGUAGAUUUAUCUGGUGGCAAAGAAGAAGAGAAAAACUUUUGAAGAGGCUAUCAACUUCGCUUCGUACAUUGUUUGUAAAGGGUGACCUAUCUGGUGAUAUGUUAAUGAAGUUGAAGAACUUGUAUGUUUUGAAUUUGUCUCAUGCAACAACUCAAGAGCUACCGAUCACUAUUGGCAAAUUGACACAUUUGCGAUAUGUUAACCUUUCGAGUUCUAGAAUCCGUAUUUUGCCAACUCCCUUUGCAAGCUUUAUAAUUUGCAGACAUUGGCACUAGAUAGCAUGUAUGUCAAAGAUCUUCCAAAGGGGAUGUGCAAUUUGAUUAGCUUGAGACAUCUAUACUUUUACACCUUUGAUGAAAAAUUUCAAAUGCCACUAGAGAUGGGACGACUAUCUUGCCUUCAGACACUAGAGUUCUUUAAUGUGGGUCGAGAAAAGGGUCGACAAAUUGAAGAGCUUGAUGCUUGAAAAACCUCAAAGGCAGUUUAAGUGUACGCAAUCUUCAACUAGUAAAGGAUAGGAAAGCAGCUGAGGAAGCAAAUCUAUUUGGAAAGGCAAUCUAUUUAGGCUGAUACUUGUGUGGGCCUUGGCUUGGGAUCGAGAAGGUGACAACUACAACUACGACAAAGAUGUGUUAGAUGGCCUUAGGCCUCAUCCAAAUUUGGAGGAGUUGGUAAUUCAACGUUUUAUGGGUGAUCAAUUUCCUCGAUGGUCAAUGGAUUUGCCAAUAACACUUCCCAAGUUAGCGCGUUUGGAGUUUUAUUAUUGCCACAGAUGCAGAGAACUCCUUCCCUUGCAAAACUUUACGUUUCUUAAAGAGCUGUGAUUUGGUUUUGCCGUGGGUUAAUGAGUCUACCCAGUGACAUGCUACAGUCUUGUAUCUCUCUCCAAAAGCUUCAGGUGGCUUAUUGCGGCAAGCUUAUCUCCUUUCCGCUUGAUUUGCAACAAACGCCUUCUCUUUUGAGUUGGAAUUAUAUGCGUGUCCCAAACUGAAAACAAGUAUGACGCCCAAAGGAUUUGGUUUCCUAACCAGCUUAAAUCGCCUUGAAAUUGGUCCCUUCUCAGAUGAUGAUGACCAUGAAAAUUCUUCAAUUUACAAUGAAUUUGAUUGGUCUGGAUUGAUAUCCUUCUCUCUUUGUCAUCCAUACUAUGUGACUAGAAUUAUUUGGGUUGCCACACAUGGAGUCCCUACCACAUCAGAUCCAAUACUUGACCACUCUCACGUCACUUCGGCUACAUGACUUUGGAGGUAUAAAAGCUCUGCCAGAUUGGUUUAGAAACUUUGCUGCUCUUGAAUACCUAUGUUUAUUUGGUUUCAAAGAGCUUCGACAUUUACCCUCUGAGGAUGCCAUGAGAAGUCUCACCAAACUAAAAGUUCUACUGGUUUAUGGUUCUCCUUUGUUAAAAGAAAGGUGCACUCUGAGAGCAGCGGCCUCGACUCCCAGUGGUCCAAAAUUUCUCAUAUUCAACUCCUAUUAAUAAGCGAUUAACAAUUCAUCUUCAGAUCAAAUUCAAUCAUGUAAGAUUGCUUGCUACCUACGCAUAAGACAUCUUUGCCUUCUCUUCACUUCCCACUCUAAUCAACCUUCUCGAUAAGUGUAUUAUACAUUCUUUUAAGUAGUAUUAUGUGCUUAUUUUUUGGUAUAAUUUAGGGUUUUUAUGGUGUAACUUGCUCUCUAAGUCUCUAACUUUUGCAAGAUUCAUUUAGGAAGUUGAACGUGCAAAUGUGGUUAUAUUGGUAGGAUUUGGAGAAUUAUCAAUAUUGGAUCGAGGCGAAUUCAUUUGAAUUCAUUAGUGCCUGAUUAAUGAUGAUUUGGAAUUAGAAGAGCAUCAAAUGCAAGUAUUAUUGUUCAUUGCAUGAACAAACAUUGGGACAUCUUGCUUAUGAUCUUAGUGAAUUGGAUAGAAAGACACAAGAAAACGUAAGAAAAGAGAAAACACAGGCUCUGAAUACACAGUUGAGGUCACAUAUUCCAAGCCUGCUUAUUCUCCCCUAUUUUUUUGUAACUUAUUUUGCAACUUGCCCUAUUUUCACACUUCUUUUUGCUCAAUUCUAGCACAGAAUUUAGCUACACAUGCUCAAGAAACUCUAGAAAAGUGCAAAAGAAACUUUAUGUCAUAUUAUUUAGCACUUUUUGACUCUCUUGAACACUAUAUAUUUAAGAAUCACUAAAGAGAGAAAGAAGAGAAGAGGAGGGACAAAAUUACUGCAAGGAGAAGACGUGAGUGCAUUUAGCACUAUAUAUGAAAGAAUCAUUUAGCACUUUUCCACAGUGAUGCAUGUGAUGUGCAAGGAGAAGACUCGCCGACCUCUUGCUGCAUUUUUUUUUUGCUUCAUAUUUCUUGUAGUUUUAUUUUAACUCUUUUUAUUGUACAAGUUUAACUUGAACUUCUCAUCUUGCAUUUGGGACUUGUGGCAGUUUUCAUAGAUGGUUGUAGAUUCGUCGAUGGCUCGUGAUUCAAGAUUGAGCUGGAUCUCAGCCAUUGAAUUGGGGAGUAACUUGUUUUUACUUUUUCUUCUUUGCUUUCCCUACACAUUGAGGAAAAUGUGUAUAUUAAGUGUGGGGGAGGAAAUGCUGUUAAGUAGGAGUCACUUUGGUGCUUAUAUGGUAAAUGCUUGGAUAUGAUAUUAGAAAUUUGUCUUGUGCUUAAAAUUGUUGGUUUUUGGGUUUGCUGGCAAGGAGUUUCAUCCAGUUUUAAAGAGAAACUCUGUCAAAUUUUUUCAAAAUCUUGUCCAAAUUUCAAAAUUUGCCCCAAGUCUUUCACAAAUUGUUCAUUUAAAUCCACAAGUGCAUGAAGUUCAUGUCCCUUUUGUUUUAAAAUUCUCCUAUACAAGUGAGAUGAUUUUAGUAAUUGGACAAUUCAAUUCUCACUUGACUUGGAAACAAUUAUAAUAUGACUAGAAUUAUUGCAUGUAAGAAAGUAUAUCUUGUAAAAUAGAGAAAAUUAUGCCUACAUUUUGCAUAGUAAAUGAAAUCUCUCAUCUUACUUAUUUUUACAAGUAAUUGAUUUAUAUAGUUGCUAGAAUAUUUUUCUUCCAAAUGUGACCUUAUUGAGGGAUUUUAUGUUAAAAAAAUUCAAUAAAUUCUUAUAUUGAGUAACCGAGAGUUUUAUCUACAAAUAUCGACUUUUGCGUCAAAAGGUAUUGGAAUUGGGAGUAAUAAGUGAAAUUUUGAGUAACCAGAAAUCUUCAUCUAAAAAUGUCAAUCUUCAUCAAAAGGUAUUUUCACAAUUUUAAGAGUAAAUAAAAGAAAAAAGAAAGUGAAUAGUUCCCUCUUAAGGUUUGUGAAGCUAAACAUCUCAUUUAGAAGGAAGAAAAUCUCCAAGGUAACUAUAUAUGUUAGUUAUUUGUGAAAUUAGGUAAGAUAGAGAGAUUAAAUUUGUUUGGUUGAAUUUUGGGUGUAAUUAUCUCUCUUUUACAUGAUAUGAUGAGUAUUACAGGUAAUAGGAAAAAAUUGCAUAAUCAAAGCUUGCCAAAGUAAGAGAGAUUGAGUUUCAAGUUCACUUGAUCAUUUCACUUCUUAAAUUAUUGCUGGUUUGUAUUUUUUAUUGCUCGAGAAAAGUAAUGAUUUAAGUGUGGAAAAAUUAUAUGAAAAAAACUAAAAAGUUCCCGUGGUUAUUCUUCACAAUUUUCUCUUCUUCAUUUUUCUCAUCCUAUUUAUUAUCUUUCAAAGCUGCGGCAUUAGCAUUUCUUGUCAAGUGCAAAAUACCGUGCUUCUCAUUUACUCCUAACAACAUAAUACUCUUGUAACCAUCGAUUAACAUGAAACCAAGCACCUAUCCUGUUCUGUGCUUUGAUGUAUUACUAUAACUCUGUUAAUAUUCUGUUCCACACUUUGUUUUUGUAGGAUUGACAGAACAAUAGCUUCACGAUAUUAUCUAAAUUGUUUUGUUAGAUCUCUUGUUUACUACAUAAUGUCUGGCUUGAAUUUUCUAUUUUGCAGUGAUCUUAGGCUCAAGGUUUAAGUGGAAAUCUCCAUUGGCCAUUAAUUACUCAUUGAAUUGCAAGGCCAGUAGCUUGGACAAAAAUAUUUAUGAUGGCAAUUUUUCUUUCGUCGGAGCCUUAUAUAGCUUGGUGCCUUAUAUAGCCAACACUUGAUAUCCUUGUUGUCGGAGCUUGCACAUUGUCUAUCUGCCUUUUCAGUCACGAGGUCCAGCAGUAAGAAUUUACCUGCUAUAUUACUAUAAAUUUGCUUAAUUUUUUCCCUGGCUUUUUGUCUUUGAAACUAGUUGUACCUCAAUUGCAGAAAGUUUUCUGUCUCUGUUUUGAUUGCUCAAUGACUGUCAGCUGGCCUGUACAAUCUACUGGGAAAAAAUUUCUUGCCCCAGCUUAUCAGAUGUUUUUGAAGAGCCAUCAUUACCAGGACUUUUGAUGAUCUUUAUUGGCAGUUUGAUGCCUAUUACUUGAGAAAUAGAUUGACCAUUAAGAGGUUUUGCAAACUUUCGAGUGUUAUCGCAAGGUUAGCAUAUCUAAGUCAAAAAAAUAUACAUACAUUGUAUCGAGUCCUAGUACCUGCUCAUUAUCUUUAGGGUAAAAGUGGCAAAAGAAACUCACUUUUGUAAGAUUCCCAUCACAAGAAAAUGUAAUAGAACUUCCUGUUCUUUCAUAGUUAUAAUGCAGGAACAAGCUUUCUCGAGAUUUUAAAUAUGAGGGCUUUCAUCAAACUUAGGCAUACACACCACCAUUUACUGUGAAAAUUUUAUUUUCUUAUUGAUUUGUUUAAAAAAAGGAAAAAGAUAAUGCAUUAUAUUCAUGGAGUAAAUCCUCAAAUGAAUGUAUGUCAAAGCAAAAAAAAUUGUGAACUAGCAACCGCAGACAAAGAUUUUAGACUUUUUAAUUUAUAGCUUCUUUUGUUUCUAUAGGAGAACUUACUCUAAUGAAACUUUUAUGAAGAUUUCUAUUUGUUACCUUUUGUGAGGUGAUAUAGAUGGUAACUAAAAUGAUUAAGUUGCAAAGUUUAGGAGGAUCUGCUUCCAAGGAUGUUGUCUAGCAGUGCAAUAGCUGGAAUUUGAGAGGAUUCCAUUGUGCACCUUUAGACCAGCAAUUCUUGCCGCGCUCCUUUCUUCAAUGCUUCCCAAGAUGAUUUUUGUGGUCUCUUGCUUAGAUGAACAUAGUUAGAAUUGUGAAGCUUCUUCAGCACCGUAUAUAUUGCCGGAACUCAAUAAUUUUUUGCCUACAAAUAGCCCAUCGACAUAUAAUAACAACUAGCGGUCUAGUUUUGUUGAUUUUCCAUAUUUGCUUCUGUGGAUUGUAAGAUAUUAUUGCUAAAGUCAGCCCACUCUCUUUAAACUUGUGAUUCUAAGGGGAUGAAAUGGUUUCUCUGUAACUUUUACCUCUCAAAAAUGCAUUUAGAUACUUCUCUGAACCAUUUGAUUAGUAAUAGCUCUGGGUCUCAAAAUAAUGGUUUUUUUGACUCACUUUUUCUCGGUUAUGAUUUUCUAGCCAUGAAGACAAUGGUCAAUCAAGGGGCUUUCGCAUCAUCGCUUUGGUGUUUUGGUUCAAAUUUCUGGUAAUUUAAGAUACGCUUCUCUUCUUUCACUACUCAAUUUGACUUUUAAUCGCUUUGAUUUUUAAUAUGCUACAUGUAAAACAAAAGAAAUCUUGUCAUUGUGAAGAUAUUGCCGAGGUAGCCGAGGACGAUGUACUGUUCAUGCAAUGAAGUUGCACAAAACUUGGUACUUUUUUUUUUUUUUUUUCAGAAACGAUAGAAAUUUUAUUUCUUAUAAUAAGGAAGUAACACUGAGGACUAGGCCACUGAGGAGCUUUGAGUUCCUCAUCAAAGUAUAUGCAUAGCUAAUCUACUCAGUUUUGCACUGAGUCUGUUCAUUUCAACAGGCACAAAACUUGGUACUUGGUGGAGUAUCUUCCAACAUGGUCAAGUUUAAGCAGGAUGUUCUGAAGCAUUUCAGAAGUUAGUCAAGUCUGCUUGUUGCAACAUGCUGCUCUUAGUGAAUCCACCCAGAUAAAGGUUAUUAAGCUCCCCCUGCCUUUUGUGAUUGUGGGUUGCUAUUUUUUUUAUGGUAAGUUUAUUCUUUUGGCGGUCCGGUUGGAAUGACCAAAAACUUGCGAUGAUAUAAAAAUUUCCAUUAGCUUUAUUCUUUGCUAUAUGCGGUCUAGACUUUUGAGUUUUUGUGCUUUGCAGUGAUAUUAGGACCAAAACUGAAGGGGGAACCUCGCUGAUGGAUCUUACAUACUGUGCUUACUUUUUGAAAGUCCUACGAUUCCUUGCUGAACAAGAUCCUGCUUCAGUUGGAUAGUAACAUCUAGCAUGCAUUCUCUUUUGCUCUGUGCCUCAGAUGACCAAAGGCUGAGAUUCUCACUGUGGUUAUGGUGACUUUGAACUGUCCAAAUGAUUCAGCAAUUUGUAGUCACAAUAACGAGGGGCUGAUUUACUUGUAACUCAAUUAGCUAUCUCUGGCAUAGUGCUCGUCGUUAGAAGUUAGAACUAGCUGGUGUUUUGGCUGCAGUUAUAUGUGGAUUCUGUUGUGACUUAAAUGGCCCUUCAUUUUCUGAGUUAAAUUGCGCAACGGAUCUUCAGUCCCACACUCUAUGUCACUCUCUAUCACAUUUUUUAUUAUAUUGCUAUUUCUCCUUCAUAAACAUCAUGUUUUAAUUCUUUUUUGUUUCCUUAAGAUCCAAUAACUAUUAAUUCAGUAAAAAAUAAAUAUAACGGUUUCAAAAAAGUAAUAUAUAAUAGAAAAUUUAAAAAUACAGCAGAAAAUUCAUAAAAAAUCUCAUUUUUAUGCAUUUUGAUUUUUUAAAUUUGUUAAAUUUUGUGUAUUACAAAUAAAUAUAACAGUUUAAAAAAAGUAAUAUAUAAUAGAAAAUUUAUAAAUACAGCAGAAAAUUCAUAAAAAAUCUCAUUUUUAUGCAUUUUGAUUUUUUGAAUUUGUUAAAUUUCGUGUAUUACUGAAUUAAUAGUUAUUGGAUCUUAAAGAAACAAAAAGAAUUAAAACAUGAUGUUUAUGAAGGAGAAAUAGCAAUAUAAUAAAAAGUGGGACAGAGAGUGACAUAGGGUGUGAGACAGAAGAUCCGCUGCGCAUAAAUUGCUUUGCAUGUGCCACGAAUUGCCCAUCAUUAUUUUCAAGUUUAUGAGUUGUGAUGACUUACUUUGCGAUUGGAACCAAACUACUAUGAUUUUUAUAGGAAUCGUAAAUAAGACUUAGUACUUGCUUGCACAGAUUUUGGUCUGUUGUGAGAUUGACAGUACAAAAGUAUGGUUAAAUUAUCUAAACUUUGUCAUCAGCUUUCUUCUUCACCACAUAUUGCCUCAGUUUGAGUUUUCUGUUUUACAGUGAUCUCAGUGUUAAUGAUCAACUGGACUCUACAAUUGAUCUUACUUACCGACAGAAAUACACAGCUUGUAACUUCUGAAAACUCUGUUGAAUCAAUCCUGUUUCAACUGAACAGAAAUGUUUAGGAUGGCCGCUACAGGCACACUUUUUUUCCUCCUUAGUGUCUAAAACCUUUGCAGGAGCUUGUGGCACUAUCAGCCAACCUUUUGGUAGAUGAUUUUUGCAAAAGUUCAGCCUUUUCCUACACAGCAGCCAUAGAAUAAAAGAGAACUUGGUGAUUUGUCCCUUGUCCCAAUACCUGGGCACUUCAGGUGGUGCAAGCCUAAGAAUUGUAAAGCAGACUUGACAUUAUACACACCUGAGUUGCUGGGUGCCCAUACAGUGACAUCUCUCUCCUUUGGAUUAAGGGCUGGUUCACCAGAAGUGAGCUGUCGAAGCCUUCUAACUUCCAUAUUAGACUUCCCCCACUAGGCCAUUUCCAAGCACCGUCACAGAAACAUUUUGCCGCAGGAUCAGACUUCGAUAGAUUGAAGUGCAGAUACAAUGGCCCUAUAGGGUGCCAUCGAUCACACCAAAAGUUGGUUUCCUGUCCAUUUCCAAUCACCUCGUUAAUGAAGCCUUGACCUAUAGUUCUCAAUUUUAACAGUUUGGAUUGGCUCUGCUCUCCAGUCUUCAUUAUCUUCUCUGUUAACUUAAUGAAACUAAAGUCAAGUUCCUGGUUGAAUCACAAUGAUAAACUCACUUUGGUAUCGCAUUAAUCAGAGCUUGUCACACCUUAUUUUGCACAAAAUUUACUUGGGUUGCCAUUUUGCAAGAACUUUUAAGAAUUAUAUUAUCUGAUGCUUAUUAAGUGUAUGUCGCAGUCCAGCUCCCUUCAUCAUAUUUCUGCUACUUAUGCUAGUUGGUUCUAUGGGUUGAAAUGGUUGCCAUUUUCUAUCCAAUUUCACCGCAUUACAUGUAGUUGGUAGUGUAUUCAUUUCUUUCAGAUUGCCAUCUAAUUCAUCUUUCAUGCGUAUUGGGAUUAGCAAUUCUUGGCAUUCAAUUUUUGUUAUUCGACUUCUUCAGGACCAGCCGCCAUAUGUAUAGCUGGAAUUGCCAAUGUGUAAUGGCAUCUUGGAGGGAGAGUUCAGUUUUAUUGCUGAUUUGCUAACAAAGGAAAAUAAUGACUUUUAUGUAAAAGAAAUGAAGCUUUGCACCAUAGUAUGUCUGAGCACAGAAAAUCGCUUUGAGAUUUAAGCAAUGGAAUCAUUUCUUCUUCUUUCAGAUUUUCCAGGAUCCGAUUUUGCAUUUCACUGGGUGAACACCAAUGGCUAUCUACUUUUCUUGGUUUACUGGGGCUUGGGCCAGAAUCAAAUUGAUAGACCGUUUUUAUUGCCAGUCGGCCUGAAUUGGCAGUUGGGCUUCUUUGACAAAUAUGCUCAUGUGUCCUUCGGCCAAGAAAUCGCAGAAGUUGGAGUGGGUUUGGGGCGGGCGUAGGGGUGGCGAGGUAUCGGGGGGGGGGCAGGGAGCUUUUUGGACAAGGGUGAGGUAUGGAGAGGGCUUCCCCGCCUCAAAUCCACCCCGUUAUAAUCAUUUAGAAGGCCUAACAAUUAUUUUAAUUUAAAAUAACAAGCCUGAUUAUUGAGCCAAAAAGCAAAACAUAACUUAGUUUUUGGCUAAUGAAUUGUUCAUCAGUGACAACACAAAGUCAUCACAGAACAUACAAAUAUCGUCACAAAUACCUUUUAUUGACGACUUUUUGAUCGUCACAAAGUCGUCACUAAAUCCCCGUCGGUAAAAGUAAACAGUGACGACCUAAAAUGUCGUCACUAAAUAGUUGUCAUUAGUGACGACUUUAAGUAGAGCAUUUUUGACAAAAGAUCAAGUCGUCAAUAAAACACUUCCAGAUUGUCGUCACUAAUGACAACUAUUUAGUGACGACCUGAAAUGUCGUCACUAAAUAGUUGUCAUUAGUGACAACAAUCCGGAAGUGUUUUAUUGACGAAUUGACCUUUUGUCAAAAAUGCUCUACUUAAGGUCGUCACUAAAAAGCACCGAAAGCCAUUGUAUAUAACUAUUUUACUGACAACAAUUGUCGUCACAAAUGUAGCUUAGAUUUAGUGACAGUCUCUGUUGUGACAAGGAGUUUUUAUUUUCUAUUUUGUGACAACUUUUUUUUGUCAUUAGAUAAUUUCUCAUUAGUGACAGCCUCCGAAGGUUGUCACUGAGCUUUGUUUUGAAGAGUUGAAAUUAACCAUUAUGAAUAUAGCAUUGUCAUAGCAAUUUCAACAAAUUAUAGUAGAACAUUCAAUUUGACAAAAGGCAAAAUUCAUGUAGAAUGAAGCUACAAAUUCAUAUAUAUGGCCAUAAACAUUUGUGAAUUCAUCAAAAUAGAAGUUAACCAGAAAUGUUGUGUCCCAAAACCCACAUAAUCAAUUCAAGCACUAAUGGCCAAUAUGCAUCCUUCCCAAAAAAUAGAGUACUAGCUUUCUAAACUAAAGCAAAGAUUGCACCACCAAUGUCAGACUUCAACCAUCUCUAUCAUCAUAUCCAACAAUCUCCUCGUGAUCAAUAUCAAACUGGACUGCAUUGAGAAUAAAAUAUUAUAUGCAUUAGAAUAGACUUUAGUAAAAAAAUAUGCUAUUACAACCUUACACAAGUUAUCUAAGUACAAGAAACAGUUAAAAAGUUGUGUAUUAUCUAAGUACAAGAAGUUAACAAGAAGUUUAGAUUAUAAGGACUAGAAACUGACAAUGAAUUGAGUUUCAUACCAUCUACAUGCCAUUUUAAAUGAUUCACAAGCAUUAUAUUGUGAUAUUGGAUAUCUUCUUUAUUAAAAAACUUGUUCAAAUCACAUUAUGAGAACAUCUAACUUUUUGAUUAUCAAAGUAAUUGACUUCGAGGCCUGGAACAGCAAGUACUUUUGUCAGUGGACAAGGUUAGAUCAUAUUGGGUGAGUUUGCGUUGCUCCAUAGUUGAAGUGAUUUUACUUGAGUUCUGUCCACAAACUCUUUGGUUGUCACAAUGAAGUAAUCUCAAUUAGCCAAUACGGCAUAAAUAUCCACUUGUGAAAAUACAUAAGGAGUUCCUCAAAAAAUAGGUAAUUUUGGAAAUUUACUGAUUGUUGCUAAGUGUGGUUCCUAGCACAGAUCCACAGAUGUACUCUUAGUGCUAGCUAUGGUCCAUCCCAAAUUCGAUAAUCAGAAGCAACUCCAAUCUAUUACUUACUCACACAACCAUCUAACAAUCACAGGACUUCUGAUAGUCAUCAAAUAACUGAUGUUCUACUUCAUGUACCGGUCAUAUCACUUAUACCAAUAUCACCAAAUCCUUUAAGCAAACAAGAAAACAAAAACAGAUAACCAGCAUGAUAGCUGUUCUGAAGACAAAUUUAUAGUAACAAGGUCGGAAUUUGUUUACCUGCUUGGAUGAAACAUCGUAUUCAUCUUCCCAACCAGUACAGGCCUUCUCUGAUGAAGAAAUCUUCCGAGACUUAUCCUUUAACUCUCUCUACGUGGCAUCUCCUUGGAAGAUGAAAGAACCAAUGAGGGAGCAAGAAGAGAGAAGAGAUUUGCAGCAGAUAAUGAGAAAUGUAUAUUGAUCUGGAAGGUUGCCAAAGAGAAAAUCAUUAUUGUCAAAUGACCAGGAUAAAUGUUUCUUGGUAUACCACUAGGAACAUGAUAAAAAAGAUACAAAGAUAAAUGUUCACAAGUAAAUCUUGGAAGCCCUUGGUAAGUGUCUUGGCAAGUCACAUAAUCAUACCUGACCUAAAAAAUAUCAUUUCAUUUUACUGGUCACAAACCCAUAGCAAGUUGAGAGGCCAAAAUGCCACACCUCAAUAUCGUAGCUCAGUGAAUCACACUUGCUUACGAUAUAUAUACUGCCCAAUAUGUAAUAGAAAGAGACCUCCCCAACAAGUGAAAAAAAGUAAUCAGACAUCAAGAAAAUUGAUUGCGAGUAAGUAUUUGGGGUCUGGAGAUUACAAAAAGGAGCUUACACAGUCAUUCAAACGUUACUUACACUCAUGAUAGCAACAGACUGGCUGUAUAUUUCAUGGCUAGAAACAGUAGCUAGUUUCAAGUACGAAUUGGUACAAAUGACCGUGAUAUCAUGGACCAAAAGGUUUGAAUUAAAAAAAUCUUAAAGGUAGUUAUGAGAAUUAGAACAAGUCGUGUAGGUGCAACUAAAGACAAAGGACUUGAUAAAUAGACAAAUAAAAAGAGAUGGCCAAAAAGGUUCUUUCUGGAAAGAUUAUUGUAACUUUUUACAAUUAGCUGCAAUUUCAAAUUGGAAUGGUGAACUCCCUGCUACAUCUGCCUACUCUGCCUAUAAGCUGACUUUGACAUGAAUACUGAGCAAGUGAAAGAGAAACUGGACUUGGUUAUGAAAAUAACAGGACCUAACGAUAAAGAGAUCAUAGCGAUGGCAAUUACUGCUAAAGCCAACCUAAAUCCCAACUUUACAAAAUAAAGAAAACCAAAGAAUUCAAUUCGCCAAGGAUUCGAGCAAGGAUAUUGAGACUGAAGUACAUAUCCUUUCAGAAUGCCCAAAAGCCUAAUGGUCGGACAAAUUUGUUAGCUCAGGAAGCUGCAAAUGAACAAGAUAUGCUCAAUUUACAAGAAUGGGUAAGUGUGAAUAUGAAGGAAAAGCUAGAGAUUAGGUCGGUGCUAUCUGUUUCCUUUCUUUUAAUUCUGGUAGCAAUUAACUGGGAAUGCUUUUGAAUACUCAUUUGCUUGGAUAGUUGGACCAUCAAACGUCAAAGCAGUAAUCCAUUCAUUAUAUUUCUCCUAACCAUUAACUAGCAGGGGAAACUAGACUGCUAAAGCGUACACACAAAUAUGAUGAACUAGUAAAAUUCGUAUCAACAAACUAGAUUGCUCAACUAAUACCGGUAACUAGUGUUCAAAUUCAUAUGUCUAAAUAAUUCUGGCAAAAGGAAUUACCCUUGCUCGCACUGAUGAGGAAGAACCCAUCUGGAGUAAUUGGGCUGUAAAACAAAUCCACAACUGGACGAGAAUGACCAUGGCAAACAAGGGGAACAUCACCCUUUUCUUAUCCAUUACUUAACCGAUCCAGCGAAAAAGAAAAAAAAAUGUAAGAAAAUUAUAACUUUUGGGAGCAGCAAUCAUAAAAGUACAUUUGGAAGUAGCAGACACAUGGGAUGAGAAAAAGUAAACUGCAAGUUUUCAUUUAAAACAACCGUUUAUAUCCAACUCCACAAAAGGAUGAAAAGCAACAAUCUUUCUUACUUUUACCAAAAAACCAAAUCAAGACUGAAGCGUUCACCUCUUAAAAAUAACUCAGAUUUCAGAUUUUAUGAAAAGCCAAAAUGGAUCAGCUCGUUCAUUAUUCUUAGCUAUAAGAAAUAGCACUUCCAAAGAGACCUGACGAAUUUGACCAAAUUUUGCUAGAACCCAAAUCAAGAUUCACAGCAUUCUAGCCAAAAAUCACUAACAAAGAAUCAAUUCAUGAAAAUCCAACAAAUCUAUAAGAACAGAACAGAAGGGAUUCAAAACUUGUUGAUGCUUAAAUCAGAGACUAACAAGAUUGAACCUAAAAACUAAAUCUGACGAAACAGAGAAGGUGCAACUAGCCGUACCCACAAAAAAUAUAUACCAUGCAUUGCAAAAUCAGACACAUAAUAUUGAAAUUACCUCAAACUAUACCUUCAAUCCCUAACUUCUCAUUUUUCCCAAGCUUCAAGCUCUAAACUCCAGCUUUCACCCAAAUUUUCAAGCCCUAAUUUUUUAUUUCUUGCCACCAAGCCAGUGUAACAGCUGAAUUAGGUAUGUUGGUGGUGCGAACUUGAUAAAGUUGCCUAAAUUGAUGACAAUGGCAAACUUCAGUUCAUGAUGGGUUUGGUAGUGCGAGCUUGAAAGAGAGGAGUUCAUCUUCGGGGAAGUGAGAAGGACAAAGGGUUCGUUUGGGUUCCUUGUUUUUGCACCUGUUUUUGAAAAACUGUUUUUCACAUUUCAAAUGCUACAGUAAAUGUGUAUUUCAAAAAUAAUUCCAAAAACACCCAUAUCCAAACAUUAUAUAAAAAACAACUCCAAAUAUACAAAUUUAAUAUGUAUAUUUCAAUUAUUUAUAUUAUAUAUUUUAUAUUAAUAUAAAUUGAAAUAUACAAAUUGAAAAUUAUAUAUUUAUAUGUUAUAUAUUAUAUAAAUAUUUAUAUACAUUAAUAUUAUACAUAAUAUAAUAUACAUAAUAUGUAAUAUUGUAUACAUAAAUGUAUAAAUAUUUAUACAUAAUAUAUUAUGUACAUUAUAUUAUAAUAUAUACAUUAUUAAUGUACUUUCAUUAUUAUGUACAUUAUUGUGUAUAAUAAUGUUAUGUAUAAUAUAUAAUAUACAUAAUAUGUAAUAAUGUAUAAAUGUAUAUGUAUAAUAUAUUAUAUUAUGUAUAUUAUAUUAUAUAUAUACAAUAUUAUGUAUAUUAUACAAAUUGAAAAUUUUAUAUUAUAUGUUUAUAUAUUAUAUAUUGUAUAAAUAUUUAUAUAAUGAAAUAUACAAUAAAUAUUACAAAUUGAAAUAUUAUAUAAACACCACAUUUAUUAAUAUUCAAAUAUUUAUAAUUAAUAUUAUAUAUAUUAAAUAUUUAUAAAUAAUAUAUUUAUUUAUUUAUUUAUUCAUACUAUAUAAAAUUUAUUUAUUUAAUAUAUAUUUUUAUAUAUUUAUAAUAUAUUUAUAUAAAAAAUAUAUAUUAUAAAAAUAUUUAUAAUAUAAUAUAUAUUAUAUUAUAUAGAUUAUACAUUUAUAUAAAUGUACAUUUAUACAUAAUAUAUAUUUAUGUAUAUUUAUAAUAUACAUUUAUAUUAUGUAUUAUAUAUAAUAUUAGACAUUUAUAAUACAUUUAUACAUUUAUAUUAGUAUACAUAAUAUUAAUUUUACAUUUAUACAUAAUAUUAAUACAUUUAUAUAUUUAUAUUAAUUAUAUUAAUACAUUUACACAUAAUAUUAAUAUAUAUUUAUAAUAUAUUAAUUUAUACAUUUAUAUAAUAUUCAUUUAUAAUUUAUAUAUUUAUAAUAAUAUACACUUAUACAUUUCUAAAUAUAUUUAUAUUAUGUAUUAUAUAUAAUAUAAUACAUUUAUAUAUUUUUAUAUAAAUAUAUAAAUAUAUUUAUUUAUAAAUAUUUAUAAAUGUAUUAUGAAUGCAUAAAUAUAUAUUUAUAUAAAAAUAUAAAAUAUAAAAUAUAAAAUUUAUAAUUUUUACAUUUAUAUAAUAUUCAUUUAUAAUAAUAUACAUUUAUACAUUUAUAAAUAUAUUUAUAUUAUGUAUUAUGUAUAAUAUAAUACAUUUAUAAUAUAUUGAUAAAUUUUAUAUAAAUAUAUAAAUAUAUUUAUUUAUAAAUAUUUAUAAAUGUAUUAUAAAUGCAUAAAUGUAUAUAAAUAUAUAAAUUAUAAAUUAUAAAUUAUAAAAAUACUCAAAAAUAUGUUUUAAAAAUACCUCUAAAAAUAAUCCAAAAAACAUCCAUAGUAAAAGUUUUUCAUAUAGUUUUUGAAAAACAACCUCAAAAACAACUAAUCCAAACGGACUUGUAUUUCAAAAACGAAAUGCUACAGUAUUGUUUUUGAAAAACAACCCCAAAAACAGCUAAUCCAAACGGACCCAAAGAGUGUCUGAAAUUUUGGCUAAGUGUUUUGGACAUAGAGUGCAUACUAGUGAAGCAAACGAUGUCGUUUCCUCAAAAUUCCUUUGUCCGCCAUGCCUCUUGAAUUUUUUAGUUUGCCGCUCUUUGUUUUGUACGUAUAAAUAACACACAUUCUUCCUAUAUAGAUGCAAGAAAAUCACACUUUGUUUGUCCUUACUCCUACCUCUCUCUUUUUUCUUUUUCUCAUCUUUAUGUAAUUAAGUUUUUUUAUUAUUUUGAAUUUUAUUUUUUUUACUCUCAAGUUGUAAUAAAAUAAUAGAAUAUGACAAUUUAGUGUGUUUGGGCAAAAUUUUUUUAACAUUUUUAACUAAUAUAGGACUUUUCUAAUUUAUUAUACAAUAAAAUAAUUUACAAGCUAAAAAUGUUGUUAGAAAUAUGUUUAUGAUUUGAAAAAAAUAAACAUUCUUUUAUCAAAAUCUUUUUGGUACUCAUUUUAUGGUGUUAUCAAUUAUGUAUGACUUGCAGUCUAACAAACCAGAUAACCAAAUUAGUUGAUCGAACAAUCAAAAUAGUUUAUAUUCAGUUUUAUUGUUAAAUUCUACCAUUGACUACCUUUAUUUUUAGAUUAUCAUAAUUAUUUAUUUUCCACCAUGUUGCCAUCAAGAUAAAUAGGAAAUGUAUGAUUUUUUUUUAUAUUUAUAACAAAUUAUUGUUAAAUUGUUACAUUACUGCAAGUGAUAAAUGUACUUUUGUUCUUUUUCAAACAUUUAUUUUAAUGUUUAAUUUUGUUUAAAACUAUUGUACUAGUAUAGAUUUGCAAGACAAAACUUAAGUUCUCAAUAGUUAAAAAAUUCAUUACAGAGAAAACACAAAGUAGUAGUUGCAAAAUGUGUAUAAAUUACAGAUAUUUUAAUGUGUAUAAAUUACAGUUUAUUUUAAUGUUUAAUUUUGUUUGAAACUAUUUUACUAGUAUAGAUUUGCAAGACAUAGAUUUAUGGGUAAUUUCUUUUUUUUUUCCUUUCACAUAUUUAAUUUAUGUUAAAUACAAAACCUACCAGUUUCCCUUUCAUAAAAAUAUUAGUGCAACACUUUUUGAAUUUUACUUACAAACAUUUAUGUAUUUAACAUAAAUUAAAUGAUUCAGAGUGAAAUGCCCAUAAAGAGCAGAAUAUUUGUUCAUGUAAUGGAGAAAACUCACAAAGAGUUGGUACUUUAUGGGCCAUUUCUUUUUUUAAAAAAAUUUAAUUUAUGUUGAAAAGAUAACCUGCCAGUUUUCGUUUUGUAAGAAAUCAGUGUAACACUUUUUGAAUUUUAUUUACAAACAUUUAUAAAUUUAUCAUAAAUUAUAUGUUUGAGAGUAAAAUGCCCAUAAAAAGUUGGUACUUUGAAUAGAUAAUGCUCAUUUGCCCAUAAACUACACUCCCUGAAGGCUAUUUUGUUAAUUACUUUGUAGUACUUUGUUAUUCCUUUGCUAAUACUACUUGGCAUGUAGUAUAAAGGAUAAAUCUGGCAUAAAUUUCUUAUUCCAUUGAUAAAAAGACAUGCCUGUCUUAUAACUAUUGUAAUGAAAGAUAUAUCUUUAGAGUUUAUAACAAAUUAUUACUUAAGUUUGAGAAAAUUAUAAAAUAUUUAUGCAUAGUUUAUCAAGAUACCAUUCGCAAUUUCCUAAUAAAAAAAUAGGGACUAAAUUGUAAAAGCUAGGGUGCCAUAAUAGAAAUAAUAAAAUUGGUGUAUUACAUAUGGGGGUUAAAUAGCAAAAGUUAGAGUGCCAUAGUAGAAUUAAUGAAACUGGUGAAUUACAUAUGGGGCUAAAUUACAAAAGUUAGGGAGUAAUAAUAGAAUUAAAGAAAUCGGUGUACUACAAAUGGGGAUAAAUUGUAAAAGUUAAGGUAUCAUAACGGAAUUAAUGGAAUUUUUUACAACAUUUGGGGCUAAAUCGCAAAAGUUAGGGUGGCACAGUAGAAUUAAUGAAAGUGACUUAGAAAUAAGUACUUUAAACAGUGACGAUUAAUUCUUGUCACUAAAUCCGAAUCGGUAGAGUGACAGUGACGAUAUUAGAAGUUGUCACUAUAUAGAUCAUUUUAGUGACAACGUUUUUCAAGAUCUCCUUGUCGUCACUAGAAAAUGUUGUCACUAAUGACCAUAUUUCUUGCAGUGUAGUUUGUGAUGAAAAUAACGGGUCGUCACUAAACAUUUAGUUGCUUUGAUGCAAUUGUGACAACUUUAGGUGUCGCGACUAAAAAAGCUCCUUUUGUGACGACUUAUUGUCAUCACUACAAAAUAUUGUCACUAAUAACUUUUUUUUUAGUGAUCAGUGACGACAAUAAAAAGUCGUCCGUAAAUAGGCCAAGCAAUAGUGAUGAUAUUCUUAAUGUCGUCACUAUUGUGUGUUCUAAACACUCCCGCGCUCUUGCUAAAUCUUAGUGGGAAUUUACUAGUGACGACUUUUCUAAGUCAUCACAAAUGAGUUGGCUCCCAUUAGAGGUUUGUGACGAGUUAGAAAGUCGUCAAUAAAGGAUCCACUUUUGUGACAACUUUUUUUCGUCACAGAAAAAAGUUGUCACUGAUGACCAAUUUUCUUGUAGUGGUUGAAUAGUGACCAAGCAAAGCUACCAAAUGGCAUUGGGAUAUGAUUGGCAUAUACAUAUAUAUAUAUAUAUAUAUAUACCUCAAAUUAUAGAAAAUUAAAAAAGGGGUCGCAGAACUGAAUCGAAUUAGAAAAUGGGCGUUGAACGACUAUUUUAUUUCUCAAGAACUGGAAAUUGGCGGAACAAUGUAGCCAAAGUAGAUUGUCAUUUUCCUUUUAUUUAUUUUUUUUUGGGUACAUUUUUAUCCUUGAAGACAACAACAGUUUCUUGUGCGUCUUGGGUCAGAGAGUUUUUUACCACAACUGAAGGCCCCAGCACUUAAGAUCUGUCAAUCAGAAGCAGCUGUCGGCCUCAGCAAAGCAUAUAUAUGUUUGUUUGGAUUGGUUUUAUCUGAGUAUUUAUUUAGAAACAAAACUCCACCCACAUUUUUUGACGCAAAUCAAAUCGAUUGACUUAUCUUUUGAGAAGAUAAACUUGCAGCAAAAUUCCAAAACUUUUUUGAAAUAUUAGCACAAUAUAAGAUGAUUUAUUAGGAAAAACAUACAAUAUGUGGAAGCCAUAAAGGUCAACGCAUAUUUCAAGCAGACAUCCAUCAGACAAGGUAUUCCACGUAGCAAAAGUAGUGAACUCCAUGCAAAGGAUAACUCUCUAAUAAUUUUUUUUCCUAUGCAUUUUUUAUUUCAAGAAAAUCAGAAAAUACAUCACAAUCGAAUGAUUUUUUCCCUACCAGUUAUUGCAUUCAUUUAUAGAUGCUAAGUCAGAGUCUCAAACAAUAAACCGACAAGUAAAGCUUAAUUAAACUCCUUUUGGAAACUAUCCGUGAAUAGUUUUUGCAUAUUGUAUUGUCUUUUCGAAACAUUCACACAUUAUAUAAUCUUUCAGAAAUUAUUGAAGACAAGCACCUACUGAACGGUUCAUAGAUAGUGUUCGAAUAAGCAAAUGCAUUUUCUUGUGGCAAGUGUUUACAACCAAUAAAUCACUAAUGCUGUAAUAGUUUUUCCUUUUAUCAAUUUCGGCCACUUUGUUAAAACUGUAUAGAGCAGUAGCAAUACUUGGAUGAUUAGCGAAUUGCAUGUCAACAAGUAGAUCAAAUUGCAUCCCCGUUAACAGUUCACCAAGGCCAACAACUAACCUUUCUAAAAUGGUGAUCAAAGCAUUGUCAAUAGGGUUACAAAUGAACCUAGUUGAGUCCACUUUUGGCUUAAUAGAGUCAAGUUCGACUCAAUUUUACCAAAUUCGAACUCGACGAGUUUUUAAUGUAAAAUUCGAGUUCGUCCUCGAUUUCAAAUUCGAACCUAAUCAAACUCAAGUAUUCCAGUUUGAGCUUGCUCGACCUUAAAAACUAAAAUAUAAUUAUUUUGUUUCUUUUAAAAAAUGAAUAAAAUAGUCAUUUUUUGCUUAAUAAAUAAUAAAAAUAUUAGGCAUAUAUAUGUGUAAUUUCAGUAUUAAAAUAAUAUAUAUAUAUAUAUAUAUAUAUAUAUAUAUAUUCGAACUGACUCGUGAGUUAACGAGUUGAGUUUCUUUAUGUUCGGCUCGAAUUCGAUAGUUCAACUUGGUUGGAUUGAGCUCAACUCGAAUUCAAUGUUAACUGAACUCGAGUUAACUUUUAACCGAGUUGGCUCACUAGCGCUUGAGUGGUUUGCAGUCCUAAUUGAAGGUCACAUCGAAAAAGGAAGGAUGAAAGAUAUAGAAAUAAGAUGAAAGAGAGCAAUAAAGGGGUUGGCAGUUUUUUUUGGUUUCUCUUCCUCGUAAAACGCCAAUGGCUACCUCUGCAUUUGUGAGUGAAAUAGGUUAGAAAUCUGAAUAAAGUGGACAGACCUUUAGAAAAUAAAUAGUAGGUGAGAAUAAUUACAGAUUAUGUAUCCACAUCCAAACACCAUUCUAAAGUAACUUAUUUUGAGCGAAAUAUAACAGAUGAAAUCAUGCAUCCAAAGUAUCAAAUUGCUAAAAUGGAGAAGAGAAUUUCCAUAACUUAACCAUAUAUUUAUCCUAGCACUAAAUUUUUUUUCCGGGCAUAUGUAGUUAUUUCUUAGACAUGAUUUUCUAGAUUCUACAUUUAAUAAGAAAAAAAGCAAAUCAGGAUGAGAUCUUGUAAUUACCUAAGGCAUUGGUUUUGCCUUAAAAAAAAGUAUUGGUCCAAAAGUGCUAAAAUUUCAAAACUUCAUUUGUCUAUUUUAAAAGCGUCAGAUGAAGCACUAAAUUCUCUCAUGCUGAUACACUUUAAUAAGUUUUACUUGUUAAUCUAAUUGAAUUUACAAAUUGGAAAGCUUGCGUCACUUUUCCUUCGUUUCCAACAAAUAUUUCAUUAUUUUUUUUAUCUAAAUUAAGCGUGCAAUUUCCAACGAAUGCUUGUGGAUAAUAGGAUAAGAUUAAUAAUAUAUAACACGAGACGUGACCUGAAAAUACUCUUAGCUAGUAUAAGUGGAUUUUUUUUUGUACUUUUUUCUCUGUGUAAGUGGGAGAAAUCGAACCCAAGACUUUUCACUCACUGCCUCCCUCCAUACCAUAAAAUCGAUUCUUCCCCCGAUAUAAGUGGUUUAUGAAGGGAUAAGUUUAAUUAUUCAACAAAUAUUUUCAUUGCGUUUCUUAAAUGGGGAGAAGACUACUUGUUUGGAUUGUAAUUUUCUAAGGCAAAAAUUUUUACAUUUUUUAUGAAUACAUUUCUCAAUUACUUUUUUAUUUCAUAUUGAUCAAAUCGCAAGCCAUGCUAGGAUUGCAGUUUACUAAGAAAAAUUUUUAACAUUUUCAUAAACACAUUUUUCAAUUACCUUUUUAUCUCAUAUAUAUUAAAUUCCUACAACACAUUUUUCUAUAAAAACUUCAAAAAAUAGCAAUCCAAACGAAAAAGUCCUUAUAAAAACUUUAAAAAAUAGCAAAAUGGGACCUGAGAGCAAUUAGUUUCGGUCCGUAGAAGUGCACCUUUCUUUAUCAAAUUUGUAUAUUUAUUUGUUUUUCUGUUUAUUUGUCUACAAAAACACCACAUAGUCAUCGUUAAACUAUAACACAAUUCUAAAAGUUGGAUUUCGUGCAUUGUGUUUUCCUCUCUCUUAUUGACUGAAUUAUUUGCAAUAAUGGUGUGAAAAUUUACCUAAUCUAAAACACUAAUUGCAUGGUGUGCAACUUGCAAUUGCUAUCCAUCUCACCAUAGUUAUCAUUAUUAUUAUCAACCUUCGUCUUUGCAUGCACUGUUUUCACUCUGUCAUUAUCAUCAUUACACAAAUAUAUGAAAAAAAUUAUUUAUAUUUACCUGAAUCAUUUUUUUAAUUUUACUAGCCAUCAUUCUAUCUCAUAUACAUUAUAUCAAGCCACAAAAAGUGUUACGAUAUUAAUCUAAUUUUUUUGUUCAAGUAAACCUCUAUCCAAUCACACUUUUAUUUUAAGUCAAAUGACAUCUUUCCCUCUUACGGAUCAUUCAUAUUUUUUUCCUUGGUUUGCUAUUACACUGCACCAAAUUAAUAAAUAUUUCUUAUUUUAACGAAUGUGUCAUAGCUUUUAUGAAUGUAUUGCAACUGAUAUAAAGUUUUCCUCAACCUCAUUUGUUUUCGCUCAAUUGCUUUACAAAUCUCCCACUUUAAUGUAAAACUUGUCCUAAUACUUUAGAUGUCCCCUUUCGUCUGCUAGUGCACCAAACCGUUUUGUGACUCCUAUACGUGUACAACAUUAAUUUGAACUAGCAUCUUGCAUGUGCCUUGGCAUGGUUUAUUUUUUUUAUUUUCUUAUGAAUUCGUGCAAGCAUGAAUAAUUUAAAUAAAAAAAUUAAUGAUGAUCUUACAAGUUCAUUCAUAUUAAUUUUAGAAAAUUAAUGGAAUAAUUAUACUUAACUAUCAUACUAAAUUUUAAAAACUUCUUUACAUACUUUUACUAUAAUAUAAUAAUAUUCAUCAAAUAUUAUAACACAUAUAAAAAAAUCAAUAGAUAUUCUACCUUUUUGUGUACGGAUAUUUUUUAGAUAAUUACAAUUUUUAUAAUAACCAUAAACCUAGUUACAUUUUCCUACUUAACUAAGUACAAAAGAUUUUGCCAUUUGUUUUCUACAUCAACAAAUAUUUAAUUUCCAGCAAUAUUGAUAAAUCUAUCAGCUAACAGUUAAAAUUUUUUUAACACUAAGUUAAUCCAUAUGGAUAAAAAAAUUUAUACAAAUUAAUCAUAUUGUUAGAAGAGAGAGGAGCCAUAAGAACAAAUAAUUCAAAUUUAUCUUUUUAGAUAAAUUUGUGAGGAGCGAGAAAAACUAUAAGAAAAACUAAUUAUAAAAGAGUCGGAUACAAAAAUAGGUAAAAUUUAAGUAUCCAAAUAACUGGUUAAUUCCCCAUUAAUUUCCACUCAUUUUCAAUUUCCACCUUUUGAAGUCUUCUUUUGAGAAUCUUCUAUUAUCGCAGCUCCAUUUAAGUUAAACUUGUGAUCAUAUCAUAGGCAAAUAAUUCAAUUGUAAAAAUUGAAAUCCACAAGAACACGUUCAUUUUCCCCUUCCCAAAACAUCCAAUUCAGUCAAACGUUUAUAAUCAUAGUGUGAGCUAAAGGUCUAUUUCACUUCUAACUCCAGGUGAUUGUAUAUUGUACUAAAAAAAAAUAGUAAUAAAGAAACUCCUUAAACUUUCACCACUUAAAUUUUGUAUGCUGUACAUAAACAAGACAUUUUGACACAAAAUGUUUGAAUUUUUAAAGUGCUAGAAAGCUUGUGGAAUUACGAGUGACUAUUUUGGCAAUUUCACAAGUGCAAAAAGCUAAGAAAGCACCCAACCAUUGGCCAAUUAUGUCGCUACAUGCCAAACCUGAUUGCUAACUCCACUUCAUGUUUUUGAUAAGUGAACCACGGAUUAUUUUUUAAGUUUUCUUCCCACAAAAUAACGUUUUUAGUCUAUUUCCCAAGGAAUAAUGACUGAGGUAAUUAAUGUUGCAAAGUCACCAGCUAUGGUUGUCAUUUCCUCUUUCUCCUUUACAUUUUGAUCGUCGAACAUAGGCUCUGUUUGGGUUCUCCAUUUUUUGAACAACAAUAUAGUUUUUUAUUUUUGGCGGGGGUCAGUCUUGGGUCAAACCACUACUCCGACAAACCAUUGAGAUAUUUUCCACAGCAAAGGCCCCAGCCAGCUUUCAAUCAGAAAAAGAUGAAAUACUUCUCCAUGGCAAUUAAUGGCAUGCAAACUUCCCCAUGGCAAUUAAUGGUAUCAAGUUUGUCAAAGAUGUACUACUGCAGCACUUCUUUCUACCAGUGGUUAAAGAGCUGACAAAAGCAUCCACCAUAAAUUUCUAGCUAUUCUGAACUAGCCAAAAAGGAAAAUAUAUAGCUAGCAUGGAAAUGGAGAACUCUGGGGGUCUGUGGAUUUUAAAGAAAUUGGAGGAUUUUUUUGACGCAACAGUGUUAUUAUAAUCCCCUGCAGAAAGCAAACAAAAUAAGGAGUACUCAACUGCUAAGAAAGGUGAAUUGAAAAUGACAAGCAACUUCCAUUGCAGAAGCAUCCGAUUCAGUUUGUCAAAGAAGCACAGCAUCAAAUUGGAUCGAAAUUCUUUGCUAAUUUCUUGUGUUUCAGGAACCAAAUUAAAUAAUUAAACAAGAAUACACAUAAGGAAUGAGAAAUUUCUUGUGUUUCAGGUAUCAAAGAAAUCGAUAAGACAUAGCUUAUAUAGUUUGGCGAGAUUUGCAACAAGGAAACAUAAGUUGGGAGAAAUUCGAAAUAGAAGAGAAAAGGAAACUAACAUUUUUUCUAUAAAUAUAUUUCUUAAUCACCUUUUUACCUUACAUACAUCAAGUCUCUACCGUAUAUUUUUCUACAAAAAAUUCCUAAAAAUAGCAAUCCAAACGGGACAAGUUGCGAGGAAAACUAUAUUUGAUUGGUGGUGAAAUUUUGAAUUCUUACAUGCAAAGUGAUGCGCAAACCAAAAAUUUUGCAACAAUUCUGGAACUCAAAUUGGAAAAUGUUUCUUUAGGAAAGAUUCAGAACAUUCCACAAGAAACGGAAACUAUAUAUUAGUAAUAAUUACUUCAAAAGAAUUCUUAUAUAUUGACACUUUUCUGGAUUAUGCUGUGAGACAAUAAUGGGAUUAAGGAGAGUUGAUAUAGAAAAGAAACACUAGAGGAAAGAAGAAUUGAGGGUUGCGAUAAAUAAAUGUCAAAGAUUUGAAAUUAGUAUGACUUAGGCCCAUAUGAACUUUAAUUCUUUAAGUGCAAACUUGAUAAUGGCCAAAACGAAAUUCAUCUCAAGGUAUGUUGAAUUCUCACGAGAGAGAUUGAGAGACAUCCAGUUUGAGGAGAAACCAAUAUACGCGUCAGCAAAAGCUAAAGAAAAAAGUUAGAAAACUAAUAAAAAAAAAAAAAGAGAUCCAAAAUCAACUAGAAAAAGAAAGUAAUAAGAAAUAAUAUAACAAAAAAGAUUAAAUUUAUAAAGACUAUCAGAUUUUAAAGAGAGGAGUAGAAGACUAAGGAUUUCACACCGAUCAUUUUAUUUACUUGAUCGUGGACAAAAACAAUGGCCCCAGCAUUUAAUCAGAAAACAUGAUGCCCCAACAACUAUACAAUAAUUGAGAAAGUUACUCCGUAAACAUGCCAAUGCAAAAGCUUACAAAUUUGUCAGAGAAGAACUCCACGUCUACGCGCAAUAAUUAUUAAUGCUCCUUUCUUCAUAAUCAUAACCAAUUAUACUAGCCUAGAUAAGAUUACCAGUUCCUUGCUGCAAAAAACCUUCCAUUAAAAAAAAAAAAAAAAAAAAAACCAUCUUGUUCUCAACACUGAAUCCAAGGCAGCAAAAAUGGCCGACCCUGUUAUCGGUGCCACAAUUCAGGUCACCUUGGAAAGGGCACUGUCUCUUGCCUCUGAUAGGAUUGGUUUGCUAGUUGGGUUCAAGAAGGAUGUGGCCAGCAUGACUCGAUCUCUUGGCUUUAUCAAAGAUGUCCUGGCUGAUGCUGAGGAAAAGCAAAACCAAAGCAGAGGAGUGCAACGAUGGUUGAAGUGUCUCGAGGAGGUGGCUUAUGAUGCUCAGAAUGUGUUGGAUGAGCUCCACUAUGAAUCUCUUCAUCACCAGGUGGAGUCCCGAAUCCGACCCAAGCGAAAGGUAUGCUGCUUCUUCUCCUUCUCUAACAUUAAUCUUGCUUUUCGUUGGAGAAUGGCUUCUAAGGUCAGGGACAUCAAACUUAAGCUGAACGACAUCAAUCAACAAGCCAACGGAUUGGGACUGGUCAGUAGGUUAGGGAUGACAGCUGCCCUCCCUGCUGCUGUUGGAGACGCAAGAAAUCGGCAGACCGACUCUGUUCUUGUUCCAAUAAUUGGAAGAGCCGAUGAUGAAUCAAACAUAGUGAAGAUAUUGUUGAGCCCGUCUAAGAAGGUUGUUUCUGUUCUUCCCAUAAUUGGUAUGGGAGGUCUAGGCAAAACAACUUUGGCUAAAUCGAUAUACAACAAUCAGCAAAUUGACGGGCACUUUAACAAAAAGAUUUGGGUUUGUGUAUCGAAAAAAGUCCCAAUAGUGGAGCUUUUCAAACUCAUUUUAUUGCAAGUGACAGAAGAAAAGGUUGAAGUGAAAGAUAGGAAUGUCAUUGUUGGAAAAAUUCGGAAUCACUUGGGGGGAGAAAGAUAUUUCCUGGUCCUUGACGACGUGUGGGAUGAUGAUCAGGCAUUGUGGGAUGACUUUUUCACCACCUUGAAGGGGCUCAAUCCAACCAAUGGAACCUGGUGUCUUGUCACUACUCGUUUGGGUCUAGUGGCACAUAGUGUGUCUGGAGCUUUGAUGAUGGAAAAUGAACCCUAUGCCUUAGGAAGGCUACCUGAUGAUCAUUGUUGGUCUAUCCUAAAAGAAAAGGCAGUUGGAGGGCAAGAAGAACCGGAUGUACUAAAAGCAAUUAAAGAGAGAGUAAUCAAAAGAUGUGAUGGUCUACCAUUGGCUGCAAGCGUGAUCGGAGGUCUGUUACGUUUAAAUAGAAAAGAGGAGUGGCGAUCAAUUUUGGAGAAUAGGCUUUUGAGUUUGAGUGGAGAUGGAGAUCGUGUGAUGCAAAUACUUCAGUUGAGUUUUGAUAAUCUACCAUCACCAGCCAUCAAGAAAUGUUUUGCAUAUUGUUCUAUUUUUCCCAAUGAUGCUGAGAUGGAAGGGGAUAUGCUGAUCGAACUUUGGAUGGCAGAAGGCUUCCUUCAAGUAGAUCUCAAGAACAGAACGAUGGUAAACAAAACAAUGGAGGAAAUUGGAGAAUAUUACUUGGAAAUUUUAUUGCAGAGUUCUUUGCUGGAAGAAAUAAGAAGACAUGGGGAAAGGUAUUAUAAAAUGCAUGAUAUGGUGCACGAAGUCUCAAAAUCAAUAAUGUCAAAGUCUACUAAAUUCAUUAAUUCGGAGACUGGUUCAGGAGACAAUAGUAAUCAGGUUCGUUGUCUUGUAAUAGACUCAUUUGGAGAAGACACAAUAAAUCUUUUUGAGAGUCGAUCAAAUUUGCUUCAUACAUUGUUUCUGAGUCAGGGUAGCUUAUCUGAUGAUAUGCUAAUGAAGUUGAAGAAUUUGCACGUUUUGAAUUUGUCAGGUGCAAAACAUCAGAAUCUGCCAAUCUCAAUUGGCAAACUGAUACACUUGAGGCACAUUAACUUUGAGGGUUCUAGAAGUGAAACUUUGCCAGAAUCUGUUUGCAAACUUUAUAAUUUGCAGACACUGAGGCUAAACAGCUUGGCUCUUAAGGUUCUGCCAAAGGGGACGCGCGAUUUGAUUAGCUUGAGACAUCUCCACUAUUACACCUAUAAUGAAGAAUUUCAAAUGCCGUUAGAGAUGGGACGACUGACUUGCCUUCAGACGCUAGCAUUCUUUAAAGUGGGUCGAGAGAAGGGUCGACGAAUUGGAGAGCUUGGAAGCUUGAAGAACCUCAAAGGCAAUUUGGAGAUACACAAUCUUCAUCUAGUAAAGGAUAGAAAAGGAGCUGAAGAAGCAAAACUAUCUGAAAAGGCUAAUCUAUUUAGUUUGCGACUUAAGUGGGCCCGGCCUUGGCAUCGAGAAGGCCAUAACUACAACGACGAAAAAGUGUUGGACUGCCUUCGACCCCACCCAAAUUUGGAGGAGUUGGUAAUUGAGAAUUUUAUGGGUGAUCAAUUUCCUCGAUGGUUAGUGGAUUUGCCAACAGCAACAACACUCCCCAAGUUAGCGAGUUUGACAUUUAAUUGCUGCAACAGAUGCAGAGAACUCCUUCCCCUGCAAAACUUUAGGUCUCUUAAAGAGCUAGUGAUUACAAAUUGCGGUGGGUUGACGAAUCUGCCCGGUGACAUGCUACACUCGUGUGCCUCUCUCCAGAAGCUUCGGGUGACUUAUUGCUACAAUCUUUUCUCCUUCCCGCUUGAUUUGCAACAAAUGCCUUCUCUCUUGGAGCUGGGAUUAUGGAAGUGUCCCAAACUGAAAACAAGUACGACGCCCAAAGGAUUUGGUUUCCUAACCAGCUUAAGGAAGCUUGUAAUUGGUCCCUUCUCAGAUGAUGGUGAUGAUCAUGAAAAUUCUUCAAUUUACAAUGAGUUUGAUUGGUCUGGAUUGAUAUCCUCCUCCUCCUUCUCUUCGUCAUCCGCACUCCGUGAAUUAGAAUUAUUUGGGUUGCCACACAUGGAGUCCCUGCCACCUCAGAUCCAAUACUUGACCACUCUCACGUCACUAACGCUAGUUGUCUUUGGAGGUAUAAAAGCUCUGCCAGAUUGGUUCGGAAACUUUGCGGCUCUUGAAGACGUGCACUUAUGGUUUUUCAAAGAGCUUGGACAUCUACCCUCUGAGGAUGCCAUGAGAAGUCUCACCAAACUAAAACGUCUGGAGGUUUAUGGUUCUCCUCUGUUAAAAGAAAGAUGCACUCCUGAGAGCAGCGGCCCCGACUCCCAGUGGUCCAAAGUUUCUCACAUUCAAGACCUACGCAUAAGUUGAUUAAUAACCAACUUUCAUCUUUGGAUCAAAUUCAAUCAUGUAAGACUGCUUUCAAUAACCUCUUUCUUAAUUUGCUUUACAAUCAAUCUCCCAUUCUCUUCACCUCCCCCUCUGAUUAACCUUCUCGUGAGAAAGCCUAAAAAAGUCUCCGUGGUUAUUUUCACAAUUUUCUCUUCUCCCUUUUUAUCGUCCUAUUUAUUAUCUUUCAAAGCUGCGGCAUUAGCAUUUCUUAUUAGGUCCAAAAUAUUGGUGCUUUGAUGUUUUACUGUAUCAAUUAGAAUGACCCCAAGCACCUGUUCUGUUUCGUGCUUUGAUGUUUUACUGUAUCUCUGUUCAUAUUCUGUUCUAUGCUUUGUUUUUGUAGGAUUGAUAGAAGAAUAGCUUCACGAACAGAGGUUAGAAUUUUGAAGCUUCUUCAGCACCGUCUAUAUGGCUAGAACUCAAUAACUUUUGGCCUGCAUUUCCUACAAAUAGCCUAUCAACGUUUAGAACAACUAGCAGUUUAUUUUUGUUUAUUUUGCAUGCUCUGCUUCUGUGGAUUUUAAGUUAUUAUUGCUAAAGUCAUCUCACUCUGUUUAAAAUUGUGAUUCUAAGGGGACUGAACUUUUACCUCGUCUCUUGAUAAUGAACUUGCAUACUUAUCUGAACUAUUUGAGUAGUAAUUGCUCCAUCGGAGUCAUAUAUGAUGGUUUUCUGGCUCACUUUUCCUUGAUUUUGGCUUUUUAUCCAUGAAGACAAUGGUCAAUUGAGGAGUUUUCGCAGCUGUUGGUUAUCACUUUCAUGUUUUGGUUCAAAAAUUUGGGUAAUUUUAGAUAUGCUUCUCUUCUUUCGCUGCUCAAUUUUGACUUUUAACCACUUUAAUAUCUAAUAUAUUACAUAUAAAAUAAGAGAAAUCUUGUCGUCACGAAGAUAUUUUUGAGGUAGCCAAGGAAGGUGUGCACUGUUUGGGCAAUGAAGUUGCACAAAACUUGGUGGAGUAUCUUCCAACAUUCAACUCAAGUCUGCUUGUUGUGACUUGCUGAUCUUAAUGAUAGAGGCUUUUAAGCUCUCUCUGCUUUUAUGAUUGUCGGUUGCUUCUUUUUUUAUGGUAAGUUUCUCCUUUUGGGGCUUUAGUCACAAUGACAGAAAACCUGCAAUUAUCUAAAAAUUUCCAUUAGCUUUAUUCUAUUUUGAACGCCAUCUUGAGUUUGAGUUUUUGUACUUUGCAGUGAUUUUAGGCACAAAGCUUAACAGGGAACCUCAUUGAUUUCUCUUUCAAAGCCCUACAAUUCCUUACUGGAUGGCAUUCUCUUUUUCUCUGUGCCUCAUAUGUCCAAAGUCUAAGAUAUCCACUGGGGUAUGGUUCUUUAAAACUGUCCAAACGAUCCAGUGAUGUGUAGUCAUGAUAAUGAGGUGCUGAUUUACAUGUUUUAGAACUCAAUUUGUCAUCUCUGGCAUACUGCUCAGAGUUAGAAGUUAGAACUAACUGGUGUUUUGGUAGCAAUUAAAUGUGGAUCUCUAUUGUGCCUCAGUGGCCCACAGCUCUAUUGUUUCUCAAUGCCUCAAUGUGAAAUGCUUUGCCUGCACUACAAAUUGUCCAUUAUUAUUUUCUUUUUAUGAGUUGUAAUUACUUGCUUUGUGGUUGGAACCAAAAUACUGUAAUUGUAAACACGACUUAGUACUUGCUUAUCUAUUUAUUUUCAUACAAACAAGACAUAUUUUAGCCUUUUGUAGGAAUGACAGAACAAAAUUAUUGUUGAAUUUUCUGAACUUGCUGAUUAGCUUUCUUGUUCACAUAUUGUCUCAACUCGAGUUUUCUGUUCUGCAAUGAUCUCAGGGUCAAAUGUGAACUAGAAUCUACAAUUGCACUUACUUAUUGAUUGAAUUGCACAGCUUGUAACUUUUGAAAACUUUGUUGAAUCAAAUCCUGUUUCAAUUGGAUAGAAAUGAUUAGGAUGGCACACUACAGGCACACUUUUCUUUCUUCCUGGUGUCUAAAACCUGAUAAAAUGCUCUAUCUCUGUCAGCUGGCCUCUGCAAACUGCCCACCAGAAUUUCUUUCCCCAGCUUAUGUAAUGUCUUUCAAGAUCAAGAGCCAUCAUUACCAUGAAUUUCUGCUAAUGAUCAUGGGGGGUUUGGUUGGUGAUAGAGCUUGUACUAGAGAAACAGAUUGACAAUGAGGAGCUUGCAAAUUUUCAAGAAGUACUGUAAGGUUAGCGAAUUUGUUUUAAAUGGAUUAGUAGAUGUACUUGGUAUCAAGUCUUAUUUCCUGCUCAUUAGUUUUAGAACAAAGGUAACAAAAAGAAACCCUUUCUGUAAGAUUCCUAGCUCAAAUAUGACAUGGAAUUUGCUCUUCUAUCUUUAUUGUAAUGCAGGCAAACAUGCCUUCCUGAGAUUUUCAAUCUAAAAGGUCCUCAUCCAACUAAGUACUCUGAAAGUUCAUUUGGUUAUCAAUUUGCUAGAAAGGAAUGAUAAUGCAUUUACAUUCAUGAAAUAGAUUGUUAAAUCAAAGUUUGAUGGAACACAGAAAAUUAUAGAUAGGCAAUGAUGGACAAAGAUUUUAGGAGUCAAUUUCUAGUUUAUUGUUUCUGCAAGACAACAUACUCCAGUGAAAUCAUUACUAAAUUCUUUUAAAUCUAUCCAAUAUCAGGUGAUAGAAAUUGUACAAUAAGAUGAUUUUGUUGCAAAAUAUCUGAAUGUUUAGAACGUCUGCUUCCAAGAUGUUGUCUAGUAAUGUAACAGUAAGGUCAGUUGUCUACUUUGUUGAACUUUUCCUGGCCUUUUCAGCCUGAUUCAAAAAAACUCAACAAGCGUUGUUCCGGGAAGAAAACAAUAUCGCUAACCAUAUAUUAAAUUCAAUUAUGGAAUACAGAUGUUCAAGAGGAGAUUAUUUGAUGUGGACAGUUAAACAUGAUGUCAAAGCUGAAAACUUUUGUAUUUUCAUCUACGGUACAAAAUUCUUUGUUUUAAAUAAAAAAUAGCAGUUUACUUUUGCUCAUGCUUGUUAAACAUGAUUGCUGAAAGGAGCUAAUUCUCUUUAAACUCGAGAUUCUACCGGGAAGGAAAUGCUUGUUCUGAACUUCCAUCUCUUGGAAAUGUAUGUAUCAUCUUGCUCCAAAUUAUCUGAUUAUUGGUAUUCUUAUUAUGUCUCUUAAAUGAUGGGAUUCUACUUUCUUCAGCUAUGAUCUCUUGACCUAAAUCCAAUGUUCAAUCGAAUUACUCUCACUGCCCUUGGUUGUGGGAUUGGUGGUCUGAUAAUUUAUAAUACCAACUAUCUUCUUCCACUACUUAAUAUUGGGUUUUAAGCAGUUUAAGCAUUAACUAAAACCUUAAAAAAAUUGUCAUGUUUAAGACAUUUUCAAGCAGCAGAGACUUGGUAGACUAUCCUCUUCUGAAGUUUAAGUUCAAAUGCAAUGAUAUGAGUUAUUAGCUCUACUUGUUGCAUCUUGCAGUCUCAAAUAGUUCGCUUUUUUGGCAAUUCUGGGACUCUCUGCCUCUCCUGCUUGUGGGUGCCAGUCAUUAUUGUUAUAGAACUUUUCUUUUUCAGUGUUUUGAACAAAAGCUAAUAUAGUUUUUGUGAUGCUUCUGGUACUUGUGGACUGAACAGAAAGAUUUGAUAUCUGCUUACUGAUUUACGUUAGAAAAGAAGAAAAAAAACAAAUAUUGAUUUAGCUUUCUGAAUAAUUGACUAGACAAAAAUGUCAUGCAAUUUCGUGUUUGCCUCAUGAUUUGCUAAUGCAAAGUCCUGAGUCUGAGUUUUCUGUUUUGCAGUGGCUGUAGGUUUAUAGCUCUGUAGGGAACCCUGAUGGCUCCUAAUCACCGCCUUUACUUUUCAAAGUCCUUUCUUUCCUUUGAAGUAUAUCAAGUGAUAAUUGGAGCAGCAACAGAGUAGGUCUGCCAAGUAACUCUUUAUCAUGAAUAAGUGCAAUAUUUCAUAACCUUUACGACUAAUAAACCAUGCAUGGUUCCAUACCAAUCUAAACUAACGGAACUAAACAAUCAUUUUGGUUAAUUUAAAAUGUCAAAUUGGUAUUUCUCCCGUUGUAUCACAUCUCAUUCGCUGUUGCAAAGAUCAAACAUGGCAAAUGGUGGUCCAAUUCAAUACCAUCCAUGUUUCAGUACUACACUUAAAGCUUCAGUUGCAUAUUUUUUUCAGUGACCGAGAUUUUCUUGGGUUAACUGAAUCACGUUUUUCAGUUGCAUAGUUUUGUUUAUCAUGCAUAUCAGUUACUGUGAUUGCUAACAUCGGUGCACUCUCUUUAAACUUGUGAUUUCACCAGGAUGAAAUGAUUGAUCUCUCUGAAGUUUCACACGUUGAAAAUGCAUUGGACAUUUUAGAUUUGAUACCACAAGCAGCAAUUCUACAAACCUUUUCUAUAAGACUACCAGUUCAUGGGGCCAGAUUAAAUCCACAUUGGGUUUUGGUGCCAAAUUAGCUUGUCAGUUAGUUAAGACAGUUUGGCCAUGAGGAAUAGAGGCACAAGCAUACCAAUAGUGGAUUUAGCUGAGACAGUAAGAGUAGCUUUGAUCAAGAGCAGCUUCUAUCAUCGUUGAUGUCCAGAAAAACCAAAGACAUUAGGCUGGCAAUUCUGAUGGAUGACAUCAACAAUUUAAGUUGUUUGUUUAAAAAAUGCUCAUUUUGUUUAGAUAUAGCAAAUGACAAUAUAAGUAAAUCUAUUAGUACUUAUGCAGUAAGUCUUUGUGGUGAAGAGGAAUGAAACAAUCCUCAAGGUGUUUAACACCUUUGUAUAGCCUCUCGGAACCGCUGCUUUACAAGUGUAAAGUUCUGAUUUUAUCAAUACAACACCUAUCGUUUUUGAAAAAAAAAAAAAAAAAAAAAGCUUACUUGUCAGUUAGGCAUCAAUAGGCCUUGUUUGGAUUGUAUUCUUUUGUAGAAAAAUUUUUCAGAUUUUUCCAAGAAUAUAUCUUGACAUAUUUUCUAGGGAUAAUUGCAGAAACCUCCCCUGACUUUUAUAAUAAUAGCAUUGACCUCCCCUAUCAAUAUUGAAAUAGCACUGACCUCCCCUAUCAAAAGUUGGAGGCAAUUUAAUAUGCAAAAGUGGAUCAAUUUACUAAAGUAUCCCUGACAUGAUUUAAUUUUACCAAAUGAAUGUGAUGAGUACUUUCAUCAAACCCAACAAAACAUUUGUUAAUAAAAAUUACACUAAGUUAACUAUUUCUGCAUAGUUUAACUAAUUAACUAAUAAUCUAAUUAAUUAAUAACUAAUUAUCUAAUUAACUAUUAACUAAUUAAUAUUCUUACUUUCAAACAUUUAAUUUAUGGCCAUAUGCUCCUCCCUUUUUGUAAGAAUAUUACUGUAACACUUUUUGAAUUUUACUUACAAACAUUGAUGUUUUUAUCAUAAAUUAAAUGUUUGAAAGUAAAAUACCCAUAAAGAGCCGAUACUGUAAAUAGGUAAUGCGUACUACAUAUAGUUUAACAUGCAAAUAGUCUGUUAAUUUGUUAGUUAGUUAAUUAGUUGAUUAGUUAAGCAGUUAAUUAGUUAAUUAGUUUAACAUGCAAAUAGUUUGUUAGUUUCGGACAGACAAUAGCUUUAGUUAAUUAGUUAAACAGCUAAUUAGAAAAAUAGAAAUUAGUUAAUUAAUUAAUUAGAUAAUUAGUUAAUUAGUUAAUAAUUAAUCAGAUAAUUAGUUAAUAGUUAAUUAGUUUAACUAUUAACUAAUUAGAUAAUUAGUUAAGCAAUUGUCAAGCAAAUAAUAAUUGUCAAGCAAGAAGAGGGCAAAAUUGGAAGAAAUUUCUUAUCUCACAUCUACAAAAGCUGUCAGGGAGGUUUCUGCAACAAAUUGUUACUGUUCAGGGGAGGUGAAUGCAAUUUCUAAACCUACAGGAGAGGUCAGUGCAAAUGUCAGAAAUCUCAGGGGAGGUUUCUGCAAUUAUCCCUAUUUUCUAAUUAUAUUUUUAGCUCAUACGCAUCAUAUUAAAACAAGUGCUACAGUCUAUUUUCCUACAAAAAAAAAAUCCAAAAAAAUUACUAUUCUAUAGCAUAUAUUUUACUCUAAUGUUUGUGUUUGCACAGAUUGAGUCCCUCAUACCAAACUAGAGCAUAUAUUUUACUCUAAUUCUUGGAUAAUGGAAUGAUAAAGAUAUUUGACAGAUGUAUCAACAGAUGAGGGAGGACAAGCUAAUGAUUUGCAGUCAUUGUUUGCCAUAGCUCAAAAUUUAUUUUCCGAGCACAUUUUGUUAAAAUGACGCAUUACGUCCAAACUACAAUUGGACUUGAGAAGGGCAAAUUUAGUAUUUUAUGCAAAAAAUUAUUGUGGAAAUAAAAUUUAUGUUGUGGCAUUAACAGCAACCUUCGUUUAGAGCCAUUAUUAUUUUUUUUCACCAUAGCUAUCAAAAAUUGCAAAAGUUCAAAUAUGAAGGGUGCUGCAAAUGGAGGUAGUAAUGAAAGAAAGGAAAUAAAAGAUUGGUAUACGUUGAAGUUACAUUUACCUAAUUCAUCCUUUGAUUUUAGAUUUUGCACACUGGAGCUUAUGUUAGGUAAUUGUAAAUCAUGUGGAGACCAAUGCUUUGUUUGGGAGCUUAGAUUUGACAGGAAAUGAGAAGAAAGUGAGAGAAUAUAGCUCUUUUAUGAUGUUUGGGAGUUGUGGAGCGAUUGAAAAAAAAAAAUGGGAAGAUUUUGGAUGGAUCAUUCUAGCAUUUACAGUUAAUAAUACUUUUCCAACAAAACAGAGUUGAAGCAAGCUUUCUAAAAUUGUUUAAAAUACCAAAUUUAUCCUUAAAUGUCUAUUAAACAAAUUUUUAUUGGCAUAUGUAUCCAAUAUCAUUUUAUUUCUUUACUAAACUCCCAAACAAUAUCAAAACUAAAUCUCUUUUUUUCUUUUCUUUCAUGACUUGAGCUUUCUAUUCUUUUCUUUUCUGUCUAAAACUCCCAAACUAGCUGCAAAUGUUGAAAAUGUUUGUACCUCUUAAAUGUCAAGAUGGCUUGCAUGGAUACAGAUAACAAUCAGAAUGUCCAUUAACAGUGUGAAAAGAUGUCAAGUUAAUGACUAUCUAACCGAAAUCUAUUGGUACCUGCAUGUAUCUAGAUGCAAAUUAGGCCAUUGAAUAUGCUUUUGAUACUAAUCAAACUCCAAGUGCCAGCUUCCAUCUACCACGGUGUUUUAACUACAUUGAGAAGCUGAUCUUCUUCCGAGUGAUUCUCUCUACGUUACAAAUUGGGGCUUUAAGUCAGGCAGCAUAAACAGAGGAAUCUUCAAUGUGUUCUCCAAAUUUACUUUGCACACCCAACUCUGCAUCUUGUUUCUUAAUUUUAACGUGAUGUGAGAAUAUGCUGAAGUUUAUGGCCCUUCCCAUUGAUUGUAUUAUUGUUCUUGCAAUUCUUAACUACUCAUGUCAAAAUGGUCAAUUUAAAGAUCUUGAUUUGCUUCCCACCACCAUUAGCAUGCUAUUGCUAUACAGUUUACUUUUCAAAAUUACCCUCUACUUCUUUCCAUGUAGCUUCCUUAAUGGUUUUUGAAAUGCAAAAGAAAAAAAGAAAAGUUAUUUGUUGGGCAUUAGAGGUAUAAUAUGAGAAAUUUUAUCUUGGUUUCGAUCAACUACUUGACACGUUAACAGUUAGUUUUUAACUAAUGAAAAUAUUCUAAAUAAAAUCGUGGACCUCAUUAAUUUCGCAUCACUAUCAAAUAAAAUCGUGUAGCCCUUAUUUCUCUAAUUGGUAUACUAUCAAAUCAUUCAAAAACUAAUUACUAUACUUGUCAAAUAUUUAGUUUAGACUGUAAUAAGAUUUUCUACCUUAAUAUAUAAGUAAAUCAUGUGGAUAUUACAAAAGCUGUCUUCCUUUUCGCUCUAGAACUCAUUUUUCUCUUCCUUCCCUCCAAAACUCCUCCAAUUAAAUCUACAAGUCAGAUCUAAAUUUUUCUUUAGACUUGAAGUAGUUUUUAUCAGAUUUGACUAUUCAACUUCUUCUCUGAUCUUCAAUUGAAAGCUGUUGUAGUAUAUAUGGUUGAGGAUUUAUAAGCUACGGCCCAACCUGCCCAACCUUCUCAAAAUAUUUUAGCAAAGAAAAAUCUCGUGUGUUCUUUGUUCUGAUUCUUGGCCCUGCUUCUUUAUGCUUUGAGAAGCUGACCAAGAAGAUUCUAAGAGAACUAUGACUGAAUUUAAGGGCUAACUACAUUUUACACUCUUGAACUUGGGAUUGAGAUGCAACACUUUAUGCUUUUGAACUUAAGAUAAGCUCCCCAAGGAUGACUGUAUAAAAUGUUUAGCACAAAGAUUAGGUCCAAAAACUGAAAGAAAUCACAUUAAUGCCCUGAAAUGAUAGCUAUGUGGGUGGCAGUUACCUUUAGGCAGGAAUUUGGGGUGGCUAUUGGCACACUCGGUGCACAUGAUUGAAACGAAAAUACAAAAUUAAUAGGGGACUUGGGAAAUUAUUUGCAUGGCAAAAAACCUCGAAAGUGGCCAAAAAUAAACAACUACACCAGUCUUGCACGGCUCCAAUUUCUUUCGUAAAUUUGUAUUGGCAUUUAAUAAUUUGGCUUUUUCUUCAUGAGAUGAGCCCUUAUGCGCAGAAUAGGCCUUGGACAAUUAGUUAAGGUUGAGAUGAUAGGAGUUAGAUGUUUUAGGUUCAAAACUUUAGUUACUUAAAUCUCACCUCUUCCUACUACUGAUAUUCAUUUCCCAGUUUUCUGAAAUUUCUUUUAAUUUUUUGAAAAAAUGUAGUUUUUGUCCUUAGUGUUUUGCACUUGUACGGUUUUAGUUCUAAAGUUUUAGCAAAAAAAAAAAAAAAAAUGAUCCUCAAUAUUUGGCAAAAAUUUUGAUCAAAAAUAAUUUUGGUUCCAAAUAGUUUCUGAAUUUAAGCAAAAUUGCGACAAUUGACUAACGUUUUUUAAUUACUAAUGGAACCUAAUAAUGUUCAGUCAUGUGUACAUUAAAUUAAUUUUGUAAGAAACAAGCAAAUCAAUGGAUAACCUUAAACAGUAAGAGCAACUCAUGUGAUGACACGUGAGUUAUUAAUUAACCAAGAAAAUAGGAAAAAAGGAAAUUUAUUUAAUUAUGCACAAAAACCAAGUGUUGGGGCUUUUCUUUUCUUUUUUUCUUUUUUUUUUUCUGAGGGUCAGCAGGGAUAGAUAGAGAAAAUAAGUUCAAAAUUGAUGAAUUAAAUGCUCUAACUAGUUUGAGUUUUGUACUUUAACAAUUUUUUUACCAAUUAAUUAGUUAGCACAUGAGUUAUUAAUCCUUAAUAUUGUCGUUUAAAGUUAGCCACUAUUUUUUCUUUAUUUUUAUAUUUCAAUUCUGUCAGUAAUUGAAAAAUAUUCAGUUAUCUAAAUCUAAUUUAUAUUGGAUACAUUGGAGACUAGAGUUAUUCUUAUAAAAACUUUAGGGACUACAACUGUGCAUGUGCUAAACAUUGAGGACUAAAUUUGUUUUUGUCAAAACUUUAAGGACUGGAGCUCGCAACAGGUGCUAUAUAUAAUGGCAUUUCUUCCUUUUAUUUUUGUAAUGCUUAAAAUACCGUUCCUCAUACUGGUCAUCUAAUCUAAUCUUUCUAAUGCUUCUGUUUGAGUCCUACAUGAUUACAAUCUUCCUAAACAAAUGAUUGUGAGAGAUAUAAUUAUGUAUCGUAUGUUUUGUGUAGUUCCACAAAACAAUCUUUCUAAUCUGAUCUUAUUAAACUAGGAGAUGCUCACCAUGCCCAGGUUGAGAGUACAGUAAAUAUUUAUUUCUGAAGGAUUUGUUGUACAGAGCACUUAUUUAUCUUGGUUGAAAUUUUUUUUUUAAUCCUGCAGGUUACUUUAUAUUUAAAGAGAUAGUCAGACCAUUUAAACUAAAUUCGUACAUCAAUGAUGUUGUGUUCUGGGUCAUUUCAAUCAGGUGCUUAUUACUGGUAACUAGAAGUUGAGGUGGAACAUGGAGUUUUAACUACUUGAAAUUUCUCAUUGAUUAGGGUAAUUGUACUCCUUAAUUUUUUUUUUCCAAAUAAAAGUAAAAAUUUAUUAAGUCACUUGAAAAUAAGUAUAAGACGGAGGAGGGCAUAAAUGUUACCUCCCGAUUCCAAUGAAGUUCAAAAAUUUUUUUAUUUAUCUUCAAGCAUGAGUUUGUUUAUGUGAUAAUCAUUCUAUAAAUCACCAUCGCACUGUGGAUGAUUUUUUUUUAGAUAAAUUUUCUAAAGCAGUCAGGCAGAAUAAUUGUUUAGGCCUCUAUUGCCGAACUUCAUUUCCGAAUACAAGUUUGAAGCAAAUCCACAUUUCAAGUUAUUCUUUGCCAAACUUCAUCCACCACGGGUAUUAACACAAGCAAGGAAUACAAUGUGGGGUACUCAUUGAUGGCAACACCACCAAAUUAGACUCAGCAUCUUGAUUAUGCAAAGUUGAAAAGGCUCAAUGCUCAACGAUAUCAGAUUCUGAUUUACAAAAUAAUUAGAAGCCUAAUUGAUUUUUGUAUUGAGACACAAAUUAUGUCUCUAGCUAAGAAGCAAAAUCCAACAGAGUUAGUGUGGAAGCUAACAGGAUAAGGUGUGCGUUAAGACCAAAUUAUGUUCUAAUUAGUUCAUCUUUCAAGGAUUAACGAAUAAAGAUGAAGCCCCCAGCAAGAAAGUUAAAGUGAAAAUCCCAAGUCAGGAAUUUCCAUUUCAAAGCAUCCAAGUUUCCCAAGAAAUUUAAAGUGAAGAUGCCAAGGAAGGCACCAAAGUUAAGAAUAAGUCUGCACUUUUAAGCGACCAAAUACCAAUGCUCUCCUCUUUUUAACCACUUGUAACAUUACCAAUUUCUGGCUGCUAAAACCUCCCAUUUUAAAAAAACCAUCUUGAUCUCAGGACUGAAUCCAAGCUAUUCCAAAAAAAAAAAAAAAUGGCUGACGCUCUUAUCAGCUCCACAAUUCAGGUCACCUUGGAAAGGGCACUGUCUCUUGCCUCUGAUAGGAUUGGUUUGCUGGUUGGGUUCAAGAAGGAUGUGGCCGGCAUGACACGUUCUCUCCGCCUGAUCAAUGCUGUCUUGGCUAAUGCUGAAGCAAAGCAAAACCAGGACGGAGCAGUGCAAGAAUGGUUGAAGAGUCUCGAGGAGGUUGCUUAUGAGGUUGACAAUUUGUUGGAUGAGCUCCACUAUGAGUCUCUUCAUCACCAGGUGGAGUCCCGAAACCGACACAAGCUCAAGGUAUGCUGCUUCUUCUCCUUCUCUAAUAUUAAUCUUGCUUUUCGUUGGAGAAUGGCUUCUAAGGUCAGGGACAUCAAACUUAAGUUGAAUGAGAUAAAUCAAGAAGCCAACGGAUUGGGACUGGUCAGUAGGUUAGGGAUGACAGCUGCCCUCCCUGCUGCUGUUGGAGACACAAGAAGUCAGCAGACCGACUCUGUUGUUGCUCCAAUGAUUGGAAGAACCAAUGAUGAAUCAAAGAUAGUGAAGAUGUUGUUGAGCCCGUCUGAGAAGGUUGUUUCUGGUCUUCCCAUAACUGGUAUGGGAGGUCUAGGCAAAACAACUUUGGCUAAAUCGAUAUACAACAAUCAGCAAAUUGAUGAGCACUUUCAGAAAAAGAUUUGGGUUUGUGUAUCGAAAAAAGUUCCAGUAGUAGAACUUUUCAAACUCAUGUUAGUGCAAUUGAUGAAAGGAAAAGUUGAAGUGGAUGAUAGGAAUGUCAUUGUUGAACACAUUCAAAAUCAACUAGGGGAAAAGAGAUAUUUCCUAGUCCUUGAUGAUGUGUGGGAUGAUGAUCAAGCAUUGUGGGAUGACUUUUUCACCACCUUGAAGGGGCUCAAUCCAACUAAUGGAAGUUGGUGUCUGGUCACUACUCGUUUAGGUCCAGUGGCACAUAGUGUGUCUAGAGUUUUGAGGAUGAUGGAAAAUGAAGCCUAUCCAUUAGGAAAACUACCUGAUGAUCAUUGUUGGUCUAUCAUAAAAGAAAAGGUAGUUGGAGAGGGAGAAGAACCUGAUGAACUAAAAGCAAUUAAAGAGAGAGUAAUCGAAAGAUGUGACGGUCUACCAUUGGCUGCAAGUGUAAUCGGAGGUCUAUUGUCUUUAAAGAGAAAAGAGGAGUGGCGAUCAAUUUUGGAGAAUAGGCUUUUGAGUAUGAGUGGAGAUGGAGAUCGUGUGAUGCAAAUACUUAAGUUUAGUUUUGAUAAUUUGCCAUCUCAAUACAUUAAGAAAUGUUUUGCACAUUGGUCUAUAUUUCCUAAGGAUAGUGAGAAAGAAAGGAAUAUGCUUAUCGAACUUUGGAUGGCAGAAGGUUUCCUACAAGUAGAUGCCACCAGCCAAAUGAUGAUGGAGGAAAUUGGAAUGAAUUAUCUGAGAAUUUUAUUGCAGAGUUCAUUGUUGGAAGAAAUAAUUGAUAAGUCAGAAACAUCAAUAUCUUAUAAGAUGCAUGAUUUGGUGCACGACCUUGCAGAGUCAAUGUCAAAGUCUACCAAAGUCAUUAUUGAUCGGGAUACAUAUAUAGUAGACAAUGGUGAUCAGAUUCGUUACCUUGCAAUAGACUUGUCUAGUGGUCGAGAAGACAGAGAAAAACUUUUGGAGAGUCAAUCAAUGUCUCUUCAUACAUUGUUUGUAAAUGGUGACUUAUCUGAUGACAUGUUAAUGAAGUUGAAGAACUUGUAUGUUUUGUUUUUGUCUACUGAAACAACUCAAGAGCUACCAGUAUCAAUUGGCAAACUGAUACAUUUGCGGUAUGUUAACCUUUCGAAGUCUUCAAUUAGUAUUUUGCCAGACUCCCUUUGCAAGCUUUAUAAUCUGCAGACAUUGGCGCUAAGUGGCUCACAAGUUAAAGAUCUUCCGAAGGGGAUGUGCGAUUUGAUUAGCUUGAGACAUCUCCACUAUUAUAAUGAUGAUGAAGAAUUUCAAAUGCCGCUAGAGAUGGGACGGCUGACUUGCCUUCAAACGCUUGAGUUCUUUAACGUGGGGCGAGAGAAGGGUCGACGAAUUGGAGAGCUUGGAAGCUUGAAGAACCUCAAAGGCAAAUUGGAGAUACGCAAUCUUCAACUAGUAAAGGGUAAAGAAGGAGCUGAGGAAGCAAAACUAUCUGAAAAGGCAAAUCUAUUUAGGCUGGAACUUGAGUGGGCCCUUGAUCGAGAAGGCGACGACUACAAUGACGAAGAUGUGUUAGAUGGCCUUCGACCCCACCCAAAUUUGAAGGAAUUGGUAAUUUGAUAUUUUCUGGGUGAUCAAUUUCCUCGAUGGUUAAUGGAUUUGCCAACAACAACAACACUCCCUGAGUCAGCAAAACACUCCCCGAGUUAGCGUGUUUGGUAUUUUUUGGCUGCGACAGAUGCAGAGAACUCCUUCCCCUACAAAUCUUUGCGUCUCUUAAAGAGCUGCAGAUUUGGUGUUGUGACGGGUUGACGAAUCUGCCAGGUGACAUGCUACGCUCUUGUGCCUCUCUCCAGAAGCUUGAGGUGACUGGUUGUGACAAUCUUAUCUCCUUUCCGCUUGAUUUGCAACAAAUGCCUUCUCUCUCGGAGCUGAAAUUAUACGAGUGUCCCGAACUGAAAACAAGCAUGACGCCCAAAGGAUUUGGUUUCCUAACCAGCUUAAGGAAGCUUGUAAUUGGUCCUUUCUCAGAUGAUGGUGAUGAUCAUGAAAAUUCUUCAAUUUACAAUGAGUUUGAUUGGUCUGGAUUGAUAUCCUCCUCCUUCUUCUCUUCGUCAUCCGCACUCCGUGAAUUAGAAUUAUUUGGGUUGCCACACAUGGAGUCCCUGCCACCUCAGAUCCAAUACUUGACCACUCUCACGUCACUAACGCUAGUUGUCUUUGGAGGUAUAAAAGCUCUGCCAGAUUGGUUCGGAAACUUUGCGGCUCUUGAAGACGUGCACUUAUGGUUUUUCAAAGAGCUUGGACAUCUACCCUCUGAGGAUGCCAUGAGAAGUCUCACCAAACUAAAACGUUUGGAGGUUUAUGGUUCUCCUCUGUUAAAAGAAAGAUGCACUCCUGAGAGCAGCGGCCCCGACUCCCAGUGGUCCAAAGUUUCUCACAUUCAAGACCUACGCAUAACCGAUCAUUAUUAACCACUCAUCUUCAGAUCAAAUUCAAUCAUGUAAGAUUGCCUCUUACCAACUUUCUUAAUUUGCUUUACAAUCAAUCUCCCCUUCUCUUCACCUCCCCCUCUGAUUAACCUUCUCGUGAGAAAACCUAAAAAGUCUCCAUGUUUAUUUUCGCAAUUUUCUCUUCUCCCUUUUCAUCGUCCUAUUUAUUAUCUUUCAAAGCUGCGGCAUUAGCAUUUCUUAUUAGGUCCAAAAUAUUGGUGCUCUUCAUUUACUCCUUACAACAUAAUAGUAAUACUCUUGUAACUCUUGUAAUACUCUUGGGCCAAAAUGUUCUUUUUUCCUGUGAGCCGCCGCACAUCCGAGGGAAGAAGAAUUGCGCAGCAAAGGACUAGGGCGAUCUGGCUUUCUUCGUAGUUUUUCGUCUUUAGCUUAGCCUGAAUUUUAUUGACUUUUCCCUUGGACUUACUUUUUGGCUUUGGGGACUUACGAAUGUCAGGACCCCUAAGCCAUUCUUGGCUUUUGACUUUUCUUCAUCUUUGAACUUUUAGUAUUUACGUUCCUUUCUUCGUAUGUCAUUCGAAGUGAAAUGGAGGGCUACCUCUUGUAACUUUGCUAUCUUUUCUUGAUUGCAGCGAAUUGCAUUUCCCAAUUUUUGUGACAAUGGCCGCGACUCUUGUUUCAAAUUCCUGUGGACUUAGUUCAUCAAACAUGAACUAAUUUCACCACUCUAGUCAAGGAGCAACGGAGGCUCUGAUUCACCUAAAAAUUGUGAGAUCGAUUUAAUUUAAUCUUUUCCUUUUAUUUAUUGGUAUUCGCAUAUUCCUUGAUUGCUAUACUUAUGGUUAUUUAAUUAAUUGAUUGUCUUAGAUCUGGAUAAUUAAUUGAUUUAGUAACCUAUUGUCAAUUAGGGCAUUAAAUCCGUAAUUGUUUAAUUGUCCUGAAAUAGUGACAACUAGCCCGAUUAGGUUCGUGUCAAGGGGAUACGCGGGCUAAUCUGAGAUAACCCUGGUAGUGCGUUAUUUGGUUAGAAUAGGGCUCCUUUAAUACGUAAGGCAAUUGGGGAAUUAAAUCUUACGGGCGUACCUAGGAUUAUCUCCUAAUUAAAGUAGUGAUUAACGGGCGUACCUUAAUCACCGACCCAAUAAGGAGGGGUUGACUGCCAUCGCUUGUUUAGUAGUUAUAACCUAUUUAUUGAUAAAUAAUUGGAAUUGCCUUUGCUUCGAUGAUCAAUUAGGUGAACCAUUGCUGAAGUUAUUUCUUGGCUAGAUCUUUAAUUAAUAUUACCUUGAUUUUAGUGAAUUGCCAUUUGACUUUUAGUUGCCUACUUUAUUUUAUUUUUAAUUGUUUUCUUGUUUUAAUUGAUUUAGGCCUUUAAUUAUUAUUACUUUAAGCUCAAUGAAUUGUUGUUUAAUUUCUAGUUAGUUAUUUAUUUUUAUUUUCUUAUUUGAAUUUAUUUGAUUGUCGUCGUUCCUACAAAAUCACCCCCUGUGUUACCUUGGAUUUCUUAAGAGACAAAUAUACCCAGUCCCUAAGGAUACGACCCUACUUCCCCUAUCUACAAAUUCAUAAUUAUUUGUGAAAAAAAUAACCAUCCCAUUCGGGUAUAUCGGAUCAAGCAAACUCUUCAGGAACAGGGUGAAUCAAGUAACCCAUUGCACACCUAGAGUCCCUGCUCUAAUACUUGGAAUUGGGUUUUGGUCAUUUUAAUUGGCAAUUAGGUUUAUUUUAUUAUUGCACAGGUUUCGACAACCUGUCAGUUCUGUUUAUAUUACAUGCUCUGCUUCUGUGGAUUUUAAGUUGUUAUUGCUAAAGUCAUCUCACUCUAUUUAAAAUUGUGAUUCUAAGGGGACUGAACUUUUACCUCUUGUCUCUUGAUAAUGAACUUGCAUAGCUAUCUGAACUAUUUGACUAGUAAUUGGUCUAUCAGAGUCGUAUAUGAUGGAUUUCUGGCUCACUUUUCCUUGAUUUUGGCUUUUUAUCCAUGAAGACAAUGGUUAAUUGAGGAGUUUUCGCAGCUGUUGGUCAUCACUUUCAUGUUUUGGUUCAAAAAUUCUAGUAAUUUUAGAUAUGCUUCUCUUCUUUCACUACUCAAUUUUGACUUUUAACCCUUCAAUAUCUAAUCUAUUAUGUAUGAAACAAAAAACAAAUCUUGUCAUCACGAAGAUAUUUUUGAGGUAGCAAAGGAAGGUUUGUAGUGUUUGAGAGAUGAAGUUGCACAAAACUUGGUGGAGUAUCUUCCAACUGAACAACUCUAUGUGCAAUGUUCUGAAGCAUUAUGGUAGUUAGUCAAGUCUGCUUGUUGUGAAUUGCUUCUCUUAAUGAAUCCAUCUUGAUAGAGGCUUCAGUUACAAUGACAGAAAAACUAUAAUUAUCUAAAAAUUUCCAUUAGUUUUAUUCUAUGCUAUUCGCCGCCUUCAGUUUGAGUUUUUGUGCUUUGCAGUGAUUUUGGGCACAAACCUCAACAGGGAACCUCAUGGAUGGCUCUUACCUACUGUCUUUACUUUUUGAAAGUCCUACAAUUCGUUGCUGAACAAGAUCCUGCUUCGGCUGAAUGGCAACAUCUAGGAUGGCAUUCUCUUUUCCUCUGUGCCUCAGAUGGUCAAAGUCUGAGAUAUCUAUUGGGGUAUGGUUCUUUUAAACUAUCGAAAUGAUUCAGUGAUGUGUAGUCAUGAUAAUAAGGAGCUGAUUUACAUGUUUUAGAACUCAAAUUGUCAUCUCUAGCAUACUGCUCAGAGUUAGAGGUUAGAACUAACUGGUGUUUUGGUAGCAAUUAAAUGUGGAUAUCUAUUGUGCUUCAGUGGCCCACAGCUCUAUUGUUUCUCAAUGCCUCAAUGUGAAAUGCUUUGCCCGCACUACAAAUUGUCCAUUAUUAUUUUCAUUUUAUGAGCUGUAAUGACUUGCUUUAUGGUUGGAACCAAACUACUGUAAUUGUAAACACGACUUAGUACUUGCUUAUCUAUUUAGUUUCAUAACAAACAAGACAUAUUUUAGCCUUUUGUAGGAAUGACAAAACAAAAUUAUUGUUGAAUUUUCUGAACUUUCUGAUUAGCUUUCUUGUUCACAUAUUGUCUCAACUCGAGUUUUCUGUUCUGCAAUGAUUUCAGGCUCAAAUGUGAACUAGAAUCUACAAUUUUACUUGCUUACUGAUUGAAUUACACAGCUUGUAACUUUUGAAAACUUUGUUGAAUCAAAUCCUGUUUCAGUUGGACAGAAAUGAUUAGGAUGGCACACUACAGGCACACUUUUCUUUCUUCCUAGUGUGUAAAACCUGAUAAAAUGCUCUAUCUGUGUCAGCUGGCCUCUACAAACUGCCCACCAGAAUUUCUUUCCCAAGCUUAUGUAAUGUCUUCCAAGAUCAAAAGCCAUCAUUACCAUGAAUUUCUGCUAAUGAUCAUGGGGGUAAUGGUUGGCGAUAGAGCUUGUAUUAAAGAAAUAGAUUGACAAUGAGGAGCUUGCAAAUUUUCAAGAAGUACUGUAAGGUUAGCGAAUUUGUUUUAAAUGGAUUAGUAGAUGUACUUAGUAUCAAGUCUUAUUUCCUGCUCAUUAGUUUUAGAACAAACGUAACAAAAAAAAAACCUUCUUUCUGUAAGAUUCCUAGUAAAAAAUGACAUGGAAUUUGCUCUUCUAUCUUAAUUGUAAUGCAGGCAAGCGUGCCUUCCUGAAAUUUUCAAUCUAAAAGCUCCUCAUCCAACUAAGUACUCUAAAAAUGCAGGCAAACGUGCUUUUGUUGCAUAUUUGUUUCAGUGACCAAAAUGAGCGAGAUUUUCUUGGGUUAACUGAAUCAUGUUUUGGAUGAACCAGUAGUGAAACAAAUGCACUAAUGUGGGUGGAAUUUAAGAAUUUAGUUUUGUUUAUCAUGCAUGUCAGUUACUCUCCUUUAUGCGUCAUGAUUGCUAACAUCGGUGCGCUCUCUUUAAACUUGUGAUUCCACCAGGAUGAAAAGAUUGCUCUCUCUGAAGUUUCAACUGUUGAAAAUGCAUUGGACAUUUUAGCUUCGACACCACACGUAGCAAUUCUAGAAACCUUUUCUAUAAGACUUUAAACCAGCAAUUCUCUACUGCAUCCUUCCUCCUGCACUUAGCAGGCAGAUUUUUGUGUCUCUCCCCGAGAUGAACAUAGAUUAGAUUUUUAUAGCUGGUAUUCAUUAAUUUUUGCUUUGCAUUUCCUACAAGUUUCCCAUCAAUAUGAAAUAUGCAAUAGAAGUUUAAUUUGUUGAUUUCAUAUAUCUGCUUUUGUGGAUGUAAGAUGUGAUUGCUAAAGUGAUCAGCUCCCUAGCUUAUGAUUCUAGAGGGAGUAAAUAGCUGCUCCAGAGUUUAAUCGCCUCUUGAAGGCACAUUUAUCAAGCUUGUUGAACCAUUUGAUUAGUGAUUUGUUCGAUAAGUCUUGUAAAUGAUGGGUUUCUGUCUCACUUUUCCUUGGUUGUGAUUUUCUAGUCGUAAACAUUUCAGGAGUUUUCCAGAGCUGUUGGUCAUCAAAUUGGUUUUUGAUUCUAAGAGUCUGGUAAGUUCAGAUAUAUUGCUCUUCUUUUACUACUCAAAUUUGACUUUUAACUACUUUGAUUCUGAACAUAUUACAACCAAAACUUGAGAAAUCUUCUCAUAAUGGAAAUGUUUUUGGGAGCAGCCAUGGAAGAUGUACUGUUCAUGCAGUGAAGCUGCACAGACUUGUUAUAGUAUCUUCUAACACAAUCAACUCUAAGAUGCAAUUUUUGAAGCAUAUUGCUAUGGUUAGUCAAGACUGCCAAGCAUACUGGUUGGCUGCUGCUACUUGCUGUAAUUAUUUCAUUCGCUAUGAUGAAGGCUAUUAAGAGCAUUUUGCCUUCUAUACUUGUUGGUUGCUCCUCUGUUCAUGUUAAGUUCUUAUUUAGUGUUUCAAAUACAACAAAAAUGUCAUGCAACUAGGCGCUGGCUUUGUUCUUGACUACAUACUGUCUCGAGUCUCUUAAGUUUGAGUUUUUGUGUUUUGCAGUGAUUUUGCACUCAGAGAUCAACAUUAACCUUAUAGCUCGGUCUUACUAUCAUUUGUAAUGAAAGUCCUAUGAUCCCUUGUUGAACCAGAUCCUGUCUCAGUCAGAUCAGAUGAAAACAUCCGGGAUAGAAUUCCCUUUUGCUCUCUGCCUCGGAUGGCCAAAGCCUGAGAUCUUCCCUGUCUGUCUGGUGCUGUUAAACUGUCCAACCAAAUCAGCAAUUUGUAGACAUGUUAAUGAGGUGCUAUUUUACUUCUUUUGGAACUCAAUUUGCCAUAUCUUCCAUACUGCUUGUAGUUCAAAGCAGCAGAAAGAUGUGGAUUAGCUGAACCCUGAUAGGUGCUUGCAUCCUUCUUGAAGUUGUAUCUUAGCUCUAUAACAGGCAACAUAUUUUUUUUCUCACUGUUCUGCAGUCGACUACAAGUUGUGCCCAAUGAUACUUUUUCCAUUGCUCUUUGUAUCUGUAAAUCUAAGACAGGACUCAGAGCACAAGAAUCAGCCAGCUUGAGCCCUUCUAUUUAUGUUAAAUCAGAGGGCAAUUUAGAAAACUGAAUUGAGGCACCAAUUUCUAUUCAAGAGAGGAUCCCACUUGGUGGAUGGGAACGUCGGAGAGAUGAAAUUAUGGAAAUCAAUUGAACAGGAUCAAGAAUUAAAUGGGAACAUACAAGGUCAACCUUAGUUCAUCAAACUGAUAUUUUACAUAGCAUCAAACCUUAAUUCAUCUAUUUUUUCAUGUGAAUUUACAAAUAUAUAAAUAAAUAAGUAGAGGAAAUGACAAUUUGAAAAAUAAUUAUAUAAAAAAAUCAUUCAAAACGUUUCCCAGGAAUUUCUUGCAAAUUAGCCUAGUAUUGGAAGUUUCAUGUCUAUUGCCUGCUCUUCUGUGACGUCGUAGCUGGCUCUGAAUUAGUUUAUAAUACAAACUUUGUUCCACACUGAUCAUAUUGUUGUGCCUUCUUUUGAAUGCGUAGCCCCCCUUCCAUUGCUAUUGCUUGACUACUGCAACAAUUGCUAUCAUUUCUCAAACCCUGUGUCCUUUCCUCAGAUAUUUGGCUAUUCAUGUUGAAUGUCGUUAUGCUGAACUAAAUGUUAUUGUCAUGCCCAUUCUCUGUUAAUUUAAUGAAACUAACGUCAACUUCCUGAUUGAAUUCGUAUCAGUAAACUCUAGUUGAUAUAGCAUUUUUAAUCACAGCUUAUCAAGCCUUGUGUCACGCCCCGAGCCCACACGUGCCCGUCACAUGACAUCCGCCGUACUCCCAAGUCCCACUCAGGAAUACAAGGCUACAUUAACUAAUUUAACUUUAACAGCACUAAAUAAUUCAACUAAAUAAAGUGCGGAACGAAUUACAUAUAAGAGAAAGUCCACAAAUAUUCAAGACGUUCGUACAUUUAUUCUCCAAUUGAAACAGCGGAAACAAGAAUAAACAUGACUAACAACUAGAAGUAGCUAGUCUGCCAACUUCUAUUCAUUUAAAACUAAUAAAAGUCAUCCUCAGGGUCUUCUACGUAAACCAAUUCAUACUCUUCAGAAUCUAUAAAAAUGGUAAGAAGUGGGUUGAGCGACACAUCGCUCAGUAGGCAAUAUUUACCCCUCUGUUGGACCAUGCACUCUUAAUUUUAUAGAUACAUAAGUAUAUAAGUACAACUCAAAUCAUUUGCAUAUCAUUCACAUCCGUGAUUUUGAAAGUAACAUUAUUUAUAAAGAAUUCAGCAGUAAAGAAGGACAAGUAAUUUUAAAGCAUCUUAUUGAUAGUUGUACAUGAGAUAUCGUAAAGUCAUAAAUCAUUUCAUCUCAAGUCACAAAUCUCUUCAUAACCAUUCGUAAAUCAACUCAUAUCAGUUCAUAAGUCGCAUUUCAACUCAGUUCAUAAAUCAUUCCAUCAGAUCAGCUCAUAACAAGUACAUGCAAUGACUGGCUACUGAGUACUCAGCCUAGAGAUUAGACCCCAUCUAGGUGGGCGACCAAUAGAUUUCAUGACUAUCGAUUGAUCUCAUUUCAUUCUUGGGUCAAUCGGCCGGACUUUAUACCAGGCUACCAUGGCCUUGUCAAUCGGUCGGACUCUAUACCAGGCUACCAUGACCUUACCAAUCGGCCGGACUUUAUACCAGGCUACCAUGGCCAUUAGACAGGACUAUAGCCCCUACCGUCUAUUCCAUAACUGCUUUGAGUUUUACUUGUCAAAAUUCAUUUCAUAUAUCAUAUACAUAAUUCUUUGCUUUCAUAAUAGAUUCAGCUCAUUUUGUAUAUAAGAACAUAUCAAAACAUUUCAAAUAAGUCACAUGGUCCAUUUUUGUAUAGAAGAAUAUAGCUUUCAUAAAUAUCCAAAUAAAGCAUUUAAUCAAACACCUUUCAAGUCAACACAACAAAAUAGAAUUGAAAACAAGAAUUUCAUUUUGCACAUUUGAAAUCUCAGAAGGGUAAGUACCACCUACCUCUGUUUGGCUGCUCGAGUGGAACUACCUUAGGUCCUUGUAUUGCACCUAUCAAACGCAUAGGUUCCCUAAUUAGUUGCUACUUCCUAUAAAUGGAUAAAUACACAACCCCUAAGUAAGUACAAGAUUCAUAUCCAGACCAUUAUAUAGACCCUAAUAACAUUCCCCUCAACUCGUACGAUUUCUAUUUUUUGGAAAGUUUUCUGAUUUGAAAAAUUUCUAUUUUUAGAAAGUUUCUUAAUUUGGAAAGUGUGCAUUUUGCAAGGCUUCCUAAUUUAGAAAGUUUCUUAAUUGAGAAGGUUCUCCUUUUUGUAAAGUUUCCUAAUUUAAAAGAAGAUAAUUAUUUAUUAAAAUAAUUAUUAUUAUUAACGGUAAUUGUGCUUGGAUUGUAAGUUAUUUGAGAUAUUUUUACUGUAGUACUUUUUGUAAUGUGAUGUAUGUGAGAUAAAAAGAUAAUUGGGAAGAUAAAAAGGUGUAUUGAAAAUUGUAAUGGUGAUGUAAGCAAAUAUAUUUGGGCAAAUAACUUACAAUCCAAACACACUCGGUAUCGUCAACCUUAUUAUUUACUAACAUUAUUGCUAUCCUCAUUGUACUAUUACUAGCAUUACUAUUAUUAUUAUUGUUAUCCUUAUUGUACUAUUACUAGCAUUAUUAUUAUCAUUAUUAUUAUUAUUGUCCUCAUUGUCGCUAAUUUAUUUUAUUACCACUUAUAUAUAUGUUAAAUAGUUACUAUUACCUUUCCCUUUAUUUCCACUUUUAUGCGUGUGUAGGUGUUAUUAUUAUUUAUGUAUAUAUGUACAUAUAUAUAUUGACUUAUUAUAAUUAUUAUUGUCUUAGUUUAUUCCACUCGUAUUUAUAUUUUUGUCUUUGUUUAUAUCCUUAAUUUAUUUCCUCCAUACCCAUAUUGUUAAUAUCCUUACUAUUAUUGUCUAAUAAUUAUUAUUUACCAUUAUUAUUAUUAUUAUUAGUGUUAUUGUCCGUAUUAUUAUUUACUACUACUACUACUAUUCUUAUUAUUAUUUUAAGCGUCUAUCUUACAUUAUCUAAAUUAACCUAGUAAGGCUAGAUUAUGUUUUCAACUUCCAUUUUAGUAUCUUAGACUUAAUCAAUUAAGUAUAAUUUUGCCUGACUAAAUCUUCAAUUCUAACAACCACUAUAAGAUGGUCCUGAAUUUUAAUACCCAUAAUAAACAAUAAGAUGGCCUAGCUAUUCCUAAAAUUUAUUUACUGUAUAUUCACUAAGUCCAUACCAUCUUUCUAAUCCAAAUAUACUUGCCAUCAUAUAUAAACGUGUGUGUGUUUGUAUAUAUAUAUAUAUAUAUAUAUUAUAUUAUAUUAUUACUAUGAUUAUUAUAUAUAUAUUUUUUCCUUGGCCAUCCCUGCCAGGCCCUUUUUGUUUCUUACUUCACCUGGCGUUGCCAAGCAGCGCCGCAACUCUUAACUUCAAAAUUUUGUUUUUUUUUUUGGUCUUCUCGGAUUGGUCAAAAGGCCAAUCCUUUGGCAAUUGCUUCCUGUCGCCAGCCACGCGCUGGCGACUUCCUCUUUUUCUUUUUUUUUUUUUUUCUCUUGGGUUGUUGCAUUGCUAUGCUGAAGCUUCAGCAACACAUACAACGGCAGCGGCUGGCGCCGCUGCUGCUCUCUCUCUCUCUCUCUCUCUCUUUUUAACUUUCCAACAAUUUGGGUAAAUCCUAUUCAUUCCAUAAUAAAAAUUUAAUACCUUAAUCUUACUAUUCCAGAUAUGAAUUCUCCUAAAUCUCAUAUACAAAUAUAUAUCUCUAUAUAUAACAUAAUAUAUAUAUCUGUAAAAUCUUUAGGAUAAUUAAUCCGACUAAUAAAACUUAAAAGAGAAGUUUCACAUGAAUUUAGGACUUACGAGUUUAGAGACCUAGUCGUCUGAUUGAUUGAUGGCAACGCCUGUUUCUCAUUCUCUACUCUCUGACGGCUCUUGCUCUAAGGGGAGGCAGACAAUGAAUGGUAGGGAAUAGGUUUUUUUUUUGUGUGUGUUUAAUAAUUGUGCUAAACCCUAAUAACCACCCACUAGUAGGUAGUUUAGAUAGGAGUUUUAACUAUAGUGAACUUUUACCCUACUUUAUCUCAUCUUACCCCUUAAUUAACCAUUUAACCUAACUUGCAAUUAUUUUUGCUUUUACCCAUAAUAAAUUACCAUUUAAUUAAAUUAGGCAGGAUAAAUUGAGCCCAAAAAUCGUGGGUUUUACAUUCUACCCCCCUUACAAAAAGUUUCGUCCUCGAAACUUAUGUACCUUAAUACAAAGAUAGGGAUGUCUAUUUUGCAUGUCUUCUUCUAACUCCUAUAUUGCCUCUCGUGGUGUAUGGUUCGUCCAUUGCACAUUUACAUAGGGUAUGGUCCUUCUCCUUGGAACUUAAUCCUUAUGAUCCAUGAUUUUCAAAGGAAAUUCCUCCAUUGACAAGUUCUCCCUCAUCUCAAUGGGUUGAUUUUCCAAAAUAUGGGUCAUGUCUAAUACAUACAUUCUCAGUUGGGAGACAUUAAAAACAUCAUGUAUCCUUAAUCAAGCAGGUGGAAGAAUCAGUCGAUACACUAGAGGUCCAACUUUAUCCAAUAUUUCGUAAGGUCCUACAUACCUUGAACUUAACUUAUCACUUCUUCCAAAUCUCAUUAUUCCCUUGGUGGGGGAUACUUUCAAUUAUAUAUAUAUUUUUUUCCUGAUUGCAACUCUAAAGGUCUUCUCUUUAAAUCCACCCUACUCUUGUUUCGGUUUUAAACUACUUUCAGUCCUUCUCGAAUAACCUUAAUUCUCUCCAAGGUUCUUUCCACCAAAUCGGGGUUAGUGAUCAGUUUUUCACCUACUUCAUCCCAAUAUAAGAGUGACCUACACUUUCGCCCAUGCAACACUUCAAAUGGUGUCAUACCUAUCCUGCUAUGAUAGCUGUUAUUGUACAAAAGCUCCAUUAGUUUUACCAACCUAUCCCCACUAUCCAAGAAGUCUAGAAUACAAGCUCUUAGCAUACCUUCCAAGGUCUGUACGAUCCUUUCUGGACUGUCCAUUCAUUUGGGGGUGGGAGGUGGUAUUUAGUCUUAGGUAUCAAUUCCUAUAAUCUUUUGGUAGGUCGACCCAAAAUCUAGACAUGAAUUUAGGGUCCUAAUCCAACACUACUUUCACAGUUCUACAACUUUCACAGCUCAUUUUAGACUAGAUAUCACAUUCUCUUCCCCUUUCAAAGGUUUCGUCCUCGAAACCUAAAAGACAUAAACAUCAAAAUAAGUUAACAAAAUUUCCGAUGUUCUUGCAAUUCACCUUGGGAAUUAUUCUUACAAUGUCUAAAUUGGAUUCCCUUAAUUAAUUCCAUCAAGCUUCUGCUGCGCACUCUUAUUUUUUUCAAUACCUUCCAUCUUCAUAUUUAUAUAGCUCAGACGAACAUAAUAUCUCUCACAAAUCCGGCGCUCUAAAUAUCGGCUUAUAACGCUCUAUAACUAUCAACCUAUAGAAAAAAAAUCAGAGACUCUAACAGUACCAUUUCUUCUUUUGUCACACAUUUUAUCACAACUUACUUAUCCACCAUCACAAAAUAAUCCUUAUCUCGAUAUAUGGGUUCUCGCCCACUGUAUUUGUAAUUGGUGACGGAAGUCCCUUAUUUCCCUCAAAUUUCAAAUCUAUCUCAUUUCAAAUUUCAAAGAGAUCAAUAAUACCUCAAAUAGCAUCACUCCUAUUUUCAGAUCUUAUAACCUAAAAAUGUCAUGGGAAUCUUAUCUCCUUUGAUCAUUUUUUUUUCCUAGCUCAAUUCAAUUUUUGAAAAUAUUAAUAUCUCAAAUAUCAUUUUACAAACUUCUUGAUGAUACAAAAAUUUAGAAAAUUUUAUACAAAAAAUUAUUGUCAAAUUCUCAUAUUUGAAUAUAAUAACUUUAUCAUAACUUUGGUAAAAUAUUUAUCUAUGUAUAGAAUUUCGAUCUCAUACAGGUUUAGAAACUGAAAGUGUUUGGAAUACAUAAGUCAACUAACUAUACUUCUUACAGCAUUAGAAUUUAGAGUACAAAGAGAAUUUAUCAAGAAUUAUUGUUAGAUUUUUCUAUACGAUAAGGAAAAAAAAUAUUUUUUUUUGUAGAAUACUUUUAUCUAAAGCUCUUUUGAGAUUGGGUGAGUAUAAAAAAUAUAUAUAUAUAUAUAUUUUGCACAAGAUUGUAGGAUAUAAUUUUUCAAUAUAGUUAUUCUUUUUUUUAUAUAGAUAUAUACAUAUAUAUUUAGAAACUAUAUUUACCAAGUAACUGUAAGGUAAAGGUACAUAUUUAAAAAUUCUAAUUAAAAACUAUUUGUGCAAAUAAAAUUUUGGUUUCAUCGUUUAUUCAUUUUUCUUUUUUUUUAGGUAAAAAGUAUGUGAAAUUAUAUAUUGUAAGAAAUUUAUAAAAUAUUUAUUGCCUGAUCAUGAUGUAAUAAUACCAAAACUAAUAAUAUCAGCUAGUUUAAUAAAUGUCUUAAGCAUUAGAUCUAAUUAUCGUACACCUCCAAUUAAGUCAACAAAAUUCCAAGAUCCAAUGUGUAUUACUUGCGUUCAAUGACAUCAUAUUGCUGAUCAUUCAUACUCUCGUUGUGCACUCUAAUUUCCUUAAUAUUUUCAGUUUUCGCUAUACUACACUUCAACUAGACAUAAGAUCAUCCAUAAAUCUGACAUGCACAUGAUAAACUUGAAAUGUACUAUAGAGAUCAAAACUUACAAAAAAAAAAAAAACACCCUAAACACCCUUUUAUUAUUAUUAUUUUUUGGUAGGUGCCAAUCAUAUCUGGCAGGUGGGCUUGGUUACCUUUUCAACUUAACAUAUACAUAUAGUCACCACUUACUUAUUAAAAGUAAUCAUCAUCUCAACACCUGAGUUCAUUCCAGUAAAUUCGUAACCUAACAUUCUAAUACCAUUAACUUUUAUGGUGUCACUUAUUUUCUUUUAAUCCUUUAGCCAUUUCAUUCCAAUUCUCAAAAUCACAAAUAUCUUUAGUAUCUUUAUACCUACCUCCAACAAUCACCACUUGAGCUAUAAUACCACAAAAUAUCAUAAGAAUCUCUUGAUCUGUUGGGCAUCUCCUUACCACUUCCAGAAUCAUUAAUAUCCAAACAUCAUUUCUCACGCUUUCGGAUCAUAAAAUCUAAGCUCUGAUACAACUAAAAAAUCACAGCAAUCUCUUAUUUCUUUUGAUCUAUUUUUCCAUCUCCUUUUAAUUUUCAAUAGACAAUUCUUCAAAUACGCAUAAUAUUUCCUACACGUCCGACAUCUUAAACGUAGAGUGUACUACCAAACUUAUAUUCAAUAAAAGGACAUCAUAAACACCAAUCGUACCAUUUCAACUAUUCACAUAUGCAAAUUUUCAAGCCUAUUUAUUUAGUCACAAAUGAUCAUUUCCUAGGGUAUACUUCAUCUAAAGAGUAAAUCGUACCUCAAGCUCUGUUAUCACUAAAUAUUAUGAAAAUCUCUUAUUUCACAAUCUUCUUUCCAACCUCAUUCCCAUUUUCUAAAAAUCACUAAUAUUACAAAUAUCACUCCACAUACAUCUAGAUCGCAUAACCUAAAUUUUGAUAACAUUAAAAAUCACAUGAAUCUCUUAUUUCCUUUAAUCAUCUUUUUCUUUUCAUCUUAUUUCAAUUCUCAAACCCCUAAUACCUCAAAAACCAUUUCACAUACUUCUAGACCAUAUAACCUAAGCUCUGAUACCACUAAAAAUGUCACGCCCCGAGCCCGCACGUGCCCGUCACAUGACAUCCGCCGUGCUCCCAAGUUCCACUCAGGAAUACAACGCUACAUGAACUAAUUUAACUUUAACAGCACUAAAUAAUUCAACUAAAUAAAGUGCGGUACGAAUUACAUAUAAGAGAAAGUCCACAAAUAUUCAAGACAUUCGUACAUUUAUUCUCCAAUUGAAACAGCGGAAACAAGAAUAAACAUGACUAACAACUAGAAGUAGCUAGUCUACCAACUUCUAUUCAUUUAAAACUAAUAAAAGUCAUCCUCAGGAUCUUCUACGUAAACCAAUUCAUACACUUCAGAAUUUGUAAAAAUGGUAAGAAGUGGGUUGAGCGACACAUCACUCAGUAGGCAAUAUUUACCCCUCUGUUGGACCAUGCAAUCUUAAUUUUAUAGAUACAUAAGUAUACAAAUACAACUCAAAACAUUUGCAUAUCAUUCACAUCCGUGAUUUUGAAAGUAACGUUAUUUAUAAAGAAUUCAGCAGUAAAGAAGGACAAGUAAUUUUAAAGCAUCUUAUUGAUAGUUGUACAUGAAAAAUCGUAAAGUCAUAAAUCAUUUUAUCUCAAGUCACAAAUCUCUUCAUAUCCAUUCGUAAAUCAACUCAUAUCAGUUCAUAAGUCUCAUUUCAACUCAGUUCAUAAAUCAUUCCAUCAGAUCAGCUCAUAACAAGUACAUGCAAUGACCGGCUACUGAGUACUCAGCCUAGAGAUUAGACCCCAUCUAGGUGGGUGACCAAUAGAUUUCAUGACUAUCGAUUGAUCUCAUUUCAUUCUUGGGUCAAUCGACCGGACUUUAUACCAGGCUACCAUGGCCUUGCCAAUCGGCCGGACUUUAUACCAAGUUACCAUAGCCUUGUCAAUCGGCCGGACUCUAUACCAGGCAACCAUGACUUUACCAAUCGGCCGGACUUUAUACCAGACUACCAUGGCGAUUAGACAGGACUAUAGCCCCUACCGUCUAUUCCAUGACUGCUCUGAGUUUUACUUGUCAAAAUUCAUUUCAUAUAUCAUAUACAUAAUUCUUUGCUUUCAUAAUAGAUUCAGCUCAUUUUGUAUAUAAGAACAUAUCAAAACAUUUCAAAUAAGUCACAUGGUCCAUUUUUGUAUAGAAGAAUAUAGCUUUCAUAAAUAUCCAAAUAAAACAUUUAAUCAAACACCUUUCAAGUUAACACAACAAAAUAGAAUUGAAAACAAGAAUUUCAUUUUGCACAUUUGAAAUCUCAGAAGGGUAAGUACCACCUACCUCUGUUUGGCUGCUCGAGUGGAACUACCUUAGGUCCUUGUAUUGCACCUAUCAAACGCAUAGUUUCCCUAAUUAGUUGCUACUUCCUAUAAAUGGAUAAAUACACAACUCCUAAGUAAGUACAAGAUUCAUAUCCAGACCAUUAUAUAGACCCUAAUAACAUUCCCCUCAACUCGUACGAUUUCUAUUUUUUGGAAAGUUUUCUGAUUUGAAAAGUUUCUAUUUUUAGAAAGUUUCUUAAUUUGGAAAGUGUGCAUUUUGCAAGGCUUCCUAAUUUAGAAAGUUUCUUAAUUGAGAAGGUUCUCCUUUUUGUAAAGUUUCCUAAUUCAAAAGAAGAUAAUUAUUUAUUAUUAUUAUUAUUAACGGUAUCGUCAACCUUAUUAUUUACUAACAUUAUUGUUAUCCUCAUUGUACUAUUACUAGCAUUACUAUUAUUAUUAUUAUUUUUAUCCUUAUUGUACUAUUACUAGCAUUAUUAUUAUCAUUAUUAUUAUUAUUGUCCUCGUCGUCGCUAAUUUAUUUUAUUACCACUUAUAUAUAUGUUAAAUAGUUACUAUUACCUUUCCCUUUAUUUCCACUUUUAUGCGUGUGUAGGUGUUAUUAUUAUUUAUGUAUAUAUGUACAUAUAUAUAUUGGCUUAUUAUAAUUAUUAUUGUCUUAGUUUAUUCCACUCGUAUUUAUAUUUUUGUCUUUGUUUAUAUCCUUAAUUUAUUUCCUCCAUACCCAUAUUGUUAAUAUCCUUACUAUUAUUGUCUAAUAAUUAUUGUUUACUAUUAUUAUUAUUAUUAUUAUUAGUGUCAUUGUCCGUAUUAUUAUUUACUACUACUACUACUAUUCUUAUUAUUAUUUUAAGCGUCUAUCUUACAUUAUCUAAAUUAACCUAGUAAGGCUAGAUUAAGAUGUUUUCAACUUCCAUUUUAGUAUCUUAGACUUAAUCAAUUAAGUAUAAUUUUGCCUGACUAAAUCUUCAAUUCUAACAACUACUAUAAGUUGGGUCCUGAAUUUUAAUACCCAUAAUAAACAAUAAAGAUGGCCUAGCUAUUCCUAAAAUUUAUUUACUGUAUAUUCACUAAGCCCAUACUAUCUUUCUAAUCCAAAUAUACUUGCCAUCAUAUAUAAACGUGUGUGUGUUUGUAUAUAUAUAUAUAUAUAUAUAUAUAUUAUAUUAUAUUAUUACUAUGAUUAUUAUAUAUAUAUAUUUUUUUUCCUUGGCCAUCCCUGCCAGGCCCUUUUUGUUUCUUACUUCACCUGGCGUUGCCAAGUAGCGCCGCAACUCUUAACUUCAAAAAAAAAAAUUUUUUUGGUCUUCUCGAAUUGGUCAAAAGGCCAAUCCUUUUGCAAUUGCUUCCUGUCGCCAGCCAUGCGCUGGCGACUUCCUCUUUUCCUUUUUUUUUUUCUCUUGGGUUGUUGCGUUGCUAUGCUGAAGCUUCAGCAACGCGUACAACGGCAACGGCAGGCGCCGCUGCUCCUCUCUCUCUCUCUCUCUCUCUCUCUCUCUUUUUAACUUUCCAACAAUUUGGGUAAAUCCUAUUCAUUCCAUAAUAAAAAUUUAAUGCCUUAAUCUUACUAUUCCAUAUAUGAAUCCUCCUAAAUCUCAUAUACAAAUAUAUAUCUCUAUAUAUAACAUAAUAUAUAUAUCUGUAAAAUCUUUAGGAUAAUUAAUCCGACUAAUAGAACUUAAAAAAGAAGUUUCACAUGAAUUUAGGACUUACGAGUUUAGAGACCUAGUCGUCUGAUUGAUUGAUGGCGACGCCUGUUUCUCCUUCUCUACUCUUUGACGGCUCUUGCUCUAAGGGGAGGCAGACAAUGAAAGGUAGGGAAUAGGUUUUUUUUUGUGUGUUUAAUAAUUGUGCUAAACCCUAAUAACCACCCACUAGGAGGUAGUUUAGAUAGGAGUUUUAACUAUAGUGAACUUUUACCCUACUUUAUCUCAUCUUACUGUGAAGACCUCAAAAAUUUCAUUAUCCUCUGGAAAAUUAAAUCAAAAUAUUAUUGAAAAUAUUAAAAUUAUCCAAUAAUAUGUAUUUAUAUUUAAAUAAUAUUGUUUUCAAUCAUUCAAAUGUUACAUUUCAAUUUAUUUGAAUUUUUAAGAUUUAAUUGACGGUUUGCGUUCGGCAAAGCCCUAAGUUGAAUUUUCGCGCACCGACGCGCGAAUUAGUCCUAAGUUGAAAUGUAGUAUAUGUAGAGGCUAUAAAAAGGUAUAAUUAAGUUGGAGAAAUGUUAGAUGAGGAAUGUGAGGACUCGCAAUUUAUUUCUUUCAAAUUCCCAUUCUGAGGUUAUUUAAUUAGUUAAUUGUUCAAUUAUUUCGAAUGUUAUUUUCUAGCCCUAUUGGACCCAAUUCUAUAGCAUUAUAGCUCAUGAGUAAUUUUAAGGCAAUUAGUUCGCAAUUCAAGUCUUGAAAGUUGUUAAGUGUGAAUAGUGCCCGUAGGCUCAGGAAUAGUAACUGACUUGAGAGUUCAUGAGCCCGAAUAAUGGAAGAUUUAUACCCUAGUCUUAAAAUAGGUAUUUUUAUGCCUAAACAUCCAUGUAUUAGUUAGAAAUGCCAUCGUUAUAAGAAUUUCUCAAAAAUUUCACCUUAUCGCGCAUAAGUGGGAAAUACGCGUUUUACGCGCGCGAUUUAUUUGAAGGACUUUAGAACCUUAUUUUGAGGUCAUUGAGAGUGAAUGAUAAUUACAUGAAUAUAUGUGCAUUAGAGGUUUAGUGCACAGUUAAAACAAACCUCAGAGGAAACAGGCGCGAAACGCGCGCGCGAUACACAGUUCACGGUUGACUUGGGAGCACAAAAGUUGUACCACACUCAAGCUUCUCAAGGAAGCUUUCCAUUUCAGAUUUUUCCCUCCCUUUCCCCUCACCAUAACCGCCGGUCUCUACUCUCUCUCACACUCCAAAUUUCACAAUUUUUCCUCCACCAUUUUCUUGCUCCAAUUCACACCAAAUUCACCACACAAGUUCAAGACAACUUGGACAAUCACUUGGACAAAGAAGGAGCUGCACAUUCACGGAUUUUCUUGGGGCUUUUGGGACACCAAAAUCUGACCUUUUAGCACACAAGUAAGGUAACCAUGAUCCACUCUUCAAUUCUUGUUCAAUGAAGGCCAACUCACACUUAAGAGCUUGAUUAUGCUUAUGGGUAGCUUAUUAUUGUUGGAAAUUGUUGACUGUGGGCUCUAUGAACUCCCACUUUGAGUUGAUGGCUGUGAUGAUGUUUGAUGAUGGUUUUAUUGUUGAAUUAGUGCUUAAGGAAGUAGAUUAAAGGUGCAUUAUUGCUAGAAACUUCAUUGAGCUCUUGAAGCAAAAAGUUCCGAUUCUGCCCCUGCCAAGACCGACCUUUUUCAUGCGAAAUUCUGAGGUUUUAACGGCUUGUAUUUGAUGUUUAUGUGUUGUUGGAGUUGUGUGUAAAGUUUCAUUGAAAGAUAUUGAGGUUCGGUUGACCAAAGGUGAUGAAUUCCAAAAACCAGCAAAAUCUGGAAAUUUUUCCCGUAUGGCUCAGGCAGCCAUUUUGUUUCGAUCAUAACUCUGCCCUCCGACAUCGAAAUUGAGUGCCGUUAGCGCCAUUAGAAGCUAGACUCUUCCAGCUUUCCAACGGUGUAAAAUUCACAUCCUGGUUCCACCUGAGUGAACCGUGGCAGUCUUUUAAAGUCACCUGUCCUGCUCCACUGGUUCACUGGAAGCCAGGAUAUGUGCUGCGUUUUGUUGCCAGAUUUCGAGCUAGUUAUGAGUAGAAUUUUAAAACGAUUUCUUCUGAAAAAUUGUAUCCCUGUGAGUUCAGUUUCCAACGCUACCAACGAUGCUCAAAUCUAAGUUGAAUUGAAUGAGAUGUGACCAAAAUACGAAAACGGCUCUGCUGUUGAACCAAACUGUCCAAAUUUUCCCAGUUUGUGUUCGAGUUUUUGAUCUGAUUCUUGACAAGAAAUUGAGCUUCAUGGAUUGUGUAAAUGAUAAUCUGAAUGUCUAUGGUCAUUUGAGGGAAAAUGCACCACUUUCAUAGUUGAAAUGAUGUUGAGGAAUUGAAGGAAAAGGAAGGUAUAUGCUGUCCAAAAAAUUCUGGAAAUUUUCCAGAUUUUAGUCGAAUUUUGGGGGUCAAUUUUGACAAAUUUCUGAACUACUUGGGCUGUAUACAUGUUAACCUAUAUGGGUGGUAUUGUUUGGGUGCAAAUGUAGCUUUUGGGUUGUUGAAAAAUUUUGGAUAAAUUGAAGGGGAAAUGGACUACUUGCUACCGAAUGCACCUGAAAUUUUUCCAGCUUUGAAUGAUAAUUGUGAACUGUUUUCACGAUAACUUGAGCUCAAAUGAUUUGUGUAUUAAUUAAGGGGUUUGUAUAGCUCAAUUUGGGACAAAAAUCUAGUAGAGGUUACGUCCAAAAAGUGGACCAAAAUCUUAUUCUUCAAGAAGAUGCCAAAACAGAAUUUUUGUUUGAAAUUAGAAAUGGUUUGAUGUUUGGAUUUCAUUGUGGGUAAAUGUGGACCAAAGUUGUCCCGAAAAUGUUUUCUAGCAUUAACCGUUGUUACUAGGUCCACUUUGAGUUGAUAACCUUGAAUUUUAUUAGACCAAAUGCCCUAUUUUGAGGAAUUUGUCAAAUCUGGAAAUUUUCCUAAAAACUCAAGUUUUUGCCUUCAUGAAAAUCAUUGGAUUAAGUUGGUCGUGGAAUUUGGCAAACUUAAGGAGUUUCUAUUUUAUAGAAAUUCUAACGACUAGUUUUACUUGGUUUAUAUGAUUGCCUCUUAAAGGCAAAAACUCAAGUUUUUGCCUUCAUGAAAAUCAUUGGAUUAAGUUGGUCGUGGAAUUUGGCAAACUUAAGGAGUUUCUAUUUUAUAGAAAUUCUAACGACUAGUUUUACUUGGUUUAUAUGAUUGCCUCUUAAAGGAAUUUCCCAAGAUAUGUUUGGGAAAAAUUUGAGGGAAAAAUUCCUCUAAAUGGUUUAAAUGUGAUUUUUCUCAACUUGUGACACCAAAUUGGUGUUAAAUGGCUUAUAUGAUUCUAGAACUUGGAUGUUGGAAUAUUUGACGAAUUUAGCAAGUUUUUGGGUUUUAAAGAAACCUCAAAAUUUAAUUUCACUCGAUUUGUGGAUUUCAUUUUAAAUUCUUUGAGAAAACGAUUAAUACUAGUUUGGGAUUUUUGAGUGAAAUUAAAUGCUAGUUGACUCGAGUUAAAUUCGCCAACUCAAAAGUGGAAAUUUAUGUGAAUUGUUUGUAUGAUUUUAGGAGUUGGUGAAGAGCACAAUCUCGAUCAAAGUUUGGAAUUCUAGACACUUCACUUGAGGUGAGUGUCUCUUGCAUGAAUCGUGUUUAACUGCUAGUUGAACUACUUGUUAAAAGUACUUGCUAGAGAUAUCAUGAAAUGUUAUAUGCUAUGUGAUUGCGUGAAAUGCCACAAGUACAAGUGUUGCAAUGUCGAUUGGAGCGUGGUCUCGUCGACUAAAUAAACCAAACAGAUGCAUGUACCACGCUCUAUUAGAGUGGGAGGUACCUCUCUGUCGUCUUGCUAAAAGUGCUUGCAAUAUUCGUGUUAGAGUCGGGCCCGAAAAUAAGGGGGAAGACGUUGCUAGGAGAUGUGUAGAUUAGGGAAAAUGUCUACAUGGAGUUUAGGUAGUGAAAGUUGACGGAGUGUCAACUACUAUAAAUUUUCUGAUCAAGUGCGUGGACUUUGGCUCCUGAGAGCCCCGUAUCCUUUUCUUGUCAUGUUAUUUCGCUUUCUUAAAUUGUUAAGUGCUUACUUGUCUAUUUGUACUUGUUAAAUUGCCUUAUGUGAAUUGCAUGUUUCGAGGCACCACUGAGCUAUUGGCUCAUCCCUUCCAAAUUGUUUUCCUUGACAGGUUCUGAAAUGCAUGAAGUCUUGGAGAACUAGAACAGAAAUGUUAUAUUUUGAAUGCCCACUUUUGUAAUUGUAUUUUUGGAAACGUUAGUAUCUUUUGGAUGAUUUUUGUGUUUUUGGGAAAAUGUGAAUCCUGUGGUGCUUCUGUGCCCUGGAUUAGGAACUUUAAAUUGUAAAUUAAGUUGAAUUUAAGUAUACUAAGCUCGACGUUUUCGUUGGUACUUGGAAUUGUGUUUUGGGCUGUAUAAGUUGAAUUGUAUGAAUUAUUUAAGUACGUGACUUGCUCGAGAAGUAAGGUUUAUUUUCGAUUUAUAUUUGGUGAAAUUAGUUACUAGAGUGCGUGAGUCCUAGCGAGAGCUAGGCAGGCGACCCGCCAACCCUUUGGUUCGCCUUAGGGAGAAGUGGGGCCGCCACAGGUGGUAUCAGAGCUUUAGGCUCCAAAUCUCUGUAGUGUAUCCUAGGCUUUAAAACUUAGGAUGCCGGACUGUGGUGUUAAGUGAUUAUUGGAUAGAAUAUUAGGGACUAGAGUUUCCUCUAUUAUAGGAAAAGAAAAGAAUUGGGUGAGGUGAUUUGAAAAGUAGUAGGUGAAAUUCUUGAACAAUAAUACUAGUCGAUAUUUAUCGGAACAAGUGUGACUAAGAUAAACCCUAGAAUUCGAGGUAUCCUUUAAGGUUUUAAUUUUAUAUAUAUAUGGGUGUGAAAUUGGGGAAUGCUUCUUAGAUUGACGGUUUAAGUAAGAAAUCCUGUGAACCAUCUAUGAGGUAUAAUGGGGAUUGAGUCGAUUUGCACUUGGAAAUGGCCAGUCCCAGUGUGAAUUGACUUGGUUCCUAUUUGACUCCUAAGUUAGUUAGUGUAUCUAUUCUUUGAGUUUGAACUCGAAGCUUGAGGCUUUAAUUGAGAAACCUAUGGAUCUUUUGUGAGCCAAACCCUCAGUUGGUCCUCGUCCUUGCUUAUGCAUGAUAUAAUUACUUGUUUAUUCACUAUUUUCUGUGCUUAUUUGGAUUCGUAAGUGUAACAUGACUUUGUAUGUCUCUUUUGAAGAUGGAAUGCCCUUUUGUAGUGCACUUGUGUACCUCCUUUGUUAUAAAUUUAUGAAAUAUGAUCUUUGACUGCAUUCAAAACUUCUACUUUAUUAAUAUAUCGCCCUACGCUAUUUUAAGUUCUGGUCCUCUAUAGGAAUUAAAGAUGGUAGGAAGAGAGAUUAGUGGCUUUCUAUUGCCCAAUUGGAGGAAGUUGCUCAAAUCCUGGUAGGACAUGAUAGGAGCUAGGUGAGAAUAGAGUUUAAGUUAUGAUAGAGGGAUAUGGACUUUAAUUUCAAAUGACCCUAGUAGGAGUUUUUCUUAAAAAGAGUAUUUGGCUAUGACCCUCUCCUAAUGGUGAUUAAUACGUAAACGCGAAUUAAGAAAAGAGUGGGACGUGGUCCUCUAAGUUAACUAGGAGUGACGCUUUUGGGUUGCUGGUCAGUGUUGGGAUGGAAGUAUAAGGUUGUCAAUAACUAGAGAUUGAGAGUUGUAUUGCUACUACAAGGCCCUAAGAGAGUAAUUUCUGACUGUAGUCGGGAAGGCAGGGUUUUGGAGAGAUUAGGAUAAUUCCUCUAAUUGAAGAUUGCUGAGAGAUCUAUUGGAAUGUGAGGAGCAGGAUUUUUCCCCUAUCACGUUUUGGAGACGGAUGUACAAGUGGGAAUUAGAUACGAACAUGGGAUCUUAGAAAAAGCAUACGCGUUAGCGUUUUAAUCCGAGUGUAAAUGAUAGUAAUGACAAUUAAGGGUAAAUACCAGAGUAGGAGUAGUGUUCUAGCACCUUUCUAUGUCACCCUACCUGUGCUUAGAUUUCUUGUCUAUCCGAGUAAAGAGUAGCUAAGGUCAACUUUCGGAGGUCAGUAAAACGAGGACAUGGCGAGUUUGGGAGAGAUGCUUAGAGAAAUAGAGGCUCUUCAAGAGAAAGUGGAAUUUCAGACGAAACUAACGGAAUACUGGGAAGGACGAUGGAAACAAGAGUUCGUGAAGAAGCUUGAAUUGGAGAAAAAGUACGUGGACAUACAGAAGAAAUACUAUGAGGCGUUAGAGUUAAUAUAUGACAAGUCCGAGGAAGUGUGUCCUCCUAUCCCGAUUGCGUCUCAAGGAGUGGUUAACAACCAAGGAAAAGGGGGUGAAGGAAGCUCCAAUGGUUCAAAAAGGAAGCGCAAGGGAAGUGACGGGGAUCUAGUACCAGUUUCCCUUUGUGAUUAUUGUAAGAAACCAAACCACUCUGCCGACAACUGUUGGAAAAAGAACUAUAAGUGCUUUAGUUGUAGAAGUUCUAAGCAUUUGGUGUCUAGCUGCCCACACAAAGUAGAGAGGGUUGUGAAGGAUCCUUGAUAUCUCAUUUGAACUUCCUGUACACUUUGGUAUUCUUGUAGGAACUUUGGUACUUAAUCUAUGACUCUUAGAUUUAGUAUCUGGUGUUAAGGUGAAUUGGUCGAGUUAAGUGCUUAGUACGACUCGUCCCUGGGGAAAACUUAAGCAAUGCUUCGUAUAUAUUUUGUGAUCGGUCCCGUGGACAGGUUUUAAUCUAUUAUGGAUAUUCAAACUUCUAAGUUUUACAUCUAAUUCCUUUGGUCCGACCUGGACCCAUUACCUAAUCGUUUGAAUUAAAUGGAAACCUUUUUUUUUUACUUUUUACUUGUACUCCACCAACACUACGUAUAAUUCCAAAUACUUGUUGUCCCUUUUUCCACAAGUAGAUAUAUUCCUAAUAACACCGUUAAUUUCAAAAGCAAAAUUUUGUGGGGUUUAAGUGCAUCCUUUUGACCAAAUAUUUACAUGACCAACAUUAAACAUCUGCUAAAUGUUGAGUCCAUUUACAAAUGUUGACGCUUUAGGACUAAAACCUAAAUUUCGAUAACUGCACGUUUAAUUUUUUUUUUCUUCUCGACUCACCUUCGUACUAAAGAGAAAGAAAAACUUUCCCUUCCUUUUGACAUAUUUAGUACAAAACAGUUUUAUUGGAAAUUUGUAAACUCGAUUGGUCAAUUGUAAAUUUGGACCACAUUUUCUUACAAGUGUAUUUAGUGUCAAAGGUCAAUUUAAUUAUGAUAAUAAUGUAAGAAGGCUUUUCCUCAACCAAAUGAGAUUUAUAGUUAAUAAGAAUUUGAGGAAGGAUUAUUGUUAAAACCUCUUUCUUGUGUACGUCUCCCCUCCAUAUAUAUGUAUAUAAAUCUACUCUUACUAGCUCAGUCUCAAAUUGCAGAAUUACUCUUCUUAAAUUACUAGGGGAAAAAGGAAGUUUGAAUUAAUGAUUUUGGUAAAAACAUGGAUUUUUGGGUCAUGAAGAAAAGUCUGUACCUUUAACUCUGUUUGGAAAAUUUAAAGUAUAUUUUUCCCAUGAAAAUAUCCGUUAUGCACGGAAGCCUCAAUUAUCUUUCUCGAAUCGUGACUGAUGUGUUUGGGACGAAAUUCUCAUUAGCCGUUUUUAGAGACAAAGAAACAAGGCCUGUACAAAGUUGCUUCUUCAGAAAAUCGAGUGCUAAUGAAUGAUUUCUUUGACCAUUUUGAGUCCAGAGGGUUAGUAAGUCUUAUCAUUUCAUUGGAAAUAUACCACUCUACUUUGGUUUGGAAUUUAUGACGGAAUUUUAGUACAUGGAAUCAUGGGCUUGGGAAGCCUAAGAUGAACUCUGGUGUAUUUCAAGUACUUGGGAUUGCACAAUAAUGUCAGCUCCAUUAUAAGACGUAUUUUGGCUUAGGUUGAAAAAAAAAAAUUGACUUGAGGAUCCUUAAAGAUUCUUAAACCAAUUAGUGAAGUAGUUUACCAGUUGAGCUUGCCUUUAAGUAGGGGUAGGAGUCUUAACGUUAUCCUUGUGUCUCCGCCAAGAAUAUCACCCAGAAUUUAGUCGUAUGCUUUAACCAGAAGAGAUAAGGAAGAGAAAAGAUUCCAGAUCCAACCAUUAUACCGUAGAUUGAGGUUCUAAAACGAGUUGGAAAAGUGGCUUAUUAAGUCGGAUUUACCUUCAAGUAUGGACAAGGUCCAUAACAUCUUCUGUGACGGCCCCACCUUCCCCUAGGGCGUACUCCAGGGUUCGGCGGGUCGCCUGCCCAGCUCUCGCCGGGACUCAGUCGUUCACUACAUUCCUUAAACAGAUUACAAUAUAAAUCUCAAAUAUAACUCAAAUGUCCCAAUAUUUACAUAUCAAAAGCGAAGCGUCCACGCUUCUACUACGCCACUCUGAUCCAUGAUCCCAAUUCUUAUACAAGAAGAAUUCCACAACAAAAAAAUCACAACAAGCCUUCCUUCGCCACGAGCCCUGUGGAGGGGAAUAAAAUAGUUUUGGGGUGAGCUAGAAGCUCAGCGAGUAACCAGUAAAAUCAGUAAUUAAAUCGGUUUAACAAUAUUUCAUUUCAAUGAUGUCAUAAAUCAAAUGAUAAGUCUAGAAACAAUUACAACAUUUACAAAAACAUUAAAUAUGGAGUAUCAAUAAUUCAAGAAAUAUGUACAAUGGAAAACGAUAGUAACACAUUCAUUAAAAGGAUACGGCUCACAUGGAGCUAUUCGUUCGUUCGUUCGUUCCCCUGACAUUUCCCUUAUUCCUCCAAUUAUUUGAAAAUUUCAUUUAUAUAAAUAAACCAUCGUUCAUCUUUUUAUUCGUUCAUCCCCUUUCCGGACGUUGACCGGACUCCACCCAUCCGGACGUUGACCGGACUCCACCCAUCCGGACGUAGCCGGACUACAAGGUAAUACUUGAGUAUACCAAAUUCACCCAGGGUCACCAUAUCGCCCGACCGAGUCCGCUUCUGGCUCGAGUCGAUCGGUAACAAAGGGCAGUGGCCAAUUCAGCCAAACGGCUUACAUUCAUACGCAACUAGCAUUUCAAUAUUAAAUCCUUGAAAAUUACACAAUUAUUUAGGUCGAGUGCGAUAAAGUACACACUCGCCUAGAAAGCUCGUUUUGGAAAUCAUUCAAAGCACUUAACACGUUAUCAAUCAAUAAUACAAGUCAUGAAGUCAAGAAAAUAUAGCAAAUAAGGAACACUCACAUGCAAGCACGCAUGAUAUGCAAGAAAACAGUUCGAAAGUAACUUUGGAAACAUUUUAAAGGUAAAUAAUGCAAGAAAACGGUACAAAAGUAACUUUGGAAACAGCUCAAAAGUAAAUAAGGCAGGAAACGGUUCAUAAAUAAUUUCAGAAAUAGUUUGAGGUCACUCACCUCCAUGGCUCAGAAACCAUCCAUCAUAUAUCAUUGCCUUGCUCAAAUCCAAGUCUUAGAUCACAAACUCAAUGCAAACAAGUCCUUUAAAAGUUCGGACAGCACUUCCCCUAAAUUUGCUUACUUUUCCAACCAUCAUGGCUUCAUUAUUUCCUCAGCCAGUCCCAAAGGUACACACACAACAACAAGUUCAUCCAAUAGUCAUUCAGCAAGCUCCAAGUAGUACAAAGACAAGUCAAGCUAGGAAAAAGUCUGGAAAUGAAAGUUAAGCUCAAAACCAGAAAAACAGGUUUUGACGUCAUUUUGCGGUAAUGGUACCAAAGGCACUACGAUUGUCGGAUGAAGGUGCAAGACCCACCGUUUCGAAGCUAAGAGAUAGGGCUACAAUAUUAAAGAAUGUCACUCAACCCAGUUUCAAGUGUAACCAGGUCAAAAACACAAGAAACACACCAGAAUCACAAAAACAGCUUCACAAAAUGAAUUCUAGCAGAAACAUCAUAACUCAGGAUCUCCAAGUCCAAAUCCAGAAAUUCCAAAACCAGCUGAUAGCUAAGAGACAAGGCUAAAUUUCAUCAGAAGGCCUCAACAACUAAUUCGGAAGAAAUCCUGACCAAAACAACUAAUUACAGGCGCAAUGCUUACAUUCGGGUAAAACCAGAACAGCAAUAGUAAUUUCGACUUUUCUCACUCUACACUACUCCGAUUGACCUGAAAUUUUACAGGCACCUCUAAAAUGCCAUUCCCUACAACUUUCAUGUUUUAAGCCAAGGCCAAUUCAGCCUCUAACUAGGAGCUAAAAAUUCGGGCAGAAUGUUCCUUCACAAAACCUUAUUUUUCUGAGAUUUCUUCCAAAACAGAAAUUGGUUGCAAUCAUCCACUUUUUCCACCUCAUAGAGUCCUUAAACAUCAUUUCCAAUCAUCAUAUAUAACCACACAACCAUGUUCAUCUUAAAACAGAAAAAUCCCCAAAAAUUAUAAAACUUCAUCAAGUCAACCACAACUCAAGAUAUAAUCCAUCAAACCAUCUCUUUAGCCAUCACAAGUUACUAAUUUAGCAUAAUCAAGAACAAAGAAAGGAUUGCUAGACAUGAACCUUGAAAUAUCAAGAAAGUUGAUGGUUUAGUCCUUUGCCUUGUCUAAUCACUCCACCACUACCUUCAAUCUUCCUAAACAAGUGACUUUUGUGGAGGAAUUUGAAAGUUUAACGGUUGAUUCACAAGAUUGAGCAAGAAAUGGAGUUGGAGUUGAAGCUUUCUUCUUGUAUUUUUGCUCCAAGAGGUUCGGCCAAGCUUGCAGAAAUUUAGGUGCUUUUGGGUCAAAAUUGAGUAUUAGUAAAAGGUAAGAAAUAAUGGUCAAAAGUCAAGGUUGAAUAGGAAGGUGACACUUGUCACCCUUUUUAAUGCAACUCUAUCCUUUUGUCUCUCCAAUACAAAUAUCUUAACACCUUGUAAAAUAAUAUCACUUAAUACAAAAUUCCAACAAGUUUGUCAAAAAUAUAAUGGCAUUUACCGCACUUGCGGGUCCCACGUUCAAAAUACGCUUUUAAUUUCUCAAAAACUAACCGAUACUAGAAAAAUCAUUUUAAAACUAUCUUUGCUCAUAAACUUUAUCUGGGGAAUUUUUCUAAUAAAGAAAAUGUAGAAAAGGUGGGCGAUUAAAUAAAAUAAACCCUAGAAAUUUAGAAAAUUUCCGGGUUCUCAAACUCAUUUUUUUCGGGGCGUCACGUCUUCCAUAUAUCUAUGUUUAAGAAAUAUCAUCUCGAUCCAAGUUAUGUGAUUUAUUUAGAUGAGAUUGAAGUGGACGAAUCCCUAUAAUAUGAAAGCAUUCGAUUAAGGUUUUGGAUUGUGAAAUUAAAGAAUUGAGGAAUAAGAAGAUUGCUUUAGUUAAGGUUUUGUGGAGAAAUCACGACAUCGAGGAGACAACUUGGGGAGUAGGAGAAGACUUGAAGAAGAAGUAUCCAGAGUUAACCACAAGAUAAGGUGAGAAUUUUGAGGACAAAAUUCUUUUAAGGGGGGAAAGAUGUGAAGACCUCAAAAAUUUCAUUAUCCUCUGGAAAAUUAAAUCAAAAUAUUAUUGAAAAUAUUAAAAUUAUCCAAUAAUAUGUAUUUAUAUUUAAAUAAUAUUGUUUUCAAUCAUUCAAAUGUUACAUUUCAAUUAUUUGAAUUUUUAAGAUUUAAUUGACGGUUUGCGUUCGGCAAAGCCCUAAGUUGAAUUUUCGCGCACCGACGCGCGAAUUAGUCCUAAGUUGAAAUGUAGUAUAUGUAGAGGCUAUAAAAAGGUAUAAUUAAGUUGGAGAAAUGUUAGAUGAGGAAUGUGAGGACUCGCAAUUUAUUUCUUUCAAAUUCCCAUUCUGAGGUUAUUUAAUUAGUUAAUUGUUCAAUUAUUUCGAAUGUUAUUUUCUAGCCCUAUUGGACCCAAUUCUAUAGCAUUAUAGCUCAUGAGUAAUUUUAAGGCAAUUAGUUCGCAAUUCAAGUCUUGAAAGUUGUUAAGUGUGAAUAGUGCCCGUAGGCUCAGGAAUAGUAACUGACUUGAGAGUUCAUGAGCCCGAAUAAUGGAAGAUUUAUACCCUAGUCUUAAAAUAGGUAUUUUUAUGCCUAAACAUCCAUGUAUUAGUUAGAAAUGCCAUCGUUAUAAGAAUUUCUCAAAAAUUUCACCUUAUCGCGCAUAAGUGGGAAAUACGCGUUUUACGCGCGCGAUUUAUUUGAAGGACUUUAGAACCUUAUUUUGAGGUCAUUGAGAGUGAAUGAUAAUUACAUGAAUAUAUGUGCAUUAGAGGUUUAGUGCACAGUUAAAACAAACCUCAGAGGAAACAGGCGCGAAACGCGCGCGCGAUACACAGUUCACGGUUGACUUGGGAGCACAAAAGUUGUACCACACUCAAGCUUCUCAAGGAAGCUUUCCAUUUCAGAUUUUUCCCUCCCUUUCCCCUCACCAUAACCGCCGGUCUCUACUCUCUCUCACACUCCAAAUUUCACAAUUUUUCCUCCACCAUUUUCUUGCUCCAAUUCACACCAAAUUCACCACACAAGUUCAAGACAACUUGGACAAUCACUUGGACAAAGAAGGAGCUGCACAUUCACGGAUUUUCUUGGGGCUUUUGGGACACCAAAAUCUGACCUUUUAGCACACAAGUAAGGUAACCAUGAUCCACUCUUCAAUUCUUGUUCAAUGAAGGCCAACUCACACUUAAGAGCUUGAUUAUGCUUAUGGGUAGCUUAUUAUUGUUGGAAAUUGUUGACUGUGGGCUCUAUGAACUCCCACUCUGAGUUGAUGGCUGUGAUGAUGUUUGAUGAUGGUUUUAUUGUUGAAUUAGUGCUUAAGGAAGUAGAUUAAAGGUGCAUUAUUGCUAGAAACUUCAUUGAGCUCUUGAAGCAAAAAGUUCCGAUUCUGCCCCUGCCAAGACCGACCUUUUUCAUGCGAAAUUCUGAGGUUUUAACGGCUUGUAUUUGAUGUUUAUGUGUUGUUGGAGUUGUGUGUAAAGUUUCAUUGAAAGAUAUUGAGGUUCGGUUGACCAAAGGUGAUGAAUUCCAAAAACCAGCAAAAUCUGGAAAUUUUUCCCGUAUGGCUCAGGCAGCCAUUUUGUUUCGAUCAUAACUCUGCCCUCCGACAUCGAAAUUGAGUGCCGUUAGCGCCAUUAGAAGCUAGACUCUUCCAGCUUUCCAACGGUGUAAAAUUCACAUCCUGGUUCCACCUGAGUGAACCGUGGCAGUCUUUUAAAGUCACCUGUCCUGCUCCACUGGUUCACUGGAAGCCAGGAUAUGUGCUGCGUUUUGUUGCCAGAUUUCGAGCUAGUUAUGAGUAGAAUUUUAAAACGAUUUCUUCUGAAAAAUUGUAUCCCUGUGAGUUCAGUUUCCAACGCUACCAACGAUGCUCAAAUCUAAGUUGAAUUGAAUGAGAUGUGACCAAAAUACGAAAACUGCUCUGCUGUUGAACCAAACUGUCCAAAUUUUCCCAGUUUGUGUUCGAGUUUUUGAUCUGAUUCUUGACAAGAAAUUGAGCUUCAUGGAUUGUGUAAAUGAUAAUCUGAAUGUCUAUGGUCAUUUGAGGGAAAAUGCACCACUUUCAUAGUUGAAAUGAUGUUGAGGAAUUGAAGGAAAAGGAAGGUAUAUGCUGUCCAAAAAAUUCUGGAAAUUUUCCAGAUUUUAGUCGAAUUUUGGGGGUCAAUUUUGACAAAUUUCUGAACUACUUGGGCUGUAUACAUGUUAACCUAUAUGGGUGGUAUUGUUUGGGUGCAAAUGUAGCUUUUGGGUUGUUGAAAAAUUUUGGAUAAAUUGAAGGGGAAAUGGACUACUUGCUACCGAAUGCACCUGAAAUUUUUCCAGCUUUGAAUGAUAAUUGUGAACUGUUUUCACGAUAACUUGAGCUCAAAUGAUUUGUGUAUUAAUUAAGGGGUUUGUAUAGCUCAAUUUGGGACAAAAAUCUAGUAGAGGUUACGUCCAAAAAGUGGACCAAAAUCUUAUUCUUCAAGAAGAUACCAAAACAGAAUUUUUGUUUGAAAUUAGAAAUGGUUUGAUGUUUGGAUUUCAUUGUGGGUAAAUGUGGACCAAAGUUGUCCCGAAAAUGUUUUCUAGCAUUAACCGUUGUUACUAGGUCCACUUUGAGUUGAUAACCUUGAAUUUUAUUAGACCAAAUGCCCUAUUUUGAGGAAUUUGUCAAAUCUGGAAAUUUUCCUAAAAACUCAAGUUUUUGCCUUCAUGAAAAUCAUUGGACUAAGUUGGUCGUGGAAUUUGGCAAACUUAAGGAGUUUCUAUUUUAUAGAAAUUCUAACGACUAGUUUUACUUGGUUUAUAUGAUUGCCUCUUAAAGGAAUUUCCCAAGAUAUGUUUGGGAAAAAUUUGAGGGGAAAAUUCCUCUAAAUGGUUUAAAUGUGAUUUUUCUCAACUUGUGACACCAAAUUGGUGUUAAAUGGCUUAUAUGAUUCUAGAACUUGGAUGUUGGAAUAUUUGACGAAUUUAGCAAGUUUUUGGGUUUUAAAGAAACCUCAAAAUUUAAUUUCACUCGAUUUGUGGAUUUCUUUAAAUCCUUUGAGAAAACGAUUAAUACUAGUUUGGGAUUUUUGAGUGAAAUUAAAUGCUAGUUGACUCGAGUUAAAUUCGCCAACUCAAAAGUGGAAAUUUAUGUGAAUUAUUUGUAUGAUUUUAGGAGUUGGUGAAGAGCACAAUCUCGAUCAAAGUUUGGAAUUCUAGACACUUCACUUGAGGUGAGUGUCUCUUGCAUGAAUCGUGUUUAACUGCUAGUUGAACUACUUGUUAAAAGUACUUGCUAGAGAUAUCAUGAAAUGUUAUAUGCUAUGUGAUUGCGUGAAAUGCCACAAGUACAAGUGUUGCAAUGUCGAUUGGAGCGUGGUCUCGUCGACUAAAUAAACCAAACGGAUGCACGUACCACGCUCUAUUAGAGUGGGAGGUACCUCUCUGCCGUCUUGGUAAAAGUGCUUGCAAUAUUCGUGUUGGAGUCGGGCCCGAAAAUAAGGGGGAAGACGUUGCUAGGAGAUGUGUAGAUUAGGGAAAAUGUCUACAUGGAGUUUAGGUAGUGAAAGUUGACGGAGUGUCAACUACUAUAAAUUUUCUGAUCAAGUGCGUGGAAGUUGGCUCCUGAGAGCCCCGUAUCCUUUUCUUAUCAUGUUAUUUCGCUUUCUUAAAUUGUUAAGUGCUUACUUGUCUAUUUGUACUUGUUAAAUUGCCUUAUGUGAAUUGCAUGUUUCGAGGCACCACUGAGCUAUUGGCUCAUCCCUUCCAAAUUGUUUUCCUUGACAGGUUCUGAAAUGCAUGAAGUCUUGGAGAACUAGAACAGAAAUGUUAUAUUUUGAAUGCCCACUUUUGUAAUUGUACUUUUGGAAACGUUAGUAUUUUUUGGAUGAUUUUUGUGUUUUUGGGUGAAUAUGAAUCCUGUGGUGCUUCUGUGCCCUGGAUUAGGAACUUUAAAUUGUAAAUUAAGUUGAAUUUAAGUAUACUAAGCUCGACGUUUUCGUUGGUACUUGGAAUUGUGUUUUGGGCUGUAUAAGUUGAAUUGUAUGAAUUAUUUAAGUACGUGACUUGCUCGAGAAGUAAGGUUUAUUUUCGAUUUAUAUUUGGUGAAAUUAGUUACUAGAGUGCGUAAGUCCUAGCGAGAGCUAGGCAGGCGACCCGCCAACCCUUUGGUUCGCCUUAGGGAGAAGUGGGGCCGCCACAUAUAUAAUAUAUAUAUAUAUAUUUAUCUAUAAAAUUAAGUGUGCAUGGUCCAACAGAGGGGUAAAUAUUACCUACUUAGCGAUGUGUCGCUCAACCCACUUCUUACCAUUUUUGCAGAUUCUGAAGAGUAUGAAUUGGUUUACGUAGAAGACCCUGAGGAUGACUUUUAUUAGUUUUAGAUGUAUAAAAGUUGGCAGGCUGGCUACGUCCAGUUGUUGGUCUUAUUUACCUUUGUUUCCGCUGUUUCUAUUGGAGAAUAAAUAUACGAACGUCUUGAUUAUUCGUAGACUUUCUUUUCUAUGUAAUUCGUACCGCACUUCAUUUAGUUAAACUAUUUAGUACUAUUAAAGUUAAUUAGUUAAUGUAGCCUUGUAUUUCUGAGUGGGACUUGGGAGUACGGCGGAUGUCAUGUGACGGGCACGUGCGGGCUCGGGGCGUGACAUAGACAAAUUUUUGUUUAAGUUAUAUGAAUUUUUUUUCUUCAAGGAGUCAGAAUGAACUUUUUACUCUUUUUGGACCAUUUUAUCUUUAGGAGUCCUAAACUCCGAGAGGUUUUGAUUUUUGUAAUGAUUUCCCAUGCAUCAAAACUUUUUCAAGCUCAAAAUGCAUUAAAAUGAUUGAAUUGGUGAUCCAGAUGUUUGAACUAUAAAUUCAAAACCAAUCACUCAUUUUGUUCAUCACCCGUCCAAGUUUCAAAACAUUUUUAAUUGCUAAAGUUGUUCAAAAACUGGAAUAUUUUCAAAAAAAAAAAAAUCCUCCCUUGAAGUUUCUUGUAAUAUCAUUUAGCACCCUUAUAGUUCUAAAAAUAUCACUUACCUCCCCCAUAAGUAGGGAUGGCAAUUUCCGACACGACCUGAAAACACGAUACAAAUCUAACACGAAAUUAAUGGGUUUGGGUUGAGGUUUUGCAGGUUCGAGUCAGAAUCGGGCCGAACCCGCUGAACCCCAAAAAGAAAACAAGUCGAAUUCGGGUCAAUCUGUGGAUGACCCGAUAACCCAUUUACGAAUUAAAAAUAAUUUAAUAAACAUAAAAUUUAUUUUAUCUAACUAAACUAAGUUAUUCUUUUUUUUCCAAAGGCAUUAAUCACUUAAUCCUAAAUGAAUUUAUUUAACUUGUGUGAAGUUGAAAUUAUUAUAUUUGAACAAAUAAUGUAUUAUAUUAUUUUUUACUUUUAUACUAUUUUAAUUUAUUUUAUAUUUGAUUUGGGAUAAAACACUUUUACGAUGUUUUAAUUUAUUCUAGAUUUGGUUUGGGAUUAUUUAUUUAAAAUUUUAUUACUUGAUUAUGUAAUUAGUUUUGUGUGAGAUUGGUUUUAUUAGAAAUUACAAUAGUAAAUUAAUCAAUUAAAAUUAAGUUUCAGGUCAUUUCGGGUCGACCCCACCAACCUGAAAUUUUCGGGUUCGGGUCAAGUAUUCUGACCUGUUUCGGGUUGGUGGAACAGGUUUGAGUCAGCGGGUUUUCUGUUAUACCCGGGUUUCAACCCGACACGCCAACUCGAUUUGGACCCGAUUGCCAACCCUACCCAUAAGUGACAUAUGACAAAAAUUCGCCAUCGCAGCAUACAAAGUGAACGUAUUAUCCUCACUACGUAACAUCGUUUGUUCUAAAAGAUUUUGGAAGAAAAAAAAAUAGAAAUUGACAAAUUAGAAUGUCUAUCUUAAAAAUUUUUGGCACUUAAAGCCUUCGUACAUUUUUAGUCCUUCUAUGUGACCCAUAUGUUGGUUUUGGGCUAAAAUAACCACAUUAGUUAGAAAUAUUUCUCCAAUUAAAUUUAACAAAAAAUUAACAAAAAUCUCAUACCUCAAUAUUACAUUAAAAAAUGGAAAUAAUUUGAACCAUAAAAAGUUAAUUUGCGUGGAUUGAGACAUGGACUAGGUUGCUUUUUUUAAGACGAUUUGCGCCCUACAGAGUAUUUUCCAAUGUAAUAUGUCUCAUCACGUUGCCUCCAAAAUACAAUAGCUGAACAUUUUCUUCACUGUAGUCUACUCCAAUCUACACUAUUGGAGUAAAACAGAAACAUUACACAACAUUGAUCUUUGCCCUUAUAAACUUUAAUAGUAGUGAGAGGAAGAAAAAGUAGAAAAUAGUCUAAAGAUGGCAAAGUACAUAUCAGAUUUGGCUGCUAGACGCCUCUAUUUAUAGCCUAAGAAAUUAGGAGUAUUAAAAUACCAACAUUAAGACGAACUAACAACUCAUAUUUUAGUUACAAAUUGAAAAGUUUAGAUUCAUUGUAUAAUGGUAAAAAAUUCACUAAAAGAAUUCAUAAACCUAAUCAUUACACAGGUUACACAAUUCAAGACAUAAAUCUCAUUUCAAAAACAUAAGUUACACUUUUGAAUGGUUUUAGUUGUAGGUGAAUAAUAAUUUAGACCAAAAAAUCUAAUUAAAAAAAACUUAGAUCAAUAAAGAUAAUUGCUAUUUAGGAGUUAAUUUUGCACUUAAACCCCCUUUCCUACACCCCGGUUUUUUUAAAGUCCUUAUAUACCAACAUUAUAUUAAAAUACCCUCACUACUCUAACAAUUAUUAGGAAAAAAUUUAGAAGAUUAAAUACCAAAAUUUAUAAAAUUAAAAAUUUGAUUUUCUAAAAGUUAUAUUUUCGCUUAAACACCCCUUUGAUCCACUCUAAAUGCUCUAAUGCCAAUCUUAUAUUAAAUCACCUUGCUAUUCUAAAACUUUUUAGGCAAAAAAGUUUAGAAAGAGAAAAUCCAAAAUCUAUCAAAGAAUGGUAAUCCUAAUGAUUAUUUUUCACUUAAACUGUCCGUUCUCCCAACUUUUAGUUCUCCUGUGCCAACCAACGGGUUAAUUUCACCUUGUCCCCCCAAACUUUGGACAAUUAUUCACUUAAAUCCCUAAAGUUCAAAAUGGGACACUUAAGUCCCUAAACUUAUAAAUACCUCCCACUUAAGUCCCUGAACUUAUAAAUACCUCCCACUUAAGUCCCUGAACUUAUAAAAUGGGACACUUAAAUCCAUAAACCCUUAUAAAAUGGGACACUUCGACCACUAACGGCAUUCAAGAUUGGUUAACAAUUUUCCUUAAGUGUGAGGUAUUUAUAAGUUUAGGGAUUUAAGUGUCCCAUUUUGAAGUUCAGGGACUUAAGUGGGUAAUCGUCCAAAGUUUGGGGGGACAAAGUGGAAUUAACCCCCAACUUUAUAUCAACUAGCCUCUCCCAUUCUAACAAUUGUUCGUGCAAAAAGAAUUGAAUGCACUUGAGCAUCUUCUGGAUUAAAUGCACUACUAAUGAUACAUGUCAUCCUAUUAGAUUGUGUAAUAGUACCUUUAAAUUCUUUAUUUGUUUGUAUAUUAGGUGAUGGAAUCCUUGGUUUGCAUUUAAUACAGAAGAUGCUCAAUACAGUCUGGGAGAUCUAAUCCCCUAUCUUGCAUUUAAUUUAAAAGGUGUUCAAAUAUACUUUUUUGGCCACCCCUAACUUCCCAUAGUGUUGGGUUAGGAUUAGAGUAGAUUAGCAAAUAUUGUAUCAACAAAAUAAAAAAAAAGUGGAAAAAAGACAAGGAUAACCUAGAUCCUUUGGAUCCACCAGUCCAGGUAGUAUACGACUAGCAGUAGAGUGCACUUUUUUAAUAACUCCUUUUCCAUAAUAUAGGUACAGAUUAACCAAUAUCAUAUUUGGUAAAAAACAAAAAAGACAAAGACAACCUAGACCCCUGAGAUCCAUCUAUCCCAAUAUCCCACAGUGUAAGAGUAAGCAUAGGAGUAAAUUAGCAAACAUAGUACUGAUUAUAAUAAUAAAAAAAAAAGCACAUUCAUUUAACCAUCACACCAUGUCAAAUGUUUAUGACUCUCCAUUUUUUGUUUUUUUUUUUCCUAGAAUUUUAAAUUCUUAGAAUCUGAUGUUCCUAAAAAAUGGUCUUUGAUUGCUGUAAAGAGUUUACUACACUUGGCCACCUUAAAGUUCCUUUUAUUUUCAUUUUUCUCUUUUAAUAUUUAGCUAGAAAACUUUACAGGAUUUUCUUUUUAAAGUUGGCUUUUCAAGCCUUACAAAAGGGAAAGAAAAGAAGGGAAGGUUUGAAAGUUGAAUUAAAAACCUUAUGAUUUUUUAUUAAUGUCUUCCAAUUGGAUCAAAGCUUGAGAUUCUAUUCUAUUAAUGUUCACAUUGAAAGGCUUUUUCUAUAUAAUGUCGUAGGGCCGUACAAUAAACAAACUAAAAAUGGACGGUGGAUCCAUGUUGACCCUUUUCUCAAGAGUUAUCUAACUUAUGAUAAUGUAGUUGAAAAAAUAACAGAAGCAUGUUGGACACAUAUAGAAAUAUGUGGAAGAAGAGGAGUUUAAUAACCAUAAACGUAUAAAUUCUAGCAACAACAGCUGCAACUUUCAUAUUUAGACUUGCAUAAAUUCUAGCAGAGUUGCCUUUACAACAAUUGCAACUCUCUUUAGUUUUUCUCUUAAUUUUCUCGACUGGAUACAAUAUUGAAAUAUCUUAUAUAUUCUCAACAUGACUAGAAAAUUAAAAUUAUACUAAAAUAAGAAACUACCAUAUAAUUACUUCAUUGCCUGAACAUCUAAAUUGGUAAAACUUGGCUAUACUUUUCUUUUUAAUUUUUUCCAGUAGGGAAAAGGUGGGACUUAAAAAGUGAAGAACAGGCAGAGUGAUUUAAACCUAAGGUCUCUAAUUUCUAGAGCCUUAAACUUAUCCAUUAAACGGGGGUUUCUAGGCAAAACUUGGCUAUAUUUGAAUACUUCUAAACUAGAAAUACAAAACAUCAACUAUUAGGAAAUUAGGUUUAAUUAUAUCAACAUUGCCUCUUUUCAAUUAAACUUUUCGCGAAUAUAGCUCUAUACUAUUGGCAACCAAAAAAAAAAGUCUUCUAAGAUAUUUUUUCAUUAUAAAUCAAUUCUUGCCAAUCACUUCACUUUCAAUUUAUUAGCCUCACUAGCUGAUUACUGAUAUCAAGAUUCUCAAUUUUGCAAGUCCAUCACAAAAAAAAAAUAAGUUGACAAGAAUUUUUUCAACUCUUUCACAUUACCAAAUUAAAUAUCAACAACUAUGGUACGAUCUUUUCUCUAAUCACUGUCUAACACAAAUAACACCAUAACGUCUAUCCAAUUAGGGUCAAUUUUUCCCUAAUUGUCAAGUAACUGGAGUGCCCCAAUAUUAAUUUAGUGGCCCAAUUUUUUCUGACGUUCGAGUACUCUGACUCAUAAAAAAAUUUACAUUUCAAAAUCUAUCAACAUCAACCUUGUAAUCUUAAGUUUGCAAGCAUCCCAAGAUCAAAAGGCAGGGUUCUAAUACCACUUUAGUGUAUAAAAAAUGCGUACAAGAGGAUACUGGGAUAUGUAAAAAUAUGUAGGAGAAGAGGAGUUUAAGAGCCAUAAAUACAUAAAGCACAUCUAAUUCACAUAUUGAGAUUGACAUAAAUUCUAGGGUUGCUUUUACAACAACCGCAACUCUCUUUAAUUUUUUUUCUCGCCCUUUUCAACUCAGUAUAAUGCUAAAAUACCCUAUAUAGAGUUAACAUAACUUAGAAAUUAAGAAACUACUGCAACAAGAAACUACCACAUAAUUACUCCGUACCCUAAACAACUGAAUUACUGAAACUUUUUUUUUUUAAUCAAGAUGCUUGGAUUUUAUUGCCUCAGAACAGCUCUUGAGGGGGACAGGAGCCUGACCUCAACGACACAAGACAAGUACAAGACACCUACUUACUUAACUCGACGUCGCCGAAUAGACGGGUAGGAUAGUUUAUCCAACCGAUAUUCACCCCUAGCUACACCUGGUAAGUCCCUGAAACUUGGCUAUACUUGAAUACGUCUAAACUAGAAAUAGGAAACAUCAACUAUUAGCAUUAGGAAGUUUGGUUUAAUUAUGCCAAUAAAAAGACAUAUUCUUCUGACCAUCACACUAUGUCAAAACGUGCAUGGGUUUCGUUGAUUUUAGCAAUGAUAAAUGUUCCACAUAAAGCAAUGGCAACAUGCAUGCGUUAGGAUAAUUUCAUAAGUUAAUUGUGUAUAUAAUGAUAGUGCAUAUACUAACAACAAUGAAUGAAUGCCACCUAAACUUGAUGUAAUGGUAGUGUAUAAUUUGAGUUUUGUUUCUUGAACAUGUAGCUUGCAAUAUUAUGGGAUAAUUUCAUAAAUCUCCACUAAGGUUAUUGACAAUUUCACUUGUCUCUCCUCAACUUUUGGAAAUCUCACAUACUCCUAGCAUACAAUUGGGGCCUAUUGUUGACUAAAGGCGCAGCAAAAUACUUAUAUCUUUAGUCUUUGGUGAUACUAACUAAACAAUUUCUCACCUUCAAAUGUAAUUUGCAAAAAAUCAAGUCAAGUCUUAUUUCCACAACCUUGUAAUACGAUGCAAAAAGAAAAUGUUAAACAAACAAAAAUUAUUCUCACCCUUGAUUCAACUGCACCUUUCACAAGGAAAGAAAAGCUGUUCUCUAAUUUUCUAUGGUUACUUUCUCUUCUAAGCUUUAAUUGACGCUCAUCAAGCCUUAUAUAUUUUAGUAUAAACUUCCAAGCUUUUAAUAAGAAACUUGUAACAUCACCAUUUUACAAAUUUAAAUUUUGAUAAAUUUGUAUUUACUCUUAAAUUUGUAUUUACUAAUUUGAUAAACUUGUAACAUCCAAGCUGUUUCUUAAAUUUGUAUUUUCUGUCAAAUAUUUAAUUUUUGUUAAAUACAAAACCUACCAGUUUCCCUUCCGUAAAAAUAUUAAUGUAACACUUUUUCAAUUCUAGUUACAAAUAUUUAUGUAUUUAACAUAAAUUAAAUAAUUCAGAAUAAAAUGCCCAUAAAGAGCCAAUACUUUACUCAUGUAAUGGAUAAAAGUCAUAAAGAAUUAAACUUUAUGGGCCAUUUCUUUUUGGAAAAAUCGUUCAAAACGUCCCUCACAUUUUGCAAAAUAACUUUUUCGUCCCUUACUUUUAAAAAUAUAAUUUUACGUCCCUUACAAAUUCACAUUGGUCAAAUUUGGUCCCUACUUAGGUUUUCGACUAGUUUUUUGUCGGAAUUCACCACGUGCCUUGCACGUGAUCAUAUUUUAAGGGCAAAUUUGUCAAAUCAAAUUUUAUAUAAUUCGAUUCAUAAUCCCUCACAUUUCAUAACAUAAAUUUUUUCGUCCCUUACAUUUCACAAAAUGAAUUUUUUCAUCCUUCACAUUUUUUAAAAUGAAUUUUUUUUUUAUCUUUGAUUGCUCAUGUGUGUGAAUAAUUUUUUUAAAAUCCAUGUACAUAUUUAUUUGAUUUCACCUGAACAGUACGAAUACCAUGUGAAAUCAAAUAGAGAUAUAUUACACACUAUUCGUAUUGUUCUAGUGAAAUCAAAUAAAUAUAUACAUGGGUUUAAAAAAUUUGUUAGUUUUUCACUUAUAUUCAUUUUCUUUUACUCGAAAUUUGAAAAUAAAGAACACAUUUAAUCCUAAAUAUUAUCGAGUGAUUAUAUCGAAUUAAAUUUGGAUAGAAAAAGUAAACAAAAGAAAAGUAUGACAAAAAAAAUAAGUGAUUGGCACUUUCAAAUUUUAACAAAAUCACAAGGCAAGUAAUCCAACUGUUGGUCUUCAAAGUGUCGAGUAGAAAUUUCAGAUUUAAACUGAAAUAUGUUAGCAUAAUUAUAGAAUUCGAGUUAGGACCCAUUAAUUAGAUGACCUUAUUAUACAACUUAAUAAAUAAAUUAUUACCAAAAGAGAAAUGUCACAAAUAUUGAAUAGGUUCAAAUGGUGAAAUCAUAUAAAUAUAUACAUGGGUUUCAAACAAAAUUAUUAGUUUUAAACUCAUAUAUAUAUCUAUUGAAUAGCAUGUGUAUAACUACGAUUAGCAUGUUUAGAUGAAAUCCAAUAGAGAUAAAUUACAUGUUAUUCAUACUGUUCAGGUAAAAUCAAAUAGAUAUAUACGUGGGUUUAUAGAAAAAAAGUUAUUCGUAUACAUGAUUAAUGAGAGAUGAAAAAAUUCAUUUUGAAAAAUAUGAGAGAUGGAAAAAUUCAUUUUUUCAAAUGUGAGGAACGAAAUAACUCAUUUUGUAAAAUGUUAGGGAUGAAAAAAUUCAUUUUGUGAAAUAUGAGGGACUAUGAAUCAGAUUAUGUAAAAAUUUGAUUUGACAAUUUUGCCCUUAAAAAAUGAUCACAUGCAAGUCACGUGGUGGAUUCCGGUGAAAAACUAGUCGGAAACCUAGGUAAGGACCAAAUUUGGUCAAUAUGAAUUUGUAAGGGACGUAAAAUUACACUUUUAAAAGCGAGAGACGAAAAAAGUCAUCUUGUAAAAUGUGAGGGACGUUUUGAACGAUUUUUCCUUUCUUUUUUUAAAAAUAUUUAAUUUAAAUUAAAUAGAUAACCUAUCGAUUUCCUUUUUGUAAGAAUAUUACUAUAACACUUUUACUUUCAAAUAUUGAUAUAUUUAUCAUAAAUUAAAUGUUUGAGCGUAAAAUGCCCAUAAAGAACCGGUACUUUAAAUAGGUAACAUAUUUGCUCAUAAACUACACCCCUUAAAGUUUAUUAAUUGUUAAUUGAUUUGUAAUACUUUAUCAUUUAUUUGCUAAUACUGCUUGACAUGUAGCACAAAUAGCAAAUUUGGUACAAACUUCUCAUUUCACUCCCUAAAACAAUAUUUUAAUCGCUUGGACUGAAUUUGUAAAGAAUUAGUAUGUUUAGGGGAGGUCAGUGCAAGUGUUAGAAACCUCAAGGGAGGUUUCUGCAAUUUUCCCUACAUUAAAAUGAUUGAAUUGAUGGUUCAGAUGUUUGAACUGAUAAAGUCAAAACCAAUCACUCAUUUUGUUCAUCACUGGUCUGCGUUUCAAAAUAUUUUUAACUAUUAAAGUUGUUCAAAAUGUGGAAUACUUUGAAAAAAAAAUCCUCCCUGAAUUUUCUAGUAAUAUCAUUUUGCGCUUAGUGCCCCUAUAGUUCUAAAAGUAUCACUUACCUUCCCCACAAGUGAAAUGUGACAAAAAUUCACGAAUACAAUAAUCUUGUUUCUUUUUCUCCACAAAACCCUCAAUGGACUUUUUCUCAAUUCCCUGUAUCAUUAAAUUAACUCCAGCAAGAACUAAAAAUAGCCUCCAUCUUGAGUUGUCAUCUGGAAAAUUGAUGAAAAAGUUUUUGGCAACUUCAAAAUACAAUAAUAAAGCAAAAAUAAAUAUAACAUACAAGAAUCAUGUUGUUUGGCCAAUUGACCUAUGCCACAAGUGAAAGAGCAGCGAGUUCACCGUAAAGAAGAGAGUAUAAAAUCAUAAGUUUUAAAGUACUAAAUACUAAAAAUUUAAAAAAAAAUUCUAGAUAUAACAAAAGGCUCAACAACCUAAAAGAGGUCCAAAUAAGCUUCUCUAGCUCUUUCGGUUGGCAGUGGCACUUCUCAAAAAUCUGUCUCUUAAAUUGCGGCCUAGGGCCUCCCGAACCUCUCUUGAUACACUAACGGACUGUCCAGGCUUGCUAUCAGUACUUUUUCACAAGAAAGUCCAACAAAGAGUUUGGCACUACCUUUUCUUACCUUUUCUAUCUUAUCAGGUCUUCCAUUUGCAACAAGUUCUCUUUAUUACAACCCAUGAAUCCUCCUCUUUCCAGGUUUCAACCCAUUUCUUUUAUUUUGGUCUUGGUUGCUGGAAACUAGGGUCUAACAUAUUUAGCCUUUUUGCUUUUUUUUUCCCCCAAUUUACUACUGCACUUUAUCUUUUGUGGAAAGAGAACAAGAUAGCCUAUAAACAAUAUGACAAUUUGAAUUUUCUUGUUCUUUUCCUCUAUUCCAAAAGAAAUAUUCAAAUAUGCCAAUAUAGUUGAGGGUGAAAUAGUUGAUUUGGUGGUUACUGCUCCUGGGGAUAUUAUAUCAAACCCGAAAAAACAAAAGGGUAAAAGGAAAAACAAAACUGUGUAACAAGUAGGCAUAACCUCGUUGAUUCUCAGCUAGAACAAUCCUAUUACUUCUAAGAUUGGAUAAUCUCUCUGUUUGCCUACAAAUUUUUAAGAGUUUUAAAAACAAUACAGUUUUUACAAAAAAGGGGCAAAUGGACGGUUAAGUGUAGAUAUCCUACAUUUAUAUCAACAGGAAAAAUAUAAAACUAAAAAAAAUAAUUUAACCAAACCAAUUGACUAAUAAUUUUUAUAAAUACAUAUAAAUUGUUGCUCUAUAUUUACUCAGCUUUCUUGUUUUUAUUAAUACUCAUUCUCAGUUAGAUGCUAGAUACUUAUAUAAGCAUUAAGCAUACUUAGAGAUGUGGCAAAAGAUAAACUUCUAUCACGGUUGAAACUCCUUUAGAUUUUCACUUAGAAUGUGCCAAAUUAAAUGAACAUCCCAACACAGCAAAUUUGGCAAUUGAAAUACAUAUUUUCUUUUUUAUUUUAAAUUCAAAAACAGAUGAAAGAGAUAAUAGGAAAGAAAAGGUCACAUUGAGUGCCUAAAUCUCCGAAAAAUGUAAGGACGUAUUUAGUAUUGGAUUUCCUUUAACAAAAAAUAAAUAAAAGAAUGAAAACUUUUUUUUACAAAUAGCUAGAUAGAUAAAUAUACCAAUGUUUUGCUCCAAAUCAAUUGCUUUUCUAUAAAGAAAUUUAUAUCAACAACACUCUAUUACUAAAUAUAACCUCAAGGUUGAUUUUUUUCGCUAUCUUUUGUUUAGUUCUACAAAGUUUAAGCAAUUAGAAAAUUGAGCUCUUCCUAAAGGCAUGAGUUUAAUUUAUUUAUUAUGCCUUCAGAGUAUGGGGCUCCAAGAAUCACAUUACUUGGUGUAAUUGGGUUCCAAGGUAGCCAGUUGAUUUUGAGUUCUCACGUUGAUCUAGCAUGGCAAGAAAUUUUCUUCUAAAUGUAGCUUCAGUAAACUUCUAAAAUCCAUCCACAAGAACUCAUUUUUGAUAAAUGAUAAUUAUGUAAAAUUUAAAUUUAAAAUUCAACUUUUACACAUAUGUCAUAGUUCUAACAGUAAUAGUUUAUACACUGUCAGUAUAUAUAAGAUUUACUCUUUUUGUAAAACGUUUAAUUUUAAUCCCUUUCCUCAAGUAUUUCCUUCAUUCAUAAUUUUAUUCCUUAAAAGCUUUUAGAUAUUCUUCUUUAGUUUUCAAAAGUUUCUCCUGGAGAGUUUUCUUAAAAUCGCAGCAAUUAAUCACGUUGAACAAGAAAUUGAUAUGCUAAUCUUCUUUAGUUUCCAAAAAAUAUUGUCAAAGAAAUUUGUUAAACUUCUUUCUAAACAAUUUCUUUUUACACUAUUGCUCAAGGAAAUCUGCAUACGUGCUCCAAAAUUAAUUGAUUGCCAAAGAAAUUUCUAAAACCUCUUUACAAACCAUUUCUUUCCAACUAUUGCUCAAGAAAGUUAACAAAAUCUGAGUUUAAUAUAUUGUAUAUUUCUAAAGUAAAAACCCAUUCUUGCUGUUACAUUGAAUUACAUAAAUAGCCACAAUUAUCAUAAACAAUGCAAAGCUAAAAAAACAACAUUGCAUACCGAGGGUAUUAUCGGAAUAUGAGAUCUAAUGCGCUAAUCCGCUAAUUUAAACUCUUGCUCUUAAUAUAUUAUAGAUAAGUUGUAGCUCUAUAAGCAUUUAAUUAGAGCUACACGCUAGCCACAAUAUUGUAGCAGGAAGACUCUGGCUAUUUCUUGAUUGAUUUACACUAUGAUUCAAAUUAGACAAUUAGUUUGGAAACUUGAAAGCCAUAAGCCAGCAAUUGUUUAAGAACAAUAUUGAAAUUAAUGCAGAAACCAUUACAUGAAUGUUGUAAUCUAAUUGCUGAUGUGACUGCAAAUUUGAGCUCGAAAUGGGAGGAAUCUUACUUCAAUUUGUUCAUAAAAAAAGUGACAAAAUCGGUACACGCAUGGCCCCAAUAAAGCAUCAGAUUCGGAGGAAUCUUUGUUUGGCGCUACUGAAGUUGCUGGGAAAGUUCUGAAGCACCAUAUCUUCUGUGAACAAGAUAGUGUCUUGCAAUAUUUACACAAAAAGUGGGAAAAAAAAGGUCCAGCCUAUUGUUUGUUGGCUAUUGUUAGAUGAGAAAGUUUUGGAUCCUGAACUGAUUUUAUUGAGUAGCUGCUAAACCAGAUAAAAAUCUAAUAUCAGAGUGAAAAGAAGAUAUGAUAAUGGAGAUCCCCUCCAGCAGUAACGCCAAUUGCUUUGAUUUUGCUUUAUAUGAUUAUCUGCAGUCGUAUCACAUCUCCUCCAGCACUAGCACAAGUUGCUUUGAUCUUGCUUUAGAUAUCCUAGCCGAGCUUGAGAAUGGGUACAUAUUUCCCUGGCGCUUCGAGACCCUGAAGAAGGAGGUAAGAUUAAUGAAAACCUGUUUUCUGUAUGUCAAAAAGUGUAGGAGGAGGAGGAACCACGAAGCGCUUUUGGAGCAUGAUCGCGAGGACAGGUGUAAUAUUAUGUCUGAAAGUUUGAGACGUAGUAUUAUUUGCUUCAGAAUUCAAGAUGUGGCUAUCAGGAUGAUUCAAGAACUUCAGCCUGCUUAUUUUCGAUGUAUUCAAUCUAGUUAUCACUUUGACAUCAUUGAAAGUGCGGUUACCAGAUCCAAGGAAAAGAUCAAAAUGUUUCUUGAGACAGAUCUCAAGAAAUCAUGCGCCGCCAUCUUCAUCGACUAUUACUCACCAGGAGAUCCACGACUAGUUAUGGAUCUUAUUAUGUGCCUUUUAGAGACUCUGGAUUGCGUUUUACGUGAUAGGGAGCUAAGGGAUACAAUUAGACACAGGCUAAAACUCUUAAGGAAUCUCAUUGGCGUUGUGGCAAUGCAAGGUUUUGAAUGUGCACAACUGACAGAUCUCUUGACCUACACUGUAGUUGCAGCUGGAUGCCUGAUUUCUGUAUGUAAGUUUUACCGUGAUGAUGAUGCACGAGUGCUCGAUCGAAUGGAAUCUGAAAUUUGUCAGCUGAUACAAGAGAAGAUCAAUCUUCUUGAUCCCCAAGUCCGAGAAACUUUUGUCCAUUUCCUGACAGCUUCAAAGAAACAACCAAGAUCAUCAUAUGAUUUAGCCCUUCAGAAGAAUGAGGAUCCAAUCGUAGGCCAGUUUAUUGGUUCUCUCCGUGAUUAUCUUAUGGAUCUACUCUGAUCUUAUGCCAGUUUCCAGGUUCCAGUGAAGGAUCAAAUACUAAGACUCCAUGAGGAAAUAAGAUGCCUGGCUAUCGUUCUUAAACAGGAGGAGAAACUAGGUGAUGAAAUAAAGGAUCUUAUUGGAGUUGUGGUCUCUGAUGUAGGAAUUUUGACCUUCUCCCUUUCUGUCAAUGAAAUCAAAGAAGGCUUGCCUGAGGAAAGAGAUCUUGGGUUGUUUCAUUUGCACAAAGUUCUCAAAUAUAUGGUGGCAGAGGUUGCACACAAUUUUCCACUAAAAUCACCAUAUUUAUCAUUUAAUUAUCCUAGACCCAAUGAGUUGGGCUGUAUGGAUUCUUUCCUAGAAAAUCUCAAGGAACUAGCAAGGUGUGAUGAGGAUGAUGAUUCAAUUGGUUUUCAACAGGAUAGAAUCCAAAUGAUCCAAAAAGAUCUCGUAUUCUUAAGAUCUUUCCUGGAAAAUAUCAAGGAGAAGCGCUAUCAGAAUGGAAAACUUCAAGCUUUCUGGAGUCAUGUUAUGGAGGCUGCAUACAAGGCAGAGUUACUGAUUGACUUGGCACUUGUUGGUGAUAAAUGUGAAGAUUCUUUGGAUGUUGUUUCUAGAGAUAUCAAUCUUUUGAAGAUUGAGGCCCCAGAGAUCCAUAAUGGUCAAACCCAAAGAGUUAACAAGACUUCCCUUCACAUACCAUCACAACUUACCAUCGCCAUGCACGACAAAGAUCUGGUAGGUCUCAAAGAUGAGGUGGAAACUAUUACUCAUCGGCUUACGAGAGGAUCAAAGCAAUUGGAUGUUGUUCCCAUUGUGGGUAUGCCAGGCCUUGGUAAGACCACAUUAGCCAAUAAAAUUUAUAAUGCUCCUUCAGUUAGGUCACAUUUCCAUGUUCGUCGUUGGUGUCGUGUUUCUCAAACAUAUAGCAUACACAGUUUGUUAGUUGAGCUUUUGUGUAGUAGUUCUUCUGAGAGUUCUGAUGAAUAUCAUAAGAUGGAUGAAAAUGAUUUGGCCAUGAAGCUAAGGCAGGUUUUGCUGAGAAGUAGGUAUCUCCUUUUUUUGGAUGACUUGUGGGACAUUGAGGCAUGGAAUUUGUUGGAAAAAUCACUGCCGAAUGAUGCCAAUGGAAGCAGGAUUCUCUUCACUAGUAGAUACCAGGAUUUAUCUUUGCAUUUCAUACCUAAUAGCGAGCCUCACCAUCUCCGCCAUCUUAAUGAUGAAGAGAGUUGGGCAUUGCUACAGAGAAAGCUAUUUGGCAUGGAAGAUUGUCCUCCAGCACUAAGUGAAGUUGGAUCUCAAAUAGCAAAACUUUGUCAGGGCUUACCCCUCACAGUUGUCCUUGUUGCUGGAAUUCUUGCUACUACUGCACAAGAUAGUUGGGA
RNAcentral lists this long non-coding RNA (583414 nucleotides) under Coffea arabica (coffee). RNAcentral's name for it is "long non-coding RNA (CARA_LNC005113)". The record is from RNAcentral. Lineage: Eukaryota; Viridiplantae; Streptophyta; Magnoliopsida; Gentianales; Rubiaceae.